CCGUGAAGGGAGCUCAGGCAAAGAUUUCAACUGCUUGCAAUGUUGUAACUUUAAACACAACAGUUUGGAAAGCUUCUUGAGGUUGGGCAGUGUAGCAAAAUUGUUACCACUUAAAUCUAGCCAUUCUAAGCAACACAUAUUUCCAAUAGCAUCAGGGAUUUCAACUAAAUUACAGAAACUUAGAUCAAGUUGACGCAUACAUGGAAAUAUUGGGGAGGAAGGCAUUGAGCAACUAACUGAUUUUUUAUGUUGUCUGGAGUAGGAAGAUGUUGAUUGGAAAUGAAUAGGAGCUCCAUCUAUACCAAUCUUCUUCAAUUGCCCUGCAUCCCUUAGUUCAUAUAAUAACUCGGUGUUGUACAGUUUUACACAGCCAGAGAGAUUCAGAUAUUUAAGAGAAUUGAGACCUAGUAUGCUAUUGGGUAAGCUUUCUAGAUUUUUGCAGUUUUUCAAAUUCAAUUCUCUGAGCUUUUCUAGUAAACCGAUGGAUGGAUCAAUGCGUUUGAGUUGUUUGCAGUUUUCCAUAUUCAAAUGAUCGAGGUUUUUUAGAAAACCGAUGGAUUGAUCAAUGUGACUGAGACUUUGACAUCCUUCGAGAUAUAGCUUUUUAAGAAUUAGGUCCUCUCCAAACUGUGGCAACUUGAUAAGACUUUUGCAAUUUCUCAAAUUCAGAGAAGUAAGCUUUCGUGAAAGAACGGACAGACCGAUCUCUUCGAGUUGUAUACAUCCUUCGAGAUCAAGCCACUCAAGAUAUAGGGCAUCUCCAAUAUAUGGCAUUUUUAUUAGAUUUUUGGAGCCAGAGAGAUCCAAAUGCCUCAAAUUGGGUAGAGGCUACAAUACAAGACCAAUAGUAGGAAACAAAAUUAAUAAUGACAUUCAGCCUUUCUUUUGUUUCUUUAAUUAAAUAGAGAAAAAAGGAUUAUCUUAAGAAAGUUUGCCUUUUUAUUUGUUUAUUUAAAUGAAAACAAUAUAGAAAAAUAAUAAUAAUAAUAAUUGAUAUUACCUUUCUAUCUUCCCAAAGUUGUUUGAUGUUGCUUUUAGGUAGAAUCAACUCAACAAGUUUGUCCGGCUCAAAACUUGGUGGCAAACACUCAAAAGGAUACUUUACCCAAGUAAGAUAUCCUAAUUCAUUGGAAAGCUUAGUAAGUGUUCCUGAAUAAUUGAUUUCGUAGCCAGCGUAUCUAAAUUUGAGAAGUUUAAGGUUACUCAUUGUUGAUAGAGCAUCCACCCUCACUGUUGGAAGAAAGUGAGAGUCUUCUAAGUCAGAGUCUUCUUCUAAGUCAUAGUCUUCUAAGUCAGAGUCUUCUUCUAAGUCAGAGUCUUCUUCUAAGUCAUAGUCUUCUAAGUCAGAGUCUUCUUCUAAGUCAGAGUCUUCUUCUAAGUCAUAGUCUUCUAAGUCAGAGUCUUCUUCUAAGUCAGAGUCUUUUUCAAUGUCAUAGUCUUCUUCAUGAACUAUGGCCUCAACAUUUUCUGUUGCCUUGAACAUUGAAAAGAGGAAAGAACUAUGGCCUCAACAUUUUCUGUUGCCUUGAACAUUGAAAAGAGGAAAGAAAAUAUUAGAUAUUUAAAAGUAUUUACAAAUUCUAGAAUAAUAGUAGGACUUUAUAUUUAAAAAUUAUUUUACCUUAUUAUCCAACGAAACUAUGUUGAGAUCUUUGAAAUCCCACAACCUACUCCACUUCCAUGGAUUCCAAGGUGAUUUUUCUCUAACAAUAUACUUGCCCAAAUUGCGCAAAACGUCAUGCAUUUCAACUAUCCUACGCAUGGUUAUAAGUGAUUUAUCAACGAGAACUUGUAGGCCGUAUUCGGGAUUAAAUCCACGAAAAUCUAGAAUUUCCUUCACAUAUAUCACAUCAUGAUCGUACAAGAAACAUGCAAUAUCUAGAAAUAUUUCCUUGUGUGUAUCCUCCAAUUGAUCAAAACUUAUUCGCAACACAUCCAUAAUACUUUUACUUUCUCUUAAGGAAACCAAUGCACUCCCCCAAUAAGAGACAUCUUUACCAAACAAAGAUGAGCCCAAUACUUCAAUUGCUAAGGGAUGACCUUCACAAUGUGAUAGUACAUGAGAAGUCAACGUUUUAAAAUCACUCAUAAUAUAAUUAUUUUUAAAUGCAUUUUUGCAAAACAAUCGAAGAGCAUCGGUGUCAUCCAAUGGCUUCACUUGGUAAAUAAGAUCUGCUCCACGUGCCUUCAAUAUUUGUUGAUCCCUAGAAAUUAUAAUGACUAUGCUUCCUCUACCAAGGCGUUCACGUAACAGAUUCUUUCUAUUCGCAGUAAACAUAUUAAGCUGUUUAUCUUCUUCAACAUUGUCAAGAACUAUAAGUGCCUUUGCAUUGUGUAGCCUCCUCCAUGCCAGUUCUGUUCCAUAAGAUAAAUUCCAAAUCUUUAGAUUUGUUUCAUUUAGAGACUGAGAAAGUAAGUCUUUUUGUACACCUGCUGAACCUUCCAGUCGAUAAAGUUUGCUUACGUCAUCAAUAUAACAAGAAGAAUUAAAUUGAUGAGAGAUUCUUUCAUAUAAAGCUCGACCAAGAGUGGACUUUCCUAUUCCACCCAUCCCAGUAAUUCCAACAACUCGAACAUCAUUAACCGGCCCCAGCUGCUUUGAUAAUGUAGAAAAAUGAGAUUCCAUCCCAACUAGAUUAUCAUUUCGAAGAAUAGAAAAUUUGCAACCCACGAUUUUUUUUAUCUUCUGAACAAUUUCAUCAAUCACUGUAGGUUGUUCCCUAAAAGUUUAGAGAAAACAAAGAAUGGCAAAUCAUCACCUAAGGGAACCAAAACAGAGCGUACAUGCAUAGAAGAAGAUAAUAACAUAUAUAGUACUUUUUUCAUUUUUAAAAUAUUAUUUGUAUUAAACAUGUAUCUCCAGUUUAAAGAUUGUAAUAAGUAAUACAUUCAAGAUAACAGCAUUAGUAAGAAAUGAUAAAAAUAUAUUGUAUAUGCACGUAACAAACCAACAGAAGAUUACUUACUUAUUUCUGAUAUCCCAACCAGAGAGACUGGCUACUCGUUCCAGAACUUCUCUCCAUGUUGUAAUUUCCUUCUCUUGGAACCUGGAACUUUGUUGGUGUUGGGCAAAGGCUUUCUCAUAGUCUCCACUCAGUUUUCGCACUUGUGAUGGAUCAACAUCAUAGAAAAUAGGCAGAAGAUGUCUGGUAGAUGGUUGAAAGCAAUUCCAGAUAUGUGCUAGUUCACGCAGGCACCAAGUUGAGGAAGCAUAGUCCUUGGAAAAGACAACAAGGAAAACAUGAGACCCUUCAAUGGCUCGUAUUAGCUCUGGUGCUAUGGAUUCGCCUUUCCUGAUAUCUUUAUCAUCUUUGAAGGCCUCGAUGCCUUGUUUUUUCAGAGCUUCAAAAAGAAAAGCGGUGAAGCUGUUGCGUGUGUCUUCACCGCGGAAGCUCACAAACACGUCAUACUCAAACGAAGAAGAAGAAGAAGAGGUGCAUUGGAUGAUGGCAUUAGAAGCAGAAGCCAUUACAAUUGCAAAACUGUGAAGGAAGAAGAACAAGUGUUUGUGGAUAGAAAUAAUGUAUGAAGAAAUAUAAAUACGCAGAGUUCAGAAAUUUCUUGGCAGCUGCGAGGGGUUGUUGUGAUGAAGGGAAAAUUGUAGGAAAGUGGUUUUGGGGGCAUGCAUGUGAAAGUGUCAGCUAAUAAUUGAAUGUCAGCUAGUGUACCCACUUGCUAUUGAAUGAAGACUUGGUUGAUGUUGCUGCUUCAUCAUUUCGUCGGGGCUUCCUAUCAAACUAUUUUUUUUUUAUAUUUUUAUGUGUUUUGUGACGAAGGGCAUUCAUGUGAAAGUGUCAGCUAGUGAACCCACUUGCUAAUGAAUGUGAGAGGGCUCAUGUGACAUAUCUAACGGUGACGAAGGGAGGUUCGUGGAAAACGAGUUAUGAAUUUCCCCCUAAUAAUUGAAUUCAGACUUCGUUGAUGUUGCUGCUUCAUCAUUUCGUCGAUGCUUCCUAUCAAACUAUUUUUUUUUUUAUAUACUUUUUCUAAUUGUUACCUUCUCAAAAUAUCUGGUUAUUGAGUUUGUUACUUAAAUUUAGGUUUUUUGUUCUUAAGCCAUGAAAUAUUGAAAUGUGUUAUUAAAGGAAUGCUGUUAAAAGGAUUAUCAAAGAUUUUUUUUAAGAGGAGGAUUAUUAAGAUUAUUUAUUAUUAAAUAAAAAUUUUAAUUGUGUAUAACCUGUUAAUGUAAUUUUGUAAAAGACAUUAUUUAUUAAAUAAUUAUUUAAUAUAAAUUCAAUAUUUAAAUAAUUACAAAAUAAGAAAAAUAUUUAGUGUGUGUUUAGUUUUAGUUGAAACAUUAUUCAUGAGUUUAAAAUUGAUUUUGGAUAUAUUCUUAAAUUGGUUGGUUUAAUAUUAGAGAAUAAUUUAAAAUUGAUUUUAAGUUUAGAAUUAAUUUCGCGUUAAAGUAAUUUUUGGUAAUUUUUGAGUUAGAUCCAAAAUUUUGCCGCAAGUGUUACUCUAACUUGAUUUUUUAAUAAAAACAUCAAAACAUAAAUUCAAAAUCAAUUUUAAUUAAAAUAAAUUAUAUUUAAGAUAAAUUUUAUCCAUGAUCAUUCAAACAUACACAUUUAGUCCCCCUUCACUGAAUUCCUUCUGGAUUGGUCCCUCGUCAUAGAUGACAACAAAAAUAUCAUGUAGGCAACUCCUUUGAUGUGUUCUUCCUUCAUUUUAAUGGGAUAAAGUUGGUCACACAGGCAACUUAAUAAUGUGUAACUUGGCGCACAUGACAGUUAAAGUGAGAAGGGAAUGUUUAGUAGGGGUGAAAAAUAAAAUUGGUGAAAAUUAACAGAAGAAUCAUUUUGUGGUGAGUUUUAUAAGUUUAGAAAAAAAAAUAAUAUACAGAGAAUUCAAAGAUUAAUUAAAUGGCUAGUCAAUAGGAAUUUCACGGAUAAAGUAAUUAUUAGUACUAAUAAUGUAAUUAGUAGUAGUACGCAUUAUCAAGUAAUAUAAUAGUAGUGUUAGCACAUUUUACCAAUAAAAAAAGGUAACAGUAGUUAAAAUCACAUAAUAUAAUAAACAAACAAGUUAUAGACUCGUACACGGCAUGAGUGCAGUAAAAUUGUACAAAUAAUAUAAUUUUAGACACUCUAAGAGAUAUUAGUCUCUAUAAGUGAAAAUAUUCAACAAUUCCUCAAAUAUUAAUAAAGAAAAAGGGAAAUGUUAAUUUUAAUCACCCUCAAAUAGAUUUUGAUAUGCACUUGAGAGAAACAUAGUAAAUUAGUAAUUGUAAAUUACCCAAACAUAAUACAUAUUUAGUACCCAAAAUUAAGAAGCUAAUGACAAGCAUAAUUUCUUAUUUGAUUACCCAAAAUUAUAUAAUAUUUAUUUUAAAAUUAAUAAAGAUAUUGAUUGACUUGAUGUUUUUUAUUUGUCUAAAUCAUAUGUUAAGGGGGAAUAAUUUUAUAACAGUUAGAUGCCCACGUUUGAUAAUUUAUGUUUUUAUUUAAAUAUUCCUAAGGUAGAGUUUUUUUUACAUAAAUAAAGAUAUACAGAGAUUUGUUUCUUUUAAAUGUUAGUAAAAAAUACUGUUUUUCUUACCUUUUCAACUAAAAGCAUUAAUACAAAAAAAAUGAAACAAAGGUUAAGGUCUUGUUAUCCAUAAACAUUUAUUAUCUCAGUUUUUGAGUAAUUAGAUGGAAUAACUUCCAUAAAAUUAAUUAAAGUACACGAGUUAAUUUUAACAUACAAAAAAUUCAAUUCAUUUUUAUUCUUCUUUUUCAUAGAGUGUAUAUAGAGAAUUUACGGGCAUAUAAGAAAAGAGUUGUUUUAGAAGAAGAGGACCCAACUUGUAAAUUCAACCUAUUGCGCUUCCCGCCAUUUCAAUCAUCAACUUCUAACUGUUCAUUUCAUUUAGCCAAAAGAAAGAAUACCAACAUAGCAAGAGAACAAAGAGAAGAAGCAAAGAGACCUUCUACGAUCAUCAAUGCCUGCCAAAGUUUAUAUUGUGUAUGCAGUAUGCUCACAUUUUAACCUUUGUUGUCUCCUUUAAUUGAUUCUUUAUAUAUGUGUGCACUCGUGUGUUAUAAUUAUAACUUGUUAAUCAUUAUCUGACAUGCAUGAUGCAUGCUUCUCAGUAUGGAAUUUCGUUCAUUGGGUUUCUUUUAUUUCUUCAAUGGGUUCUUAAAUUUGAAAUCUUUUAGAUUUCAAUGUUCUUUGAAGAUCUUGGUGUCUAACUUUGAAAGAUAUGAUGCAUUCUUGCUCUGAUUCUGUUUUUCCCUCUGUUCUGUAACGAUACAAUGGUUUGUUUGAUCAUUGGGGAUGUUGAGAGAUUUUCCAUAGGAGCCAUGAAUGCUGAAAGUCUUGUGCUUUUCUAUUUUCCCAAUUUGCAAGAAAACUUGAUUGUGUUCCUGAUUCAUUGACUUUCUGAAUCAUUGAACAUCUUCUUUGGCAUUCCAUCAUUGCCAUUUUCUAUAAUGAAAGCACAUUUCAAAAUUGUUACUCAAUUAGAAAAUAGGUUUUCAGAGCUUGACAAGUUGUAAGCUGUGUACAGAUAAUAUCCAUCUACAAUGAUUUGCAAAUAUAACAAUCAACUAGUUCUUAUUUGAUAUUUAACUUUCCUUUUGUUUUUAUCCUUUUACUGAUAAACUAUAACCUUGGUGUUUGCAGUAUCUACCUUUUCAUAAUGUGAUUUUCAUUUCCUCUUUCUGUUGUAUUGUCCCCAAUAAUAUUGCUCAAUUUCCCUUUUCAUUUUCAUCUUGUACUGAAUUAUUGACGAUGUUUCUAUCACCUUCAUUUACUGAACGAUUUUUUUUUUUUUUUUGCAGGUAUUACUCAAUGUAUGGUCAUGUGGAAGCACUAGCUAGGGAAAUAUUGCGCGGGGCUAAUUCUGUAGAGGGUGUUGAGGCCAAACUGUGGCAGGUGUGUAUAUUUGUUACAUUUAUCACAAUUCCUAAUUCAAUGCAUUCUAUUUAGUUAUAGCAUAAAAUUGCAAAUAGUAACCAACUAAAGUCCAGUGCUAAACCUUAUUCCUCUGUGCCUCUAUGGAGCAGAUAAAUUUCAUGAAAUUAAUCAGCAUGUAUUGCCCCAGUUGCAGUGGCUCCACUUUAGGUUGAUAAAUAGUUUUAAACUUAAUAUCAUUGUUGCUGCCAUCUGAUCUGAAUGUCACAAAGUUAGAUUCAAACUUUCUGUUAGCUUGGUUCCUUCACUAUAACCAUAUUUUACAAUGGCCUUCUGACAGGAGAAUUCAAUGGCCGUAAGCCCUUGACUGAUCUAAUAAUUUCAUGUCCUAAGUUUUGCUAUAUGUUUUAGCACAUAAUUCAUUUAGGGAAAAAUCAAUUUUUCCUGCCUUAACGCUUGAUGUAACAAAACUUGUGACUGUAAUUAAUUUGGACACACAUUUCAAUCAUGUUCAAUGAUUCGAAAUCAACUCUAUCAAAUUUUAAACAAAGUCAUCUAGUCUCUAUGAAUCAUAGUAUGAAAAAGACUUCCCAAAUUUGCUCUUGCUAAAUUCUAGAAGGGGAUGCAAAAUCCUGUUUCACAUUCUCCUUUUCAAGAAGGCAAGUAAACAUUUGCUCUUGCUAAAUGCUGACUAUAUUGAACAUUUCAACCUAUGAGCAGAUACCUGAGACACUGCCACCUGAGGAGCUUGUUAGGCUGAGAGCACCACCAAAGAGUGAUGUACCAAUCAUUAACCCUUUUAAACUGCCCGUGGCUGAUGGUUUUGUCUUUGGUUUUCCAACAAGAUUGGGAAUGAUGGCUGCUCAGUUCAAGGCUUUCCUGGAUUCAACUCAAUAUCUAUGGAAAGCGCAAAUGCUUGCGUGCAAGCCUGCUGGAAUCUUCUAUAGCACCAGUUGCCAAGGUGUUGGACAAGAGACUGCGCCGUAAGACCCUCUCUAAUCUCAAUGUAGUUUCUUAAUCAAUUCCUAUGAUAUGAUUGAUGACUGAAAUAUUGUUGUUAGAAAUUUAAGGGAAUUCCUCUUGAGCAUAGGAAGCCUCUUCUUUUCUAAUAAUGUGAUGUCAUACAUGAUUAGAGGAACAAAACAUUUUAUAAUAAGUUCACAUACCUUAAUGAAGAGAAUGAAUUUUGAACUUUUCUUAUUUCUAUUUGAAGUCAUUAAAACAGAAACAAGAUUUUUGUAUCUAUAACUUCAGAAAUGUCAACAAUUCCAAGAAAUUCAGUCUUUUAAGAACACUUCAAAGUGGUUAAUUCUUUGGAUAAGUUCUAAUGUAUGUUAUUAAUGACAUAUGUAGACUCACAUGUUGAACAACAAUAUCUUACCAUUAUGCACUAAUGAGAUUAGAAAAUUCUGGAAUCUAUGACAGGUUUACUGCUAUCACUCAACUGGUUCAUCAUGGAAUGAUAUUUGUUCCAAUAGGAUACACAUUCGGUCCUGGCAUGUUCGAGAUGAAGGAGCCGAAAGGUGGAAGUCCUUAUGGUGCAGGAACUUACACUGGUGAUGGCUCUAGGCAGCCAACUGAGCUUGAGUUGCAGCAAGCAUUCCACCAAGGGAAUCAUAUCGCCACCAUCAUAAAGAAGUUCAAGGAAGAUGCUCACCCAAUUUUUACUCUACACAAUAGAGGAUAUUGAUUUGUGUUCUCUGUGCCUGAAAUUUUCUAUUUUCAGAAGAAAAUUCUAUGUGCUGAGUUCUAUUUUUGUGUUAUAGAUACACUGUUUAGCGAUACUUGCUAAUGAGAAGUUUGUUUGUCUUUUCCUUUUGGUUUUAGGCUUAGAAGACACUUGUUCCCUUUUUAUGUAAUCCCCUCAUGAAUGUUAGUGCCAACAAACUAGCACAUAUACAUUGAGACAUAACAAAAAUUGCAUAGUUUGAGGAAAUUAAACUAGACUACAAUAUGCUCUGUGUAUGCAGGAAGCCACUUCAUUUGUCCUAGCAAUUGAAAAUAUACUAUGCUAAUAAUUGGGAUAUGUAUCAUUUCAGGUCUAGUGAUAUAGAUUAUUGGUUAUGUAUAUACUAUUCAAACGUUCCCUAAAGCAAGUUCACUCAUUGGAACAAGCAAAGCUAGUUUUAUAUGAAAAGAGCAAACCUACUUUACCAUGCAGCAUAAAUUUUCAUGUCCUUCAUUAUACAAGUUAGAAUAUUACAUAACUUUUAAACUCGAUAUUGAUUCUAAGAGAUAGUUUGCCUAUUUUGAUAUCUACCAAAUGAAAAUGGCACCUUCUCCCUCAAAUUCUAUCAGAUUCAUUUUUGUUAAUUUUGUCAUCAAUUCCCCUCUGCAUAGGUUCUCAUCACGUGUGCUGUUUAGCAAGUCCUUCUUAAACCUAUACAAAUAUAUAUAGGCAUGAUUUAAUUUUUAUAUACUUCAUUUUUUAUAUAAAAAAAUCUUUGAGAAAACUAUGCACACACACAUCAGUAUAUAAUUGAAACGAUACUGAUUAGACAGUCCAUGCGACAUAAGUAGGCAGCUGUCACAAAGAAGAGAAAUAUUCUGAUACACAUUGAUUUUUCUUCACCUUUGAUAUGAAAAAAAAUCCAGUGUCAUGUGAUUCUCAAAGCUUUUUCGUAUUCUUGUCCAUUUUUUCCCUUCCUAUCAUUGGUUUGUGUCCAAUUUUCUACUUCUAGCUUUGCGGCAUCCAAUUCCACCGUUUCUUGGCAAAAGUUAUUUGUCUACCCUCAUAUCUUUUCUCAGCUAGCUAAACUAGCCACUCUCUUCAAUUUAAGCAGCCAAUUUUUCUGUCAUUUUUUUUUCUUUUUCUAUAUUCCAUUGACACAGUCCUUUUCAAACAUGAUGAAAGUAGACAAGACAUACACAUGACUAGCUCAGAAAACUUGGAAUAGAAUCUACAGAAAAGUUUGUUGUGACCUUGUAGUAUAACUUACUAGAGCAUGUUUGGAUUAGAUAUUUUUUUCUUACACUUCAGUUUGAUUGAUGGAAAAGGACUGAUGGAGUUACUGUUUAAAUAUCUUUUGUAAUUUAGAUUAUAAUUGUUAAUAUAAUUUUAACAUAAUUUAAUUUACAUGCGCAGUCAAUUUAAAAGUCUUUAUAUUAUCAAUUAGAUAGAAAUACCAUGAGAAAUAUGGCCUUUAAGGUAAUUACUGCAUGUCAAAUAAAUAAACUUAUCAUAAAUGUAUGAUAAUUUGUGAUUAGAUAAGAGAGUAAAAUUCUUUUAAUCAUACAUUAUUUACUCAUUUUAAAAGAGAAAACAUUUUUUUAUAAUAAGUAAAAUUUUAAAAACAAAAUCAACUAUUACAAGUAACUUGAUACCAUUUUUGUAAUUAUUCUAUAUAAAAGCAAUUUUUUGAGACGAUUCAAAGAAAAUACAUCUUAUAAUCAGUUUUCAUCUAAUAUAUACAAAUAUAAAUUAAGUUCAUUCGUAUAAUCAAUUAUAGCAAUAAUUGAUUAUAUCUGUUAUCAAUUAUUGAAAUUAUUUGUUUUUCACCGCAGUGAUUAGAUGAACUUAUUGCUCGUUCCUCUGCUCAAGUGCUUAUAUAAAUGCUAUACAUGAUUAGAGUAGAGAAGUGAAAGUUAAGCAAAUGUAUCUCUCUAGAGUUGCAAUGGAUGCCAUAAAAAGUUGAGAAAAGGCAUAGGAAUUAUGGAAUCUAUAGAAAAUUGAUAUAGGCCCAAAUAAUUUGAAGAUUCUAUUCCUCCUCUCUUUUGGUCCAUGUACUGUGGUAUCUACGAAAUUCAUAUUGAUUAGCAAUCAUGUUUUAGCACUAUGCGACAGAAAUUAUUAAAAACAAUGAAACAAUAUAUCUUAUACCAGCUAAAGAACAAAACAGCUCCAAAAUAAUUUUAAAAAAUAAAUAUAUUAUUAUUAUUAUUAUUGCUCUUGAGUGGCAUAUUCAUGAGAAAAAGGUGCUACAGAAUGCUCUUCAAACGGUUAGAAAAACUAUAUUUAUUUUACCAUUAAUUAUUUUCAAAAUGAAUGCGCUCAAUAUACGGUUCAUUAUGUACCUUAUAAUAUAUAAUUAUUACUCCACUCUAAUGCUAUUGGAGAAGUAUAAAGAUGGUAACUAAUUAAGAAAACAGUUAUUGCUAAUCCCUCCCAUGUCUCUUAUUCACUUCUAACAGCUUCUUCCAUACUAUAUACCUUUGUGCCAAAUGUUUUCCACAUAAAUAAGGGAAUAGCUUAUUCCUCUCAUAAUUUAUUUAAAUUAGUUGAAUAAACUUUGGUUGAUGAUGAGAUAACCCCUGAAAACAUAGUUAAAUCAUGUACGACAGUUUCUCUAGUGAAGACAAAUUUUUGUAGAAAAUAAUUAUUAGACUUGAAUAUAAUGUGGAGCCCCAUGACAGACUAGCUUUGUUCACAUAAUAAUGGCUAAUGCUUAAAUGCUUUAUGUUAAUUUGAAUUAGUUUAUGUUCUGAUCUUGCUAGAGAAGUUUGAAAGUGAGAUUUGUUGGUAAAGUACUUUUUGAGCUGAAGGGGUAAUUCUUCCUGGCCCAAGACAAAAUAGUUUAUAAUACUCUCUGGCCAAUAGUGUCCAAGUCAUACCAAGUGGCAAGGUUUGAAGAUAUGCCAAUCUAGUAAGUUUAUAAUUCUAAUAUUAUGUCAUUAUAAUAUGCCAUUCUAUUAUGCCCUUAUGAAUUUUGUUGUUAUUAUGUCUCAAUUUUUCUAAUAUACAACAGCAAAAAGAAGAAUAGCAUCGGGUCUUAUCCCCAACAACCUUUUCCAUACAUUGUAUUAAACCUGAGAUAUAAUUUCUUUUUUUUUUAAAAAAAAAUCCUCACUCAACCACCACUUAAGUAUGUAGAUAAACCAGUUAUUUAUCAACCAAAAAAAGGUGCGGUUCACGGAUUGGUUUAUUUUAAAGAAAUAAUUAUUUUAUUGCCGAUUUUCUUGAAUUUUUUUUAACAAAUAAUUAUCCCUUUAAAUUUAAACUUGAUCCAAAGAUUUCAUAAGUUAACUUAAUUAAGUUUAGUAAUUGAUUAUCCUUUAACAAGGGACUAAUUUUAUCAUUUCAAAGUGGAAUCUUUUUAUUAUUAUUAUUAUCUUUUUACCAAAACGUAUAUCUUUAUUAUUAGAUAUUAAAUAUUAUAUGAACAGAGGAGAUUAAAUAUUAGAUUCGGGUGACUUUUAUAAAAUAAUCAUGUAAGCUUAAAAUAACUUUUAAUUUAGAUUAUUUAAUUAUGUAUUUUUUGUUUAUCCAGGGUGAUAACAAGUGUCUCUUAAUUCAAGUCAGACUAAUUUUUUUUUAUGUGUGAUUAUUAUUGGUAAAAAAGAUUUACACAUAAUAAGAAUAAAACAUAGAUCCUCUUAUUUAAAUAAAUCAUUUUUCUUAUUAAAAAUAAACAAACCUUACAUUUCAAUCUUAUGAGUUACAAUUUUUACUUAUAGAUUAAUUAAUAAUAAGAGAAUAAAAAUAACAUAAUUUGAUUUCUUAUCUUUGUUUUCGCAAACAUAUGAUUAAUUUAAUUUAUAUAUCAUAUAUAUGCUCAUUUGAAUUGAUUAAUAGUACACAAUAAAUAGAAAUUCUACUUUUUAUUUUUAUUUUUAUUUUUUUAGUAAUAUUAUGUAUUCAACAAAUUUGUUUGAUUAAUAGGGUUAAUUUUAUAUUUUGAUAAAUUGAGGAAACAAUAAUCGAUUUGAUAGCUGCUUCAGCAACUGCAACAAGCUAUAACAAAAAUUGAAAAAAUAUUCCCUAUGCAUAGGUAUAUAGUCAAAAUUUAUUUCUUUUAUUCUUAAAUAAAAAAAAAGCUCUCUUUCUCUUUCACUUAAUAUAUUUUCAUUUUCGAGAAAAUAAUUGAUUAUUUUCAUAAAAAUCUUAGAAAAGCUAAAAGAAUAUAUUUAUUAAGCGAAUCCAAAUAAGUACUAAUUAACCUUGAAAUUAUUCCAACUAGAUAAUAAAUUAAAAUCUAUGUUCAAAUUUUUUUACUUAUGUGGCCAUUAAAUUUCUUUUUUAACCAUGAUAUUAGUAUAAUGUUGUUUUUACUAAAAAUAGUAAUAAUAUUUUGUCAGAUAACUUUAAACAUAUAUAAGAUGAUGAAUAUUUUUCUUUCAAUAUGAUAUAUUUCAUAUCUAAUAAUUAAGUAUGAUUCGAUCAUUAAUCACUAGAUUAAGAAACAUAAAUUUUGUAAGUUUUCUACAAUUUUAAUUCUUUUUAGGAAUAAGAAGGGAGAAUAAUUACGUAUGCUCACGUCAUUUAAAAUCUGGACCAUUUGCAGAACUUUGCUGAGGAUAAACACUUGUGGGUUUUCUCUUUUUACAUGUGCUUCCAAUAGAAGCCCCUGUAUGUGACCAUUCAUCACAAAACACAAAAGCAUGUAUGCAAGCAUCUCCAAAAUAUAUAUGGUAAAUGUAAAUUAAUGUUUAAUUUGAACACAAUUUUGAAACAAAAAAUGAAAGGGGCGCAGUGUGGGCCACCCUCUGACUUCCACUUACAUAUUCUAAAGAAAUAAACAAAUCAAAAGUGAGAUUUCCAAUCAAAUGACAUAUCCCACACUCACUCACUCUUCUAUAUUUCAAUGAUACCUCCAAAUUAGUUUUUUACUUUUCCUUGAACUAAAGCGGUAGUUCCAGCUCUAUUCACAAGAAAACAACAAGAAGAAAAAUUAACAAAGCUCCUUUAUCAUCUUCUGCUAACAACAAUUUUUCUAUCUAGAGCUUAACCAAGAAAAAUAAACAAAGCUCCUUAAUUUAUCCCUUGUCACUCCUAAUCCCCCACGACCCCCUUGUGUGCAUGAUACAUAAUUCAACAAUUAUUAAAAACAACUUACAAAUUAAUAUAUAUUGUGCUCCAAUGGUCCCAAAAAUUGGCGGAAAUUAAUUACCUUACCCUUGCAUCAUUCUUCAUGUAGUUGGUCCAUCAAUAUGACCCUUCUUGUGAAGGGUCAUUUCCCUUUCUUCCCUCUCUUUUCAACUCUAUAUCCUUUUUUUAUUAAAUAAUAUCUUUAAUUUCCAUCAGAGGAAGAACUAACUAUACAUAUUUAUGUGUGGCCUUUUUUCUCUCCUGCUCCAUAUCUUUUUCUUUCAUCUCAUCAUUCCCAACUUGGCCAGGGUUUGAUAUGACAUGCAUGUUGUUGUUGUUGUUGUUGUUGCUGAGAGUACUCCUUCCGUGCCACUUUUUGCCACCCAUUAUAAUUAAUUAAUGAAGCUAGCUAUCUGUAAGUUCCUCCAAAUGUUGGUGUCCAAUACUCAACUGUGGGUUCGUGAGUCACUGGAAAUGUACUAGAAACUGGCACCAGACAUAGCCCUCGGCUUCUAAGAUCCUGCUUUGGACCCUCAGAUUCCUUAGAUUUUCCAGAACUCUGAAAUAAAAAGGACAAACAAAAAUACAUUAUAAACCCUUUAAAUUUGAACAAAAUUAUAUAUAACCAUUAAUGCAUAUAGUGGUUAUAUUUAUAUUUCACUCUUAAAGCCUAGUAAACUAACAAUACUGUAAUACAAGUAUACAACUAUGAAUUUCAUGUUUAUAAUUAAACUGAUUUCGAUAAUUUUUCUAUAAGAAAAAAGAAUGAAUUAAACUCCCCUCAUAUACUAAUUAAUUUACGCACUUAAUUUUAUAAGAGUUAUUUCUCAUUAACUUCAUAAAAAGCAAAGGUAUUUGAAUCUGUGAUAGAAGUAUAAUGUAUUUUAUCUUUUUACAGUAGAAGUAAAAUUGGACUAAAAAAAAAAUCAACAUAACAAUAUCGCGAAGAAUUUGACGUUUAAAGAUUCAGUAAGUCAUUUUGAAGUUAAUUUUUAGGAAAUGUAUCAAUCUACGUAUACUACCUGCUGAUGCUGUAUGGGAGCACCACUUUUCAUAUACGGGGUACUUAGCACCUACAAAAGACAGAAAAUAAACAAGAUUAAAAAUUCGCUGAUAUUAUAAGCUUUCUGAAUAAUCAAAUCAUUAAUGGGAAUUUGAUGGGACUUACAGUCACUUGUUCAUGGAGGAAUUUGAUAUAUUCAAUGGCUUCAGAGAGCACUGACGCUGUAUCAGUCUGACACAAACACAACAUAGCAAAACGAUUUUUAAAAACCUCAAAUCAAUAAACAACAUUAGUACAAUCACACUUGCCAUCAUCAUCUUUUUUUUUUUUUUUCUUUCUGCUUUCUCAUAUAUCAUAAAUACACGCAAGAAAUCAUGGUCAUCCACAAAAGAUAUAUUGGAAAAAAGAAUCAUAGAUGAUGUUUUUUUUUUUAUCAGAAGCUCUCUCACCUUUCCGAAAGGUGAAACCAAUUGUUGGAGUGCAGUGAUUCUGUCCCCCAUCUUCUCUUUUCUCACCUAAGAACAACAACACAAGGGUUCAUAUAUCCAAUGUUUAAGGACUCAAAAACCGAAAAAAAUAAAAAUAUAAGGGAAAAAGUGUAUAUGAUAAAGAAUAAAUAAAGAUAGGGAAAUUAAAGAUAAAAAGUUUAAAGCUAACUUCCCCUUCUUGUUAAAAGGUUAGUUGCACUUAUUGUACCUUAAAAGCUGGCAAAGGUGAUGGGGUUUCGUUCCUGGGCCUUUUGGGUGCUGCCUCACUUCCACUUUUCUUUACCACACCACCGGAAUCUCUAACUUCAGAUAUAUUCUGCAAAACCAUGGAUGAACAAGAUGAAAAGAAUUAAUUAGACACCAAAUGCACUAGUGCCUCAUUUCAACCCUAAAUAAAAUACAAACUUCAUUAUUUAUGUAUUUAACCCAGAAAAUACGACAUUUUUUUCAAAAUUGGUAUCUACUUAAGUUUUAUUUAUUUUUAAUCCAUAUAAUGAAAAUAAAACAUAUCAUCUUCAUUUUUUUAUGUAUACAUUAUUGUAAUUAAAAGAAAAAAGACGAGAAAAAAUAAAUAAGAAAUUAAUAAAACAAAAAGGUAAAUAGAUUUUUAGAGGUUUAAUUAAAAGUAUCUCAACAUAUCAUCAUAUAUCAUGGUUAUGAACUUAUGAUCUACCAGGAUCCGCGUAGUGAUGAAGUGUUUAAACAGUUUGUAUCAAGUCAUAAGUUCGAACCUUAUCAAUAUGAUAGAACAUAAAAGAAAAUCAUAGUGUUAUUUACAUGUAUGUGCCCUAUAUGUAUGCAAAAAUGAAAUGCAAUACCUUUGAUUGUACAUCGAAAUUUGAUGUGGAGAAGGGUGGAUGCAAAGAAGGGAUGAAGCUGGAUCGAGAAUCCUUAAUAGCAGGCUCAGAAUUCGCGUUCCAAAAGGGUGCGUUGUUGGUGAAAUGCAACUGAUUAUUGGGUUGUUGUUUUGGCGGUGAAGCUCUCAGAAACUGAGGAACUUUGGACCAAGAACGCACCAACUCAACAUUGGAGUUCAAACCAUAGCUUGCUGCUGCUGAGUAAGCAAAAUUCAUGGCACCACCACCACCACCUUGGUAGGGUUGUUGUUGUUGUUGGUUGUUGUUGUUGUUGCUCUCUUGUCCCAAAAGUCCUUGCAAUAUUGAAGAAGGGUUCCCAACAUAGUCCAUCUGAAAAGAACAAGGCAAGCCUUGGCUUGUGACAGUGCUGUCCCCAGAGCUGUAUUGAGGAGAAAACUGUGUUUGGUCCAAGGAGAAACCCCUCUUGAAUUCGUUGCUUGAUGACUCGGCAGAGAACAACUUUUCUGGCCUCCAAUGAAGUUGUUGAUGAUGAUGGUGAUGGUGGUGGUGUUGAGACAACCCUAUAUUGCUCCCACUUUCUUGCGGCUGAAAAUUGGUAUUUGAUGAGCUCAAAUUCUCUUGCAACAUCGACCUGAAACUGCUUUCUGAACCCUUCUCACCUCGGCUAUAUCAAUCAAAACACACACACAAAAGUUAGUUACAACUUGCAAGAUUUUUUUAUAAAAAUAAAAAUAAAAAAAAUGAAAAGGUUUAUGGCCAUAAUUUCAGCCACAACAUCAAGAUUUUUGAAGUUGACACGACCAUAACAAGACUAUAGUUAUGGUUGCAUCGGCCGCAUCUAUAACCUGCUUUAUAUUUUCUUCAAUAUUAUUCCAUUAUGGUAAGGUAGAAAGAAAAACAGAAAACGAAAGAUCCAAAAAAAACUUUAUCUUUUUUCUCUUUUAAAUUUUUUUUUUGGGGGGGGGGGUAUUACUUUAGAGUAAUAUUGUUGUAGAAGUCUUUGUCUUUGACACAGACUACACUUACAGCUGCAAAGAUGCUUGAUUCCAGUCCAUGGCCUGAGAAGAGAGGCCCAAGCCCAUCAUGUGCAAGUUGGGGUCAUUGGUGGAAGUGGCUGCAGCUGAAGACUCAUGAUGAUGUGGCUGAACUUGUUGAAGCUGCUUCUGGUCAUGGAACAUCACAGAGGAACCACCUGAGACAGAGUUAUUAUCUAUGGAAGAAUUAGAAGACCUUGUUGUUGCCAUGUCAUGAUGUUGCCAAGAAGCUUCAUAGCUUCCCAUAUUGUUGGUGAGGCCAGAAGAAGAAGACUGUGAUUCACCACUCUCAAACCUAACGUUUCUUGCUGCUGAUUCCCACCAGUUUCCACUUGCUUGAAAUUGAUCAUCUGACAUAGCUGAUAUAUAUGUUGGGGGGGGAUUCACUUCAGUGAUCUUCACAUAAACAUGAAAAAUAUUUUGAUGAAAUUAAGGAUGCUGGGUCAGUUUUUUUUUUUUUUUUGUGUGUGUGUGUAAUGUAAUAAUAUGUGUGGUGCUGUGUGAAGGGGUGAGACUACUAGAAAAUGAAUGAAUGGAAAAAAGGUUCAAAACUUUGGAGUAUUUAUAUUGAGGAGUGAAGGGAGAAAAAUGGGUUUGGUGAGGGGAAUGGGAACAGUGACAGAUUAAAGAGAGGAAUAUGGUUGACGCUCUUUGACAAUUCAGGGGGUGAUUAGACAGUGGAAUUAAAGGUCAUUUUUUGAAAUAGGAAUUUGGUUUGUUCUUUAUUGUUAUUUUCUCUGUAGAAUUUCUCUUUUUUCUUCAUGGCUGGCUGCCGCCUAAAAAUAUACUAAUUUUUUUUUCCGGUUGGGGUUGGGGUUGGGGUUUAAUUUUAAAAUUCAAAACUAGUUUUAGUCAUGAGUUUUUAGUUUUUGUUAUUUUUUAGUUUUUCAAAAGUUGUUUGAAAUUGAAACCGGAUAAAAUGUGUCACGUGUUCUAUUUAUCUUGUUUUAUUGUGAAAUAAUGUAAUAUAAAAAAAAUAAUUAAACACGUCAAAAUAUAAUAAGAUUGAAAAAAUAUAAUUUUUUUUAAAAAAUAAAUAUAUUAAAAAAAAUAACACAACCAUUAUUAUUAUAAUAAUAAUAAUAAUAAUAAUAAUAAUAAUAUUGCAUAUUAGUUGUGAUAAUGAUGACAAUGAUUAUAAAAAUGAUAGUAGUUGCAAGAAAAGAUAAUGGUGGUUAUAAUAACAAUGAUAACAAUAAUGUGAAUGGAAUGGUGAUGAUGACGACAAUAAUAAAAAUACUGAUGAUAGUAGUGAUGAUGACAAAAAUAGUAAUAAUAACAAAAGAGAUAGUGGAGAUAGUAAUGGUAGUGUUAAUAAGAUGGUGUGUUUUAAAAUUAAAUUAAAUUUACAAAUCUUUUUCUGGAUUUUCAAAAUAAAUGUAAAAGUGUACGUUUUAAAAUUAUGUUAAAAAUUAUUUUAAUUUUAUUUUUGUUGAACAUAUUUUAUUUUGGACAUUAAAUUUAAAAAUCAAAAACUCAUGACCACCCCAACAAAAUCAAUUUAAUUUAUAUAUAUUGUGAGACUUUGAUUUAAAAGGGGAGGAGAAAGGAGGAACGUUUAUAAAGGGGGAUGGGAAAGAUUUAAAUUACAAUUUUAUUUUAUUAGAGAAAGGAAAAAAAGAGAUUCUGAAAAUUAGUUACUUUUAAAUUACAACGUAGCAAAUUAUCGAUUUACCUAAAUGAAAAAGCAAAUGAAUGGAAAAUAAUUAGAAAUAAACAAUGUGGUAGAGAUAUGGGACGACUUCAACAGGAAUACUAGUUGAGGGAUGUUUGGAAACUUGGCAGUUCUUCUUGGUUGAAGCCCUCACAAGUUGGUAACAAAGAUGAGAUGAAGGGCAAAUAUGGAAGAAUAUAAAUGGAAAGGAAAAAAUAAAAUUUUCCUUGUUUAGUUCACCAGAGGAGGAGAAGGGAGAAAUUUUAAAAUUAAUUAUGGCAUCAUUUGAAUUCUUAUCACACAACAAUGGAAUAAAUGAUGUAGCAAAAAAUAUCAAUGCAAGUUUAAUUAAAAUAGAUGCACACCAAUAACAAACACUAUAUAUAUAUAGAGUAGAGUAUAACAAUUUACCUCAACACAAAAGCAAGCAAAUGGAUGGAGAAUAAUUGGGAAUAGAUGAUGUGGUAGAGACAGGGAAUGACUUCAAUGACAGUAUAAGUUGAAGGAUGAUUGAAAGCUCUAGCAAUUGAAUUGAGCCUUCUUGGCUGAAGCUCUGACAGGUGGGGAAUGACAAAGAUGAAGCACACAAAUGGAAAAAUGACACAAAAAGAAUAAACAAAUCAUAUACCUAAAUUGCAAUGAGGACAUUUUAUUUAUUUAUUUAUUUCGCCUUUUACUAAUUUUAUAUUUUAAAAUGAUAAUAAAGACGUUUUAAUUUAGUCUGACUAUUUACAAUAUUAAUUUAGAUUUGGUUUCGUUUCCCGCUAGUCGAAAGUCGAAAUUUAGUGAAGUGGAAUUGUUCUUCCAUCUUUCAUUAUUUUCCUUCAACCAAUCACCGCUAAUAUAAAACUUUUUUUUUAUAAAAUAUUUAAUAAUAAUUAGUUUUAUCAAUAAUUACAUCAUAUUCAUAAAAUAGAUGAUGUGAUAAAAAUCAUAACGUCUUUUAAAUAUAUGUAUAAAUAAUAUUAUUUUUUAUAAAAUAUUGACAUUUAAUAAAAUAAUAUAUAGUAUAUAUAUAGUAUAUUUUUUAUUUAACAACUAAACCAUUUAUGUUUCUUACUUCAGCUAGUUUUAAUGCUUAUAAAAUGCAAUACAUUUUUUUGUGAUUCUACCGUUUUUAGUGUAAUGAUCUCGUUAGCCUGUAAGCUUAUUAGUCUAUUUAGUUAUAUAUUAGUCUAUAAAUUUAUUGGUCAUUUUAACAAUAGACUCAUUAGCUUCUAUGUCUAUUGACUUAUUUAAAAACAGAUUAUUUAUUGACUUAUCUAAAGCAUUAAUGUAAAGUAAGCUUUUAAAUAAACUAGACUAAAUCAAACUUAUGUAAAGGUAAAAUUAAACAUAAAGAAAAAAGUUUAUAACAAGUUAAUAAAUGAAAAUAUUAAAAUGACACAAAAAAAUGAAAAUGAAAAUAUUAAAAAUAAACAUUCAACAUCUUUAAGAAUUUCAUUAUACACUUUAUUUCAAACAUUUUACUCCUAAUUUUAUCGGUAAUUUAAAAAUAAAUAUUAAAAAUAAUCAUUCAAUAUCCUUUUUUUAGAGUCAAUGUUUUUUUUUUCAAUAGUAACAUUCAAUAUUAAAAAUAUUAAAAAUAAUUAUGUAGGAAUGGACUUAUAUUAUUUCAAUAGUAACUUGCUCAGCAAUACAAUCAAGAAUACAAAGAUAGUGAUGGUAACCAAGCAUUCGAUAUCUUAAAAGCAUAAAACGUAUUUAACAUAUUUAAAUUUAAUUACUAAGAAAUUUAUUAAUAAAAUUUAAAAUUAUUUUUUUAAAAUAGAAAUUUAGUCACGCGCCCAAAUCCAAUCUCAAUUUAAUUACCAGCUUGCCUAAUAUGGGAUUCAACGGGGGGAAAUUCUUCAAAUUACUUUUUUGCGAGGUAUUUUUUUUCGUUUUUUAAUCAAAAUUGGGAACAAUUUUAUGAAUUAUUUAAUUCAAGCAAAAGGGCCUAGAAAGUAGCAAGAAAGAACAGAAGUGUGAAGACGCUCUUGGCAAUGAUUAUUUUCCGGCUUUGUGAGUUCACUUUCCUUCUUUCUUCACUUUUUUCCUUUAUCAACAUAGCCUUUAAAGAUAUUUUCUAUAAAUUUUAUCAAAAUUCCUUUAUAAAAAAUAGUUAAAUUAUUUCAAAGCCCUUAUAAUUUCAUUAAAUUUUUACAGUUUAAUAUUUUUAAUUUUAUUCUUAAUUUUGUUAAACUAUAAAUACUUAUCAUUUUAAUGAAGUUCUUGUAUUUAAAAAAUUUAAAUAGAUUCAUACUUGUUAAAAAUUCAAAAUUUUAGAAAAAUUAUUUCUAUAAUUUUGGUGAAUAACAAAUAGACAUGAUUAGAUAAAUAAGCUAUGAAAACUAACAUUUACAUUUUUUAUACAUUAAAAUUUAUGGAGAAGGGAUGAGUGUAGAACAUUUACAUAAGUAUUAAUAUCUACCUUAUCUCAAAGAAAUGAGUGUAGAUUUAAAUAGGUAACUUGUCAUAAGUAAAAGUUUAUCUUGCUCUACUUGACCAACUCCCUAGAAUUACUAGCAAGUUUACUUUUAGUAUACAAAAAUCACAUAAAACGAAUUAAAUGUUAUACUAACCUCAAAAAAAAAAAAAAAGUCCCCACUUCAUCUGAGAGGCACACAAUUUGUAUAGAAUUGUCUGAAAAUCAUAUAAUCGAUAUUCUAAAGACUUAAUCUUCCUAAGAUCAUCCAAAACCUCUCAAAUAUUGCUUAAGACAAAAGAAAAUUGAAAUCUAACAUCUAGAGAGCAAAGCACAAUCUAGAAAACUUUACUUGACACAAAAAAAUGUGACAAUAAAUAGUUUAAGUUGAAGACAAUAGGCAGCCAAAACAAUUGUUAUUUACCUGAAUGAAAAACCUCGUACCUCAGCAGCGGCAGGGACCUUCGUUGGAGUUUGGCGGUGGCUCACGGCAGCGACGGACUGGGAAGAGCUUUUUGAGGUUGUGCAUUCAUUAUUUUCUACACAAUCAACAGCCAUUUUCUUUGUUUCUUUUUACAAUGGUAGUAAUGAAGUUUAAGUUUAUGAUGCCAUGUAAAUUUUCCACACUUUUCAUAGUUACAACAGUGAUUUUACUUUUCAUUUGAAAUGAAAAAAUAACUUUUCAAUUCUAUCAAUUUAGAAAAAUAGUAUAAAACAAGUUUUUAUACGCUUCCAUUUCUAUAUCAUGAUAUAAUUUGUAGGACUUUAUAUGUGGUUCAAUUCGUAUAUCAACGUGGAGAUUUUUUGUCAAAGAAAGCUAAUUAAUGAUCUUUGUUCAUGAUUCACACUUCAGAAUUUAUUUAUUAAUGGUUUAUUUUUUUCAUGAAAUAGGGUUUAUUUAAUUUCAGAAAAUAUUUUUAUUAAUAAUUAGGAUAUCAUCACAUUAUUUUUAUUUCAUUUUCUACCUUUUGAAUGUUUUUAUUAUUUUUUUCAUUUCUUAUAUAAUUUUUUUAAAGUAUAAAAUCUUUCAAAUGUUUUUUAUUUUCUAAAGAAACCUUUGAAAAUAAAAAAUAAAAUUUUGUAAUCUCAUCUUUCACAUAAAUUUUCUCACCUAUCUUAUAGUUAUAAAUUUUAAUAUUCACAUUUAAAUCAGAGAAGUUCCAAUUUCUACUCUCUUUUUCAAUAAAGCAUCCACAUGAGUUUUUCUAUAUGGAGGAUUUAUAUAUAUUUUUAGAGCAGUUAAUAUUACUUAAAUCACUCAAUUUGAAUAUAAAUUUUACGUUUGUAUACAUCAUACCAUAUCAAUAAUGAGAAACGGCACUAUGCAGUAACAAUGACAAUGUAAAAUGUUAAAUUAUUUUAAAUAGUCAUUCAAUAAUAAAUUAUUAUCUAUAAUAAAUUUAUUAACUUUUACAAUAAUUAAUAACCUUAAAAGUCUUAAAAAAAUGAUUUGUAAUUAGAUUAUAAUGUAAAGUUAUUCUACAUUAUCACUGCAUAGUCAUUAAACUCAUUAAAAAUCUAAAAGUAAAUUACUGAGGUUUACUUUAUUUACACAUGUCUCUCCUCAUUUUAAAAUCAUUACAUUAGCACCCCUUAAUAUAAUGAUAUUAAACUAUUGUUUGAAAAUUAAAAGAUAUUUAAAUUAAAUUUUAAUUCAUUUUUAGAAAAAUUUGAAAUUAUCCUUGGUUUUUAAGUGACCCAAUAAAAAAAGAAACACUACUAGAAAAUGUUGAUUCUACGACGCAUAUUCUAAAACGGUUAUUAAUAAAUGUCUUAAAAUGUGACACGGUGGCAUUUUUGUAAUUAGGGACAAUGUUUUUUGUUUUUACAUCGUGCAUUCUAAGACAGUCGUACAUAACCAUCUUAGAAUGGUAGUCCAUGACAUUUUUGUAAUUAUGGGAAACUUAAACGAAGACGGGUUUGGCUGAAGGGACCAUUUUUGUUUAAGUAACCCUAAUUAACUCUGCAAGUGGCUCGUUGUCGUGGUCAGUACUUGAACAUACUACGUUCAGAUCGAGCUGGUGCACUUGUUGUAGUUCGUGUCCUCGAACAAGUCCACUUAGGCGUGUUGUUCCUGUGAGUCCCGUUGUCUUCUUCGGUCGUCGUCAGCCAAGUAAGCACUUACUCGAGCAAUGUCUUCCUCGAUGCCAUUUUUAUUUCAUGUCUGUGACAUUGUGUUUGUUUGUUUUCGAUUUGCGGGAUAAAAAGGGAAAAGGAUCGAUUCAUUGUUUAAUGAUGUGUUAUUCUCACUUCUAACCCUAGGUUGUUGUAGCGUAUUAAUACCUUCACCAUCCCCUAUUAUCCACCCUAUUCUCUCAUAAUGAACUCUGUAUAUAUUAUUUAUGACGAACCAGUAUGAAUUAUUAUUUCCCUUUUGUUUUUCUUUUUUUUUCAAUAUUAAGCUUUAUUAUGUCUUGGCUAUGUAAACUUGUUUGAGACAAUUGAGUUUUGUUGGAGUCUUUUAUAAAUUUUAUUUUAUCUGGUUUUCUGGUGAAAGAAGUCCACCAAUUAUUCAUUUUGGGAUUUCUUGGAAUUAUUUUGACUUUUCAAAUUAAUAAAUACAAUCACAUGGCAAUAGAGGAAGAGAAUGAUAAUUGCUUUUGCUUCACUAGAUAUGACUGAAUCACACUAGGGUUUAACACAUGUUUAUGUGUGUGUAUAUUGGUCUCGUGCUACUGCUCUUGGUCUUCUUCUCCAUGUAGCCAAAGGGGAGUUAUGCUUUCCAUGUUCGUUGUCAUCGUCAUGCCUUUAGUGUCCGUUGUUGUCAUGCCCUACAUGUUCGUUGUAGUCACACCAUGUUUUCUCCUCCACUUUUUUGUUCGUCUCAUAUGGUGCUAGGUGCCACGCAUUUCUCCUCCACUUCUUAUUCUCCAUCGUGUUUAUGUUCGCAUCUCAUAGAGGCACGUGUAUCCCUUGAUGCUUUUAAAAUAUAACACAUGUACCCCUUAAGGUUGUAAAAAUGUUACACAUGGGGUCUUUAAAAAAUAAUACAAGUGUCCCUUUGUUUUACAAAAAUUUCACCUAAUACCCAUCUUCCAUCUCACUCAUUGAAUGUAAAAGAAAUACAACAGAACAAUUGAACAUCAUUAAAAACGAAAAAAAAAAAAGAAAGAAAAACAACACCAUGAAUAUUAACCCACGAGAACAAACUAGCACUAGUUUCAUUGCAUUCAACAACAUUGUCUUGUAAAGAUUCAACAAUGGUUUGCCAAAAAUAAGAGUUUUAAAUGAAGAAAGGAGAUGAGAAUAAUUUCGAGAUUAAAAUUUUAAUAAAAGUUGUGUGCCUGUCAUAUGAUCUAAAAAAUAAACAUAAUUAACAAAAGUUAGGGAGUUUGUAUAAUGUAAAAAAAGGAGAGAGAUGUGUAAAUAGUGCAUAGAUAAGGAAAGAUUACUAUAAUUUACUCUAAAUAUAAAAAAUAUAUUAUGUUUUUAAUUUUGAAUAUCAAUCAAGGAUAAUUUCUAUCCAAUAAAAUAUCAAUCAACAAUGUAUCAUUUAUAUAAACUUUUUUUAUAUUAUGUUAUUCAUAAUUUCUUUUAAAGUUAUUAGUAUAUAUAUACAUAUAUAAUUUAAAUUCUACAUAAAUUUAAAAUAUUAAUAUCUAAAAAUAUAUUAAUUAUUGAUUUUUUUUUUUGAAAAUGUGCUGUCAUCAUUUUGAGGGGAAAGGAGAAACUGAAAAUUAUUGAAAAUGUCCUUUUUCCACAUUUUUUUUCAUGAUCCAAUUCCACAAUUCGCCGGAUAGUUAAAUAGUAUGGAUUCCAAAUUCAACAGGUCGAUAAAUACCCAGCCCGUGAUAAUUUUUUUAGUAUUUUGAUAAAAAAAAUUAUUUCCAUAGGAGACUUUAAAAGAGUGUAUAAGAAAAUAUUUAAAUUUAUAAAAAUAUUUAUGGCUUUUAUAUGUAAUUUUUUUAAUUUAUUUUAAUAAACUUCUUGAUAAAAUUUAUUAAAAUAACGUUUUUAAAAUUAGUCUAAUAAAAUAAAUUACCAAACUUAUAACAUAAAAUUUCAUGUAAAAAAAUUAUUGAAUACGUAUUUAGUUAAAUAAUUUUCUGAAACUCGCCCUAAAUUAUGUACACACUUAUGCAACUUUGUGACGGUUGCGUACAUGAAACCAGUUGUUUCAAUUAGAGAUUUCAUUUAUAAGAGAGGGACCUUACACAGUUGUUUCCUUUUCAAACCAUUAAAAAUAAACAAUUUUAUCUCUCGAAUUGCGAUGAUAGAAUUUCCUAAUUUGUUUAAUAAGUAGCCAGAGAAGUGAGAAGCACAUUCUGUUCUUUCUGUUCAUGAAUAGUUAUUUGAAAUAGAAUGUGCCGCACAGCAUUCAAAUGUUGGUCAAGUUCAGAAAAAUCCCCCCAAAAUAGAAAAUUAUAUUAAAAAAAGAGCUUCAUAAAUUAAAAAAGGGUCAUUUUUUUAUAUUUUGACAGCUCUAUUUGUUCUAUUGUUUUCUAAGCAAAUUAAAACAGAUAAGAGUAUUUUCAAAACUAAAAGUAGUGUUUAGAAAAUGUCUUUAAUUGUAGAGAUACAUAGUGUUAAUAUUUCAACCACCUACACGUCAAGGAAAUCAUUCAGGCAUCGGGCUAUUCAUAAUUGUAAAAAAAUAAUUGAAAAGUUAAUUGAAAGUUAAACACUAAUUUUGAAUAGUUUUUAAUUGAUUCGUUGUACAAAUUGUUUUUCAUUGACUCAUUUUCAAGUUGAUUGGCCUAGCUAGAUAUUUAUAUUACUACUACCCCUCUUAUUCACUCUUCUUUUUUCACCUUAACAUCUUUAAACGUGGAAUUACUUUUUUUCAAACCCGAAAUGAUACAGAUAGUCCUAUAAGUAACAUCAUCGUAUUCACUUUAUAGAUUAAUUAUAAUGAAGGCUCGCAACUAGUUGCUAUCAUAUAUCUUUUCUCUGAAUAUUGAUCUUACGUUGUUCUAUCUUUCUUUUCCAAUAUCACAAGAAUCUUUCUGAAAGGAAAAAUAUUGUUAGUCUUCACCACUUUCUCCAUUUUUAUCAUCUUCCUCGUUUUGGAGCAUAGUAAGUAGAUUUAAAAACAACAAAUUUCUCUUUUUUGGAACUUCUUAUCAUCCCCAUUUUUUCUAGCUCGUUUUAGUUUUCCUGUGUGUGAGAAGGAGUUAAUUCAUACUUCCAAAAGAUUUUUAUUUUUAUGUUUUUAGGCUUUUUGGAUUACAGUAUGUUUGGAUUCCCAAAUUGCGAUUAAACUUGUGAGAUUAAUAUUUGUAACUUAUCGGGAAAAAGUAAAUAUAUUUCUAAUAAUUUCUAGCAAAAGGACUUCAAGGCAUUUUUUGCUGAUGCAACUGAAUCUUUAUGACCUAUUACAUGCCCAUCUUGAAUGCCGACGUACAUAUUUAUAUUUAUUUAUUUAUUGGUAAUAUUUAAUUAUAUUUAUUUCUGGCAGAAUUAUUUAUAUUUACUAAAAAAUAAUUAUUAUUUCUUCGGUUCCUAUUUAUAACACACAUUCAAUAUUUUUUUUAUCCCUUAUUAUAAAACUUUAUUUCAUUUCUCUUGUGUAUUAAUUAUUUUUUAUUAAAAUACUUUGAAUUAUCUUUUUUCUCUCAUAGGGAGAUUGGAGAAGAUAAGUAAGUUGUCAAUAAAGUUAACAAUAAAAUUAAAAAAUAUUAUUCUCUCAAUUCCUAAAUAUAAUUUUUUUUAAAAUAAUUCACAUUUUUAAGAAAAUUGAUCAAUAUUAACCAAUAACAUUAAAUUUAUUAACAAUUUAUAUUAUUUUGUCAAAAUUGUCCUGAAAUUUAUUGAGGCUGCUUUCACACCUAAUUAAUUCAUGUGUAACGUCUUCACAUCUAAUUCUUAUAAGAGAGAUGAUAAUAUAUUUAUCUUUUAAAUAUAUAGCAUUAAUUGUAAAAUAAUAAAAAAUAUGUAUCAGAAAAUAAUUAAUGUAAAAAACAACUUUAAAAAAAUCUUAUAAAAAGAGAUAACUAAAACUACAAAAAGAACCAUAUAAUUAUUGUUGAAGGGGAUAUUGUUUUAGAUUCAUGACUUGAACCACUUAAAAGGCUAACCCAGUUCAAAGCAUUGUAUCGCCUCAAAGUUAGAAGUGUUGACCAAGGUCAAACACCUGAAUGUAGGUUUUCAAACUGGGACAAAUCUGUUAUAAGAGGAUUGAGGAUAGUUGUCCCCACUAAGUUUUUAAUUUUUCUCAAUAUAAGAUAUGUGUUAGUUAUAAAUUACCCCCAUAACCUAAAAUAUAGUUAUUUUUUAUAAGAAGGGAGACACUCAGAGGGACAUAUGUAGGUUAAGCUCUAUGAAUUGCCCCAUAAGAUCAUUUUUUUCACUUUUACGAAUUUGAUAAAAAGAAAAAUUCCCUUCAUAAAAAAACAAGUGUUAAAUCUAAAAAUUAAAAGGAUAAAAUAUUAAAAUUAGCUAGUAUCAAUUAAAUUCUCUCUUUUUAUUCCUUGUAUUUUUUUAAAAAAAUAUCUAUUAUUUAUAAGAAUAAUUUUUCUUAUUACAUAUAUAAGUAAAAAAAAUAGUGGGUACAAUUAUCCCCACAACCUAAUAGGUAGAUUCGUCCCUACAUAUAAACUACAACUAUCUGGAUAAGUAAAACCACAAUGAGCUCUUUUUACAUUAGUUUUCAAUCCACCAUUAAACACUUUCACAAAAACCCUCAAUUUGAUCGGAGCAAGUUAUAUUGGGUACGCGAAAUAAAUUCAAAAUUUGAUUUUGAGGAAAAGUUCCCAUUUGGGGUAAUACCUCUAUAAGCUGGUCCUAUGAAAGUGGAUCACAUAAGGAAGGGUUACCGACAACUUCCUUGAGAGCAUUGUGAGAGAAAAAGAGUAAGAGCCUUUAUAUCCCAUCUACCAUUAGGGUAAUUAAUAAACGAGACAACAUUUGCAUUAAGCAUAUGAUUAGGAAUCUUUCUUUUGGUGUCAUUAUCCAUAAAUCUAUUAGAAGUAGGAAUGAAAAUGAGUCAAACAGUUUGUCAAGGAUUUUUGACUCGACCUAUUUAAGAUUCGGCUCGACUUAACUUAUUUAUUAUAAAAAAAAUCUUUUUAAAAAAAUUAGAUAAAAAGAUCAAACCCAAACUAUAAAAUUUUUUUGUUAAGCUUGACAAAUCGGAAUAUUUAAGUAAUAAUAAUAAUAAUAAUAACUAUUUUUAUUAUUAAAUAAAAAAACUUCUAAAACUCUUCAGAUUCUUAUAGCUAGAAGUCUGCACUUUAAUUUAUUGAUUUAAGGGUGUAUAUCUUAAAUUAUAUUUUGUUUGCUAGUUUUAUAGCAACUCAUAAAUUAACGAUGAUUAUCUAUACUAUUUUUAUGACAUUAUGAAUAGCAUGAUGAAGUGACAUAAAGUGAUUAAGAGUUCACUUGCAUGUGAAAAAUUUUCAAAAAGAAAAAGACUCAAACUAAAAGGAUAAUAUAACAAGAUUAAUACUUUCAAGGAAAAGAAUAAUUUAUAAAGAUAUUUUGAGACAAUUUAAAUAUUUUUGUUUGGCUAUAUUAGUAUAAAUCAUCUCUAAUCUAUAAAUUUUUUAAUAUUAUUCUCUUUUUUUUUCAUUUUUUUAUAAUUUUAUAUUUUAAUGACUUGAAUUCAAUAUGAUUUUGUUUAUCAAUUAUUUUUGGAUUUGUAUAUUACUUAUACGAAAUUUUAUAACUUUCUUUUUUUUUAGUUAGUAUUUCACUAGGUUUUCAAAUAAUUAAUUAAUCAAAGACGUCCUUAACCAAACUUUUAAAUGGGCUCGUAGACCAAGCCAAACUUUUAUGUAAGCCGAGCCGAGCCUUUGAAAAAAAAAAGCUUAUGACAGGUAAUGAGUCAAGUUCAAGUCUUACGUAUUCAACUCAAACCGAGUUAAGUCUAAUAAAACUUGAUUUGACUCGAAAAAAAGAAAUAGAUUGGUCGUUCCAUACAAUCCAGUGAAUUCCAUUUUGAACAUCUUCCCAUACCUUUAGAAUACUCCUCCAAAUUGGUGACAUAAAAUAUGUACUAUGUACCUCUAGAAUACAAUCCUAACCACAUUGAUAUGUUCCCCUUAGAACCUUGACCCAUAAAGCACUGGGCAACUAAUAAGGCCCUAACCUAAUUUCAUAAUUAAGGUCCUAUUAGCAUCAAACAACUUUCUAAAUCCUAUACCUCUUUUCAAUUAUGGUAAAUAGAACUUAUUGCAAGAAAUUGUAUGUCAUGACCUAUCACCAUUCCUAUUUAAAAUAAAAAGAAUAAAAAGAUGUUAAAGUGAAAAGAGAUGAAAUAUUUGAAUUAAAAUAGAGUAUAGAGGUGUGAGACGCACACCAAUUUUGAAACUCUCUAUUCAAAUACACCUAACUGAAAUUAAACCAAGCACUACCUUAAGGAGCACAUUUUUACUCAUUCCAAUAAAAAUCUUUCUUUUUAGCAUUUAUCAUAAACUUAAUUUUUUGGUACGUCUAGAUAGGUAAUAUCGUUCAUGGAAGGAUUUGGGCCUUGCAUGAGACAAUUAACUUAUUAACUCUGUUAAAUAUAUAAAUAAUAAAUUAAAUAUAAAUUAAGUUUUUUCAUAAUUAAUGAAUUCUAAUUAAAUUAUAAUUUAUAAUUAAUUUUAGUAAAAAAAGCCUUUAUAAUUAGCAUAUUAAGUGUACUAAUCAAAAUUAUUAGUUAAUAAUUUAACAGAUAAAUUAAAAUUAUCAAUUUGUAAAACUAAAGAGAUUAGAAGUUACAAUUAAAAAUCAGAAAAGUCAAAAUCGUAAAUUUAAAAAACUAAAAUGAAAAUUAUAAUUUAACUAAAGCUUAAAAAAAUACCUAUAAGUGUCAUAAAAAAGUUAUGGGCUAAUUCGGCUUGGAUAAUGGAAGAAUCUAGACUUGAAGUUAGAGACUCUUUUGUCUUGACAACCUGACAUAAGUGUUCUUUUUUUAGCAUAUCUUGAAUUGUAGAGGUUGAAACAACAUGAAUAUAGUGGUCAAAUUUUAAGGACGUACACAUUUUUUUUCUUACAAAUUUGAUAAAAAAAAAAAAAGGAAACUAAUUCCACCAUUUGUAUAGGGUCGAUUAAAUCAUGAAAGGAAACACACUUAUUUCCUUCUUUUUCUUAAUUUUAUUUCCUUCUUUUUCUUUUGAUGUCUUCGUGUGGAACCUCCAUUGAUUGGAUUCUUUCCCUAUUAAUCUAUUUUCAUUCUUAAACCUUGAUUGUCAAUUUUCUUUGAGGAGGUGCGCAUCAUAAUCUAAAUAAGAGUUUGCAUUCUUGAACGCAUGAUUUAGCAUAUUCCAUUUAGGAUCGAUGGGAUCUUCGAUGCUUGAUCAUUGGUUUUGAUAUAUAAUCAAUUUUAGAAAUUAGUUUUGUGACUUUAAGAGCACAUGAUUAUUCACACCAGAUUAUUUAAAUUUUGGAUUCUUAAGGGAGUAUUUGGUUUGGUUGUUUUGUGUUUUUAUUUUCACAAAAAACAGAAAAUCGUGAUGAAAAUGUGUUUGGUUGAAUUUUUGAAACAUUUGAAAAUGAAAAAGGAAACAACCAGACAAUGAAAACAAUAGAAUCUCAUUUUCAAACAGAAACUUCAUUUUGGGUAAAAUAAAAAUGCAGUGACAAAGAAUGUAAUCUUAAUCAAAUCUAAAAAUACAAAAAAGAUAAGAAUUUAAUAUAUAAUAAAUUUUUAAUAUUUUUAUUUCUUGAAAACAGAAAACAAGAAGUCAAACUAAACAUAUUUUUAGAAUUUAAAUUUUUUAAAAAUGAAAAUAAUUUUCAAAAAAUGAAAACAGAAAAUGAAAAUGUAAAUCAAAUACACUCUAAUAUAAUAGGUAUUUUAUUGAAGUUGAUUGAUGCUUAAUUGGUUAAUUUUAAAGUCAAACAGCAAUUGAAUAGAAUAAGGAUUAGAUAUUUAGUAACUGAUGAUAGGUUCGAUUAAUUUCUCUCCUAAAUUGCAAUAUUUUUUCUUUCUUAAACCCCUUCUCUUCUUUCGUUUUGUUGAACAUUCACAAUUGGUCAAUAACAAUAACAAAAAUCCCUUAAAAACGACUAAGCUUGUUUAUCUUGUAUUGCCUGCAGUUUGACUUAUAAUUUUUUUAUCACACUAAUUAUUUAUUAUAUGUACUACUUUCUCUUUUUACUUUUUUUUCUUCUUCUUAUCUCCCUCAUUUAUAUCUCAAUUCACCCCAAGAUAAAUCAAAACGUUUAUCAUAACUCUUAUCUCCUAUACACAUACAAAAAUAACAAUAGAAAAUACCAAUAAUGCACAAUUUGAAACUUGAAAACAGAGUCAACGAGUGGGCUCCACGCGGCGUGCACGCGUGCAAAGACACUUGGGUCCCAAUUCGGAUCCCUUUGUAGCUGUAGGCUGCUUUGUUUUCAUGAGAGUCAGAGCCUGAAAGUGACACAUUUUCAAUAUUCUGCCGUCCUAAUCAUUUGUCCAACCCUACCUACCUUCACACUCUCUUCUUAUGCCACAUACACCUUAACCUCACACAACUCUAAAUUCAUACAGUGGAACCAUAUAGUGCAACCUAGCAUGAAGGACAUAGUUACCACAUACUCACAUAUCCAUCACCAUAGCCGCUUGAAAAAAUGAGAAAAAAAAAAUCCCCAAUUAUGAUUUGGCAUAAAAAAAUGAUUGAUUCACGUAAUUAAUAUAAUAUUUAAGUUUUUUAAAAUAAGGUUUUAAAUUUAAAGUUGUGUAUAAAAAAACGUGAUUAAUUAAAGAUAUUUUAUUAAGUUAUCAUCAUCAGUCAAGUUCUUUUAGUAAAAAUAAAUUAUCAGCAAAGUUGGUAUGCACCAAUGUCAUAAUAAAUAGUACUGGUUAAUUAAUUUACAUAAUUAUUCAAUGAGGGAACAUGGUUGACAAGUGGAGAGGGUCAAACAAAGACAUUACACAUGUGUACCUAUCUAUCUUUUUAAGAUAUACUGUAGUAUGCUAGUGUUACAAUUUGACAAAUUGGGUGUACAACGGCUACAUUAAUAAUGUACAGAUAUUUUUUUACCCAAUUGAUUGAUUUUGUAAUAACUUGGAUUGAUGAGAGAAUUGAGUGCCUAACCGGAUCCACUUUGAUAAUAUCUGUGCAAGUCGUCCCUUGUUGGGAGCCAACACAUUGCUUAUGCUGUAACGUGGAAGUCACCAUGAUGCUAAAUAGGGUUUACCUAUGAUUAACAGAAUGAUAAUGGCUCCACUUAAUGACCCAGAUAAUGCCAAAAGAAGACAAGAAAACAAUCUCGGACGAAUCGACUAAUUAAGCACCAAGAUCAAUUCCCUAACUUCUGCAUGCAUGCUGCUAGGCCAUUUGGAUGUGUUGUUUGUGAUGGCUUGCCAAUUAGCAAUCAUUAACAAGUUAAAAUUGCAACAUCUUUUCUUUUUCUUUGAAGAACAAGCUGUAUAUUUUCUUAAGCUCAUUAAUUAAUAACCUAACCCCAUAUUAGAGAUGAUAUACAUUAACAUAAAGUAUUUACGAAAGCGAUAGUUUUAGUGGAUUAUUGUUAGGCUUGACUACAAGUAUCUUUUACUUAGAUAUAAUCUUAUUUGAGUUGGAUAGAAUUAUUAUAGACAAACGGUAUUAUUAUAGAUAUUAACAUAAAUUAAGUAUUGUUUGAAGUGAUAGUUUUAGUGGAUUUUUUUUAAGUCUAGAUUACAAAUAUUUUUUAUUGAAUAUAAUCAUAUUUGAGUCGGAUAAAAUUAUUAUAAAUAAUAAAAAUUUUUCUUAUUCAAAUAUUUAAUACUAUUGUAUACUCAUCACUCAAACUCAAAAUCUUUAAUUAAAUUAGAGUAAUCUUAUACCAAUUAUUAAUAAUUAGGUUAUACUUUGUUAUGUUUGAGCUUAAACUUGAUUAAAAUACCUGACUUAUAUAAAAAUCUCUUGUGGCCUAAAAGUUUUAGUGGAAUUUUAACCUUAACGAUAUACAUCUGAUCAAUUAUAUAUUAAAAAAAACAAUUGAAAAACUUAAACUAACAAUUUGUACUUUUUUACAUAACAAUUUGUACCUAAUUCCUGCGUGUUUGGUAAGGGAUUAAUUAGGUUUUUUUUUCCCCUUGAAUACACUCUUUUUCUUGUUUUUUUCUUUCAAUAUACAUUACUUCGUAAUUUAAUUUCCAAUUUACACCACUUUAGACUUUAUGCUUUGAUUCACACCACUUUACAUAUUAAUGUGGCCAAAGAGAUCUGACAACUGCAAACUCAAAUAAUUUGAAUACACUCUUUCUCCUUUUCGUUUUUUCUUAAUUUAAAAUAUUAUAAAAUUAUAUUAUAUAAUUUUUUUAAUUGGUUUUAAAAUUAAUUUUAUUAAAUUAAAUUUUAUAAUUUUGUUUUUUAUUUUUUUAAAUAAAAAUAUACAGAUAAAGAAAAAUAAAAAAUGGAUAAAAUUAUAGUACAAUUUUUUAGCUAUGUUGUAUGUAAUUUUAUAGUUAAAUUUAUGUGUUGUUGAUAUUUUGUUUGUUAUGUUCGUUAAUUAAAAAAUAAGAAAAUUAGUUAGUAGUAUUAAAACAAAUUAAAAAACACAAUGAAAAAAUUAUUGAUGCAUCUGUCUUAUACAAUAGACAUGAAAUUUCAAAGUGUGUAGUAACUCAGAUGAUAGUAAAAAAUAAUGAAACAUAUUAAAAAAUACAAUUACAACACAAAUAUGACAAAACUAAUGAUGAUUUAAAAUAUGUUAUGCAGGAUACAUGUCUCUUCUUCUUCUAUUUCGAUUGCCGACAACAUGAUCAUAAUAGAAACAAUUGUCUUAUCAUAUCUCCAUUUUAAGUUUUUCCUUAGUCAAGUGUAAUUGUUUAAGUAUUUUAUUAAUAAUGCAAUAUAAUAUUCUUCUAUAAAUAAAUUGUUAAACAAAAAGUUUUAUAAUUUUUAAUUAAAUCUAAUGACAUAAACAAACUAAUUAUAUUUAGUAAUAUAAUUUUAUUAAAAAUAAUUAUAUUAGAAAAUUCAUAUUUUAAAUAAAAAAUAUUCACCUAAAAAUAUUUUAAGUGAAUUAAAUAAUAAAACAAAAAUAAUUAUAUUUAAUAAUAUCAUUUUCUUUUAAAAAAUAAAAAAACAAAUUUAUAAAAUUUAAUUUAACAAAUAAUUAAUUUUAAAAGAAAUUAAAAAAUUAUAUAAUAUAAUAUUUAUAUUUUAUAAUAUUUUAAAUUUAAAAAAAAAUAAAAAAGAGAAAAUGUAUUCACGUUCAUUUGAGUUUACAUCAGAUCUCUUUGGCCACAUCAUUUGCAAAGUGAUGUGAAUCAAAGCAUAAAGUCUAAAGUAGUGUAGAUUAAAAAUUAAAUUGUAAAGUGGUGUAUAUUGAGAAAUAAACAGGAGAGAGAGUGUAUUCACGGAAAAAAGAAUGAUUAAUUAUUUUAAGAAGUAAUAAUCAUUUAUUACCUUUUUCUCUUUAUGUAAAAGCUUUUGGGAUUUUUUUUCCCUUUUUACAAGACUUCUUUCAAUUAUCUUUUUGUUUAUAUUUUUUAGUUUUUAUUACAAUAAUCUUAAUUAUUUUAUAAAUUUUCAGUCAAUAAACAAUAAAUAUUGUAAAUUACUCCAUCUGUUCCUAAUUGAUUGAUGUUUUAACAUUAAAAAAAUUCAUAAUAAUUGAUGUGUUUAGUUUUUAAUAAAGUAUUAAAUAAUUUAUUUUAAUUUUGUCCUCUAAUAAUUAUUGUUGUCUUGAAAUAGUUAAUAUAGAUUUAUUGAAAUUAAGAAAGAAAAAAGAGAUAUAUUAUAAUAAAAUAAUAAAUACUAUUGUCUUUUACUUGCUUUUUUAUUAAUAUGUGUGAAAAAACCUUAGAAAUAAUCAAAAUAAAAUGGAGAGAAUAAUUAGGAGGUGAAAAUAAGCUAGGUUAGGCUUUGUUAUGUCUCAACCAAAUUUGAUUAAAAAUAUAUUAUUCAAGUCUGGUGUGUUUAUCUGCCAAAGACCUAUUUUAAAGGUUUAACAUAGCUUAUAUAAAAGUAUGUUGUGAUCUAUGAGCUUGUUUAAGGUUUACUUUGUGAUGAUUUAAUACCAAAAUAAAAGUUAAAACAUGUAUUUAGACUUUAUAAGAAUUAAAUUUAACAUAUUUUUAAGUCUAAUGAAACAUUCAUGAUAACUAAUUUAAAAAUAUAUUUUACAAUAAAAUUUAUAAAUAAGACAUAGAGUUAUGUUUCAAUAAACUUAUAAGCUUUUAACUUUACUCUUUAUAUACAUCAAUAUGGUUUUUGCAAAACAAAAUAUUGUUGGUGAUAUAUAUGAUUAUUCUAUGGUUAAUUAUGAAAAAGAAUUAAGAAAUAUGAGGUCAAAAUGCAGUAUGCUUGAGGUGUGCAAAGUGACAAACCGAUAGAAAAGAAAUGAGGGUAAGACAUGUGUGAAGGAAGACAUAAAUUAGUGAGUGAUGACCUCCACCACAUGAGUGUGAUCGUAAAAAAGAGAGGACGGAAGGAAGGGGACAAAACCACACGAGUGAGUGAAGAAUAAGAAAGAAAGAAAGAAAGAAAGAAAGAAAGAAAGAAAGAAAGAAUACAAAAAAAAAUGUCAAGUAUAAACCGAACGAUUUUUUAUUCUCUCUCUCUUUCUCUCUCUUAAGUGAAAGAAGAAACAAAUUAAAACAAGGAAAAUAUGAGAGUGGGAAGAAGAUUAAGACAGCAUAUGUUAGCUUUCAUUGGUUGAGGUCCAAUGGUCCAUUUUUUUUAUGUUAAUCCGGCAACGUGUUUGACUUGUUGCCAUGUCAUGUUCAGUAUUUUUUUCCCUUUGAAUUUGGCAAAGUCAGCCACAAAUUAACAAAGGGUAAGAUAAUGAAACUAAAGUUGGAACACACGCAUAGUUCCUUGCACGCCAAAGACCCGUAAUAAUUUGGUUUACUUCUCUAAUUAAACAUCAUCAUCAAACUGUCUCUGUUAACUAGAUUAACAGAUUCAUUAAGGAAAUCACUAAUUUGGACACAUAUGCUUUAAUUAAUCAUUUUUUAAGUGUUGACUAAUUUGGGUUUAGUUUCUUUCAAUGUUGUGUGCCAGAUAUUUUCACGGAAUUGGUAGCAAUUAAUUGUUGCUUGAUGUGAUAGAAUCUUUGUAGUGCUGUAUCAAUGAGUCAUCUCAUUGUUAGCUAAAGAGCUUUGUCAUAAGUCAACAAAAAAUAUUGUAACGAAUUUGCACAAUUCAACUGAUAUAAUUUCAGAGCUUGAAUAACGUUGAGGUGAAGCUUCGCGAACAAAUUGGGUGGCCCAGAAUCAUAGCCUUUGACUUCAAUUAACUAUAAUUUUGCAAAAUCAAAGCCAUUCUCUCAAAUUUUUGAAACCUGAGUAAAUUUCUUUCGAAAUUUCUUCAUCGUAGAGAAGUUAUCUUGUCAUUUGAUACGAAAAAAAAUUCCAGUUGAUGUUAUUUAUUUAAAAUCAUUAAUGAAAGAGUGUAUAUAAGUCGAAGAUACACAAUUAGAUACAGUAACUAAUAUGUAAAGGGUGUAUUCUGUAAAUAAUAAUAAUAAUAAUAAUAAUAAUAAUAAUAAUAAAUAUUUAUUCUGGUUCCUGAAAGUAUAAAAUAGUGAUAAAUUUGUGUCUAAAAGAUAAAAAAAAUUCAAAAUUAGUUACUAAAUGUGCAAAAAAGGUGACCAAUUGAUCAUGCGUUAAAUUUAUGAGACCAUUUUAUUAAUAAGUUGUUAUGUUGAAGGAUCAAUUUAACAACAAAUUAUAUUUAUCGAGGAUUAAUUUGACAUUAAAUUGUAAAGUUCAAGGAUCAAUUUGUUAUUAAAUUGUUUGCAAGACCAAUCUGUAGCACAUUCAAAGAUUAAAUUUGAUUUUUUUUAUCUUUUAAAUACCAAUCUGUCACGACCUCACUUUUUCAUACUAGGAAUUAAAUAUGAUAUCAUGGGAUUUAUAACACUCACACCCUGCUCAAUCAACUAACCUAGACUCCAUUAGUCACUGCCUCACACUUUCAGAAACCAAGAUGGGUAUUUACCCAAAAAAUGUAAAGGGUGUAAAAGUAAGGAUGACCAAAAAUAUCUAUACUCAUGUAUGUCCAUGAGUAAUGUUGUGUUUGUUAUUAAUGAAAGUGGGACGGGUGAAAGUUGAUGGUGGUAGAAGGAUUAAAAGUGAAAAACAAUAUGUUUGUUACAAGGGGAAGUGGAUUGAAAGUGAUAAAUUGUCAAUUCCACACGGUUAGACUUUCAUCUCAAAUUGAGAUGAAAUAAGAUGAAAAGUGGUUCAAAAGAAUCAUUUUUUUCGGUCAAAAUUUCCCUUUUUAUUUUAUUCAUGCGUGGGACUUGUCCUUUACCUAAACCUGUGACCAAGCCUUACUCUUUAUUCUCUCUUUUGCUGCAUGUGGGAAUCAAUUAUAUGGCCAAAAUUGAUUAUGUCUUCACUUUUUUUUUCAAAAUUGAUUUUGAUUGCUCUUUAAUUUAGGCAUACAAUGUAUUGGAUGAAUUUAUUUAAACAAAAAAAUAACUAUAAAAUAAACGCUUAUAUAACCAUUGUCUAAGCGAGUGGAGUCAAAUACAAGUGAAUCCAAAAUAGCUUAAAGUUGGGUUAGAUCUAGUAGCAAACUAAGAGUGAGAUUUAGGUAAUAGUUAGAAAAGUUUUCAUGCCAACACUAUAUCAUAUAUAAGAUUAUGGUCUCUCAUGAUUGUUAAAAAAAAGAGAUGGAGGGUAGGUAUUCUUAGGAAACAACUAAUGUCAAAAUGCCUUUAUAAAUACAGGAAUGUGUGAUGUAACCAAAGUUGCCACCUAAAUCAAUCAAUUUAUUAUUUUUUUAGCAAUUUACUACUUUAUUUACAACAUUUUUUCAACUUUUAUUUAUUUCUUUAAUUCAUUUUAAACUUUGUCACAAUUUCACAAGAGUAGCUUACCAUAGACAAAUUUAAGGCCACGACAACCAUAAAGCUCUUUUGAAUGAACUAGGAACUCAUUCAAAGAAUAUAAUCCCCUUCUUACGUCAACCACUUAAGGCAAAUCAAUUGGUUGGAAAGGAUGAAAAAUGUUGUACUUGGAUGAGCUCAUGCUCACCUCUUUAUAGCCUCAUUUAUCUCUUUAACAUGUUUUUUAAUUCCUCAUUUCUAUUCCUUUUGCCUUCAAUUUUUUCUUUUUGCUGUAGAGGUGACAACUGUUGUGUGUUAAGUCUUUGUACAUAAUUCAGAAAGAGAGAGGGAAUAUCUUAAUUCUCAUUACCAUUCUUAAUGGAUUUACAAGAUAUUUAAGCAUGAGCACAUGCUAUGGCUAAUAGAAUUCUAACAACAAACUUCUAAAAUCUAGUUGAGUUACUUAUUCUAACAACCCAAGGUUCUAUUUAUAAAUAACAUAGUCAUUCCAUUUCUUAGGCAUUGAAAUAACCCUCUUAGGUCUAUCUUCCUCAGGAUCCACAAUCUAAUCAAUAGGCUCAAUAAUGUUUGGCACAUUCCUAUCAAUAUUCCCCCUUUCAAAAUCAACCUUGUCCUUAAGGUUGUAAGCUUUGCACAAUUCAUCCCAUUUUUCCCAAGUAGUACCCUCGAGAGAAAAUUCCAUCCACUACACAAAAACAAAGUGAGUAGGAGUGCCAUCAACAUCGGUCACCUUGGAAUCCAAAAUUGCCAAAGGUGAAACAAUGGGGUCAUUACCCAAAGUAAGUGGCGGUGAAGAGUCUAAUUUAGCAUAAAGAGUCCCCUUAUGUAGCUUUAGCAAGAAAACAUGGAAGACAUAUCAAUUUUGCUUGUAAGAGGAGGAUCUAAUCUAUUAGCCACAACUCUAAUACGCUCCAAGCACAAAAUAAGCCGUAAUAACAUUUUGAAAGCUUUGUGUAUUUGGAGUCAGAUACCGUAGUUUGACGAUGAGGGCAAAGCUUGACAUACACCCACAAAUCAACUGAAAUAAUGCAAACACAAUGGUGUUUAUUAGAAGAAUCAUUCAUAGUAACCUGAGCUUUCCUAAGAUUAUUGUAAAGUAUGACAAAGAUCUCAUCGUGAGUUAGAAGAACAAAAUCACAAACUUCAAUAGAGGAUGAACCGACAACAUAAACUGAAAUAAAGGAAGGAGGCUUCCAAAAAAUAAUGUGAAAAUGAGAGAAUCCAGAAGAGGAAUGCACAAUUGCAUUGUAGUUAAAUUCAGUCCAAGGCAAGUAACACACCCACAUGGAGGGCUUCUGGUGAACAAAAGCUCUAAGGUAUUGUUCAAUAAUACGGUUAAUCACCUCAAUUUGGCCAUUGGAUUAGAGAUGAUAGGACAAGCUCAUCCUGAGAAAGGUGCCAGUGAACCGAAAAAGGUCUUACAAGAAGUGAUUGAUGAAAACUGGAUCACUAUCAGAAACCAAACUUUUGGGAAAACCAUGUUGUUUGUAGGCCAUAGAGACAAAUAGCUCAAUGACACAAGUGGCAGUAAAGUUGGUGAGGAAAGCUCCCAUUUGAACCCAAUCUGCAAAAUGGUCUACUAGAAUAAGGAUGAUCAUGAGCCCUUGAGAAGUUGGUAGUCUAGUGACAAAAUCUAAUGACAAGUCCUCCUAAACACCAGUAAGAAUGGGCAACAGUUGGAGUACGCCUGCGAGUUUCUAAGAGCAAUAGUUAGUUUAUUGACACACUACACAUUGAGCAACAAAAUCUUGGACAUCACUCCUUAUGUCAAUCUUGAGAAAAAUUUCAAUCAAAUCCUUCAAAGUCUUGGAAACACCCGGAUGUCCACCAUAGAGGGAUUCAUGGAACACCCUUAAGAGAACAUGGUUGAACUAAGAAGCCAAAUUAAGCUAGAUUUUACCUUUGUGUAAUAACAACUUGUCGCGAUAAAUGAAGUCAGGGAGGGAUGUUGGAGAAGUCAAACACUUGUCACAAAGAUCAAUGAAGACUAGGUUAGUGUGUAACUCCUUCUUAAGUUCUUCAAGGAAAACAAAUUGUGAAACCAAAAGGUGGUGAUAGGCAGCCCCGGGUGGCUUGGGGAAGCAACAUAAGGCAUCUACUUCCAUGUUUGAAGCGUCAAAUUUGUAUUGAAUCUCAUAAUCGUACCCCAAGAGUUUAGAUAGAUAGUGUUGUUGGUUGAGGGUUUGGAUAACUUGGUACAUGAGUUCCUUCAAACUUCAAUGAUUUAUUUGAAUUACAAAGAAUUUUCCUAGUAAACAUUGUUGCUAGCACUUGAUCAUAAAAGUGAUAACGUGAAGUUCCCUAAGGUAAGUGGAAGCCUAAAACAUGUGCAGAUAGAAAAGCUUGCAAAAGUAAGCUAUGGGAUGCCCUGCUUGAAGAGAAUGACACCCAUGGCGUACCCUGGAUUGUUAGUUUGAAGAAAAAAAAGGCAAAAAGGAGUUUGGCAAGGCUAAUACUAAAGCGAUUAUCAUGGUCUACUUAAGGGCCUCAAAGCCUUGCUAGGCUACGGGAACCCAUUUGAAAUUAUCGCACUUCAACAAAUGGUAAGGGGUUGAUCAAUUGCACAUAAUUUUUUUUAUAUAUAUAAAAUCUAGUUAGACCAAGGAACCCCCUCAAAGCUUUGAUGAAUUUCGGAGAAGGAAAAUCCUAAAAAACUUGUAAUUUGUGAGGAUCAGGAUCAAUAAUACAAACAAUGACACUGCAUCCUAGAUAUGCAAACUAGGACUAACCAAAAAAGUACUUACCAUGAUUGAGAAAAAGAUGAUGUUGGGCGAUAAAAGCAAAAACCUAAGCAAGAUGCUCGUGGUGAAGCUUAGGGGAUGUGUUGAACACCAAGAUAUUGUAAAAAAAGACUAUGAAACUUUUGCACAAAAAUGGUCGAAAAAUGUCAUUCAUGGUUGCUUGAAAUGUAGUAAGGGUGUUGCAUAGGCCGAAGGGCAUUACCUAAUACUUAUAAUGACCAUCAUGAAUGUGAAAACUCAUCUUUGGAAUGUCAUGGGUCAGAUUCGAGAUUGAUGGAAGCUCAAGGUUAGAUCAAGCUUGGAAAAAAUGGUGGCAACUCCCACAAUAAGCAAAGGAAUCUUGUCCUUAACUGUGAGUGCAUUAAGCACUUGAUAGUCGAAGCACAAGCACUAAGAACUGUCCUUAUUCAACAAUAGGACUGACAGGAAAUCAAGGUGGUGCUAGGUUGAAUCCUCCCAAUGGAUAGAAGCUUAGCAACUUGACACUCAAUCUUAAGAUUCUAGCAUGAGGAUAAAUAUAUGGUUGCACACUCACCAACACUGAAUUAGGAAAAAGUGGUCUGAUUGACAUUGGGGGAGGCAAAUGUGUAGGGUUCAACAAAUAGACCUUUAUAAAGUGGUCUGAUUGACAUUGGGGUUGGGUUGUGUGAAAGACCCAAUUUGUGAACCACCUCUUAUUGGAUGAAGUUAUGUGUUCACUCAUUGUCCGCAAGGAUGGAAGCUUGGUGGUAGGAUAUUUGGCCCAAAACACGCAGGGCAUCUGGGGCAAAAUUACUCGACAAAGCAUUUAAGCUAUGCUGAGUCGAAUAGGCCUCUAUUUCUGGUGAUGGGUUGGAUUCCACAUCGCCUUAAAAUGGCAACAACUCACCCCAAGUCUUGUUUAUGUGGGUUAUCAAGGUCCUUCAUGACAAUCACAAAGAAAUGAUCUUGCCAAUAAUGGCUUCGGGAAAAGUUUUAGUCAAAAUAAAACAUAGGUCCUUCUCACGACAAUCGACAAUCUCUGCUAGGAAUAUAUACUUGUAACGAGCUCGUGGAGAAGGGGUCGACAAAAAUAGAGGGAGCUAUUUAUGGGUAGAUGUAUCUACAAAGAGGUCAAUUGCUUGAAAAGCUCAUCGAAAUAGUCAAUAUUGGGGGCAUAAUUUUUAGAGGGAGUGUUGUCAACCAUGACCAGAGAAGAAUAAUGAAAGCACCAUUGUUGUGUGUUAAGUCUCUAUAUUCAAGGACAUAGAGCCUCCUAAGAAUAUAAUUCAGAAAGAGAGAGGAUUCUCAUUAACAUUCUCAAUGGAUUUUCAAGACAUUUAAGCAUGAGAACAUGCUAUGGCAAAGUAAUUCUAACAACAAUAUUCUAGAAUCUAGUUGGGUCACUUACUCUAAAAACCCAAGGUUAUAUUUGUAAAUAGCAUAGUCAUUCCAUUUCUUAAGCAUUGAAAUAACCCUCUUGUGUAUGCUUUCCUUAGGAUGGACAAUCUAAUUAAUGGGCUCAAUAAUGUUGGGCUCAAUAAUUAUUUUCCACACAUGUCACAUGUUGUUGGUAUGUUAUAAACAAAGAGUUAGGUAAAUAAAAUUAUUCAACAUUUGACGUCAAAAUUAGGGCUUGACUGCACUAGAUUCUUUAGUGGUUCACCUGCUAAUAAAUGUGUGCAUUUUACAUAAACUAUAAGACCAAAUCUUUUGUUAAUUUAUUGUUUGCUGACCUUUAAGGCUUGAGUAAGUGGAUUCAACCAUAGGACCAUUCUUGAUGGAUGUGAUAUACAUAGGGUCAAAGGUUAGUUAUGCCAUAUUUUUGGUUUGAAUGCCUUGUAGAUUUUUAAGUCAUUUACUUGGCCUCCUACAUUAAGGAGUAUGUUAGAAAUAUAUUAUAUAUAAACCAUUCACGAGUCUUCACCCAAUAGCUUGAGCUUUUGGAUUAAUGAUUCAUGAUAGUUUGUACUUGCUAGAUAAGUUUAUUAUUGUUAUUAUUUUGGUUAAAUUAAAUACUUUCCCAACCCUUGACACCAUUUUUUGUUUCAGGCCUUGCACAAAUUUUUUUUAACAAUAUAUCAAAUUCCCCAUAAUUAGUUAGAGUGACAAGUUCCAUGGUCUACUGGUCUCUAUUCUUUAUCAAGUAACAUACAUAGUAUCUUCAACAUGGAAUAUCUGCAUACAUUGUGACACUAAAAUUCAUUUUAUAUUGUAAAUUUAAAACCCAGGACAUGUAUAGACAGCUCAGCUGCAGUGAUCAAAUUUGAUAAGGAGGGUGUCAAGGUUUCUCCUUCAUACCUGCAAUGUGUUGUAUGCAUACACUUCUAUUUUUAUUUUCAAAGUUGUAUGCUCUUUGCCACAAUUUUUCCUUAGGUAAUUUAGGAAGAAAAAAAUCUGCCUAACAUGUAUGAUGCUUUUCAUUCCUAUACAGGCAAGCCAGCCAAAGACUGAAUGUUAGAGAGUUAUGUUUCAGAUCAAUUUUUGUUGCAAGUGAGGCCGUUCAAAUAUUUUUUUUAUGAUGUGAAUAAUAUGAUUUUCUACUUAGACUCUAUGCAAUAAACUUUUACACAAACACGUAUAAGAUAAUAAAAUAAGUUUCUUUUCUAAAUUAAAAUUAAUUUUUAUAUAAGUUAAAAUCAUAGAGUUUAGCUCUUUUAAUAUAUUACUACCUUUUUUGUUGUUUUCCCGCUGAUUUAUUGAAAUUUCACAUCUAGGAUCCUGUAUAUAUAUCCUUUCCGAAUAUUGGAUAAGCAUAUUAAGCCUAAUGAUAUGUAUAUAUUUGUGAAUUUUAAUUAUUAAUUAUGAACAUAUUUUCAUUUUUGAGCAUUUAGGUGUGUUAUAAAAUAUUCACAAUGUAUCCAUAAUGUUUGAUCUUGCUAAAGCACUUUUAAGGUUGGUCAUUUCAUGUGGCCAAAAAUAAAAUAAUAAAUAAAUAAAUAAAAUCUACAUUUGACAUUUUAAGGCAGUUCUUAGUAGAACUAUCUUAGAAAAAUAAAAAAAUACCACUAAUACAUAUGUUUUUGUUAUUUUUACAGGUGUCGAGGGAAGGAGCCCAGAGUAUGAAGAAUCUCAGGAUUUGAGGUCAAAUCCUUUCCAAGGUGGAGGGAAUGAUACAAUCCUAGCCCACAAGGGCAUUAGAUAGAAGACUCAAAGUAGAUUGGACUAGAGAUCCAAAGGAAGGCCUAAGAACUGUCUUUAAAGAUUAUCCUUCUAAGACGGUUCUAACUUAGAACUGUCUUUAAAUGUACAUUACAACCAUCAUGGAAUGUCAUUUUUGCGGUAGUGUCAUGAUCUAUUAAACCUUAAAAAAUCAAACUUAUCUCUAAAAUAGUGGAUAUCACAUUAGAUUUGCAAUGUGCUUAAUGGAGAGAUAGAUUUUGCAUGGAGGUAGGGAUAUGGGAUGUCUAGAAUGACAACAUGAAGGCUUCGGAAGACGAUAUAUGGUUUUGGGGUUAUUUGCUAUUAGGUCAAUUGGUGACAAUGUUGUGUGACUUGAUGGUGGAGAGUUGGAUGUGCUUUGCAAUAUAAAUAACUAGUUUUGGAAGGAAGUAAAUGCUUUUUUAAGGAUCAAAACAUUGUUAUUUUCAUGCUACAUGCAUAUCUAAUGUGACAAUUAAUAUAUGUAUUUUUUGUAAUGUUAAGUCACCUUCACUAAUAAAUACUAAAAAGACCGAUGUACGUAUUCUUUUAUUACAAAAAAAGACCAACUUAGUUAAAAUAUAAAUCUCACUACAACUACUUUUUACAGAAUUCAAAUGAUAGAUCCUCAUCUUUUCAAGAGAAAAUAAAUAUUUACUAAAAAAAAAAUCAAUAUAUUGUAGAUUUUGGUUUUUGAUUGCAUGUACGUUCUUAUUUGUGGUUUUUCUAGAAUGAACCCAUAGCCCUAUUCAUAUUUUAUAAACUUUAUUAGUUCAAAGCAACUUAUAGUAAAUAUAUAAAUAUUGACAAAAGUCAAGCAUCUUAUCACAUGGAGCUUAAAACAAAUGUUUGUAACAUAUGAUAUUUCAACUUAAAGUAAAAUUGUCCUUAUGAUACAUCAUUACAAAGUAUUAUUAGUUUCUCAUGAAAAGACUGUGAUUUAAGGUAAUUUUUUUCCUUCUCUAAAACACUAAUAUCAACAAGAUAUUAUAGUAAUUUUUUCCAUCUGAAACACUACAUGCAAAGACAUUCUAAUACUCAAGUCAACAGAUUUUCCAAAUAUAGUAAAUGAGAGUACAUAAUAAAUGAGAAUAAUCAAUUUGUAUUAUCUCAAGAAUCUCAUCCUUUAUAUACACAUAUUCAUAAGUCUAUGAUUCUCGAGUCUUACCUUGAGAUUAAUGAGAAUGCUAAUCCAUGAUUACUUACUAAUGAGAUCUUGAUGAUGAUUAUAUUACUUUUAAUUAAUCAUCUUCCCUUAAUCUCUUCUAGAGCCAUCUUGUUCUCUACUUUGUCUGUUAGAGGACAUAGCUGAGGAGUAUCUUACCAUAAGUAUGCAUGUUCAUUAGAAGAUGGGUGCUCAUUUGGAGUAUGAGUUUAUGUACAUGGUCGAAGGGGUACCUAAGAAGUGGUUUCUUCAAUUUAGGGAUCUCAUCUACUUAGAGUUUAAUCACGUUGAUGGGGUACCCAAUAUUGGUUGAGUAGUCGUCUAGUCAUAAUUGUUGGGUAUCACCGAUAACAUGGGUUGCCAUAUUGUAGAGUGCUCGAUCAUGUUUGAGGGAUGUUUGGUCAUGUCAAUGACGGUUGACUUUAAACAUGCAUGGUCAAAGGUGACCUAUCCAUAUGGGUACAACACAUAUUUAAUAUAUUUCAUCACUUGAUUAUAUAUCAUUAAGUUGAGCGUUGAACAUUCAAGUGUCAUUUACAUGUAUUUCACCUAUCUAUUAAACUUAUGUUUGCACAUUUAGGUCUUUUAAUAUAAAAUAUGUGAAUAUAAAAAGUUAUAACAAAUAGCUCUUUCAUGGAUGUGAAUGGUUGACACAAAAUUGUAGGAAUGCAAUGUCAUACCAAAGACGAAUUAAGUGUCUCCUGCAUGAUGAAACCUUGGCAGAUUUCAAAGAAAUUGAAAUUAAUUAAUAAUCUAUUUCAAAUAAAUUAACAAAUUCAUUUUUAAUCCAUUCUGAAUUUGUCACCUCAUUCAUUUUAGACAACAUUAGUAAAGGUUGACAUCUUGUUAAUUUUAAUAGCAAUAAGGUUAUUUUAAUAAUAAUAUUUCACACAACUUUUUUAUAACAACUUUUUAGCAUUCUACCACAUUAUUGAUCUUAUUUUAUAUUUUAUUUUCUUUUAAUUUCUUCUUGCUUAUAAAAAUUAUUGUGAAAAAUAUGGUUAGAAGAGUAUAAAUUACACUAAAUACUUUUGAAAUUUUGUGAAAUUACAUGACUGUUUUUUUUUUUUUACAUUUACAAUGACCUCUCUUAUAUGAGAGAGUGGUGUAAUUUUUUUCAAACAAUUAGGAUGAUUAGUGUAAUGUAUCAAAAAAUGUAAUUGUAUAUUUUUUAAAUAAUAAAGGGGAUUAACCUUGGAGUAAAUGAAAACAAGAGAAAUUGGUAUAAUUUUACAAAAUCGUAAGAGUGUAAUUAGUGUAAUUUAUUCUAAUUAGAAUAAAGCCGCUCAUUUUUCUUUAAAAGCAAUGUUACUCCUUUAAUAUUACAUCUUGUAUAUUUUAAUAUUAUGUUUGUUAUUCACCCACCAAGGAUUAAAAUAUUUUUGGAAUAAAAAUCCUCUCUCCACCAAUCACACACUUUUCCCACUAAACCAACUAAAAAUUCCACUUGCCGCAUCUCGACAGCCGCAUACCUAUAAACUAUUUGUUUAUUUUGAAAAAGAUGCAGCCUCACCAAAGGUUCUUUGGCAUGUAUGAAUAUAAUUUUUUAAAAGACAAUAAAUAUUAAUCGUCUCAAUUAAUAAAUAUUUUCCUUAUAGCUACAAAAAACCCUACGUUUCUACGAUUUAGGUAGAUAGAAAGUUUCUAAUUCCGAUAAGAAUAAGAUCCCUUAAUAAUUAACUUAAUUCUCUAGUGACUUCACAUUCUAAUUGUUUAUAGUUUGUAGAGUAACCAAAUAAUAUACUGAUCUUGAGUCUUUCCAUGGCCACAUCAUUAUAAGAUUGAUUAUACUCAUUGGACACUAUAAAUAAACACCCCAAGCUUUUAAUCUCAUCCAGAACCAUACAUAAAUACCCAAAAAUACAUAUCAUGUUUUCAUCAAAAUUAAAAUUCUUAAUCAUGUUUGAUCCUUGUGUCAAACCUUUACCAACCGUCUCGCUCGCAAGUGCAAUUUUUCUUUAGGGCAUAAGAAAUAUUCUUACGUCAAAUUUGGAUUUGACGCAUGUUUUGCUCAGGUGACCGUUUCUUUUUUCAUUGAUUUUGGAUGAAUCUUUGAUUUGAAAAAUUGUGUGAGUGUGUGUGGGAUUUCAACCAUUAAGAAAAUAUAGCGUCUAAGCUAGCUAGGAUGAAGAGCAUGAUUUUGAUGGUGAUGACGAUAAGGAGGUAAGAAGAAGAAAUUAAAUAAAUAAAUGAAUAAAAUAAAGAAUUUGACUAGUUAUUUAUAAGUUAGUGGUGUGUGACCCUAAGUAUGAGUUUUGUCCUCCAUCGUUUGGUGGGGUGGAGUUGACAUGGAUCUUGACCCUCUUUGAUGAAACAUUCCUUGGACUCAUUAUUUGGCCCGCACUCACUUCGCAAACUUUCGUUAUAAAAUCUUACAAUAUUUGAGGACUAACUUUGAAAACUGUUCCUUGUUCUUGUCGUUUUGUGCCCUUAUAUUCCUCUAUCUCUCUUUUUGUUUUUCUCUCUCAUCCUAUCUUUUGUAAGAAAAAAACGCCUUCUUCUAAUUCUAUUCUAUUCUCUCUUUGAUUGCUUUCUCUACAGCUGUGUGAUGCUUAUAAAAAUAAAAUAUCCUUUUACUAAUCAAUUAAAGAAGACCUUUCAGAGACCCAUAUUUGACACAAUGUUUUUCUUUCCUCUAUUAAACAUAUAGAAUCGCCACGGUCUCCAAUUCUUGCUUGCUUUAUAAUUACAGUUCAAUAAUUGAGAGCAAUUUGACAUGUUGAGAGAUUGAAUUCAUUGGAUUUCUCAACCUUCUUUUAAUAUGUGAUAAACGAGUUUAAUUUUAAUAAAUUAAUAGUAUAAAGAUUUUUUUAUAUAGUCGAUUAAUUAGAAUUUAUUUUACAUAUGGUAUUUUAAGUAACCAGUAUCUUAGUAUUGUAUUCUGUAGAAUUUAUAAUAAAUAUAAUAAAUAUUUUAAAUAUAUAAAUUAUAUUUUAUUUAUAAAAAAUAACUUAAAUUAUGGUACAAGGUUAUUUUUGAUUAUCGACAUUUAAAAAAAAUAUAUUGAAAGCCAAUCUAGAGAUACAUAUAAAAUAAGGUAGAUUAAAAAUGAAGGAUGAUAAAAAAGAUCAAAUAUACAAAUAAAGAUAAGAUGACACUAACUUAGUAUAGUUGCGAAGGAAAUUAGUUUAGCUAGUUGUGAAGAUAAUGUGUGAAAUUCUCCCUCAAAGGAGGAUAUAUUAGUAUAAAGAAAAUGUUGAGAGUAUAUAAUUUACUAACAAGUUGAAAGAAUGAGAUUCUCAAAUUCCAAAUUAUUAUAAUAUAAUAGUACAUUAUUAUAGAAGUUAAUAAUUUUUAAUUGUAUAAAAAAUUAUUAUUGAAUAAUUAUGUCCGUAUUCGAAGUGGGAAAAAUAUAUAUAAAGUCUACACCAAUUAAUUAAAAGUAUAAUAAUACAUAAUAAAUGGCGCGUGACAAAAAUAUUGUCUACCAAAUUGCAUUUAAAAAAAUUAUGAUAUAAAAACUAACCAUUAAGAAAGUUACUUUCCAGCGUAAUACCUUAAUAAUAUAGAGAAAAUAAUAUGCAAAAUAAAUUCUAUUAACAAGGAAUUUCCUGAUUGUGAACUGUCUAAGCAUUCUAAUCUUAUUAUUAAUGAAUCAAGACUUAGCUAAUUAACUAUGAUUAGAGGAUGCCACCAAUGACAUUGAGUUGUGUUGAUUAGUUUAUAAGGCAACAGUGCACAGCAUGACCUCACAUAUACAUCAUUAUUUUAGAAAAGAGGGUAUAUAUAAGGGAAUACUUAAGUUUAUUUGGCCACCAAGUAUGAACACUGAAUUUUUGGAAAACAAGUAAAGGCAAUGACCGUAGGACCAUACAAGUUUUAAGUCAUGAUGAAAAUAUGAAGUAAACACAUGGACCUGCCUCUUGCAUUCUUUUGAUUUCCUCACUAGUCAUUAUUGGAAAAGUGGGCUCUAAUCUCAUGCCUAUUUAAACAAGUUCUUCAAUUGCUUUCAGUCCUUUAUUCAGAAUGAAAUAGAAUUUAGUUUGUAUCUCUUUAUCCCUCCUAAAGAAAAAGAGAUUGACAUUUUUCUAUUCCUCCUUUCCCUAUUUAUGUAAAUGUUAAAUGAUUGGCAUUUUGACUUCUUUUACCUUGUGUUUGGAUGAGAGAUUUAAAAAUUUAUAGGAAAUCAAAUUCACAGCAUUUUAAUCGUCUUGAUUUAAAUUUCUUUCAUUUUAUAAAUAUUUUAUUUGGAUGAGACAAUUCAAUUUCUUGUAUUUUAAUUUCUUUGUUUGGAUAAAGUGAUUCAAUUUCAAUGAAAUUUAAAUUUUCAUUUUUAAAUAUUUAUUUAAAAAUUAAAAUUUUAAUAUUGAAUGAAAAUAAACAUGAAUCAUUUUUUAAAUAGUUAAAUAUUCAAAAUAAAUUUAAUGUUAUACAAUAUAUAAUAAUAAUUUUUUUAAUAUUUAAUAAUUAAAUAAUCAAAAUAAUUUUAAUGCUAAUCAAAAUAAUUUUGAAGUGAGAUUCUGGAAGGUUCUCUUUGACAGGAAACGUAGAAGGGUUCUUGAGAACCAGAGGACUGAUCUGUCUCAAUUUAGCCUUCUUAGAAGACUUGUACUCGUCCCAAUUUACAUCCUUGUAGCGACUCAACUUCUUCUCAACCUCGAUUUUGUUUGCAUCCCUUAGAGGAACCAACCCUCUUAUGUUCUUCUUCUUCUUGCACCUCUCGUUAAUGGUGAUUUCGGUCUCUGACUGAACUUCUCUCCACUUGUCCGGAACCAAAUUCUCACGCGUUAUCCGCGUCACUUUUGUCCUUGGGCUGGGUCUGUGUUUGGGUGUGUUAGUGGUGAGAUUGCUGUCGUUUUGGAAAACGGCGUCGCUUUCGAAGAUGCCGUCAUCGAAGACGACGCGGUCGCCAAUAUCGCGAUUUUCAGAGUGAGCGUUCUGUUUAGUGGGGAAUUUGAGGGAUUGAAAGUGGCGGGGAGCAGUGGCGGAAGGGAAGAUAGAGAGGGAAGAGAAGAGUACCCGCAAAGAGAGGAGCGCCGCUGGUAUGGAGAAAGGAGAGGGGGUGAGUACGAGCACAGAGUGAGUACGAGCAGGUUUUUGGGGGAAUUUCAUAUGACUCAGUUUUAGUUAAUUAAAAUUCUAUUAAAAUUUCCGGUAUUUAAUUUCUUCUUAAAUCAUUAUCCAAACACUAAAUUUAAAAUGACAGCAAUUCAAUAUCUCAUUUAAAAUGAAUUACUUAGAUGAAAGUAUCCAUCCAAACACACUCUUAGAUUUUACAAUAAGGUCAAUUAAAUAUUGUCCAAUAAUACGAUGCAAUGAAAUUUCGAUGAGAAUUAAUAGCAUUACAUGAUAAAAGAUUUUUCACCAAAACCAAUGAAAUAAUUGGUAGGAUUAACAAAACAUCAUAGUAUUUUAUGUAACAAGUAAAUAAUCCUAUGAUUUGAGUAAUGAUAAUGUGAGGACUUUUGGGAACAGGUAUAAGGUUUUGUUUUACUAGGCCACUAAGAAGUAGUACAAGAUUGUGCCCACAGCUAUUUUGGAACAUUGGGCUCCAAGUAAGCCCAAAAUUAACUUCAAAUUUGACUUAGACUCAAAAAGAUAGAAGGAAAGGAACUCAACUAUAUUGUUUUGAAGGUUUCAAGGUAGACAUUGUUUUGGAAUUAUGUCUUGUUUUUGGAGUAGUUUUGUCAAUAAAUUUAGAGUUUAUCAGAUUUGUUUCUUGUUAAUUGUUAUGCUAAACAUAAAAAAAUUUUAGUUUCUGUUUUGUCAAAUUAGUCUCAUUCCUUGUUAUUAUUGAGCAGUGAGCCAUGCAAAUUCAAUAAAAUGAAGAGAUAUGGCAUUUUCUUUGAAGAUGAACUCCUUAUGUGUCGGCUUUCAAAGUUAAACUUGUGUCCAUCAAUAGUUUUUGUCAGAUUAUAUUUUCAAUCAUCACACCACUGGUGAGCUUGAUAAGUGUCGCUUGCUAGCUAUCAUUCAUUUCCAAUAAUUCUUGCUUGAUGUCCAAGGCCAGGUUAUUGGCCCAAGGCCCAACAUUUGUGGCCCAGGAUGGUUCUUGUGAAUUGGGAAUAAAUCUUAUUUAUAAGAGUGAAAUCUUUGACCAAACAAAAAAAAUAGUGAAAUAUUCUUUCAACAAAAAAAAAGUGAAAUCUUCACGCAUAAAAAAGAGAGUGAAAUCUUGUUUGGAAAAAUCUUAUUUUUUAAGAAUAUUUUAGUAAUGAGAAGUUUUGAUUAUGUUUUCAUUCUCGUAAUUUGAGUUAAUAUGAUUUUAAUCCUUUUUAAACUUUGUUAAGCUAAUUCAAUCUUGAUAACUUUAUCAAGGAAGUUUAGUUCAAUUGCUUAAGUAUAGUGUGUUAGUUGUUGCAAAGCCACUUAUACUUGGCUUUGAUUCUUACAAAUAAAAAAAUCUUUAUAACUUUAAAAUUAAAGAAAAUAUAAUUUGUCAUAAUUUUUUUACUAACCACUUAUAUUUUUCAUUAAAGAUAAUCUUGUUCAAAUAUAUAACUUUAUUAUGAACAAAAAAAAUCUCUUUCCAAAUAUUUAAUGUAAUUACCUACUUAAAACUCAAAUUCAAGAGUCAAGACCACUAAUUAAACUAAAAUAACCUAAAUCCAACUAAUUCAUGUAUUUAGUGGUAAUUCAUCUAUUAAUUUUUCAUUCUUUUGUAACAUUUUAGAAUUGAAAAAUUAUUUGAUAAUUUGACGCUGCAUAUACCACAUAGGAUUAAAUAAUAUAUGCGUAAUGUUAUGAUUUUAUUACUUGUGCCAGUAAGUGUUUUAUUUUAAUUUCAAGAUAAAAUUUAAAUGUUAUUUUAUGUUAAUUGAGAUGUUAGUUAAUUUAAUUUGUAUAACUUUGGUGUUUUAUGAGUGUUAGUGGGCUUAGACAAUUCUCGGUCAUAAAUUUGGUCACAAAAACAUGUAAAGGAGGGGUGGGAAUAGAAAAAAUAGGUAGUUAGAUUGGAAAAUGGAUCAACCACAUUUCUGAAAACCCCUUCAAACAUUGAAAGAGCUCUCAUUUCUAUUCAUUUCUCUUGUGCUUUUACACUUGAUGUUUUAUUCUAAGCUUCAACAGAUUGUAGUUAAUCCUAAUAGAUAUAAGGUUCAAUUAAGCUUUCAAGGGAUAACAUUCUGAAUCUAGAUCCCCUGAAGUAUAACGGUGAAUGAUUAGAAAAGAGCUAUUAAUUUUUCAAAUUAUCAAAAUUUAAUAUAUAAAUCUCUUUAAUUUUAUUUUAUAUCAUUUUAUAUGUUUUUAUUUUGAAUAGUUUACAAAUUUUAUUUAUAUUUUAUCAAUUUAUAAUUAAAUUUCAUAAACUAAUAUCUAAAUAUUUUACAUAAUUUUUUUGUGAAUUGAUUUUAAUGUACAGAUUAUUUUUACUCUAAUUAUUUAUGUAAAACUCAAAAGAUUUAUAUAUUAUAUAUUUUUUUAUUUUUAGUUAAAAAAAUUGAUAAUUUAAAAAAUAAUAACUCUUGAUUAGUGAUAAAUAGAAAAUAAUGUUAAUAUAAUUAAUUAAAUCAAAAAAGUGUUUUAUUACCUUUUUAUGAAUAAUUUUACAUAAAUAAUUAGAGUAAAAAUAAUUUAUAUAUUAAAAUCAAUUUAAAAAAAUUAUGUACAAAUUUUCAUAUUAAUUUAUGAAAUUUAAUUAUAUAUUGGUAACAUAAAAAUAAAAAUAUGCAAAUUAUUCAAUAUAAAAAGAUAUAAAAUAUAAAAUUAAAAAGAUUUAUAUAUUAAAAAAAUUAAUUUAAAUUUUUUUAUAAUUUGAAAUAAAAAAAAUCUUGUCUAAUGAUAGAUGAAAAAUAAUAUUAAUAUAUUUCAAUAAACAAAGCAAAUGUCUUAGUGAUUUAUUGUUUUGUUUAUGAAUAAAAAGUUACUAGUUCAAUUUUUAUUUAAACAUUUUUUUUUCACUUCAUUUAAUUUAUUUUAAUAUAAGCUCUCGGUAGCAUCAAGACGUCACAUUAAAGUCAACAUUUAACUUUGGAUAAUCAAUAUACAAAAAGGAGUAAAAUUACAAUUUAACCUAUUAUAAAAGGUACUCCUUCUGUUUUUUAUUUUAAUUGUUGGAUUUUUUAAAAUAAAAAUAUUUUUAUUUAUUAAUCAUCUACAAAGUUAAAGAUCACAUCAAUUACUCUUUUGUUAAUUAUAUUUUACUUAUUUUUUAAUUUGUGAAUCGGAAAAAAAGAGAUAAAGUAAGAAACUUUACAACUAUUUUAUCAUAUUCAAGAAACUUUAUUGUAUUUUUUGAUUGAAACAUAAAAACCUUAAAAAUAACACGAAAAAUAAUGUAGGGAAUAUAAAUAUAACUAUCAUCAAUAAUAAUACUACAUUAGUGGUCAUUGAUAUUAAAAAUUUAAAUAAAUUAUAAAUGAUUUUAUAUGUAUUACUAUUAAAGCCACAAGUAACAGAUAAUAGAUUUUAUGUGUAUUACUAUUUAAAAUAUCAUUAAAAAUAAGUUGAUUAAUAAAUAUAUUAUAAAAAAUCAUAUAUAUAAACUAAUAUUAUAUAUAAUCUUUAAUCAAAUGUGAAUUGAAUAAGAAUAACAAUAAUAGUGAAUACAAAUAAUACUAAUUUAACAUAAAAACGAACAAACAAUAUUACUAAAAUAAUACUAUAAAAAUGUAAGAAAAUAAUAUUCGUAUCAAAUGAAGUCAUGCUACUGUUUAAUAUAUUAAUUUGUAAGCUUACCCAAAAAAAUUAAAAUUAAAAAUUUUAAACACUCAAAAAAAUUUAAAAUCAAAUUAUGCAAUUUUUAAUUAUAAUGACAUUGAAUUUUAUUCUUAGAUAUAGUGGAUUAAAAAUUUAAAACCUGAUUUUACGCCACCAAGCUUAUUCAAAAUUUGAAGGACAACUCAAAUGAAUAAAAUGAGAGAAGAAAUGAUGAUUCUACGGCCUAAGCUUCAACUUUACUAUCUUUUCCUGGGAGGACCUUGCAUCAUCUUUUCUCCCUUCAGCUCACAUUUUCUUCAAUUUCCCCAAAUUUGUGCUUCCUUUGUUCAAUAUCCCCUUUAUAUAGCCAGCGAUAUCCGUAUUUCUUCACCUCCGCAUAUGACUCUUUCAACACUCCAUCAUAUCUCGAAACCAAUCUGCCAAGAUAUUUGUCCUUGAGAUGGAAAUCUGCAAUGAUGUCAUGUCGAUUCACAAAGAAUAGCCACAUGUGAUCUGAUUUGUCUAAAACAAGUUCUAGAUCUAAAUCUCCAUAUAAAUCCACUCGAAUAUCACCAAACAAAUGGAAUGGAUAUUCUGUUUCUGAAAAACUCAUUGCUGAGAGUGUUUCAUGAGGUACGACGAAUAUUGCACAAAACGCAACGCCAAUCCAAUUAUGGUCAUGCAUAACAGGAGAUGCGUCUAAGCUUACACAAUUUCCCUCAUGCUCAUUAUUCAACCACCUUCGUAUUUCACUUCCUGGACUAACACUUUCAAUCUUGUAUUUCACCUGGUACUGCAGAGACAUCUAUAUGUUAUUUCCUGAUUCCUAUACACAAAAAAGGAGAGAGAAAGAGAUGAGAGGAGCAAAGGAGGAACAUGCAAACCUGACACAAUUGCAUCAUCCAUGAAAAACCCAUGUCAGUGCAGCGUUCCCUAUCAACUAAUUCUGGGCAGUUAAAAAUGUAUAAUCCUGCUUUUCUUGGUACAUAAUACAAUGCUUUAGUUACGAAGCCAAUCCGUGAAGGGAGCUCAGGCAAAGAUUUCAACUGCUUGCAAUGUUGUAACUUUAAACAGACCAGUUUGGAAAGCUUCUUGAGGUUGGGCAGUGUAGCAAAAUUGUUACCACUUAAAUCUAGCCUUUCUAAGCAACUCAUAAUUCCAAUAGCAUCAGGGAUUUCAACUAAAUUACAGAAACUUAGAUCAAGUUUACUCAUACAUGGAAAUAUUGGGGAGGAAGGCAUUAAGCAACUAACUGAUUUUUGAUGUUGUCUGGAGUAGGAAGAUGUUGAUUGGAAAUGAAUAGGAGCUCCAUCUAUAUCAAUCUUCUUCAAUUGCUCUGCAUCCCUUAGUUCAUAAAAUAACUCGGUGUUGUACAGUUUUGAACAGCCAGAGAGAAUCAGAUAUUGAAGAGAAUUGAGGCCUAGUAUGCUAUUGGGUAAGCUUACUAGAUUUUUGCAGUUUUUCAAAUUCAAAUAUUCUAGCUUUUUUAGAAGACCGAUGGAUGGAUCAAUGUGUCUGAGUUUUUUACAUCCUUCGAGAUCUAGAUUUUUAAGAAUUAGAUCCUCUCCAAACCGUGGCAACUUGAUAAGACUUUUGCAAUUUCUCAAAUUCAGAGAAGUAAGCUUUCGUGAAAGAACAACGGACAGACCGAUCUCUUCGAGUUGUAUACAUCCUUCGAGAUCAAGACUCUCAAGAUAUAGGGCAUCUCCAAUGUAUGGCAUUUUAAUUAGAUUUUUGGAGCCAGAGAGAUUCAAAUGCCUCAAAUUGUUGGGUAGAGGCUACAAUGCAAGGCCAAUAGUAGGAAACAACAUUAAUAAUGACAUUCAUCCUUUCUUUUGUUUCUUUAAUUAAAUAGAGAAAAAAAGAAAUAACAUAAGGAAGUUUGUAUUUUUAUUUGUUUAUUUAAAUGAAAAUAAUAUAGAAAAAUAAUAAUAAUAAUUGAUACUACCUUUGUGCCUUCCCAAAGUUGUUUGAUGUUGCUGUAAGGUAGUCUCAACUCAACAAGUUUGUCCGGUUCAAAACUUGGUGGCAAACACUCAAAAGGAUACUUUUCCCAACUAAGAUAUCCUAAUUCAUUGGAAAGCUUAGCAAGUGUUCCUGAAAAAUUGAUUUCGAAGCCAACGUUCCAAUAUCCAAGGUAGAGAAGCUUAAGGCUACUCAUUGUUGAUAGAGCAUCGACCCUCAUUGUUCUUGUUCGAAGAAUGUCAUAUGGAUCUUCAAUUAUUAUGACCUCAACAUUUUCUGCUACCUUGAACAUUGCAAAGAGGAAAAAAAAUGUGAGAUCUUUGGAAGUAUUUACAAAUUCUAGAAUAAUAGGAGGACUUUAUAUUUAUAAAUUAUUCUACCUUAUUAUCUGACAUAACUUUGUGAAAAUCUUUAAUAUCCCACAACCUGCUCCACUUCCAUGGCUUCCUAGGUGAUUUUUCUCUAACAAUAUACUUUCCCAAAUCGCACAACAAGUCAUGCAUUCCAAUUUCCUCAUCCAUGGUUAUAAGUGAUUUAUCAACGAGAACUUGUAGGUCAUAUUCGGGAUUAAAUCCACGAAAAUCUAGAACUUCCUUCACAUAUUCCACAUCAUCAUCGUUGAAGAAACAUGCAAUAUCUAGAAAUAUUUCCUUGUGUGUAUCCUCUAAUUGAUCAAAACUUAUUCGCAACACAUUCAUAAUACUUUUACUUUUAUUUUCUCUUAACGAAACCAAUGCACUCCUCCAAUGAGAGAAAUCUUUAUCAAACAAAUAUGAGCCUAUUACUUCAAUUGCUAAGGGAUGACCUUGACAAUGUGAUAGUACAUCAGAAGUCAACUUUUCAAAAUCACUCAUAAUAUAAUUAUUUUUAAAUGCUUUUUUGCAAAACAAUUGAAGAGCAUCAUUGUCAUUCAAUGGCUCCACUUGGUAAAUAACAUCUACUCCAUGUGCCUUCAAUAUUUGUUGAUCUCUAGAAAUUAUAAUGACUAUGCUCCCUUUACCUAGGCAUUUACGUAACAGAUCAUUUCUACCCCCAGUAAACAUAUCAAGCUGUUUAUCUUGAUCAACAUUGUCAAGAACUAUAAGUGCCUUUGCAUUGGGUAACCUCUUCCAUGCCAGAAGUGUUCCAUCACAUACAUUACAAAUCUCUAGAUUUCUUUCAUUUAGAGAUUGAGAAAGUAGUUGCUUUUGUACACCUAAUGUACCUUCAAGUCGAUAAAGUUUGCUUACGUCAUCAAUAUAACAACAAGAAUUAAAUCGAUGAGAGAUUCUUUCAUAUAAAGAUCGACCAAGAGUAGAUUUUCCUAUUCCACCCAUCCCAGUAAUUCCAACAACUGGAACAUCAUUAACCGGCCCCAGACAUAUUAGCUUUGAUAAUGUAGCAAAAUGAGAUUCCAUCCCAACUAGAUUAUCAUAUGGAAGAGUAGAAAAUUUGCAACCCAAGAUAGUUUUUAUCUGCUGAACAAUUUCUUCAAUCACUGCAUGUUGUUGCCUAAAAGUUUAAAGAAAACAAAGAAUGGCAAAUCAUCACCUAAGGGAACCAAAACAGAGCGUACAUGCAUAUAAUAACAUAUAUAGUACUCUUUUCAUUUUUAAAAUAUUAUUUGUAUUAAACAUGGAUAAUGAAUGUUGACCCAAUCUCUCUAAGUAUCUCCAGUUUAAAGGUUGGAAUAAGUAAUACAUUCAAGAUAACAGCAUUAGUAAGAAAUGAUAAAAAUAUAUUGUAUAUGCACGUAACAAACCAACAGAAGAUUACUUACUUAUUUCUGAUAUCCCAACCAGAGAGAUUGCCUACAUGGUUCAGAACUUCUCUCCAUGUUUUAAUUUCCUUCUCUUGGAACCUGGAACUUUGUUGGUGUUGGGAAAAGGCUUUCUCAUAGUCUCCACUCUGUUUUCGCACUUGUGAUGGAUCAACAUCAUAGAAAAUAGGCAGAAGAAGUCUGGAAGAUGUUCGAAUGCAAUUCCAGAUAUGUGCUAGUUCACGCAGGCACCAAGUUGAGGAAGCAUAGUCCUUGGAAAAGACAACAAGGAAAACAUGAGACCCUUCAAUGGCUCGUAUUAGCUCUGGUGCUAUGGAUUCGCCUUUCCUGAUAUCUUUAUCAUCUUUGAAGGCCUCGAUGCCUUGUUUUUUCAGAGCUUCAAAAAGAAAACCUGUGAAGCUGUUUCGUGUGUCUUCACCGCGGAAGCUCACAAACACGUCAUACUCAAACGAAGAAGAAGAAGAGGUGCAUUGGAUGAUGGCAUUAGAAGUAGAAGCCAUUUCAAUUGCAAAACUGUGAAGGAAGAAGAACAAGUGUUUGCGGAUACAAAUAAUGAAUCAAGAAAUAUAAAUACGCAGAGUUCAGAAAUUUCUAGGCAGCUGCGAGGGGUUGUUGUGAUGAAGGGAAAAUUGUUGGAAAGUGGUUUUGGGGGCAUUCAUGUGAAAGUGUCAGCUAUUGAAUGGAGGGUUCAGAUGAUGUGAGUGGGUUCAUGUGACAUAUCUAACGGUGACGAAGGGAGGUUCGUGGAAAACGAGUUAUGAAUUUCCCCCUAAUAAUUUAAUGAAGACUUCGUUGAUGCUGCUGAUUCAUCAUUUCGUCGGUGCUUCCUACCAAACUAUUUUUUUUUUAUAUAUAUUUUUGUCUUUUUCUUUUAGUUGUAUGCUUAUUGUUGACUGUCGUAAGUGCAACAACAUGCAAUAUUAUUUUUCUAAUUGUUACCUUCUCAAAAUAUCUGCUUAUUGAGUUUGUUACUUAAAUUUAGGUUUUUUGUUCCUAAGACAUGAAAUAUUGAGAUGUGUUAUCAAAUGAAGGCUGUUAAAAGGACUUUCAAAGAUUUUUUUUUAAGAGAAGGAUUAUUAAUAUCUUAAUAUUUAGGUAUAUUUAGUUAUUCAUACGUGUAACACACAUAUUUAUUUUUAAUUUUGUCUAGUUUUAUAUGAAGUUUCUUAUUUCAGUUUGGCUAUUGUUUUGUAGCAAUUUCUCUUAAUUAAGAAUCUUGGGACGAAAUUAUUUUGUUAGAGUGUUCACUUUUUCAUAACGUCCAUUUUACUUCAUGCGGAAUCAAGUUAGGCUUCUUUUUCCACUUUUUUCAUAAUUUUGUUUUUUCAUCCAAAAUUAAAAUAAGUUAUUGUUUGCGCGAUUGAUGAUUUGUGUUCAGUUUGUAACAUUUUGUUAUAAUUUAAUGUAUUUGAGACUUAUUACUUAGUAUCAAAUUUAUUAUAUCCUACCAGGUCAGUCUAUUUUGGGGGCAAAAUGAUUCCUUGAGUUGUGACUUUAUGCCAAGUCAAUAAUCAAAUCUUAAACUUUGGUUAAGAGAUUUAAGUAUUUAAUUAUCAAUUUCAUCACUUUAUUUAUUUAGAAUAUUCAAUAAGGCCUUUUAAUUUUUAAAAAUUUCAAUUAGAUUCUUUAAUUUUUAAAAUUUUCUUAAUGUGGUUCUUUAAUGUCUAAUUGUAGUUUUUUGCUUUUUAAGAAUGCCUCAAUAUGAUAUUUUUUUUUCCAAAUUUGUAAUUAAUUUCGUCAGCCUCACUUGAUCAGAAAGGUUGACCACAUUGAGGAAUUUUUAAAAAAUAAAGAAUUACAUUGAGAUAUUUUAUAAAAUGUUAGCCCUUAUUGGAACGUUUAGAAAUAAAAUAACUUAUUCAACAUUCUAAAUAAAUAAAAUUAAGCUUCAAAUUGAUAAUUAAUUAUUAUUAUUAUUAUUAUUAUUAUUUACCACCGAUUAACUAUUUUAAUCCUAAUGUAUCUUUUUGUUAAUAUCUUAAUAUUUAGGUAUAUUUAGUUAUUUAUAUGUGCAUGACAUAGAUUUCCGUCUAACUUUAUAUGAAGUUUCUUGGGACAAAAUUAAGUUGUAGAGUAUUCACUUUUUUCAUAAGGUUCAUUUUACUUCAUGCAAAAUCAAGUUGGAUUUCUUUUUUCAAAUUUUUCAUAGCUUUGUUUUCUCACCCAAAAUUAAAAUAAGUUACUCUUAGCGAGAUUGAUGACUUUCCUUUAGUUUAUAACAUUUUGUUAUAACUUAAGGUAUUUAAGACUUAUUACUUAGUAUCAAAUUAAUCAUCUCCUACCAUCAACCUAUUUUGGAGACAAAAUGAUACUUUCAGUUACGAUUUUAUGCCUCACUCAAGGAUCAAAUCUUAAACUUUGAUUAAGAGAUCUGAGUGUCGAAUCCCUCCUCUCAAUAUUUUUUAUAAUUUGUAAUAUUAUUGAUAUGUUUAAUUAUCAAUUUGAUCACUUUAUUUAUUUAGAAUGUUCAAUAAGUUCUUUCUAUUUUUAAAAGUUUCAAUAAGAUCCUUUAUUUUUUAAAUUUUCUUAAUGUGGAUCUUUAAUGACUUAGUGUAGUUCUUUAUUUUUUAAGAAUACCUCAAAAUGAUAUUUUCCCAAAAUUUGUAAUUAAUGUCGUGAGCCACUUGAACAGAAAGGACAACCACAUUGAAAGAUUUUAAAAUAAUAAAGAAUGAUAUUCAGAUAUUUUAUAAAAUGUUAUCCCUUAUUGGAACUUUUAGAAAUAAAAUAACUUAGUGAAUAUUCUAAAUAAAUAAAAUUAAGCGUCAAAUUGAUAAUUUAUUAUUAUUAUUAUUCUUUUUUACCACUGAUUAACUAUUUUAAUCCUAAUGUAUCUUCUUGUUUUUUUAUAUAAAAAAAAAAGUGUGCUUUAUUCUUUGCGUAUCCUGGACAUGACCUACUAAUGUGUGUCUAGCUUGACUUGGAUUUUUCAUAAUCAUAUUAAAGUACUAGUUAACAUUUUACUUUACAUAUUAAAUAAUUAAUUAGAGUCCAAAAUUGAAUUGUACAAUCACAAGACUAUAAGUUCCUUUAAGGGUGACGAGUCAAUGCUAAGUCCCUUUAAGGACGACGAGUUAAUGUUAAGUCCCUUUAAAGGCGACGAGUUAAUGUUAAGUCUCUUUUAGGGCGACGAGUUAAAACUAUUUUGACAACAAUUGAGGAGUCGUGUGUUUUGUACAAUUCAUAGAUAGAGUCUGUGUGUUAAAAUGUUUUCUAGGUUGGACCCGAAUCAGGAGGGAGAGGCGCUGACGGACUCUUCGGAGUGUAGGCCUUGGGGGUCACACGGUUUGAGUGGUCCUUUAAGCCUAUGUUGAUCCCAUAUGGUUGGAGCAUUCUCACAAAACACUGUGACCCUGACUGGUCUCCCUAUGAUAUUACCUAGUGAGAGUGACUUAACUUACUAGUGUGUGGUUUGUCUUGUCAUGUACUCCUAGGCACUCGACGAGGUUUUUCACUGACAUGGUACCACAUUGCAUAUAGGCUUGAGUCUUAUCAUAACUGUUGCAUACGCUUGCUAAUUUUUGAUUAUGAAAUUGAUGUGUUAUUAUAUCUUGAUCGGAGCGUGUGAUUCUUGUGUAUUGUGAUUGAUGAUUGAAAGGUGAAUUUUGAAUGACAAAGUGAUGAAAUAAUGUGAAAUAUGCUAAGUAAAUUGUAUUUGGCUACUAUAUGUUGUCUUGUUUCUCUCUAGUAGUUAGGAAUGUGAUAACUCACUCCCGAUUUGCUGUUUGUGUUUGGAUCCUGUGAUGAUCUUGAACUUUGUGUUUGAGGGAGUAGAUGAAUAGGUGGAUGACUAUGAAGAACCUCAUGCUAGAGGACACGAGAACACAACGCUCUGAUAGGAUGUGACAUUAGGAUAUAGGUUCUAUAUUAAUUGUAUGAAGCUUAGACGACUUUGUUUGAACCGAGAUGACUUUAUUAUUAAUUGGACAAGUUUUAAUAUAAUGUAGAAGAAAGUGAAUCUGAGCCUUUUACCCCUUUGAAAGACUUGUAUUUAAAAAUGUUUUAAAAAUACUUUUAAUUAAUAUUUAAAUUUUUAUUCCUUUAUUAGUAUAUAUGUGAAGGGUAGAGGGUGUCACAAGAGACUAUAUAAACAAUCUUUUAAAAAUAAUUCAACGGGAAACUAGAAAGAAAAGUGAGCCAAGAAGCCUCAUUUUGUUUAAGUGAGCUAGAGACCAACCGGCGCAAGCUAAAAACCUCUAUAAUAGGAAAUACCAACAGAGUCUGCUUUCAACAGAAAAAGACAAAAUCUGGAACAUGAUAAAAAAUAGAAAAAUCAGCAGACAUUAGAGAAGCCGUGUUUUGCCAAGCAAUCGGCCACCUGAUUACCCUCCCAAAGCACAUUGGAGAAAAUAAUGUUGCAGCAAGGAUGAGUAUCAUUGCAGACUUCUGAUAUAAGGUAUAUACCAACAUUGAAGUAGCUUCAUUAAUAGAUAUAAAAAGAUCUAUUACGUACACUUGAUAUGGCUAUGUCCAUUCAUUCAACCUAUAUAAGCUAAAUCAACCAACACAAAGUGUCAUUUUGUAUGAUACGACAUAGGAAAAAAAAAGCAUAGAGAAAAGCCUUAUUUUUGGAAAACUCUGUAUUGUGACGAAAACUCUCUUGACAUUGCAUCAAUUCUAGGUCAACUGGUCAAGCAUACUUGUAAAUAAAAGCAUAAAACAUUCUCCAUGUCUUUCUUCCUUAACCCGUUAAGAAUAUACAAAUUUUGAAUAGAGAUUGUUGCACCUCUCCUUACCAAAACGUAGAAUACACAACAGAACAGAAAAAAAAUAUAUAUGUCACUCAAGAAAUCAGGAAUGCAGCUUGCUUGAAGACCAAAAAAUUUCACAGCUUAUACUAACUAAGAAUCAUCUAAUCAAGGAUACAAACAAAAACUAAAAUUUUGGCUCAUAGAAUUCAAAUAAAAAAAUCAUUUCAGAGAAACUAUGAACAUAUCUCAAAAGUUACACUUGAUGUUUUAUUCUAAGCUUCAACAUAUUGUAGUUAAUACUAAUAGAUAUAAGGUUCAAUUAAGCUUUCUAGGGAUAGCAUUCUGAAUCCAGAUCCCCUGAAGUAUAACGGUGAAACUGAAAACUCUUGACACAAAAUCAGUUGUUCGAAUUUAUAGAAAUACAGAUCCAUAGAUCAUGUAGAUGUGAAAAUUCACUCCCACUGUACUCGAAGAAUAGCAUAUGCUACUGAAGUAAGAUAUAUUAUUCGUAGAAUCACACUCACUUAAGUAAAAGUCAGGCCAUAACCAUCAUUUAUUUUGAUAUUAUACGUACACAUAUAGAGUUCAAAGUUCAAACCACUAAUAAAGACACAUCAACUGCUAGAAACUAUAAAGGCUUAUAUAGCCAUAUUCCUUUUGAAUCCGAAGGCAUGUCCCUCGGACUAAUCUGUUUCUUAAAGUAGCACCAUCAAAUAUUUAAGGAUCACAUGUAUAAGCAUUAAGCAAUGCACUUCAUCAUGCAGCUUUCCAAGAAGAAAGUGGUGGAGUUUCAGAGUCCUUCCACGUAGAUAAACCAUCAUCCGCAUAUCUAUCACCCUUGACAGCAUCUAGAGCAGCAAGGGACUCAAGUUCCGCCAUUUCUUCUGGUGUUAGUUUGACAGACAAAGCCCCAAUGUUCUGAUUGAAGUUCUCAAGUUUGGUGGUUCCAGGAAUAGGGCACACAUCUUUUCCUUGGUGAUGAACCCAGGACAAUGCAAGCUGAGAUGGUGUACAUCUCUUCUUUGCAGCCAGUUCAUUAACCCUUGCGAAUAUUAUCUUGUUCUGCUCCAAAUUUUCAGGUUGAAAUCUAGGCAGAGUCUGAAACAGAUUAAAACAUACGCAUAAAAGGUUAUAUUUAGGUAUCAUUGAUUCACAUUUUAAAAGAUAACAAGCAAUUUAGCUGAUUUUACUUUGGGAGUAAGACACAGGAUGUUAGGUAUGAAAAAUCCAAUAAUCUGGAUCUGGGGAAAGCAGAAACAAGCCAUAGCAUGUUAUGACUUAUGAGUUAUGACAUCAUAUUUCAAAUAUAUGUUAUGCUUUACUUCUCUUUAAGCUAUCUAAUGUUUUCAUUCACACCUUUUUUUUUUUUUUUUUUUUUUUACAUAAAGCUUAAAUAAACAACCCAACUGAUUUUGGUUAGGGGUGUGCAAAAAUUAGUUUGGUAAAAAAAUUGAACUGAAUUGAUUUUAAACUAUUUUAACCGGUUCAGAGUUUUAUAUUUAGAUAGUUCGACUUAUUUGAAAAUUAGUUCAGAACUCAACUAUUUUUAAAAAAUUAGUUUUGAAUCAAAUUGAUUUUAACUAGUUUUAAACUAAUUAUAAGGAUCAGACCUGUUUCAAACUAGUUUUUGAACUAUUUUUUUCAAAUAAAAAAAAUUCAAAUAAAAAUCAGUUCAGUUAAUCGAACCUAUUUCGUAGGAAUAAUUCAAUUAACAUUAUAAAUUAAUCAGUGCAUUCCUUUUUUCUUCGACUAGUCUAGAAAAAAAAAUCAAUUCAAUUUAGAUCCGAUUAAAUUUGAAUUGAUUUUUUUGCACACCCGACCAUUGUGCAUAAAAAAACAAUUUUUUAAUGUUUGUAGUUCACAACAUAAUUUUUGUAUGAUAAUGAUAUAUUGAUGGAGUUCACAAUAGAUGAUAAGAAUGAAUGAUUCAACAAUAGUAUUAAUAGGGGUCAAUUUGGGUAAGCUAAUUCUAAAGGAGUUUUAGAAGAAGAAAAAAUGAAAUCAGCUUCUUCAUAAACUCAAUUUAAAUAUGCACAAAUUAAUUUAUAGAAUUUCUCUCAUUUAAUCAUUAAUGAUAGGACUUAGAACUAAUUAAAAUAAAAAAUUCCGAAGACAGUCAAGGUUAGGAGUCGUGGUCAUUAAGGGAACCCAACAUUCAAUGGUCUUGAUUAUAAAAGUUCACAAUUGGUAUGGAUUUCAGAAUUUCUGCAAUAGCAUGCUUUUCAACAAACCUGCCGGAAGUCAUCUUGUGCCAAAUUCUCAAGCAACUUUGUUCCCAAUGACAAGAAUCCUCGCCCAAGAGGACUAUAUGCAACAAUUCCAAUACCAAGUUCCCUAAGAAGGAGAAAUUAUAAGUCAUGAGGUUAGAUCCCCCCAUAUCAUUGCAGUGAUCAAAGUAGCCCUCUAGAAAGAGAAAUUCUAGAUAACAUAAUAUUUGUAAAUUAAGUCACACCUGCAUGUUGGAACUAUUUCCUCCUCCACAUCUCUUGACCAUAGUGACCACUCCAACUGCACAGCUGUUAUCGGAUGAACUGCAUGUGCUCUUCUGAUUGUUGAAGCCGAGGCCUCAGACAGACCAAUGUAUUUUAUUUUGCCUUCCUCAACAAGUUUUUUAAGCUCCCCAAUCUUACAAUACAAAAGUGCAUAACAGUACAUAAGUGGGGGGUAAAAUAUAUUUCGAAUGUAGUAAGUAUGUAACUACCCUUAAUUACCACAUGAAUUCACUCAAUCAUAUUAAUUGCAAAGCAGCAGUAUCUUACAUGAAAAAUCCAUAACCCUUUCAAAACAGGGGAUUGAGCAUGUGAAAUUGUGAUCUAUAAAAGGGGUUACACUCUAUUUUAGGAAAAUCAUUUCCUGAAGCAAACUAAGGCUUCAAAGUAAUACGUUCAAGUAACUAAAACCAUUACAUGAUCAAACUUUCUCUCACAACCCCAAAUACAUAAAAAAAAAGAGCAAAAAUCAAAACAAAGCAUAGAGAAAGAGUCAAACCGUGACUUCAAUAGGCACACGAGUAUCAAUACGAUGUUGGUAAUAGAGAUCGAUGCAAUCGAUACCAAGCCUCUUUAAACUGCCCUCACAAGCAUCCCUCACGUAUGCUGGAUCACCACGGAUCUCCCAUUUCCCUUCAGGAUAGCUGAUUCCAAACUUGGUAGCCAAUUCAACCUUCUUUCUAACCCCUCCCUUCAAAGCCUGCCCCAUACAAAUAUUCACACAUCAUCACAUCAAAUCAUAUCAAUGAUACUCGUAUAUGUUCACAUAUACGGUAGAUUCAUCGAUACCAUUAGGACAUAUCUAGAUACAACAACAAAAUCGUAUCCUACUAGGUGAAAUCUAAUUACAUGAAUUUGACCCAACAGAGUUAAAAGCUAAACCUUGAGGAAUAUAUACUGAUAUGUAUAAAAUUCUAUAAAACAGAAUAAAUAUGUAGUUGCAAUUGCAAUUAUAAAAUUCAUAUUAAGAACACACGAUUACCGAAAACAAUGAAAAUUAUAAAUCAUAAACUAAUUGUCUACUUCCUUUGAUCUAAGAAUAGGAAUAUUAUCGAUCUUGUUUCUUUUCUGAAAUCAUAAGGCAAUUUUCAUUUUUGGUACGUUGAAUUGAAUGACAUACUUUCAUGUUAUUAUAUUAUAUGAUACUCAAUCUUUUCAUUUUUAUUGGAUGAGAUUUUAUGUUAGACUUGUACUCCAACACUUACAAGACUUACAAGAUUGGUCCUCAGGAAUUUUUAUGUCCUGGGUGAACUCAAAAAGAUUAUACUCUUAUAAUUAUUUAAAUUUUAUACUUUUUUCUUGUUGACAAAAUCAUUAUUAAUUCGUUCAUAAUCAAGAUUUUCAAUUGUAACUAGCUGUGCUAGCCUAUAUUGGAUCUUCAUAACUUCUUUCAAAUGUUUAGAUAUGUGUCGAUAAAGUAUCCAAAGUAUCAGUAUAAAAUAGUAUUGGAUAAGAAUUCAUAAAGCAAACUAAAGUAUGUGUCGUUUCAUAGUAUCAUAUCAUAUAUAUGCAUGGCCAAGAAUGAUGAUGACAUGAAAGAACAGUGGCCAAAGAAUGAAAAAGAGUGGGAAUGAACCUUUCCCAGAAGGAGUUCAUUGGUGUGAGGGCCAUAGACAUCAGAAGUGUCAAGAAAAGUGACACCGCUUUGGACGGCGUGGUGGAUGAGUGCAAUCAUAUCGGGCUCUGGCUUAGGAGGACCAUAGAAUGCAGACAUGCCCAUGCACCCAAGUCCCUGCAUAGACACUUCAAACCCUUCUGAACCAAGUUUCAUUCUACCCACUCUCGCCAUAGUUACUAUAUGUAACGUUGUGCUCUUUGUGUGCUUCCACUACCACAGCAAAGGUUGCACUAUAUUGAGUUGUCUGAAUGAACCUGCUUGGGUUCCGAGUUUUUACCUUUUAUAAUCCAAAAAGUAGCGUGGCGACUUAUGGGGUUGGAGAGUUAGUCAUGAAUAUUUGGUUUAAAAAUAGCAAAAGUAGAAGUAUGUAGGCGAAUUUCUGUGAAAUUGCGUGUUUCAAGAAAAAUUUGUUGCUUUGAAAGUAUAAAUAUUUGAAUUUUGCUGAUCAAUAAAGUUUUUAAUGCGGAUAAAGUAGCCAAAAAAAGAAUUGUAAAGAGUAUAAUUUUAUAUAUUUUAUUAAAAAAAUAUAUUUAUUAAUUUUUUGAAAUUAGUGUCUUAAAAGUUAAAACACUAGACGCACUCAUCUUUGAUAAACAUCCCAGCCUUUGAUAUAUUAAAAAAGAAAAAGAAAUAGAAAUAUAUGACACCCACUGUCUCACUCUAGAAGCCGCCGCCAAAACAGUAUGUAACUUGGGCCCGUUCUAAUUUGGUUAUUCUAUUAGCUAGUCUUCAAGAGCUUGGAAAUCUUACACGUGGUAUUAUGGCGCCACGUGUCUAUUCUGAAUCGGGCCAAGUUCUAUAUUACUACAUUAUUACAUGAUAAGUAUUUAUUUUAUAUAAUUAAAAUAUACAAUAACCGAAAUUUUAUACAUAUAAAUUAUCUUUUGAUUUAAUGUUAAAUAACUUAUAUUGUAAUAUAAGAAUAAGAAUGUGUUUAACUAUUAAUAGGUUAUUUUAAAAAGUUUAAAUUUAAAUAUAAAAAAGCUAGAUUCCAAAAAAAUAAAGGGUUAAAUAAAAAAUCAUAAAAACGAUCUAGUUUUAAUUGAAUAACAAUCACUAAAAACCUCUCAAUAUAUAUGGAAACAAAAUCUUUCAUAUUCUCAUUUAUUGGAUAAUUAUUUAAAAAAAAUACUAUAAGAAAGGUUAGUUAAGUUUAUAGUCCUUUAACAUUUUCAUAUAUUUUUAUUUUUAGCCCCUCAAAUAUGUUUUUGUUAAUUUUAAUUUUUUUAUUAAAUUUUUUAUAGCAUUUUUAGUCAUUUAAAACUUUGUCACUCGUUUUUUAAUUAUUCAUUUAUUUUUAUUUUUAUUGUUCAAAAUUAAUCUCAAAUAUAAAAUAAAUGAAAAACUAAAAAUAAGUAAAAUAGAGAUUAAUUUUUAAUGAUAAAUCAAAUGAGGGAUAAAAAUAGAUAAUUUCUUUUAGAAAGAUUAAAAAAUGUUGACAUAAAAUUCAUUGAUGACUAAGGGUUGUAAAAAAAAUUGAAGGAAUAAAAAUUGAUAUAAAAAAGUUAAGAAACUUAAAAUAAUAUGGUAUUUUAAGACUUAAUUAAGUUUUUACUUCCCGCACCCCAUGAAAAGAGCAAAAAUACCUUAGUGUGCGGAGACCUUCCUCCCAGUCCCUUUCUCCUCUCUUUCUCCUUUCUCCUCACUCUCGUGGCAAAGUGCGUAUUUUUUUUUUUUUUUCCAAUUGACAUAUACUAUAGGAUAGCCGAAUCCCUAAAAAAAAGAACCUCUUCCAGAAAUUAAUUUAUACAUGAGUUAAUUUUAAUUUAUAAUUUUUUUUACUUUUUUUUUCUACAAGUACUUUUGGAAAAAUUUAUCCUAACAAAUCCUUAAUGUUAUAAAAAUCCUAAUUUGGAACACAUGUGAUUAUAGUACUUUCAAAAUUUGUUAAUCCAAAUUAAAAACAAAUAUAGUUCGUCUAUUACUUUGUUAAUCCAACCUAGAAACUAAAUCUGCCAACACUGUCUCUCAUUGUGUAUGAUACAAGUGAGACGGGAAAAAAUAGCAUAUGGCAAAGCCUUAUUUUUGCAAAACUCUGUAUUGUGCCCAAAACUCUCUUGACAUUGCAUAAACUCUAGCUCAAAUGGUCAAGCAUGCUUGUAAAUAAAAGCGUUAAACAUUCUCCAAGUAUUCACACCUAAAUAGUGUGAAACCGAAAACUCUUGGUACAAAUUCAAUUGCUAAAUUUUAAUCUUUUAUAUAUAAAAAAAGAAGAUCCAUAGAUCAUGUAUAUGUGAAAAUUCACUCCCAUUUUGCUCUAAGAACAGCACAACAUACGUUUCUGAAGCAAGGUAUGUUACUCAAGCUAAUAUGCAGAGGCAAUAAUCACACUCACUUCAGUUAGUUUCAAGCUACAGCUUGCAUUUAUUUUGAUAUAUGGAAUUACCUUGAAUAGAGUUCAAACCACUAAUAAAGACACAACAAUUGGUAGAAACUAGAAAGGCUUAUAUAUUCCUUUUGAAUUCGAAGGAAUGCCACCCCUCAUACUGAUAUGUUUCUUAAAGUAGCAGCAGAAAAUACUUAAGGAUCACUAAUAUAAGCAUUAAGCAAUGCACUUCAUAAUGCAGCUUUCCAAGAAGAAAGUGGUGGGGUAUCAGAGUUCUGCCAUAAAGAAAAACCAUCAUCGCCAUACCUAUCACCCUUGACAGCAUCUACGGCAGCGAAGGACUCGAGUUCUGCCAUUUCUUCGGGUGUUAGUUUGACAGACAAUGCCCCAAUGUUCUCCUCAAAGUUCUUAAGUUUGGUGGUUCCGGGAAUAGGGCAAACGUCUUUUCCUUGGUGAUGAACCCAAGCUAAUGCAAGCUGAGAUGGUGUACAUCUUUUUUUUGCAGCCAGUUCAUCAAUCCUCUCGAAUAUAGUCUUAUUCUGCUCCAAAUUUUCAGGUUGAAAUCUAGGCAGUCUCUGCAUGCAACAGAUUUAAACAUACACAUAAAAGAUUAUAUGUAUGUAUCAAUGAUUUUAUUUUAAAAGAUAUCAAAGUUGAUUUACUUAGGUUACAAGAUACAAGAUGUGUUAGGUAGGAAAAAUCCAAUAUCAUAGCAUGUUAUAAGAUCAUAUGUCAAAUAUAUGUUAUGUUUUGCUUCUCUUUAAGCCAUCUAAUAUUUUUGUUUGGUUAUUCAAUAUCAUUGAUCUCUACAUAGGACGGAAAGGUUGACUAUGGAAAGUGAAAGGACAGUAAGUACAUAGGAAGUAUGCAGAGCCUUAAAAGUAACAGGCAAAAACCAGUGACCAACUCUGAUGUUAACAACUAAACAAGCAUUUUUUGUACCAACAGAAUAAAUCAAUGCAAACACUUUGAAAAGAAAUGUUUUAUGGAAAUCACAUUAGGUAAUGGAAGAUGUAUGUAUGUUAGUCUUUUAUCAUGGUUUGAGGUAUGUGUAUUUUAUUUUCUGCAUUUACUUCACUUGGUUAUUAACUGAUUUAUUUCUCAGGCUCUAGAUUUAUCAUGAAAAUGCACAAUUAUAUGAUUUUUGUAGUAGUUGCCGUGUCCAGUGGCAGCUAAAGGUAAAGCUAUUUCUGCAUCUACUUAUUUAUUUCCCUUUGGAAAUCCAGAUUAAGGACAGGACACAUGAUAUGGUCCAAUUGGUCCUGUUUUUGCUUAGAAUUCUAAACUGUGUUUAAUAGCAGCAAUUUGGAAGCGUUUGGAAGAACUAGUUUAGAUGAAAAAAGUAUAUCAACUACUUUCAAGUAUAGUCAAACUGAAUGCAAUAGUCAUACACAAAGCUUAAAUAAGCAACUGGGCUGAUUCUAGCCAUUGUGCAUAAAAAGAUGAUUCUUUCUAAUGAUUGAAGUUAGUGAGCAUAAUUUUUAUAUGAUAAAGAUAUACUAAUGGAGAUCACUAUAGAUGACAAAAAUGAAUGAUUCAACAACUAUUUUAAUAGGAAUUUUAAUCAUUAAUGAUAGAACUUAGGACUAAUUAAAAUUGAAAACUCUAAAGACAGCCAAGGAUAGAAGUUAUGGACACUGAGUGAAUUCAAUGGUCUUGAAAUAAACCAAGGUUUCAAAGCAGUGCUAGGAAAGUUGAUUAUAAAAGUUCACAAUUGACAUGAAUUUCAGAACAUCUGUAAUAACAAAUAACAUGCUUUUCUACAAACCUGCCGGUAGUCUUCUUUUGUCAGAUUCUCAAGCAACUUUGUUCCCGAUGACAAGAAUCCUCGUCCAAGAGGACUAUAUGCAACAAUUCCAAUACCAAGUUCCCUGAGAAUGAGAAAUUAAAAGUCAUGAGGUUAGAGCCAAUAUCAUUGUAGUGAUCAAGUCCCUAUCUAGAAAGAAAAACUCCAGAUAACAUCAUAUGAUCAUAAAUUAAGUCACAUGCACCUGCACGUUGGAACUAUUUCCUCCUCUACAUCUCUUGACCAUAGCGACCACUCCAACUGAACAGCUGUUAUCGGAUGAACUGCAUGUGCUCUUCGGAUUGUUGACGCCGAGGCCUCAGACAGACCAAUGUAUUUUAUUUUCCCCUCCUUAACAAGUUUUUUAAGCUCUCCAAUCUUUAAGCAAAAGAAAAAAUUGAAGUCAUCAUACAUUGUCUGUCUAAACAUGUAAACAAAUAGGUUUUUCUCAUUUCUCAUAUCAAACAUUGACAUUAUCCGGUGUUAGUCACAUAGUGUAAUGCAGAUCUGUGGGAGUGAUUUGAAGUGGGAAAAUACAUAAAACAAAUACAUAGAGAAAAUCAAUAGACAUGCAUAGUGAAAAGGAGAUGAAAAAUGAAAACAAAAGCAUAGUGAAAGUAUCAAACCGUGACUUCAAUAGGCACACGAGUAUCAACACGAUGUUGGUAAUAGAGAUCGAUGCAAUCGAUACCAAGUCUCUUUAAGCUGCCAUAACAAGAUUCCCUCACGAAUGCUGGAUCACCACGGGCCUCCCGUUUCCCUUCAGCUAUGUUGAUUCCAAACUUGGUAGCCAAUUCAACAUUCUGUCUCAUCCCUCCCUUCAAAGCCUGCUCUAUACAAAUAUGCACACAUGGUCACAUCUCAUCAAAUCAUGUCUAUGAUACACAUAUAUGAUACGUUAACCUAUAUGACAUAGUGAUACCAUUAUCAUAUAUCUAGAUACAACAACAACAAAAUAAAAGUCAGCUUAUCCAGUUAUCUCACCAUGUGGGGUUGGAUAUAUGGAUCACAGGACGUCAUUUGCCAUGGCACAGUUGAAAACCAAAGCUUUAGCAAUAUAUCUAGAUAUGUAUAAAAUUUUAUAAAACAGAAUAUAUAUAUAGUUGCAAUUGCUAAAAACAGGGAAAUUUCCAUAUUUUGUUAAUCGAAGGUACGACACAGUUUUAUGCUUUUAUGCUAUACAUACUUCUAUGUAGCUAGCUGUAUUGGAUUUUCAUAACUUCUUUUAAAGGCUUGGAUAAUUUACAGACUUGUGUCGUAUAGGUAGCAAUUAUAGUUUGUGUUUCAUAGUAUCAUAUUAUAUGCAUGCUCAAAUUACAGGUCAGAAAAAGAAAAGAAAGAAAUUAGUUUUCUAAUAUCUCAGUUUGUGGAUAUCUUUGGUGUAAAACAAAAAAAUGGUGGAAACACAUCUUAUCAUCAUGUUUUCCAAUUUUGUACUUUUAUAAUUCUAUUAAAUGUGUAACGAAAUGCUAUGUUGUCCCUUAAAAAAUAAUGUCAUUUCGUCACCAAUUUUUGUGAAACGAGAUUGUUUUUUUCUAGAAACAAGAUAUUCCCAAAGUCAAAAAACAUUAAAUUAAACCUUGAAACAUUCUAAUAAAUUCUUAUUCAUUCCCACAACCAUGUUAAAAAAUUAUGACAGAGAUUGUUUUAGUUUUUGCUAGAAACAUCCCCACAGAAAAAAAUUACCAAAAUGAGUUUUGUCUCUAAAAAGAAAAUAAAAAUUCAUCUCCAUACAUACGGACAAAGAAUCUAAACCCUAUCAGCAAGUUUAAGGAACUCAGUCAUCUACCAACUGAGUUAGACUUUAUUGAUAAAAAAAAGUCAUUAAACUAACCCUUGAGGCAUAAAUAAAAUCAUCAAAAUGAGUUUUAUCUCUCCAAACAAAUUCUUCUUCAUAGAAAUAAAAACCCUGUCAGCAUGCUUAAGAAACUCAGUUAUCAAACAACUGAGUUAGAAUUUGUUGAUAAAACGAAACGAGAUUGUUUUGCUAGCAACAAAAUGAUAAAAUUCUUAAAAUAAUGAUAAUUGAGUGAAAAGACAUGUAAUUAAGGGGGCCGGGGAAAAAAGCACAGACCCAGAAUGGAGAUAUGAAAGAACAGUAGACAAAGAAUGAAAAAGAGUGGGAAUAAUGAACCUUUCCUAGAAGGAGUUCGUUGGUGUGAGGGCCAUAGACAUUAGAAGUGUCAAGAAGAGUGACACCACUUUGGAUGGCAUGGUGGAUAAGAGCAAUCAUAUCGGGUUCAGGCUUUGGAGGACCGUAGAAUGCAGACAUGCCCAUGCACCCAAGACCCUGCAUAGACACUUCCAUCCCUUCUGAACCCAGUUUCAUUCUACCCACUCUCGCCAUAGUUCCUAUGUAACGUUGUGCUCUCCGUGCUUCCACUACCACUACACUAUAUUGAGUUGCCUUGAUGAAUUUGCAUGGACAUUAGACACCACGUGUCUAUUCUUAUUUAUAAGCAUUAAAAAAAGGGACGCAUCCACAUUUACCAAGUAUGGUUGGAAUUAUCCCCACUAACUUUUUCAAUUUUUAUUUAUGUAAUAGAUAUGCGUAAUUAUUAAUUAUUUUAUAAUAUAAAAUAAAUUUUAGUCAUAAUGUAAAUAUUUCUCUCACAAAUUAAUACAAUUAAUGUAAUUAAUAUAGAUUUUAUAUUUAUUUUAUUUUCACUAAAAUCUUAAAUAAAUUAUGUACAUAAAUAUCUUAUAAAUUAGAAUAUUUAGAUUUUAUAUUUAUUCGAUUUUUUGGUUUAAUUAAGUACAUAAAUAUCUUAUAAAUUGGUAAGAAUUAUUUAAAUAAUUAAGAGAAGUGCCAUGAGUAUAUAUUUGGUUUAAUUAAAUUGUUAAAUAUUAAAUGAAUUUUAUUUUAUAUGAUACCUUAAUUAAUUUAUUAAUUUUUCUGUAAUAGUUUUUGUUAUUAUUCAUUCGUACAAAUAAAUAUCAAUUCAACUCUUCAUUUAAAAUAAAUAUUAUUCUAUUCUAUUCUACAAAUAACUGUCUUGCUAUAGUUCAGUGUAACACAUUUAUCAUUUAUGGUAAUUAAGAUAAUUAUUUAAUUUUCAAAUAUUUAAUUAUGAUAAUCAAUCUUGACUGGAAUAUUUUGAUUAAUUAAUAAUAUAAAUAUUAAUAAAUCAAGUAAUACUCAAAUGUUAAUACAUGAAUUUGUCUGACGAAUUUGUAUUUUAUGAAUUGAUAUCAAUUUGUUUGAUUGCAUUUUACGAAUUAAUAUUUAAUAAAUUUGAUUGAUAUCAAUUUUUUUAUCAGAUUAAUUAGAAAAUUAAUUUUAUCAGAUUAGCACAUUUAAUCGAGGCAAUCAAUAAUAACGAUUUCAAUUAUUCAAUCAUUCCCUUCAUAAAAUAUUUAAUUUAAAUAAAUUAUGACCAAUAUAUAUUUUGAUUAAUAUAAUUGAUCAAUAAUUAAUAUAAAUUCUGAUCCAAAUUAUUCAAAUUAAGAUAAUUUACUGUAUAUAAAGAUUUAAUUUGAUUCUAUAAGGUAAUACGAUAUGGCAAUCCAAUCCAUAUUCAUUGUAUACAAAAUUAUUAUUAAAUUACAUAUAUCAAAUCAAUUUUUCAUUCAAAUAAAUAUUAUUCUAUUCCAUUAUGUAAAUGAAUUUUAUUUUGUUAUUCAUUUUAUUAGUGUGUUUGGAUGGAGCAAUUUAAUUUUUCAAAAAAUUUAAAAGGGUAUUAUUUAACUAUUAUUCUAUUUUUGUAAAUAAUUAUCUUAUUAUAAUUAACUGUAUCGUAUUCAUCAUUUAUGGUAAUUAAGAUAAUUAUUUAUGUUUGAAUUAAUUAAUUACGGUAAUCAAUGAUGACUAGAAUAGUAUAAUUAAUUAAUAUUGUAAGUAUUAAUAAAUUAAUUAAUACUCAAAUAUUAAUACAUGAAUUUGUUUGAUGAAUUGAUAUAAAUUUGUUUGAUUGCAUUUUAUGAAUUAAUAUUUAAUAAUUUAUGAAUGAAUUUAAUGCAUACAAAUUAUAUAUAUAUUAUUUUAAAUUUUUUUAUCAUAAAAAAAUCGUUCAUUUUUUUAUCUGAGAGUAUAAAAACAAUAUUUUUAAAUUAUUAUAUGUUUUAUUUAUGUUAUACUAUUUCAUAUUUAUAUUCAUUUGUUCUCGGGUAUUCAUUUUAGACCUAAUUUAUUUUGGUUAUUUACUUUAAUUUUUAUCAUAAUUAUUGUUUUUUUAUGCAAAGAGAAUCUUAGAUUUUAUAUUUAAUUUUAAUUUAUAUGAAUGAUGUUUAAUUUUACCAAAACAUCCUUCAUUCUUUUUUAAUUUCUAAGUAUAAAAAGUUAUGUAUUUUAAAUAAUUAUAUAUUUCAUUCAUGUUGCAUUAAUUCAUAUGUAUUUUCGUCCCUCACACAUGUAAUCAUAUUAAAAAAAAUCUCUUUAGGUGAUUACUUUUUUUUAUUAAUCUUAAUUAGUUUUACCUCAACACACGUUGAUAUAUUUAAAUUUAAAUUUAUUAUAUACAAUUUUUAUAUGAAUGAUGUUUAAUGUAUAUUUUAUAUAAAAAUAUUCUUAGUUUUUAUUCAUUUUUUAAUUUAAAAGUAUAAAUUAUAGUUUUGAAAAAUUCAAUCCAUAUUUAUAUUUAUUUUUCGCACAUGUAAUGUACUAGGAAAAAUUUAUUUGGAUGAUUAAUUUUUUUAUGAUAAAGUUGUUGAGAGAAAAUAUUUGCAUCCUGAUAUUAUGAAUGAAUCAGAAGCUUUUAUGAUGGUGGAUAGAAUCUGAUGAUCUAUAUAGAUAAGCAUAGAGUUCCCAUCUAAACACAUCAAAAAAUAGAAAAUAAUACCCAUCAAUGAUGUGUUAAAGGCUAGAAACAAACAUUCUUUGCAUAGAGGGAUGAGUACUCUCAAAUUCAUAUACUAAAUUAUGGAAAGAGUUAUGGCGGGAGGUUUGUAACAUAAUUAAAUUAUGUAUAUUGUUAUGCUGUUUUGAUGUACAAAAUUUUAUCAUUUGGUAUCUGGUUUUCCUUUACCUAGUUGUUGUGCGCGGGUAGUUUUUAACUUACGAUUGCAAUGUUUCUUAAAAAACAUUUAUUGCCUUUUCAAACCGUAAAAGGAUUUUCCUUUUGGCAUUAUAUUAUGUACAUGUGUUUUUGUUGUUGCAUAUCAUAUUAGUGAUGGUAUAUUGUAUGGAGUAGCCAUAGCAUCCAUUUUAAGAUUAUAAUUCCCAGAAUCACAUGAGGAUUAGUAUGAUAACUUGUAAUUGAUUGUGUUUACUAUAUUGAAUUUUUCCAUAGGAAUUUAUUAUAAUUUUCAUGAUCAAUUAGGAUGAAAUAAACUUUUCUCUUGAUUAACCCACAAAUAUUAGGAGAUGCAAUGAUAAUUUAUUAGUUUCAUCAUAAAGAAAUAAAGUGAAUUUUUUUGUGUUAAAACCUUAACCCACAAGUAGAUUUUGAUGACAUAUUGAUUCAUAUGCAUUUUAAACUAUUAUAAGUAUUGAUAUUUGGUUACAUGUUACAGUUUAAUCUUUGAUAAUCUCCAAUUAUAAAAAUGAGGUUCCCAUAUUGACAGGAAAAAUUAUAAGCAAUGGAAGGAAUGAGUUCUUCUCCAUUUAGGGGUUGUUGACCUUGACUAUGCUCUCCGUAGGAAUGAGCCAGCUGAGCUUAUAGAUUCUAGCACUUCAAAAGAAAUUGUGUUAUACGAACUACGGGAAAGAUCUAACCAUCUUUCCAUUUUUUUCAUGAAGACACAUAUUUAUGCUAGUAUCCAUGGUUCAAUUCCAAAAUGCCAAAAAGUCAAAGAUUUCAUGAAAGCCAUAGAUGAACAGUUUGAAAGUUUUGAGAAGGUCUUGUCUAGCACCCUAAUGUCUAAGUUGUCAUCUAUGAGGCUCAUUGGAGUCGUAGGUGUGAGAAACACACAUUAUGGAAAUGAGGGAUCUAGCAGCUCAACUUAAGUCGCUCCAGGUUGAAAUUUCGUCAUUCAUGGUGCACCUAAUUUUGAAUUCACUCCUAUCACGGUAUGGUCCCUUCAAAAUAUCAUACAACACACAUAAAGAGAAAUGGUCAAUCAAUGAACUUCUAACCAUGUGUGUUCAGGAGGAAGAGAAGCUUGCUCAAGAAAUUGGUGAAGGUGCUCUUACCAUGACUCAAGAUAAGGGAAAGAAGGAAAAGAACCAUAUACCUCUUAUUGCCAAAAUUAAGAAAGAGUCUAGGUGUUUUUUUUUUUUUUUGUAAAAAAAGGGCACCUGAAGAUAGACUGCCAUAAACAUAAGGCUUGGCUUGGAAAGAAGGGUAAUUAUUUUUCCUUUGUAUGUUUUGAAUCUAAUAUGGCUGAUAUUUGUUAUGAUACAUGGUUUUUGACUCUGGAUCUAUGAUUCAUACUUAUAAUACCAUGUAGGGCUUCUCAAGCCAGAGGGAUCCAAAUGAAGGUGAGCGGUUCAUCUACUUUGGGAAUCAGAUGCCCUUACAUGUGACGGCUAUUGGCACAUAUAGACUUAAUUUAGUAUCUGGAUUUGUUUUUGAAUUGAAUAAUGUCUUUUAUAUUCUUGAAUUUUAGAGGAAUUUAAUUUCUGUUUCUAGACUUGUUUCUUUGGGUUAUUCAAUAAAUUUUAAUGCAUCCAGAUUUGAUUUAUUGUUUAAGUCUACUAUUAUUGGAAAUGGUAUGUUGAAUGACGGUUUGUUCAAAAUUAAUUUAUCUAACAUGAUUCCAUAUAAUUUGAUGGCUACACAAGAAAGUGCUGGUAUUAAACGUUGUAUCAUGAAUGAAAAAUCAUCAAAAUUAUGGCAUAGGAGACUAAGGCAUAUCUCCAUAGAAAGAAUUAAAAGGCUAGUGAAUGAUGGGGUACUUGAGACUCUUGACUUUACUGAUUUUAGCACUUGUGUAGACUGCAUUAAGGGAAAAAAACUAACAAGACAAAGAAAAAUGCCAAGAGAAGUUCAGAAAUAUUAGAAAUUAUAUAUAUUGAUAUUUGUUGUCCCGAUAUGGACUUGCAUGGCCAAAAUAUUUUAUCUCUUUCAUACACAAUUGCUCACGAUACAUGUAUCUUUACUUGCUUGACAAUAAAUAUGAAGCGUUGGAUGCCUUUAAGGUUUUCAAGGCAGAAGUAGAGAAACAAUGUGAAAAACAAAUAAAGAUUAUGAGAUCAGAAAGAGGAGGUGAAUUUUACGGCAAAUACACCAUGUCUGGCUUGUUGAAUCAAAAUGGUGUGGUUGAAAGAAGAAAUCGAACAUUAAUGGACAUGGUAAGAAGUAUGCUUAGCAAUUCCAAACUUCCUCAUUCAUUAUGGAAUGAGGCUCUUAAGACAGUUGCGUACAUACUAAAUCGGGUACCAACAAAGGCGGUCCCUAAAACCUCAUUUGAAUUAUUGAAAGGUUGGAAGCCAAGUUUAAAACAUGUGUGUGUUUGGGGUUGCACAGCUGAAGUAACAAUUUAUAAUCCAAAUGAAAAGAAGCUGGACCCAAGGACCAUUAGUGCAUAUUUCAUUGGUUAUGUUGAAAGGUCUAAGGGGUAUAGAUUUUAUUGUCCAACUCAUAGCACUAGAAUUGUUGAGUCAAGAAAUGUAAAGUUUCAAGAAAAUGAUGUGGCUAGUGGGAGUGAUUUAACUCAAGGCAUUGGUCUCGAGAAAAAUCAAUAUGAGGGAGCAGUUCCUACAUCAAGUUAUAAGUUAGUGGUUUUUUACAAUACUCACCAAAAUUGUGUAACACAAGCUCCACAUCAAGUUGAUCCUAUCCUAGAAGAUCCAAUUGAACAACAUCAAACAAAAAAUGUUGAACAACAUCAAACACAAGAUGUUGAACAACCUAUUGAACAACAACCAGAAGGUGUGGAUGUAACAUUAAGAAGAUAAACUAGAAUAAAAAAAACCUGUAAUUCCUAGUGAUUAUCAAGUGUAUUUACAAGAGUCUCAAUAUGACUUUGGAGUUGAAAAUGAUCCUGAGUUGUUUUUGCAAGCAAUUAAAAAUUUUAAUUCUAAGCUAUGGUAUGAUGCUAUGAAAGAUGAAUUGGAAUCUAUGACAAAUAAUAAAGUAUGGGAUCUUAUUGAGUUGCCUAAAGGGAUAAAACCUAUUGGAUGUAAAUGGGUUUUCAAAACCAAGAAGGAUUCAUUAGGUAAUGUUGAGAGACACAAGGUUCGAUUGGUUGCCAAAGGAUUCGCUCAAAGAGAAGGAGUUUACUACAGAGAAACCUUUUCUCGCGUAUCCAUGAAAUAUUCCUUACGCGUCAUAAUGACAUUAGUUUCUCAUUUUGACUUGGAAUUACAUCAAAUGAUGUGAAAAUGGAUUUUCUAAAUGGCGACUUAGAAGAAGAAGUUUAUAUGACACAACCCGAGGGUUUUUCCUCUAGUGAUGGGGCUCACUUCGUUUGCAAGCUCAAGAAUUCAAUAUAUGGACUAAAACAGGCAUCACGUCAAUGGUAUUUGAAAUUCCAUAGUGUCAUCUCUUCAUUUGGUUUUGUUGAGAACAAUAUGGAUAGAUGCAUAUACCACAAGGUCAAUGAGAGUAAAAUAAUAUUUUUAGUCUUAUAUGUGGAUGAUAUACUUCUUGCAACCAAUGAUUUUGGGAUGUUACAUGAAGUGAAAUAAUUCCUUUCUAAGAAUUUUGACAUGAAGGAUAUGGGUGAAGCAUCAUAUGUCAUUGGCAUAGAGAUCCAUAGAAACUGAUCUCAAGGGAUUCCCUGCUUGUCUCAAAAGGACUAUAUUAAUGAAGUUCUAGAAAUAUUUUGGAUGAAAGAUUGUUCACCCGACAUGGCACCUAUUGUGAAAGGUAAUAGAUUCAAUUCGAAUCAAUGUCCUAAAAAUGAGCUUGAAAGGGAACAAAUGAGAAACAUUCCAUAUGCUUAUGUUGUAGGAAGCCUUAUGUAUGUGCAGGUGUGUACAAGACCUGACAUUGCUUUUGUGGUUGGAAUGCUUAGGAGAUAUCAAAGCAAUCCAGAAAUAAAGCACUGGACAAUUGCAAAGAGAGUGUUAAGAUAUCUUCAAGGAACCAAAGAUUACAAGCUUAUAUAUAAAAAAUCUGACAAUUUAGAAGUUGUUGGCUAUUCAGACUGAGAUUUUGCUGGUUGCAUUGACUCUUGCAGGUUGAUAUCUAGAUAAAUUUUCAUGAUGACUAAUGGAACAAUAUAUUGAAGAAGUGCAAAACAAUCAUUAGUUUCCACUUCUACCAUGGGGGCUGAGUUUAUUUUAUUAUUUGAAGCGACAUCACAAAUUAUUUGGUUAAAAAGUUUCAUGGUGGGUCUACAAGUGAUUGAUUCUGUUCCUAGACCAUUAAAGAUAUAUUCUGAUAAUUCAACUGCUGUCUUUCUGGCUAAAAAUAAUAAAAGUGAAAGUCAAAGCAAGCACAUCAACAUUAAGUAUUUAGCCAUGAGGAAAUGUGUCAAAGCAAAUGAAAUCAUCAUUGAAAACAUCAGUACUCAACUAAUGACUGCAGAUCCAUUUUCAAAAGACAUGCAAACAAAGUCAUUUAAGGAUCAUGUUAAGAGUAUGGAACUUGAUUAUGUCAUAUAAAGUUCCUUUUUGUAGUGAAACUUUAGUUACUUGUUUGUCUUUUCAUUUUGUUGUAUACAUUUUUGUUGAGAAAGACGUGUAAUUUGAACUUAAUAAAUAUUGAACAUGUUCAUUCAAUUAACUUGAUAUCAAAACUAACAUUGUCUCAGUGUUGUAAAUAUCACAAAGUGUGGGAAGCAUUGGACCAAUUGAGUGAAUGUUAGUUUUGAUUUUGAAAUCAAAUUAAAGUGGUCUUAAUUUUUUUCACCCACUUUUUCUGUUUUCUCAACCACUUGACUUAGUCUUGUUUGGUAACAACAUUUCAGUUUUAAUGAUAAAGUUGUUAGAGAGAGAAUAUUUGCAUGCUGAUGUUAUGGAAUCAAUCUUCAUGAUGGAUAUAAAAUCUGAUGUAUAUAAAUAGACAUAUAAUCCUUAGUCUAAGCACAUAAUAAAAUAAUACCCAUUCCAUCUGAGUGAUUGUGUUAAAGGAUAGAAGCAUUUUUUUUGCAAUAGAUGACUGUUGUCAAAUUCAUCUUCUAAAUUAUGGAAAGAGCUAUGGCAGAAGGUUAGUAACAUAAUUAAAUUAUAUAUAUUGUUAUGCUAUUUUGGUGUACAAAAUUUUAUCAAAUAGACUCAUAUUUAUAUUUAAAUUAAUGAAUACAUAUAAGAAUGAUAUUUAUAUUUUUUAUAUCAAAAACAUUUUUUCAUAUUUUUAAUCUAAAGGUAUAAAAGAUUAUAUUUUUUGACAAGGAAAAAAUUAUGUUUUUUAAACAUUUUCAUAUUCUAUUUAUGUUAUCCUGAUCCAUCUUUAUAUCUAUAUAUCUAUAUGUCUCAUGGGAAACUUAUUUUGGUAACUACUUUUUUUUUUAUAAUAAUUAGUUUUUUAUGUUAAGACACUCUUAGUUAUUUAUAUUUAAAUUUAAUUGAUAAAACUUUUAUAUGAACGAUGUUUAAAUUUAUUUUUAUAUCGAAACAUAAUUAUUUGUUGUUUUAAUUUGAAAUUACAAAGUAUAUUUUAUAAACUAUUAUAUAUUUUAUUUAUUUUAUGUCAAUCCAUAUUUUAUAUCCUUGUCUCGCACCAGUAUCCAUAAUAAAGAAAAUUCAUUUGGAUGAUAUAUAUAUAUAUAUAUAUAUAUUAAUUUAUUUUUAUUUCAAGAGUCUGUUAGAUAUUUAUAUUUAAAUUUAAUGUAUGUAACUUUUAUAUGAAUGAUAUUUAUAUUUUUUUGUAUCAACAUAUUCUUCAUUUUUUAAUUUAAAAGUUUAAAAAAUUAUAUUUUUCAAAACUAUUAUAUAAUCUAGUUAUGUUAUGUUGAUUAAUAUUUGUAUUUAUCCAUCGCAGGAUACACAUACUUGCACAAAUUCAUCGAGAUGAUUUUUUUUUAUAAUCAUUAGUUUGUUUAUAUUAAGAGUCUCUUUUUUUUAGAGGAUAUCAAGUGACUCUUAGAUCAUUUAAAAAAAAUUCUUAGAUAUUUAUAUUUAAAUUUAAUUUAUGCAACUAUUAUACGAAUGAUAUUUGUAUACAUUUUUUUAUAUCAAAAUAUUAUUAUUUUUUAAUUAAAAAUAUAAAAUUAUGUUUUUUAAACUAAUGCUAUAUAUUUUAUUUAUGUUGUGUUAAUCCAUAUUUAUCCAUAGCAAAAUUAUUUAUUUUUAUGAUAUUUUUAUAUAACCAUUGAAUUUUUUAAGUAAAAAAUAGUAUAUUAUAUUUAUAUCACACUAAUUCAUACUUAUAUUGGUGUGUAUUGCACGAUAAAUUAUAUUAGGACUAAUCAAUUUAGAUAAUAUUUUUCUUAUGAACACAAAUUCGUGAAAGUUUGAAAGUCAAAAGAAUAUUUUAUUAUAUUAAUGGAUGAAAAAAAAAUCCCAAUUAAACAAUUUGUUAGUUCAAAUUCAUAAGCCUAAAAAAUAUAUAUUUUUAGUCAUGAAAGUAGUAGUGGUAAGAGUAAUUAUAAGACAUGUAUAUUCAAAUACAUUAUUUUUAUCAACCCAAAAUUUUACGUGUUCACAAGAAAUUUGGCAAAUUUAAUUUAUAACAUGCAUGAGGUUUAAUUCAUAAGAUUUUUCUUCCAGACAUAUAAAUUUAGACAUUUAACUAUGAAAAGAAAAUAAGUAAAAGUUACUAUAAUUUUUGUAGACGUUUAUGUUCAUUUUUACGGUUAAAUAUAGACAAAAUAGAAUCCAAAUAAAAAUAAUCAAAUCCUAGUUGGUCCUUUAUGUUCAUUUAACAUAUGUGGCAUGUUUAAUUACGAGCGGGAAACAGAGGAGAGUGCUAAAGGCUUUAAUUAAUUUUAUUCGCGUUGAUACUGAUUCAACAAAUGCUAUUCAACUUUUGGAAGAUUACGGUAACCAGCAACAUCCACGCUACAUUUUUUUUUUUUACUUUUUUAUUAGGUAAAAAGCUUAUUUUACCUUAUAAAUAUUAUUUGGCAAAAAAAAUUUUAUAGUUGGAAUGCUACUCCAACUAACAAUUUUAAAAAUAUUAGUUUUUAACUUUUUAUAAUCUUUUCUUUUUUUAUUCUUAUGCUCCGUCUUAUUCUUAAUAUAAGAUACUUUGAACAUCAAUUACAUAAAACAAUAAAAGUAAUAAAUUCAAUUAAUUUUAUUGAAUUUUUUUAAAAAAAUAUUAGCAAUGUAUCAAUUAUGCUCUUAUUAGUAAUGAUGAACUUGUUAUAGGUUAUUUGAAAGUAUCAAAGUCCAAAAGAGUAUUAUGUACCACUAUAAAAAAAAAAGCACAAAUACUUAUAGUGUUUAAUGAGAACAACUAAUGAAAAAAAAAUAAGAAUUUUAAAAUUUCUUAUAAAAAGAACCAUCAAUUUCUUCUAAACUUUAUCUUAUUUGAUUUGUGUUUUAACCUUUCUAAAUAAGGUACAUUUUAUAAGAUUUUAUUAUAUUUUAACUAACACAUAGUCAACAUAAUAAAGUAAGAAGUUUACUUAAAUGUGUUAUUUUUAUAUUAGAUUUCAAAUAUUUUAAGAUAUUAUAUAAGAUUAAUGGUAGAAUACACAUUAUAAAAAAUGUAAUAAUUGAAACUAAACAUUAUAAUUAAAUUUAUAAUUAAUAAGAAUUACAAGAGUUUAGAACAAUUUAAAAAAUUAAAUUAUAAAUACCCAAAAUAUAUUUUUGUCAAUAAAAAUAAACUAAAUUUGAUAUAAAAAUAUCAUUUAAAAAUGUUCAUUUACGUCAUUAUAAAUUUAUCAGUUACUUUAAUAAAUAAUUUUAGCAAACACAUAAUAAACUAGCUUAAUAACUUUUAGCAUCCGCCUAAAUUUUUAUCUUUAUUUCAGCAGUUUUUUCACCUUUAGGUUAUCCAAUUAGUUUAGCUAAAUAUAGUUUAAGCGGGAAAAGUAUAUCUAAAAUUGUCUUAAGAAAGUGGAAUGAUGACAAGUAAGCAAAGAUAUUGGUGUGGCAAAAUUGCUUCGUAUAUAAACUCUCGAGUUUGUGCUUCAUAAUGUAUAUAUAGGUUUAUUAUUUUUUCAGUCAUUAAAUUUUCUUAAAUUUUGUGAUUUUAGACCUUGAAUUUCUUAAUUCACUUUUAGUUUUUUUAAUUUUUUUUUCUUAGUUACUUUUAGCUUCUUAAAAAUCCUGCCUAGGUUAGCUUUGCUAUUCUUAACCGGUCUCAAGCCCGGAUAAAAGGAGAGGGUUGUGUUAGGCUUUCGACAGCCAACAUAAAACUUUGUCGAAUCUCUACAACAUGGAUACAACUUUUAGCUUCUUAAUCUUUUUCUGUCCUUAAUUUUCCUUAAAAGGACUAAAAAUAAGGAAGAAAAAAAAGUUAACAGACUAAAAACAAAAAUUCUAAAAAAUGUAGGGACUAAGAAGAUAGUAAACCGAUUAUAUAUAAUAUUAUAUAGACAUAUAAUAAAUAGAUAAAAUAGAUUAGGCUUGUAAUUUUGAGACAUUUUUCCACUAGCCCAGAAAUAGAGUCUUUGUUGAGUUUUCUUAGGGGUCCUCUAGCUGUAAGCACAAACGAUGGGAAGAAGUUCUAAGCAGAAGAAACUUGUCUGGUUUUCUGGAACUUGGAAUGAAAUUUGAAGUUGAUCAAUUGGCCUUCUGAUGAGAGUUUAGCUUAGCAACACAGACAAGUUCCUUCUGACUGACUUCUUCGUCACUUACUUCACUAGCAGGAGCCAGAGCAUCAAAUAUCCUUAUCUUUUCAGAGGACCUUGGAACUUCUUUUUAUCAUCAAUUCAUCAUAUUCCUUCUUUGUUUCAAGACAGCUAUUUCUUUUCUUUUUCCUUAUUCUUCCUGCUUCAACAAUCAAAACUUUAAAAAUUCACUACUAGUUCAAAUCUCUCUGAUAAACAAGGACUAUCUAUAGUUUUCUCCUUAAUAUACAAAGGCCGCAGAGAACCUUAAAGGGUAGACAUUAUGCAAUUGCUUCCAUCAUGGCUUCAAAAUUCUUAGAAGGGUAACAUAAAAGGAAAGGAAGAAAUAUCAAUAACCAAUAAACCACCAUGAAUAGAAAAUACAUCCAAGUACAAAAUAUUUUCUGUUCGAAUAGAAACAAUCAUUAGCAGUUUUUAAUUUGUACAUCCUUUCAACAUUAUGCAGUAGCUUCCUUGAGCUGCUUUGUGAUGUUGGCAAAGUAAUAUCCAUGGUCGAAUGCAUGCAUCGACUCUAUGGAAGUUGGCCCCUCUGUUUCAGCAUAAGUUCCUGCACCAUAUGGACUUCCACCUUUCACUUCCUUCACAUUGCCAAACUCAUUACUGUAUGCAAAUCUUAUUCCAAAUGGAACAAAUAUCAUUCCAUGAUGAGCCAGCGGGGUGAUAGCAGUAAGCCUGUCAUAGAUUCCACUUCCACACAAUGAAUAAAUAAUAUAUACACUGAGAAAUGACAAUGCAAAGUCUCUUUAUACUAUUAUUUAAUCAUAAAUUGUUACAUGUGAUAAGUUUGUUAACUUUUAAUAUAACGACCUUACAAGCUAAUCAUACCAACGAUGAUUUCUAAUUGAUUGACAGUGUACAAUGACAUUGUGUGUCUAUUAAACUCUUCUACAAUUUUCUUACCAUCAUAAUUUCAUUCAAAUCAGGAAAUUGAGGAUUAAGAAAUUAACUACAUUCAAGAGGAUCUUACACUGUAGUCUCUUGUCCACCACCUUGGGAACUGGUGCUGGUGAUGAUUCCAGCGGAUUUGCCUGCAAGCCGUUGUGUUUUACACAGUUCUUCAGUUGAAUCUAGAAAAGCCUUAAACUGAGCAGCCAUCAUUCCAAAUCUUGUUGGGAAGCCAAAGAUAAAACUAUCAGCCUCAGGGAGCUGAUUGGGGUGAAUAAUUGGUACAAUACUCUUGGGUAAUGCUCUCAGCUUAGCAAGCUCCUCAGAUGGCAGUGUUUCAGGUACCUGUUUAUGUGUUCAAUGAAGUUAAGGAGGCAUAUAAUAUAUAUAACACCAUCAUUCAAAAUGAAGGAACAUAUCUAACAGAAUGUGUGAAUUCAACUUUGUGAAAGUCAGAUGGGAAGAACUAUGAUGAUGAGAUAAAAUUUAAAAACCAAUUAUUUAUGAAAAAAUGGAAUGCAUAGGGAUAGGAACUGCAACAAAUGAAACAUAAACACAUGCCUGCCAUAGUGUGGCCUCAGCACCUUCUACAGAGUUAACCCCUUCCUGUACUUUCUUUGCUAGUUUUUCUAUAUGCCCAUACAUUGAAUAGUACCUGUCAAAGUAAUGGAAAAUUUUCAUAUUUUUGUAAAAUAAGUUGACAGAAACAUGCUCAAAUCUUUACUUUAGAAUAAAAUGAAAAGGGUAAUGAAGCAAAUGUUAUUGGUGACAAUACAAAAGACAGAGGAAAUACAAAUCACGAUUAAGAAAAGAUGAGGCAAACAUCAAGGUUAUAUAAAAUUUAUCAGUAGAUAGUCUUCUAUAAACAGAAAAUAAGAUAUCCUUCAGAAGGUAAGAAUAAAGAUGAUUGCAGUAUUUGCAAAUCACUGUAGAAGGACCCUAUAUGUAAAAAGCUGAUGAUUUGUCAACGUUUGAAAACCAAUUAUGUAAAUUUAUUACUCUAAAUUUCACAUAUAUCUAAUGCUAAAAAUGCAAACUUUUACUGCAAUCAAAUUCAUGAAUUGUCCCUCGGUACUGUAGUCUCUUGUCAUUUGUAAGAGAAAGCUAUCUUGGUAAAUUAGCUUAUUUGUUUGGAAACAAUAACGAAUAACCCCAUUUCCUUUGCUGGUAGGUCAAAACUUAUACAUCACCAAAAAAGAAAGACUAGCCAUAAUGAAAUUAGUUUACUAUGUUCCUUACCCAGAAAAUGCUCCUCACAUAAUCUCAGACUUUCUAUCACAACCAUCAAUCUUUAUUAUCUCUCAUUUUUUUUUUCCAUUUUAUCCACGGUUUGCAUGGUUCAUUGUCGGAAAAAUCUGCGUGUAAUUAAUUAUGUGAAAGAAACAUUCCCGUUAAUUAAAGAUGAAACAUUCCUGAACAAAAAUGCAUCAUAUCCUAUAGGGUCAGAGUCCAAGAACCUCAAAAGAACAUCGAAGUUUGAAAGUCUUCAAAUUAAACUAUGAAAACUGCUAACCAGUACCCUUGGGGCAUUGGUUAAGAAACUAAAAGGAGAAAGAUUUUUCUUAAUUAAAGAAGUAAAAGAAACCCAGUGAACGAAAUUCCAUGCUAAGCAUCAUGAUGCACCAAUCCAUGCAAGGAAGAAAGAACAAGGUACUCAAAAUGAAUAGAAAAAGAACAAGAAAGAGCACUAACAAUGAAAUGAAAGACAGUGGAAGACAGAGAGCAAUGCAGCACGUGGACAUAGAUUAACUAGCUAUGAUUAAAUAAAAUAAAUAAAAAAUAAUCAAUUAGUGAAGACAUGUAAGGUUUAGAAAGGUCAUACACAAUGUAAAUUUUGACAGCCAUUGGUGAUCCUCCAAGUGCAAAUCUCUCUCUGUGCUUCUUCUCUUUCUCUCGUUAGUAUUCUCAGAAUCUCAGGCAAAUGAAUUGAACAGUGUAAUGUGAAGAUUGUGAAAAAAGCGGGAAGCGCAAGCUUUAUAUAAUUAUAUGAGCUUUGCGUUUUUAAUAAAAUAAAUAAAAAUAGGGGUAAUAAAUAAGAGUCCUUUGGGGGUGAUUAGUCCGUUUGUGUGUGUGUUUUUUAAUGCAAAAACUUAUACUCUGUGACUAUAAUAGAAAAAAGAAAACUUAUACUAUGUGACUUAGACUUACAAAUUUUUCUUGUGGAUUUUGUUUGCAGAAUUUUUUAUUAAUUUAGUUUUUUUAUCUUAAAAAGAUUUUUUUUUUUCAAAUUAUGUUAUAAUUUUGGCAUAAAAAAUAUGUUGGAUAUAGCUAAUAGCAAUACAGUUUUGUGUAUGAGUGUGAAACUCUUUCCCGUUGCUGUUUGUUAUGGACCCUGAUUCUUAUAUUGUUACAUUGGGGAACAAACAAAUUUAAUUUGUUAAAGUAUGCAUAAUGUGUUAAUACUUAAUACAGUUCAUGAUUUCGCACAAGCCCACAAGACACGCUAGGAUUUUCGGUGGAAAAAACAGAGCAAUGAAAAAGUAAAGUGUUUUCAUAUUAUCUUUGAAGAAACUAAAAAGGAAAGUGGAAAAAUAAAGUGUGACGCCACUUUAGCAUUUUAUAAAUAAAUAAAAAGUUGAAGAAGCGUUUCCCUUUGGUCCCUUUAUAUUUUUUUUCACUGCCACGCUUUGUCUGUAUUCACAAAUACUUGCUUAUCUUUUGCACCUCCACAGUAAUACUAACAGUAACACAAGUCGUUCUCAACAAAUUUGCUUCCAUUUUUGCAAUUAUAAUUUCUUGUCACAAAAUGAGGACAUAUGAUGUAUUUGUGAGCUUCCGCAGUGAAGACACACGCAACAACUUCACUGGUUUUCUUUUCCAAGCUCUCUCUAGAAAAGGCAUUGAUGCCUUCAAAGAUGACAAAGAUCUCAAGAAAGGUGAAUCCAUAGCACCAGAGCUGCUACAAGCCAUUGAAGGAUCUUGCCUUUUUGUCGUGGUCUUUUCGAAGAACUAUGCUUCCUCAACUUGGUGUUUGCGGGAACUGGCAGAGAUCUGUAAUUGCAUUGAAACAUCGCAGAGACGUGUUCUGCCUAUUUUUUAUGAUGUUGAUCCAUCUGAAGUGAGAAAGCAGAGUGGAUAUUUUGAGAAAGCCUUUGCUGAACAUGAGAAGAGAUUCAAAGAAGAUAAAAAGAAGAUGCAGGAAGUACAGGGAUGGAGAGAAGCUCUGAAACAAGUGACAAGUGACCAAUCUCUCUGGUUGGGAUAUUAGAAAUAAGUAUGUAAUCCUCUCUUACUUAUUUUCUCGAAUUUCUUACCCAUUUUUAAAUUAGUGUUGAGAGAAACUGAAAGAGGUAACAUGCACAUUGGGUUGAAAUUUAUACGUACAUGUUUAAUGCAAAUAUGUUAAACUUCUUCUGCGCAUGUACCUAUUUUGUUUUGGUUCUCUUUGGUGAUGAUUUUGCAUUCUUCAUUUUCUUUAAAUCUUUAGGCCACAAUGCGCGGAGAUUGAAGAAAUUGUUGAAAAGAUAAAAUAUAUAUUGGGUCAAAACUUUUCUAGUCUUCCAAACGAUGAUUUAGUCGGGAUGAAAUCUCGUGUUGAAGAAUUAGCACAGCUUUUGUGUUUAGGGUCAGUUAAUGACGUCCAAGUUGUCGGAAUUAGUGGGUUGGGGGAAAUAGAAAAGACAACUCUUGGUCGUGCUUUAUAUGAAAGAAUCUCUCAUAAAUAUGCUUUGUGUUGUUUUAUUGAUGAUGUAAACAAAAAAAAUUAGAUUAUGGUAUAUUAGGUGUACAAAAGCAAUUACUUUCUCAAUCUCUAAACAAAAAAAAAAAUUAGAGAUUUGCAAUGUAUCCGAGGGAACAUGUUUGUUAUGGAGUAGGCUUUACCAUGCAAGGGCGCUAAUAGUUCCAGUUAGCGUUGAUCAAGUUGGAUAAUUAUAGAUGUUUAUAGGGAGUAGAGAUACUCUAUUACGUGAAUGUCUGGGUAGAGGGAGCAAAAUCAUCAUAAUUACAGGGAUCAACAUAUAUUGAGGGCACAUGGUGUAGAAGAAGUUUACCAAGUCCAGCCAUUGAAUGAAGAUGUUGUUCGAUUGUUUUGUAGAAAUGCUUUCAAAAGUAAUUAUAUUAUGAGUAAUUAUAAAAAGUUGACUUAUGAUGUACUAUUACAUUGUUGAGGGCAUCCUUUAGCAAUUGAAGUAUUGAGCUCAUCCUUGUUUUGUCGAAAUGUCCUACAAUGGAGAACUGCGUUGGCCAAAUUUAAAAACAAUAAAAGUAAAGAUAUUACGAAUGUGCUGCGAAUAAGUUUUGAUGAGUUGGAGGACAUAGAGAAGGACAUAUUUCUUGAUAUUGUUUGUUUCUUCCCCAUUUGUGGAGAGCAAUAUGCAAAGAAAAUUCUAGAUUUUCGUGGAUUUCAUCAUGAAUAUGGCCUACAAAUUCUUGUUGAUAUAUCACUCAUAUGCAUGAAAAAGGGGAUAAUUCAUAUGCAUAGCUUGUUGAGCAAUCUCGGCAGAUGCAUUGUUAGAGAAAAAUCACCCAAGGAGCCAAGGAAGUGGAGUAGGUUGUGGGAUUACAAAGAUUUCCACAAUGUUAUGUCAAACAAUAUGGUUUUUGAAUAUAAAAUCCUAAGUUGUUAUUUUUCUAGAAUUUGUAAUACUUCAAAAGAACUAAUAUUUUCUUUUCCCUUUGCAAUUUCUAAGGAAGCAGAAAAUCUUGAAGCCAUUGUUGUUAGAAGUCCACAUAAGUUUGCUCAAACAAUGAGGGUCGAUGCUCAAACGUGUUAUCUGGCAAAAUAAAUUUUUCUGGAAAAUUUGAUAACCUUUCCAAUGAAUUAAGAUAUCUUUCUUGGAAUGAAUAUCUUUUUGAGUGUUUGCCACCAAGUUUUGAAGCAAACAAACUUGUAGAAUUGAUCUUGUAUGCUAGCAACAUCAAACAAUUAUGGAAAGGUAGAAAGGUAAUGUAAAUUGUUAUUCUUUUGCAAUUUUGUUUUUUCUUGAAAUGAACAAAUAGAAAGACAAACUUUCUAAUGUUAUUUCCUUUUUUUCUCUAAUUAAUUAAAGAAACAAAAGAAAGGUGAGUGUAAUUAGUAACUUUGUUUCCUAAUUUUUUCCAUUUAUAGUAGUGUCUACACAAUUUGAUAUAUUUGAUUCUCUCUCACUCCAAAAAUUUAAUUGAGAUACAUGAUUUAAUAGAGGCCCUAAAUCUUGAGCGGCUAGAUCUCCAAGGAUGUAUACAACUUAAGAAGAUUCAUCCAUCUAUUGGCCUUCUAAGAAAGGUUAUUGAUGCAAUCUUCCCUAGAAAGGGACCAGUCACUAGAGCCAUGAGCAAGAGGAUUGGGCUAGAGCUGCUGAAGAAGGCCCUAGGGUUCUCAUGAACCUCAGAGUAGAUUUCUGAGCCCAUGGGCCAAGGUUAGGUCUAAUUAUCGUUGUACAUAUUAGACUAGGAUGUCAUUAUAUUUGGUCCUUGUAUUUAGGGCUCCAUAUUGUAGGUAGGGUACCCUAGAAAUAUAGGAUUUUUCAGCCCUUGUAUUUUAGGGCACCUAGACUAGUUUUUGUAUUAGGGGUAGUUUUGUAAUUUCACAUGCACUAAGUGAAUAUUUGAUGUGUGUGGUUGGAAAUAAAUUUAAUUGAAUUGGUAGAAGCCCAAUCCAAUUAAAUUUUAGAGGGGAAGGUAAGCAUUUGCUUACUACACCCCAUUACCACAUCAUAUAGUCACACUUUGUGCAUGUCCUUCAUGCUUUACAUGCCUCAUGACACCCAAACACACUUAGUGGAGAAUCUUGAAAUUGAUCAUGGAUUAGUGGGUUGAACCAUAACUAAAAUUCACUAAUCAUAAUUAGUGAAAUUUUAGCUCCAAAGUUUGGUCCACAAAUUCAAUUUCAAAUUUAAGUGAAAUUUGAAUUGAAAUUCAAAUUUCCCUCCAAUUUUGUGUGACACUUAGACUAUAAAUAGAGGUCAUGUGUGUGCAUUUUUUCAACUUUGAUCAUUUGAAUAUUAGACUUCAGAUUUCAAAGCUCUUUUAGAGCACAAAAUUUUGUGCUCUUCUCUCCCUCUCCCUUCAUUCAUCUGCUUCUUCCUCCAAGCUCUUAUCCAUGGCCUCCUAUGGUGGUGAACUUCUUCUAGACUCAUCUUCUCCUUGAAGUGGCAUCUCCUCUCUCUCUUCCUUCUCCAUUCCGCUGCCAUUCAUCUUCCAAGAAGCAAAGGAAUCCAUUGAUGAAGAAGAUUCUAGGCCUACAAGCUCCAAUGGAGCUUACAUCUUGUGGUAUCAAGAGCAUCUUCAUCUAGGUGAUGUUCUUUUGCUUCCUCUAUCUUUUUGUUUGGUGAAUUCUCUUUAAUUCCUUGUUCUUCAUAUUAUUCUCCAUGUAUAUCCUCCAUUGUCUUGUGGUUUGGUUAUGUUUAGAGUAGAUUCAAAAAAAUAAACCGAUUAAAUCUUAGAUCUACACUUGUUCUUGCAUUUCUAUGGUUCGAAUUUUGUAGAUCAACUCUUGAAUCAUGUUUUUGUGUUGAUUUUAGGUUUUAUCAUUUUUCAUUCAUAAUAUUCUUGUGCUGAACCUUAGAUCUUAAUUUUCUUCCAAAAUAUUGAUUAGAAAAAAAAACACAAAAAUCUAAGUGUAAAUCACUUAAUCCAUGUUGUCUUAGAGUCAUGUUUAGUCAUAGUAAUUGUCACAUUAUGUUCUAAGUUUGUGUUGAAUUUUUAUUUUGUUGAUUGAAUUCUAGAUACAUUUGUUCAUGUAUUCUUGUUAUUCUUAGCCUAUCUUUUGAAUUUUGAGUCUAAUUCAUGCAUGUUAUUUAGUUUAUAACAUGUUCUAAAUCAAUUCCUGGAAGUAGUAUGGUUGUUGAACUCUUUUUUUGUUUUCUAAGAUUCCUACAUGAUGCCUAUGAUGAAGUUGAGUUGUGGUGCUGAGUUAUGGCUGGAUUUGUGAAUCAAAUAAGUCUUAAGCUCUCUUGAAUUGUUUUAUUCAAGAUAAUUGAGCAUAACCAAACACAAAUUGUAACUAUCCAAGCCUUAAGCAACAUAAACACUACUCUUGAUUUCUAGGUUGAAAUUGUUGGUGCUGGUAGCUUGAACAUACAAAAUUGUAUAAAUUACUGGGAAUUGGUCACUACGUGUUUUGAGAUGAAAGUUUUACUGAAUUUUCUACACAUCUGGAUCCAAAUUAUAAAAAAAGAACCAAGCGAUUUGGAUUAAAGGAAAAAAUAAGAAAAAUCACACAAGUUGGCAGGAAAAUCAGUGUCCAGGAAAAAAAGAGUGAAAGGGAAGUGUGCUUGUUGUUUUGGCUCAAAAUUUGUUCUAUAAUUGGUGCCUCUUUUAUACCAAUCCUAGUUCUUAAAUUUCAAUUGAAAAUUAUUGUGAAAACAAGUGCCAAAACUAGAGAUUUCUUGAGUCAUUUUUUUUAGUUUUUCUACUCUACUCUAGAGCCAUUCUAGGUUUCUCUUUGAGUCCUGGCUUACUUUUUUGUGCUUUUCAUUGCUUUAAUUGUUAAAUAAUCCUUGAAAAUUUGUCUUGUAAAAAAUCUAUUGGUUUAGAUUUCAUUUAUUUAUUUUUUGUUAUUGCUUGUCUCUUUGUUUCCUUGCUUGUGAGUUGCCAUAUAGGGAAUUGGAAAGGAGGAUUGGUGUCAUAUCUUGAAGAAUUUGAGUCAAGAAACAAGGGGCCAACCACCUCAAGAGAUAUUGGACUAAGAAGCACUCCAAAUUGAGUGAAACACUAAAGAGAGAAUAUCCACCACAAUUGAGGAAUUUUUUCUUUGUAAUUUUGUAAUUGGCAAUUUGCUUUGCUUUCAAAUUUUGUAACAAAAAGGCCUUUCAUUGGAAGUAAGUUGGGAGCCUCCGCUAGGUCACCCUACUUCCAUUUGUGUGUAAUAAUUUUAGGCAAUUUUCCCUUAGGAUAGUGAGUGUUUUGUUAGGAACCUUAAAUGAGGUCAUCCAAACACUCUUAGGAUCCACCUAGUUUGCAUUUCUUGCAUUUUAAUUUCUUGCUUACUUUCAUAGCUUAUGUCCUUUACCCUCCAUUGUCAAAUCGCCUAGAUAGCUUGCCUUUUACCAAUUAGUUUUUACCUUAUCUUUCACACCUCUUUUAGUGUUUAUUUUGGCUAGUUUCAACCAUAGUUUCUUUUACCUUUUGUUUUCAAACCCCCAACAAGAAAGAACCAUAACUUAGGAACCAACAUGAGUCUUCAUUCUUCAUCUAGUGUUAAUGGUGAGGGUUCUACUCCUAAGGACCCAUUGUAUAAGAUAUUAGAUGAGUUGAGAUCCCUUAAGUUGUGGAAAUAAAAACAAGAGAGAAAAGAAAAAGGUAAAAAAAGAAUGGAAGAAAUAAGUCAAGAUGAAAGAGAGAAAAUAAGAGAGGAAGAAAGAACAAAAAUAAUGAAAGAAAUGAAAAGAGAAAAACAUGUCUCCUUUAGUAGUCAUGACUCUUGCAAGAGUUUAAGUGGAGAACUUAGCGACUAUUAUAGAGGGCGCCAUAGUUCACAUACUAAACAUCACUCCCAAAGAAGAGAAAAGGAUAGAAGGCCUCAAGAGGUUAACAUUAGCCUCUCAUAUUUCCAUGGAAAAGAUAAUGUUGAGGCCUACUUAGAUUGGAAAAUGAAGGUUGAACAACUCUUUGCUUGCCAUCAUAUCAGUGAAGAGAGAAAAGUUCCAUUGGCUACCCUUAGCUUUCAAGGGUAUACCCUCUAUUGGUGGACUUCCCUUGUUAGGGAAUGAAGGAUUCAUGGGGAUCCUCCAAUAGAGUAUUGGAAUGAUCUUAAGAAUGCCCUUAGGAAGAGGCAUAUUCCCUCCUACUAUGAAAGGGAGCUUAUGGACAAGCUCCAAAGGCUUAGAGAAGGGAGUAUGAGUGUUGAAGAAUAUAGAAAAUAAAUGGAACUACUCCUUUUAAGAGCUGGACUUAGGGAGGAGGAAAGAACAAGCAUAGCUAGGUUCCUUAGUGGGCUUAAUAUGGAAGUGAGGGACAAGGUUGAACUCCUUCCAUAUAGGGACCUAGAUGAGCUAGUCCAACUUUGUAAAAGAGUGGAGCAACAACUUAAAAGAAAGCCUUCUUCAAAAUCUUAUGGCUCUCACUCUUAUCCAAGGAAGGACCGAGCCCAUGGAAUUUUGGGGGCUGCACCUUCAAAACCCAAGGAAGAUAAGGGUAAGACCAUAGAGAAAUACACCCCUAAAGCUAGUUCCCAAGAAAGGACUAGCAACAUUAAAUGCUUUAAAUGUCUUGGGAGAGGUCACAUUGCUUCUCAAUGCCCCACAAAGAAAGCCAUGAUCAUGAGGGGUCAAGACAUUUAUAGUAGUCAAGAGGAGACUACUUCUUGCCCUUCCUCUAGUGGAAGUGAAGAUGAAGUAAGGGGUAAAGAGUCUAGUGAGGAAGUCUAUCCCCAUGAAGAAGGUGACCUCUUAAUGGUUAGAAGGCUCCUUGGAGGUCAAUCUUGUGAUCUAUCUCAAUCCCAAAGAGAGAACAUCUUUCAUACAAGAUGCAAAAUUUUAGAUAAAAUUUGUUCUCUCAUUGUGGAUAGUGGAUCUUGUUGCAAUUGUUGUAGCACAAGAUUAGUUUCCAAGUUGAACCUCACUAUCAUUCCCCACCCAAAACCUUAUAAACUUCAAUGGCUCAAUAAGCAAGGGGAAAUAAUAGUUAACUAACAAGUGAAGGUACCUUUCUCCAUUGGGACAUAUAAGGAUGAAGUUAAUUGUGAUAUAGUUCCCAUGGAGGCAGGACAUAUUCUUUUAGGAAGGCUGUGGCAAUUUGAUAGGAAGAUCAUUUAUAAUGGCCUAACUAAUGAGAUUACCCUCACCCAUCUUGGCACUAAAUUUGUGUUGCAUCCUCAAACACCUUCACAGGUGGCCAAAGAUCAACUAACUAUGAAAGAUAAGAGGGAUGAGGAUGAAAAAUUAGAAAAACAAAAGAAAAAGAAGGAUAGUAAGGCCUUGUCUUCAAAGGCCAGGGGGAAGGAAAAAGAGGGAAAGGAUUCCUCCAAGAAGAUUGUUAAGAAGGAAAAUCAUUUUGCAACAAAAGGUGAUAUUAAAAGAGCACUCAUUCUUAAAAAAUCUUUCUACCUUCUCCUAUCAAGGGAAACAUCCCUUAGCAUUGUCACAAUUCCUACAUUUGAGACCUUACCCCCAAAGGUCCAAGAACUCUUACAUGAAUUUGGUGAUAUAUUUCCCAAAGAGAUACCCCUUGGGCUACCUCCUUUAAGGGGAAUAGAACACCAAAUAGAUUUAGUCCCAGGAGCAAGCCUUCCUAAUAGGCCAGCCUAUAGGACUAACCCUCAGGAGACUAAGGAGAUAGUGUCUCAGAUUAAAGAAUUGUUGGAGAAAGGCUGGGUCCAAGAGAGCCUAAGCCCAUGUGUUGUGCUAGUGUUGUUGGUGCCCAAAAAGGAUGGUACGUGGAGAAUGUGUACAGAUUGUAGGGCCAUCAACAACAUCACUGUAAAGUAUAGGCACCCCAUUCCUAGACUUGAUGAGUUGCAUGGUGCCAAUAUCUUUCAAAAAUUGAUCUUAAAAGUGGUUAUCACCAAAUCAAGAUGAAAAAGGGUGAUGAGUGGAAAAUCGUUUUCAAGACCAAGUUUGGUUUGUAUGAAUGGCUAGUGAUGCCUUUUGGGCUCAAUAAUGCACCAAGCACCUUUAUGAGGCUUAUGCAUCAUUUCUUAAGGGAUUUCAUAGGUAGAUUUGUAGUUGUUUAUUUUGAUGAUAUUUUAGUGUACAGUAGGAGCCUAGAUGAUCACUUAGGACAUCUCAGACAAGUUCUUUCAGUCCUUAGGAAAAACACCCUCUAUGAAAAUAUAGAGAAGUGUACCUUUUGUGUAGAUAAUAUAGUUUUCUUAGGUUUUGUAGUUGGUAGAAAUGUGGUCCAAGUGGACCCUGAGAAAAUCAAGGCCAUCCAAGAAUGGCCCACCCCAAAAAGUGUGGGAGAUAUUAGGAGCUUCCAUGGGUUAGCAAACUUCUAUAGAAGGUUCGUUCCUAAUUUCUCUACAAUUGCAUCACCUCUCAAUGAGUUAGUGAAGAAGAAUGUGGCAUUUACCUGGGGUGAAAAGCAAGAGCAAGCCUUUGCUUUGCUCAAAGAAAAUCUUACUAAGGCACUUGUUCUAGCUCUUCCUGACUUUUCUAAAAGUUUUGAGCUAGAAUGUGAUGCCUCUGGAGUGGGUGUUGGAGUUGUAUUGUUACAAGGUGGGCACCCUAUUGCUUAUUUUAGUGAAAAACUUCAUAGUGCCACCUCAACUACCCCACCUAUGAUAAAGAGCUUUAUGCCUUAAUAAGAGCCCUCCAAACUUGGGAACAUUACCUUGUUUCCAAGGAAUUUGUCAUUCAUAGUGAUCAUCAAUCACUUAAGUACAUUCGAGGGCAAAGCAAGUUAAACAAGAGGCAUGCAAAAUGGGUAGAGUACCUAGAGAAAUUUCCAUAUGUUAUCAAAUACAAAAAGGGAAAAACAAAUGUGGUAGCUGAUGCCCUCUCUAGGAGACACACAUUGUUUUGCUCCCUAGGAGCUCAAAUUUUAGGAUUUGAUAAUAUUAGGGACUUGUAUGCUUUAGAUGAACAUUUCUCUCCCAUUUACAAGAGUUAUGGGAAAAAGGCCCAAGAUGGAUUCUAUUUGGCUGAGGGGUAUUUGUUCAAAGAGGGAAAGCUUUGCAUACCCCAAGGAUCCAUUAGGAAAUUACUUGUGAAAGAGAGCCAUGAGGGUGGGCUCAUGGGCCACUUUGGGAUAGACAAGACCCUUGUCUUACUCAAAGAAAAUUUUUAUUGGCCCCAUAUGAAGACAGAUGUCCAUAAGCAUUGCACUAGGUGUGUGGCUUGUUUACAAGCCAUGUCUAGGGUGAUGCCUCAUGGGCUAUACACACCCUUACCCAUCCCAUCUGCACCUUGGGUAGACAUUAGUAUGGACUUUGUCCUUGGGCUUCCUAGAACCCAAAGAGGUGUAGACUCUAUCUUUGUGGUGGUGGAUAGGUUUAGCAAGAUGUCAUACUUUAUACCAUGCCACAAGGUGGAUGAUGCUUCCCACAUCUCAAAACUCUUUUUCAGGGAAGUUGUGAGACUCCAUGGUUUGCCUAGGACCAUUGUAUCAGAUAGAGAUGCUAAGUUCCUUAGCCACUUUUGGAAAACCUUAUGGGCUAAGCUAGGAACUAAACUUCUUUUCUCUACCACUUGUCAUCCACAAACUGAUGGGCAAACAGAGGUAGUGAAUAGGUCUUUAUCCACCCUUUUAAGGGCUCUUCUGAAAGGAAACCAUAAGUCUUGGGAUGAGUAUCUUCCUCAUGUAGAAUUUGCCUACAACAGGGGGUUCAUAGAACCACCAAGCAGUCCCCUUUUGAGGUUGUCUAUGGGUUCAAUCCCCUAACACCGUUAGACCUCAUUCCGCUCCCACUAGACACUUCUUUUAUACAUAAAGAAGGGGAAUGUAGGUCAGAGUUUGUAAAGAAGUUGAAUGAGAGGGUUAAGAACCAAAUAGAGAACCAAACCAAGGUGUAUUCAACUAAAGGCAAUAGAGGAAGAAAAGAGCUAGUUCUUAAUGAGGGUGACUGGGUUUGGCUCCAUCUUAGGAAGGAUAGAUUCCCUACUAAAAGGAAAUCCAAGCUUAGCCCUAGAGGGGAUGGACCUUUUCAGGUUUUGGAGAGGAUCAAUAACAAUACCUAUAGGUUGGACCUCCCAGAAGAGUAUGGAGUCAGCACCACUUUUAACAUUUCAGAUUUAAUUCCUUUUGCAGGUGGAGCUAAUAUUGAAGAGGAGGAACUAACAGAUUUGAGGUCAAAUCCUCUUCAAGGGGAAGGGGAUAAUGCAAUCCUCCCUAGGAAGGGACCAGUCACUAGAGCCAUGAGCAAGAGGCUCCAAGAGGAUUGGGCUAGAGCUGCUGAAGAAGGCCCUAGGGUUCUCAUGAACCUCAGGGUAGAUUUUUGAGCCCAUGGGCCAAGGUUGGAUCCAAUUAUCAUUGUACAUAUUAGACUAGGAUGUCAUUAUAUUUGGUCCUUGUAUUUAGGGCUCCAUAUUGUAGGUAGGGUACCCUAGAAAUAUAGGAUUUUUCAGCCCUUGUAUUUUAGGGCACCUAGACUAGUUUUUGUAUUAGGGGUAGUUUUGUAAUCUCACAUGCACUAAGUGAAUAUUUGAUGUGUGUGGUUGGAAAUAAAAUUAAUUGAAUUGGUAGAAGCCCAAUCCAAUUAAAUUUUAGAGGGGGAGGUGAGCAUUUGCUUACUACACCCCAUUGCCACAUCAUAUAGUCACACUUUGUGCAUGUCCUUCAUGUUUUACAUGCCUCAUGACACCUAAGCACACUUAGUGGAGAAUCUUGGAAUUGAUCUUGCAUUAGUGGGCUGAACCAUAACUAAAAUUCACUAAUCAUAAUUAGUGAAAUUUUGGCUCCAAAGUUUGGCUCCACAAAUUCAAUUUCAAAUUAAGAAGAUUCAUCCAUCUAUUGGUCUUCUAAGAAAGGUUAUUGAUGCAAUCUUUCCCAGAAAGGGACCAGUCACUAGAGCCAUGAGCAAGAGGCUCCAAGAGGAUUGCGCUAGAGCUGCUGAAGAAGGCCCUAGGGUUCUCAUGAACCUCAGGGUAGAUUUCUGAGCCCAUGGGCCAAGGUUAGGUCUAAUUAUCGUUGUACAUAUUAGACUAGGAUGUCAUUAUAUUUGGUCCUUGUAUUUAGGGCUCCAUAUUGUAGGUAGGGUACCCUAGAAAUAUAGGAUUUUUUAGCCCUUGUAUUUUAGGGCACCUAAACUAGUUUUUGUAUUAGGGGAUAGUUUUGUAAUUUCACAUGCACUAAGUGAAUAUUUGAUGUGUGUGGUUGGAAAUAAAUUUAAUUGAAUUGGUAGAAGCCCAAUCCAAUUAAAUUUUAGAGGGGGAGGUGAGCAUUUGCUUACUACAUCCCAUUGCCACAUCAUAUAGUCACACUUUGUGCAUGUCCUUCAUGCUUUACAUGCCUCAUGACACCUAAACACACUUAGUGGAGAAUCUAGGAAUUGAUCUUGGAUUAGUGGGCUGAACCAUAACUAAAAUUCACUAAUCAUAAUUAGUGAAAUUUUGGCUCCAAAGUUUGGCUCCACAAAUUCAAUUUCAAAUUUAAGUGAAAUUUGAAUUGAAAUUCAAAUUUCCCUCCAAUUUUGUGUGACACUUAAGCUAUAAAUAGAGGUCAUGUGUGUGCAUUUUUUUCAACUUUGAUCAUUUGAAUAUUAGAUUUUAGUUUUCAGAGCUCUUUUAGAGCACAAUUUUGUGCUCUUCUCUCCCUCUCCCUUCAUUCAUCUCCUUAUUCCUCCAAGUUCUUAUCCAUGGCCUCCUAUGGUGGUGAGCUUCUUCUAGACUCAUCUUCUCCUUGAAGUGGCAUCUCCUCUCUCUCUUCCUUCUCCAUUCCGCUGCCAUUCAUCUUCCAAGAAGCAAUGGAAUCCAUUGAUGAAGAAGAUCUCAGGCCUACAAGCUCCAAUGGAGCUUACAUCAAAAUAUUUCUGCCCCAAGCUAAAAGGAAGUGAGAAAAAAAUAUUUUGAUGCAUAGUCAUUAUAUUGUUGUUAUAUAUCUUCUUUCUCACGUGAGGGCUUGUUGCUUGACUAGUUUCAAGGAUUUGUAUUCCUUGUUUUGUAUUUUCCUUACAUUACUUUUCUUCAGUACGGCCAGAUUUUGUCAAAAGACUUUUUUUUACUUAUAGCAAUCACAAACGAGGAUUGAACCUCCUCAACAACACUUUUUCUAGUUUGAUUGUAUUAAAGUUUAUGUCGUUAGCUAAGCAAUCUCGAACAUGUUUCCAUUAGCCUAGAAAAGGCUUCAACAACAACAAUUUUAAAAUAAGAAGCAGUGGUACAUUGUCUUCUAUGUUCUAAAGUACUGAUGACGGUGUCUCCAUUGGAGUUUCUAUAUAAAGCUAUUUAGUAUCCCUUUGAUACACCAGUUGAGUUUGGACAAACAUGGGGAUGGUAUGGUAAUGAACUUAGUGGUGUGUAGAAAUUGUCAGGAAAUCUAGAAUUAAUCCAUGCUCCAUUGGCCCUUUUUAUUUUUUUUUAUUUCUCACUUCUAUUGCACAAUUUUUUUGCAUAUAUUCACUAUUAGCUCAUCAGAUGGCAUGGUUCUGAAAUGUGCAAGUGGUUGUGCUUGUUUAUUGGCUUCAAAAUUCAUGGAAAACGAAUAUAAAAGAAGAAAACAAAUAUCAAUAAUUUAAUUGAGAUACUGAUUUAAGGGAGGCCCUAAUUAAUCUUGAGCGGGUAGAUCUCCAAGGAUAUAUACAACUUAAGAAGAUUCAUCCAUCUAUUGGUCUUCUAAGAAAGGUUAUUGAUCUGAAUUUAGGUGACUGCAAAAGUCUUACCAAGUUACCACAUUUUGCAGAGGCCCUAAAUCUGAAAUGGCUAAAUCUCGAAGGAUGUAUACUACUCAGCCAGAUUGAUCCAUCCAUUGGUCUUCUUAGAAAGCUUACUGUUACGAAUGUUGAGUCUUUCCGGAUGUUCUCAACUGUAUAAUAUCCGGUUAUUAGGUGAACUAAGGGAUUCAGAACAUUUGAAGAAGAUUGAUAUAGAUGAAGAAGCUCCUAUUCCCCAAUCAACAUCUUCCUACUCCAGAGAACAGAAAAAUGCAGUUACUUGUUUAUUGCCUUCCACUCCAGUUUUUCCCUGUCUGCAUGAACUUGAUCUAAGUUUCUGUAAUUUACGUCAAAUCCCUGAUGCUAUUGGAAAUUUAUGUUGCUCAUAAAGACUAGAUUUAAGUGGAAACAAUUUUGCUACACUGCCCAACCUCAAGAACCUUUCUAAACUGCAUCAUUUUCGACUGUCAAAAAUUAGUUGGGAGGGAACACUGCACUAGAAUGUGUUUUUCAUGGUCGAUACAACACUUUCAGGUGUGCAUGCUCCUUCCCUUCCUCCUCCUAUCUCUUUUUGCUCUUUUUUUUUUUGUGUAAGAAUCAGAAACUAACAUAUAGUUGUGUUUGUGGUACCAGGUGAAGUAUCAAUACAACUUUUUUUAUGAGCCUCCAUCAGAGGAUGCAAAAAUUAAAAGCCUUAUUCCUGGAAGUGAAAUACCAAGGUGGUUCAACAAUCAACAUAAGAGCAAUUGGGCCAUAUAUCGAGUCUGAUGGUACCGUGAGAGGGGAAUUUAAAAUACUUCAUAAUCAACUGAAUCCACGUUUUCUUGUUGAGGUGAAGAAAUAUGGGUAUUGUUGGGUAUAUAAAAAGGAUCUUGAACGAUCAAACUUAACUAUGAUGCAUAGCAGAAAUCCCUCAACCCAGAAGCGCAAUUUUUCAGCAAUUGAACAAAAUGAAGGAGGAAAUAAAGGAAAAAGAAGCAAAGGUAGAAUCUCAGCAAAACGUAGAAGGAUGCUUCCAACUCCUCCCUGGAAAACACAAUCAAGUUGUUGCAAAAUCAAUUUGAAAAUAUGGACCUAUAGAAUGACCCUUACUCCUGCCUUUUAUUUUGAGUUUCCAUUCACUCAACUCAAGAAUCAGGAAGUGACAUAAAGAGGAACUGAUGCAAAUUCUGAAUAAGCUUGCUAUAAAAAAAAUGUUUUUUCUUCUUCUGUCAUAGGAUGCUUGUGUUGGUUGGCAAAGGAUUUUAUCUCUUUUCUUCUGGUUGUGGUACUGUGUAUCAGAGGGUGAUGCAAUUUCUGGUCUAUUUUGUAACAGAUACAAAGCCAAUGUAUUUUUAUAACUGCUAUGCUUUUAGUGUUUCCAAAUCCAUAUUUAGACAUGUAAUAUUAUGGUUUUCAGGAUUUUCUUAUCAAUCAAUAUAAGAUCGGGAACUCAAACUAAUUAAGGAACAAGAUUUCUGCCCCAAGCUGAAAGGAAGUGAGGAAAAAAUAUUUUGAUGCAUAGUCAUUAUAUUGUUGUUAUAUAUCUUCUUUCUCGCGUCUUGUGUACUUAACACAAAAAUGGAAUCUCUUUCAGUUUUUGAUCCAGACAGCUAUUCCUGUCCUCUAACACGUGAGGGCUUAUUGCUUGACUAGUUUCAAGGAUUUGUAUUCCUUGUUUUGUAUUUUCCUUACCUUACUUUUCUUCAGUACGGCCAGAUUUUGUCAAAAGACUUUUUUUAGUUUGAUUGUAUUAAAUUUUAUGUCGUUACCUUACUUUCCUUACCUUACUUUAGUUUGAACCUCCUCAACAACACUUUUUCUAGUUUGAUUGUAUUAAAUUUUAUGUCGUUAGCUAAGCAAUCUCGAACAUCUUUCCAUUAGCCUAGAAAAGGCUUCAGCAACAGCAAUUUUAAAAUAAGAAGCAGUGGUACAUUGUCUUCUAUGUUCUAAAGUACUGAUGGUGGUGUCUCCAUUGGAUUUUCUAUAUAAAGCUCUUUAGUAUCCCUUUGAUACACCAGUUGAGUUUGGACAAACAUGGGGAUGGAAUGGUAAUGAACUUAGUGGUGUGUAGAAAUUGUCAGGAAAUCUAGAAUUAAUCCAUGCUCCAUUGGCCCUUUUUAUUUUUUUUAUUUCUCACUUAUAUUGCACAAUUUUUUGCAUAUAUUCACUAUUAGCUCAUCAGAUGGCAUGGUUCUGAAAUGUGCAAGUGCUCGUGCUUGUUUAUUGGCUUCAAAAUUCAUGGAAAGCGAAUAUAAAAGAAGAAAACAAAUAUCAAUAAAUAACUAAUGCACCAUGUAUCAAAAAAACAAAUCUUAAUACGAAACAUUUUCUUUUUGAAAAGAAACAGUCAUUAGCAUAUAUGCAAACACAAAAAAACAGAACUCACACUACUAAAAAAAUUGGUUUCUACGACACACUAACCACAUCAGUCCUCCUAAACCGAUGUGGUAUAAUAAGUGGUGGCAAUUUCAUAAUUAUAAAGUUAGAAAAUGAAGACAGUGAUAUACAAGCCCGUCUUUGAAUUGCGGAAACACUACUUCAACGACAUUGCUUUGGUGAACACCGUGGUGGUUGGCGUGGCAUUAUAGUCACGUGACUGGAACAACACUCUCAUGACCUUAGAAGACUUAGUUGUGCACCCUAUAUGUGAAGAUCAGUCGAACAACACUCUCGUCACUCAGUUCGCAUCGUGACUCAGCUCUCUACCUUCCUUAGUCAUCGUCACUCCUUCGUCACCCCGACUUAUGGUGGUCAUCAUGACUCAGGUCACUCUUUUUGCGGUGGCGCACCCCUAGCCUAUUGUGACUCAGGUCACCCCUUCCCGCGCGUGUUUGCCCAAACUGAACCCUAGUUUUGUUGUAAGCUUUAUUUUUUGUCCCUCUUUGACAUUUGUAGUUAUUUUCCGUUUUCAUUCUUUUAUUGAAAACAGACAAAGAAGCAAACAAACUACUUUUGAUUUUUCUACCCAUGCUGAACCUUUUGGUAGUAUUUUUGAAAACAGACAAAGAAGCAAACAAACUGACAUAUGUAGUAGUAUUUAGUAGUAUUUUCUACCCAUGCUGAACCUUUUGGUCAUACUUUUGAUUUUUUAUUACAUUGUUCAAAAGGUAACACCAAUGUAGAAAGCGCAGGUUACUACGUCGUGCCUGACGUCACCACCGAUGUAGAAAACACGUUUUCGAAGUCUGACGUCAUCCCCGUAUUCGAAAGGCACCCUUCUACAUCGGUGGUUUGGUUGGCACCGAUGUAGAAAUCAGUGUAAUUCUACAACGGGCGAUUGUCGACCGUUGUUGAAAGUUUUUACUUUCAACUACGUUAGUAUCAACAACGUUUGAGCACCGAUGUAGAAUACCCAUUUCGACCGAUGUAGAAUAGCAAUUUUCUAGUAGUGUCAAUAUACAUUUAGUACUGAAGCAAUUUCUUUGAUAUGGCAACAAUAUGGUUCCCUUUGCGGAAUGCAUACUACAACUCUAACCAAUUUGGUGGCCUUCCAGAAUAUCCCUGCACCAUAGAAAACGGACCAUACAUUUGACAAAAUAAAAAGGUUAUCACUUAGAUUUUGUGUCAGCUAGACUUAAACUCAUCCAAUUUCUCUGUCGCGAAAUUAUCCUUCCUUCCUUUUAAAAGUCCUACAGACAAUUAUAUAUUAAAAAAAAUCUCUUAAUUUGAUUCUCACAACUAACAAUUUCAUAAGAAUUAGUUAUACCCACAAAAAUUUACUUGAUAAGCAAACUAUUUCACUUCUGGAUAAUUACUAUUUUAGUCAGCCCAUUUUUAUAUGACAAAUGUUUAUAUUUAUAAAAUUAAAAUUCAUAAUAAAUAUUAUAUAUAUAUAUAUAUAUAUACAUAUAUUAUGUUUUGGAUUUAAAAUGAAUAUGUAAAUUGUGGUAUAAUAUUAUUUUUAAUUUAUUAGCAAUUUUAAAUGUAUAAAAAAAACUAUUCAAUUUAUAGAUAAAGAGAAAGAGAAAGAGAAAUGCAUUAAAGGAAAUGAUGAUUAAGAAUAUCAAAUCUAUAAAUAAAGAUAAAAUAAGGAUAAUAUAUGAAAUGAAAUACACAUCUAAAAUAAAGAAGGGGGAAAAUGAGAAUAAAUUUUCAAGUCUUCCAUGUGAUGAUCUAGUUUGGAUGGAAUCUCGAGUAAAAGAAUUAGCAAAGCUUUCAUGUUUGAGUUCAGUUAAUGGCGUUAGAGUUGUUGGAAUUAGUGGAAUAGGAAAAUGAUUUGGCCCUCUUCAUUAUCUUUAAAUUGUUAGGCUACAAUUAAUAUGCUGAGAUUGAAGAAAUUGAUCAAAAAACAAUUAUCAUAUUGGGUCAUAAAUUUUCAAGUCUUCCAUGUGAUGAUCUAGUUGGAAUGGAAUCUCAAGUAAAAGAAUUAGCAAAGCUUUCAUGUUUGAGUUCAGUUAAUGGCGUUAGAGUUGUUGGAAUUAGUGAAAUAGGAAAGACAACUCUUGGUCGUGCUUUAUAUGAAAGAAUCUAUUAUUAAUAUGAUUUUCGUUGUUUUAUUAAUUAUGUAAGAAAAAUUUAUGGAGAUUUCAGUACACUAGGCAUACAAAAGAGAUUACUUUGUCAAUCUCUAGAUGAAAAAAAAACCUAGAGAUUUGUAAUGUAUAUGAGAGAACAUGUUUGUUAUGGACUAGACUAUGCCAUGCAAGGGCACUAGUUGUUCUUGAGAAUGUUGAUCAAGUUGGACAACUAAAGAUGUUUAUAGCUAAGGAGUAGAGAUUCUCUAUUAGUUGAAUGCCUAGGUGGGGGGAGCAUAAUCAUCAUAAUUUCUAGGGAUGAACAUAUAUUGAGAACAGAUGGAGUAGAUGAUGUUUACCAAGUGCAGGCAUUGGAUCACGAAGAUGUUAUUUAGUUGUUUUGCAUAAAUACUUUCAAAAGCAAUUAUAUUACAAGUGAUUAUCAAUAAUUGACUUAUGACAUACUAUCACAUGUACUCAAGGUUAUCUCUUAGCAAUCGAAGAAUUAGGCUUAUCUUUGUUUGGUCGAGAUGUCUUACAAUGGAGAAGUUCAUUGGCUAGGCUAAGAGAAACUAAAAGUAAAGAUAUUAUGGAUAUACUCCGAAUAAGUUUUGAUGAGUUGGAGGACACGGAGAAGGAAAUAUUUCUAGAUAUUGCUUGUUUAUUCCAUUUAAUGUUUGAGCAACACAUGAAGGAAAUUCUUAAUUUUUGUGGAUUUCAUCUUGAAUAUGGCCUACAAGUUCUUGUUGAUAAAUCACUCAUAACUAUGAAAAAGGGAGUAGUUGUCUCCUUGGCAAGUGUACCAAGUUGCACAAGUAGUAUUAAAAUGGUAAAAUUGAGUAUUGAAUUCCACAAGGACUAUGUUUGUACUCAGAGUUAUAUAUAUAUAUAUAUAUAUAUAUAUAAUGAUUAAGCAAUUAAUGAAUGGAAAAUAGUUUUGUGCAUAAGAAUCAGUAUUAACAGAAAUAGAUUGAGAAUUAACAACAAAGCAUUAACAAAAAAGUUGAGAAGACCAACGCUUGGAGUAUGUGGUUGGUGAUGAGUGUGGAACGUGUUGGGGGCUUUGCUACCAUGACUUCUCUUGAUGUAAUCCUUUAUUAAUCUUUCUCUUUUAACAUUAAUAUGAUUAUUACCCACAUCUUCAAUUAUAUUCUAACCAAGACCCCUCAAGUGAAAGAAUCUAAAUCCCCUAAUAUCACCCUCGAUCCCUUGGCGAUUGAUUAUUAAAUGAUUUGCAUUAAGAGCGGAGAUGCAUGAAUAGGCUAAAAAAGAUCACUCUAUCCCUAGAUAUGACUCACUUUAGAUGUUCUUCCCAAGUUCUUAGCAUACAAACAUUUUUCAAUAUUUAUAUCCUAAAAUAGUACUUAGAUAUGACUCACUUGGUGUUUUAUUUUGUUUCAUGUUUUUCUCGCAUUUCGUUAUCAUUUUCUUCUUUUCUCUUUUUCUACCUUGUUUUUCUUUGUUUUCCUAGGAGGCCCACAAGCUGCCAUUGUGGUGUCCCCCCCGCCCCGCACAGCCAUCAAUGUCCUCAAGGCGGCCUCGUGCCGCUAGACCUUGCACCAAUGGUGCCGGGGCCGGGGCGCCACCGUCCAUGGUGGUUGCCCCUUUGGCUAAGCCAUUUUUUUGUGUGAGGCAACUAGGGUUUUCCAAAGUUGUUGCAUAAUCGCGGGUUAGGACAGGUCACCCUGACCCGGUUCCAACCCAACCCAAAAAAUAAAAAAAAAAUAAAAAACAAAUUAUUGUUUACACCCCGUUUUUAAGAUAUGCAAAUUUUCUUCAUUUUGGACCUAAUCCAUUUUUGUGAGGUCUGAAAUAAAAUAGAAACCACUAUUUACACCCUUUUCUCAUUUUGGGUCUAGCCCGUUUUUGCAUAAAUAAAAUAGAAACCGCUACUUACACUCUUUUUUUAACACAUGUACCUUUUUUAAUUUUUGGGCCUUGCCCGUUUCUGUGAAAUCUGAAAUAAAAUAAAAAUCACUAUUUACACCCUUUUUUAAAGCAUGCAACCUUUUCUCUUUUUGGGCCUAGCCCAUUUUUGCAUAAAUAAUAUAGAAAACACUACUUAUACCCUUUUUUUUAACACAUGUACCUUUUCCAUUUUUUGGCCUAGCCCAUCUUUGUAAAGUCUGAAAUAAAAUUGAAACCGCUAUUUAUGCCCUUUUUCUGAAUGCAUGCUCCUUCUUUCAUUUUGGGCCUAGCCAUUUUGGUUUUAUGUUAAGUCCGAAACAAAAUAAAACUAAUGAUUACACCCUCUAUUUUAUAUAUGCACCACUGUCACUUAGGAUGGUGACUAGACCCGCCAUGUCAGCACUCCGUCAAUGUUGGCUAAGUCACAAUCAACCCUUUGACUUUAUAAAUAUUAGUGGAUGCCUCUUUAUUUUAUUUUAUUUCUUUAUUGUCUCUAUUGUUUAUUUUUAUUCUUCAAUGUGAUUUUCAUUUUAUCAUUGCGUAGUUAGUUAGUUUAAUUAAUAAUGUAUUAUAAAUAUCUCCUUAUUCAUCUUAUCCCCCCCCCCCCCCCCCACGUUUCAAUCUCGCAUCCCUAAUUACUAAGUGUACUCCUCACUUCUAUUUUAUCGCUUUCUAUCCCCAUUCUAUUUAUUUGAUUUCCUAGUGCUCAAUUACUUAUUUAUUUUUUGCAAAUCCGCAUUGGCAUUCUUUAGUACAUGCUUACGCUCUAUGCACUCCAUGUUGGGUCUCCAACUUGCUUGACUUCACAAAAUUUACCACAAAACUAAAGUCUUUUCUAAAAAGGGUAAAAUUCUCACAUAAAUAAACACUCAAUUCUCCUUAUUCAUUCAACGUACUCCAUGUUGGGUCUCCGAUUUUCUUGGAGGUAUUUCAAUAAAGUGUGAGUAAAUUUUGUGAAUAUCGUGUUAGGUCUCCGACUUGCUUGACUUCACAGAGUUUACCGCAAAAUCAAAAUCUUUCAAAAAAAAUAAUAAAAUGAAAUCAACCCAACACAGAAGCUCUUUUUCUACAAAGAACUACGUAAGUCUGAUUUUCUCAUUGCACCUGGGGAUACAUAAGAGUAAGGGCAAACACCUUGUCGACUUAAAAAAAGAAAAAAAAAACAAAAAAUUUCUUAUUUUUUUCUAAAAAAAGUUAUUAUUUUCUUUAUUUUUCAAAAUAAACAAAAAAUAUAACUAACAUAACUCAUGUUCUCAAGGGAAAAUAAAUAAAAGUCAUUUUAUUUUUAGCACACUCAAUUAAAGGUUGUCGUCUUCAUGAUGGGCGCAUGAGGUGCUAAUACCUUUCACGUGCAUAAACGACUCCCGAAUCCUUUUUUUCUCAGAUCGGAAACCAUUCCUUAUCUUUUUGGUGUUCCCAGUGUUUUCCUUAAAUAAACGUUGGUGGCGACCCCAAGUUUUUCUUUUUUUUUGGAAAUAGUUUGUCUAAUUUUAUUUCAUCAUCACAUCGUGGUCCACGUUGCAACAGAUGGCGACUCCACUGAGGACCUGAUAGAGAGUUAAGCUAUUUGAUUGAGUGUGCAAUUUUAUCAUGACUUUUUCUUUAUUUAUUUUCCCUUUCUCUUUUAUCCUUUCAUUGUGCUUCUGUUCAUUAUCGUUCCAUUAUGCUAUCGUUCUUUUUAUGCUUUUGCUGUUGGAUCGAGUGGCCUCAGAAUAAUUAAGAAGGGGGGUUGAAUUAAUUAUUCCUAAACCUUUAAUAAUUAAAAAAAUUACUCUUCUAAGGCUUUUACUAAGUUGUUAAGAGAAUAAGGAGUAGAAGAGAAACUUAACAGAAAGUAAAAGCGGAAAUUAAAUGCACAGCAGAAUGUAAAAGAGUAGGGAAGAAGGAGACAAACACACAAGAGUUUUUAUACUGGUUUGGCAACAACUCGUGCCUACAUCCAGUUCCCAAGCGACCUGCGGUCCUUGUAAUUUCUUUCAACCUUGUAAAAAUCCUUUUACAAGCAAAGAUCCACAAGGGAGGGAUCCACAAGGGAUGUACCCUCCCUUGUUCUCUUUGAACCUAGUGGAUGUACCCUCCACUCGAACUGAUCCACAAGAGAUGUACCCUCUCUUGUUCUCAGUCAAACCCAAGUAGAUGUACCCUCUACUUGUACCACAAAGGAUGUACCCUCCAAUGUGUUAAGACAAAGAUCUCAGGAGGCUAAACCUUUGAUACUUUGUGAAUAGGGAUACAAAAGAAUUCUCAAGCGGUUAGUCCUUUGAACACUUUUGUAUAAGGGAAUGAGAAGAAUCAAAAUAAUUCUCAGACUGUGUCGUUUUGAAUUCUUUGACAUGGGAGAAGGGAGACACAAAAGAAUUCAGGCGGUUAGUCCUUUGUUCUUUUGGAAAAGGGAGAAGAUAGACACAAAAAGAAUUUAGGUGGUUAGUCCUUGGCGAAUUCUUUUUGGCAAAGGGAGAAAAGAAUGAAAAGAUGAAUAGCACAAGUUUUCAAGGUUUGGAAAACCAGAAAACUUCAGAAAGCUUUUGGUACAAAGAAGAAGAAGAAGUUCAAAGAGAUUCAAGGCUUGUAAAGGAUUGUAUGAAUAAGUGUUCAAGAUUCUUGAAAUGCAAAACAAAGCCUUGCUUUUAUAGACUCUUCAUGUCUGGUCAAGACAACCAUUUAGAAGAGUUAUAACUUUUAGAAAAACUUAAAACCAAUUUGAAAAAGUCAAAAACCUUUUGAAGAGUUACAUCCUUUGAUUUAUUCAGAAACAGUCACUGGUAAUCGAUUACCAAAUUAGUGUAAUCGAUUACACAAGGCUUUUUUGUGAAAGGAUGUGACUCUUCACAUUUGAAUUUGAAUUUCAACGUUCAAAGGCACUGGUAAUCGAUUACCAAAACAUUGUAAUCAAUUACAACUUUUUGAAAUCAAUUGGAACAUUGUAAAUUCAUUUGGAAACUUUUUCAAAUCCAUUUUGCUACUGGUAAUCGAUUACAACAAUCUGGUAAUCGAUUACCAGAAAGUAAAAACUCUUUGGUAAACAUGUUUUGAGAAAAAUCAUGUGCUACUCAAUUUUUGAGAAAAACUUUUCAUACUUAUCUUGAUUAAGCCUUCUCUUGAUUCUUUAAUCUUGAGUCUUGAAUCUUGAUCUUCAUUCUUGAGAUCUUGAACCUUGAAUCUUGAUUCUUGACUCUAAACUUUCUUCUUGAGUCUUGAAUUCUUCUUGAUUCUUAUCUUGAACUCUUGAAUUGUUCUUGAUUCACUUGAGUUGUUCUUUGAUUGAUCUUUGAUUCACUUGAGUUGUUCUUUGAUUGAUCUUUGAGCUUUUUGUCAUCACCUUUGUCAUCAUCUUUUGUUAUCAUCAUUGUUAUCAUCAAAACACCUUUGAAUCACCUUUUAUUCACCAUGAAGCUUUGUUUCUACAUUUUCUUCGAUCUCGUUUCUUUUAUUCUUUGUUUCACUCAUGCUUUGAUCUCGUUUCACUCACGAUCUCUUCACGAGUGUCAUUAUUAACUUUGUCUCCAUUAUUUACCCUACAUUGCGGCCUCUACGCAAUUUGAGAUGUCUGGGUCUCUCAGGUUCCAAAAAUUUAACUGAGAUGCCAGAUUUAGGGGAGGCUCUAAAUCUUGAGUGGCUAGAUCUCAAAGAAUGUAUGAAGCUUAGGCAGAUCCAUCCAUCUAUUGGUCUUCAAAAAAGGCUUACUUUUUUUUAAUUUGAAAGACUGCAUAAAUCUAGUAAGUUUACCCAAUAGCAUAUUAGGCCUUAUUUCUCUAGAAUAUUUGAGUCUUUCCGACUGUUCAAAACUGUAUAAUAUUCAUGUAUUAGAUGAACCAUGGGAUGCAAAGCAAUUGAAGAAGCUUUAUACAGGUGAAGCUCCUAUUCAUUCCCAAUCAGCAUUUUCCUAUUCAAGAGCUCAUAAAGAUUAUGUCAGUUGUUCAUUGCCUUCCUAGCCAAUUUUCCCAUGGAUGUACAAACUUGAUCUAAGUUUAUGUAAUUUAGUUCAAAUCCCUGAUGCUAUUGGAAAUUUAUGUUGCUUAGAAAGCCUAGAUUUAAGUGGAAACAAUUUUUCUACACUGCCUAACCUCAACGAUCUUUCCAUACUGUUCCAUUUAAACUUCCAACAUGGAAAGCAGUUGAAAUAUUUGCUUGAGCUCCUUUCACGAUUUGACUUCCAGUCACCAUGCGUAAGACAGAGUGGCAGAGUUAUACAUUUUCGACUGCCCCGAAUUAGUUGAGAGGGAACGCUGCACUAGUAUUUGUUUAUCAUGGAUGAUAGAACUUGCUCAAGUGUGCACGCUCCUUCCAACCUCCUUCUCUCUACUUUUUUGUGUCUAGGAAUCAGGAACUAACAUAUAGAUGUGUCUGCAGUAACAAUACAAACAUCUUAAUUACUCUAGGAUGGAAUAUGAAAGCAUUCAAAGUGUUAUUGUUGGAAGUGAAAUACCAAGGUGGUUCAACAUUCAGCAUGUGGACAGUUUAAUGAGCAUUGACACAUCUCCCGUUAUGCAUGACAAUAAUUGGAUUGGUGUUGUGUGUGGUGCAAUAUUCCUGGUACGUCAUGAAAAUGCUUUAGAGAUGGGUCCUUCAAACAAAAAAGGAUGAUCUCCUUUCCCUGUUGAUAUUCCAGUGGAUGUUUAUGGGAAUUAAGAGCUAGUUUUGGAUGAACUAGAUCACAUGUGGCUAUUCUAUUUCACUAGAAGAAAAUUCAUUGAAGGGUAUAAUCUCAAAGGCAUUCCUUAUCUUGGUAGCCAGAAAUAGGCAGCUGAGAUAAGCGACAAGACAGGUUUGCAUGUUGAGGUGAAGCAAUAUGGGUAUUGUUGGGUAUAUAACCAAGAUCUAGUACUAUCAAACUUAACUAUGAUGCAAAGUAGAAAUCCAUCAAAUCGGAAGUGCAAGUAGAAGAAAAACUGAUAAAUUGUAUAACCUUUUUUUAAAAAACGUGAACACUCAGCAUCGAUACAAAAGAUAUAGGAGAUAAUUAUAUAGCAUAGUGUACAAUGAUUAUGCAAUAAAGUAAUUAAAUGUGAAUUGAUUGUAGAUUAGAAAAUUCUAAAUAUAGAAUAAAUUUCCUAAAUAUGGUUAGCUGCAAUCUGGUUUAUUUGUGAGAUUGAUUUGUGCCACUUAAAUCAGAUUAGUCUUCCAACAACUUUCCAUUAUCAGUAGCACAAUCAUAGAGAUCUGGUUCCAAUGACUCUUUGUUUCCUUUUUUGCAUGAUUGUCAUUAUUAGUAGCACAAUCAUAGGGAUUUGUUUCCAAUGGCUCUUUGUUUCCUUUUUUUCAUGAUUGUCAUUAUUAGUAGAACAAUCAUAGGGAUUUGUUUCCAAUGGCUCUUUGUUUCCUUUUUUCAUGAUUGUCAUUAUUAGUAGCACAAUCAUAAGGAUUUGUUUCCAACUGCUCUUUGUUUCCUUUUUCUACAUGAUUGUCAUCUAACAGCUGAUUAUUGUUAAUAUCCUCCCUCAAACGAGGCCGAGGUUGAAGGCAGAGUUUGGCCCGAAAAUGCAUGAGAGUAGCUUUGGACACGGGCUUAGUCAACAAAUCAGCAACUUGAUCAUGGGUAGGAAUGUGGUGAGUGACAAGAUGGCCAAGAGCAACUCGUUCACGGACAUAGUGAUAGUCCAAUUCAAUGUGCUUGCUGCGGGCAUGAAAUACAGGAUUGAUGGUCAUGUGGAGUGCACUGAGAUUAUCACAAUAUAACAGUGGAAGGGAUGGUAGUGAAAUGCGAAGGUCUUGCAAGAGAAAGGUAAGCCAUGUGAGUUUAGCGGCAGUGUUUGCCAUGGCCCUAUAUUCAGCUUCCGUGCUGGAGCGAGAAACUGUGGGUUGUUUCUUAGCACACCAUGAGAUGAGAUUUCCUCCAAGAUAGAUACAAUAACCGGUGGUGGAGCAUCAAGUGGUGGGACAACCUGCCCAAUCUGCAUCAGAAAAGGCAAAAAGAUCAAGUGUGGUAUGUGAAGUAAAGUGGAGACCUACAUCAAUAGUUCCCUUGACAUAUCGUAAUAUAUGAUGAGCCAUUUGUAAAUGCACAAUGGUAGGAGAGUUCAUAAAUUGGGACACAAAAUUAACACUAUAUGAAAUAUCAGGGUGAGUAAGAGUGAGAUAUUGUAAAGAUCCAACAAGCCCACGAAAGUAACUUGGAUCAUCAAGGGGAGUGGUAUUGGACGUCAUCAUCAUCUUAGCUUCAAGUGGUGUGCUCCUUGGUUUACAAUCAACCAUGUUAGCUCAUUCAAGGAUGGUAAGGGCAUAGUGUGACUGGGAUAGAUGAAGACCAUCAGUUGUCUGUAGUAUUUCAAUGCCAAGGAAGUGAUGGAGAGGGCCCAAGUCCUUCAUGGAAAAUUCAGAUUGUAGAAGUUUAAUGAAGUCAGAAACUAGAGUGGUAGUGGAUCAUGUGAGGAGUAUAUCAUCUACAUAAAGGAGAAGAAUUAGUGAUCCAAUAUUUGAGUGCUAAAUAAAUAAGGAUGGAUCAGCCUUACUACAAAAGAAACCAUAUUUAAGAAGAAAAGAACUAAAACGAUCAAACCAGGCGCGAGGUGCUUGUUUAAGGCCAUAAAGAGCCUUUUGAAGCUUGCAAGCAUGGUUAGGGAAUUGAGGGUCAGCCAUGCCAGGAGGUUGCUCCAUGUAUAUGUUCUCAUAAAGCAAACCAUGCAAAAACGCAUUUUUUACGUCAAGUUGUCGAAUGGGCCAACUCUUAACAAGGGAUAUGGUGAUGAUUAAUCGGAUGGUGCCUGGCUUGAUUACAGGAGAAUGUUUCAGUAUAAUCUACUCCAUUAACUUGAUGAUAUCCCUUUGCAACAAGACGAGCUUUGAGCUGAUCUAGGGAUCCAUUAGGUUUGAGUUUUGAUUUGAAAACCCAUUUAGAGCCAAUAACAUGCAAGUCACGGGUGCGAGGAACGAGUUCCCAAGUUUUAUUUUUAUGUAAAGCCUCGAGUUCUUUGCACAUGGUAGCCUUCCAUCCAGGAUGAGCUAAUGCAGAGCGAAUAUUAUAUGGGUUACGUGGAAUGUCUGGAGAUGACAUAGUGAUUAAGGCAUACUUAGGAUUUGGCUUUGUAAUUUCGUGUUGUGAGCGAGUAACCAUGGGAUGAGUAGGUACAACAUGUGGAAGUUGAGUCUGGGUAGAAAAGGCAGAUUCAAGUGGUUGUAUUGAGGUAGGAGGUCUAAGCUCAAGGUUUGACUCAAUUGGUGAGUGUUGUGACUCAAGGUUCUCAUGUUCAGGCAAUGAGGGUUGUUCUGGUUGACCAAAAGAUGCAAUAGGAAGUUGUAAGGCAGGAGAUUGCAUUAAAGGAUUUGCACAUGGUGGGGCAGAAGCUGAAACUGUUGUUAUUACUGUUAGGUCUGCACAAGAACUGGAGUUAGUAUGAGGUAGCCAAGAAUCAAAUAUCCUAACUACAUGCUGUGUAGGAGAGGAAUUAUAUGGAAAGAAUGACUCAUCAAAAACAUGUCGUGAGAUAAAAAUUUUCUUACUAGAAGGAUGAAAGCAUUUAUAUCCUUUAUGUAUAUCACUAUAUCCAACAAACACACAAGGAAGGGUUUUAGGGUCGAAUUUGUUACGUCGUGUAUCCCAAGUGUAAGGAAAACAUUUAGAACCAAAGAUACGUAGCAAUGAAUAGUUAGGGUGUGUGCCAUGUAAGACAAAGUAAGGAGUUUCAAAAUUAAGAGAAGACGACAGAAGUCUAUUAAUAAGAAAGACAGUUGUAGUGAAAGCUUCAACCCAUAGACAUAAAGGUGCACCACUAUGAAAUAGCAUAGUCAUACCUAAUUCGCGUAUUACUCUAUGUCUCCUUUCAACUAUACUUGUUUGUUCCAGUGUAUAUGGGCAAGAAACUUCAUGUAUAACACCUGUUAAAUGAAAAUGAGUUGAAAGUUUGGAGUUGAUGAAUUUACCUCCUCCAUCAGAAUGAAAAACUUUGAUUUCUUUGUUAAAUUGUUUUUUUAACAUAUUGUUCAAAAGAUAGAUAAGCAUUAACAAAGUCAUAUUUAUGUUGUAAGGGAAUGAUCCAUGUGUAUUUAGAAAAAUCAUCAACCAAGCAUGCAUAAUAUUUGAAUUUACUAAUAGAUAAGACAGGAGCAGGUCCCCAUAAAUCACAAUGUAUUUUUUCAAAGAUAGAAGAGAUAGAGUGUUCAGAAGAAGAGAAAGGCAAUUUAGUAAGUUUUCCCAAUUGACAACUAUCACAAAGAUGUUCAGAUUUCAAGGUUCCAACUACAUCAAUUAAUCCUUUGUUCUUUAGUAAUUGUAAAGCCUUUAUUUGAGGAUGUCCUAGACGUUGAUGCCAAAUGUCUGCUGAUCCUGAUUUGAAACGAUUAGAAAAAUAUGAUUCUGGCAUAGGGGAAAGAACAUAUAAGUCACCAUUGCGCCUCCCGGUGAUAAUCGGUUUCCUUAUUUCUCGUUCCUUAGCACAAAAAUCAACAUUAGAAAACUCACAAUUAACAGGAAAUUGUUUUGGUAGUUGGCUUAUAGAAAGCAAAUUUUUUGUUAAAUUAGGGACAAGUAAGACAUCAUGAAGAGGUAGAGUAAUAUUUUUUUGCUUAAUGAAUGUGUCUCCAAUACCAUGAAUUGGGAGAGAAGAACCAUCACCAAUAAGCACAGAGUCUGUACCUGAAUAUUGUUGGAUAUUACUCAAUAUAUUGGCUUUACCUGUCAUGUGAUUAGAGGCCUCGGUGUCAGAGGUCCAUUCUAUUUCAGCAAUUGUGUUGUCUAAGGUAAGGGCUGCAAGUGUUUGAGGUAUAUCAUCAGAUUGAGUUGGUUUCUUGGACACCCACCAACAUAUCUUUGCUAUAUGGCCCAUUUUAUCACAAUAUUGACAAUUUUCAUUUCGAUAUUGUUCUCGUUCUGUAGGAGUCAUACGACAUUGUCCGGGUGGUGGAGGAUGUCUUUGUUGUGAGCUCAUAAAGGUUUGGCUUUUAUUUUGGUUCAUGGGUUGUUGAGCUUGAAAUCCUCUACCAGUUGACGUGAAGGUUUGAGAAUUCCUUUGAUGUUGGGAGGAAAACUGACGAGAUCGUUGUUGUUCACCAUAGAAAGCCACUUGAGGAAUGCAAGAGUUGUGCGUAUUGGAAUGAUUGGAGAACCAAUUGCAACGUUGAUCAUGGCUUUGGAGUUGUGAGAUUAACUCAGAGUAUGAUGGCCUUGGAGGUUUUAGCAUAGUUGUUGCGAAUGUUUCAUACUCGUGCCCGAGGCUUGUGAGGAGAUAGAAAACUUUCUCUUUGUUUGGGACAGGUUUCCCAAUUGCAGCAAGGUUGUCGCAUAAACCUUUGAAGGUGUGGAUGUGUUCACCAAUACUUUGAUCAUCUUCCUUACGGAGGUAUGUGAUUUGUUGACGGAGUGUGAAUUCAGGUUCUUGCGAGUCUUCCGCAUAUGAAUCUUUAAGUGUAGUCCAAACAACAUGGGCAGUGUCUAAGCCAACAACAAGUCCAAGUGCUUCCUCAAAGAGUGUUCCAAUUAUCCACCCUCGAAGAAGACGAUUUGUCUUGUGCCAAGCAAUGAAUUCGUCAAUUAAUUUUGGAACAAAAGUUUAUGUGUUUCUUGUGUCAUUGGAAUUUGGUGUGGUGUAUUGAGGAGGGGGGGGGGGCUGGAUCAUCAUUCAUAAGGUGACCAACCAAGUCUUGACUUUCUGCUAAUGCUAAGGCUUGUUCACGCCAUAGUGGGUAGUUUGUAGGUGUGAGUCUCAGAGUGAUGAAAUUGCUAAUAUUUAGAGAUGAGGAAGUCAUGGUGUGGCAAGGUGUUCACAAAGGCUCUAGAUACCAAGAAGAAAAACUGAUAAAUUGUAUAACCUUUUUUUAAAAACAUAAACACUCAGCAUCGAUACAAGAGAUACAGGAGAUAAUUAUAUAGCAUAGUGUAUAAUGAUUCUGCAAUAAAGUAAUUAAAUGUGAAUUGAUUGCAAAUUAGAAAAUUCUAAAUAUAGAAUAAAUUUCCUAAAUAUGGUUAACUACAAUCUGGUUUAUUUGUGAGAUUGAUUUGUGUCACUUAAAUCAGAUUAGUCUUCCAACAACUUUCCAUUAUCAGUAUCACAAUCAUAGGGAUCUGGUUCCAAAGACUCUUUGUUUCCUUUUUUUGCAUGAUUGUCAUUAUUAGUAGCACAAUCAUAGGGAUUUGUUUCCAAUGGCUCUUUGUUUCCUUUUUUCAUGAUUGUCAUUAUUAGUAGCAUAAUCAUAGGGAUUUGUUUCCAACUGCUCUUUGUUUCCUUUUUCUGCAUGAUUGUCAUCCAACAGCUGAUUAUUGUUAAUACAAGUUUUUGGCAAUUGAACAUAUAAAGAAGCAAACGAAAAAUCUCUACAAAUCAGAGAAAGGAUGGUGCCAACUCCUCCCUGGGAAACACAAUCAAGUUGUUGCAAAAUCAAUUUGCAAAUCUUGGCCUAUAGAAUGACCCUUUCUUUUGCCAUGUAUUUUAAACCACAAAUUGCCAAUAUAUCAUCAGAAAUUAUGCAAGCUUCAAGCAAAAGAACAAUGGCAAGAUUUUCAUUUUGAGUUGGCAUUCACUCAAUUCAAGAAUAAAGAAAUGACUUAAAAGGGAACUGAUGCAAAUUCUGAUUCCUGAAUAAGCUUGCAUACAAUGAGGUUUUUGGUUAUCAUAAAAUGCUUGUGUUGGUUGGCAAAGGAUCUGUAAGAAUUAAUGUCUCAUGUGAGAGGCAUGUGACUUAUGUAAGGACUAAUAAGUAAAUAAUUAACGAUUAAGGACUAAAUUGUAACUGGGCUUAAUAGGAGAAGUUUCUAGAGCUAACUGCUACUUGAUGGGAGUAGUGGUUAUAAAAGGGGGUUAAUACCCACUAACGUGAAAUAAAGUCCCCUUCUUGACCAGAAAAGUGUUCUCUCUCACCCAUAGCCAUCACGAACGGAGAGAGGCAGAAAAGAAAUGCCAAAGGAAGUGAAAUCUUAUUUCUCUCCUCUUUCAAGGAAAUCAAAGUGCACCGGAGAGAAGUUCCUAUGGAGAAAGAUACAAGUCUUCCUAUGGAGAAAGGUACACAUUAUUAUCUAUUGUUUUUUAUUAAUUGUUUGUGAGAAUCAUAGGUUUCAAGAUCCUGUUGUUUCCUAUCAUUGAUAGUCUAGGAAACCCCUUAAGAAUUUUUACAUGUGGUAUCAGAGCAUGUGUUAUGAAAUUUAUGAUUCUCUAAGAAUGAUUUAAUUUCUCUCAAUUAUGCAUGAACCCUAAUUAUAAAAUUUAGGGAUAAUUUAAUUUCUCUCAAUUAUGUAUGAACCCUAAUUAUGAAAUUUAGGGAUAAUUUAAUUUCUCCCAAUUAUGAAUAAAUCCUAAUUAUGAAAUUUAGGAAUUUUAUUUUCCACUACAUGUAUUGUUUUAUUAGUAAUAUUUUAUUAUUGUUGAAUACCAAUUUUUGGAAAAAGAUUAUUUGAAAACUUAUGAUUAUCGGAGAGAAAGCUCUACGGCAUGUAUAUAUUAAAUUUGGAGAAAGUUUUUACUUCUAAUGGUGAAAGAAAGGAAGUGUGCCAUUAACGUAAAGAUUCAAUUUCAAUUUUAAAAAGAUGCGUAGGUAGGUUUGUUGUAGGGAAGAAUAAGAAAUUUUGGAAAUUGCUAUUUCCAAUCCCACUUGAUUUUUUUUCCGAAAAAUUAUUGUUGAACGUGAUUAAAGAAUUGAAAGUUUAUGUUUUGUAAUUAAAUUAAUGUGAAUGUUUUGCAAUUAUUGGUAGCGGUAAAUAUAUGUGUAUGCUACAUAUUUGCUUGAACGUGUUUGAAUGCAAAAACACAAAUAAAUGCAAAUAUUAUUUUAUGGCCUGGAAUAAAAUUAAUAGAAUGGCUAUGAAUUGUUAAUAGCAAUAAGUAUGUGCAGGCCAUAUAUAUUUGGUUGGAAUUAAAUGUAUGUUGAAUUUGUUAGUCACCAAAGUGACCAAAUUUGUAAGGUUAUUUAAUUCCAAAUUAAUGAUUAUUUCAAUUAUACUUGGUUGGAAUUAAAUGUAUGUUGAAUUUGUUAGUCACCAAAGUGGCCAAAUUUGUAAGGUAAUUUAAUUCCAAAUUAAUGAUUAUUAUAAUUACUCAUAGAAUAAUGGAUGCUAAAUUAUAUAAUUAUUGGUUUAUGGGUAAUUGAAAUUCAUUGUUAUAAGGCAUUUAUGGAUCGCCCAAAGGUUGAUUAGUUGUUCUUAUAAUUAAUGAAUAUAAUUGUAGGCGAUUUGUGUGUAUCAUUAGUUUUAUUUAUAUGCCCAAAGGAAAUAGAUACUACUAAUUGGUGCAUAUUUAAUUGCCAAAUAAUGUUAAAAUUUUAUUAGCAUCAUUAUGUUUGUAUGUUGUGUGUUGGUGUAUCACCCAAAGGAGAACAUCAAUAUACAUUGACCGUUAUCUGAAUGAAUCAUAUGUAUGACAUGUAUUUUAUGUCUCAAAACACUUAUGUGAAUUUUAUUAUGUAAUACAUGUUUUGAAUUCAUUGGAUUCUUAUGUAUCAUCUGUGCCAAUUUUAAUGGGCUUAACUUCUCUGACUGAAAUGAGCAAGUCCAAUUUCACCUCGAUGUUUUGGAUCAUGAUCUUGCUAUGUUGGAAGAGAAGUUUGUUACUAUUAUUGAUGCUAGUGGCAAUGAAGAGAAAGUUCAUUAUAAAACUUGGGAAAGAUCUAACAGACUCAGCCUAAUGUUGAUGAGAAUGACUGUUGCAGACAGUAUUAAGACAACUCUCCCUAAAAUCGAAAGUGCUAAAAAGUUUAUGGGAUUAGUGGGAGAGUAUUCUCAAACAGCUGAUAAGUCUGUUGCUGGGACAUUAAUAAGUACAUUGACCACCAUGAAGUUUGAUGGUUCACGUACUAUGUAUGAACAUGUCAUUGAGAUGACAAACAUUGCAGUAAGACUUAAAACCUUGAGAAUAUAAUGGUUGUGAAUGAGAACUUUCUUGUUCAGUUUAUUCUAAACUCAUUACCGUCUGAGUUUGGCCCGUUCUAAAUGAACUAUAAUACCAUGAAAGAUAAAUGGAAUGUGCAUGAAUUGCACAGUAAGUUAAUUCAGGAAGAAACGAGGCUUAAGAAUCAAGGAAGUCACUCAGUCCAUUAUGUAAGCCACUAAGGGAAUCAAGGAGCUUGAAAAGAAAUUUAUGAAGAAGCAUAAUAAAGGCAAAUGGUCAUUAAAGAACAAUGACGACUCUUUGCAAAUCCAGAAGAAGGUAUCAAAGGGCAAUAAUUGUCAAUUUUAUAGGAAAUCAAGACAUUUCCAAAAGGAUUCCUUAAAGUGUAAGUCUUGGUUCGAAAAGAAUUGUGAGCUUAAUGCUCAUGUAUGGUUUGAAUCAAACUUAACUAAAGUUUCCCAUGAUACAUGAUGGAUUAAUUCUGGAUGUAUGACUCAUGUUUCUAACAUUAUGCAAAGAUUCCUUACAAUCCAAACCAUAAGCCCAAAUGAGAAGUUCAUUUCUCAUAGGGAAUGGAGUGAAAGCUCCAGUGGAAACAGUUGAGACUUAUCGUUUAAAACUCGACACUGGACAUCGUUUAGAUUUACUGGAAACUCCUUAUGUACCUAGUUUAUCUAGGAAUUUAGUUUCAUUAUCUAAACUUGAUGUUACUGCAUACUCUUUUAAUUUUGGUAAUGGAUGUUUCAAUUUAUUUAAGCAAAAUCAUCUCAUUGGUAUUGGUAUUCUUGUGAUGGUUUAUAUAAAUUGGAAAUAGACAGUUUGUAUGCUGAAACUAUUUUAACUCUACAUCAUAAUGUUGACACUAAACGUAGUUUAGUGAAUGAACGAUCUUCUUUCUUGUGGCAUAAACGUUUAGGUCACAUUUCUAGAGAAAGGAUGGAAAGAUUAAUAAAGAAUGAAAUUCUUCCUUAUCUAGAUUUUACGGAUCUAAAUAUUUGUGUGGGUUGUAUUAAGGGAAAACAAGCACAACAUACAAAGAAAGGAGCUACAAGAAGCACUCAGCUUCUUGAAAUUGUGCAUACUAAUAUUUGUGGACCUUUUGAUAUUAGUUUUUUCGGAAAGGAAGGAUACUUUAUCACCAUUAUUGAUGAUUAUUCACGUUACGAUUAUGUCUACUUACUGCCCGAGAUUUCUUAGACAAUGGAUGCCUUAGAAAUUUACUACAAUGAAGUAAAAAGGCAAUUAGACAUAAAUGUGAAAAUUAUUAGAUAUGAUAAAGGUGGUGAGUAUUACGGAAGAUAUGAUGAAACUGGGCAACACCCAGGUCUAUUUGCUAAGCUUCUUCAAAAACGUGGCAUUUGUACACAAUACACAAUGUCCGGUAGACCAUAACAAAAUGGUGUAUCAGAAAGGCGUAACAGAACUUUAAUGGAUAUGAUUAGGAGUAUGUUAAUCAAUUUGACUUUACCCGUAUCUUUGUGGAUGUAUGCCUUGAAAACUGUCAUGUAUUUGUUGAACAGGGUUCCUAGUAAGGCAGUUCCAAAGACACCUUUUGAACUGUGGACAAAUAGGAUACCUAGUAUAAGACACCUGCAUGUUUGGGGUUGUCAGGCAUAAAUAAGGAUUUAUAAUCUACAAGAAAGAAAAUUGGAUGCAAGAACAAUCAGUGGAUAUUUCAUUGGUUAUCUAGAAAAGUCAAAGGGGUAUAUGUUUCAUUGUUCUAAUCAUAGUAUGAGAAUUGUCGAAACUAGAAAUGCAAGGUUCAUUGAAAAUGAUGAAAUUAGUGAGAGUACAGUUCCAUGAGAAGUGGAAAUUAAAGAAGUUAGAGUGUAAGUCCUUUUAGUUUAUGCCUCUAACAGUAAGGUGAUUGCUCCUUCAGUUAUUGCUACAAAAUUAAUGAAGAGGAGUAACACAAUAAUGAACCCAUGAUGCAUAAUGAACCUAUUAUGGAAGAACCACAAGAAGUAGCAUUAAAGAGGUCUCAAAGAGAAAGAAGACCAGCUAUUUCGAAUGAUUAUGUGGUAUACCUACAUGAAACAGAAACAAACUUAAGCAUUAAUGAUAAUGAUCCAAAUUCGUUUUCAUAAUCUAUAAGUUGUGAUAAUUCUGAGAAGUGGUUAAAUGUCAUGAAAGAAGAGAUAAAUUCCAUGGAACAUAAUGGAGUUUGGGACCUUGUAGAAUUACCAAAGGGUUGUAAGAGAGUUGGUUGUAAGUGGGUCUUCAAGACUAAACGUGAUUCUCAUGACAACCUUGAACGUUACAAGGCUAGACUUGUUACUAAGGGAUUUACUCAGAAAGAUGACAUUGAUUAUAAAGAGACGUUUUCAUGAUCUCACGAAAGGAUUCUUUCAGGAUCAUCAUGGCAUUAGUAGCCCAUUAUGACUUGGAGCUACAUCAGGUGGAUGUGAAAACUGCCUUUCUAAAUGAAGAUUUAGAGGAGAAUGUUUAUAUGGACCAAUGUUAACUCGUUGGCAAGUGUACCAAAUUGUCACAAGUAGUAAAGUACUCGGAAGUCCGAGUGUCGAAUCCACAGGGAUUUUGUGUUGUACUUAUCUUGGAUACUUUUCAAUUUAUAAGGGAAUAAAAGAAAAAGUAGAAGACAGAAUAGAAGGUAAUAAUAGUAAACUAUAAAUAAAAAGCAAAAGAAUUAAAAGCAGAAUAAUUAAAGAGAGAAUUCAAUGGAAUGUGAAUGUUAGGACCUAGCAUGCCUUGUUUGCCUAGGAUGUAUGAGUUUAUGAUUUUUCUUUAUCAAUUUAGGUGAUUCUAUUCUACCCACAUCUGUUCAUUUACUUGCCCCUGAUUCCUCACGAUGACACAAGCCUAUUUUAUUCAUCUAUCUUCCAAAUUCCUUUGCAAAGACUCAACAAAUAAAAUGCAUGAAGUAUGAAUUCUAGAUGUUUGCAAGAAUGCAUGGGCAUAAAAUUAUCAUUCUAUUCCUAGCAAUGACUUUCUUAUGAAAUCCUUUCUUUUUGUUCUAUCAGAAGUUACCCUCUUCCGAGUGUCUAACCUCUAAAACUAAUGCAUGCAUACCUUCUUUAAAUCUUAUUUAGAAGUUACCCUCUCCCGAGUGUCUAACUCCUAAAAGAAUAUAAAGAUGAAUAAUGCAAGAUAAAAGCAGAAAAGAUAACAGAAUAGAAAAACCUGGAAAAUAAUCUUGUUGCAUUGAUAAAUAUGAAGUACAUCAUACAUCGCUUGGCCAUUGAGGGCUUUACAAUGAAAGGGGUGAAAGAAAGAUGAUAAAAAGAGAGAAGAGAGUAAGAAUUCUCAGGCUUUAAGUAGUAGUGAGAGUGCUUUGAGACUUGGUGUUUUUCUCCUUGGCCUGACUCUCCAUUUAUAGCUGAUGAAGUGGACUUGGGCUUGAUUCAAAAAAUCUUCCUUAUCUAUCUUUUUUAUAUCUUUUGAAUCUUGUAAAUCUUAUAUUUCCUAUAUCUACAAGUCAUAGAUAAGAAAAAUAUCAAUUUAUAUCUUUUAAGCCAAAAUUAACUGCUAAAUAAAUAUCUUUAAAGAUAUUUUCAAAUUAGCUCAUAUUUAGCAGUUAUCAAUAUCUUUUAGAUCUUGUAAUCUUAUCUUUUCAUAUCUGCAAGCCAUAAAUAAUAAAAGUAUCAAUUCUUAUCAUUUAAGCCAAAAAUAACUGCUAAAUAAAUAUUUUUAAAGAUAUUUUCAAUAUAUUUUUAUUAUAAAAUAACUCAUAUUUAGUAGUUAUCAACCAACCAAUAUUUUCAAAGAUAUUUUUAAUAUAUUUUUAUUAUAAAAUAACUCAUAUUUAGCAGUUAUCAACCAACCAAUGGGGUUCUCAGUUGAAGGAAAGGAACACAUGGUCUGCAAACUAAAGAAAUCAAUAUACAGUCUUAAAACAAACUUCCCGCCAAUGGUAUUUGAGGUUUAAUGAUACCAUUGUUUCCUUUAGAUUUAAGGAAAAUAUUAUUUAUCGGUAUAUGUAUCUAAAGGUCAGUGGGAGUAAGGUUAUUUUCUAAUUCUGUAUAUUGAUGAUAUCUUGCUUGCAACAAACGAUCUUGGUCUUCUUCAUGAGACUAAGAAAUUUCUGUCUAGAAACUUUGAAGUGAAAGAUAUGGGUGAGGUAAGCUAUGUGAUAGGGAUAGAAAUAUUCCAUAAUAGAUCACAAGGAUUGUUGAGAUUAUCUCAGAAAGCAUAUAUCAAUAAAAUACUAGAGAAAUUCAAGAUGGAAAGGUGUUUAACAUCACCUGUUAUAAUUUAGAAAGGAUAUGGAACGAAGACAAAUGGAAGCAAUUUGUAUACAUCAGUUAUUAUUGCAUUUGAAAGCUGAAUUUGUAGUAUGUUUGAGGCUACAAUUCAGACUAAUUGGUUGCGGAACUUUAAUUCAGGGCUUGGAAUUGUUGACAAUAUGGCUUGGCCGCUGAAAAUGUAUUGUGAUAACUCCGCAACAAUAUUUUUGUAAGAACGACAAGUACUCUAAGGGUGCUAAGCAUAUGAAAUUGAAGUACUUUGUCGUGAAGGAAGAAGUUCAGAAACAAAGAGUGUCAAUAAAAUAAAUUAGCACAAACCUUAUGAUAAUUGGCCCUUUGAAUAAGGGAUUACCACCCAAGACAUUAUAGAACAUGUUGAAAGUAUGGGCAUUAUUGUUAUUGAUGAUCAUUAAGUGUAAUUUAUCUUAUGCAUUUUAGUGACACUCUGAGCUCAAUUAUGAUAUGUUUUUGAUUACCUGUUUUCUAUGUUUGCAUGCAUGUUUGUGUUAGAGUAAUGUUAACAGGUUUUGUGUUGAAUGAAGACAUUAUGUUGGACCAAUUAUAUACUCCUAACUAAUGGUCAUAUUAAGGAGAAGACUAAUUUGUAGUACAUGAAAGGGACUAUGUCGAUUAGAUGAUGUACAACCGCCAUGACUCGAAUUGGUUCAUAUUCUUAAUCAUGAAAUUAUGAUGUAUCCAAUGUACAGAAUAAUUUAGUCAUUUUUAAUGUGCAUUAUGUUAUUUAAUCUAUUUAUUUAUUUAAUCUAUAAUGUUUAUUAAUGUCACAUGAGCCAAGUGGAAGAAUGUAAGAAUUAAUGUCUCAUGUGAGAGGCAUGUGACUUAUGUAAGGACUAAUAAGUAAAUAAUUAACGAUUAAGGGCUAAAUUGUAACUGAGCUUAAUAGGAGAAGUUUCUAGAGCUAAUUGCUACUUGAUGGAAGUAGUGGUUAUAAAAGGGGAUUAAUACCCACUAACGUGAAAUAAGGUCCCCUUCUUGACCAGAAAAGUGUUCUCUCUCACCCAUAGCCAUCACGAACGGAGAGAGGCAGAAAAGAAAGACCUAAGGAAAUGAAAUCUUAUUUCUCUCCUCUUUCAAGGAAAUCAAAGUGCAUCGGAGAGAAGUUCCUAUGGAGAAAGGUACAAGUCUUCCUAUGGAGAAAGGUGCACAUUAUUAUCUAUUGUUGUUUAUUAAUUGUUUGUGAGAAUCAUAGGUUUCAAGAUUCUGUUGUUUCCUAUCAUUGAUAGUCUAGGAAACCCCUUAAGAAUUUCUAUAAGAUCUUCUUUUUCUUCUUCUUCUUUUGGUUGUGCUAAUGUUUUCCAGAGGAUAAUUCAAUUUCGUUCUUGUCUAUUUUGUAGCAAAUACGAAUCUAAUGGGUUUUAUAAUUCAUAUGCUUUUAGUGUAUCCGAAUCCAUGUUUAGACAUGUAAUAUUAUGGUUUUUAGUCUUUUUACCUGUUAGUGCAGAGUUGUAUAAUGUACAAAAAGAAGUAAAAAUAAGAAAAGUCCUCAUGUCAAUCAAUCAAAGAAUCAGGAGUUCUAACUAAUUAACAAGAUUUCUGAGCAAGCAGAAAGGAAGUGAGGAAAAGUAUUUUGAUGCAGAGUCACUAUAUCUUUUCUUUCUUCUCUCAUGACUUAUGCACUUAACACAAAUUGAAUAUCUUUUACAUUUUGAUUCAGACAGAUAUUCCCUUGUCCUCUAACAUGUGAGGGCUUGACUAGUUUCAACUUUCAACUUUCAAGGAUUUGGAUUCUUUUAAGGAAAAGAACAGGAAAAAUAAAUAGUGACAUUACCAAACACUCUCAACUACAAUGUUUUGAAAACUGAAUUAUAGAUUGAAUUGAAAGACCUCAAGAUGUUGAUUUGAUUUAUUCAAUCAGUUAUAUUUUUUUAUUAAACUGUGAUUAGUUUUUGGUCAAAUUUGUUCAUGGUACAAACAGUUAAAUUUAUGAUUAAACUGUGAUUAGUCUCUACCAAUGUUACAGAAUGUAACUUCACUUAACCUCUCUUUCACAGUCACAAGGAAGUCGUUUAAAUAUUUAACAACACAGAGGAACAACAACAAAUAGGAGAAAUUGGGCAAUCAUGUGCCUAAGAAAUUGUCAUCAUACCUAGAAUUGCAUUUAAAUUUAAAAUAAAUAUUAUUCCUUGUUUUGUAUUUUCCUUAGCUUACUCUUAUUCAGGAGGGCUUGGUUUUGUCAAGACUGUUUUUGACUUAUACUAGAUCACAAACGAGGAUAGAACCUCUUCAGCAGUGCAUUUUCUUGUUUGAUUUUCCAAAAAAUUACUUUAUAAGUAAACUCUAUUUAUGCUCUAAAUAAUUAGUAUUUUGUUUCUUAGUCCUUCAGUUUAUUAAGAAAAAGGAACUCUAGCUAAUCCAAUCAUAAGGUUAGUAAAGUCUAAUAAAAAAUUAUUUUCACUAAAAAUCAAACUCGCCCAGAUAGUAUCUUAGUUUGCCAUGAUAAAUAUUUAUAUUUGCAUAAUUAAAAUUUAUAAUAUAUAUUAUAAUUAGGAUUUAAAAAGAAUAUUUAAAUUGUGAUACAAAAUUAUUUUUUAACCAUUAAAAAAUUCUUUAAAAAAAUUAUGCAAUUUAAAAAUAAAGAUAAAAGAAAUAAAUUAAAAGGGGAUGAUGAUUAAUAAAUAAGGAUAAAAGGAGUAUAAUUUGAAAGGAUGAAAGAGAAAUUUUAGCAAAAUUAUGAAGGUAAUAUGUAAAAUACACAUGAAAAGAAGGAGAGAGAGAAAGUAUUGAGAAUAAUAUAGAAGUGGGUAGUUUAUAUAUAAUAAAAACUACUUGCUAUGUUAAAAAAAAAAACUGCAUACUAAAGUUCUAUAAAAAAAAAAAAGUUUGAAUCGUACCCAACAACCACUUAAAAAAUCUGAUACACUAAUUAUGAAUUCGGAAAUGCUUAAUAGUUCGAAACUGAUUUCAUAAAAUAAGACCACUUUUAAUAUUCUUUCUUCUUAAUUAUUUUUGUCUUUAUUCCGAAGACCUGAGCACAAGACUUUUUUUAAAAAUAUUUAAAUUCAUUUAUACUCGGACCAACAAUAUGUCAAUAGUGGAUGAGCUACAUGAUAAUAGAUAAGUUAGAUGAAUUUUUUUCUAUCAAAAAAUGUUUGAUGAUUUUUUUUAUGUAAAAUAUUUACCUGCUUUGUUUAUAAUUAAUUUCUAUCAUAGAACAUAAUUGUAAUAUAUUGGUAAGUUAAAUGAUUAAAGUCGUAAUAUUUGGUAAAAUUAAUGGUUAAAUUAGUUGAUAGAUAUAAUAGAAUAUAUUUAUAAGUAUUUUCAUACAAAUUAUAUAUAUAUAUAUAUAUAUAUAUAUAUAUAUAUAUAUAUAUAUAUAUAUAUAUAUAUAGAAUAUAUGACUUGUUUUAAAAUGGUUAUUACUUUAAAUAAUUUAAACUAUUUCUCAUCUCAAAAUAUAAAAUAAUUAAUUUUUUAAAAUCAAAUGAGUUAAUAAAACUAAAUUACAGGAUUUGAUUUUUGUAAAUAAGUUUAUUUUUUUAAAACGAAUUUAUAUUCUUUGCUAUUUUUUUUAUCCUGAAAAGACCUAAUAUUAGAUUUUUUUUAAUUUCUAUUUACUUGUUAAAUCAUUUUAUAUGCAAAAUUCACUAAAUUUGUGACUCUUUUUUGUUGAAACAGUUGAGUUCUAUAAUUUUUAUAUAAAUAAAUAUAAAGAGAUAAAUUUUAUGUCUUUAAUUUGAAAAAAAAAAUCAAAGCCAUGUGAUAAAACUUAGAAUGAUCAUUGUUUCGAAAUGAUCAAAUUGACCUAGAUUUAAAUAUAAAAGACUAUAAUAAACUUAAAAAUAUAAUAAAUCAUAAUGAAUUUUAAAAAUAAGACAAAAGCGGAUUAAAACUAUUAUUUAGAGAGGAAAAAAAACGUUAUAAGCUAUGGUAACAUAAAGGUUGUUAUCUCUAUUCACUAUAAAUCAGUGGUAAAGACUUCUCAAACAUAUAUACCCUUACUUACCUCACGAAAAUUAAGUUAGUAAACAUUACAAGUUAAUACCAAUAGUAUGAUACAUCUUCAACACAAUUCAAUUAUCACUACUAAAAAAAGGGUUUUUUAUGACGAUUAAUAAGUACAUUUAACGACGGUUAUCAACCGUCUUUGUUUAAAACAUCGUUAAAACGAAAUUGAUUUUUAUGACAGUUAUUAUAAUAAUCGUCUUUGAAUGUAUGAACAUUUCAAAGACGGUUAUUAACUAAUAACCAUCUUUGUAUAUUGUGUUCAAAGACGGUUAUUUUGUAAUAACUGUCUUUGAAUGUCAAAAGCAAGAAACUUGCAAAGAUGGUUAUUAAUUAAUAACCGUCUUUAUAUGUUGUAUCAGCGUUUACAUUCAAAGACAGUUAUUUCGUAAUAAUCGUCUUUGAAUGUGAAAACCAAAAAUCUUUCAAAGACGGUUAUUUUAUAAUAACCAUCUUUAAAUGUCAAACAAAGAAACAUUUCAAAGACAAUUAUUAUGAAAUAACCGUCUUUGAAAUAACCGUCUUCGAAUGUCAAAAGGAAGUAACUUUCAAAGACAGUUAUUUCAUAAUAACUGUCUUUGAAUGUCAAAAGUAUAAACUUUCAAAGACGGUUAUUUCAUAGUAACCGUCUUUGAAUGCCAAAGUGAAAACCUUUCAAAGACGGUUUAGCUUCUUAGACCACGAAAAUAAAACUUCUUAGACCCCACGCUAAUAAAGUUAAUCCUAACAUUAGAUAUUUUUUGUCCAAUACUAAACAACAUUCUUUUGUGGUGAAUAAUGUGUUUCCCUAUAUAGAAAAUAAAAUAAAAUUUAUAGAAAAAAUAACAAAAAUAGAAUUAAGACAAUUUAGCCAAAUCAACAUUGGCAAACUAUAUGUAUGAUCAAGAAAUACAUUGGGCAAAUAUAAAAUCAUGAUGAAAUUUAAGUACAAAAUUAACUUCAGCCUACAUAUGCAAACUAGUAGAAUUAUACAUCUUUCUCUCUUAUUUGACGUGGGAAAACCUUGAAUUUGGAGUCUUCCAAGAUAAUGGAUCAAACUUGCACCUGCAACUGGAGCACGUGAUUAGCAAAACGGUUUUUGUCAAAUGAUGUGGGAUUGAAACAUGGAAAAAAUAAAAUGUACAACGAGAUAUUUACAAUGUAUUAUUAAUUAAACUAACUAGCUAGGCAAUGAAAAACAAAAAGAAAAUUAUAUUGAAGAAUAAACAAUUGAGAAUAUAAAAAAAUUCAGAACCAUUCAUUAAUGUGUAUAAUUAUUUUUAUUUUUUAUUUCUUUUUUCUUUUUUUUUGUCAAAGUCAAUUGACUUGGACUUAGUCCACAUUGACAGAGUGCUGACAUGACAUGUCAAGUUACCAUCCUAAGUGAUAGGGGUACACAUAUAAAGAAAGGGGGGUGUAACCAUCCAUUUUACUUUGUUUCAUACUUCACGAAAAAAUAGGUUGGGCCCAAAAUGAAAACAGUGCAUGUGUGGAAAACAAGGGUGUAAAUAACAUUUCCAUCAUAUUACAAGACAUAGCAAAAAUGGGCUAGGCUCAAACAAAAAGAGUGCAUGUAUGGAAAAUUGGGUGUGAAUAGCCUUUUCUUCAUAUUAUAGACUUUGCAAAAAUGGGCAUGUAUUAAAAAGGUGGUGUAAACAACAAUUGUUUUUGUUUUUGUUUUAUGUUUUUUAGGGUUGGGUUGAAACCAGGCCAGGGCGACCUAGCCCAACCCGCAUUUAGGCAUCAGGGUUGAAACAAUCCUAAAUGACCUAACUCCCCAAAACAUUGCAUCUCCCCAACGCCACUGGUGCAUGGCGUCGCGAUGCAAGGCUGCCAUGUGAACAACGGCGGUGGCAGCGACGCAAAAAUGGCCCACAGUGGUGGCGUAGAAGAGGCACCGAAAAACUAAAGAGGGGAGAAAUGGAAUGCGAAAAAAAAACAAUAAAAAAAGGCAACAUAAUCAUGUACAGACCUCACUGGCGACCAUGGAGCUCACCGGUGAGAGGAACGAUGAAGCUACAGGCAAAAACGAGAGAGAAAAGAAAAAAAAAGAGAAAGACGUAGAAGAAGAAGAGAGGAGGGAGAAGAAAAGCUUGAGAGAGAAUGAGGGAAUGAGAAAAUCACCUUCGAAUCCCUUUUCCUUUUCUGAUAGAAAAUCCAAAUGGCACCGCCUGGUUAGUCCGUUUUCUCUCCUUGUGACCCAUGCCUCCUCUGUGCAUUCAUUCCCAUGUAUCUUCCUUCUUUUUCCUUUUGAUACACUGUUGUCCCGUUUUGAUCUAAUGGGCUCUCUUUUGAGAGUCCAAUAGGCCACCAAAACAGUUUUUUCUUUUUCUUUCUUUUUUUUUUUUUUUUACUUUUAGUGUUCUUUUUUUUCAUUUUUUUUCUCAUUCAUCUUUUAUUUCAUGUUUUCUCUUCUUUUUUAUACUUUUUUUCUUCUUUCUCUUCUAUUUUUUUUUUCUCAUUCAUCUUUUAUUUCACGUUUUUUUCUUUUUUUUUCGUUUCUUCUUUUCUUGCUCAUUCAUGUUUUUUCUUUUCUUAUUUUCUUUAUUAUUUUUUUUAUAUCUUUUUUCUUAAUGCUUUUUCUUUUUUUCUUUUCUUUUAGAGGAUUAGGGUUUGGCAUCUCUAUUAUAAAAAGAUAAUGUGGUAAAUAAAAUAAUAAUGUUAUCAUGUCAUGUCAUCAUUUUGAUGAUAUAUCAUUGCAUCAUCAUGUCAUGUUAGCAAGAAUAUCACCUCAUCAUUAAGUUAUAAGGAUUAAAUUCAAAAUAAACAUAACUUUCAAGGAUUUAAACAAAAGAAAUUGACAUAUUUGCUGUAACAGCCGUUUUUUUUUAAUAAAUAAAUAAUACAGUAAUAAGUUAAUAAAUAAAUAAAUAAAAAUAUAAUUAGGUCAUAAAUCUCCACUAUAUAAACCAAAUGUUAACCUAGAGCAGCUUUUACAAAACACUUCUGCCCCUUUUUCUUUUCUGACGCACAAGAACCCUAACAGAGCAACCAGAGGAGGAGCUCUAGAGAGCACCAGAGACGCCACCAUUGCUAACAGAGAACAUUUAAGCGACUACCUCGAGGUAAGGGAUGAGUUACUCAUGCUUGGGAAUUAGAAUGAACAUGUGUAGGGAUCCCUAGAGGAUCAAUUUUUGGGUUAUUUUGGGAUGUUUAUGAAUUUAAUUAUGUUUUCAUGUUUAAUCGCAGAUUGAGUGUGUUUGAUGAACCAAUUGGUGUUCUGUUGCGAGUUUGUUGUAGUAUUGAUGUGUUCCUGUGUUAGGUGUGUAUCUUAGGAAUUAGAAUUCUUUAUAAUUAGCAUAAAAAUUGUGUGGUGGUGAUUUUGUUUAUACCAGAUAUGUUGGUCUUUCAAUCUUGUUCUUUUUUUUUUAUUUUUUUUUUCACACCGCAGUGUAUACAUGUACAUAUAUAUCGAUACUAUUUUUAUAUUUUAUUUCACGUGGGUGAUUUCUCGUCAUGAAAUUCGUAUGUGUAGGGAUCGUUGGAUAAAUGAAUUGGCUAAAAUCAUUUAAAGAAAUUAACUUAAGUUGUAUUCACAUUGUAAUUAGGCAUUUUCUUGGUUGGUAACUUAGUUGAAAUAUUUUUGAGCCUUAGGAAACAUUUGAAAGUAUAAAAAAAAUGGUUUAGUACUCUAUUUAUUUUUGUCUUAGUGUAUUUCAAGUAAACACUUUUACUGUGAUGUGUAAUAAUAAUAAUAAAUAAAUAAAUAAAUAAAAAUAGGGUUAUAGAUAUUAUUGUUUCAUAGUGAUUAUUGUUGUGACUUUAUAGAUUAAUUGUUAUAGAAGUUCUUUUUAUUUAUUUUGCUGAAUUAAUAUAUUUCGAUUUAAUUUAUAUUUUGUGAUGUCAAGUAAAUGUUACUAUUGAAUCAUAUGUGUAGGGUGCAUGAGAUGCAAUAAAUUAUUUUAUUAUGAAAAUGUGAUUGAGAUGAUGUGUAAGUGAUAAUCAAUUGAUACGUGAUGGAUUGUGAAUUACAUGACUCUUGAGAUGUUGUCUGUUUUGAAUUGUGAGCCAUGAAUUAUGUAAUCACACAACUGUAAGACCCUUUAAGGACGACGAGUUAAUGCGGGAUGAGUUGUGAUGAGAUCCACUAUGGGAACCCGACGAGUUAAUCACUUGAGGCGCACUGAGUUAAAAUAUAUAUAUUUAAAAAAAAUGUACAAUCGAGAUUUUGAAAACAAUUGAAUAGUUGUGUGCAUUGCAUAAUUCAUAAGUAGAGUCUGCGUGUUCAAAUAUUUUUUUUUUGGGUUGGACCUGAAUCAGGAGGGAGAGGCCCUGACGGACUCUUCGGAGUGUAGGCCUUGGGGGUCAUCCGGUUUGAGUGCUCCUAUAAGCCUGUGCCGAUCCCACAUGGUUGGAGCAUUCUCGCAAAACAGCGUGACCCUGACUGGUCUCCCUAUGAUUUCACUUAGUGAGAGUGACCUGACUUGCCCAUUGUGAGGCAUGUCCUGUCAUGUACCCCUAGGCGCCCGACGAGGUUUUUCACUGAAAAAUGGUACCACAUUGCAUGUAGGCUUAAGUCUAGAGUAUUUGUUGCAUAACGCAUGUGUUUGACUUUCAUUGGAUUAAUAAUUGUGGUUUGAUGUUAUUUUCUGGAGUGGAUGAACUUGAAUGGAUGUGCAUAAUAUGUGUGAUUUUGUUGAAAUGGUGUUAAUUAUAUAAAUUCAGUUGUAAGUAUUAUAUGUUUCACAUGCUCUAACAUUUUAUCAUAUAUGAAUGUGAUAACUCAUUCCCGGUGUGUGUUUGUGUUUGGGCUGAUUGUCAUUUGUUCAGGUGAGCCAUCAUAUGAUGAAUCCCAUGUUAGAGCCAGAGAGACUUAGUCUGUGAUAGAGACAUGCUCUGAUAAGUGUGACAUUGGGGCAUAUGAUUUUCUUCGCAUGAUAUAUUUUUCGUAAACGAUAUAGUUGUGUUACGUUUCUGUUUAAUUUUUUUUUUAUUAUUCAUUCAGUGGACGACCUUGUUUUGAGCCGGGAUAACUUUGUUGUUUUUAUUCGAACAAUUUCUACUAUGUUUUCAUAAAGUGAAUGUGAACCCUUUAUCUUUUGAAAUCAAUUUAAAGUCAAUAUGUUUUAAAAAAAAAUCCGCAUGAUUUUAUUUCCUUGUAUUCGUUAUUUGUGAGGGUAGAGGGUGUUACAUUUAGUGGUAUCAGAGCAGGUCGAACCUUUCGGCCAUGUGUGUUAUGAGUUUUCUGUGUUUCCUUGUGUACUCUGAUGUGUUGUAUUUGUUUUGUUUGAUUAGAGGUGUACUUUAUUGUGUUGGUAUAUUUUUUUUUCAAAGUUUUGUUUCUUGCGUGACAUAGGAAGUAAUGGCUGCAAGAAAUGAGCGAGAACGACUUCUUACCGAGGCCUUGAACAACUUGGCGCAAGUUAUGGCCAAUCAGGGAGGCGGUGGAGGAGCAACUAUGUACCAUGGUUUAGAUCGCUUUCAGAGGAACAACCCACCUACCUUCAAAGGGGGUUAUGAUCCUGAGGGUGUUGAGGCUUGGCUGAAGGAGAUUGAGAAGAUCUUCCGGGUGAUGGAAUGUCAGGACCAUCAGAAGGUGUUGUUUGCUACUCACAUGCUAGCAGAUGAGGCAGAAUAUUGGUGGGAGAACACUCGCCCACGUUUGGAGGGAGCAGGUGGUGCUGUUGUUCCAUGGGGAACUUUUAGACAGACUUUUCUGGAGAAGUAUUUUCCAGAAGAUGUGAAGAAUAGAAAGGAGAUGAAGUUCCUUGAGCUUAAACAAGGGAGUAUGAUGGUGGCAGAGUAUGCAGUGAAGUUUGAGAACCUUGUAAGGUAUUUUCCUCAUUAUCAGGGGGAAGCUGGGGAGAGGUCCAAAUGCGUGAAAUUUGUCAAUGGCCUACGACCAGAAGUAAAGAUGAUGGUAAAUUAUCACGGUAUUCAUAACUUUGCACAGUUGACCAAUAUGUGUAGAAUCUUUGAUGAAGAUCAGCGGGAGACGACUGCUUUCUACAGGAAUGCCAAUGCUAGUCAUGGGAAAGAGAAGAAGCCUAUGGCUCACAGUCGUGCUAAGCCAUAUUCUGCCCCUCCCGGGAAAUAUGGAAACCAUUCUGGGGGACAAAGGACCAGUGGAGGACAUCACCUAGCUGGUGGGAGUUCUCAGUCAGUUAACAGAGUGUCUCAGCCUGCUGGUGGAGGUGGUGGUGGCGCUUCUGUUACACCUGCUACGCCAAUCCGGUGUGCUAAGUGUGGUAGGAUGGGUCAUUUUGCUCGUGAGUGCCCAGAUAGUGAUGUGACUUGUUUCAACUGCCGGGGUAAGGGCCACCUCAGUACCAGUUUCCCACAUCCGAGGAGGGAGAAGAUGAGUGGAAGUCUGAAUAACCAGAACUGACGACCAAAGACCACAGGGAGAGUGUUUGCUCUUAGUGGUGCUGAUGCCGCACAGUCUGAUGAUCUCAUUCAAGGUAUGUGUUUCAUAAGUCAAGUUUUCUUGGUUGUAUUGUAUGAUUCAGGUGCGACCCAUUCAUUUAUUUCUUGUGUCUGUGUUGAAAAACUUGCCUUGCUUGUGUCUUCCUUGAAAUUUGACUUGAUUGUGAAUACACCUGCUAGUGGGUCUGCUUUAACUUCUGAUGUGUGUUUGCAGUGUCCUGUCAUAAUUUCUGAUAGACAAUUUCUUGUUGACUUAGUUGUUCUACCUUUGAGUUAGAUUGAUGUUAUUCUUGGUAUGGACUGGUUAUCUUCCAAUCAUGUCUUAUUAAAUUGUUUUGAGAAAUCUGUUGUCUUUCCUGAGUCUGGUGUGAGUGAAGGUGAUAUGUUUUUGUCUGCUAACCAAGUUGAGGCAUCUUUAAGGGAGGAUGCACAGGUAUACAUGAUCUUAGCUAGUAUGAGUGUUGAGACCAAAACCCCUAUGAGUGAUAUACCAUUGGUGAGAGAGUUUCCAGAGGUGUUUGAGGAGGUGUCAGGAUUACCACCUGAGAGAGAGGUCGAGUUCUCGAUAGACCUAGUGCCUGGUACUGGACCCAUAUCCAUAGCACCUUAUAGGAUGUCCCCUGUGGAGUUAAGUGAGCUUAAGAAACAGUUAGAGGAACUUUUAGAGAAACAAUUUGUGAGGCCUAGUGUGUCACCCUGGGGAGCACCGGUGUUGUUAGUUAAGAAGAAGGAUGGGACUAUGAGGCUAUGUGUAGAUUAUUGUCAGUUAAAUAAGGUAACGAUUAAGAAUAGGUACCCUUUGCCUAGGAUAGAUGACCUGAUGGACCAAUUAGUAGGGGCUUGUGUGUUCAGUAAGAUAGAUCUUAGGUCAGGUUACCACCAGAUUAUAGUAAAGCCUGAAGAUGUUCUGAAGACUGCCUUUAGGACUGUUACGGUCAUUAUGAGUACUUGGUUAUGCCUUUUGGUGUGACCAACGCCCCUGGUGUGUUCAUGGAUUAUAUGAAUAGGAUCUUUCACCCCUACCUAGAUAGUUUUGUAGUGGUCUUCAUAAAUGAUAUCUUGGUGUAUUCUAAGACUAGAGAGGAACAUGAGGAGCAUCUGAGAGUUGUGUUGCAAACCCUCAAAGACAAUAGACUGUAUGCUAAGUUGUCCAAGUGUGAUUUUUGGCUAGAGGAGGUGAGCUUCUUAGGGCACGUUAUAUCUAAGGGAGGGAUAGCAGUAGAUCCUUCCAAGGUAGAGGCGGUGAUGGGUUGGGAGAGUCCUAAGUCAGUGUUUGAGAUUGGGAGCUUUCUUGGCUUAGUAGGAUACUACCGUAGAUUCAUAAAGGGUUUUUCUAAGCUAGCCUUACCUUUGACUAAGCUUACUCGUAAGGGUCAAGUUUUUGUGUGGGAUGCCCAAUGUGAGAGUAGUUUCCGUACCCUUAAGGAAAGGUUGACCACUGCACCAGUUUUAGUGUUACCUAACCCGAGUGAAUCUUUUGUGGUGUAUUGUGAUGCGUCCAAGAUGGGUUUGGGUGGAGUGCUUAUGCAACGGGGACAGGUAGUGGCCUAUGCUUCUCGACAGCUUAAGAUACAUGAAAGGAAUUAUCCCACACACGAUCUUGAGUUAGCAGCCGUAGUUUUUGCUCUUAAGCUUUGGAGGCAUUACCUUUAUGGAUCUAAAUUUGAGGUGUUUAGUGAUCAUAAGAGCCUUAGAUAUUUGUUUGAUCAAAAAGAGCUUAACAUGAGGCAGAGGAGAUGGUUAGAGUUCCUUAAGGAUUACGAUUUUGAACUUAGCUAUCACCCAGGUAAAGCCAAUGUAGUAGCUGAUGCCUUAAGUAGAAAGUCCCUUCAAAUGUCUGCUUUGAUGGUUAGAGAGUUGGAUCUCUUAGAGCAGUUUAGAGACAUGAGUUUGGCAUGUGAGAUCACCUCUAGUAGCAUUAAGUUGGGUAUGUUGAGAGUCACCAGCGAACUCUUAAGCGAGAUCCGUGAGGGUCAGAAGUCUGACCCAUUCUUGUCAGCUCAGUUAGAGUCCAUAGUCGCAGGGAGAAAGAGUAGUUUUAGAUUGGGAACUGAUGGAGUCUUGAGGUUUCAGGAUAGGGUGUGUGUGCCUAGUGUACCCAAGCUUAGGAGAACGAUCUUGGAAGAGGGCCAUGGAAGUAGUUUGAGUAUCCACCCAGGAGCGACUAAGAUGUACCAGGACCUUAGGCAGAUGUUUUGGUGGCCGAGUAUGAAGAAAGAAGUUUAUAAGUUUGUCCUUGCAUGCCUAGUGUGUCAGAAAGAUAAAAUAGAACAUCAGAAGCCUUCAGGGAAGUUGCAACCUUUAGAGAUACCUGAGUGGAAGUGGGAUAACAUCUCCAUGGAUUUCGUGGUGGGGUUACCUAGAACCCCCAAAGGUUUAGAUUCCAUUUGGGUUAUUGUAGACAGGUUGACCAAAACUGCUCACUUCAUCCCAAUAAACAUCAGAUAUUUUUUAGAGAGGUUGACUAGCUUGUACGUCAGUGAGAUAGUUAGACUACACGGUGUUCCUUCUAGCAUAGUCUCUGAUAGAGAUCCCAGAUUUACCUCUAGAUUUUGGGAGAUUCUUCAUAAAGCCAUGGGAACCAAGCUUAGGUUGAGUUCUGCUUACCACCCACAGACUGACGGUCAAACCGAGCGCACCAUCCAAUCCUUAGAGGACCUCUUGAGAGCCUGUGUGUUAGAGCAGAGGGGUAGUUGGGAUAGUUUCUUACCCUUGAUAGAGUUUACAUACAACAAUAGUUUUCACUCCAGUAUAGGUAUGGCGCCUUACGAGGCAUUGUAUGGUAGAAGAUGUAGGACACCUCUAUGUUGGGUAGAUUCCAGUGAGAGCAUUGCCUUAGGACUUGAGGUAGUUCAGCAGACCACAGAAAAGGUCAAGUUGAUCCAAGAAAGGAUGAGAGCAGCCCAAAGUAGGCAGAAGAGCUACUAUGAUAAGAGAAGAAAGGAUCUUGAAUUUGUUGUAGGUGAUCAUGUAUUUCUGAGAGUCACCCUGUGGACUGGGGUUGGUAGGGCGUUGAAGUCCCGUAAGCUCACACCUAGAUUCAUUGGUCCCUUUGAAAUCCUAAAGUGUGUCGGCCCAGUUGCGUAUCAGGUGGCUUUGCCACCAUCUCUCUCAAAUCUCCAUAGUGUCUUCCAUAUCUCUCAACUCAGAAAAUAUGUCCAUGAUCCGUCGCACGUGAUCGAGUUGGACAAUGUCCAAGUGAAAGAGAACUUGACAUAUGAAACACAACCACUGAGGAUCGACGAUCGUAUGGUUAAGCAGCUAAGGGGAAAAGAGAUUCCCUUGGUCAAAGUAGUAUGGGGAAGUGCUUCGGGCGAGGAUGCCACCUGGGAACUAGAGGGUCAAAUGUGUGAUGCAUAUCCUACCUUAUUCGAUACUGGUAAGUUUCGAGGACGAAACUUUUUUUUUAGGGGGGUGAAAUUGUAACAGCCGUUUUUUUUAAUAAAUAAAUAAUACAGUAAUAAGUUAAUAAAUAAAUAAAUAAAAAUAUAAUUAGGUCAUAAAUCUCCACUAUAUAAACCAAAUGUUAACCUAGAGCAGCUUUUACAAAACACUUCUGCCCCUUUUUCUUUUCUGACGCACAAGAACCCUAACAGAGCAACCAGAGGAGGAGCUCUAGAGAGCACCAGAGACGCCACCAUUGCUAACAGAGAACAUUUAAGCGACUACCUCGAGGUAAGAGAUGAGUUACUCAUGCUUGGGAAUUAGAAUGAACAUGUGUAGGGAUCCCUAGAGGAUCAAUUUUUGGGUUAUUUUGGGAUGUUUAUGAAUUUAAUUAUGUUUUCAUGUUUAAUCGCAAAUUGAGUGUGUUUGAUGAACCAAUUGGUGUUCUGUUGCGAGUUUGUUGUAGUAUUGAUGUGUUCCUGUGUUAGGUGUGUAUCUUAGGAAUUAGAAUUCUUUAUAAUUAGCAUAAAAAUUGUGUGGUGGUGAUUUUGUUUAUACCAGAUAUGUUGGCCUUUCAAUCUUGUUCUUUUUAUUUUUUUUUAUUUUUUUUUCACACCGCAGUGUAUACAUGUACAUAUAUAUCAAUACUGUUUUUAUAUUUUAUUUCACGUGGGUGAUUUCUCGUCAUGAAAUUCGUAUGUGUAGGGAUUGUUGGAUAAAUGAAUUGGCUAAAAUCAUUUAAAGAAAUUAACUUAAGUUGUAUUCACAUUGUAAUUAGGCCUUUUCUUGGUUGGUAACUUAGUUGAAAUAUUUUUGAGCCUUAGGAAACAUUUGAAAGUAUAAAAAAAAAAUGGUUUAGUACUCUAUUUAUUUUUGUCUUAGUGUAUUUCAAGUAAACACUUUUACUGUGAUGUGUAAUAAUAAUAAUAAUAAAUAAAUAAAUAAAAAUAGGGUUAUAGAUAUUAUUGUUUCAUAGUGAUUAUUGUUGUGACUUUAUAGAUUAAUUGUUAUAGAAGUUCUUUUUAUUUAUUUUGCUGAAUUAAUAUAUUUCGAUUUAAUUUAUAUUUUGUGAUGUCAAGUAAAUGUUACUAUUGAAUCAUAUGUGUAGGGUGCAUGAGAUGCAAUAAAUUAUUUUAUUAUGAAAAUGUGAUUGAGAUGAUGUGUAAGUGAUAAUCAAUUGAUACGUGAUGGAUUGUGAAUUACAUGACUCUUGAGAUGUUGUCUGUUUUGAAUUGUGAGCCAUGAAUUAUGUAAUCACACAACUGUAAGACCCUUUAAGGACGACGAGUUAAUGCGCGAUGAGUUGUGAUGGGAUCCACUGUUGGAACCCGACGAGUUAAUCACUUGAGGCGCACUGAGUUAAAAUAUAUAUAUAUUUUAAAAAAAAUAUGUACAAUCGAGAUUUUGAAAACAAUUGAAUAGUUGUGUGCAUUGCAUAAUUCAUAGGUAGAGUUUGCGUGUUCAAAUGUUUUUUUUUUUUGUUGGACCUGAAUCAGGAGGGAGAGGCCCUGACGGACUCUUCAGAGUGUAGGCCUUGGGGGUCAUCCGGUUUGAGUGCUCCUGUAAGCCUGUGCCGAUCCCACAUGGUUGGAGCAUUCUCGCAAAACAGCGUGACCCUAACUGGUCUCCCUAUGAUUUCAUUUAGUGAGAGUGACCUGACUUUCCCAUUGUGAGGCAUGUCCUGUCAUGUACUCCUAGGCGCCCGACGAGGUUUUUCACUGAAAAAUGGUACCACAUUGCAUGUAGGCUUAAGUCUAGAGUAUUUGUUGCAUAACGCAUGUGUUUGACUUUCAUUGGAUUAAUAAUUGUGGUUUGAUGUUAUUUUCUGGAGUGGAUGAACUUGAAUGGAUGUGCAUAAUAUGUGUGAUUUUGUUGAAAUGGUGUUAAUUAUAUAAAUUCAGUUGUAAGUAUUAUAUGUUUCACAUGCUCUAACAUUUUAUCAUAUAUGAAUGUGAUAACUCAUUCCCGGUGUGUGUUUGUGUUUGGGCUGAUUGUCAUUUGUUCAGGUGAGUCAUCAUAUGAUGAAUCCCAUGUUAGAGCCAGAGAGACUUAGUCUGUGAUAGAGACAUGCUCUGAUAAGUGUGACAUUGGGGCAUAUGAUUUUCUUCGCAUGAUAUAUUUUUCGUAAACGAUAUAGUUGUGUUACGUUUCUGUUUAAUUUUUUUUUAUUAUUCAUUCAGUGGACGGCCUUGUUUUGAGUCGGGAUAACUUUGUUGUUUUUAUUCGAACAAUUGCUACUAUGUUUUCAUAAAGUGAAUGUGAACCCUUUAUCUUUUGAAAUCAAUUUAAAGUCAAUAUGUUUUAAAAGAAAUCCGCAUGAUUUUAUUUCCUUGUAUUCGUUAUUUGUGAGAGUAGAGGGUGUUACAUUUGCUAGGAAAAAAAAUAUUUAAUGUUAAAUUACAUAUUAAAAUAAAAUAAAGACUAAUAUUCAUUUAUUAUAAUCUCCACUAAUUGUCUUCUACCUCCAAACUCUUUUUCUUUUUCUUAUAUCAUCUCCUUUCUUUUUCCAAGCCCUAUAGUUCACCACUUUUCACACCAUUUCUUCCCUCCCCUAUUUCCAUUCCCCUAUCCCCUUGCUUCCCUUUUCCCUUUCUAAUUCUAGUCAUUAUAAGAUUUCCAAAGAUCAUGCUUUCAAGAAGAUAAUGAAUAUCAACUUCUAUCUAAAUGUGCAAUCCAACCACACAUAAUUGCAUUAAAAAAAAAUUAAUCUUCAUCAACAAAAUUUCAUAUCAGCUUCCUGUCAUUGUCGAUGUGGUGACGACAAUGGUGAUGAUAUUGAUAAUGAUAACAAUUGCGAUGAGACAGUGAUGAUAAUAAGUUGUGACAACAAUGAUGACUAUAAUAUAUAAUGAUAGUGAUGAUAAUGAUGUUGGUAAUGAUAACAAUACAAUGACAAUUAGUAAUAAUGAUUAUAAUUACAAAAAUAAUGAUUAAUCAUUUUUUAUGAUAAGAAUUUACAAAAAUUUAAUAUUGUUAAGUGUGUUAGAUUAUCACGUGCACAAAUUUAAGACUUUUUUUUUACUUCAAUAUUUAAUUUGAGGUUUAAAUUUUUUUUUUUUUUGUCUCUUGCACCUAUCCUGUUUUGAUUUUAGUUUCAAUAAAUUAUAUUUAUUUAGAUUUUAUUAUUUAUAAAUUAUUGAUAAUGUGACACAUAUACUAACAUUAUUAUUUUAUUUGUCACAUAAUUUUAUUUUAUUUUUAUCAAACACUAAGGACCAAAACUCUAAAAGCAAAACGACUUGAAUUUGGCGUAAAAAAAUUACCUGAAUUUUGCAAGGACUAUUGAUUAUUUUAUUAAAAGAAAAACUAAUUUACAACGUCUUUAUUUGGGUUCGUGACCAUUGAAGAUCACUGUGAACCCCUCCGGCAUCAGUCCUUGACUCCUUGGCAGUGGCAGAGUUCAUAAAUCUCAAGGAGAGAGAGAGUGGUCUUCUCUACCAAAACUACAAAAUAAAAAGUCAAAUUAAAAAACAAAAGAUAAUAAAAAGAAGAGUUUAACUACCAACUUGUAAUUAACAAAAGCUCAUCAUUGUGUUGAUUUUUUAAUUUAUUAUCUCUAUUUGUGCAGUUAAAGCCAAUAUUCUGAAGUUAAAAGGAAAAAUAUAUUUUUAUACUAAAUAUUUUUUUCUUCCGUGAAACAUUUUCUUUUCUUGUUUUUUAGUAAAGUAAGAUCCUAAAUCAAUCUUAUAAUUAGAUGCUGAGGGAAUAAGAUUAUUUAUUAAGAUGUCACAAGAAAUUGUUAGUAAGAUCCUCUGUGCAACGCUUAUUCAAACGCCUCAGACGACGAGAAGAACAAUCAAAACGACAGAAAGUAUCUCUAACCCACCAAAAUCACCAAAACGACACCUUCCUUUACCUUCUCUUCCUUCAUUCGACCACCAAACGCAAGCUCCCAUGCCCGAAGAUACAUUUCCAAACGACACUGCGCAUUGAUGUGUCCCACCUCGCUCCUCUUCCUGAUCCGUUCCUGUUCCGUCUCCGUUCACGCUAUCUGGUACUCGUCACUUCUUCUUUUUUUUCCUUUUUUGUUUUUUGUGUAAUCCAAAUUGAACUGUUUUCUUUUUUCUUUUUUCUGUUCAAUUUUGUACACUCACAUUCAAAUUUUGCGGAAUUUACUGGGUUCGAUUUUGAUUUGUUUUAAUAAAGUUUUAAUUUUUGUGUCUGUUAAUUGAAAGGCAUUCAAUUUUGGAAUUAUGAUUGUAGAUUAUAGUAGUCAAUUCCAAAUAGCUGCGCUGAGUGACCGAUUCUGAAAAUGCUAUAGUGACAUAGUAGAUAGUGGUAUGACGAUAUUCUGAACCUUAAACCCUUAACUUAGAUUUAUACCAGUGUUAUCAAUGGUGGAUGGUUAUGGUGGAAGUUCAAAAUUAAAAACACGCUGUUGCGGCCUUUGGCGCUGCCAUAGUGGACCUUCCUUCACAAAUUACCUAUGGCGGUUGGCAAAAUCUUCAUCAUGCCAUUCUGCCAUGGUAGCCAUUGUGUCGCCCCCAUUUAACAACACUGAUUUAUGCUACACAUGGAUGUAUGUUGAAAAAUAAAAACCUAGAAUUAGAGAGAAGUCGUUGUUGUUUCAACCUUUUUUACCGCUGAAAUAACACUGUUGAGGAAGGUCAAUGGAAAAUAGCUGCUUGAUAUUAAACCAUGCAGCAGAUGAAUUUUUGUUGCUAUAAUCAGUCUCUAGCUGAAUGAUGUGCUUGCAUAAAUUAAAUUUCUUAUUUCCUCUCGCAGAUACCUUUUCCUGUUUGUACUUUCUUCAGUCAUAGAUGUUGUAACAUCCCAAUUUUUCGUAAAUAAAUCUAAAAAGCUUUUUAGUAAUAAAUAAAUAAAUAAAUAAAUAUAGAGCCCUAUGUAUAAAUAGUUAUGUUAAGUCAGCUGCCUCCUUUUGGCCUCAUUUUCGUUUUUCCCCUUCUCUCAAAACCCUUUCUUUUUCCCGCAGCCCACCAAACCAAUCUCAGAAAAACGACGAUCUCGAACCCGUUCACCGUUGGAUCGUCGUGAAAUUUGAGUAUCAUGUUCGCAACACAAUUCCGAGCAUUCUCACCGUUGGGAAUUUCGAUAUCAUGUCUGAACUGAGAGAAAAACCCUUCGCAUUGUAGCCUUUUUCUUUCCCGCAGAAACCCAGAGCUGUCUUGGUAAAACUACGAUCCCGGUUUCGUUAACCGUUGGAUUAUUGUGAAAUUUGGAUAUGUUGUUCGAAAUUCAAUUCCGCACACUUCCACCAUUGGGAUUUGCGAGAUAAUAUUCGUGGAGGGAGAAAAAGGAAUCGUAUGAAGACAGUACAAGUGGAGGUUUCAAUCUCUUCUCCGUCUCUCUGACGUUGGGAAUUCUAUCGGAGCAGUCGGAUGAAUAAUUGAAAGAAUUUCCGGGAACCGCUAGAGAUGUUGCUAUCGCUGGCUGAAGACACGUGAGCCCGCUUAAAGGUAAGGGAUGAGUUAUUUACAGUUGGGGAUUAGUGAGAACAUGUGUAGGGAUCCUUAGAAGAUUAAAUUGGGAUUUUAUUUUGGGAUGUUUGUUAAAUUGCAAUUUUUCCUUUAUGAUUAUAAAUAAAAUAUUGAUGUCCUGAUGAAAAUUGCUUGAUAAAUUGUGCUCUUGAUAUUUGUAUAUUUGGACCUAUGAUUUGGAUAUAAUUGUGUAAUAUUAUUUGAGGGGUUUUAGUCCUCAUGUUGUGAUAGUCUUUUAUAUAAAUUGUUAUAUUGAGGAUAUGAAAUGAUAAUUCAAAUUGUGAGUAUGUGAUGAAUUGUAGAAUAACAUGUUGCUUUGAGAUUAUAAUAUUGUUAUUGAGAUUGAGUAUAAGUGUAAAGUUGAACAUGUGUUAAUUUGUGAGAUACGUGUAAACAUGUGAUGGUGGAUUGUGACACUAUGAGAUGUGAAAUUGUGAAUGAGUUCUAGUUGUGGAUAAGUGUGCAGUUAACACUUGAUGUGAAAUUACUUGUGUUGUAAGCCAUGAAUUGUACAAUACCCGACCAGCGUUAUCUUGAGAAAAGCGUUGAUGCGCAGUGUUAAAGAGAAAAUGUAGGUUUCCUAUUUAGGAACCAGUGUUAAAUCGUAGCGCAAUUGUGUUGAACGUGUUUAAAACACGAGUGUAAGGUCGUGAGUAUUGUAUAAUUCAUGAGCAGUGUCUGCAUGUAAAAAAAAUUAUUUUAGGGGUUGGACCUGAAUCAGGAGGGAGAGGCCCUGACGGACUCUUCGGAGUGUAGGCCUUGGGGGUCACCGGGUUUGAGUGCUCCUUUAAGCCUAUGCUGAUCUCAUAUGGUUGGAGCAUUCUCGCAAAACAUCGUGACCCUGACUGGUCUCCCUAUGAUCUUACUUAGUGAGAGUGACCUGACAAACCCAUUGUGUGGUGUGUCUUGUUAUGUACUCCUAAGCGCCCCAGGGUGGUUUUUCACUGACAUGGUAUCACAUUGCAUAUAGAAUUGAGUCUUAGCAUAACUAUUGCAUAUGCUUGCUAAUUGAUGUGUUAUUAUAUCUUGAUCGAAGUGUGGGAUUCUUGUGUAAUGUGAUUGAUAAUUGAAAAGUGAAUUUUGAAUGACGAAGUGGUGAAGUUACGUGAGCUAUGUUUAAGCAAGUGGUAUCUCAUUUAUAUAAUAUGUAUAUUUAAUUGUCUUGUUUCUCUAUUAGUUAGGAAUGUGAUAACUCACUCCCUGUGUGUUGUUGUGUUUGGAUCCUGUGAUGAUCUUGAACUUGUGUUCGGGGGAGCAGAUGAAUAGGUGGAUGACUAUGAAGAACCUCAUGCUAGAGGACACGGGAAUACCACGCUCUGAUAGGAUGUGACAUUAGGAUAUAGGUUCUAUAUUAAUUGUAUGAGACUUAUAUGACUUUCUUUGAGUCGAGAUGACUUUAUUAUUUAUUUGGACAAGUUUGAAUAUGAUGUAGAAGAAAGUGAACGUGAGCCUUUUACCCAUUUGAAAAGCUUGUAUUUAAAAAUGUUUUAAAAAUACUUUUAAUUAAUAUUUGAAUUUUUAUUCCUUUAUUAAUAUAUAUGUGAGGGGUAGAGGGUGUCACAGAUGUGCGUCGUGUUUUAUUGAUUCUAUCUAUUUCCCUUGCUUUUAUGUUGAUUUUUUUUUUCGUGGAUAGAGACAAGUACUCUGACCUUUUUCUUGUUUACAAACUUAGGGAGUAUCUUGGAUGCUGAUAUACACCAUAAUAUUUUAUCAUUGUUGAAAAGUAUAGCAAAGGGUCAUCAAAGCCCGACCCUGAUAUCUGAAAAGUUAUGUGACUCUAUAUGGGCAUACAAAAGCUGUCAAUGCUAUGCAUUGGUCAUCAACUCAUUGUAAGUUCUCUUUGUUGACAAACUGUUCCCCUGGUAUGUGUGUGAUAUACUAUAGUUUUUAAUCAGGAAUAGUUGUCCCUAGUGAUAAAGGUGCAAUGUGUUAUAUUUUAAUUUAAUUAAUCUAAUUUUAAUGUAUAAAGGAUUUGUUAACAGCUAGACUAAUUUUAAAAUCAAAGUAUUGAAAAUUGUUGUGUACAUGUGAAUGAGAGAGAGAGAGCAAGAGAGAUAUGCUUGUUAUAUAUACUAUUUAUUUGUUCAUCAGAGUUAGCUUACAGCUCACCUCCUUGCAUCUGCUGGGAUGGAUCAUGCGGUUUGCAUAUGGAAUGUAUGGAGCAGAAAUCAGAAGAAAGCAUGCCUGCUAAACUUCCAGUCUUCCACAAUGCAGCAGUCAAAGAUGUGAAAUGGUCUCAGCAAGGGCACUUUCUACUUUCUUGUGGAUAUGAUUGCACGUCAAGGUUGAUUGAUGUUGAAAAAGGAUUGGAGACUCAGGUUUUCAGACAAGAUCAAAUCGUUGGAGUUAUAAAGUUACAUCCAGACGAUUCAAAUCUCUUCCUUUCUGAAGGGUCAAAGGGCCAGAUCAAACUUUGCGAUGCCAGAACUGGCAAAGUAGUGCAUGACUAUAAUCAAAAUUUAGGUCUGAUUCUGGAUGUUGAGUUCACUAUGAAUGGGAAGCAAUUCAUUUCUUCUAGUGAUGUAUCUCAAAGUAAUGCAAGUGAGAAUGCUAUUAUUGUUUGGGAUGUGUCAAGAGAGGUACCAUUGUCUAAUCAGGUGAGAAUUGUAUAUACUAUCUUUCAUUUUCUAUUUUUUUACUGUUCCCCAUUUUUCUGCAAAAUUGCCGUGAAGUUUUCUUAUUGUUCGUUUAAGCAGCAUUACUGAUGUUGAUUACAACUCUUGAAACAAUAAGUCAUUCUAGAGGGAAUAGAAUAAUGCAGAUAGUCUAGUAAAAGUUAUAGGAUAUAGCUUACCAUUUCUAUUUUCUUAAAACCAGCAGGUAAAUAAACUGAUUCAUGGUUUAGUGGUUCAACUAUGGCCAGAUUAUUGUCAAACUGGAAUUAAUUUUUAACAUAUGUGAAUUUUAUGCUGUUUUUGACAUUAAUAUUUUUUUUGUAUUGACAUUAAACAUGAAAUUUUAAUAUUCUAAGCUACUAUAUUUUUAAAGCUAUAGGAUUAAAAAAUACUCCUUUUUCCUGGUCUGAUGCUUUCAAGAUCCAAAACAUACUGCUCCUUAAGUUGCUUUUAAAGGGUGGAUGAAUGAACUGGCAUAGAAAACUUACUGCAAAUGCAAUAUUAACGUCCAUGACCCACCCUAGGUAUGUGACCCUAAUAUUUGUUUAAGGUUAAGUUAAUUGUAGGUUUCUGAACUAUUUUAGGGAUUUUAAAUAAGUUCCUGUACUUUUAAAAGUCUGUAAUUAGAUUUAGAACCCUAAACAUGUAAAUUAUUUCUAAUUGGAUCCUUGGCAACAUUUUCAUUAGGGUUCGUUUAAGUAUAGGAACCUAAUUGAAAAUUUCAAAUUAUUCAGGGAUCAGGUUGAUAGUUUACUUAUUUAAUAGGUUCUUGAACUAAUAUUUUUUUUAAUUAGAUCCAUCUAACAAAUAUUUAACAAGAACUUGGAAAAUUAUUUAAAGAUGCAAUCCCUAGAUUUAUACUUACUACUUAGAGUUCUAAAAUAGUAAAAUAUGCCUUCUCAAGUUAUGGGCCAAUAACUAAUUUUCCCAAGCUUUUGAGUUAUGGGAGUUGGGUGUCUAAGAGUCCAAAUAAAAAAAUUCCUAGGAGUGGGUAGAACCCCCUACUCUCCUUAGAGAAGAACUCUAUCUCUAACUCUAGAAAAUUGUUCCAAAGGUGUUGUUUAUGUGGAGGAGAAAAUAAGUGAUUCUAAAGUUUCUCCAGAAUCUCAAAAAGAAUUGCUGAGUAUGGAAAAUAGAGUACAAAAUGGAGGAAAAUGAGAAAGGGAGGGAAACGAACAGGGGGUGGCAAGGAAGAAAGGAGAAUGUUGGGGUGCCUACAUCUUUGUUUAUUUAUUUCAAUAAAAUGGUUCAUUUCAAUAUGAUUGCUCUCUGUAUUUGUGUUUCUGUUGCUAAAUCAAUUGAGUUUGUACUUCAAGUACAAUUCGGAAUAUAUAGGAAAACUGUGUAAGAGAAACUGAAUCAGUUCAAUUGUAACAGAAUUAGAGCAGAACAGUGGGCCUGUUAACUUGAUCUGUUGGUUAACAAGUGCUAGCAUACAGAUGAAAAAGCACAUGCUGCACACUCUUUGUUUUAACAACUCACAGUAUACUAGUUAAAGUUAAACUAUCAGAGCUGAUUAGCCCUAGAUUUAGAAUCCUUUUUGUUAGAAUUAGUGAUAGAAUCAAUUAGUAGCUGAUUAGCCUUAGAAUCAGCAAUCACAUUUAUUUGUAUUUAUAUGGUAUCAGAGCUGUGUGAUCUUGUUAAGACACAAAUUCAGAAAUUCUAUAUGGUAUCAAAGCAGACUAGGGUUUGAUACCCUCUGUAGUGUGCCUUUUUUUUUUUGGGGGGUGCACUGUAUCCGUAUCCAUUGCGAGCCACUUUUGGCUGUUGCCGCCACCCCUUUUCUCUGGUGCUACCCCUGGAUCUGGACUGCCUCCUUCUGGCGACCACCAUGCCACCUGCGACUCUGCCAUUGUGUGCAUGGCUCUCAUUUACCGGAAAAAAAUGUUUUUCUUCUUUUUAAAAAAAAAAUUAAAAAGAAAAAGUGUGAAAUGCCUUUAACCUGACCCCGAUCUAAUCGAAAUAAAGGGUUAUUAAACCCUAAAGAGAACCUAUGACAAAGAAGUUUCCAAAUUCUAUGAGUAACAUUUUCUUUGUUUUUUUCAGUUACUUUUUGUUUUAAAAAUCAUUUUUUUAUUCUUUAAUUUUUUUUUUGGUUUAUUUGAUUAUUCUUUUUAAUACUGACCAAAAUCUCUUCUUCCUCCCUCUUUCUAUUUUUUUAAUUUCUUUUUUGUUUUGUUAUUGUGUUUAUUUUUAGUACUAGCACAACGGUAAAGGCUGCGUACAAUGACCCUCCCCAAUAUCUUUGCAUAGUGAGAAGCCUCCGGGCACUCGGGUACGUUAGCUUUUUUGUUUUAUCAUCAUACAACUGUUAUGUUUUCAGAUUUUUUUUUGCUUGCUUCCUUUUUCUGUUUUUUUAAUUUCUUUUUUGUUUUGUUAUUCUUUAAAUUUCAUGUUUUCAGAUUUUCUCUCCUUUAUUCCUAUGUAGAGAUUGCUUCCUCGUUCUUUUUUAUCAGAUUUUUGUUAAUUUCUUUGUUGUUAAACUAUUGAAUUCUGAAUUUGUGAUCAUGUCUUCAAAAUUCAAAUAUGUUUUAACUUUCUAUUUUAGUGUUUUAAUAAUUCUGUACUGUUGUACAUUACUAAUUUAGUGCUGUUUUUUUAGUGUAAGUAGUGCUCUUUGAUCAUUUUAUUUGAUCAUUCUGUUCUGUUCAAUGUUCAGCCCUAUUCUACAAUUGCUGAAGCAUCCACACAUGAUUCAAGGGCCACCUCUAGAAUAGAUCCUGUUGGAAAUACUGUCAUCAACUUGAUGAAGGGGAUACAAACGCAACUGCUUGUAAUUACUGUAGAAAAGCCACAAAGGGAGAAUAACGAGAGCCACAACACUUGAUGGGGAAGCAGGGCAAUGUUGUUGCUUGCCUGAAGUGCCCAAAGGAUGUAAGUAAAGAGCUUUGGCGAUAUGUAGCAAAUAAAAAGAACGUAGGCACUAGUGCUACUGUGGCAAAUAGAGAUUUUGAUUUUUCUCCCAUUGGAUAUGAUAAAAGUGAAGAUGAGUUUGAAGACUCUAUCAGUGCCGUCACUGCUACAAACAAAAAGAAUGUCACUAAAAAAGGGGCCAAUGGACAUGUUUUGUAAGAAUCCAAAAAAUUCAAUCAAUCAUAAAAAUAAGUUGAUGAAGCAAUUAGCAUAAGAGAGUCACGUGACAAGGAAGUAAAGGAGAGGUUGCAUCAAUAUAUUGUUCACCUUUGGUACCAAAUUGGGUUGUCGUUGAAUGAAAUCUUCACUGUAUGCCAACUCCCUCUUUAAGAGUGGAACUCUAAUAUCAUGAUACCUAAGAAUAUGGACAAAUGUUGUCCAUAUUGACCAAUUGCUGCAACCAUAUCAUGAAAGCUCUUCAACUUAAUGAGGUUGAAUGACAACCCAAAUUGGUACCAAAUGCAAGCAAUAUAUUGAUGCACCCUCUCCUGUGUUUCCUUGUCACAUGACUCUUAUUUUAGUUUGCUUCAUCAACUUCUUUGAUGGGUUGAAUAUGGACAACACUGCAGUUGUGGAAAAAGGCUGAACAAUACUGACACUAAACAGACAAUGAAAAAAGCACUAAAUUAGUAAUGUACAACACUGCAGUAUAUUGAAACAAAGAGUUAAAGAAAGAGGAAGCAAUCUCUGCAGAGGAAAAAAAUUGGAAAACAUGAAAUUUAAAGAAUAAUAAAUUAAAAAAACCAAAGAAAGAGCAAGCUAAGCAAAUAAAAAAUCUGAAAACAUUACAGUUAUAUAACAAAGAAAUUUUAAAAAAUAGAGGAAGUAAGAAGAGAUGUUGGUCAGUAUUAAAAGGAAUAGUAAAAGUAUCUAUAGAAUUAAAAUAAUCAAUUUUUAAAACAAAAACGUAACUAAAAGAACUGGGAAAAUGUUUCUCAACAGAGAUGGCGGUCGCCGAAAAAGGUCUCCAGUGAAGUCGUUGCCAGUGUAGAAGUCACCGUGGAGGGAGAGGUAGCAGCAGCAUCGCCCCAAGAGAGAAUUUAGAAACUGCUCUGUCGCGGGUUCUCUUGAGGGUUCAAUAACCCUUUUUCUUUUUAAAAAAAAAAGCUUUCUGCAAUUGGUGCCAUGCCUGGAACGGACGCCAUGCGUCUGGGGUGGCCAUAGCACCUCCAAAGUAUGGUGUUUUAUCAAAAUACUCCCCCACCACAGUGUCAUGGCUACUAUUUGAUAACACUGGUUGGGAUUGAGGAAGAGGAUUAGAGACUUCCUUCUAUGUUUGGAUUAUGUUUUUAUCAUUUUGUUAUUUUGAACUCUUAAAUGAGUUUGUUAGGUGUUGGUUAUUAUGAACUCGUGAAAUUUGUCAUGUUUUCUAGGAAAAUGCAUACCAUUGUCAUUGGUAUCUACUAUUUUUUAGUAUCUAUAUCUGCUGUGUUUUUAGUUUUUUAUUUAUAUUACUGUAUAUGUGAUUUUUUAUAUGUCUGUUUUGUCAUAUAUAUAUAUAUAUAUAUAGAUAGAUAGACACACACACACGCCUUGGAUUCUGCCAUUUGCUGCCAUGCCAUCCGUCAUAUGUAUAUGGUGGAUUUUGGGCUCUCCACCAUUAAGAACACUGCUUUAGGGUUUAUUUGAGAUUACCGGCUUCUAGAUUCUCCCUCUUCUUACUCGUAAUUUAUAUACUUUCCACACACAGCUGUUUAUGUUGUCAUUGCCGUCAUAUAGAUUAAAUUUCAUUAUUUACAUUUUAUUCAUUUACACUUGUAGCUCAAGGUAUCCUGACUUUUGGUUAAACAUUUAGAUUUGUUGAUGGUUGUUAAAUGUUAGGUAAUAGUAUUAAUUCAGCAAAGAUGCAUGAUUUGCACUGAUAACACUUAACAAGUAGUUCAAAAGAUCAAUUUUUAAAUUUUUUCUAUUCCAAAGACUUUCUAGAGUUUGAACCUAACUCAACCCCAAAACUUAACUUGUAGUUUCCAGAGUUGACACUAUCUCUAACCGAUGUGGAAUUUGGAUUUUUUUUUCCAAUACAUCCCCUCAUGUCCAACAACACUCUUGGGAUUGGUGUGUGGAUAACAUGGUGGACGAUCUUUUUAAUGGAUUUAGGAUAGACUUUGAUACCAUCUUAAAAUGUGGGUUUGGAUCUAACUCAACCCCAUAAAGCUAGCUCAUAUGGUGAGGAUUGUCUCCCACAUCUUGACACUAUCUCUAGCCGAUGUGGAACUUGGGUUUUUCCCAGUAUUCAUAAUCUUAAAGUUGUGAUAAAACUCAAGCCAUGUGCACUACAUGUUACAAUCUGGAAUUUCUAUGACGAAUGCAACCUACUGUUCUUGGUGCUGAUAUGCAUUUUGGAGUGUAAUUCAUCUGUAAAUAUCAAUUUGGCCAUAUAUGUACAUUUAAACUAUGUUAUAGUUUGUGAAUUUAGAUUUUAACCAGCUUAUUAUACUCCUGAAUCAGGUUUAUGUGGAAGCUUAUACGUGUCCCUGUGUGAGUCGCCACCAAUUUGAUUCAAUUUUUGUUUCUCAAUCAAAUGGGAAUUAUGUUGUAAUCUUUACUACCACCCCACCUUACAGACUCAACAAAUAUAAGCAAUAUGAGGGCCAUGUGGUCUCUGGGUUCCCAAUCAAGUGCAAUUUCAGCUUGGACGGGAAAAAACUCGCUUCUGGCUCUUCAGAUUGUUCUAUCUACAUUUAUGAUUAUCAGUUGUGAAGAAAAUCAGGCCCAUGACCAGGCAUGCAUAGAUGUUGCCUUCCACCCUGUUAUACCUAAUGUUAUUGCUUCAUGUUCAUGGGAUGGAAGUAUUUUUGUAUUUGAGUAGUCUUUAGUUUUCUCAAAGGGCAAGUGGUUACUCCUAGAAAAUGACUUGCUAGGAGAGUGGAAAACUCUAGCCUUCUCUUAGUCUAGGCAGCUGCUUUUAGUUUGGUAGAUACUGUGUGAAUAAUGAAGCCUUCUCCCAGAAGUCAAUGUUUGCUUAAAUGUGUACCCUUGUACUGUUGUACUGUAGAUUUAAUGUCUGAUUCACUUAUAUUACAAGUUUACAACUAUAGUGAAUCAUGGUGUGAAUUGUAUAAAAAGCAGUUUAAAGUAUUUACCAGAAGAGAGAAAUCUUUGCAACUAUAAUUAAUGAUAUGACAGAUCGUUUCUGAACUGUGUAGAAAGUUACAACAAUGGAUGAAAAUUUAAAAUGCUUCUCCAUUAUCGGCCCUUAAUUCCCCCAGUGAAGAACUGUUUUGGAUAAUUCAGGGAAUGAUCUUACAAUGUGUAAAGCUGCACAGAGAUUUGUGUUGGCCAUUAGCAUCUAAUUUGGCUAAAGAGUCAAACCUGCUUCCACCACUAUGGAAUAAUAAAAAGCAUCGAAAUGAAAAUAUAGGCUACAUGACUAUAGAGAUUCUCAAGACCUAAUAACUUUCCAAAAGAUUGCUAUAUGGUCAAAGCAUGCCAUCAUAGAUAUUGUAGUUUUGUCGCAAUAUCAAGCCUGCAAGUUGCAUGUUUCUAUCUCGAAUAUUCAGGGGUCUCAGACAAAAAUUUGAUCACUUUGAAAAGUUUUAAACUAUCGUUGUCACACUUAACAUAGUGAAUUAUCCUUUUCAUCCUUACAACAAGCAUACAUGUGAUAUGCCCUUCGUGGAAGAUUUUGACAAGCCUGUUUGUGAAAACUGGAAAUGCUUACACGUAUUUGCAUGUCCUUCACACUCUUUAAUGCCGGACAAGGUUUUACUUUCUCCUCUUAUGCAUUUGUGAAAUAAAAACCAAAACAAAAAACGUGGCACGGCUCAUGAGUCACGAGCAAUGUCUAGGUGCUUGUAACCAUUACCUACCAUCAUGGAAGGAAACCCUAAAGACAUAAUCCAAAGAAGGAAUUGUGGGGGCAAAAACUCAGCUGCUCUUAUGUUCAGCCACAUCUUCCCACAAGGAAAGAGAGAUGGAAGUGGGUGGGGGGGCUAACAAGUUCUAAACAUGACAUUAUAAUUAUGUAACUCCAUUUCCACUCUUCAUGGUGGUCAAAUUCAAUUGUAGGGGGACAAGACACACCACUCUUUAUUUGCUCUCCUUUUAGAUGCAUUUGCUAAUGGGACCAGCUUCCCUAACACUCCCCCUAAUUUUCCACACAAAGAAAUUUCAAUUCUGGAAAUUGGAAAACAUUGUUGUUAUAUCAUUAUAUGAUAUCUGCACAUCACACAGCACUAUGUAGAGAAAAACCAAGCACCUCUUUCAAAGUUUGAUGGUCCACAAGUACAAGUACCUCUCUCUCUUAGAACUGUUUAUAUUGGAAAAAUUUGGGCAAUGUAAUCUCAAAACCCAAUUAAAGCAAGGAAACGCACACACCUCUUAGGCCUCAUGCAGCCUACUAUCCUAUGAACAUAACUUAUUUUCAAAGUCUAUAUGAAUAUGUUCCCCACCUUACAUGGUCUUAAGCACUCUCUCUCUUUAUUAUCCCAAUAUUUAUCUCUUUGCUAAGUCCCACUACUAGUCUUUCCCCCAAAAAACAAACUCAAAAGGCAAAAAGGGACACAAGAAAGAUGGAACUUAAGAGUGAGGAAAGCAUGCCCCUACUACUACUACUACUCCACAGUCCCAUAUGACUGCAAUCAUCAUCUAAAAGAGAGAUACUUUUGUAGCGUACUUGAGGUCAAGAGUGCAUUCGCAUUUUAAAGGCCCCACAAGCUAACCUAUGGGGUGACACGAAACAUGGGCUGAAAGGUUUUUAAGCUAAGCCAGUUGAAGAAGCUCAAGUAGGAUUUGACAUGAACUUGCUUCAUGGUUCUUUAAUCUUAAUCACUUUAGUACAACAUGAUAUUGCAUUUAAUUGGGGCAUGGGGGAGCCAAAAAAAUGACAAUUAUUACUAAGUUUGUGCUUUGCAAUAAACAUCGCUGCUUUGGAAUCACAAAACAAAACCACCUAAACCAUUCUCACUAAAUACUACUAGUACUUACUAUUUUGCUAAUCACAUUGUCUCUUUUCUUUUGAUUCAUCUUGUCAUCUAUGCUUUCCAACUUUUGGAUUAAUGUUUAUCCUCUGCUACGUGCUAGACCAUAAUCAAAAUGUUUGUGCCUUGCUCACAGUGUUAUCACUAGCCUUCCAAUCCUGGCCCUGAAAAGUAGCCGACAAACUCAUUUUAUUGGUUCUGCCAUGUGAUUUGUGGCCUCAACCAGUACACCCAUUUGGUUGGUUCUUCUUUAUUAGGGGCAGAAGAAUUUAGAAGGAAAAAUAAUAAUAAUAAUAAUAAAAGCCAAUCAUGAUUUUAUUAAAAUGCACCUUGCUCUCAAUUUCCCAAAUUUGGAAGGAUGCCUAAUAAGGUGGUGCUUGUUUUUCUCAUGAGACUACGUGGCCACUACUACUCACUAAUCAAACCUCUUGCAUUUAUGUUUUAUAAAUUAUCUCUAUAACAAUGUCCCUAUGACAUGGAGUAAUAUGCCUCAACACCUGACAUGAAUCAUUAUAAUCUAAGCUCCCUCCCUGGUUAUGAAAAUCUUGGAGGGAUUAUGUUUGAUUUUUGCCAUUGGUUGACACUAAGUUCUAGAAAGCUGAGUCCAGCUAGAAGAUAAAGCAGAUCAAUUAGAUUCUGUCUGCUCAAUCCUUUCUUAUAAUAAUUAUUUUUCUAUAUUUUAUUUCACCUUUAACAGAGGUUGUUCUCACUUUCACUGACCAUGUUUGUACACUAGUGAAUUAUGAUGCAACUUGCAUGAACUUCAAUUUCUGGUUUAACUGAUCAAUGUUUUCACUUGGCUACAUUAACUUCUCUCUCUUUUUAUUUUUUAUUUUUUGUCAAAUGAAGAUUAAUUAUAUCUUGUUUUAAAAUUAAUGAGUACAUACUGUUCCACAGAUAUUUAGGCUGUAACAUCCUCUUCUUUUGUCAUGUUUACUUUGUUUUUUGUUUUAAGCAAGAUGCCAUCCUAUACUGUUUUGUAUUCAUUGUAAACCUAGCUUGAUGCCUAUUACUUUAUGAAAUUUCAUAGACUAAAUACAAUUUCCCUUUUCUUCUCUUUUUCUUAUUUGUUUUCCUUAGGAUGUAUGAACUGAACUGGGUCUUGUUAAUGCUGUCAUAGCUUAUACACUGUGUCCUUGUCAAUGAUUAGAGAAAGAAAAACAGAAAAAUGAAGGAAUCCCUUCUUUGAACUUCUGUCAUUUUAAUAUACAUUAGUGUUUUCUUGUCAUGUCAGUCAUUUGAGUGUGAUAAUACGUGUAUGUCAUUAUUUCCAAAAAAAAAAAAACUUGUGUGUAGUGUAGAUAAAUAACAGGAGUAGUCAAAAGUAAGAAAGUGAAAGGGUGUGCAAUGUGAUUUAAAUCAAUUUCUUUUAGAAAGAAAGCAUGACUUUGUGAAGUGAUGUGUGCAUUAGAAAUAUAACCAUAAUAUAAGGCUCAUCUUGCUUCCAAAUAUUGUUCAAUAUAUCUGGAUUCUUCUAGUAGCAUAUGGAUUAAUCUGCAUAUAUAGGCAUUCAUGAACACAAUAUUCUGGUGGCAUUUGACCGACAAGAUGGCUUCAAUUGUGAGUGGAGGGUGUGAAGGCCUCUAUCAACCUCCAUGAUCAUUGAUCGCUAGUCAUGAAUCGUGAAUGAACUAAAACGUUAUCAUUUUAGAUAUAUAAGGCGGGUUGGAUGAUAAAGAAGAAAAAAAAGAUUGUUGGUUAGAUCUCAUCCGCUAACAAACUUAAUAUUUACUGAUGAAAAAAAAUUAUCAUUUCUCUAUUACAAUACAUGAAAGCGAAAGCAUCAUGUUAUAUGAGACAGCAAAAAGUAAAAGAAAUUAAAGCAUGCAUAAAAUAGGAUGUGGAAAAUAUAACGUAUAAAGUACAAAAAUUAUUGGCAAACGGUUUUUAUUCAAAUAAUGGCUACCAUGUUAUAUUGACAAGGACUUUGAUGAUCACCUUCCCAAUAAUAAUGUUGUGCAUGAAGUCUCAACACACUAAAAGGAUAAAGGGUGGUCUUUGAAUUAUUUUUUCUCAAGGAAUGUAGAAGAAUAUUUGCACUGGCAAUUAUGUAAAUGCAUUCUGAUUGACAAGUUCGUUGUUGAAAUCAGAAUUGGACAGCAAAUUUUGCUUUUGUAGUGAUGGUGUACUGCGUUAUCUAUUUGUUGCAUGAAGUGGUGGACAAGGUAUCAUAAUACUUAUCAACCAUUGAGCUAGGUGAACUUUGCCUUUAUACAAAAUAUUCCUUUUUUUUCUUUCCUUUUGAUUCUUUUUUAACUUUUGUCUUUUUAGCUUAUUUUCUAUCCCCCCCCCCCCAUUUAAUUUCUUUUGAAUUCGAAGCAUGCAAGGACACGUCCUGGUGGAGGUACAAGCAUUGUACUGACCCCUUUGCGUAGAUAUACAAAGUGUUAUCACUUUCAUCUCGCAGCAUAUUAUGAUGAUCUUGUUGUCGGUCAAAUGGUGCUAGCUAUGUGUGUCGGUGAGAAAGGUUAAAAGGAAAAAGUGCAGUGGAAAAUAAUCUAGAGUUCAAGUUAUUUGAUCUUCUUUGGCUAUGAAGCCACCAGUGUGCUAUGUUAAAUAAUUAGAAGAAAAUUUGUAUGAUUCAUAAUGAUCUUAUCUAAUUUAAAUAUGAUUAUCUACAGUAAAAAAAAUACAUGUGAAAGAUAUAUAUUGAUUAAUUAAAAGACACUUUAUUAGAAUGUGGAGGAUUAUGUUGUACAAAUUUUCAUACCUCGAACUUAACUAAGCUAUAAACAAAAGCCAUCAUUUCAAUGCAUUAAACUAUUCACAAUGAAUGCAUUAUAGCCUAACAUUUGUAUUAUAAAGGUAUGCCAAACCGUGUAAAUCAAAAAGAUGAUAAAAUUUUAAGAUUUGGGGUUUUGUGUUGAUUUAUAGCAGUGUUACUCUUUUGACUAAUUCCUACAUUGAGAGUCUCAAAUAACCACGUUUGAGUACUGUUAACAUCACUUAGAAUAUGGACAGCGCAGUAGGACCACACUUUUGAUUGAUAAAAGAGUUUAUGGCAUUAGUAAUACAAGAAUAAGAACCCCUCAAAGUGUUACUUGCCUAGAAUGCCAUAUUUUUCCUGCUUUCAACAUGUGUUUUUAUUUUUUUAAAAAAAUUAAAAAAGAAAAAGAAAUACUCAUCAUUCUGUUGCUUUUUCAUCUGAAGAAGAUAAAAAGAUUCAAGCAAUAAUGCAACAAGGUGGGGAUGCUGAACUAGUAGCAGUUUCAAGGGUCUUUAAAACCAUCAUUGCAUGAAUUUGUAGCAGACCUGAGUAAAGCCUAAUGCAAAAUAUACCAUUUCAAAAACCAUGAUCCUUUUUCUAUCGCAUAAAGUAAUCAAAUUUUACAAGAUUCAAUGCCCUUUUGAUGUCUACAGAAAAUAAAUAAAAUAAAAUAAAAUCACCUUUUUACCUUGACUAUGAUAUGUUAGAUAGUAUAUCCCAAGCAAAAAGGUGCCAUGUGAUCAACAAAUACUUUAAAAUUUUUACUUCCCUCUGGAUCUCUAAGAGCCAAUUAGCAUUGAGUCAGAAAGCUGGAUGUACUUUACUUAAUUAUGCUAAAUUUUAUCCAAAUUUUUAGGCAGUCCUAGCUUAACGACGGGGUGAUGAUGAUUUUCCUUAUGGAUUCAUUCAAAUGUUCCUCCAUGUUACUGCUGCCACUGACAAUUUUCUCCCUUGUUACCCCCAAAUGGAAGCAUGAUAUUAGGGACCACAUAAUUGGUUUCAUAAAGUUAAUCAUGCCUUAGGAAGAUGUUUACAUCUUUAAUCAUCAAUUAGCAUUACCAAUGAACUAUAUAUGCUGGAUUUUGGCUGUAACUAUAUUGUAAAACUUAAUUUGUUCCCUAUCGUCUUUUUAGUUCCUCGAGCCACUAGUAUGAACGUUUUGACAAAACAGUUACCCUAGUACUUAAUUAUUACUCAAGCCUUGAUCUUGGACAUAAUGGUACUUCUAAAAGGUUUUUGUACAUAAUUUCAUGCAUCAGGUAUGUGACCUUUUAUGCUUGUACAAAAUCACAGAGGAUAAUAUUUUUCUACUAAAUCACAUCAAAAUCUUGUCAUCAAAGUAAUAUCUGAGUGAUUAAACAAAUGCUCCUAUUUUGUCUCCCCAUUGGUGCUCCAAAUUAAAUUAAUAUCUUUGCUGCAUCUCAAUUCUCACCAACCGAGACCUUGUAUGACAAUUAGUAAAACUUGGCCCAAAAUGUACAAACAUAAAUUAAUACUUACACAAGAAUAUUAUAUCCCUUUCUUAAAGUUACUUGAGAGAUGUGACUUAUUCCUUGUACCUUAGUACCUAGUUACUUGUAUACCGAACUCAACUAUCAUACUUUAGAAACUCUCAUUCUUGCCACUCUUAUUGAAAUUGCCCCUGGUUUCAACAUAAAAGGGCACUGCAUAGAUGCCGUAUUAUUAUGUCCAAUAAGAAAGUUUGUUGUUAGCAACACAAUUAUAUGUCCUAUCUUAUCGUGCAUUGGUCUUGUGCUUGUACUUUGUCAUUUAAACACCCUACACGCAAUCACUGUCAAUUUGGACAUUAUCAAUCCAUGCUUACUAGUAAUGGUUUUUACGUAAUCAAAAGUGUGAUAUCUUUCAAUUGACUAACAAUCGUAUUCUCAUUAGUGCUCACUGUUAAUGAUUAUCUCAUUAGAUAUAUAUGCCAUUAAUUGCCCUGCUGUUGCUUUUGGAUACUUCCAUUUGAAUACCAAUAAAAGGGGUUAUGACCUUUUGUAAUACAAGAAGACGAACCCAAUUUGAUGAACAUACAAAUGAUACUGGCUAGAACUUUCAAGAUCCUAUCUAGAAUCAUUAUGUGUCAACUUAUUCCCUUAAAAUUAUAUUUAAAUGUAUCACUUCUUGAAAACAUAAGAUAUUCUUCUGACUAAAAGUUAAAAACUAAUCUCUAAAUAUAUGAAAUUUCAGUUAAUUAAGAAAUUAAUAUCUUUCAAUAGAUGUUUUUUUAUACACACAAUCCUAAAUCAAACUCCAAAUUACAUAGUUAAGAGAUAUAUAUGUCAUACCAUGUUAUUGGAAAUGCUAUAUUUCAAUAAGAUUAAAAUAUGUUUGUAAUUUCAAAGUCACUUUCUUAAUUUCCUCUCACACCAAAUCCUUUUCCCUCACUCAAUCUCAUUGUUUUUUACUUCAAGCCUCGGUAGUAACCCAUGCCUAGUGCCUGAAACAUCCAAUUAUGCAAUGGUUGUGUAUACAAUAUAGAUAACAAGCAAAGGUAAUAGUGGCAAAUUGGGUAAUGGGAGACACACACAGUGGAGAGAAGCAGGCCAAUUAGGGGCAUUAUAAAAACAUCACCAUAUUUCCAUUCACAUAAUUUAAUCCCAAUCUAUAGGUUAGAUCUCAGCAUUUUUCUCGAGAUGUUAAAUGGAUCACAAUAAAAAUUGAAUAAUUUCCCUCUUUAUAUAAAACUAUAAAUAUCUAAUGUGAAAAGUCAACGGUCAAAGAUUUGCAUUACUGUCUCUGUCUCCCACACAUACGCAUAGGCAUUAGAGAGACACACACACACUAAUAACUCACAUUCUGUCACUCACAGAUGACAUUCCCCAAAACCCUCACAACGCCACAAAGCACAAUACGUCCCACUUGGGUGCGGGCCUACCAGCUACCUUGGUGCACCUAUUACAUAGUCCAUAAAUUAAAUCAUCUAAGUAUAUUCUUGAAGUAUUUUUUUAAAUUUGUUAAUUUAAUAUUUAAUAAAAAAAUACAGGCUAAAAGAUAAGAUAAUAGUAAGAAAAAUGAAGAGAAUAAACAAUAAAGAAUAAUUGAAAGUAAAAGUUAUCCAACGAUAAUUUUUAAGAUAACAAUAUUUAUAAUUAAGUAUAUUUAUCUCUUUCUUUACCUUAAAUUAAUAUGUUUUUAACUCUUAGGAUUAUCAUAAUGGUAUAAGAUGUAUUUAUAAUUCACAUGUAAAAAAAUGAUUUAUUUAAAAAGAGAAUUUAUAUUUGAUUAUUUUUGUACAUAAAAUUUUAUUAGGCCAACAAAUUACAUAUCAUGAGUGAAAUGAGUUUUUAUCUUAGUAAAUUGAAGAAUACUUAUAAUCUUUGACCUAAUUUAAUAAAAUAUUUAUAUAAAAAUUGGUGAAUUUAUUUUAUUUUAUUUAUCGAAGAAGAUGAGUUUAUUUACACAAUUAACUUUAAUAUUAUUUAAAAAACGAGGUGUUAUUAUAAUACACUCAUGAUAAUUUUUCUUUCAAAUCUCAUUAUAUCAACAUUUUAUUUUAUCUUUCCCUCUUGAUAUAUUAUAUAGUCUCUUUUUAACAUUAUAAUUAUCCAUAUUUCAUGUUACAUUUAUUUUAUUGACUAGUUUCUAUUUUAUUUCUUACAAAAAGUUAUCUGAAAUCUGAAUGACUCAUUCCAUUAAGUAGCGUUGGACCCACUUAAAUUUUCAUUAUUCUUUUAAUAAUAUAUAUGGCAUUUUUCUAAUGUGUUUGCAGGGAUCAUAGCCAUCUGAUCAUAUUACCGGUCGGGGAUUUGACUCUGACUUUAGAAGGUCAUAGGGUGAGAGACACGUGCAUUGAUGAGUGCUUUGAGCAAAUAUGAAGAUAUUGGGAGUUGAAAUUCUUAUUCAAUUAAUUCUAUUCAUCAUUCUUCAUUUUAUUAUUAAAAUUAUAAUAAUAUAUAUACAGUAUAUAAAGCAUAUGCAUUUGGAAUGAAAUUUGAGAAUUCGAAUGUAUGUAUAAUCCCGGGAAUUUAGACACUCGCAACAAGUUGGAAAAAAUGAAAGACCUUCUGACUGAUUUUCGUUUUAAAUUAUUUUUUGAGAUAUGAUAUUAACAUAAUAUAUGUCUAAUAUCACCUUCUUAAAUGGCUUUUGAUAAAUUAAAAAAAAAACUGUGUAAAUAUAGAUUUUUAAAACAAAAAAUUUAAAAACGAAUCAACAAUUUUUAAGAAUUUGUAGACAAGGGAAUUUUUUCCAUUAACUUUGAUUUGUAGUUUUUUCCUUUUUGUAUAUAUGACUUUUUAGAGAUAGUUUCUAUCUGUUUUUAAAUUGAUAUAUUAUAAUUUGGAAAAUAUAAAAGUUAAUUUAUUGCCUUCAAACCCAUCUACUAAUAUUGAUACUUAAUAAAAUGAAAGAAAAAUAAUAAAAUGAUAUUUUAACAAAAUAUUUCUAUAACAUGUUAUUUUGUAUAAUUAAAUUUGGUACUUUAGUUAAUGAAUUGCCUUAAAUGACAGAAUUUUAAAACUGAAGAACAGAAAAAUUGUCUUUUUAUUUUAGAAGUUUGAGGAAACCUCUACAAUUAAUUCAUAUUGAAUAAAAAUAUUUCAAACAAUGUUAUUCUUUUUUUAAUAAUUAAAGAUGUUUAACAAUUUUAUUAAUGUUUACGGAAUUUCCUUAAGUGAUAAAUUUUUAGAACUGAAGAAAUAAUUGUCUUUCCAUUAUAGAAGUUUGAAGCAAUUUCUAGAAUUGAAUUAUAUUUAAUUUAGUAAACUGCAUUAUCUAGAUUUAUUUUCAUUUAGAAGUACCUUUGUAAUGCCAGAUUCGCUGUGAAGUGUGAAAUGUGACAUGAACAAAAGGGAGUUUCUUUAAUUUUCACUUGUUCUUAAAACAAAAGUAUUUUUCUUUUUUUUGUCUAGGUUUUUUUUUUUAAUAUUUUUGGUCUAGGUAGUAUUUUUCUUAUCUAGUACACUACAAAUUAGAAUUCCUUAUUUGUCUUUACCAAAAAAACAAUUCCUAAUUUGAAAACUCCAACUCUCAUUCUACCUAUUUUCUCAAUUAAAUAUUUUUAAUAUUAACAUUUUUUUAUCUCUCUCUUUUUGCUUGAAGGUGCAUUUCAUACACUAUUUUUGCAAUUAAUAAAAAAAAAUCUAUUUCAAGCAUCUUUAGUGACUAUUUUAUUAUCUUUAUUUUUAUAUGUUUUUUUAAUCAUUUAUCUAUUUCAAUUUAAAAAUAAUUCUAUAUCAUAAUUUUUUUAAUCUAAGCCACAAGGAUGAUCUCCACUAGAGACAAUUCUAUUAUACAAAUAAAUAUAUAUAUAUAUAUAUAUAUAUAUAUAUAUAUAUAUAUAUAUCUUUUAUAAUAUACAAGUUAAAAUAUUUUAAGUAACAUAUUUGUUUCUCAUCUCAUAUUACUUGACAUCUCAUAUUACUUGACAUGUGUUUGUGAUAUCAUUUUAGAAAAUAAAUUAUGAGUCUAAUUUAAUUUAAUUUUAUACUAAAUGACGUGAAAUCUCCAAUAAUAUAGAAUAAUUUUUGACGUGAAAUUUACCUUACAAAUAGGAAGUCAAUGCUUAAUCAAACGAAAGUUAAAAAAACAUCUGAUUUUAUAUCACUUAACAGAAUUUUACUUAGCUGUUUAUAGGUACUUUUUAUUUUAAAUGGUUUGAGAUCAGAAACUAGGGUAUUUGGUUUGAUUACUGUUUUCACUGGAAAUAAAGAGAUGGUGAAAGAAAUGUGUUUAGUUGGAUUUUUUAAAAAUAAUAAAAAUAUUUUUUCAAACGAAUCAAACAAGAAAAAUAAUAAAAUCUCAUUGUCAGUAUUUUCAAUUAAAAACAAAAUUUAUUUUAGAUAAAAUAAAAAUGUGAUGAUAAUUAAUAUAAUUUUAAAUAAAUUUAAAAAUACAUUUUUUUUAAAAUAAAAAUAAUUUUAAAAAAAUAAAAAUAAAAAAUAUAAAUAUAAAUUAAACACACCCUAAAUAUCACGCAUUAAAUGGAUAUGAGGGUAUGUGCAGAUUGAUGUAGGAUAUGCAGAGUAUCACUUUCGGUGGUGAUAUGCUGACGUGGCAAAUUGUGGAUAUUUAUUCUCGGGGAUCGCGAACAUUGACUUUUGUUUUAUAGUCGAUUUGAUUUUUCCUAUCUUAAACAGAGUUUCUUCUUUUUGCGUCACUUCUUUAUAAUUUCUUCUUUUUGUUGGAAUACAUCAAGCUCCUUUUUUAUCCAAUAUAAUUAUAUACUUCAUUGGCCACGAUUUAUGGUUUAAAAUUAAAGAACUAUACCCUGACCCCCCAACCCAAAGUUAUAUAUUUUUUCUUUUGAAAAUUAUGUUACUUCUGAUGCAAUUUCGAAUUAAUAAAUUCUGUAUGUUUUUGCCUUAUAAAAAACUAGUGUGGAAAUUAUUUUUUUAUCACUAAUAUUGAGGUCACAAAAAUUUUAAUGACGAUUUUUUUGAAAAUUACAUAUAGCUUUUUACUAAUUUUAAUUUACCAUGUUGCUUUUUAAAAAAGUGUUUCUUGCUUGUUCAAAGAUAAUUAAAUAGAUUUGACCAACAUGUUGCUGUUUCAAGCCAUGAUGAAUUCAUGUUCUUUAAGCAAAUUUAGAAUCCGAAUUACAAAUGUUGUGAAGGAAAAGUAAUUGAGAUAAGAAAUUUCACUGAUGAUAAUCAGUUAAAAAAUUUAUAAAUAUUAAUCAUUAAUAAAUAUAUAAAUAUCAUAAAGAUGGUAAAAAUAUAAAUAGAUUUGAGUAGUGGUAUUUAUAUAAUAAAUUUCAUAAAAAAAUUACUUAUUUAUUCUUUUAUUUUUUUUAUAUCAUAUCACUUAUUUUAUAUCAUUUAUUUUUCUCCCCAUUUAAAAAAAUGUACAAAAUUUAAUUAUAUAAAGAAAAAAUUGAUCGGUAGGUUUUUCCGUCAAGAAAAAAGUUAUUUGUUUAUUUGUUAAAAUGACUAAGAAUAUACUAGGAAAUUUCUUUGAUACACUCAAUAAAAACAAUUUCAAGAUGUUUAACAGUACAAUCAAAGAAUAUAGGUUUUAAAACAAUAGCACAUUUUAGAGAAUAAAAAACUAUUUGAAAAAAAAAUGCAUAUUUUUUUCCUUAGCAGAUACACUGGAAGUAGAAAUUCAAGAGAGAUUGAUUCUUGCCAACUAGCUAACACAAAUAACAAGUUGACAGCUUCGAAAUAAUGAACCUUUCAGAUUCUUGCCUCAAUGUCAAAACCCCAUAUAUCAUACUACUAUAUGUAUACUUCAUUAAAUUCAUCGAAGACAUAUUUGAUCAUUAAAAAAAUAAGCAUUUCAAUUCAUAAUAUCUUAAAUAUUUCUUUUGGCCGUAUUCGAAUAUGGCUGAGCUGCAACUUGUGAGUAGUGGAAUGGAAGUGGUCAAUACAUGCGAAUAUAAUUUAAAUAUUUUAUUUUCUACUUUCAAGCAAGAAAUUGGGGGCAAGUGUUUCGUACGUGCGUGUGUAGUAUAAAAGCAAAAUCUUUUCCAACAAAGAAAAGGUCAAAUUAUAUUUUAUAAAAAAAAAAUAAAAGGGGUCAAAUUAUUAUGCAAGUGCAUGUGUUGAACUCAAGAUCAUGGCUAGAUUUUAAAGGAGAAACGACGAUUCACAAUUGUGGGAACAAGAAAAAACUGAAAACCCAUAAUGUGGUAGUCCAACAUUGGAGAUUAGAAAGAAAAGGUCAAAUUAACAUGUUGUCUAAUUAGGACAUUAAUUAACAUCGUGGGAUUAAUAUAGUGUGUGUGUGUGCGUGAAGCAUGUAAAUUGUGGGAUGGUUGACUCUUAAUAACAGCUAAUUGAACUCUUCUAAAGGAUAUGUUAGGUACCGAAUUUGAGGACAAAUCGAGGUUCAUGAGUUACUUCCUCAAUAUCCUCGAUCACCCACAUGUGUGUAUGGUUAUUUUUCCUAUUUGCUUAGGACGAGAUACGAUACGAUACGUUUCUAUGUCAUUAUCAUAUGCAGAUUCUUUUACACUUCUGGGACCCCGGGAUACUAGGCAAAGUAAUCAUACGACAAUAUAUCUUGCCAUUUUGAUUUUGAAUUAAUUACAGAAUUGUUAGGUAUUUGACUACAUCAAUUUCCUCGGCAUUCAUAGGAAAAGAAACAUCUUCUUGCAUAUUAUUUACCUAUACAAUAAAAUUGAUUUCAACUUAUUAAAUGCUAGCAUUAAUGAGCUUGAAGUUAGCAAUAUAGUAUAUUUUUUUCAUAUGUAUUCUCCUCCUUUAGAACCAAUUCUAUUUUGAGGUAUAUAUAUACUUAUUUAAGCAAGAAGUUGAAUAUUAGUCUGCCACAUUACUUGUGAGAGACUACUCUCUUCCCAAUCCCUUUAGUAACAUUCUUCAAUAGUCAUAAACAUUUUGUCAUAUAUAUAUAUAUAUCACUCAAAAUAUAAGUCUAAUAAUGGUCAUUAAUGAUUUAUCACCCAAAUAGCACAAUUUUUCCUGGAAAAUUUUCUAAACAAAAACAUUAUAUGUAUUAUAUUCCGUGUAUGGCCGACGCACUGAGUGGUCCUUUCCAACUAGUAAAUAAUAAGAAUUAUAAAAUUCUCCCUUUGAUCUCUUGACACUGAAUUUGAUUUGACGACUCAAAUUUACUUUGUUAUAUAUAUUUCACAUAAAAAUAUAGAACAAAUUUUGAUUUGUUAUCUUAUGGCUUACGUCUUAAGUUUGGUUUUGUUAGAAAAUGACUCAUCCUGAUUUUUAAGAUCCACAUGCAGUAUGCGACAUAAUUAUAAAAUAACUUUAGGCCUUAAAUAUCGCGUUACUUAUUUAUUAUUUCAUACGUGAUACGUAUUACGCUUCAUGAUCACAAAUAUUUGUAUAUUUUUUAAAGCAUAAAUAGGUUUAUAUAUGCACAUUCAUUUUUUUAUUUUUUUAAAAAAAUUGAUAAAUAAUGAUAGAAACCAUCACAAGGCAUUUUAGUUUUUUUUUUUUUAUUUCUUACAACACCAAACACCAAAUAUGUAGAUCAACCUGGGUGAUAUUAUUUAAGUUUAAUUAGUAGUUUAAAUUUUAAGUAUACAAAUGCGUUAAUACUCAAAAAGAGACCUAACCUCCUUUAGUGAUCUUAUCUAAUAAUUUGAGUAUAAGUAUUUUCAGUAGAAGAUAUCUAUAGUUUAUAUCAAAGAAAUGAAAAAAAAAUCUAUAUAUCAAUUAUAUUAUUAUUAUUAUUAUUAUUAUUAUUAUUAUUAUUAUUAUUAUUAUUAUUAUUAUUAUUAUUAUUAUUAUUAUUAUUUGAUAUAACAGCUACGAGAUAAAAUCAACGUUAGAGAAGGAAUUUUCCCAAUACAUUUCAUCUUCAACUAGAAUCGAUGACUUUUGUCAAGCAACCACUAUCAUUGUUGGAAUUGCUUAAUUAUGAGGUCUUUGAAAUAGGUUUUUCCUGCUUUUGCUUUUUGUGGAGGGUUGGGGAAGUGGAUGAAUUGGCAAAAAUUAUUGACCCCCACAAGAAAAUUUUGUGUUUUCUUUUUAAACUCAGGAUGAUGUUUUUCAGGAAGAAAAUAAUAUAAAUUGUUUUUGUGGCUUGCCAACUACGUACAUGUUGCUUCUUAAAGUAAAACAGCAGACAUACUUACAUAUACAGACUGAGAAUUCAAAUUCAAGUAUUGUAUGACUUUUCGUAUGAAUUAUAUCUUUGACUUUGCUUUAUUUGAAUACCUAAUGGUCGGCACUUUUCCUAGUAAUUAAGUCAUGCUAUUUCACGAAAACAUAUACUAAAUUCAAAGCAAAAACGUACACUAAAAGCAGAGAUCACCAUGUUAUAUGCUUAGUCAGAGCUGAUUACAAUAUAUCUUUCAAGAAAACAAGCUUUUAUUUAAUGAUAGGUUUGAUAAAGAAUUUCAUUUAUGUUGAUUCAUAUAAAAUUAAUCUUUUUUUAGUUACAAAAAUUUAUGAGAAAAUUAAAAAUGACACCAUUUUUUUAUGCAUAAAAAUAAAAAAUAAAUACUAAAAAAUUUAUAAUAAUUUACAUAUUUUAUUCAAUCAACUCAACUAUAAAAGAUUAAAUGGAACCUCAUCUCCAAAAGGAUGACAAGAGCUUGAAAUUGUGACUUGUCACUUGUGAGAUUUUUGGUUCUUUUUCACUCAACCAACUCCUUAACAUUAUAUAAAAUCUCUAAUAAUUCAGUAAGUUAUUAUAAAAAAAUAUUUAAACCAGAUUAAAUGGUUAUAUAACUAAAUGAUUAGAUAACAAUUUAUCUUCUCUUAUUUUCAUAUUAAAUGAACUAUCUUAUUACAUGUUUGUAUCAAAAUUCAAAACCGUAACAAUGCCCUUUCCUUCUUUUUCCUUGAUUCCUCUUUUUGUCAGUCUCUGUGGCCUUCUUUAUAAUGCAACGCAAGUGGAAGGGAGAAGAAAUAGUGAAUUUGAAUUGCACGAAGCUUCUGCAAACGCAGUGCGAAGCGCUCAUCAUGAUGNNNNNNNNNNNNNNNNNNNNNNNNNNNNNNNNNNNNNNNNNNNNNNNNNNNNNNNNNNNNNNNNNNNNNNNNNNNNNNNNNNNNNNNNNNNNNNNNNNNNNNNNNNNNNNNNNNNNNNNNNNNNNNNNNNNNNNNNNNNNNNNNNNNNNNNNNNNNNNNNNNNNNNNNNNNNNNNNNNNNNNNNNNNNNNNNNNNNNNNNNNNNNNNNNNNNNNNNNNNNNNNNNNNNNNNNNNNNNNNNNNNNNNNNNNNNNNNNNNNNNNNNNNNNNNNNNNNNNNNNNNNNNNNNNNNNNNNNNNNNNNNNNNNNNNNNNNNNNNNNNNNNNNNNNNNNNNNNNNNNNNNNNNNNNNNNNNNNNNNNNNNNNNNNNNNNNNNNNNNNNNNNNNNNNNNNNNNNNNNNNNNNNNNNNNNNNNNNNNNNNNNNNNNNNNNNNNNNNNNNNNNNNNNNNNNNNNNNNNNNNNNNNNNNNNNNNNNNNNNNNNNNNNNNNNNNNNNNNNNNNNNNNNNNNNNNNNNNNNNNNNNNNNNNNNNNNNNNNNNNNNNNNNNNNNNNNNNNNNNNNNNNNNNNNNNNNAACAAUUUGAAGGGAAAGAGAGUAGACGAGGGAGGGAAGGAGGAAGAGAGAGGGGAGAGAUUAGAGAUAAUAUUUUAAAAAGUUAUCGAAUUUUUGAAAACAAUUUAACGGAUAGAUGACUAAGGAGAUAUCAUUGUGCCAAAAUUCUCUAUCUUCAGCGGUUCCUUUUUUGAAAAUUUUCUACUCAUCUAUCUAAUACUUAUCAAUUCAAAUACCAACCAUGAUCACCUGCGCUAAAUAUUCUAAAAACAAAUUUAUGGCUCAUAAGAAUUUCAUCUGAGUAAAAUUAUUUCAUUAUAAAAAAUAAUUACAAUGGUUAUGGUGCUGAUGAUAGAGUAAGUAGUAGCAUCAUGUACGACAAUCUUUGGUGCAAUUUUUUCAGUUUUGUCUGCCCUCGGUCACAAUUAGGUUAACUAUAGUUAGACAAACCGAUUUACAAUUCACAUUCAAGAAAUCCUCAUCUAAAUGAAAUAUCUCCACAACCUUAUCUAAAUUACUCCCAUUUCUCUCUUUAUCAUUAAUUAGUUAAUUCAAUGUGAAUUAUAUGACUCUUCUAUAUACAGUACUAGUGAUGAACUCAUAUAUGUGAUAAUAUAUACGUAGUUUUUUUUUUUUUUUACCGAAUAUGCAGUUAUAAGUUAUAACUAUUCCUUGUAAAAAAAAAGUUAUAACUAUUAAUUAAAAAAUUAAUGAUCAUGGAUUAUGAAGUUAUUAAAAUAUUAAUUGUUAUUUUCUCAUUAAUGAUUAUAAAUAUAUUUUGUACUUUAGAGUGAAAAGCUAUACCAAUAAAUCCUACACACAUUUUCCUUUUAUAACUAUACAUUUGCAUACUACGGCUGCAUAUCAAACACAGUUACGUGACAAAGUUGAAGAUAUUAUAAUUCAUCAGUUUUAAAUUCCCCACUUAGAGAUUGCUAUUUCACAAAGUAAUUAUCCAUUUUCUCUAAUAUUUAUGAAUAAAAAAAAUACUUAUCUUCUAGAAAUGACAUCUUAUAAUAUGCUGUCCAGCCCCUGUCAUUUUUAAUGGUGCAUUUCUAGAAAAUGCUUCUCAUGUCAUGCACGAUGCAUCGGAUAUAGACCAUGUAGGGAGUAUAUAACUUGUAAUAUAAAUAGCACUUAAGCAAAAAAGUCAAUAUAUCCGUUAAUUAAACUAAAGUUUAUAAUACUUACAAAUAUAAGAUAAAUAUAUAGUUACUUGUGUACGAAUGACAAUUUUUGUUUUCCAUGCAAACAUUUCAUUUUCAUAUAUACCCUAAUUCAUUCCAUGUUCUCACUCAUUCUUACUUUAUUCAUACAAAUCUACAAUAUUGAUUUCCAUUCUAUAAGCAUCUCAAAUGAUGUGUUUGUAUAAAGUAUAUGAAAGCUAUUAUGUACAUUUUUAUUCAAAAUCUUUAUUUUUCAUUUGUAAUGCAAUUUUUUUAUAAUAUCAUUUAAUUAUGCAUUAUAUAUAAUUAAUAUGUCACAUGAUCGUGGAUAAUAUAAAAAAAUUUUAAUUUUAUAUUAAUAUAUGCUUUUUGCAUACACUUUUGUUAAAUUUUAUUUGAGAAAAAUAAAUAAAGAGAAAAAAUACUUAUUUUUAUCUUAUAUAAAUAUUUACAUUUUUUCUCUUUUGAUAAACUCUUAAAUUACAUUGUCUUUCUUCAUAUUUAAAAAAAUAUUUUAACCCUUAAAAAUAAUAUAUAAUAUAUUUAAUUUGUUUUAAUGUGAACAGAUCUUUCAUAAUAGUUUAUCUUCUUACGUAAAUACCGAAUUUUAAACUACUGUUAUCAACUUUGGGAGUGAUAUUCCAAAGUAGCCGAAAGUGACAUUAAAAGUUAUACAAAGAAAAAAAAAACAUGAAAGUUUGUGUUUUUUUUAUAACUAUUCACCUGAGGUAUAUAUAAAGUAAUGUGGAUUAAAGUAUAUAGUAAGAGGGAAUAGCGUAUAUUUUUAAAAACAUAAAAAGGUAUACUAUAAAAAUUUCUUUGAACAGGAUAUCGUAAUUUAUCUUUUAUUAUAUAACUUAGAAACAUGUUAUAAAAAUGAAAUUAUAGACUUAAAAAACAUUAGAAACUUCAUUUAUGAAAUGAAAGAUUAAGCUCGAUAGUCAUAAAAUCAUUUAUAAAUCCUCUUCUCUAUGGUUUAAUAGUAGUUGUAUUAGUUGUGAAAAUUAUAUUCUAAUAUUAGAUUUGCACUGUAAUAGAAUUUUUGAAAUAAAUAAAAUUUUGGAAAAUAAAAUUGAAAGUUGGUAUAUUUUUUCUAAUUAUUUUUUGUUAUUUUAUUUCCAGCAAUUAAUUUGAGAAUAAAAUCAAUUGUUACAUAUAACUUCAAAUUUAAGCAAUUUAAGUGAAACAGUUUUUCACCUAAUAUAUUCAAAUAAAAAUUCAUUUACUUGAUUAAAUUAUAUUUAGGUUUAAUUAUAAAAUUUAUUUCUUUAAUUUGUCUAUUACACUAAAUCAAUCUCCCUAAUUUUAAUUUAUUAUUUGAAUUCUCUUAUAUUUCAAAAUAUACUUAAUAUACUAAAUCGGUUCUCCUAUUUUUUAAUUCACUAUUUGAGUCUCCAUAUAUUUUAAAAUACAAUCUUAGGGAAAAACUAGAAUCAUAAUCCUUAAAAUAAGAAACACACUCUUUUAUCAUCACAUCCAAGUGUUUAUUAGAAUAUUUUAUGCAAAAUAUAGUAUUAAUAUAAAUUUUAUGUGAAAAUAGUUCAAAAUUUAAAUUUUUUUAUUAUUUUAUUAUAUUUUUAUAAUUUUUUAUAUUAUCUUUUAAAAUAUAAUAUAUAAGAUUAAAUUUUAUUUUCACAUAAAUUUAAAAAUUUAUAUUUAUAUAAGUUUUAUUUUUAUUUUAUAUAUUAUAUUUAUCUAUUAAAACAAUACUUGUGAUUUAGUGAUAAUAUUUUUUUAUCUAUGUUAAGGUACUCAUGUUAUUUAUUAUAAUAUAAAUAAAAAUAAUAAUAUCAAUAAAUUACAUACAUAAAUAUUUUAAGAAAUAGAAAAUAUUGUCAUUUUAUUUAAUUAUGUAUAUAUCUUUAUUAUAAAAUUUAAUUCUUUUAAAAAGUAGUGAUUAAAUAAAUUUAAAUAUAAAAAACUAUUAUAAUAAAUAAUAAAAAUAUCUUAAUAUAGGUAUAAGAUAUUCAUUGACAUAUAUAAAUAUUUAUAAAUAAUAAAAUACUAACAUUUUAUGAAAUUAUAAUUUAGGUAAAAAAUAUAACUUAAAGAUAAAAUUCAUAUUGUAUAUUUAUUUUAUAAAAUAGGUUUUGAAUAGUGUGAUAAAAAUACAUAAAAUUAUAAAAAAUAUAAUAUAUAAAAUAAAAUAAAGCUUGUAUAAGUAUUCAUAUUUUAAUUUAUGUGAAAAUAAAAUUUAACCUUAUAUAUUAUAUUUUAAAAGAUAAUAUAUAAGAUUAUAAAAAUAUAAUAAAUUAAAAAAAUGAAUUUUAAACUAUUUUUGUAUAAAACUUAUAUUAAUAUUAUAUUUUGUAUCAAAUAUUUAAAUAGUAAAUUAAAAAAUAAAAAGAUCAAUUUAACGUAGUGGACAAAAUAAAGGGAUGAAUUUUAUAAUUAAACCAUAUAUUUAUAAUUUAUUAUUGAUUAAACUAUUUUCAUGACUAAUCAAACACGUGUUAAUAUAAAACAAUUUAUAAUUCAAUAAUUAUCUGGAAAUUAAUGAUCUGAAAUCAACCGAGAAAACUAACAGGAGGGUNNNNNNNNNNNNNNNNNNNNNNNNNNNNNNNNNNNNNNNNNNNNNNNNNNNNNNNNNNNNNNNNNNNNNNNNNNNNNNNNNNNNNNNNNNNNNNNNNNNNNNNNNNNNNNNNNNNNNNNNNNNNNNNNNNNNNNNNNNNNNNNNNNNNNNNNNNNNNNNNNNNNNNNNNNNNNNNNNNNNNNNNNNNNNNNNNNNNNNNNNNNNNNNNNNNNNNNNNNNNNNNNNNNNNNNNNNNNNNNNNNNNNNNNNNNNNNNNNNNNNNNNNNNNNNNNNNNNNNNNNNNNNNNNNNNNNNNNNNNNNNNNNNNNNNNNNNNNNNNNNNNNNNNNNNNNNNNNNNNNNNNNNNNNNNNNNNNNNNNNNNNNNNNNNNNNNNNNNNNNNNNNNNNNNNNNNNNNNNNNNNNNNNNNNNNNNNNNNNNNNNNNNNNNNNNNNNNNNNNNNNNNNNNNNNNNNNNNNNNNNNNNNNNNNNNNNNNNNNNNNNNNNNNNNNNNNNNNNNNNNNNNNNNNNNNNNNNNNNNNNNNNNNNNNNNNNNNNNNNNNNNNNNNNNNNNNNNNNNNAUUACUUGACUAUGAAAGAUGGCUUAAAAUAUUAGAAUGUAAUUUCACUCGACAUAUUGGUUUUUUUAUAUUAAUUUCCAAGCAAAAUUUUAAUUUUAAGACACUAAAAUAGAUGAAAGAAAAGUUAAAAUACUCAUUUUAUUUCUAUAAUUUCAUAAUUCUUAUUUUUUUAAUUCAUAUAAUAUUUGAAAGUAAUCUUUUUAAUCUUUAUUAUUUAUAUUUUAAUUUUUUUUUAAUCUUUAUAAUUUUAAAAAUGAUAUUUUUAGUUCUUAUAAUUUUAUAAUUCUUAUUUUAAUCCUAUAAUUUCAAAUUAGAUGAACUAAUAGAGAAUUAAAUUAUAAACUAUAAAGACUAAAAAAAAACAUUUUUAAAUUACAAAAAUUAAAAUAUAAAUUAUAAAAACUAAAAAUAUUAUUUUCAAACUAAAAAAAUAAGAAUCAUAAAGAAUUAAAUGAAUAAUUUAACCCAACAAAAAAUACUACACAUGUCAACCUAGCAAGUUUGGCAUACAGCUGGCAGGUUCCUUUUGUACUCUUGAACAAGAAACCCCACCAGUCUAACCGUACAACCACUCACACAAUAUCCCUUCCCGUCUUUCACUCUCCCAACCCAAGUACUCGUGGAACUUUGACUAGGGAAUAUCGUGGGAAAUUCGAGGAACGCCGUUAUUUUCUGUUACCGGUAAUCGCAAGUAACUAUCCCACCUAAGUAAGUGGCUGCCGGUAUUUUGUGGGACAUCCCCCCUCCACACUCCAAGCGCGCAAGUCAUGGGUUUACUUAAACACCGUGUUUACCGGAUGUUGCCGGUUAAUUAUUUAUUAACUGCAUUCUUAAUCUUUCUUGUUCCCUCUCCCACACCUUCACAAGGUGGCUUCCAAAUAGUUUCGCCGUUUUUCUUGCAGCACUCCCCAAACAAACGCACACAAAAUGGAAUUUAUUAUUAUUUUUUAUAAUUUCAAAAUCUAAAAUAUUUAUGCCUAAUAAUUUAUUUAUUUAUUUAUUUAUUUCUUUUGGUGAGAAAAUUGAAAAAAGUUUGAUUUUUUUGACACAUCGGAGCGUGGGAUUUUGGCGAAGCAAAAUAAUGAAUUUUGGGUUGGCCAAUCCAAUACGAGACAAAGGGAUAAUGGGGAUAUAGGUUUGUCUUUAUUCCACAUUAUUUGAUCUUAUGCCCUCUUUAGAUAUGGACUACCAUCUACUACUACUAAUUAAGCACUUUGACAACAACCGCAAAGCAUUUCAAAGUGACUCCAUAAGCAUUCCUUUUAUGUUGCACAUGGAUUCCAUUCAAUCUAUCUAUCUAUCUUUAAAAAGCAGUAUGGUAUUCAAUCACUCGUGUUCAAAUAAUAUGCCAAGUCAUUUCCAAUUGAAAUUGUGUUUUUAUGCCUUCUCAAUUCACGUUUCCUUUUUGUUUUCUUUCCCUUAAUUAUCAUUAUUAUUUUUAUAAUUGUUUUCCUAACAAGCCAAAUCAAAGUCCUCGAAACUCAUUUAAUGCGUGUUUAAUUAGUUUAUAGUUAAAAUUAUUAUGACAUAUUUCAAUGUAAAUCUAACAAGUAAGAAUAAAAUAAAUAUAAAAAUAAUGAUCAUAAUUUUUGUCUCAAACCUAAUUUUAUAAGGAAGAAUCAAACAUCGACUUAAUUUAUUAUGUGACCAUAAAUGCAUGGAAGUUGUAAUAUUGUAUGCUUUGUCAUGAUGUAUAAAUUUAAAUGUUUACAUAUAUAUAGAGAGAGAGAAAAAAGGAAAAACCAAAAAGUGACACAAAAUAGCUGCACAUUCCCCAUUAUACCCUCCAUGGUUACAUUUAUUUACUCCCUUGUCCCUAGUCUCAAGCAAACCCAGCUUGACAUGUGCCUCUAUAUAUACCACUUUCUCUCAUCUUUUCAACUCACGCCCAACACAACACACCAUCUCCUAGCUCCUUUCUAACGAGUUUCUAUUACUAUUAGAGCAUUGUUUUCUUCUCUCUCUCUCUCUCUUACACACCAAACUCCUGUUGCUGUUUUCUCCUUCCCAAAACAGACACACACCCCAACAAGGUUGUUGUUAGCCAUCACAACCAUGCCUGAGGCACCGAGAGACUACAACCUUUUGGAGCAAAACAAGAAAACCCUCGAGUUCAUUGAGGAUGUCACUGCCAACGCAGACCAAGUUCAGAAGAGGGUCCUCUCCGAAAUCCUCUCCAACAAUGCAAACGCUGAGUACCUCAAGAGACACGGCCUCCAUGGCCAAACCGACCGCGAAACCUUCAAGAAACUCUUGCCUGUCAUAACCUACGAGGACAUCCAACCCGACAUCAACCGCAUCGCCAAUGGCGAUACUUCUCCAAUCCUUUGCUCCAAACCCAUUUCAGAAUUCCUCACUAGGUAUAUAUGCACACAUAUACAUAAUAAUACUCUCUCACACAAAAAAAACUUCCUUCUCUUUUUUUGGCCUAGUUCUCACUUUUUUGUUUUCCUUCUCGGGUACAACAAAGUUUGAACCUAUGACCUCAUGUCCAAUCCUAGUAGAUUGGCCUAAUUCUAACUUUUUCUUAUGUAUAUAAUAACCACAACAAAGUUUAAACUUAAACCUCAUAAAUCACCCCAAUGGGGUGGCCUAGUUCUAACUUUACUCAAGAAAACAAAACAAAAGAUAAUUUUUUUUUGACAUGGGUCUUGUUUUUCAUGUCCAUUUUUUUGUUUCUUUGUGUAUAUGGCAUGGUAUAUAAGAUAUUCAUGGGUUGUUUAAGUUGUUUUUAUUUUUAUUCUUUAUUGGCAAAAAUGUUAGUCCUCAGUUCUGUUAGAAUAUAAAUGACCCAUGAUCUCUCCAUCCUUUUUUCUUGAUCCCUUCACCCAUCAAACCAACCUUAUAAUUUUUGUUCUAAUCAUGUGUUCAUAUUUUUUUUUUUGUGUGUGGCAGUUCUGGGACAUCAGGAGGUGAGAGGAAGCUGAUGCCAACAAUUGAAGAAGAGCUAGGUAGAAGGAGUUUGCUGUAUAGCCUUCUGAUGCCAGUGAUGAGCCAGUUUGUUCCUGGUUUAGAAAAGGGCAAAGGAAUGUACCUAAUGUUCAUAAAAUCCGAGGCCAAAACCCCCGGUGGAAUUGUGGCUCGUCCAGUUCUCACCAGCUACUACAAAAGCUCAUACUUCAAAGACAGACCCUACGACCCUUACACCAACUACACCAGCCCCAACGAGACCGUCCUCUGCCUGGACUCCUACCAGAGCAUGUACUCCCAACUCCUCUGCGGCCUUUGCCAGCACAAGGAGGUCCUCCGUGUCGGCGCCGUCUUCGCCUCCGGCUUCAUAAGGGCCAUCCGCUUCCUCGAGAAGCAUUGGCCCUUACUUUGCCAUGAUAUCCGAACGGGUACCAUUGACAAUACGGUCACGGACCUGUCGGUCCGUGACGCUGUGAUGAAGAUCCUCAAGCCUGAUGCCAGGCUUGCGGAUCUCAUCCAGUGUGAGUGUGGGAAGAGCUCCUGGCAGGGAAUCAUCACCAGGCUGUGGCCCAACACUAAGUAUGUGGAUGUGAUUGUGACUGGGACAAUGUCACAGUACAUCCCCACGUUGGACUACUACAGCAAUGGACUCCCACUUGUGUGCACCAUGUAUGCGUCUAGUGAGUGCUACUUUGGUGUCAAUCUUAACCCUCUUUGCAAACCUAGUGAGGUCUCUUACACCCUCAUUCCCACCAUGUGCUACUUCGAGUUCUUGCCUGUUAAUAGAAGCAAUGGGGUGUCCCAUGACAAUCUCCACACCCCUAGAUCCCUCAAUGAGAAGGAACAGAAGGAGCUCGUUGAGCUUGUUGAUGUCAAACUUGGCCAAGAAUAUGAACUUGUGGUCACAACUUAUGCUGGUAAGCAUAUACAAACAAACACCCUUUUGUUAUUGUCACUUUUAUCUUAAACAUUAUCUGAGGUUUUAAAUUGCGGUUGCAGUUUUAGUUUCAUGACAAUCCUUGACAUUUUGUUAUGAUUCUUAACAUUGUGGUAAUAUUGUGACAGAUGCAUUCACAAUUACGGUCAUAUCGUGGCGACAAAAACCUUGACUUUACGGCUAAAAUUGCGAUUAUUUUUUUAAAACCUUGAUUUUUACUUUAACAUAACACAAAAUUGGACAUGGGUUUGAUGAUUGACAAUUGACAAUUGACAAUUUUUUUUUUUUUGUUUUUCAGGUUUGUAUCGUUACAGAGUUGGUGAUGUGCUGAGGGUGGCUGGAUUCAAGAACAAGGCACCCCAAUUCAACUUUGUGUGCAGAAAGAACGUGGUGUUGAGCAUAGACUCAGACAAGACCGAUGAGGUUGAGCUCCAGAACGCAAUGAAGAAUGCCGUGACACACUUGGUGCCCUUUGAUGCAUCAGUGUCCGAGUACACCAGCUAUGCAGACACCACAACAAUCCCUGGCCACUAUGUCUUGUACUGGGAACUCUCCCUGAAAGGCUCAACCCCAAUUCCACCAUGUGUUUUUGAGGAUUGUUGCUUAACCAUAGAGGAAUCACUGAACAGUGUGUAUCGCCAAGGUCGAGUUUCGGACAAAUCGAUCGGGCCACUUGAGAUCAAGAUUGUGGAACAGGGGACUUUUGAUAAGCUCAUGGACUAUGCCAUAAGCUUAGGGGCUUCAAUAAAUCAGUACAAGACUCCAAGGUGUGUGAAGUUUGCACCUGUGCUGGAGCUCUUGAACUCAAGGGUGGUGGAGAAGUAUUUUAGUCCAAAAUGUCCAAAAUGGGUUCCGGGACACAAGCAGUGGAUCAACCAGAAUUCAUCAUGAAUCUAAAGGUUGGCAUUAUUAUGUGGUUGGUAGCUUUUCAUGGCGGUUCACGUGAACUGUUUUUUGUGGACAUGUUAGGAGGGGGGUGAAGGGAGGAGAGGGAUUUUAAUUACUCUUUUUUUUUUUUUUUUUUUUUUUUUUUAAUUUUCUUUUAGGUUAAUUCCAUGUGUUAAAAAGACUUUGAUUUUAGUCCCUUGUUUUUAACUUGCAUAGUGAUCAGACCUAGCCACNNNNNNNNNNNNNNNNNNNNNNNNNNNNNNNNNNNNNNNNNNNNNNNNNNNNNNNNNNNNNNNNNNNNNNNNNNNNNNNNNNNNNNNNNNNNNNNNNNNNAAAAAAAGGCAUCCCAGUUGAUUGCACUAGUGGACCUCUGUCUUUUAUUAUCCACUAAAAUUUCCCUUUUUGGUUUUUAUUUUUGUCUUCUCAACUUUAUUAUGGACCCUAUGAUCAUAAUUCACAAGAAUUGGCCUAAUAGUGAGGAAUUUGAGUAGUUUGGAUGAAAUCUUGGUUUGAAGUUUAUUAUUGACAUUGUGCACAAAUAAAAAAGACUCUAUAGUCAUAAUUCACAAGAAUUGGCUCAAUAGUAAGGAAUUUGAGUAGGUUGUAUGAGAUAUUUGAUUUGAACUUCAUUAUUGGCAUUGUACACAAAUAGAAAGACCCCAUAGUCAUAAUUCACCAGAACUGGCUUAAUAGUGAGGAAUUCGAGUAGAUUGUAUGAGAUCUUGGUUUGAAGUUUAUUAUUGACAGUGUACAUAAAUAAAAGAAUCCUAUAAUAAUCAUAACGUUCGGUUGGAAUUGGUUUCUUAAUUGCAGCCAGCAAUCAUGCAUGUUCACUUAUGUGUGAUGGGGCUUAUUUCGUAUAACGGCAAACAAGAAAGAAAUCCAUCACUUCUGAACUCCUUUCUUUUUCUAUAGUUUUCAAGAAAAAGCAUGCCAACUUUUUUUCCUCGCCAAUCCCACUAUUUAUGUUUGUCCAACUAACGAAUCACAGUGAAAUUAAUUAAACAUUAAAAAAAUAGAAAACAAAAUAAAAGGAAAAGUGUUAUAUCCUGUUAGGGUGAGUGAUCAGGGCAUUCUAUUCUGCAAAGAAAGCUUCGCAAUUUGAUUAAGACUUGUCCAUAAUUUUUGAAAUUAGUGGAAGGGGAAGAAAAGGCAAGGGAUAAAUCUAGUGUUUAAAAAAAAUGUUGACAAGCUCCUCUCGUGAUGGCAAGUAAUGAGUCCAAAUUCUCUUUCUGAAUGAGUCUAUUUUAACAAAUAGUUGUUUGUGUCAGAUUCUGUCACUAAGUCAAGGAACUAAAAACCAUGUGUGGGUAUUAAAUCAACAGGGGUUGGCUUCUGUUCACGGUUCAAACAUAUGCUUUCUUCAGCAAUUCCAAAAGCAAACAAAACAAAACAAAACAACUUUGUGUGCCAGUGAAAAAAAAUUCCUAUUUCCUAGUGACUAUUUGCUGGCAGUGGCACCACAUAACACUACUAAUUCUAUGAUCAUAUUAUACCCUUUGGCCCCUUUUAUUAUAUAUGAUCACAGUGCCCCCACUGUGAACCAACCAAAAGACCAGCUCAAUCAGUUUUUCAGGCCAUUCAACACUGGAAAAAUCCCAGGACUAGUCAAAGUUGCUAUUGCUCAAUGCCAAGAAUUUUUUGGAGGCAAGUGAGUAAGGGAAGAUAAGGGAGAAUCAGUGCAAUCAGAGUGUUGUUCCCUGUGUGCUAUAUAUAUUCCUCGAAAACAAACAACAAAAACAGUUCUUUUGUUUUUAUUAAAGGGGAAUAUAAAACAAUUUCUGAAGGAGUGUCAGACAAAAUAUUAUGUAAUUCAGACAACCCAGAAGAAAGAGACAAACAUUUUUUUUUUCAGAGACAUAUUGUGUUUUGCUCAGAGUGAUAAUAAUAAUGCAGCGAAGGCCUUAACAGUGUGAAUAGGAGAUAAGGUUUCGUACUUCAUUUUCAGUUUGUGUUGCCUGAUUAUAGUUAGAAUAAAAUUUUACUCAUGCUUUUGCUGUCCUCUUUAUGGUUUUCCAUUUUUAUUCUGUAUGCACAUUCCAAAGAAAAUUCAACGGUAGGUAGGUACUGCAAUAAUCUUACAUCAAAAUAUUAUGUAUGGUCAAGUCACGAUAAUUUCAGUUUUAGCGUUCAUUAUUGCAUUGGACAGUUGUAACUUUCUUUUUUUCUUCUUCCUCGGCAUUAUGAAAACUUGUUUUUCUGUUUUUAAAGUGCCACAGUAAAAAAAAAAGGUCGAGGAAUAGUUAUUGUGUCAAUAGAGAUUAGACUUUUCUUGUAUUAGCAUCAAGCAUUUAGAUGAAUGAAUUAUUAUUUUUUACCCAUAAAUUAAUUUAUGUUAUGCUGUAGUUAAACUUGAAGUCAAAUAUAACAAAAAGAUUAAAACAUUCAUAUUAAAAAAUCAUGAAAAUUUGAUCAUUUUAAAAACAAUUAAGCCCCUUAAGCAUAUUUUUUUUUCUUUUAAAAUAAAAUAAUUACAAAUUUGAUCAUAUGUUUGGAUAUAUUGUAACAGUAAUGUAAUAAUUAGUAAGCGGAAUCAAAGUAUUAUCUUAGGAUAACAACAUAUCAAGAAAACCAUUUGGAAUUAACUUAAAAAUGAUAGAUAUUUUAACUUGAUUGUACCGCAAAAAUGAUUUAUGCUUUCCUAUUUUAAUCAUCAACAAACGGAUGUACUUGGGGGCCCAAUAUAUAUGAUUUGAAGAUUUGAUGUUUCGGAAUAUUUUGCAAUAAUUGUCUCCAUUCGGCAAUUAGCAUUUGUCUUAGUGUUUUUUCAAGUACUACUAGCUUAGCUAACCUUAGGGUGAUGUUGAAAUGACUCCAAUUAAUGUGUUAUUCAUGUUCAUAUUAAAGAAUCCCCCUGCCACUCACAUAACUAGAUAGGCAUUGUCAGAAUUCCUUUUUAAUUUUUUCAUAAUAAAAAUAAAAAUGAUAAGCCAUUUGCACCAAACUUUUCAUACGCAAGACAAUGAAUGCCAUUGUUAGAUCGAAGAACGUGAUAAAAUCUAGUGAGGACCACCGACAUCGACUAUGGCUUAUAUAUAUAUCCCCACAUUCAGUACUUAUUUUCCCUCUUCUUGUUUUCUUUUGCUAAAUAUGCUUAAAUGCAUUAUUAAUGGACUCUCUCAAGAAUCAAGAUAUUAGCUUGAAACUUACAAAAUGAUAUAAUAAUGAGAAUAGUUUGCACCGAAGGACGCUUUGUGACUUUUGUGACUGGUAUUAACCUUUAGAGAUCCAAUACUAAGAAAGAGACUUUUGCAUGAUGCAAUCCAAUUAUAAUCUACUUAAUCUCAUGUAACUGUUUUCUUUCAUUCUUUUUAGCCCUUUUCUACCAUGUUGCCUUAUGGGUAAAUUAUGCCAUUUCCCUCACAAGUACCCGUAAUUAAAGCUUUUGAUUAUUUGCCGUUGUUAUUGGUUAUGUUUCCUAAAAGAAGUUGAAAGUUUAGUUGGAAAUAAAAAAAUUAGCUUAAAGUUGAAAAGAUAUUGGAAGCUAUUAAAUUAGUUGAUUGUAUUAUAACUGUAAGUAGUUAAUAGAUGUAAAAUAAAAUAAAUAAAAAUAUUUAUAUGAUAUUUUUAUAAAUUUUAAUUUUAUUUAUUGAUAUAUAUAUAUAUAUAUAUAUAUAUAUAUAUAUAUAUAUAUAUAUAUAUAUAUAUAUAUAUAUGGAGUAAUUAAAAUAUAAUAUCUUUGCAAUCAAUUUUUAAACUCUUGCAGUUUUUUUAUUUAGAGAUCAAUUAUUCUAAUUAUAUAUUAAAGUAUUUUCAACCAAGCUUAAAAUAAAAUAAACUAAAAUUUAUUUAAGUAGAUGCCAUACAUCAUUAUACUGAUUAGUGUAAUAGUAAAAAUAUUGUGAAGUAUACUGUUAAAAUAAUAAAACAAAUAAUAUUUUUUUUUGUGAAUAAAUAAAUAAUAUAAAUAGUGUAAUGGUUAAAGUUAUUUGUGUAAUAUAAAAAUAAAAAUAGAAAAAUUAAAUUAAACCUACCAUCUAUAAUUUUCAACAUCUUAAUGUUAACGCUAAAAUAAUAAAAUAAAUGUUGUAAAUAAUGUAAUAGGUAAAAUAAACAGUGUAAUACCAAAAAAGGGUAAUAAAAAUAUUUCAUAAAUACUUUCCUAAAUUGAAAUUUUGGUUUCAAUUGAGUCAAAAUUAAAGAUGAAUUGGAUCCUUCAAAUGUUUUGCUUUACAUUUAACGUGCCCCGAUUAAGUGCAGCCAUACAAGUGAUGCUUUGUGAUCCAACAAUUUGAAAUGAAAGUUGUCACAGUAUGAAUCAAUCAUGCAAUUGCAUUGUGUACAUACUUUUAUAUAUAUAUUUAAAAAUUUAAAACAAUAUUCAAAAACUAGAUCCUUAAAAAGUUUAUUCCUACUGCUCAACCACUAUAUAUAUAUAUAUAUAUAUAUAUAUAUAUAUAUAUAUAUAUAUAUAUAUAUAUAUAUAUAUAUUUCAGUUUUUGAUUAAUCAAUAUUUAAAAUAUAAAUUAAAAAUAUAAGUAAGUUAUUGGUUCAUUAACUAACUUGACUUAUUAAUUUACAUUUGAAUAACUGUUAAUCCAAUUUAUUGGGAUAAAAGUGCUGUAUACAAAAUGGUGUACGGCAGGAAACAAGUAGGUAAUUAAGAGUGAAGAAUUUUGACUUGCUUUAAUCUUCUCCUUUAUUCUACACAACUACUUUUCUUUUAUUCCUUUCUCACUUCUAACAUGCCAAACAAACUAAAUCUAUAUUUUUUUUAGAUGAAGCACUACUUAGAAAUCAUACUCAACCAUUGUGGAUAAGGUGAGUGUAAAGUGCGCAAUUAUAGAGAAAACACAUAUAAGCAUGAAUUCGGACCCUAUUAUUUAUACUAGUACAAUGUGAAAAUAGUACCCUAUAUGUGAAAUGCACUCCUAAUCAUCAUGUUUGCAGUAACUAAGGAAGAUUUUUCUACUCUCUUUGUGACUUAUCAAAGGUAGACACAUGUCCAAGUUGUCAGGUAAAUAUUUUCUAGAGCAGCAAUGAUAGGAUUCUUUUUUUGAGCUUGGGUGUCAGGAAUCAGCAUGUGUCACGGAACAAUUUUUACGUCAAUAUAGUGCUCAAAGAAACAAUUAAUUAUUAUUAUUUUCCCAGAACUAUUUUUUACUGCAUUAAUUAUCAUUUUUUAAAACAUAUUUAAAUUAUAAAAACAUUAAUGUACUGCAAUUUAUAUCGGAUAGAUUCAUUUUUUACAAUUUUUUAUAAAAGCAUUUUACAAAUAAGAUAAAGAUAGAAGAAAAGAGAUAAAUGUGAAAUAAACUAAAUGAUACCGUAGAAACUAGAAAGAGAUAAAAAGAAAGUGUUAUUCAAUUAUAAUAUAAAUAAGAUUUCUUUCGAGAAGUCUUUGGUUGAAAUUAAAAAAAUUAUUCUCCUAAGAUAAGAAAAUUUAAUGGACCGAUAUCUUUUAACACAAGAACCAAAAGCAUAUACAUGAUUGAAUUUUCUUGGUAUAAUUAGGAGGUAUUGAAGAUUUUUAUUUGAUUUUCAAUUUAUUUUUCUCUCAUCAACAGGAAUGUUCCUUUUAAGAUAAAGUAAAAUCUAUAGGCACGAUUAAACGCUCAAGCUAAGGAUCAAGUUUUUAAUCAUAUGUUUAAAAAUAAGAUUAUUUGUUAUACAUAUAUUAAUAUUUUGGUAGAAAUACAAUAUCUCUUUGUACUAAAAUCAUUUUAUCAUUAAUGUAAAACCUUUUAUUACUUGUACUUUUAGCGUCCGUUCAUUUGAAAAAAAGAAAAGCAUAAAAGAGUGAAAAUAAAAAGAGAUUUAUACUUUUAAUUUGAUUUAAUCUAAAUUUAUUUUCAUUUGAUUUGUUUUCACCUUGGCAGAGAAAUCUUAAAGAGGCUAAGAAUUACCCUGAAGGGUGAUGGCCACCAUGUUUGGAGAGCUUUGGAUAUAGUACCAGUGAGUACGGGUGCAGGUCUAGUUUGGCUCAGGUUAAUGGAUUGGUGUAGAAAAAUUAGGCUGAAUGAUCGGAAUAGGUGGGGUAGCUAAAAGGGUAGAGGGUUAGGCUAAGCUAUUAUCAACAUGGUUCUUCUGAGCCAAAAGUAAAAGUUCAGUGUCUUUAUAUCCACUACCACUAGGUACCCUAGUAGUCUUUGAAAAAACUGAUUUAAAAUUUGAGCACGCAUGUGAACUUUCUUAAAUGUGAUAAUGCUCCAGGGUAGAGUUUCACGAUAAUGACACUAAGAAAUCACCAUAUUUGUCAAUGGAAAUAUAUAAAAAUAUGUACUAUAGAUACAAAACACCGAAAAUGAGAGAUCAAUAAUUUAAUAAAAUGAAAAGUUGCAUUUUGCUUUCCUUUUCUAUAUUGCAUCAUAAAUAGCGAAUCAGGACAUAUAUUAUUAUACCAAUCGUAAUAUUUCCUCUUGUUGAUCAUUCAAACAAAUUUAUAAAAUGUAAAUUAUAGCUUCAAUAUCAGCAUUUUCUUUUAUGUUUCUGCUUUUUUUUUUGUGGUUAAAAAAGAAACAAGUAGGGAGAUAUGUCAUGAAUAUCCAUAAAAAAUAUUAAACAAAGAAAAGCAAUAGGCAUUAUAUCAAAAUAUGUACAGUGAACCUUACUUUAUUUUGCUGACCAUGUAGCCAACAAUGAUAAAGAUGGAAAAGCAAUUAUAUCUACAACAAUUAACUUGAUGAUUUAAACUAAGCGUGGUAUGAUGUAAACUAAACGGUGGCCACUGAUAAGACAUGAAGUCAUAACAAUAAUUAGGCUCUAGAUGAUUGAUAGAAUUGAAAACUUGAGGGUAACCUUGUAUUUUGGGUGCAUGUGUGUGUGAAAGAGAGAUGAUGUGCUGCGACUAAUAUAACCAAUGAUAUAGUUUAACUUAAUCGCAUUGGAGAUCUUGAUUAUAUAUAUAUAUAUAUAUAUAUAUAUAUAUAUAUAUAUAUAUAUAUAUAUAUAUAUUUUGCACACAAUCCAUGUGAUGAGUAUAUUUCUUUAGCUAGGUUGAAGAGGUAUAGGGAUGACUAAUCAUCCAUGCAUUCGUGAUUCAACUAAUUUAUUUAUAUACUUUUAAAUUUAAUUUAACCUUUUUAUAUGAAAAAUAAUUAAAUUAGAUUGGAUGAAUAUUAUUUGGAUUAAUGGAUGAGUAAUGAAUAAAUCUGUUUUAUUCUUUUAAAAUUUAAUGAAUUUCUAAUUAUAAAAUAUGGGGAAUUAUACUUAGUUAUAAAUCCUUUUCAUGUCCAAAGACUUGUCUUCAAACAUUGUUUAUAACCUUGAGAGCGCAUUUCUUACUACUGUACUACAUUGAUUACAUCAUUGCCAUUUUGGACUGUUGGAGAUGUAUGUAUUACUCAAUUCCUUUCGAGUGUUUCACAUUAAUUGACUCCUUCAAAUCUCCAUUAUCUCCUAGGGAUUUAAUUCUUUUAAAGUGAGGGAAAUUAUUCAUAGGACCAAACUAAAGAUAAAGCAACUAAAAUUUAUGAUUUAGGUCCAUCAAAAUAUAUUUAUUAUUGGUUUUAAUAAAGUAAAAGAAAAUCACAUAUGUCAAAAAAAAAUAAAAUCCAACAUAUAGCUAUUUCUUUUAAAGUACAAUUUUUUCUUUAAAUGCGUUAGAACUCUCAUACCGUUGGACCGAUCCUCAGAAAAUAUAUAUUAGAAGAUAAAGUAUAGUAAGCUAUUGAUUAAACAAAAAUCAAUGGUUGAUAUUGUAAAUAAUUUCAAAGUUCAUCAUACAUGCAUAUCACAAUCUCCACUAUUUAUUUAUAUCAAUUGCUAUUUGCAAAAUAGAUCCAAACAAAACUUAUAUGCAGAUCUUUAGAUAGAUUUUUAAUAUUAUUUUGUGAUUAGAAUUAAAGUUAUCCCAUCAUCAUUUAUACAAAAAGCGUGUGUAAGUUGUCAAAUAAUGAAAAUUUAAUUUUAACUGGAGAACAAAAUUAGAAAUAUUUAUGAAGCUAUAACUAAUUUUUUUCCCAUACAUCCUCUUAUUAAUUACUUUUGAAGUGUUAGAUUCACACCUACACAUACAAUUAAGGGCGUUUUAUCUUUUUAUUGUACCAUUUCCUAAAAUAUGACAGAUGCCACUUUUAAUUUUUGAUUAAAUUUUAAAUUUUAGUUUUUCUUUAUUUAAUUAUAAUAUUUUUUUUUUAUGAUCUUAGUCUUCUUUUUUAUAUGUUUCUUUUUGAGAUUUUAUAUGAAUUAUAGGCACGCACUUAUAAGUUUUAGUAUUUCAUAAUAUUUGUAUUUAAUAUAUGAUAUAUAUGUUUUAAAUUUAAAAUAUUUAUAUAAUGUAUUAGAGUUAUAUAUGAUAAAGGCCCGUUUAAUUAAGUUUAAUUUUAUAAAAUAGUAUUUUGAAAAUGUGUAAAAUAAUGAAUAUGUUUUAGAAAUUUAUAUGUGAAAAAUUAAAUUUGUUUUUUUUUGUUUUGAUUAUAAAUACAAAAGAACUUUUUAUUUUAAAACAUAGUGAUAUAAAAUUUUAAACACGAAAAAUACCAAACCCAAUUUUUUCAGUUAAAUAAAUCAUUCACUCAUAUAUAAACACAACAACAAAUCGAAUAUUACUGGGUUAAUCCUAUGCAUUAUGGAAAUUAAACAUGUGAUAUAUAAUCUCUGUUUCUAUAAAUGAGAGGUUAAAAAAACAUUUUUUAAAAACAAAAUAUGAUAUGAUAUUUAAAUGAGGGAUUCAAAAAUGGCAAUUUUUUUAGGAACAAAAAUGAACUUUUCUUUUCUGGAGAGUCUAAAGACAUAUAUAAUUUUAAAAAAUUAAACAAACACAUUGGAUUUUUUUUUUUAAAACUAACCCAUUUCAAAAUAAAAGUUUUUUCUUGUCUUCCUAUAAAUGAAACUAGCUAGAACAAACAGUGCUAAAUACAAUACCAAUCUCGUAGGAGCAAUAAAAUUGACCAAUGCAUGUUGUACUGUGGGUGGAACACCGUAAAUUAUCCCAAGACAAGUUUUUCUUUGUUUUUCAUUGGGAUCUUUACUAGAAAGAUAAUUUUAUUUGAGACAUAAUCAUAUACUAAAUAUAUACAUUUUUCUUAUGACGAUAAUUUAAACUUUAGUUUAUUACAUUAUAAAAAAUUAACCUCCGAUGUUAAAUCCAACCCUUUGAUUGAUCCCAUGACAAUUUGCAUAGUAUUAAUUAUUUAACACAUGCAACAUAAAAAAAAAUAAAGCAUGACAAAUUAAUUAAUACUAGAAGGAGCAAGCAAAACAAUAUAACAAUAAAUAAUAAUAGACAGCGCAAGGAAGUAGUGAUGUAUUAAGUAAGGAACAGUGCAGCACAGCAAAAUUCACGUGCAAAUGCUUGCAAUCGGUGCAGCGAAGGCGACGGUGGUUGGGUGGUUGCGGAGCCACAUUUUCAGGCGUCGCUCUCGCACGUGCUUGCCAAUGACGCGACAACACCACCGUCGACACAUACACGUGUGGCACCCCAUUGACCACUAUUAUGCCAAUCUCACUUCUUUUAAUUAAAGCCCCCACCCACACCACACGUGAGCGUUUUGCCUUGUUUCCCUUGUCGGGCCCACUCUAUAGGCCCGUUCUCUGGCCCAUUUCCUUUCAACUCCAAGAGUCAACAGCAAGUGCACUUGCUUUGCAACUUGCAACUGCAAGUUUGUUUCCCGUUCUUUAAUUUAAUAUAUGUGUUCUUUUUUGCACUAAGCUUUAACAAUUAAUAAAUAAAUAUCAUGUUUUGCUUUUCGAUAAUCAAGACAUGAAGCAAUUAAUUGACCAACUUGGUGUGACUCCAGAUAAUAUUGUUUCUUUAAAUACAUAACCAGGAAUUCGAUGUUCACUUAUGUGUGUAUGAAAAAAAAUCUUUGAAAUACACCAACAAAAUGUGACAUUGUUUAGGAGUCAUGGUCAAAAAUAAUUUAUAACUAUUCUCCUUCCUUACACAAUCAAAACAUCCUUUUAGGAUUAAAAUUGUGAGACCCAUACAAGAUUCAAAUUGAACAAUACCUAGCAUGCAGUCACAUAACUAUGUUGUAAAUUGAGGUUGAAUUUGGUUUUUUAAAAAAAUAUUAAUAUCUUAAAUAAAUUUCAAUAUCUCUAUAAAUUAAUCCUUAAUUCUUAAUUGAGAGAUACCUAGGUACAUGUAAGAUAUGAAUCAAUUAUUGGAGAAACAAAGGAUUAUGAAAAUUUGAAUAGAGAAGGGUGCCCUUGAUUCUAAACCAAUUCCCCAAGAUGCUAGUGGAACAUAAUCAAGUGUGUUAAACUAUGUCAACACAUGAAACCUGUUUCUCCUUUAAAAAAUGAUUAAGAUAUUAAUUUAGUGAUGACAUGAUAUAUGACAAACAUUUUGUCUUUGGGUUUGGGGUUAGUUUUAUAUGAUUAUUUUGACCCAAUCACAAUUGGGUAUUGUAUUACUCGAGCUUUUGAAUGGAAUAUUAUUAUAUUAUGCAUGCCAAACUAUGUAUCACCAACUCUUCAGUACUAUAACGGAAAUUUCUCUUCAGGCUCUUAAUUAACAUAAAUGGGGUGGAUUAUGUUUAAACUAAUAAAAACUUUCUAGAAGGCGUGUAUUUGAUUAUAACCAAUGUGGUGCCAUGUUGCAUCACUACAUUGCAUAGCAACUUAAAUACUAUUAGUUGUUCUUUUCCUUUUUCUUCUCUGCCAAACCAAACCGUUUUCAUCAGUACGUAUUAUUAUAUACAAGUCAGUGUGGUGCCAUGUUUCAUCUUCACAAUACACAAGCAUUGGUUAUUAUAAGCAUGGCUUGGUCCUUGAUCUAAAAAUAUUUAUAGUAGCAAUAGUUUUUAUUAUCCUGUUGAGGGAUUUAAAGAAAAGGGAAGAUUUGUGCUUAAUGUUCUCCUAACAUCUAGCACUACUGAUAUCAACUGGACAGGGCUGCUUCUAUUGCAUAUUUUGCAUUAAUUGAUAGCUACAUAAAUCUAACAACAAAAUAUAAUAACCUAACCGCUUGUUUGUAACCAAUAAGAUGUUGAUGGUCAGAAAAUAGAAUAAGCAAAAGUAUAUAACCAAAUAUACAUGUUUAUAGGGAUAAGCCAUAACCACCACUACCCCCACCACUCAUUAGCCUCAUAUUACGCCCCUUUGUCUCCAAUGUUUCUGGACCACUUGGCAACUAUAACACUUAACAUUUUUUCAAAAGCUUGGCUUUAAGCUCUCAUCAUGAACUUAAUAUGACUAUUUAAAUAAUAAGACUUGCAGGUCUAUGACAGGUUUUCAAACUUACCCCACGGGCCAAGCCGAUAUGUAAAUAAUUUAUUUUUGGCUGAAUUAGAAUAUUUUCAUUCUAGAGUUAAAAAUUAAUCCCUUAAAAAAUUUAUUUAAGAAAUUGAACUCUCUUAACACAUAAAUUUUCAUACACACAAAUCUCUGAUGAUUAAAAUUUUAAUUAUAUAUUUAAGAAACAUGAUUAUCUAUCGAUCAUAUCACAUUAUGUUGAUAAUGAUUCUGCAUUCAAAGGAGACUUGUUAGAUAAAUACUAUGGAAUAGUACAUAUAUUUUCUUCCCUAGUGCUUAUGCGCCUGUCAAUACAGAUCAUUGUAAUUAAUGAUAACAGAUGAAGUAGUAUAGGCUGAAAGUGAUGGAAGCAUAAAAAUUGAUCUGGGUUUGGGGCAACGUUUCUAUUUUAUUUCAACCUUCCAAGGUUCCACCUAACCUUACCCUGAAUCUAUAUAUUUGUUAAGGAUAAAAGGGGGGAAAUAUAAUUAAAUAAAGCAAUGGAUAAAAGGGGGAAGAUACUUUCAAUUCUCUGAUCCAUCUAAAAUGGUAGCUUUUAGGACCAGUAGAUUCAUAAAUGCAAAGGGCUUAAAGAUACUCUUCUUGUGCUCAAAUUAUUAACCCCAUAGUCUCUUUGGUCAUGUUUAUUACUUUACUUAAUGUUAUUUCAUUGAAUUUUGUGCCACCCCUUGAAUGACACCACACUAGAUAAGCAAAGUUAAAUUACUUAAUUGAAAGUAUCUUGAAACUUAUUUGUGUCAUUGUCUAAAUAUUUGGCUCUUUUAUAUUUAAAUUAAAAAACUUAGCCACUUACUUUUCUUCCUCUUUGCUUUUCCAACUCUAGCCAAUAAUUAUGUAAUGUAAACAAAAUACAAGCUUAAGCAUAUGCUAAUUGAAAAAUAAGCAAUGAGUGAGUGACAGAGAUUUCUAUGAUUCAUGUUUCUUCCUUGGAUUUUAUUCAACUUAUUUGCGUUUCUUUAUUAGUUGAGUUGCUUUCAAUGUGUCAUACCCACUGGUAAUUGCGGAAAUCGCAUGACUUAACUUCUAUUUGUUGUUGAGGCAUAUUAUAGUGUAUACUACAACCACCCCAAUUCUAGAUUGGACUGUUAAUUCUAAAUUUCAUUGAAAUUUGACUUUUUAAAUAAUUAAGGGUUACAAAGUUUCUCUUAAGCAUACUUCUGCUAAUAGUUGUUUUGUUUGGCUGUUGAAAAGUUUACAUCAAUCCUCUUUAAUUAAAAAGAGCUUAUGUCAAAGUCUCCGAAUAACUAAAAUUGCAAAAAUUGUCAACCAAAGCAAUUCCUUCACGCUAACAGUAGCGUCUUCUGAAGGACAAGACAAAUCAAUAACAAAUUACCCCAUACUUUAAUGCUUAGGAGAAAGCAUUUUACUAAAACAAAAAUACAAAAUUUUGUCAACUUUGACAUAUAAAACUUCUAUUCAAUACCUACCAGAAUGACCCUCGGGAUGCCUUGUAUUGUUUAUUUUCAACCAUAUUUAUCCAAUUUUGUAUAUUUUUUUUUUGCUAAUAACGCAUUGUACAUUUGUUUUAAUUUACUACGCAUUGUACAUUUGUACUUUAGGUCAUGGAGGCAUUAUUGAUUGAGGCCUAUUUAAAUAAAUUUCUCCCUAAACAUUUAUAGAAGAAGACAAUUAAGAAGAAAAAACAAAAUAAGUUUUUAGUUAAGUUAAAAAUAUCAUGCAUAAAUUAAAACAAAUUUUCUUAGCUUCUUCAAAAAUUAGAUUUUGACUAAUGUAUGAGCUAUUUUGAGCCCACAAAAGAAAUUCAUCUGGGUGUAGUUUGAAUCAUGCUUUUUAUAUGUACUAAUAAACGAAACCUUUGUUGGAUUGACAUGUAUGUUAAUGGAGCUGUAUACAAAAACUUUGCUCAUAGAGUAUUUGAAAUACAAGAAGUGCAGAAGGGUUAUUGAAAUAAAACAAUUGGGCUAGAAGGCAUUGAAGUACUUUCCAGUUAAAGUGAGGCUUUUACUAUUUCUAAGGCCCAAUUUAUAAGUACACCUCAUUUUGCUUUCUUUUUUUAUAUUUUAUAUUAUCAAAAAUACCUUUUUGAAUAAAAAUAAUAAAAAUAAUUUUAUUAAAUAAGUCCUAUACUUAGUUAAUUGGGAGGUGUAAAUAAAAAAACUUUGUAUGGUUUGCUAGGUUAUCAUCAUGUACUUUUUCUACAAGGUUGUCACUUCUUGCACCCCAUGUUUUGCUACUUAAAUUCCCUUUAUUUUAAAUAUUCUUAUGUUUCCCUAUGCUAAUCUCACAAUGCUUCACCACACAACUGUAAACUUCCUGAUCGACACCACAAAUCAUUGUCACUCCUUCCUUACUCUCUCUUCCAAAUUUAGAAUCAUAUGGAUUACCUAAUCCUAAAGAGGAGAAUUAACCAUUAAUUUUGGAUUAGGAAAUCCAGAAUAUAAUUUUUACACUUCAGAAUGAAUAACCUGUUACCAAAAUUUAUAUUCUAGAUUACCUAACCUAGAAUUAAUGGUUAAUUGUCUGGGUUAGGUAAUUCGUAAUAAGGUUCUCAAUUUUGUUGGGUAUUGCUGUAGGAACAAUACCUAUGUAUCAUGUGAUCCAGAAACAUCAACAUACAAACCAACGAAAGGGAACUACACAUAUCCUUCAAAGUCAACUUUGAUGGCUAUGGAAGGGGUUUGUCACCAUAAACAAUGUUGGUGGUCAUCUAUCCUCAUGGAGGUCUCCGACGGAUCUCAUCUCAGCUUCUGUCAUCAGUGGCAAUGGAAGAGGGUUCAAAGGAACGCAUAGGGUGGUUUCAGGAUUUUGCAAAGGUAGAGGAGGUGCUGGUUGUAAAAUGUCAGGUGCUGGAAGCAAAAGUCUUUCUACAAAAUAAUUUAGUAACACUAUAAUUAUGUGUUUACAGGUAUUUGCAUUAACCUUAGAGCCUCAUUACCAAAUUCUGGAUUUGGUAUUAUUUUCCACAUUGGAAUGAAUUUUCUCUUUAAUUGUCUAUAUUUAUCCCAUCACCAUAUUCUCCAAACCAUUUUUUAAAUUUACCUGGCAAAAAAUUCACUUUACUUAAAGAUGUAGUAUCGGUGAGUUUCGAAUGUUAGUAUUUGCUUAUUAUUUUGUCAUGACUCAAAAUUCAGAAUUCAUAAGACGUCAAAUUAGAGAUGUCUCCCUAAUGCCAAAGUAUAUUACAUACCCUUAACUCAAAUAUCCAUUUGUAUUUCAAAAUUAGAAUUAUACGUUUUUUAUUAGAGGAUAAAAAGAAAACUACAAGCUGAUCAAACAAGGAAGACUCUCCACAAAUUCAGCAUGUGUUUGGCAUUGAGUCAAAUAAUUUGUUUUACUAGUAAGAUAAUUACUAUGAGAUAAAAAAAAUCAUAUUUUAUCUCUUAAUUACCAAUGUGAUCAUGACCACGCCACAUCAUUAUCAUGUCACCCAUUCAUAUCAUUAAUGUCAUAUGUAAUAUCACAUGCAAUUCAUGUUUAUGAAUGACAGGAGAGCAAAAUCCGUAAAAAAAAAAAAUUGCAAGCAAAAUCCAUAAUAUCAUGAAACUAUAGGGUAAAUUGUGCAAUAUAAAUAAAUUAUAUUUUUUAUUCUUUAUAUUUUGAAUUUAAGUCAAUUUGGUUCUUCCGUGACUUUAGACUUAACGUUGUUAAUAAUAUAAUGAUAAUUAAAAAUCGUUACAAAAUAAUUCUUUCUUUUUUGCAUGUGUGUAAACAUGCGUGAUUUUCAUUCCCCUUUUGAUCCAAGAUUUUGAACUUGUUUCCUCAAAUUUAUUGAGGGCUUUUAGUUACUAAAUCAAUUUCGUCAAGGGUUGUAAAAGUUUGCAUAAAACAUUCGUUGUGAUUUGGGAGAUUUUUUUAAUCUAAUUAUAGAGACCCUUUCGUGAAGAACUGGUCAGUCCGUUUUCAUACUUGAUUUCUCUCAUUUUAUUAUAUGAAUCUUAAAAUUGAUGAGUUACUGAAGAUGAUACAUUCUAUCAAAAAGUUCUAAAUCUUGCAGCAAAAGAUGCCUAAACUGAAAGCAGGGUCGGUCCCCACUGAAAGAAUUAAAAAAAAAAGUUAGCUAAUUAGAAAAUUGUUUUAUUAGUGAUUUAGAAUUAUUUUGUUUUCUAGGAUUGGUCGAUAGAAAUUUGAGUAUGAAAUUUUUUAUGCGUAUGAAUUAAAUACGGUAUCUUAUGUGUUUUGUUCGAUCAACUGAGUAUCUUUUUGGUAUUUGAGUAUAUGAAUUAAAAAAAAUUAGAAAAAUAAAUAUCUAUUUUAAUUUCAUAAAUAAUUAAAAAGGAAAAAUAUUAAUUUAAUGUGUAACAUAUUUAAUUAUAAGUUUAAAAAGAUAAAAAGUACGUGUACCAUAUUUAUAAUGCAAUGCAUUAUUAAUUUUAAUAAUUCGCUGUACGAGAAGCCCUCAUAACACUUAUAUUAUUCCUUUGAUAUAUCUAUAUGAACCGGGUUAUUAUUUUAUUUAAUUACAUAAAUCAAAUUCUAACUAAACAUAUAUAUAUAUAUAUAUAUACUUCAGGGAGAAAAUUAAGAUUCAUAUGCAUAUCAAAUUUUAUAAGAAAUAUUCAUAUAUGUGCUAAAAUACUAAUUAUAUCAAAAGAAAUUUCAUAAAUUUAUAAUGUUAUGUAAAGACAAUAGUCAUUACCCUAGAAUUUUGACAUAUUUCUAUUAUAAAUUAAUAAUAUUUGGUUUGUUUCCCAUUAUUUAUUUAACAGCUAGUUUGUAUUCAUACAUUAACGGUGCUGAAAUAAACAAAGACAAGAGAAAAGGAAGAAAAAAUAUUUACAAAAAAGUGAUUGGAAAGAGGAAAUAUUUGUUAAAGUGUUUCAACCUCAAUUUGUCAAUAUCUUAUGAGAAAAAUGGUUAUGGAUUAAUAAUAAAAAAAUUUUACAUACUCAUUCAAUUAUAAUCUAUUAUGUGUAGUAAAUUUGUUAACUUUUAAAGUAAUUAUCUUAAAGUAAUUCAAAUGCUGAUUUGUAUUUAUAUGACAAUAUAAAACAAGUUUUAUAUGAUCAGUACAUAAACAUUAAACUUAUAUAAUGUUAAUUUCUAAUUAAGUUUAUCCUAUUACAAAUGUUAAUAAAUAACUUUUAAUUAUCAAAUGAUUUAUAAUCAAAAUUAUAUACAGAGAAUAUGCUAAUAAAGGCUCCUAAAUAUAAUUAUUUAUAGUCUUUGAUCUAAUAAUAAUUAUUUAUAGUCUAAAAAGAAAAUAUAUAAUUAUCUUUAGAGUAAAUAUUAUAAAAAAGAAUUAUAAUAUUUAUCUAAUUGUAUAAAAAUAGAUUAUCUAUCUAAAAAGAUAAAAUAUUUUAUCUUCAUAAUAAAUAUUAAAAAAUAUGUAAAAUGUAAUCAUCUUCACAUCGCAAAGUAUAAAAGGAUAAUUAUAUAUUUGAUAAAAAAUAAAAGAAUUAAUAUUUUAAUUGUAUAUCUUCUAACCGCAUAAUAAAAGUAAUAAUUAUAUAUAUAUAUAUAUAUAUAUAUAUAUAUAUAUAUAUAUAUAUAUAUAUAUAUUAUACCAGAUGAAUCAAUGAUUUAUAAAAAUUUUGCUAAUCAAAAUAUACUUAUAGAUUAGAAAUAUUUUAAAACGUGAUAAUUAAAAUCUUUGACAAGUUGAUUUUUUAUUAUGUACAUAUUUUAAAGUUUAUUAUUUUUGUGAUAUUUUAAUUUAAAUUUAAAGAAUUUUUAAUCUAGACGUUCUAUUUUAAUUAUCUAACUUCAAAAUUUAAAUUUUAUCAAAAUAAAAUAGCUUACUUACUCACCACAAAAGAUAGGAUAAGACUCACAAAAGAUAUGAUAAAAAUCUUUUGAUAAAACAGUUAGUUAUACUAUAUAUCAUCUUUUAACAGCAGAUAAAAAUAUUUAUCUUUUAACAGCUCACCGAGGAUUUAUUAGGAUUCGAAUUUUGUCAUAAAAACACUCGAUCUAGACACCACUAGGAAUCCGACUAUAUAUGCUAUAUAGAUAUACUUAUAGAUUAGAGAUAUUUUAAAACGUGAUAAUUAAAAUCUUUCAUAAUUUGAUUUUUUAUUAUGUAAAUAUUUUAAAUUUUAUUAUUUUUGUGACAUUUUAAUUUAAAUUUAAAGGAUUUUUAAUCUAGACGUUCUAUUUUAAUUCUCUACCUCCAAAUUUUAAAUUUUAUCAUAAUAAAAUAGCUUACUUACUCAUCACAAAAGAUAGGAUAAGAUUCACAAAAGACAUGAUAAAAAUCUUUUGGUAAUAUAGUUAGUUAUACUAUAUAUCCUUUAUAUCAUCUUUUAACAGCAGAUAAAAAUAUUUAUCUUUUAACAGCUCACCGAGGAUUUAUUAGGAUUCAAAUUUUAUCAUAAAAACACUCGAUCUAGACACCCCUAGGAAUCCGACUAUAUAUGCUAUAUAGAAACGAACGACGAACAUUUGUGCAAAAGCAUCUCUUUCAUUCGUCUGUUUCACUUCGUACAGUAGUUCCUUUUCUGCAUAUUGUGAGGAAAACUUGGGUUCCAUUAUUGGGAAACAAGUUUUUGGAGAGGAGAGUGAGGAGUUUAAGUGUGAUCGAGUCUCAUAGUCCUUAAACCCAUAAAUAGUUUCAUAUUUCAAAGUCUCACUAAAGAAAUAGCUACUUAAUUAUAUCUAUUUCAAGCCAUGUCGGUGCAUUUCGUAGACUCUCUAGCAAUGUUUGCAAGAAGGAAUGCCGAGGAAAAAUUUAAACUCGGAGACUUAAAAGGCGCCAUAAUUUCUGCCACCAUGGCCAAAACCCUAGACCCCGAUGUAGUUGGCAUUGAUGAAACCCUCGUUGCAUACAAAAUCCACCUUGCGGCAUCAAAAAAUCGUGUCAACGGUGCAACAAACUGGUACAAAGUUCUUGGCAUCUGUGAAGGCUUUGAAGACAUUGACAGCAUCAAAAGACAACACAACAAAUUGGUGGAGAUGGUGAACCCAACCAAGAAAGCUUCGGUGGCAACUUGGGGUGCUCUUAGACUCAUUUACAAGGCUUCGAGUAACCUAUGCGACCCGAAUAAACGAAAUGUGGCUCUUUUGCAUCGGCAAGCACUUGGGUCUUAUUUGGGUCAUGAAGAUUUUAGAACAAAGAAGAGAUCGUGUGGAAUCAAAGUUACCAAAAGGGCAUGUCCUCGGUGUAGAAAGUGGUGCAAGUAUGAAGUUCCUAAGGUUUCAAGUGGACACAAACAUGAAGAAAACCCUAAAGCAAAAACAGUUUUGCUAAUCAGGUGCUCCAGUUGCAGGUGCAAGUUUGAUCCAAUAUCUGGCAAGACUCCAAAUUCAAGGUUUUCCCGCGGCAAAUAAUAAGAGAGAAAGAUUUUUAAUUCUACCGGUUUGCAUCCGUAGAUAAUCUUGAUGAUUUUAUAUUUGUACACUGUAUACCUUGAUUAUUUACUGAAAUGAAAAUGUGUUGGAAUUAAUAAUUGUGAGUUAUAUAUAUAUAUAUAUAUAUAUAUAUAUAUAUAUAUAUAUAUAUAUAUAUAUAUAUAUAUCACAUGAUUGAAUGAGUUAGGAUCAAUAAGUAAUUUAAUCAAUAUAAAAUUAUGACUAAGAGUAUAUAUGUCAUGAAAGACUAAUUGGGAAAGACUAAUUGAGUAGAUAUUAUUAGUGAUAUUAUAAUUUAAUGAUAGAUCAAAUUAUAAUUAUCGAAGUUGGGAUAACUGGUGACAGUUACCCAUAGAAGAGGUUAUGAUCCUUUAUUUGUAGAGAGAAGUCAUAGAGUGUAGUUUUGCUUUCUUUUCUCUUUAUCCCAUUAGAAGAGAGAAUUCACAAAAGAAAAUAAAGCUAUCUACACCGAAAAGAUCAUAAAAUCAAUCUUGAUUCUCAUCAACCUUUCAAUUCCAUUAUGGUUAAUCUAUGCAUUUAGUUUUCAUCAUGAUUUUGAGUAUAGAAACACAAUGGAAUUUGAAGUAAUUUCUUCCUACAUAAAUAAUAAGCAUAAUAAACAUAUGAUUAGGAUUGAUAAUUAUCUAUUAAAUUAAAUUAAAUUAAAUUAAGUUGAUUGAUUAAAUUCCUACAAUAACCAUCUACUGUCACGAACUUGAUUUGAAUUACUGGUGAUAAUUUGUUUAGUGGUCUCAAAAAGCCGCCGAAAUUGUUAUGACUAGUACUGUGACCUGUCAAGUUUGGCAGUUUCAAAAAAUUACUAUAUCAAUCAUUUUCUCUUGUCAACCAAAAAAUAACUGCCAAUGGGUUUUUUUUUUAUAUUUUUUUUACAAAAAAUUUAAAUGAAUGGCCCCAAAUUAAGAAUUGCUUGUAGUUUAAAACAAUAGAUUCCAUACCGGUUGAUCACAUUCUUAUUUUAACAUGUCUCUUGCUAUUUAAAUUACAAUAAUUAUAUUGAAUUAGACUAUUUUUAAGCCAUCGAUCAAAUGGAUAAGUUAAUACGGGUUACUCUAGUUUAAUUAGUGGUCUGAAGUUUGAAUUGAGUCCAUUAAGUUCGAACAAAAUUGUGUCUGAUAAAGAAAGAUACAUGUAGUUUUAAAAAUAAUAAGAAUUAGAACUUUUUUAGGAGUUAUUAUUGAACGACAACAUUUUUAAGAAUUCUUUUUAAAGAAAGUAUAUUCUUUUAGAGUGUGUUUGGAUGGAGAAAUUUAAAAUUCUGAGAAAUUUUAAAUUCUAAGAAUUUUAAAUACUUCAAUUGAAAUUUUUUUAUUUUCAAAAUUGUGUGUUUGGAUAAAAAAAAAUUAAAAUUAUGAGGAUGAAAAAGAUGAAUGAAAAAAAAGAUAUGAUUAGUGUGCUAGUUAUACGUGUUUCUUUACGCUCACACCCGAUCGAUAUUGCAGGAGCUCGGUAUUUCUUAAAUAUAAGAACAGAAUUUCAAUUUCUCAUCUUUUAGAAAAAAAUUGAAAUUUCAAAUUUUUAGUUGUUUAAAAUUCUAUUUUAAAAUUCUAAAAUUUUAAAUUCUUCAUAAAAAAAAUCCAAACAAUAAAUUCUAAAUUACAAAAAUUCAGAUUCUCUGACAUUGCUAAUUCUUCCAUGCAUACUUGUUGAGGUUGGAGGUAAGACUCUUCUAUUUUCCGUAUCAUCUCUGUUUUUUCUAACAUUUCUUUUUUAUCUUGCCUCCAACAAUGAGUUAGAGAUUUCAUUGAACGAAUACGCAUCAGUAUUUCUUGGAGAAGAUUCUGUCAUGGUUGAGUGAACUUUUCCUGUGUAGAACCCUGGUUGACUUGGUUCGGGCAAUAACUUUUCACCAUUCAACAUUAAAAUUACUGAUGACAUGUUUGGUCUAUCCUCUGGUCUUUGUUGCACGCAUAACAAACCAAUAUGAAUAUAUCUUAUUAUUUCAGAUAAUCUGGCUGAAUUGUCCAAUAAGUCAUCUAUGAAUUCCAUUGACCUUUUCUCAGUCCAUAGUCUCCAUGCCUGAAAAUGAUGUGGAAAACACACGUCAAUGAGUUCAUUUUUCAUAUUAAAAACUACUAAACAGUGCUCAUUGUUUCAUGGAUCAAAGUGUUAUUAUUCAUGCAUAUAGAUUGCUUUUGUUUACACCUACAUGCCCAAGAAGAUUUAAGUUAUGGUAUGGGUCACAAAAUCCCCUGAUCUUUCUCCCACUUAUAAUCUCCAGUACAAUUACACCAAAACUGAACACAUCUGAUUUGACUGAGAAAAAUCCAUGUACAGCAUAUUCAGGAGGCAUAUAACCACUGCAUAACAAAACAAGAGUCCACAAUUAAAAGCUAAAAUCGAGGAGAAACAAAAAACAAGUAUAACAAACUUACUAUGUUCCCAUUAUUCUAUUUGUAUUUGCUUCAUCUUGAUCUAGCCCAAAUGUCCUAGCCAUACCAAAAUCAGAUAUUUUUGGGUUCAUAUUACUAUCAAGAAGAACAUUGCUAGUUUUGAGAUCCCUAUGUAUGAUCUUUAAUCUAGAGUCUUGAUGAAGAUAAAGAAGUCCUCGAGCAAUUCCAUCAAUAAUUUCAAAUCUCUUAACCCAAUCUAAUAAUGUACGCCUUGUUGAAUCUGAUAAUGUUUAACUUCCAAGUUAGCAUGACAACUAUUUGAUAGAAAUACAAAAAUAGGAAGGAUUAUAUUAUGAAAAAGCUCACACCAAAAAUAAAGUGGUCCAAGCUUCUGUUGGGCAUCAAUUCAUAAAUCAACAACUUCUCAUCUUUCUGAAUAGAACAACCAAGAAGCUUUACAAGAUUGCGGUGUUGAAGUUUUGCAAUCAACUUGACUUCAUUUUGGAACUCAUUUAAACCUUGUCUCGAAGUUUCAGAAAGCCUCUUAACUGCAAUCUCUUGCCCGUCUAGUAAUAUGCCCUGUCAAUAAUUUUGAAAACAGUGAAAUUAUUCUGUUGACAAUCUAUGCCUUGGUUAAACUUAAUUUUCAUACCUUGUACACUGAUCCAAAGCCACCUUGUCCCAAUUUGUUAUUUUCUGAAAAGUGAUUUGUGGCAUAGGAGAUCGAUGAAAAAUCAAAUGUUGUUAAAUUAACGCCAUCCUUCUCAGUCUUGUCUUUCUCUGUUAUAAACAAAAUUAUUAAUUCGCAGAUCUUAAUGCAAACAAAAUUGUAAGCAGAAUGGAAUUUUCUGUAAUUAAUAACAAGAAUUAGAAUUUAGACAUGAAGAUAGUUAAUUUCACAUUCCAGUAAUGACCUAUUCAAAGUAAAAUAUAGCAUAAAGUGUCAAUGUUUAAUUAUGAUGAAAAAGAAUCAGAAUUAGUCCUAAUGAAGGAAAUAAUUGCCUAAUUAUCUCUCUAAAUAAAUCUCUUGAUAUAAGGGACUCUAAGGUAGACAUAAUAAUUAUUAUAUUGACAAUAAAUAUAUACUUAUUUCAAGCUUAACAAAGUAACAUAUAGAAAAGUUGAAUCAUGUAUAUAGUACCAGCAUUGUUCCUCCGGAUCCUGCAGAUAAAAUAAGUACUUAAUAAUAAUAAAACACCACCAAUUGCAGCAACGGUGGAAGCAACUAUCGUUUUUGUGUUCUUCUUGUGUUCUGGAGAAUUAUAACAGAUAAAUAAAAGGCUAAGUUAAGAAUGAUAUUAGACUUUUCAAAGCUGCAAUUGAAAUGAGAAGAUUAAAAAGUUAAUGGUGGUUACCUAAUUCUGAAGCGGGCAUCCUGAUAUAUAGAUCUUGUCCACCAGUUUGAAGCUGUUUCAUAUCAAUGAGAUCUCCAAACCACAUGACACAGCCACUACCUUCACCUCUUAUGUCUGAAUUAGUAUAGGCCAUACAAGAACAAUUACUCAAACACUUGACUCUGCAUUCCUCUAGACCAAUACUCUCAUCCACCCAAGUAUGUGUUGAAUCUGGAACCUUGAAACCUUCAAAUUUGACAAAUCCAUCUUUGUCUUCGCCAUGGCAACUCAAUGGGUUAUUGCGGACACAUCCUUGAGUCCAGUCAGAUGAAGCCCAUGCUUGUGGUGACUUUGGACUAAACCCUUUCAAACAUUGGCACACUUGUGUCUGUGAAAUCAUGCAACUCCCAUAGGCUCCACAAAGACCAUAAGUAUCACAAAAGUCUUUUGGUUGUGAAAUGUAUAUCCUCCAAUUUUGAUCACCCUCUACCCACACAUAGCGAUAAGUUCUACCUGUUUGGUUUAUUACAUUUAUGGUAACGACAGAACUUUUUACAAGGCUAAAGGUGUAGUAAAUCUCAUCCUUAUUGCUGACGAAAUUGAUGCCAAAAAUGGUGUUAUUCUGUAGAUCUGGAAAUCCACUAAAAUAUAGGCCGUUCCACGGUCCCUGCCUUAAUAACUUUUUUUCUCCCUUCAUCAUAUAAAACUCAGGAUAAUUAUAGGGUUUCAAAACCCCAUAAACAUCUCCUGGUGAUGGAUCCUCUGGACUCUUCCAAGCAGUAUAUCUCCGUUCAAGACCUGUUCGGAGGUCUCUUCCAAACUUCAUCCCUGGCAAGAGUGCAUGAGAGGGAUAGUCAAAACUUUGCCACAAAUACGCUUCUGGGUUUGGUUCUCCAUCAUUUCUUAUGACAAGAUUGCCACUGUCCAAGAGCUCCACCACCGGAUUCUGUACUUGUUUGUGAGAGUUGUUGGUGUACCACACAAUAGAACCAUUUUGUGUGAGAACAAGAUUGCCUGUGGUGUUGAGUGUUAAGAUGCCUGAGGAAUCAUUGAUGGGGUUUGCCCCAUUAGCAACCCAAACCACUGUCUGAGUUGGGAUAUUCUUGUACCAAAUUCCCACAUAACGUUUCUGGGAACUACCUGGGCUGAAAAACCCAAGUUCAAAAUUUCCACCUUUUGACACCAAUCUCUCCCCAUCACUCAUAGACUGGAGCACGUUUACAGAAUCAUUUGCUACGCAAAUUCUGAGAGAGGGAACAACUAUGCAAAUAACCAACAUCAUGAAAGAAAGAAUCUUCAUUGAGUACAGUAGCUCUCUGUUAUUGGACAUUGAUUAUAUAUGGAUUAAGUGUGUAUGUCGUCAUAGCACGAGAAUGGAAAAUUGAUUCAGCAUAAUGUUUGCUUUCAUUAUUUGUUCUAACUCAUGAUCAAAGUCAAACACGUGCCCCAAUAACUUUCUUGGGUCAUCGGACUUUAUUUCAAACAUUACGAAUAAAAAAAGAGAAGGAUAUUUUAUCAAGUAUGCCACCAAAUUGCUAACUACCCAGGAAAAAAAAAAUACUCAUCUAGUCUCUGUCGCUGGACAAUUUUUAAUUUUUAGUCAUAAAAGUCAUUUUUUUUUCGUUCUUAUACAAAUGCUUUUAGAUCUUUCUUAGUCUUCACCGCUUCUAUCCAAAGCUCCACUAGGUCGACCUAGUGGUAUUGUAUAAUGCUAAUAUAUUGAAUAUGGGGGAAAUUUAUGAAUGGUAUGAAAAUAGCCUCUGAAAAAAGAUCCAAAUUAUUAACAAGUAGUUGGUAUGAGUGAAAUUGUGUUCAUAUUAUUUAAGUAAGAUUUUGGAUUUAUCCUUUAAAUGAAAAAAAAAAAAAUACAUGGUUAGGAAACAAAAUUGAGGGAGUUGAGUUUGCAGGAGACCUUCUUCUGGUGGUUCUGCUCUACUGUAAAGGUUGCUUGGAAGGCGGUGCUCGAGAUUAAGGACAUAGACAAAUGUUUCAAAUUUGAUCAGUAAAAACCGAAAAAGAAAAAAGAAAAGAAACUAAGAUGAACGAGUUACAGAGAUAAAUCCUAAUAUAUAGAUCUUGGUCUCCAGUUUGAAGCUGUUUCAAGUCAAAGAGAUCUCCAAACCACAUAACACAACCACUACCUUCACCUGUUAUGUCUGAAUUAGUAAAGGCCAUACAAGAACAAUUAAUCAAACUAGACUUUGAACCUUCACGGGUUUUUCGAAAUUUUAUAUAUAUAUCAUUUUAUAUUUAUUUAUUUAUAUAAAUGAAAAUAAUAAGUUUUAAAUACUUCUACUAUGUUAAACAUAAUUAUAUUAUUAGUCAAAAUUUAAUUAAUUAUAUUUUUAAUUGAGUUAAUUUUAUCUUAAAAAUUAAGUAUAUUAAAUUUUAUUGUGAUUUUUUGUUCAUUCUUGAUACAAUAUCUUUUGAAAAAUAAACAUAAAUAAAUAAAAUUAUUCAUUUUAAAUAUUUUUAAUAGUGAAACAAAUAUAUAAGUAUUAAAAUUAAAAAAUAAUAUUAAAUAUUUUUUUUUAAUGAACACAUGUUCUCUUUAAACUGAGUAAGUCUUUUGAAUUUCAUUAUAAUUUAUUUUUUCUUCAAGUAAUAAUAUUAAUACAAUAAACAUAGAAGUUAAAGAAUAAUAUAUAUAUAUAUAUAUAUAUAUAUAUAUAUAUAUAUAUAUAUAUAUAUAUAUAUAUAUAUAUAAUGUACAAUAUUUAUUUAAAUUUGAGUGUUCAUUUAUGAUAAAAAUUUAAAUAUUUUUUAAAUUUGUUGAAUAGUAUGAAUUCUAUUAAAUAGACAUGGUCAUUAAUUAUUUUAAAAAAUAUAAUUUUAAUUAUUUUGAAUAUAUUAGUUUUGUGUAAUAUUUUUAAAGUUUUCAAGUUUGAAUUAAUUAAGCUCAAUGAUGUAAUAUAAAUUGAAUAAUCUCGAUUUAAUAAUUAUUAUUAUUAUUUAUUUUCUCUUAGUUUUAGUUUUAUUUUCAUUGCUUACUAAUUUUUAAAAUUUAUUUAUAAAAAUAAUUGUAUGUUUCAAACUUUAAAUAUUAUUGUUUAAAAAUUUAUUAACUUAUUAAAGAUGUCAUCAAUUAUUUGUAUUUAUUACUAAUCUUUAAUAUGUUAUUAGCUAUUACAUUUUAUUGUUUCUUUGUAACAAUAAUUAUAUUGUUAGGUACCUUAGCUAUUUUAAAUUAAUGAUAUUUAAUUGAUGUUUAUUAUCAUUUAUGGUCUAAAUGUAUAAAAAUAUUAAGUUAUAGUUUGUUAUGAUUGAUCUUAAUAAAUAAUUGUUGUAUUAUGACUAUUAUUAUUGUUAUUUUUAUUGCUAUUAUUAUUAUUAUUAUUGUGCAAGAUUUAUUAUCAAUUUAAUUAUUUAAAUUAUUUAUUGUAAUUUUUAGCAUAUAUUUCAAAACUAAAAAUAUUAUUAUUAAAUUAGUUAUGUUAAUGAUAAUUAUUAAAUUAUUUACACAUAUAACAUGUAUUUUGAAGAAAAUAAAUUAGCCAAUUGAUAGUUAAAAAUUAUCAUUCAUAUCAUUUAAAAAUUGAUUUGAGUAGAAAAAAAUAAAAAUUUGUAAUAGAACUAUUCAAAAUAUGAUUGAAAAAAAAAUAAGGAGGAGGAGGAGGAUGAUUCAUGUAAGAACUUUCUAAUAAAAACAUCAUAUUGUUUCAAAUGUUUAUUCAAUUUCAAAAAAAUUAUUUAAAGAAACAAUUAUACCUAAAAUCAAAAUAUAAAUAUAAAAAACACUAAAGAUAAAAAUUUAAACAAUUUUUUUUAUCAAUGAUGUAUAUAGAUCCAUGUUAUACCUUACUAAUUUAAAAGUUACAUUUUGAUUUUUGAUGAUGAUCGAUCACGCGUUUAAAGUAUCAUGUCAUACAUAAAAAUGAAAAAUAAAAGAAAUGAUAUUAUAUCAAAAUAUAUAAUAACAUAACAAUGAAAUUAAAAAAAAAAAACAUAACUGGAGUGAAUCUUGCAAACAAAAAAAUAAUGAUAAAAGACAAAGAGUAAGAUGAUAUACCUAAUCAAAUAUAAUCUCUAAUUUCUACUUGUCAUUCCUCACAAAAUAUAUUGGAUAAAUGAUUCAUAUAAGAAUUUUCUAAUAAAAAUAUGACAUUGAUUUAAAUUUUUAUUGAAUCUCACAAAAAUCAUUCAAAGAAACAUUUAGACCUAAAAUCAAAAUAUAAAUAUAAACAAUACUAAAAAUAAAAAUUUAAAGAUAUGAUUUUUUUAUAUCAAUUAUGAAUAUAGAUCCACCUUAUAUCUUGUCAAUCUAAAAGAACUAAAUUCUCAAUUUUGAUGAUGAUCAAUAACACAUUCAAGUAUCCUUUUUCAUACAUAAAAAUAAAAAUAAAGAAUGAAAGAAAUGAUAAUAUAAUAAUGAAAAAGAAGAAGAAGAUAGAAAACACACACGAAAGAAAUUGGGUGGAUAUGUCAACAAUUUUGAAGUAGGAUUUAUAUAGAAAAUGAAAUCAUCAAUUUGAUAAUGAAUGUGAAAAUGGUAAUACAAUUUUAAUUAUAAUCAAUGAAUAUAAAUAUUAUUAAUUUUAAAAAUAAUUACAUUAUUAAAAGAUUUAAAUAAUAACAAAUUUUUAUAAAGAACCAAGUGAAAAAAGCAAGAAACAAAUAAUAUAUUAUACUAUUUUAAUAUAUAUAUAUAUAUAUAUAUAUUAUAAUAAUAAUACUUACUAUUUUAUUAUAUAUAAUAAUAAUAAUGUCUUAGACAAUUCUAAUAUGUUAUUUUACGGUAUAUAAUAUUAUAAAUAUUUUUAAUUAUUUUGUGAAAUAUAUACUUUAAUGUACCUUUUUUUAAAAAAAUUAAGCAUAGUCAAAUAUUAUUUAAUUUACUAUUUAUGUGAAAAUUAUUAUUUAAAAUAGUAUCAAAAUUAUAUCAUUAAGGUUAAUGACACUACAAAAGUAUUUGAUGGAUUCUAGUAGUUAUUCCGUAUGUAUGCCAAGUUAAUGACAUAAUGACAAGGCUUAAGGACUCGCGAAGGUCAAGGUAUCAAAUGGAUUCCCAUGGCAUCAUAGAGGACCGUGAUGAGAGCUGGGAAGUCGAGCUUGGACGAGCUGGUUUGGGCUAUCUGGGUGAUUUGAGAGGAGAUCAUGUUGUCCAAGUCCAUGUCUAUCUUUAUAAUAAUACCAUAAAUAAGGCGGGCCCAGUCGAUGUUGAGAUCAUAGGUGUGGGAGGUAUGAGCGAGGUUGGAGUAAGAGAGGGCACUCCAAGUUUGAGUGAGAGUGGUCAUGUCCUUCCUCGGAAUCUUCCAUGGGAUCCCUCAGUGUUCAGAAUGAAAUGACCCCCAGGCAGGUAGAGCUUGACCUCAAUGGCCUGGUGGUCAGGGUAAGUGUAGAGAAACUGGGAAAAGGUAGGAUGCCUCUCACUCUCAUAUAGGACCACAUGUGUCUCCAGGAAGGUGUUCAAUGUCUAAGCAUCGAACUUGAUGACCUUCCCUCGAACUUUGCAAUAUUUAGGCAAGCCGUCCUAAGGGUUAUAGAUGUUGGACUAGAACUCCUUCACCAAAGCUAUAUCGAUGUUCUUCUCUAGGAGCUCAGUGAGAGUAGGCAAGAGUAGGUAAGCUGGACGCUCCUCUCCGGAAGUGUGUUUUAGAGAUGAAUGUUCUCUUGAUAUUUGUGCCAUGCCACUUAUGAUGUGAACCUGGUGGAGUCCUAUUUUGGCUUGGGCUCAUGUGGCCUAGCUUGUGAUGUGGAAGCUCUGCAUUUUUUAAAAGCCAUCUGCAUAAAAAGAAGGACAAAAAGAAGAUAAAUUAAAAGGUAAAACAAUUAAAGUCAAAAGUAAAAAGUAAAAUAAAGGUAACAUGUAUUGGACUGGGCGCUAAGUGCACAAAUGGGCGCUUAGCGCUACCUUUAGCAAAACACUGAAAAAGAGAGGCUAGGCUUAGCAUGAAGGUGUGCGCUGAACCUAAUUAUUGAAAUCACGCAAACAAAGAUAUAUUUGGGCUUAGCGCACAUGACUCACUAUGCCCUAUACAAAAAAUGAAACCUCUGGGAUAGGCGUGGACUUAGCGUGGGUAGCACACUUAGCCCAAUUAACAAUAUUUUAAGACAGAGAAGGAAUUGGACUUAGUGCGUAGAGCGUGCUUAGCCCAACACAAAAGUCGAACAUACAAAAAAUAGCUUGGGCUUAGCGCGAUGUAUGCGCUUGGCCCAAUUAGCAAAAUAUUUCACACAGAGAUAUUCGGGCUUAGUGCGUAGGGGAUGCUUAGCCCAAAUAAUAUUAGAAUUUAGAUACAAACAUAUUUGGGCUUAUCAAAAUAUUUCCCAAUAUUUAUAUCCUAAAAUAAUACAUAUAUCAAACCAUAAGUAUGUAAAUAAGCACAAGGAUGAAUAAUAAUAACAUUAUAUUAGAAGAUAGUUUAGAAUCAUUGCAUCCAAGAGAAUUUGGGUUGUAGAGCUCCCAACAACGGGUGAUUUUUUGUCUCUCAUUAUCAUGAGAGACUUACAAAAAUAAAAGUGGAAUGAAAGGGAAGAAAACUGGAUUGAAAUGGAUCGGCCAGAGCUUAGAAAAUGGAUUUUCCUUGCACCGGCUGCUUGCUUUCCUCUGCUUCUUGCUGGUUUCUUCGUGGCUAAGGAAACACAAAGUUUCCUUUCCUUUUAUAUGCCUCACCAAGCAAUUGGCCAAUAAAAAAUCUCUUGUGUGCUUAACGUGACUCUUGCUCUGAGUGCAUGUCCAACUAGAUCAAGUGGCCAUGCGUUAAGCACAGGAUGCGCGCUUGCUCGUGACAAUUGUCUUCCCAUGUGGUUCCUUGCGCUAAGCGGCUAGCUUGGGCUGAGCGGGUCUGACUUGCUAAGCUACAAGAUCAUGCUGGGCACGACACUUUUGAUCUUUCAUCCUCUUCCAUGUCUCUGCUACAACUCAACUCUACACAAAAUACAAACAAAAAUUACUCUUUAAUAUCUUCUGAACAAAAACUUAAAAGAAGCUAAGUCCUAUUGUUUUAACACAAACUAAACAAUAAAAGAUAAAAAAAAUGAGAUAAUUGCUAUGCGAUUUCAAUAUACAAAUAAUAUAUGCAUAACACCUAUCAAUAAACAUAUCAAAACAAGUUAAAAAUAGCAUGCUAGAAUGUCAUAAAUUAGGCCUGCACUUUUCGCAUAUAAGUUCUUACAGAUUUCCUCUUAUAGCUAUAUGUAGAGUAUGUCCAAUUAAACCUUUCACGAGUCAUCGACCUUCUAACAGGAUAAUUGUCACAUAAUUGGUUGAACUUGUGUCGUUCUGAUUCGAGCGUAAAUCUACUUCACCUAAAACAUUUCUAGAAAUAAAACCAUGUUCUUUAGGCUCGACCAAUUUCAUGUGUCCCUCCAGCAUUAGAAUGAGCGAAAGACGGACUUCAUUGGAGGCCUAUCUUCUGGUACUGCUGCACACACAAAAGACUAACAUGAACACAACAUAGUACUUCUGAUAUAAUGCAUGACGACAAUUUCAUGUUUAAGUCAAUCAAAUCUAAUGCCCUGCAUGCUUUCCAUAAUGUCUAUGCCUGUUUCAUAAUAAUAAUAAGAAGAAGAAAAGAUAAUUAUUUGUUAUAUUUUAACUAGACACACAUAAGUUGAAAACAGAUUCAAGCUCUUACACAGCCAACGACGUUAAGACUCUUAUCUGUCUGAUUAAGUCCCCUGUUUCUCUUGCCACAUACAAUCUCCAACGCUAAAAUGCCGAAGCUAAAGGCAUCAGAUUUUACAGAAAAUGACCCAUCAACGGCAUACUCCGGUGCUAUAUACCCACUGCAAGACAUCAUUACAUGCAUCAAGAACAAUUUACAUACAUAUUUGUAAAAAAGCAAAAAUGGUUUUGGAUAACGUGACACUCCCUAGGUCCCUAUUACUCUACUUGUGUUUCCUUCAGAUUGGUCUCCUGCAUAAGUUCUGGCCACUCCAAAAUCUGAUAUUUUUGGUCUCAAUUUUUCAUCGAAUAGGAUGUUAGUUGCUUUGAGGUCUCUAUGUAUAAUCGUUAAUCAGGAAUCUUGAUGAAGAUACAUAAGCCCCCUUGAGAUUCCACUCACUAUGUCAAAACGUUGAGGCCACUCUAGCAAUUUACUUCUAUUAUAACCUGUUUUAUUCAACAUGAUUUUUAAAAUUUAGUAAUCUGCUGAUGUCAAGAGCAACCAAAGCCAUGCUUUGCUCAUUUUCCAUACCAAAAAUUAAGGAGUCUAGGCUGCCGUUUGGCAUGUAUUCAUGGAUUAGCAUUCUUUCUUGUCCUUGAAUGCAACAACCAUGAAGUCUUACAAGAUUCCGAUGUUGAAGUUUUGCAAUCAAAUUUACUUCAUUUAUGAACUCUGUCACUCCUUGCCAUGAAUUCCUUGAUAGAGUGUUUACAGAAAUUUCUUGCCUGUUGGCUAAUAUUCCCUGCAUACCCCUUGUAUACAGGUCCAAAACCACCUUCUCCGAUCUUAUUUUCGGUGGAGAAAUCAUUAGUGGCAGUUGCAAUUGUCUGUAGAUCAAACAAUUGGAUGUCCAGAACUCCAGCUUAUUCAUAUGUUCUUCCCUGACUCCCUCCCUGUUAUCAUUUGUGAAUGAAUUUCCUACAAAACAGAGAAAGGCCUUCAAUAAUGUUAUUGAAUGAAAUUUAAAUUAGCAAAAAUAAUAAAAAGAGAAAAUAAACAGUGUGAAGUUUGUCAUCAACCGUCAUUAAUUUUGUUGACUUCCUUAAUAGCUACCUUAAAAGUCAUACAAAACAUGAUUAAUUGAUUGAUCACCGUGUAAAAACUUUUACACUAACGGUGCAUAGCAAUUAAGCUCUAAAAAAAUGAAAAUUACAUAAGAAAAAUAAAACAAAAUAUAUGAUUUCAUUUGGUUCAAUAUUAGCAAAUUUUAAACUCAAGAUCAAAUAACUAACGAAAUACAACUGCGUGUUAAAAUUUUGAUACAUGAUGAUUAAAUCAUGACAGUUUCCAAUUUGCAGAAUUCAUUGUAAAAAACAAGUUUUAAAGAAACUGGAAUUAUAAAACGAAAUUUGUUCUCUCUCGAUUCAUGACAGUUUCCAAUUUCACUCUGCCACUAAUGACUUCACCAAAAAUAAUAUCGGAGAAGGUGGUUUUGGACCUGUCUACAAGGUAAUCAUUCUUUGAUCAAUACAACCAAAUAAAAGAAAGAAAUAUAAAUAUUAUUACAGAUAUCAUGUAUGCAUGGAAUAUUAACCAACAGGCAAGAAAUUGCAGUAAAGGCUCCCAAAAUACCAGUUAAUUUGGAGCUUUUUCUAACUUAGUAAUCGGUCCAUAGGAGUUGAGAUAGGUUUGCAUCCAAGCCUUUUGUAUUUUGGAUAAAAAAUCAGUACAGAUUUUGUUGAGAUAGAAAGAUUCCUUGAGUAGUCAAACCAAUUUUUGCUUCUAGUUCUACUUCUCUUUGUCAUCAUUUCCAGUUAUUAUGAUGCCAUCUAUACAAACUAGGAGUGUUUCACUCCCCCAAGAGUUAUGUGUGUAAUAAAGAGGUUGUUUGAGGUGAAAUUUGCUUCAGUCUGAAUGAAUUACUAAAUCUGGUUCUAUGCAAGUUCUUAGAAUUUGAUAAAAUUUGAUAGAGAUGAGGUUUGUCUUUGUGGGACCAAAGACCAAGUCACGGUUCCCAUGCACAGCAUAGGAACUUGAGACCCAGAAAAAAGUUUAAAUUUUUUAUUUAUUUAUGAAAAUCGAAAAAAGUAUUAAAAAUUUAUAAUAAUUUACGUAUGCUCAAGCAAAUGAGAUAGAUAUUUGACGAAAUGAGAACACCCUAUUUGUUUCAAUUCCUCUUUGAUUCAAGAGGCCAGUAUAUUGAAAAUUUAUAAUAGAUAGGGUGAUCGAUACAAGAGUAAAACAAAAUAAAUCCUAAUAAAGGAAACAAUUGCUCGAUCAAUUAUGUAAAUAAAUCCCGUGUUGUAAGGAAUUGUAGGUCGACUAUCCUAAUUAUUAUAUUUAUACCAAAUAUUCAUCCACUAAACAAUUAUUUUUAAAGUUUCAUAUUUACGACUAUACAAUCCCCAUUCUUUUCCAUACCAUACAUAACGAUUAAUUGUACCUGAUUGGUUUGUUACAGUUCUGGUCAUGGCUGAAUUAUUCACUAGGCUGUAGGUGUAGUAAAUCUCAUCCUUAUUUCUUGACAAAAAUCAAGUAAAAAAUGGGGUUCUUCUGUUGAUCUGGCAUUCCACUAAAAUAUAAGCCAUUCCAAGGUCCACACCGGAGCAAGUUUUGUGAUCCCUUGAUUAGAAACAAAUCCAAAUUUCACAUUGACUAGAGACAGUGUCAAGAUAAAACAUAUAAGGUGAGGAUAAUUCUCACGAGCUAAUUUUUAGGAUUGAAUUAGGUUCAGAUUUUUUCCUGAUAUCAGAGCCUAUUCUAGAUCCAUUCAAAAGGACCACGCACCAAGUCCAAAGAGUACUGGGCGUGAGAGGGUGAAUUAGAAAAAAACCCAAAAAAACCCAAACAUCUCCCGGGGAUGGAUCAUCAGGACUCUUCCAAGAAGUGUAUCUCCGAUUCAGACCAGUUCGGAGGUUCGAACCUAACUUCAUUCCUGGCAAGAGUGUGUCAGAUGAAUUGUCAAAACUUUGCCACAAAUACGCUUCUGGGUCUGCUUGUCCCUUGAUUUUUAUCACAAGAUUGCCACUGUCCAAGAGCACUACCACAGGAUUCUGUGCUUGUUUGUGAGAGUUGUUGGGACAAGAUUGCCUGUGUUGUUGAGUGUUAAGAUGCCUGAGGAAUCUUGAUGGGGUUUUAGCAACCCAAACAACUGUCUUGUUUCUGGGAACUACCAGGGCUGAAAACCCCAAGUUCAAACUUUCCAGCUUCUGAUACCAAGGUCUUCCCAUCACUCGUGGACUGGAGCAGGUUGAUAGAAUCAUUUGCUACCGAAAUUUUGAGAGGAGGAACAAGUAUGCAUGCAAAUAGAAUCAUGAAAGAAAGAAAGUCCAUUGAAUCACAGCUUUUGUGGUACUCCGAUACUUGGAUAAUAAUGCGAUAUGGAUUAAGCCAGGUGAAUCAUGAACACGAAAAUGGGAAAAUCAUCAGUAUAAGCUAUUAUUAUUAUUAUUAUUAUUAUUAUUAUUAUUAUUUUCGACAAUAAAAGGAAAACCCAUUAAAGAAAGAGAAAGUUGAAUGGCAGCAAAAGAAAUGCUGUUGUCCAGCAUAAGAAGUUCUGAUACAGAUAAUCUAUAGUUUAGGACAAUCAAAGCAUAAUCUAUAUAUAGUUCUCUGACGAAUGCUUGACGUAUGAUUUAGUUCAUCAAUAUUCUAUAGCUUCAAUUCCAAGUCAAGCACGUAACCUAAUAACCUAUUAUGACCCUUUAUUUCAUCUCCAUCAUUUUUAUUCAUGUUUUUUUUGAGAAUCUUAUAGUGUGUCCGUUAGAUUAAAUUAAUUUUUAUCAAUAAAUUUCGGCUUAUUAUAAGUUUAAGCUUAAUUUAAUCUUGAUGUGAGAUUUCUAGCAUACAUUUUUUACGUUAAGGAUUUGAACAUCUCGAGCAUGAAGUGUGCUUCACGACAUUUGUGAAUGCAUGGUAUAAUAAUAUCCUCGCAUAUAAUAUGAUAGGCUCAACAAUACUUGUUAAGAUAGACUCUAAUAUUAUAUUAUAUUAGGAUGUAAGUUUAAAUUUAACUUAAUUUUAAUUUUAAAGACCAACUUAUAAAGUCAAAAUCUUUUACUUAUAUACUCUAUUUUAGUCUUAACUCUAGAUGUAUCUCUAACAUUUAUCAUAAAAAAAAAUGAUACCAUUACAUUUUCUUUUUGGUGUCAAUUUUUCAUUUUCUUUUCCAAUUAAUUUUCAAAUAAUUUUUUCAUUUAUUAUUAUUUUAUUUUGAUUUAUUUUUUUACCAAAUUAAAAAUAUAAAAUAUAUUUUGUCAAUCAAUCUUUACUACUUGAAUGACCAUAUUUAAUGGAAUUUCUUUUUCCAACUUAGUUUUAUUCAAUGAUUAGAAAAACUAUGAUAUAAUAUAUAUAAAUGUAAUAAUAAUAUUUCUAUAUUCUUAUAAUAAAUUUUAAAAAACCUUUAUAUCUCUUUGAAAAUAAAAUUUGAAACUUACAUAUUUGGAAUACUUUUAGAGUCAUUUCGUCAGCAUUAAACGUUAUAGUAAUGUGUACAUCUCGAAAUUCAUGUUGAGGACAUUUAGUUGUUAUUCUUAUCCGAUUUUCCCUGAUAAUUGUUAUAUGAGAUAUUUCAAAAUUAAAGAUAUAAGAACGGACCGAAACGUAAUAAAAUUAAAUAAUAAACUCAUAUUCGUAUUCAUGUACAUAAAAUACAAAUUAAUCACAAUUGAUGAAAUUAUUAAAAUAUUUUUAUUCAUAAAAUUAAAUAAAAAAUAAAUCAAGUUUUAUUUUUAGUCUUAUUUUGAUGGUAAUAAGAUUGAUAAGAUUGUUUAUUUUGGCUUAUAUUACACACACACACACACACAUUCAUUUCAUUUUCUUUCACUAAUAUUAAUCAUAGGAAUGAAUUAGAGAAAAAAAAGAAGAUAAGAUUGUUUAUUUUGGCUUAUAUUAUUUAAAUUUAGCUAAGAUGGUUUAGUUUGUUCUUAUAUUAUUUUAAUGCUAAAUUCAAGUUGAAAUUUUGUAAAAAAAGAAAAUCUCAAAUUAGUCUCCCAAAACAAGGACGCUUGUUGGCAGAUAACUUUUCUUCUUAAAACAUGUGAAUAUGGAGAGAGGUUUCUUCCUUAAAGACAUCCUAAUACUUUGAGGGAUUAUAUAUCUUAGCUCUCGACUGAUCAAUAUGUCCUGGAUUCUCUAAAACUACAAGGAAUCUUUAAUUAUUAAAAAUAAUAUUUAGUAUCUUAAGAUUAUAAAAUGAAAUAUUAAUUUUAGGUCUUACAUUGAAAAGACGAAAAGUUUAAAAUGUCUAGAAUUUGUAAUUUGAAGGAAGAUUUAAUAGUUUUUCAUAGUUAAAUUAUGUCUGUAAAAAAUUAAAUUAGAUAUUCAUCAAUAGGUAAAUAAAUUAGGUUGAGAAAAUGAAUGGAAUGUUUAUUCAAAAUUUUAUGCAAAAAGACAAAUACUAUCAGGCUCGAUCUCGAUGAUGUUAUUUUUUUCAUGAGACUUCAAUUCACGACUUGGCCAAAGAUGCUUUCUUGUAAGUUUUGCAUUUGUAACCCACCUCAAAUGUCCCUUUCGUAUAUUUAAUAUCAACCACAAGCCGGCAAAUAUAUAUAUAUAUAUAUAUAUAUAUAUAUAUAUAUAUAUAUAUAUAUAUAUAUAUAUAUAUAUAUAUAUAUAUAUAUAUAUAUAUUAUCCUAUGAGAGGAAAUGGAAUGCUGGAAUUUAAUAUAAAGAAUCACAUAAAAAAAAAACUUACGUGACUUCUUAAAUAAUCACAUAACAUUAAAUAUUAAUAAUUUAUAUUUGAUUUUAUGUUCUAUAUUUAAUCCUUCCACUCUCUUAUAAAAUAGAUUCCUAUCCUAUAUACAUAUAUAUCUAUCCUAUAUACACAUAUAGAGAGAAUGUUAAUGUAAACAUCAUAUUUUUUUGGCAGCAGUGUAUUAGCAAUCAACACCAUAUAUAUUAUUUAAAUAAAAAAUCAUUAAACCUCUUUGUGUUAUUAAGUUUAAUAUAAAGAUAUUAUAAUAAUUUAUUAUUUAUUUUUAAAAUAAUUAUUUCUCUCUUCUCUUUCUUCUCUAUCACCAUUAAAUUAGUUUUCAUACAUCCUCAUCUUUCCUCUCUAUAAACAUUAAAACAUCAAUAAUCUUUUCUCUCUCAUAAAUAUUAAAUUGGAAUACAUAUUUAUUGUAAAAAUAAUAAGUGUGAUUGAUUUAGAUUUAUUUUAAAGAAUAAUAAUAUUUAUGCUAUUUAAAUGAAUUUGAAAAAUAACUAUUUUCCACAAACAAUUUAUAGUCAAAAAAUGAUAAAUUAUGUUAUUUUUGUAAUGUUAAUGAAACAAUUUAUAAUGUUCUUCUCAUAAUGAUUUUUUUAUGUAGAAAGUUUUUGUAAUGUUAAUAAAACAAUUAUUAUUUUUUAUUUUGUUAAACAAGUAAACAUUUACAUUAUCAUAUUUUAUAUUUCUUUAUAUUCAAUUGUAUGUUUAUUGUAUAGUAUAUAAAAAUUAACUAUUUCAUAUUAAUUUGAUUUAUUUAGACUUAUGUUCCUGAAAUUAUAAAAAUACUCUAAAUUAAUAUAUAUUUAUUUUUAUAACACACACUUGCUUGGUGUUUUUACUCUUUAGUCUUUAGUUAUAAAGACUUCAUGUGACGAAAUUACUUUUGCAGGUGUAACAUCAAGCCUGCACCAAAGAAAAGAAAUGAAGUUUGAAGAGUAAGUAGGUAAUUAACCUGUGUAAUGUUCAUUAAAGGAAGGUAUCGACGAGGAGGAUGAUUAACUAUACUGGUUUUGUUAAAGAUUUUACCUUUAUAUAUAUGACUACUAUGUAGGAUUUCAAAAACUGGCAGUGAUUUUAUCAUACUUUCAAGGGCCAGAGCUUACAUAUGACAUUCUGAUUUCAGGCUUGUACUGUGAAAAUAUUUAGAGCUCAGAUGUAUUUUGUCUCACUAUUUAAGUGUAGAGGGGCUAGAUUAGAGUGAAAGAGAGAUGGAGAGAAUCGUUACAAAACAUUAAGAGAAAAAAAAGAGAAAAAAAUAUUGUCAUUUUUACACAUCCACUAAAAAGAGUUUUUCAGAUUGUAACUGUAAAUUCAUUUAUCAUUGGAUUAGACAAAUUUUUGGACAAUAGAUUUUACACAUAUGAUACUUUAAAUUGUUCGGUUGGAUUGUCAAAAAAAUAUCUGGAGAGAACAUUAAGUACUUUGCAUUUUUUGCUUUGCAUUUUGCAUUGAGAUUUUAUCUUCUUGUCUCUCUAUUUUAAGCAUUUGUGUUCUAUUUUGAUCUAAUUAUUUGUAAUACAUUUUAGUGUACUUAUUAGGCAUGACAACGGGGCCCGAACCCGUGGGGUCCGCCUUGGACCCGCCUCGAUUUUGACGGGGAAAAUCCGAGUUAAUCGGGAUCGGGGUUGAGGUCGGAUUUUCCCCGAUAGCCAAAUCCGGGUUCAGGGUCGGGGAUGAGAUUCUCAAUACCCGCCCCGAACCCGCCCCGCUAAUUAUUAAUAUAUAUAACACAUUGAAAUAUGAAACUAUUAGAUUAAAUUUUAUGUUAGUGUUGAAUUGAAUUUUAUGUUUUAUUUAAAAUUAUAUUUUUUAUUUUAUGAAAAAUUAUAUUUUUUAAUAAAAUUUUAUAAAAAUGUCGGGAACGGGGCGGGAAAAACCUGAACCCCAUCGAGGAUGGGGAUGAGAUGUAAAUAUACACCCCUGUCGGUUUCGGGGGCGGGGGAGGGGAGGGAAAUGGGGAGUCGGGGGCGGGGGUGGGAUAAACAAAACCCAACCCUGACCCGCCCCGUUGCCAUGCCUAGUACUUAUUUCAGACUCUCUUGUAUCUUUAUUGAUUGUAGUAGAGUUAUAUUUUGUUGGUCUGAACGACCUGGGGUUUAUACUCUUGCACCGAGAUGUUUUACACGUUAAAUAAAUUGUGUUUCAUGUGUGUUUUUGAUUUUUAUCUUACGCUUUAUAUUUUAUUUUAUUAGUGCCUUUCACAUGUUUUCAGAAGUUUAGGAAAAUUUAUUUUCACUGACUAUUAUUCUAUUAUUGAGUUUAUUAUUGUGUUAAAAAUGUUUUCGGCAUCAUUUCAUGUUGCAUUUCAUAUACUACUAGUACUUUUUCAACAUUUAAGGGAAAACACUAGAGUCUUAUUUAAGCCAUCCAAAACUUACGAGUAAUAUUAAUAAUCUAGGUAAGUAUGUAUUAAAUAAUUUAGAUAACUUACAAGUAUGUAUUAAAUAAUUUUAUCACAAUUAGCAAGCUUAUCAUAAUAUGUUGAAAAGAACUUUCUGGCCGGAAUGUCAUAAAUUAAUCCUGAUCACUUUUGCAUACAAGUUCUUACAAAUUUCCUAAGAUUUCAAUAGUUUUUUUUGCUCAACCAAAAGAAGUAUAUAUUAAAUGAGGAACAAGGGUACCCCCAACACAUUUACAUAAUAAGUAUUAUCAUUUUCAAAUAAACUGCAUUCAUACCAGCACUCUGAUCUAAAAUCUAAACUGAAAUGCUAAACAACAAAUAUGUUCAUAAACCUGCACCUGCAUAUCAGCACACCUCAUAUAUUUAUAUUUAGUGUGUGUCCAAUUAUUCUUUCACAAGUCAUCGACCUUCUAACAUGGUAAUCGUCACAUAAUUUGAUGAACUCGUGUUUUGCGGAUUCGAGUGUAAAUCUAAUUCACCUAAAACAUUUACCGAAAUAAAACCAUGUUCUUUAGGCUCAACCAUUUCCAUGUGACCCUCCAACAUUGGAAUCACAGACUUCAUUGGAGGUCUAUCAUCUGGGAACUGCUGCACACACAAAAGACUAACAUGGAUGCAACGUUGUACUUCUGAUAUAACGCAUGACGACAACUUCAUGUUUGAGUCAAUCAAAUCUAAUUCCCUGCCCGCUUUCCAUAAUGUCCAUGCCUGUCUCAUAAUAAAAAUAAUCGAAAAAAGAUAAUUAUUUCUCUUAUUUCAAUUUGAUAUGCAUAAUAUAUCAAAAUAGAUUCAAGCUCUUACAUGACCAACAAGGUUAUGACUCUUAUCCGUUUGAUAAAGUCCUUUGUUUCUCGUCCCAGAUACAAUCUCCAACGCUAAAAUGCCAAAGCUAAAGACAUCGGAUUUCACCGAAAAUGACCCAUCAACAGCAUACUCCGGUGCCAUAUACCCACUGCAAGACAUCAUCAAGAACAUUAAUUUACAUAGUUAUUUGUAAAAAUGCAAAAUGGUUUUGGAUAUCGAGACACAUACUAGGUUCCUACUACUCUUCUUGUCAUUCCUUCAGAUUCGUCUCCUCCAAAAGUUCUGGCCACUCCAAAAUCUGAUAUUUUUGGACUCAAAUUUUCGUCAAGUAGGAUGUUACUUGGCUUGAGAUCUCUAUGGAUAAUUCUCAAUCGGGAAUCUUGAUGAAUAUACAUAAGUCCCCUUGCAAUUCCACAAAUUAUGUUGAAGCGUUGAGGCCACUCUAGCAAUUUGCUUCUUUUAUCAUCUGUUUUAUUAAUUCAAGAAAAAAUGUUAUUCAACUUGAAUAUUCAAUUUUAGUAAUCUUCCGAUCUCACUUAAAGUCAUUAGCAACCAAAUCUAUGCACUGCUCAUUUUUCAUACCAAAAAUUAAGGAGUCUAGGCUUCCGUUUGGCAUGUACUCAUAAAUUAACAUUCUUUCCUGUCUUUGAAUGCAACAACCAAGAAAUUUUACAAGAUUCCGAUGUUGAAGUUUUGCAAUCAAAUUUACUUCAUUUAUGAACUCUGCAACUCCUUGCCAUGUGCUCUUUGAUAGAGUCUUUACAGCAAUUUCUCGCCCAUCCAUUAAUAUUCCCUGCAUACUCAUCGUCAUGAGUAGACACUUUGCAAUAAUAUUUAUAUUUCUUUCUUUUCUUUGGUUGUAGUGAUUAAAGAAUGAUUACCUUAUAAACAGGUCCAAAACCACCUUCUCCGAUCUUAUUUUCUGUGGAGAAAUCAUUAGUGGCAGUUGCAAUUGUCAGUAGAUCAAACAAUUGGACCUCCAAAUCAUCCAAAUCAUUUUUACUGUUAUCUUCUGGUAAUAAAUUUGCUACAAAAUCGAGGAAGGCAUUCAUCAAUAAUGUUAUAAAUGUUUUAAGGAAAUUAAAUUGCCAUAAAUAACAAAUAAAAAAGUAAAUAAGAUAUGUAGUUAUCGUUUUCACACUGUCAUUCAAUUACAAAUAAUCAUGUAUAAUAAGAUAAUCUUUUGAGCUUAAUAAUAACUAUUUUAAUAAUCAUACCAAAUAUGAAUUUUAAUUAGCUGAUGACUGUGUAAAGUUUUUUACACUAAAAAUAAUGCAUACCUAUUAAGCUCUAACAAAAAUAUGCAGUUUUAACUUAAUAUUAUAUUAUUAAUGAGAUAAAAUCAAUGGCAUGCUUGAAUGCUACUAGACUGUACUUUGUUGUUACAUGAUGAUUAAAUCAUGAGAAUUCCAAUUUGCAGUACUUACAGUACAAAAAAGUUUGUAAAGAAACUGGAAUGUUAAAACGAAAUUUGUUCUCUCUCGGUUCAAGAGACUGGUACUUUGAACAAUUAUAAUAUAAGGGGCUAAAAGGGAAGCUAAAUCAAUUCUAACAAAGGAAAUAAUUCCCUAAUUAAUUACCUUUGGAAAUAACCCUAUGAUUUAAGGGAUUGAGGGUUGAAUAUCCUAAUAACUAUAUUUAAAAUAAAUAUUUAUUUUCAGUUCUACACUUCAUCUCAACAUAAGAAAUAGAUACUGUUUUUCAAUCUCAACUUAACUAUAAGUUCAUGAUAGUUUGAGUUGUUCAACCCCUCUAUGAGAACAUGAACAAAUUAUUGUUGUGAUAAAACAUGGGGCAUGCACACCAAAUCUUCCCCCAACUUUUCUGUAAUGAAAUAUCUAUGAAUUUUAAUAUGUUUUGUCCUCUCAUGUUGCAGAAGAUUAUAAGCAAUAUUGUUGUUUUUUUUUGCCAUCGUAAUCAUGCAAGAUCGGUCAAUAUUGAUUUUAAAAUAAUUUAAGUUGAGCUCAGCAUAAGUUUUUAAAAUUUGAUAAAUUUUAUAGAUUAGGGCCGGUUCCACCUCUUUUAAACUAGCCUCCGAACCCGGUCAUCUUUUUGUGGGUUCCUAAUAAUUGUAUUUAUAACAAAUAUUCUUUUAAUAAUAAUUAAGGUUAAUUAUAUUUUUGAUCUUUAUAUAUUUUUCUCUCUCUAUUAACAUAUUUAGUCUUCAUUGUCAAGUAAGAAGGCUGGUUAAUAACAUGAUUAUUACUUUGACAACCACAUGCCAUCAAUUAGUAUGGCAGGAUAAGUCAUGCAUGUGGCUUCCAGGGUGACUAUCACAUCAUCUAUUAACAUUAUUACUUGAUAAAAAUGAAGAAAAAAUAUAAGAAAAACAGACAACUUUUUACAGAGUUUUAGGACAAAAAUCAUAGUUCACCCUAAUAAUUAUAAUUACAGUUUCAUAUUUACUACUAUAAAAAUAUAUUUAUAGAAAACAAGAAAAGGGCAGUCAUGUGUUCAAAAUAACUGUGGGUAAGCAAUUACUUACCAGCGCUGUUCCUUGGGCUUCUGUUCCUUCGGAUUCUGCAAAUAAAAUAAGUACUUAGAAAAAGAACCCCACAAAUUGCAGCAAUGGACGAAGCAACUAUCUUUGGCGUGUUGUUCUUGUGCCUUGAUACUGGUUCUUGAGAGUCUGAAUAAUCAAUUAAAAGAAGAAACAAAUCAAAAAGAGUAAAGUUAGACUGCUAUCAGAUAUGUUUGAGUAAACUUCUCUAGAAACAUUUCUAGGAGAAGAAAAUAAAUGACCGUCUCCACAAGCUAAAAUGUGUUAUAUUAGUUAGCUUGUAGAUAUUAUUUUAUGUUUUAGAGAAGUUAUAUCAGAAUUUUUUUAUGAAUUAGUAAAUGAAGAACUCAUUUUACCUUAUAAAGAAACUUACCUCAUUUUUUAUUUUAUUUUUUCUCUUAGAAAUACUUCUAAAGGAAAAAACUGGUCCCUUGGUGUUCCAAUUAAUUGAAAUGAGAAGAUGAAAGUUGAUGAAUGAUGAUGCUUACCUGACUCUGAAGCAGCCAUUCUGAUAUAUAGAUCUUGGCCAACACUUUCAAACUGUCUCAUGUCAAAGAGAUCAUGAAACCACAUGACACAACCACUACCUUCACCAUUUAUGUCUGAAUUAGUAAAGGCCAUACAAGAACAAUUAUUCAAGCACUUGACUCUGCAUUCCUCUAGACCAAUACUCUCAUCCACAAAAGUGUACGUAGUAUCUGGAACUUUGAGAGAUUUAAAUUUGAAAAACUUAUCUUUGUCUGUACCGUUGCAGCUUAACCCUUUAUUGCGGACACACCCUCCAGUCCAAUCCGACGAUGAGAACCAUGCUUGUGGUGACUUUGGACUGAAACCUUUUAAACAUUGGCAUGCUUGUGUCUGAGUAAUUACGCAGUUCCCGUUGGGUCCACAGAGGCCAUAACUGUCGCAAAAUUCUUUCGGGUAGUAUCUAUAUAGUCUCCAUGUUUGACCAUUUUCAUCCCAUACAUAGCGAUCAAUCUGACCUGUUUGGUUUGUUAUAGUUCUGGUGAUGUCAGAAUCAUUUAGGAGGGUAUAGGUGUAGUAGAUCUCAUCUUUAUUGCUAACAAAGUGCAAGUUAAAAAGGGUGUUAUUUGAUAGAUCUGGUUGUCCACUAAAGUAUAGGCCAUUCCAAGGUCCAUAACGGUACAACUUUUGUGUUCCCUUCAUCAUAUAAAGCUCAGGAUAGUUAUGGAGUACUAAAGCACGAUAAACAUCACCUGGGGAUGGGUCAUCUGGACUCUUCCAAGAAGUAUAUCUCCGAUCGAGACCAGUUCGAAGGUCCCAUCCCAACUUCAUCCCUGGCAAGAGUGUAUCAGAUGGAUAGUCAAAACUUUGCCACAAAUAAGCUUCUGGGUCUGUUUCUUCCUCGUUUUUUAUCACAAGAUUGCCACUGUCCAAGAGCGCUAGCACAGGAUUCUGUGCUUGUUUGUGAGAGUUGUUGGUGUACCAAACAAGAGAUGUCUUUUGUGUGAGAACAAGAUUGCCUGUGUUGUUUAGUGUUAUGAUGCCUGAAGAAUCAUUGAUGGGGUUGGCCCCAUUAGCUACCCAAACCACGGUUUUGUUUGGGAUAUUCUUGUACCAAAUGCCCAGAUAACGUUUCUGGGAACUACCUGGGCUGAAAAACCCAAGUUCAAACUUUCCACCUUUUGAUACCAAGGUCUCGCCAUCUCUCACAGACUGGAGCAGAUUGAUAGAAUCAAUCGCUAAUGAUAUUUUGAGAGAGGGAACAAAUAUGCAUGCAAAUAUAAUCAUGAAAGAAAGAAUCUCCAUCGAGUCAGCUUUUGUGGUACUUCGUUUUUUGGAUAAUGAUGAUAUGGAUUAAGCCAAGUGUAUUGUAAACACGAAAAUGUGAAAUUUAUAAGCUAUCUCCCAACCCUUUUUGAAAUUUCCUACUCAACUACAGGCAUUUCAUACAUAACAUAGGAUUAAUUGACCAUUGUGCCUGACGUAUGCUUUGAUUUUCAUUUUAACUUGAAUUCCAAGUCAACUGCUAAUCCUGUAUUUCGUCUCCAUCUUUUCUAUUCAUGUUAUUUUGAGAAUGUUGCUUUCGGGUUAUGAAUUAUCAUGUGCCCGUUUUCUUUUAGUGUUUAUUUGUUAUAUAUGUUCCAAUUAAUUCUCAAUGUUCCUUUCAUUUAUUAGACUUGUAAUUUGUACUCAUAAAAUAAGUGUUUUAAGAGUAUUUUCAAUAGAAAUUUGGUAAUUGAGUGUUUUAAGUUAUUUUUUGUGGUCUCAUUAUUUUUUUUUCUUCAAAGUGUCUAUGUAAGAAAUUCAUACACAGUUUUACUUCAAUGGUAAGAAACUCUACAAAAUUUUAAGAAAUUCAUACUUUUAUAUUUUUUUAUUUUCACUUAAUUAUGAUAUUUUUAUGUGUUAGAUAAAUAUUAUUUUUUAUUGCUAAGAAACAUUUUCUUUGAGAAGAUAAUAUCUUAUUUUUAAGAAAUUCUUCUUAUCACAUAGAUUUGCUCUAAUGGAAAAGAAAAGAUUUUUUUCACUUAAGAAACCUUUCAAAAAAAAACUCCAUUGAAAAUGUUUUAAGUUGUUUUACAUAAAUAAAUAAUUUAAUAAAUAGAUAAAAAUAAUAAUAACUUGUUAAAAUUAACCUUAAUAUUACUAUUACAUUGAAAAGGGCAUUUAUUAAAGAUAUUAAUGAAAAAUAAUAAUUAAUAUUACAAUGAAAAACUAAAUUAUACUUACUUGGUCGCAAUUUUUUUUCUAUCAACUAAACGAUACUAAGUUUUAAACAUAGGGAGUGAAGUAUUAGUUUUUUUGUUAUCAUCUUAAAUAUGUAAGUAUCUAUCAGUUUCAUGGAUGACUAAUACCUAACAAGAAACCUAACUAGCCAACAAAUUUUAGUACUAAGGAUCACAAAACUAUGACAUAAUAUAUAUAAGUAAAGAACAAAUAUGUUACACAUGAAUAUUAUAAAAUGAUUUUUACAUUAUUAUUUAAUCAAAAUUCAUCAUGUUUGGUAAGUUUUUUAGCUUUUAUUUUAAUCACUUUAAAAGUUAUAUCAACGAUAAUUUAUAAUUGAGUGACAAUGUAAAACUAUUUUAUACUAUCAUGACCAUUAAACUCAUAAAUAAAUAUAAUAAUAAUGAUUUUAAUGAUAAUUUAAUGACAAUGUAAAAUAGUGUUUUUACACUUCACUCAUUCACAAAUCACCAUCAAUCUAACUUUUGAGAAAAUGAUAAUAAAAGUUACUAAACUUAUCGUAAAUGAUGAUUGAUGAUUAGAUGUGAUAAUAUAAAAUUAUUUUAUAAUGUCAGUAUAAAAUCUUUCUUUUUACUAUUUUUUAAUUAUAAUGAAUUAGAAAAGCAACUUUAUAUUGAUUUGAAAAUGAAAUUUGUAUUUGCAUAACUAUAAAAUAAUUGUGUUACUAUAGCUAAAAAGAUUUAUGCCGUUUAUGUUAACUUACAUGUGUUUUAAGUCUUUUAGGGUUAUUUACUAGGGGGUCUUGUCUAAUUGGUUUAGGGGAGAAUAUGAGUCAUUGUAAAUCCCUUAAUAAGGGUGUAAGUGAAUAUGAGUCUCUCACGAAUCUGGAUUGACUCAAAUUAAUUUAAACAGUUUGAAUUGAGUAAUUUUUGUAUUUGAAUAAUUGAAUCAAUUAAACUUGUUAAGUUUUUGGUUGUGUUAUGAUUUUUAAUAUCCAAACUAGUUGAUCUGUUGAUUUGGCCUGUUAACCUGUUAUUUUGUAUUAAGUUAUUAUUAUUAUUAUUAUUAUUAUUAAUAUAUGUAAUAUAUAAUACAUAUUUUUUAAAUAAAAAAAUUCAAAUAUUAUUGACUAUUGAUUACAUAGACCUAUCAACCUGAAUUGAGUAAAUAUCAAUGCAUCAUUAACCUUUAAGAUCAAAGAGUUGGAUUUUAUUGAUUAAAAUUACUUUAGAUGAACUUCUAAAAAUAUUUUGAAUCCAUUUAUAAAGAGUAGGCCUUGUAAUAUCAUCAUCAAUGGAUAGAUAUAUAGAUAGACAGAUAAGAAUCACUGGAGUUAGCUAGGUGUGGCAGCAUCACAAUUUUUUUUUUAAAUAAAAAAUCUAACAAGAAACAAUUGUAUCAAAUUCAUCUAAUAUAAAUUUUAUCUUAUAAUAAAAAUAUUGUAUUUUAAACAAGAAUAGACAAAAAAUAUAUAUUUUGACCCUUUGACCCAAUCCAACACAAACCGUUUAUAGACAAGUUGGUUUGAGUUGGAUUUUAUAUUUUUUCUUGAAAAAUAAUCAAAAUCAACUUAUUUGAAUUUGAUUGGAUUGAAUCAUAAAUUUUAUCAAAUAUAAUCCAAAUCCACCUACUUACAGUCCUAUCCCUUAAUAUUCACCUCUAUUCCUUAAUAUUCAUACUCGAUACUUAUAUAUAAAAAAAAUCUUUUGGUAAGAAUUUUUUUCUAUAAGCAUUUAAUGUUCUAGUAAUGGGUACAUUUUCAAAUUUCAUCUUCAACCACUCAAUUUAAAUAAUUUAAAGAUUAAAAUUGAUUCACUCAAAAAAUAAAAACUACUAACCAGUGAUAUGAUUUUAUUAUUUAUAAUUAAAUUAAUUGAUCAAAAUCAAUUAAUGAUAACACCAAAUAAUACUUCUCAUCAUGAUAUUUGUCAAUCUUAUUUUCCUCAAAGUGAGAUUUUGAAUUUCAUAAAAAAAGUAGCCAUGCAUAUCUAGACGUCUUUCUACAACAAACUCUUAUUUCUUUUAUGAAAAUUGUGGCUCAACGCCUUCUAACUGAACGGGGCAAAGCAACACCAUUGAAUAAAUAUAAGCCAUAGAAUGCAGAUAUAGAAAAAGACCAAAAUAUUUAGUAGCCUCCACGUAUAAGCAUGUGAUAAAAUUCUUCCAGUCAUGACAUAUCAAUAAAAUCAUAAGAUCUGAAAUUAUAUCAACACCAUUGAAUUCACAUAAUUGCCCACCACGUUUGUGCAUCUAAACUAGUUGAACUAUUCUUGUGAUUUGUUUUUCUUAUUGCAGAGUUGGGAACCAAUGCAGGCAAUGCUCUUCAUACACUAACACCCUAUCCCAAAAAUAGUAUACCCUUUUAUAUAUAAGAAUCUCAAUUGUAUGUUCUGUAAGAAUAAAUUAAUUUGAAGGAAAAUGAUAUUUUCUUUUAUUUAUCAUAGAGAUGAAUUAAAAAAAAAAAGAGAAGAUAAGAUUGUUUAGUUUUUGCUUAAAUUUAGAUAAGAUGUUUUAGUUAAUUUCUGCUUAUAUUGUUUAAAUUUAGACGUGAGGAGAAAUUGACCUGACAAAUUUAAUGUUUGAUUCAAGUUGAUUUUUCUUAAAAAAAUAUAUACUCUAACUAAUCUGUGAAGACAAGGAGCUUGUUGGUGGAUAUUGUUUAAAUAGAUGUUAAUAUUUUAAAGUAUUAUUUCUAAAAUUUCAGUUUGAGAUAUCUUGAGUUCACUAUAAAAAAUACAAGGAUACACCUCAAUUAUUAAAAACAAUUAUCUUAAGACUAUAAAUAUGAAAUAUUAAUUUUAAUUAAUUUUUACCUUUAAAGGAUAAAAAACUUAUUCUUAGUUAAAUUUUACUUGUUAAAUUUUACUUACCAUUUGAUUGAACAUCAUGAUUAUAUUAAUCAUGGUGUCUUUAAUUUUUCCUUGUGAAAAAGGGUUUAGGAAAAAAAUGAAAAGUUUAAAAUGUAUUUUUUAUAGUAUUAAAAACAUUCAAUAGUUUUUCAUAAUUAAAUUAGGUUGAGAGAGUGAAUUGAAUGUUUAUUCAAAAUGUUAUGCAAAAUAACUGGAUUGGUAAUGUAACUUUUGUUGUGAGACUUUAAUUUUCCACUUGGCCAAUGAUGUUUUCUUUUUUUGUUAGACUUUUUUAUUUUUGAGGAAUUGUCAGACUUUUCUAUCAUGCAUAUGUAACGGACUACUCACAUCUUUUUAUAUAUCUAAUAUCAACUACAACUAUAUAUAGUUAACAAUUCAUCAUUAUUUGCCUCCGAAGUGUAUGCUGUAAACCAAUUGAAAGUCGUAUUGGCUUUACUAAUUUGGAGUCUGUUGGCUGACAUGACACGCUUUGAAAUGCAUUUAAUACUUAUAAUAAAUGAAACAUGAAGAUAAUUACAUAUAUAUAUUUUUAUCCAAAAUUGAAUACGAUGUUUUAUAGUAUUCAUGCACUUUAUUUAAUCAAUUAAACCAGACUUAUUUAAUAGAUGAUAUAUCAAGUAUAAGAACACAGAAGGAGAUUAAAAUUAUUUAUAAUUAUCUGCUUUUGUCUAACUUCAAGCAAAACAAGAAUAUAAUGAACAUUUUCUCAGACCCUGCCCGUUUUGGUAUGUGAUUUGACUAAAUCUUAGUUGUUUGUGUAAUUGAUUUUUUCUUUCUUUCAAGGGAACGUAUUUAUGAGUACCAAGAAAGGACAAUAGGAUUUGAGCGCGCGGGGGUCAAAAUUAAUUCGGUUUUUUAAUUUAUGAUGAACAACAUCAGUUUUAUUUAACAAAAUCGAUGUUAACCUCAAGUGGUUAACUGAUCGGUUUUGUUAAAAAAAUCGAUGUUGUUCAUCAUAAAUUAAAAAGCCGAAUUAAUUUUGGCCCCCACGCGCUCAAAUCCUAUUGUCCUUUCUCCCGUGUCGUUGCUCCUUUCUCCUUCGUCUCAACUGCGCUGCCACGAUUGAAGCUAGCAUUGUCGCAAAACGAGUUCGUCUCUGCCGCAAUGGAGUAUAGAAGCCNNNNNNNNNNNNNNNNNNNNNNNNNNNNNNNNNNNNNNNNNNNNNNNNNNNNNNNNNNNNNNNNNNNNNNNNNNNNNNNNNNNNNNNNNNNNNNNNNNNNUGUUUACUCACUUCAUCCUUUUCAGUUGACACUGCUUAUAAUUAUUGGUUUGCUUAUGUUUACACAUAGGAUUGUUAAUCAUUAAUUUGAGUUUCAUCUAUUAUACUUCUGUAUGCCUUGUUAAAUUUUAUAAUUUUAGUUGUCUUUUUUAAUGAAAUUUCUUUGAAUCUGAGAGUGCGAUUUUUAUGUGUUGUGGUCUGAAUUGGGUGGUCUCAAUGAACGAUUAUUGGUUGCAAAGGAGGCAUCUUGUGUGUCAGUUCUGGUGUUUCUGUGACACGAAGGAUGACACUCCUUUCUCAUACUGGUAUUUUGUAUAUUGUUUUUUGUAUAGCUUUGUUUUAAAAUGCAACAGCAGCUCACAAUUAUGGGCUCUGAUUUUGUGAUAUUGUUAUUUCUUGUAGGUUGCUCUGAAUAAUUUUGCAGGGUAGUAUUAUUGUUUGUUCCUGUUCAAUUUCAGGUAUUUAUUUAAACUUUUAAAUUUUGAUUAUAAGUGCAGUACAAUAGUUGAUUUUGUUGAUAUUUUUUUUACUAAUAAUAACAAUUAUAGAGACAAGCUAGGUUGAUUAUGUUUGCAUCAUUGACAACCUAACAAGGACAAUCUUGUAUGAACCCCACACUUAGCCACCCAUUUAGCAAAUACAGAGAUUGAGCUAAUUAUGCCUAGACCAUCAAAAACUUAACAAGGAAACCUCUCUCUGUACCCUAGACCCAGUCCCCCUAAGAUCACACACCAUAAUGAAUUUGACAAAGAAGCAACAACCUCAUUAUGUUUGCACCUUUGACAACUAGGACACUCUUCUUCUUGUCUGACAAACACCUCAAAGAAACCCUUGAGGAACAACUUUCUGACAUUCACUCUCAGUAGUGGGAAUGGAAACUUAGUUAAGCUAUAGCCCUAUCUGUUUCUCACUUUAGACACAUCAAUGAUCCAAGUUAUAAGCACCUAGCUUCAUUUUUUUAGGCAUGGAUACUAAAACUGUUGUUGACCUUUUCUACUUUGUGUCUACUCCACUUUUGUCUUAGGAAGAUACAUUUAUUUAUAAUAUGUAGUAAGGUAUGGGCUUACGAAAUUUAGAAGAUAGAUUUAGUUAAAAAAAUAUCCCAACUUGAAAAUCUGCUUGUUGUUUUUUGCUUAAAUAAUUUCUAAAAAAAAAUCCCAAUUGGCUGCAGAACUUGUUAAACCACAACAUUGACUUAUGACUUAUCCUCUUUUGAAAACAUUCUCUUCGCUAGUACCCAAGGUUGGUCCCUGCAAAUGCAUGACAUUGUGUUAGCUGUUGUAGUCAUCAUGUUCAAUGUUUGGACUAUAUGAUACUGCAAUGGUUAUUGGCAAAAAGCAGCAUUUUUAGUAAUGCUACUUCAGCCAACAUAAACUAGUCCUUCAUCUCUAAAUUUGUUAUAAGAAAUGGUCUCCAUAUUAAGAGGAACCAUGCUAAGGCUAACAACAUUAAGCAAGUUACUUGGUACCUCGUCCCCUUUGUAUGUAUGGCUUAAAUGUAACAGAGGGUUGAGGUAUCUUUGUAUAGGAAUCACAAAGGGGAUUUUGUUUCGUGUUUCUAUCAUAGGUUGGCCAUUCAGAAAUUGAUUUUUUCAAAGUUGAUGUAAGCUAUUUUAGCAAUUGAGAUUGUUGUCAGCAGCCAAUUGAGCAAAAUUUGGGUUGAGUGUCAUUCUCUGUUGCUGGUUCAAGCUUUUUAUGGUUUGUUAUUCUAGGUUCAACACCAGCGUCUUUAAGGUAGUCAUCCUCUGUAGUGCCAAAUUUCUUAUUCGUAUGAUUGGAAUCUUUGCUGGCAGUUGUGGUAGACUUAGAAUCAGAUAAUCCAUUUAAAUCAUCACUCCUGCUAUAUUCCUUAUCCUUCUAAUUAGAAUGUUUAGUAGGACUUGUGGCAGCCUUAGAAUCUUAUACUCCAUCUAAAGCUUCACUUCUAAUUUGCUCAAUUAUGGGCUCAACUUUCGGGAGUUUUAUCUCCAUGCAAUUUUCUAGGUUCACAGGUAGCCUUGUCUCUGUACUAAUGCCACUAACUUCAUGGUCUAAAGUGGUGUCAUCCUUUUGAAGCACAUCAUUUUCUAAAAAUUUUAUUUCCUGUUUCUUGAUCUCCCUAUCACUAGGAACUAUGGCAUCCAAAGCAUAUAAAUUGCCUUUAUGUGCGGAAACUUCCUCAUACUCAAUAUAGGACCAAACCCGUUUGCAACCAUACUUGUACUUAACCCAUUUUAAUUAUUACUUGCAAGGACUAAUACAUUUUCCAAGAUCCCAUAAAAAAUAGCCUAAGAGGUUAAAAAAUGAAAGGUAGUCUUCACUUCAGAUGGGCAGGCCUUAAAUAUCAAUGCAUAGAAUCCUAUAACGAAUUUAAAUGCAAAGAAAUCUCGUGAGAAUAUAAUCAUUCUCUCCAAACCAGAUACACCAAAGAACAUCAUACACAACAGAACAAGUAAAACAAACUUUAGCAUGAAAUUAUGAGUCUGUUAUAGCCUGUAUAUAGCACAUAUGAAGCAUGCUCUUUGUAGACCAAAUUUCUUAACAACUUUUGGCAGCUAGUGCCUUUGAGGAAAGAAACAAAUUGCAAAACAAAUUGCUACCAGAGACAAUAUCUAACGACACCAAGAUUUGGGAUAUUCUGCUUCUAGAAGGUUUGUGCCAACACAUCAUUACUUCACUGCAUAAUCCUUCAGGUAUUGCUGUUUGUAUAUUUCCCUAUUUGACCUUCUUCGUUCUGCCUUGAUUGGUUAUUCUGCAUGCUGUGUUUUUGUUGUUUCUUUUGUGUCUAUUGUUGCUGCAUAUUGUUCUGCCUCUUAUACCUCUUUAGCUGCUUCAAAGUGUUCUAUAUUUUGCUCUUCUUCCAUAACAGAGGCAUUUUAAAAAAUGAAAUGGUUAUACUAAAAAGAUUGUGUGGUAGACCAUGCUAAUCUAACAACUACUGUCACUUUAUGCCGGACAAUUUGGACUGAUAAGUGAUAAUUGAAGAGCAAAAGAAGAUUAGUUUAUAAUUUAAUAACAUUCUAGUUUCCAAAUAAUGCAUCGGCGUUAAUGCUAAUGCUACAUCAGAGUCUGACCCUAUUGAUUGAUAUCCAGGCUUGUCUGAGUAUAUGUGCUGCUCCAAAAAUAUUUUUGUACACUCACCUAUAGGAAGUUAUUGGGGUAGUAGGAUCUAGUUCCAUUGGCAUUAACUCUAAACCUCGGCCUUCACUUAUCAUCUUAGCAACCAACUCAAUCAUAGAAGCUGAACAAUUAAAUAGACAUAGAAAAUUAAGCACUCAGUAAAAGAACAAAUGGGAUAGCAUGACAAGUCAUAGAUAGUUCUGCCAUCCCAUUAUACAUCACAUUUAUUAGCGUAAAGAAUAAUGCUCCAAAGAAUUUUUCUCCAUCUUCAACAGUUCCCACUGACAUUUUUGUUCUAAGAAACAGAGUAAAUGUAAUAAUAGACAUGAUUGUUAUCUGUGUUGUUUUGAAUAUAUAGACAAAAGAACUGUGGUUCAUGAGUAGUGAUUCUCUUGAAAAACAUGCCUUAAAUAGUUCCCAGUUAGUUAUACCAUACUUGUCUUUCACUAAGGCAGUUGGUUGGGCUUGGCUCUUAUCAUAGGGAACUCCAAGCUCGGUGGCAAGUUGCUCUCCUAUGUCAAAUGAACUAAAAGCUUGCACAAAUUCUGGAACGGAAACAUAUUUGUAAGGUUCAUCUUUUCUAGACCAAUAUUGUUGCUGGUCUUUCUUGGAUGUUACUUGUAAAAAAUCAGCAACUCCUUUUCUCUCAGGACCCUUGAAACCCAUGUGUUCAAAUAACUCUAACCCAUUCUCACGUGGACCUUGAUAUACAAAUUGACCUUCUGAAAGUAGGAUAAUGUCAUCAAAGACUUCAAAUGUCUCUGGUGUGGGUUGUGGCGUCCCUAAAUAAUGACUGGUUUAAUAGUAAUGAUUUAAAUAACAAAAACCAUGGGAUUUUUUUUCCUUCGUUUCUUUCACUUUUUCACAGUAAUUAAGUUCAGAAGGAAAAUCAUCACUGUAGAGUCCUGAAUGGCCAGUUCAUAACUCUAUUCGGAGUCAUUUCUUUCUGAUCACGCGUAACCUCUAAAAUAUGUUGUUCUUUCAAAAAAAAUAAAAGUAUACCAGUCAUCAUUUUAGGUCGUCACAUGUAAAAUAAUAAAAUAAAAUGCGGUCGAUGAACUCUCUUUCAAAUAAAGUUUGUUAACACUUUCUACUCAAAUAACAAGAUUAAUCAUAAGUACCUUCAUCAUCUAAAGCUGUCCAAAAUAUGGGAGUUUUGCAAAAAUACAUAGUGACAUCCAGAGCAAAGGUAUCCAAUGUGGCUUCAGCCACAUGUAUACAAUCAUCAAAUUCCUAUACAAUAGGUCUACCCAUAUAAAAACAAAAAGAGUAAACCUAACAGUCUGUACUAGAUACACCCACCCCCAAAAAGUAUAUAAUCCUAGUCUAAGGAGCCGUCUGCUAUGAUGAAGAACCUCCGCUAGUCGCUAUCCCUCCAGGAUCGCUCUCCUCCGUAGAGUUUGCCUCAGAUGCCGACAUGACGUCCUCGGGAGAAUCCACCUCAGGGAGUGGGUCCUCAUCACCCUCUAGAAAGUCAAGAGCAUCCACAGCAGGCUGGAGGAGGUAGCUCCUCUAGGUCCUCCUCGGGGUCUUCCUCAGAUGACGUCACCUCAAUCACUUGGACUGGCUCCACUAGUAGAUAUGGAGUAGGUGUAGGUAAUAUCCACUCCACAGUGCGCUGAAGCGUGCGUGCUGGUUCCUCUGGAUGUACCAACGAAGUAGCCGUGAGUCGGAUCGUGCCACGGAAUCGGCACCUCGCAUUGCCUUCGAAGGUCUCCCAAACUCCCCCUAGGCACUCCAUCUCCACUCGGUCAUGGAUGAACUGCGCUGCCAUCACGAUCUACAAGAAAUAAAAGAAAGGGGGUAGACUCUUUCACGAGAGAUCUAACUACAGUAGCAACACAAUGCGUCCCAUAACCAGUACAUGCAAUUAAAAGUUGUGCUUCAAGGCUUUUCUUCUCUGGUAAUCGAUUACACAACAUUGGUAAUCGAUUACCAGAGGCUCAACUCGAGUUACACAGCUUCAGAACAUGAAAACCUGCAAUAUGCACUGUGUAAUUGAUUACACAUAACUGGUAAUCGAUUACCAGUGGCAUGUUACUCUGUGUAAUCGAUUACCAGAGGCCUCCACAACAUACUAUCUCCAUUUCUAAGCCUGGUAAUCGAUUACACAACAUUGAUAAUCGAUUACCAGAAGCCCUCUCACGUUCCUGAUCCCAUUUCUAGGCCUGGUAAUCGAUUACACAUCCUUGAUAAUCGAUUACACAUCCUUGGUAAUUGAUUACCAGAGGCCAUCUUAACUUCCUGCCUUCAUUUUUAAGCCUUGUAAUCGAUUACCCACCCUUGGUAAUCGAUUACCAGAGGCCAUACUCCAAAUAUUACUCAAAAUCCAUAGCUGGCCAACCACCACACAAGCCUCCUUGCUUUGUGGUCUUUGUUCUUUUAUCGGUUGACUGCCAGGAGCUUGCCUGUUUAGGUACGUCAUAGGUUCUCACUGACUGACUAUGCUCGGGUUGGGUCGGGAUUGGUCAAGCUUGGUUUUGGGCAAUAGCACCCCACCUGACGUCUCCAAGGUCUCCUGACCCCCGCGACAUAUCUCCAGGUACCACUUUGUGGUCAACGAAUAAAAGUAGGAAGUCUCACCCUUCCACACUUCCUCACUUCAAGCUUGUAGGAUUAUGGGGUACCCGUCACAUGUGGUACUAGGUGGCGGUCGGGCGAUGGUGCAAGUCGACUAUCCACAUCCACAAAUCACACAUAAAUCCACCAUCCCCAGUUGCCCACCUUCAACUGAGCUCACGUACUCCCAUGUAGCCCUUAUCCUCGUUCCUCUCAACACCGGGUCCCCAUCAAUCCCUCCAAGCUUCCAUAACAUCCAAGCAAUCUCAACAUACAAACAUCAUGAACUAUCAAAACCAAGCAAAAACAGGGCAGAGGCAGAAAACUCUGCCCAAAACACAAACCAAUACCACAACUUUUCUUACUCGAAUACCCCAGUAACAUUCUCUUCGUUCCAAUUCGUUCACCGUUGGAUCGACUCGAAAAUUUUACUGGAGGUCCCUAGUACAUAAAUCUACAUUUUGACCGUUGGGAUCUGCUAGAAAACGUCCAAAACCCAAUAUGUACAACCCUUUCCACAACCAGCCAUGCAUAAGCAUUUUUUGCACAAACACAAAAUUCUGCUGCACACUUUAACAGCAAAAUUCUGCAUAUAAGUGUAGAUUUUCGAAAUCACCCUUGCCCUCAUCCAAAUUUGCCCAAAUUGGAUCCUACAAGUCCUAAAUCAAGUAUAAAUCAUACCUAAACCAAAGACAAGCUUCAGACCAAAGCAACUCAAAAUCUAGGUAUCUAAAACCCCUCAAUUUAGUGGAUUUUCAAGGUUUGAGAAGUGAAAAUGAGAACGGGGUAAUUUUGGAGCAAACUCUCAUCUCACACAAGUCUAUAACAUUAAUCUAAACUUGCUCAAACUGGUUUUACGUCGAAAACUCUACUGAAUCAAAAUUUGACUCCUCAACACCCAAUUUACCCUAGAAAUGGCUCUUGCCUUCACUUUGGUCACUCAUUUUCCUCCUUUGCACAGCCCAAGCUUUCCCACAGUCCUAAAUGACAUUUCAAACUAGUAUUAACUCACUCUAACCUCCAAUUACCACUAAAUCCAGAUUUGGCUUUUCAAAUCCUCAAAGCAUCACACUUUUCCACUCAUAUCACUACAUUCUCACUUUUAAACCCUAGGUUAACUCUACCCUUCAUCUCUAUCAGUUUUCCAUCAGCCAUUUCAGCACACAAGCAUCACAAGCAUCAUCAUAAAAACCCUAAAACAGAAUGGGUAAGCUUGACUUAUACCAAACAUGACACAUUUAGCAUGCUUUCAUCAAAUUUCUUCACGAAUAACUAUCAUAAGGCAUAAACCUAGUAAAACUACCCAUCAUAUCUCCCAAAACCCAAUACCCACGAAAAUAUAUGUGAGAAGAAGUCCACCCAAACCUGAAAUGUGAAGUCCCAAAAUGGAGAGGUGCGCUUUACGACUCCGAAAAUGGCUUCCUUUCGCGAUUUGGAGCAAAAAUGGUGUGCAAAGGUUGGAGCUUUGUUGGAGCUUCAAUGGUGAGGAAGAAGAAAGGAAAAAACAACGUGAGGGAGGGAGGGAGAAAAGCUUCCGAAUUUUUGGGCUGAGGGAGGAGAGAGAACGUGGCUGUUUGAUUUAAAAAGGCUUCUUCUUUUCUUUUUUUUUUUUAUUUUAAAAAAAGGUAUGCCACAUGUCUCCUUUUGAGUGGAGCAAAAAGGGCCCACUUUUUCUCUUGAUGUGACUCAUACCCAGUCACAAGAAGAGAAAAAUUCGACCUUUUGAAAUGCUAAAAUCAUGCCUCGAUUUGCGUGCCAUUUCUCUAGUUCCAGUCCCUCGCAUUUUCUCUGCACCCGUCGAGGCCAGUUUUCGAAAGUAAGCAAUAUAUAUAUCAAAACACUCAGAAUGAAACCCCGAGCGUGGUUCAGAGGUUGGUUUCGUUAAAUUUUAAGUUGCACACAAAACGAUAAUUUUUAGACUAAUUAAUUGAGAAUUAAUCUAUAACUAUCCAGUUAUGGAUUUCUCUUCCUUAAUCGGCCUAACCCGCAUAUCUUUCCCCCAAUAUACCUACUUCUACCAGAAGUAUAUAUAUAUAUAUAUAUAUAUAUAUAUAUAUAUAUAUAUAUAUAUAUAUAUAUAUAUAUAUAUACUGAAUAAUACUUAUAUAUAAUCAUUCAAAAUGCAUCGUUUACAAAAUUCCGAGUAGAAAUUUCCAGGAUGUCACACGGGUUAUAGAAGCGAAAUCACAAUGGUUACGUCCAUUAGAUGAACCAUUUGCCUCAUGAACUUGCAUAUCUGAAAGGUGGUGGAACUGUCUAAUCCUGUUGAUAUUUCAUCCAUAAAUAUUGCCUUUGUCGGAACUUGCAUAUCUGAAAGGUGGUGGAACUGUCUAAUCCUGUUGAUAUUUCAUCCAUAAAUACUGCCUUUGUCGGUCCUACCAGUAUCUCCCCUACACACAGUUACAAUUAAAGCAUAUUUAUAACUAAUAGAAAAUUACAAAUGCUUAUUUACAAAUCAUUAGUUGAAAAGUUUCUUGGUUGUUAUAAGAUUAUGUACCACAAGUAGCCAGCCUUAUAGUUAGCACUUUAUUAUUUUUAUUUGAACCUCAAGCAUACAACAUGAGAUGUUUAAUUAUUGGAUGUGUGAUAUUGAAACUUUGGUUUAUUAGUUAUGCCUUCUCCUCAAAAAAUUAACCUGUUGUUACUCGCUUCUUCUAUCCACCAGAGAUGCCUCUUCUCAUCUCAUCUCCAACCACAAUGUCGACACAAAUAUCCAAUCCAAGGAUCUUUCAUAACACGUUCAAAGUGAAUAAAAUAGAAGCAUAUAAGUAAUAUUCAUAUACUUUGAAGUAGAGACAAAGAGAGACACCAACCUUGAGUACAUAAUCUGUUACCAAAUUGGUUUUUUGACCUAACAAUGCUAUAACCUUCAUGAAUGCAUCAAUCUCAGGGUCUGGCUUUAUUCCUGCUUCUCUCUCCCUUCUUGACAGUUCCACUAAUGCUUCAUACCUAAUAUCAACACCUAGACAAUAUCCUGAAAAAUCUAAUGUCUCUCUCACCAUCAUUUUUCCAUAGUGAAUGUCGUGUUGACUGAUAUAGGCACAGGUUUUUUGUGGAACAAAUUCAUUUAGCUCAUGGCCACAGUAAGUGAUCCUCCUAGAUACCUGAUCACAUCUCAACAUAAAGGUCUCUUUAUGGUUAAACAAAAUACUCAUAUGAUGAUGAGGAGAUAUGAUUGAAGUAAACUGAUUUAUAAGUAGAAAAUGAGAACAAACCCUUAAAUCACGAUCAAGUUUCCCUGCAAGCGCCAAAAGCUGUAGUUUCAUCUGUAAAACAAACAGAGUUAAAGAUGUUUAUUGUGCCAGUUUAAUUUGUUCUUAAGCUCCUAUUUAAGUAUAGCAAUCAUGCAUCUUAUGGUUGGACAUUGAUGCCAUAUUUGUUUAGAUUUUAUGCCAUAUAAAAUCAAUCUGGCCAAUCCAAAAUAAAUGCUUAUAGUAUUUGUUGUUUGGUUAAGAUGUUUAGAAUUGAUUCCUAUUAGGAAUGAAUUCUAUGGAAAUAACUCAGCAGUAGCUUUUGCAACCAAGAAAAUUCGUAUUAGGAAUGAAUUCUACUAGUAAUUUACAAUUUUCCUCCUUGGUUGUGCAUGUAGCGAAAAUACAUGAUGUUGUCUGUGAUGAUAUCGGACCCAAGACAGCCAGAAAAUGACAUUGAUGUUUAUCUAAGUCAAUUGAUUGAAGACCUGAGAAAGUUGUGGGACGAGGGGUUUUUAGUGUUUGAUGGGUUUUGCAAGGAGACUUUUGAAAUACGUGUAAUGCUUUUUUGUACCAUUAAUGACUUUCCAGCAUAUGGGAAUCUCAACGGUUACAGUGUUAAGGGUCAUCAUGCAUGCCUCAUUUGUGAAGAAGACACAAGCUACAUACAAUUGAAACAUGGUAGAAAAAUAGUGUACACUAGGCAUCGUCGUUUUCUAAAACCUCAGCGCCCUUACAGACGAUUGAAAAAAGCUUUUAAUAGAAGUCAAGAGCAUGAAACUGCACCGAUACCGUUGACUGGUGAGCAGGUCUUCUAGCAGGUUGAACACCUGAAUAUGGUAUUUGGAAAGACCCCAAAGAAGGAUAAAAGUAAGACUUUAUAUGGAAGAAGAGGUCCAUCUUCUUUGAUCUUCUGUACUGGUCUGAUCUAGAUGUUAGACAUUGUUUAUGCAUGUGGAGAAAAAUAUAUGUGACAGUUUCAUUAGGACGCUCCUUAACAUUCAAGGCUAGAUGAAAGAUGGUUUGAAUACCCGUAAAGAUCUAGCUGAGAUGGGCAUACAAUCGCAGUUGCAUCCAAUGUCUGAUGGUAAAAAAAUAUACUUGCCUCCAGCUUGUCAUACUUUGUCUAGAAAGGAGAAGAUCAAUUUUUGUCAGUGUCUGUGCUAGGUCAAAGUCCCACAAGGAUACUCUUCAAAUAUUAAGAGCCUUGUGAAGUUGAAGGAGCUUAAGCUGGUAGGGUUAAAGUCUCAUGAUUGUCACGUGUUGAUGCAACAAUUGUUAGUUGUGGCCAUACGAGACAUUUUGCCUAACAAAUUCAGGUUAGCCAUAACUCGCCUGUGCUGUUUCUUCAAUGCCAUAUGUAGCAAAGUCCUUGAUCCUGUCAAGCUUGAUGACCUGGAAAACAAGGUGGCAAUUAUAUUGUGCCAGUUGGAGAUGUAUUUUCCUCCUACUUUCUUUGACAUCAUGGUUCAUUUAAUUGUUCACCUGGUCAGAGAAAUCAGAUGUUGUGGUCAUGUUUAUCUGUGUUGGAUGUACUCAGUUGAGCGAUACAUGAAGAUCUUAAAAGGGUAUACCAAGAAUCAACAUCAUCCGGAAGCAUCUAUUGUUGAAAGGUACAUUGUAGAAGAAGCUAUUAAAUUUUGUUCAGACUACAUUGAAAAGGCUAAACCUGUUGGCCUUCCUGAGUCUCGACAUGAUGACAGAGUGGGUGGUAAGGGUUCAAGAGGACUGCAUGUCAUCACUCCAACUGUAGAAGAUUUGUUACAAGCUCACUUAUAUGUGUUGAACAACAGUAAUGAAGUUUUUCCAUACAUACUUCAGCAUGAAGCUUUAGUCAAACAAAAUAAUCCAAAAAUGUCAAAGAACUAGGUGUUGAAAAAGCGUAACAAAAUUUUCUGUGAUUGGUUUAAAGAUACAAUCUUUGCUGAUGAAAGUGCCUCAGAAACAUUAAGAAAGCUAGCAGAUGGGCCUAAAAGAAAUGUUAUAACUUGGAAAGGAUACUACAUAAACAAGUAUUCCUUUUACUCAAAAGCACAAGACGACAAAAGUACAAUGCAAAACAGCAGGGUCACCCUAAGGGCUGAAUCUCAACACUUCGCAAGUGCGCAUGAUGACAAUCCCUGUGUAGCUUUCAUCCCUUACUUUGGGUUCAUUGAUGAAAUUUGGGAGCUUAACUAUGUCAAAUUUAUUGUUUGUGUUUUCAAAUGUAAAUGGGUUGACAACAACACCGGUGUGCGGACAGGAUGAUGUAGGAUUUACGUGGGUAGACUUAAAGAAACUAGGUUACCACAAUGACCCUUUCAUCAUGGCAGAACAAGCUAAACAAGUAUUUUAUGUGCAAAACCCUUGUGAUGAAAGGUGGUGCGUGGUUCUACACAGGAAAACAAUUGGUGUUAAUGUAGAAGAUGACGAUUCAUACAUGGACACUUAUGUUAGUCCUUUGUCCAGAAAAAUCACUCCUAACAUCAUCGAAGAAGAAGUUGAUGACGUUUAUGCUACUCAUAAUGAUCAUGAUGGAGGAGAAUUAAUUAAUAUCGUCUAAUGUAAUUUUCUAAUUAUGUAUUUUAUUUUGGUAAAUUGAUUUACAUAACUCAUAGUGAUUUUUGAUAAUGUUAACUAACUCAGGUUUUUCUGUUUAAAGGACCAUGGCUACUUUACCUGCCUCGCCUCCUCCUCCUCCUCCUUCAGACACAUCAGCAUCUUCGUCUACCGUGAAGUGGACACGCAAAGCGACACGGCUAAGAUCGUUAGCCACUAGACCACCUGGUGUAGAGAAAUCAGUGGUCAACGUUGAUCCUGCUACCGGCAAGGCUGAUGGUCCCCACGAGAAGAAAUUAAGAACAUAUUUGGGGAUUCUCGUGCGUGAUAAGGUCGACGUGACAUACGAGACCUGGAAGGAAGUCCUUGCUGCUCAGAAGGAAUUGAUAUCGGAGGAUAUUCAGGUAUUUUAGUUUUCUUCUUACAUUUUUUUAAUAGCUAAAAUUAAUAGUUUACUUACAAUAAAACCUAAUUUUUUUAUUUGUCAGGCGGAAUUUGAAAUCCCUGAAGCUUCUAAUAGUAGGACAAAGAAGAAAAUUCUUUAGAAUGUCGGCGAGAGGUGGCGGGAAUUUAAAUCAGACUUGACUAGGAAAUGGGCCCCUGCAGCCGACCAGGACGGUGUAGACGACACUGUCUGUCAAAAAUACGACAUUAGCAAGGAGAAAUGGGUCCAGUUUUGUCAGACACGCAGAGACCCUUCUUGGGAGGUAUGUACUUUGUCAUUUUAGUUGUUUUCCACAAAAGAUUCAGUUGUUAUAAUUCAUUGUAGUAAUUUGUACCAUUAAUGUUUGAUUUUUUCAGGAUAUGCGGAAAAAGGCACAGACCAUCCAGAAGUAAAACACUUCCCCUCACAUGUUGUCUCGUGGGGGUUAUGAAUAUUUAGAACAAAAGCUAAUGGCUGAGAAGACCAAAAAGAAACUGGAGGAAGCUACCCAGUCUGGAACCACUAACGGUGUCAUUGACCCUACAUCUCCCAUCAGACGCCACGUGAAGUGGAAGAUGACCCGCACCAAGAAAAUUGAGCAGAUGACAUCUGAGGCAGCAAAGGAAAUCGCUGAGAAGAUCGUAAGUCAUUUUCAAUUAAGAAUUCUAACUAUGUUUGUUUAUUCUGUGAAUGCCUAAGAAAAAUAUAUUUGUUCUGUACAAGAUUCAUUGGAGGAGCAGGCAUCACAGGGAUCGUUCGUCCCUCAUGGAUGUCAGGAUGUCCUAACUACCAUCAUUGGCCGACCAGACCACCCUGGCUAUGUCCGUGCUGCUGGAUCUGGUGUCACCAUCAAACAAUAUUUCAGAUCAGCUCCAUAAACGUCCCGCAACUUUUGCUCCCUGCCUCCUGAAGACCUAUAGUAGCUGACCUAACAAAUCAGGGACCAGCUAGAGGAGUCGAUCACAGAAAAAGUGACUCAACAGCUGAUGGCAUCUUUCAGCCAGAUGCAGUCCCAGUUUCAAUCCCAGAUGCAAUCUUAGGGACUUGCACUGCCUCUAGAGCCUAUGGUUGUUCCCUCAAGUCCUCGUGUCAGCAUAAAGGAGAUUUGUGUUGAUCCAUCAGGGAACGAUCCUAAGACGGAUGACUCAGACAAGUGCAGGUUGUACAUCGAAGCAAAUCCUCCCUGCUUGGUUGCCCUAGGAAGAGUUUUUGAGGGAUCAACAAUUCACAACAUUCCUUUGUUACCUGGCCAUGUGAAGGUUGGUGUUGAGGAGGUUAAAGAUGCACAAGCUCCCGUUCCUGUACCCACUGAUGAGGUUACCUUAGUGGGGGUAGACACUUAAUACCUUCCUUGCUUGACUGACACAUCUCGUGAAGCAUUUAUCAGAACAAAUAUUUUACUUUGAUUAUAUGUUUCUUUUUAUUUCAAUUAAUUUAUUCAACGUAAUUAUUUAACUAUGUUUGAUCAGCAGGCAACUGUUUCUCCAGCAAAACCUCCACAAAGGCCGGAUCCUGAGGUCGAUGAUCCGCUAUAUCUGAUGACAUUGACCAUCCCAGAGCUUUUCUUCAAGCCUUUCCAUGUUAAUUGGGAUGCUACCGUGUUCGGGGUGUUUAAUCCAGACUUCCCAUUGUACAUCAAGCACGAAGAUAUCUUCGAAAUCGCACACGGUGAUCAAUGUCUCAGCAUAUCUGUCAUACAGUUAUGGAUUCUGUAAGUCAAUUUAGCUUACUGUUAAUUACCUAAGUUAUUGCUUUAAAUUCAAACAUAAUUAACUUUGUCUUAACAACAAUAGGCAUCUGACUAAAACAAGUAUGCGAGUGGGGAAUUCCGAUGCGUAUGGAUUCCUCGAGCCAUAGUCUAUUCAGAGAUCUGGGCAAUUGUAGUUUGACUCCGAAAGUUACAUCAAGAGUUGAAUGUAUAGUUCAAAACGCGAUGUCUACCUUGGAGCCUACUUAAAUGGGUAAGUCAAACAAAACAACUGAAUUUAAAUAAUGUAUACUACUACAAUAACCCAUAUUCGUCUCCACUGCAGCGGACACUGGCAAAUGGUGGUCAUUCUGUCCAAGGAAAACCUUGUUGUCUGGUUUUGUUCCUUGCAUAACAGGUCAGACAACUACCUUAAGGGAAUAAUUAAUAGGUCAAUGUUGUUUUCAAUACAUUUGCAUUGACAUUACUCAACAACAUCAAUUUUUAAAUGUUCCUCGUAUUCAAUUGUGCUUUGAAAGGACUUGAUGAUACUCCACAGCCUAAAUCCAAGGCUACUGCUACGUGGAUUAUCGUUAAGGUACGUGAUUUAAAUAAACUUCUACUUAUAUAUACUGCUUAUGUGUGUGUACACUAAUUGUAGUUAAUGUUUAAUUAAUAUCCAAAUUUCAUUAUGUAUUUAGUGUAAUAGACAAAAAGGAAGAACUGAGUGCGGCUAUUACGUCAUGCACUGAAUGCCCACCAUCAUCUUAGGAAGUUUCAGAAACAACUUGGAAACAAUAAUUGUUUAUUUCAAACAAACUUGAUUUUCUUAUAAUUGGUAUUACAUUAUUAAUUUAUCUUUUCUUUUAUCAUGCAAUAUUUUAACGAUGCUAGACCAUUGGAGCCAGAGAGAUUAAAGGCGCUUCGCAUCCAGUGGGCACAACAUUAUCUCCGACUUAGAGAUCAAACUUAGGAUGUUAGGAAAAUUAGGAUGUUAGGGAAUUCAUUUUAGCUUACUUAAUUAGUUUACACUACUUGAUUUACAUUUUUGCAAUUUGCUAUGUCAUUUGAACAUUGAAUGUUAUUUAUUGAUAGUUCUUAAUAAAUCAUUUAUUCAUAUUUACCAAUUCAUAGUUUAUUGUAGCUUUCUGCUAAAAGCUGCUUGAAAGCAGAAUGCAAAUGAUGUUUGUUGUGAAUUGUGGUCUGAAAUUGCUUUUAACAGGUUAAAUUUUGGGUUUUUUUUUGUGAAAACCGAAAGUGUAUAUAAAAAAGACCUUAAAACAACAUCGGUUUUUUUAAAAAAAAUCGAUGUUAACAUACAACUUAACAUUGGUUCUUCCAUAAACCAAUGUUAUUUACGUAUAUUAACAUUAGUUAUUUAUAAAACCUGAUGUUAAUCUUCAAAACAUUAACAUCGGUUCUUAUAAAAAACCGAUGUUAACGUAUACGCUAACAUUGAUUUUUAUAUAGAAUCGAUGUUAAAGUUUUUAACUUAACAUCGACUUUUGUAUAAGAACCGAUGUUAACGUAUAAGUUAACAUCGGUUUUCUAGAAAAAUUGAUAUUAAUGUGUGCGUUAAGAUCGGUUUUGUAUGAAAACCGAUGUCAACGUUCAACAUUUAUACUCUUAUUUUGGUGUAGUUCUUAAUAUAUAACAUCGGUUAUUUAGAUCAUCGAUGUUGGUAGUUUUAUGUUAACAUUGAUUUUUGAAAACCGAUGUUAAUCAUAAUACUUUUAACAUCAGUUAAAAACCGAUGUAAAAGAUCAUAAAUAAUCGAUGUAAAAAACAUAUUUUCUAAUAGUAUAAAGUCAAUGCUAAAGAUCAAGAAGGUAAUGAUAGACCAUUGGGAUACAUAAGCAAGGAUAGGCCUAUACAGAUUUCACACAAACCACUGAAGCUUAUAGAUAUAUUUCGUGUAGUGAGUGUACUAGCCAUUAGGACUUUCCAUUCCUAGAAUUUCCUUUGAGCUUGUCACAACAAUCUUUGAUCACAAGAUUUAGGGUUGCUUUGUAUUUAAUUAUGAAUUAUGAAAAUUUCAAAAAAGUAAUUCUUUUGAUUUUUAUUAAUUUUGUUUUCUUGGAGAUCUGAUAUCCCAAUCUCAAAUUUGAUUGGGAAUCAUUAGCUUAUAAUAGCUUACAGUUUGAUGUAUCAUUUAUGCAUUUCUUCUUUAUUUUAAGCUAGUUGUUUCUUUCCGCAUCCCAUAAAAAUCAGGAAGCACCUCCUUUACAGUUUGGAAAGGAUUUUUCAGAAUGUAAUUUUAUUUUUGGAUUAGUUUUUUCAGAACAUAAAGGAAUUGUUUCUUAAAUUUUAUGGAAUGUAAAAAAACAUUAGCCUUUUAUUCUAACUUGUCCAGGUAAAGCACAUAACCUUUUUCUUUGGGUAACAAGACUUUAUUUCAAAUAUAAAGAAAAUAAGGGAUAAAGGGAAUUUAAUGUUGAUAAAAAAAAGAAAUUUGAUUAAUGUAUGGAGCUAACAAAGUGAAGGUGUGUGUGUGCACUACUACAAAAAGCAGUUUUAACAUCGGCUUAUUAACAUCGAUUUUGUACAAAACCGAUCUUAAGUUAAACGCGGUGACAUAUUUGUAAAUAAAGUAUCUUUCUUAACAUCGGUUUUUUGGAAAACCGAUGUUAACAUAUCAUACGUUAACAUCGGUUUUUUUAAAACCGAUGUUAACUAAUGAUGUUAACAUCGGUUUUCCAAAAAACCGAUGUUAAUAUAAACUUUUUUUUUUAAUUAUUUAUAUAUUUUGAGAAAAAUCAUAUAUUGCGUUAUUAAUUAUAUUUUAAUUAAAAAAUAUAAUAAUUAAUAAACAAUUAUAAAUUCAAAAGGUAAAUAUUUAAAAAUUAAACUAAAUUUUUAAAAUAAAUUUCGUAAUUUUAAUUUUAUUAUUAUUUAAUCAACAAAAUUUGACCAGACUUCGCCAUAUUUUUUGUCAUUUGACUAAGUAAAGUUUUUUCUUCACUUCUUAAAUGACCAACAUACAAAUGGAGGUGAAAUUUAAUAUUUUGGUUAUUACCAAAUGCAUUGUGUUAAGAGUAAAUAGUGGAUGCUACUUAAAAAAAAGAGUAAAUAGUGUAUGUUAAUAAUUUAAUUUUUUACACUAAUAUUUAAUAAUAAAUUAUUAUGUACAAUUUUUUCUCAUGUUAGUUAUCCUAAAAAUUGUAGUAAUAAUAAAUUUUAACUAAUGAAUGAUAUAAAAAAAUUAUAUGGUUUCUUUAUAGAAAUUAAAAUCUUGUGUAACUUUUUUUUGUCAAAGAUCGGUCUAGCGCAAAUGUCCAAAUGUAAUGUGUGACUACUACCCAAGUAAGUGUAGGGUCGGAUUGAUUAAUUUUUUUUAUUCGUAAAAAUUAAACAUAAAAAUAUAUAAUAACUGUUCAACCAAGAAAAGACAAAAAAAAAUAAUUGUUUAGUCAGAUCUCUUUGACCGAUAAAAUAAUUUAUUUCAAUGGACAUAUUUCAAAAUAAAUAUAAAAUCAUUGUUAUUUAUAAAAAAUUCUAAAAAUUAAUUUAAGAUAUGAUUUUUGCAUAAUACUAAAUACAUGCCGUUAAAAAGAUACAUAUUUUAAAAAAUGUGAUUAUAUCCCAUGAAAAUUAAUCAACAUUAUAAUGAUUAGCUCAAAAAGAUCCAAAUUUUUAAAAUUAUAUUGAGCUUUAUAGAGUCAAAAAAUUUAAUUAUGAUGAUUAUUUAAAAUAAAAAAUAUACAAUUUAUUAUAUAAAAAAUAAUUGUUAAUAAUUAAAAUGCACUAUGCCUUGUAUUUAAGAAUUUUUUUAAAAAUAAUCUUAUAUUUUUAAGAACAGAAGAGGAAGUAUAUCAUAUUAGUAUUUUUUUUGAAAUUAUUAUUUUGCAUUUUUUUCUAUGAAAAUUAAUUUAAUUAAAAAAAUGUGUAUAUUGUGUUAUUUAUAUAGAAAUAAUUUUCAAUUAAUUUGUAAAGAAAUAUUUUUUUCAUUAUAAAUUGAUUAAUUUAAUAUUUCUUUUAAAAAUUAAUUUUUAGUUUCUAUAAAAAUUAGUUUUACUAAAUUCUAAAUUAAAUGGGACCGACAGUAAGUCUUAUCAAGAUUUUUUUUCUAUACUAUAGUCUAGUUUUAUCAUUUUAUUGGUAAGAAGUGUAAAUGAUAAUUGACGUAUGAAAAUGUUUUUUUUAAAUAGUAUCUUGUUUUAUUGUAAUUGAAUAAUUCAUAUUAUAUACAUAUUCAAUAAUUGUAUAAUUUAUUUUAUGCACGCAUUUUAUAUAAUCGGUGCCGGCCAGUAUGUUUUUCUUAUUUUCUUAAUUAGAAAAUGCAAAAGACAUUGAUAUUAUUUUCUUAAUUUUAUAUAAUUCAUAAGUUAUAAUUUUUUAUUAUUGGAUUAUUUUCAAAUUGAUAUAGAGGUAGUCAAAUUCACCACCAACCUCUCAUUGCUUGAAUAAUUGCGUUGGUCUUUGACAUUGGGAUAUUUGUUUUGAUUUUAAUUUAAACGAAAGGAAAAAAUAAAUAAUUAUACCUUUCGAUGGCGACAAAAUAUCUACGAUGUUUCGUACUUUUGGCUGGGUCAUAUUUACUAUUUAUUAUUUUCUUUUAUAUGUUUCGUACUUUUGGCUGGGUCCCAUUUUUAAAAAUAAUCUUAUAUUUUUAAGAACAGAGGAGGAAGUAUAUCAUAUUAGUAAAUUAAUAUUCUAGGGUGUGUGCUUUGAAAGAAAACGAGAGAAACAAACAUCACAACAAUAUUCUAGGGUCCUUUUCUCCGUCUCUCACAUGAUCGUCCUCUAGCUUCUUCCUCUUUGUCUUCUUAUUGGUCCUUCAGUUUCAUUUUCCUUGUUGGAUUGUUGUGGAGUUUGGUCGGAUCGAAGCUUUCUUCGUUUCUCUCUCUUGAAGAAUCUGGGUGUGGGCGUGGCAGAGUCCAGAAGAGUUUAGCGGCGGCGUUGGAGUUGCUUUGGACUAAUUCAUCUCUCAUCUUAAGCUUCAGUUUCUUGUUUGAUAGAACCAUUCUGCUCUCUCAAACCCUUGACAGACACAGUCACAAAACCAAAGAAAGUGUUUUGGGGAAGACGCAAACAAACGACACCGUACAUUCGGAGGGUAUAACUAACAAUGUAUUUCUUCUUUUGGGCUUUGAAAUGCCUUUUGUCCAUUUUUAAAUUCAUAAAAACUUUGACCUGUGCAUAUGUAAUCUAUUUCAUGCAUACAAUUGGUCUUCCUCAUUUUGAUGUCCAAAUGCAGGUUGCAAUUUGAGACAAUCAUUGGUUUGCCCUCUUCGAUGCUAGGUUGGCUUGUAUGCUAUUUCUGUGUUAAAUUUGGUAUACCAAAUCCUUUGCAGAUUGUAUUUGUAGGACAUAUAGUCUAAACUGAAAAAUAUGCCAAAGUUUUAUUUUGAAUCACCAAUGGUCAUGCCAAGUAGAGCAAUGCUAAUUCAUUUGACAGUCUUCUAAUCAUGCAUUUAUUUUAAUCUUGAUCCUUCCAGGCAUGGGUCACACUUGGCAGAGCACAAUUUAAUUUUGGUGAGCCUGAUAAUGCUAUUGAAAGCUUUGACCGUGCUUUAGCUCUCAAGGUUAGUCUAUGUUAAAAUAAUGAAUGUUUUAAUAAGUUGACUAACUUACAGCAGAACAAUGUUUUAAUAAUCCAACUCAUGAAUCCUUGAUUAACGCAAGAUCUCAACCUGUUAUGGAUUGUCUUACGCAUUUUAAUUAUUUUAUCAUAAGCUUUGUGUUCUUCAAAACUUGAGACCAAAUAUAAUAAUAUUGGUUACAAAUUAGUAUUAAUGUUAAUAUAUAAGACAAAUUAAAAAUCAUAUUUGACUGUGAUUAUUCUUCUUAUUGGCCACUAUUCCUAUGUUUUCUCUUGGGCAUGUGAUUGAUGUACGUGACCUAUAUGGAUCACGUUCCAUGAAUGACCCCAAUGGAAUUUUCAUCACUUUCAUUUGGACACACCCCAUAAGUGUAGAUGGUAAUAGUGAGUAUCAAAGGCACACACAGGGGCAAGGAAGGAAUUUUCAUUCACUGUUUUGUAGAUAUGAUAUCACUUUAGAUCCUCUAUCUUCAUUCAUAUUUUCAUAGCUUCCCAGUAAUGUUGAAAAUUUUAAUUACCUGAUGCUUCGAUGAGUUAGUCAUCUAGAUGGUAUGCUUCCCAGUAAUGUCCUUUUCACCUUCACUCAUAUUCAUUAAAUAUAUUGUUGUUAUAAAAUCUAGUUGCUACUAGGCAUAAAUUUCAAGUGUAGGUGCUUCAGCAGCCUCAACCUUAUGUAUAUGAUUAAUGUCAGUAGCUAUUCUCUUUGUUUUGUUAUCUAGUCACCAGUCAUGGGUGCUGUUUAAAAGUUUUAUAGUCAUAGCUAGGCAUAACUUAUAUGUAGAAUUUAAUACAAUAUAAAUAAUUACCGUCGUCUUAAUUUAUUUUUUAACUUUAUGAGAUGUAUAAUUAACGAUUAGAGUUUACAACCCCAAUAAUUUUAGCAUUUCAUUUAUUUGUUACAUCAUUUCACUUUUAAUAGAUAAUAAAUUAAUUUAUUUGAUGAAUCUUACUAUAUACAUACAUGUAGUUAAUAUCAAAUCAUAUUAAAGAAAUUGUAUUAUCGAAAAACUUUUUCUAAAAAUGACAAUAGUUACACGUACGUAUCCUUAAUAGGUAAUACAUACAUUUUAAAAAAAUAUAAUAUUUUGAUAUAAUUUAGCAAUUUUUUUAAAAGAAUACUAGUUUUUACGAAGUUAGAUAAAUAAGAAAGUUUCGAGAACGAGUAGCAACUAUUAUAUUUAUAAUAAAUUUAUUUAAAGUGACAUAAAAGUAUAAAAAAUAACAAAAAUUAUCAAAAUAAAAUUUAUCACGUAAUACUUUAUGGUACUAAUAACACAUCAAGUUUUCGAUGACUAACUCAUCGAAGCACCAUUGUCGACACAGAAAGAACAAUUGUACCAAUAUAAUUCGUGGGAAGCAUACCAUUUAACUUUCAUUUAAUUACCUGAUCCUCUAUCCUCUAUCUUAUAUACAAGGUUAAAAUAUUAAUGGUGUGUCUCUAAGUGCAUACCAUUUAACUUUCAUUUAAUUUGAUAAUAACUAUAUAUACUUAAUUUGCUAAUGCAUGCUCACUAACUUGUUUGUGAACUGUGCAGUAUGCAUUUUAAGAAUUAGUAAAUUUAGUACUCUUAAAUCUUAAUAAACCAUCACGGCCAUUGGGAAUCAAUUAGACUUUGAGGUGUUUUAUAAGAUCUUGUCCAUUUUUAUAUUUAACGGCAAAGUAAGUAUUGCCAUGUGUUCGAAUUUGAGUGUUACAUUUCUACUUUGUAAGAAUUGAUUAAUUUAGUAUACUCGCAACCAAAGAUUAUAAGUUGUGUGUGUGUAUAUAAUUUAGAAUAAAUUGUUGUCGUAUCUUCUGAGCGCUUAUUAUACUUAAUCUUACUCUUUUUUUAUCAUACACAAGAUUGUCUUAUGUAAGUGUUCAUUUAGUUAUUUUUUUUAUUCUUGCUUUUGUUUUGGACUGUGCUGCUCAUCAUCACAGGUACAAAUGUUUGUUACCAAUGAAUAUUUUUAUUACGUGUUCACUGCCAUUAAUGACAAUUGAUAUAUGCUAUACAAAUUGUGUUCAUGAUGACUGAACCUUAGAUUCCCGUUUGAGAUUGGAUGCAAUGAUUCUUGCGGACAGUUUGCAUUAAUCAUUGUAUUCAAUCUUGAAUUGUUCGUUUGGACAGUUUGGAGAGACUGAUAUUUUUAUGGUAGAUUCAUGUGUUAAGGUUAAAAUUAUUUUGUUUAAUUUGAUGAAAUUUUGGUAAUGCAUUUCUAGUUGUUCUCUGAGUGCAUACUUGAUUAUCGGGAAAUUAAUUUCACCGAUUUCAUGUCAUGUACUUGGAGACCAAUGCGAAAUGCUGCCAAAAUUUUGUCAAAUUUAACAAAAUAGAAUUAACCAUGAUGUAUGAAGCUAUCAUAAAAGACGCUCUUCCCGAAUGGGAUAGGGCCACACCUUUAAUAAAAAAGUGAGAUUUUCAUGCAUCAAAUAACUUUGAGAGUAUGACCGAGUUAUUACUUAGAUGGAUCGAAGUUGGAUGAAUGAAAGUCGCAUCAGCCCAGAAUAUGAGGAAGGCGUCGAGCAAUUCUUACAAUUUGCUUCACAAAGAGGUCAACCGGAUGAAGAUGAAAAAUAUUAUUGUCCUUGCAUCAAUUGUUUGAAGGGAAGGCGACAAAUACUGGAUGACAUACGAGAGCAUCUGUUGUGUGAUGGAAUUAAGAGAAAUUAUACGAUGUGGAUAUGGCAUGGUGAAAUGACAGACAUACAGAGUGGGCAACAAUCCGAACCAUUUGAUGUAGAAAUGGGAGAUCGCUUGGAGGAUAUGAUUCGUGACCUUGGACAAGAGUCUUUUCAGCAAGCACAUGCCCUUGUGUAUGAAAGAUUGCAGGGUGAUUCAAAGAAGCCUUUGUAUCCAGGAUGCAACAAUUCCUUGACGCUAUUGUCGGCGGUGUUAAGUCUGGUUAAUGUCAAUGCCAGAUAUGGAUGGAGUGACAAAAGCUUUACUUCAUUGCUUCAAAUAGUGCAUGAUCUGCUUCCACAGGAUAACACAUUGCCUAAAAGCUACUAUCAGGCAAAUAAGAUAUUGUGUCCGAUGGGUAUGGAGUACCAGAAGAUUCAUGCUUGCCCUAAUGAUUGCAUACUGUACAGACAUGAAUUUGAAGAAAUGUCGAAAUGCCCUAGGUGUGGGGCGUCACGGUACAAGGUGAAGGAUGAUGAGGAUUGCAGUUCUGAUGAAAACUUAAAGAAGGGCCCUCCAGCGAAGGUGUUGUGGUAUCUUCCCAUCAUUCCAAGGUUUAAGCGUUUAUUUGCUAAUGAGGACGACGCAAACACUAUUAGAAAAUAUGUUUUCUACAUCGGUUAUUUAUGACUUUCAACAUGACUUUUUCAACCGAUGUUGAAAGUACCGACGUUGAUAGUAUUAUCGUUAACAUCGGUUUUUGAAAAAUCGAUGUUAACGUAAAAUUACCAACAUCGGUUAUAUAAAUAACCGAUGUUGCUAAUAUGAAUUACACCCAAAAAAUUUAUAUUAAUGUUGAAAGUUAACAUCGGUUUUUACAAAAAACCGAUAUUAACGAAUGUGUUACUGUUGACAGUUAACAUCGGUUUUUUACAGAAAACCGAUGUUAACGAAUGUGUUACUAUUGACAGUUAACAUCGGUUUUUUUUAUAACCCAUGUUAACAUCGGUUUUUUCAUAAAAAACCGAUGUUAACAAAUGUGUUAUUAUUGACAGUUAACAUCUGUUUUUUAUAAAAACUGAUGUUAACGUGGGUUAACAUCGGUUUUUUCCAAAAACCGAUGUUAACGAAUGUGUUAACGAAUGUGUUACUAUUGAAUUUUAACAUCGAUUUUUUUACAGAAAAUCGAUGUUAACGAAUGUGUUAUUAUUGACAGUUAACAUCGGUUUUUUCAAAAAACCGAUGUUAACGAAUGUGUUGCUAUUGACAGUUAACAUCGGUUUUUUUUUUGUUUUCAGGAAUUUUUUUUAUAUAAUGUCUUUGUUUUUACAAAAAAACCAAAAUUUAACCUGUAAAUUUAAAAUCAGACCACACAGCACACACCAUAUAUCAUUUGCAUUCAGUUUUCAAAUAGAUUUUAGCAAAAAACUAGCUAUCAACAAAGGUUGUUCAAUGUUAAGAUGAAACAACAAUUGUAAAAAAUGUAAUGCAAAGUACGUAAACUAAUUAAUUAACCUAAAGUUACAUAGUUGCCUAACAUCCUAUGUUUGAUUUCUAACUUUUAGAUAAUAUUGUGCCCACUGUAUGCGAAGUGCCUUGAAUCUCUCUGCUUCCAAUGGUCUAACUUCAUUAAAAUACUGCAUGAUCAAAUAAAAAAAUAAAUUAAUAAUGUAAUAACAAUUAUAAAAAAACCAAAUUUGUUUGUAAUAAACAAUUACCGUCUCCCAAUUAUUCCUGAAAGAUCCUAAGAUUAUCGUGGACAUCCAGUGCAUCACGUAGUAGCCACAUUCAGUGAUUCCUUUUUGUCUAUUACACUAAAUACAUAAUGAAAUUUGGAUAUUAAUUAAACGUUAACUACAAUUAGUGUACACACACAUAAAAUAUAUAUAAGUAGAACUUUUAUUUAAAUCACGUACCUUAACAACAAUCCACCUAGCAGCAGCCUUGGAUUUCGGUUGUGGAGUAUCAUCAAGUCCUUUCAAAGCACUAGUGUUGAAUAUAAGGAACAUUAAAAUAUUGAUGUUGUUGAGUUAUGCCAAUGAAAAUGUAUUGAAAACAAUACGAACCUGUUAAUUAUUCCCUUAAGGUAGUUGUCUGACCUAUUAUGCAAAGAACAAAACCAGACAACUAGGUUUUCCUUAGGUAGAAUGAUGACCAUUUGCCAGUGUCCACUGUAGUAGAGACGAAUAUGGGUUAUUGUAGUAGUAUAGAUUAUUUAAAUUCAAUUAUUGUGUUUGACUUACCUAUUCAGAUAGGCUCCAAGGUAAACAUCUCGUUUUGAACUCUGUAUCCAACUCUUGAUGUAACUUUCGGAUUCAAAUUGUGAUUGCCCAAAUCUCUGAAUGGACUAUGGCUCGAGGAAUCCAUACACAUCAGAAUUCCCCGCUCGCACACUUGUCUCAGUCAGAUGGCUGUGUUGUUAAGUCAAAGUUAAUUAUGUAUGAAUUUAAAACAAUUACUUUGGUAAUUAAUAGUAAUCUAAAAUGACUUACAGAAUCCACAACUGUAUAACAGAUAUGCUGAGACAUUGACCACCAUGUGCAAUUUCAGAGAGAUCUUCGUGCUUUAUAUACAAUGGGAAGUUUUGAUUAAACACCCCGAAUAUGGUAGCAUCCCACAUAACCUGGAGCGGCUUCAAAAACAAUUGUGGGAUGGUCAAUGUCAUCAGGUAUAGGGGAUCAUCGACCUCUUCAUCCGGGCUUUCUGGAGGUUUUGCUGGAGACACGGCUGCCUAUUGAUAAAACAUAGUUAAUUAGCAAGUUUUGAUUACAGUGAACAAAUUAAUUGAAAAUACCUGUAUAUAAAAGGUGGUCUGUGGUUCUAAACGGGAAAACAAUUGGUGUUAAUGUAGAAGAUGAUGAUUCAUACAUGGACACUUAUGUUAGUCCUUUGUCUACACAAAUGACUUCUAACAACGUCGGAGAAGAAGAAGCUGACGACGUUCAUGCUAAUCGUAAUGAUCAUGAUGAAGGAGAAUUAAUUAACAUCGUCUAACGUAAUUUUUUGGAAGAUUAUUUAGGUUGAAUGAAUUUUUUCAACAAAUAUAUCCAAGGACGACACCUAAGUGUCAAUCUAUAGAGAAAGAAAUAAAAAAUAAAAGAUAUCCCGGCCCGUUAAAUUGACCAAAAAUUACUUUCUUUAAGAGUUUGAAUAAAGAGUUUACUCAAAAUUUUCGGUAAAAUAAAGGCUUACUUACUAGUUUGGUCUUCUAAUUUAGUUAUUAGAUUUGAUGUUGUCCUCUUAUUAUUAUAAAUUUUAAUUUCGUUCAGUAAAAUUUUUAAAUUAAUUAUUUAAUUAGGUCUUUUACUUUUAAAAGUUUCAAUUGGUGUUUUUUUAAAGAUUUAAUUUAGUCGCAUUUUUUUCCUCUACUAUGAAAGUUUUAAAUAACAUGACCCAAUUUAAUUUUAAAUAGGACCAAAAACACAUUUUAAAAAAAUAAGAUAUCUAAUUGAAAAUUCUAAAAUAAGAAAACCUAAUUAAAUCAUUUUAAAAAAUUACAGGAUUUACUACAGUUUUUAAUAAUAACAGAAGCAAGUUGAACCCAAAAAAUUAAUUAGAUGACCAAAAUAAUUUUUUCUAUUAGACGUUGUCAAUAUUGUUAUCCUUUUUGUGGUACUUUAGUUAGUCUAUCAAUGAUGUUUACUAUAUUGUCAUUUUUAAUAUAUGACUUUGUCCAUGAUGUUAUACUUUUUUUUUUCAGACUUUACUAUGUAUUCCGCACGACUAACAUCAAUCAAUGACAACUGAACUAAUCAAGAAUUCAUUUGGCUCCAGAAUUUUUGGUUCCAUUGCCAACCUAUAUCAUACCAGUCAUCGCAACACACCAGUCAAGAACCUUUUCGACUUGUUACACACGAUUGGUCCAUAUUCCAUAUUAUAGUUGUUCUUGUUAACUAAAAAUUCACAAACGUUAUAAAAAGGAAAGAAACAAAAGUGAUUAAUUAUAGAAGUUGAUAAACGUUAUAAAAAGGAAAGAAACAAAAGUGAUUAAUUAAAGAAGUUGAUAUAGUUUUACAAUGAAAGUCAAUGUUGGAACUAAAAUCUAAAGUGAUCAAGUUAAUGUCCUUCACGUGAAUAAUGGAAACAUUUUGAUGAAAAUUUCAGUUUCGUAGUUAAACUCAUGUUCGGCAAUCACACGGGCUAGUAUUUUUUUUUUUAAAAAAAAAAUUACAAUGUUAGUUUCUCUUUGAUUCUUGAUACGCGCAUUUCUGUCUCCAUAUUUUGUUUUUGUGAUUUUAGUCUUCAGACUUUAGAUAAUUUAAUUGUAAUUUUGGGUCAAUCCCCUAUUUAGAAUACAUUAAUGAUAACUGUUAAAUAAUUGUAUUUUGUUAAAUAUCAAAGAAUUAAUGUUUUGUUGAAUUUUGGCGACAGAUAUAAAAAAUGGAGGUGUAACAAACAAUUAUUUCCUUACCUUAUCUAUCUUUUAGUUAAUCACAUUUAGUUUUUUUAGGAUAGUUGUGUUAUUUCUUUUCUUUAUUUUGAAUUUGUGCAUUUUUAUUUUAUGCAUUUUAAUCCCAGUAUUUUAAAUUCAGUCAUUGAAUAAAAAUUGCAUGAUAUUUGUGAAGUCACUAUUUAGGCUUUUUUUGAAGGAUUCAACACUUGAAAUGCUGCAUGACAAUUGUGAAAAUACUGGUUUCCUGGAAGCAAGAGUCAGUCAAACAGUGGGACAUGAAUCACAAAGAGAGAAAAUGUUAGCUUGAUGGAAAGAGAUCAUGUUCCGGUAAGCCGAUAACUUUAUCUUGUCCCGAUGAGCUGUGUGAACUUAAUUAUGAGAGAACGUUUGUUUUUAAAAUCCUAAUUUUGCAUCAUUCUCAUACUGUUAGAUUAUUUACAUAAGGUGGAUAUGAUCAAGGCCAUGUUUCUUUUUUAAUUUAGCCACUUAGCCAAAAAGCCAACCUGUGAUGAAAUUUAUCCCUUGCACCCUUGUUGAGCCAAAAUUAGUAAUUAUUUUUCUAAAUAAAACCCCUAAGCCUAAUUGUGAUAUCUCUGACCUUAUUUUAGGGUUCUAAGAGAGCAUAAGGAUUUUAGUCAUAAUAAACCCCUAAUUUGGGGGAUGGGUAGAAUGAAGAUGGUCUUGGGAAUGUAAAAGUAGCACUUAAUAAGGCACAAAAAAAAAAAAAGAAGCUUGUAAGCCAAAAGUCUCUUUCCUAAAAUAAAAAAGAAAGAAAAAAAGAAAAAGAAAAAGAAAAUAAGGGCAGAAAAAAAAAAAGAGGUGCCAUAAGUGCUAAGGUUGGAAAUAAGAAAAAUAGAUUGUAUAUGUGCUAAGGCUGAAAAACAAAUAAAGCCUAGGCUAAAUAUAAGUUUUUCUAGGAUGAAUGCUCUCUUAUAAUUCUAAGUUCUUGAAAUCCCAGAAAAACCAUGAUUUCUUGCUUAGCCAGGCCCCAUUACAAGCCAAUAAAAGUCCUUAGUGAUCCACCAAAUGUAAGUAAGAAUAACUUUGAUUGAGAUGAAGUGCAAAAUUUGGGAAUCUUAAUUGCAGGUCGUAUAAAUUUUAAACACUCACCCUAGACAUUUGUGCGCAGAGAUAAACACUAACCUUGUGAGAAAAGUGAGGCAAACCAACUUGAUUGUUUCCGAUACUAACCAAUUUCAUCUUAAUGUAAUUUAUGCUUCCAUUGUGAGAUUAUGACAAAUGCGGAAAGGACCAGUUGGAGAAAUAUGAGAAAUUGCAGCCAUUGAAAGUGUUGAAGCAUUCAGAGUCUGCUUUUAAUUUGAUUUGCUUGGGGACAAGCAAAGUUUUAAUUUGGGGAUUUUGAUAACUGCUAAAUAAUUGUAUUUUGAUAAUAGAAAAUAAGGCAAAAUUGUCUUUAAAAAUAAUUAUUAAGCAGUUAUUUGCGCUUAAAUAUUAAAGAAUUGAUGUUUUGUUGAAUUUUGGCUGCAGAUAUAAAAAUGGAGGUGUAACAAGCAAAAAGGCCAGAAAAAUUGAAGAAAAGAAGAAAAUCUGAAAUAGGCCCAGCCCAAUACGCGCGCUGAGCGCGCGUCACGCGCUAAGCCUGCAACACGUGCGCUAAGUCCGCGAUCCAACAGAAGCACGCGCUAAGCCUGCAGCACGCGUGUUAAACCCACGAUCCAACAGAAGCACGCGCUAAGCCUGCAACACGCGCGAUCUGCACGCGUUGAGCGAGGGGGUGUUGCGCUAAGCGCGCCUACGAAGGCCCAAAGCUCACUUCAGCAGCUAUAAACAGAGAGUCAGUCCAAGGACAAAACACACCACGACAGAACCCCCUCUCCUAGGGGUUUCAUUUACUCCUACUCUUUCUUUCACCCCUCUUCUCAUUGUAAAGCCCUCAAUGGUCAUGAGUGGCUAAACCCCUAGUUAAGGUCUGACAGGCCUAAAAAGCCCACGCGAUGUAUGAUGUACUCUUCACUAUUUAUCAAUGCAAUACCAGAUUUUUCUUUCCUAUUUUCUUUUCUGUUUUUAUCUUGCAUACUCAUCUUUAUAUUCUGUUAGGGGUUAGAUGCUCGGGAGAGGGUAAUUUCUAAAUAAGAUUUAAAGAAGAUAUGCAUGCAUUAGUUUUAGAGGUUAGACGGUCGGGAGAGGAUAACUUCUACUAGAACAAGAAGAAAAGAUAUCAUAAUAAAAUCAUUACUAGACAUAGAGUGAUUGCAUUGUGCCAAUGUGUCAAAGCAAACAUCUAGAAUUAGAACUUUAUCAAUUUUAUCUAUUGAGUCUUUACAAAGGCAUUUAGGAGAUAGACAUAGAACAACCUGAAUUGAUAAAUAAAAAAUCAUAAACUCAUACAUCCUAGACAGACAAGGCAAGUCAGUUCCUAACACUAUUUUAUCUUGAAUUUAUCUUUUAUCUAAAUAUUUUAUCUUUCUAAUUAUUCUCUCUUUUUCUUUAUCUUUUAAUUUUAUCUUUAAUUCCUUUAUCUUUUCCUUUAUCUCAUAAUUUUAUCUUUAAAUAUUUUAUCUUUUCUUUACCUUAUCUUCUAUCUUUCUUUAUUUGUUAUUUUAAAUUUAUUAACUUUUACUUUUAAAAUUGGGUUUGCAUUAAUCUAAGUAUAAACAAAGUUCCUAUGGAUUCGACACUCGAACAACUUCCGAGUACUUUAAUACGUGUGACAAUUUGGUGCACUUGCCAACGAGUCAACAGUUAACAAUUUAACUUAACUAUAGACUAACGAUGUGACAGUACUGUGAUGAGAUAAUUAAAAAAUUUACAUUCGAAAUUUAAAAAUAAUUAAUUAAAAUGUGAAAAAAGAAAUAAAUGUAUUCAUGCAUAUGUAUAUGUAUUCAUGUGGAUAAUAUUUUAUAUAUAAAUAUUUAUGUAUAUAUAUUCAUAUGCAUAUAAAUUUUAUGGAUGGAAGAACAUAAAUUAAAAAAUAAAAUACAUUUUUUGUUCUUAUAAAUACUAAAAUAUUAAAAAUUUAUCCUUAUAAUUUUUUUUAUGCUCAUAAAAUUAAAAUGUGUCAAUUUUUAACUCUAUCAAAUUUGGUGUCCUAAUUUACAUCCAAAACUAUUUGUUCAUUCACUUGAAAUGGUAAGACAAUUUUAUUUUCUCACAUCGGUUGAAUUUAUAAUCAAUAUAAGAAUUUCUCUUAAAACCAAAUAUUUUACAUCCGUUAAUAUUAUAACUGAUGCAAAUAUUCCUCUUAAAACCAAAUGUUCUAAAUCGAUUAAUAUUAUAACCGAUGCGAAAAUUCCUCUUAAAACCAACCACUUACACACCCAACACUCCAUAAGUCGAUGAUGAUAACACAAACUAAUAUCAACGUGACUCUCCAGUUAUAGUCACAUUUCACUAGUUAUCUAUAUCAUUGGAAUAUACUAUUUAUAUCCAUAAAGAUUGAGGAACGAGAGGUAUGUCGAAGUGUUAGCGUGGAAGCUGUUCACCAAUAGGUAGAAAAGCUUAUUCUUUCAUGUGCUCAUUGCAGCCAAUGUAGUGAUCCUAAAAAAACAAUUAUUUGUGUGUUCGUUAUAGGUGUUGAUUUUGGUGGUUGAGAACUUGGUAAAAGAUGAAGAAGGUUAAAAAAGAAUGGUUAAAAAAUUGUGAUAAUUUUUUUUGUAUUUUGUGAGGGAUUUCAACCUCUAGAAAUUGUAACGAGUAGUCAGUCAUGAGACUAAUGAAGAAGUGACACGUCAACAAAAGAGUGACACAAAAGGUUUGGGACCCAAUCAAGUCUAGCUCUAAGCCCAAAUGUGAUACAUUUUAAUUUUACAGGGACAAUAAGCAUUUCAAAAAUUGUGUAGGGAUAAAUUUUAAACAUUUCAAUAUUUAUAGGAAAGAAACAUAUUUUAUUUAAUUGAAAAUAAUAUCAAUUUGAAAACUAAAAAUUUGGAGCUGAUUUUUCAUAGACAUCUUCCCCACUUGUUUAAGAGCCUCUUCAAAAUUUUCCAGCACUAGAUAAGGGCCGGGACAGAUGGAGAGGAGGGUAGGAAGAGGCCCGAGCCCACCUCCCUUGGCACUUCUCAUAGAAAUAGAUAUAUUUUUAGGUUAGAUAAAGUUAAAUUGUGUAAAAUUAAUUAUUUAUGUUAAUAUUAUAAUAAUUAUAAUAAUGAUUAAUUUUAGUUAAUUAGUACAAAAUUAUUUGAUAUUAGAAUCAAAUUGUAAUGGUUAAGCUGAUAAUUAGAAUCAUAUUGUGUUUGUUUUUUUUUAGAUAACAAUUAAGCUUAUUAUCAUUUAAAAUAAAAAUUAAUUUUACUUUUUUGUGUAAAAACAAUAAAUAUUUUUUUUUUAUAAAAGUAUUACUUAUAAAAAAUUAGACAUUUAAAUAAUUAUAAACAAAAAAAAAUAUUUAACCGCCCUUUAAUAGACUUCUGGAUCUGUCCUGACUAGAUUAUGUUCUCAAAUUUAGCUCAUAAAAAUUGGGUAAGUAGAAUUACUGUCAAAAGUUCCACCUCGUGGCUGUGUUUUUGUUGGGUGUGGUUGUUGGGUAGUGAGGGUUUGAUUGGAUUUCAGUUGCAGCAGAAAGGGUAAAUUGGGAAAGAGAAGGAAAAAAAUAGAGGUUCAAUUUUCUCAUGCAUUGGACAGGGAGGCAUUGGGGGGUAAACCUCAAGUUAGGGCUUUUUUACGUGAUUGGGAUAAUUAUUUGAAAAUUUUACAAAAAUAGAUUUUUUCUACAGAAUAAGUCAUGUUUUAAAAACAACUUCCAAUUACAAGUCCUGUUUUAAAACACAACUUUUGUUUCUUUUUUCUUUUCUAAAUAAUAGAAGUCGUAUUUUAGAAAUUGAUUUUGGUAAUUUAGAAUUAAAAAAUGUUAGACAUGUGCGAGGAUUAAUUUGGUAAUUGCUUGAGGACUAAUUUGGAAAUCUGGUACGGGACUUCACUUUCAUAUCUGGCACGGGAAUAUUUUGAGAAUAUUUAGAUAAACAACUUAAUAAACAGAUAUUUAAAUUCAAUAAGUUUAUCAUAUGAACACUUAUAAGCUUAACAAACAAGCAUAUAUGAAAAUAAGUUAAAAAUAACAUGCAGCUAGGAAUGUCAUAAAUUAAUCAACUUUUGUAUUUAAAUUCUUAAAUGUAUAUCCUUGUAUAUCUACAUUUUGGUUUAUGUCCAACUAAGAUUUCAUGAGUUUUAUCGCGCUUCUAACAAGGUAAUUGUCACAUCGUUGCUUGAACUUGUGUCUUUCCGAUUUGAGCGUAAAUCUCCUUCACCUAAAAAAUUUCUCGAAAUGAAGCCAUGUUCUUUAGGCUCAACCAAUUCCAUGUGACUCUCCAACAUCAGAAUCACAGAUGCCAUUGUAGGCCUAUCUUCUGGGUACUGCUGCACACACAAAAGGCCAACAUGGAUGCAACGUAAUACUUCGGAUAUAACGCACGACUCCUUCAUGUUUGAGUCAUCAAUCAAAUCUAGUGCCCUUCCCUCUUUCCAUAAUGUCCAUGCCUGUCCCAUAAUAGCAAUAAUAAAAAUAAAAGAUGAUUAUUUGAUAUAUUUCAAUUUGCAAUACAUAAAUCAAAGAUGGAUUCAAGUUCUUACAUGACCAACGAGGUUAAGACUCUUAUCUGUCUGAUAAAGUCCUUUAUUUCUCUUGCCACAUACAAUCUCCAACACUAAAAUGCCAAAGCUAAAGACAUCAGAUUUCACAGAAAAUGACCCAUCAACAGCAUACUCCGGUGCCAUAUACCCACUGCAAGACAUGCACACAUUUACAUCAAGAAUAAUUCACAUAUUUGUAAAAAAGAAAAAUGACUUUGAAUAAUGAGUCACUUACCAGGUCCCAACUACUCUACUUGUGUUUCCUUCAAAUUGGUCUCCACCAAAAGUUCUGGCCAUUCCAAAAUCUGAUAUUUUUGGACUAGAAUUUUCAUCGAGUAGAACAUUACUUGCUUUCAGAUCUCUAUGAAUAAUCCUCAGUCGGGAAUCUUGAUGAAGAUACAUAAGCCCCCUUGCAAUUCCACAGAUUAUGUGGAAUUGUUGAGGCCACUUUAGCAAUUUUCUUUUUUUAUCAUCUGUUUUAUUCAAGCAUAAAUGUUAUUCAAUGCUGAACAUGGAUUAAUUUUGGCAAUAUGCUUAUUUCACUAAAGUCAUUAGCAACCAAAUGUAUGCUUUGUUUAUUUCCCAUACCAAAAAUGAAGGAGUCCAGGCUGCCGUUUGCCAUGUACUCAUAAAUUAGCAUUUUCUCUUGUCCUUGAAUGCAACAACCAAGGAGUUUUACAAGAUUCCGAUGCUGAAGUUUUGCAAUUAAUUUUACUUCAUUUAUGAACUCUGUCACUCCUUGCCAUGAGCUCCUUGAUAGAGUCUUUACAGCAAUUUCUUGCCCGUCAACUAAUAUUCCCUGCAUACUAUUGGCCGUGAGUAGAAACUUUCAAUUAAUAUAUAUAUAUAUAUAUAUAUAUAUAUAUAUAUAUAUAUAUAUAUAUAUAUAUAUAUAUAUAUAUUUCUUUUCUUUUGUGGUAGUUCUCAAAGAAUGAUUACCUUGUAUACAGGUCCAAAACCACCUUCUCCAAUCUUAUUCUCCAUUGAGAAGUCAUUAGUGGCAGUUGUAAUUGUCGGUAGAUCAAACAGUUGGAUGUCCAGAUCAUCCAUAUCUUUUUCACUGUCAUAUUCUGUUAAUGAUUUUCCUACAAAACGAAGGAAGGCCUCCAAUAGUUUUAUAAAAUGUGUGGAGGAAUUGAAAUUAUAAAUUAAAAAUAAUAAAAACAUGAAAAUCAACGAUGGAAAAAUAAUUUCAUUUUGUUAAAUAUCUUGCAAGGUAUUAAAACUCAAGAUCAUGUAAUAAUAUAAGAUACAAUAACAUUUUAAAAUGUUACUUGGCCUUAACUUUGCUAUUAGAUGAUUAAACCAUGAGAGUUUCAAAUUUCUGAUUCUUUAAUAAAAAAGGUUUGCGAAGAAAAUGAAAUCAUAAAAAAUUAAUUUCAUUUCCUCUUGAUUCAAUAGGCUAGGACAUAAAAAAAUUGUAGAGUAAACUGCACGAAGUCCAAUAUAUAUGAAAAAUAUAUAAGUCCAUAUUUCCUAUAAUUAUCAGGAUAGAAAUACAACCACUUGUAAUUUCUUAUAAAAAGAAUAGUAGGUAGUAUUACAUAAGGAGAUAAAAAAGCAAACAAAAUCAAUGUUGAUAAAGGAAAUAAUUGCGUAACCAAUAAAUAAAUCUCCUAAUUUAAUGAAAUGAAGUUUGACUAACACCAUUAUUUUUAUAAAGAAGAAAAGUGCAGUGAAACGGUGAGUAAACAACUAUUUACCAGCAUUGUUCCUCCGAAUUCUGCAAAUAAAAUAACUACUCAGUAAAAGAACCCCACAGAUUGCAGCAGUGGUAGAAGCAGCUAUCGUUGUGGUCUUCUUCUUGUGCCUAUAUACAGAUUCUGGAAAGUUGGAGAACCCAUAAAAUAAAUAAAAAGGCUGAAGUUAGACUGAUUUUACACUUUCAAAGUUGCAAAUCGAAAUGAUAAGAUCAAAGUCUAUGAUGCUUACCUAACUCUGAAGCAGGCAUCCUGAUAUAUAGAUCUUGACCAGCAGUUUGAAGCUGUUUGAUGUCAAUUAGAUCUCCAAACCACAUGACACAGCCACUACCUGCACCUCUUAUGUCUGAAUUAGUAUAGGCCAUACAAGAACAAUUAUUCAAACACUUAACUUUGCAUUCCUCUAGACCAAUACUCUCAUCCAACCAAGUGUGUCUAGUAUCUGGAACCUUGAGGCCUUCAUAUUUGACAAACCCAUCUGUGAGUUUGUCUUUGCAGCUUAAUGGUUUAUUGCGGACACAUCCUUGACUCCAGCCAGAUGAAACCCAUGCUUCUGGUGACUUUGGACUAAACCCUUUCAAACAUUGGCACACUUGUGUCUGUGUGGUCAUGCAAUUCCCAUAGACUCCACAGAGACCAUAAGUGUCACAGAAGUCUUUUGGAAGUGACGUGUAUAUCCUCCAAUUUUGAUCAUCCUCCACCCAUACAUAGCGAUAGAUUGUAGUCGAUUCGUUCAUUACAAUUCUGGACAUGACAUCAUUUGUGGGGCUAAAGAUGUAGUAACUCUCCUCCUUAUUGCUGAAAAAAUUGAAGCCAAAUAUGGUGUUAUUCCGAAGAUCUGGAACUCCACUAAAAUAUAGGCCAUUCCAAGGUCCAAACCGGUAUACCUUUUUGGUUCCCUUCAUUAUAUAGAACUCAGGAUAGCUAUAGAGUUCGAGAUCCCGGUAAACGUCUCCCGGGGAUGGAUCAUCUGGACUUUUCCAAGCUGUUAGUCUCCGGUCCAGACCGGUUCGAAGGUCCCAUCCCAAUUUCAUCCCUGGCAAGAGUGUAUCAGAUGGAUAGUCAAAGCUUUGCCACAAAUAAGCUUCUGGGUUUGUUUCUCCGUCAUUUCUUAUCACAAGAUUGCCACUGUCCAAGAGCACUGCCACCGGAUUCUGUGCUUGUUUGUGAGAGUUGUUGGUGUACCAAACAAGAGACUCAUUUUGUGCGAGAACAAAAUUGCCCGUGUUGUUGAGUGUUAAGAUGCCUGAGGAAUCAUUGAUGGGGUUUUCCCUAUUAGCAACCCAAACCACUGUCUGAAUUGGGAUAUUCUUGUACCAAAUUCCCAGAUAACGUUUUUGCGAACUACCCGGGCUGAAAAACCCAAGUUCAAACUUUCUAGUUUUUGAUACCAAGGUAUCGCCGUCUCUCAUAGACUGUCGCAAGUUGAUAGAAUCAUUUGCUACGGAAAUUUUGGGAAAGGGGACAAGUAUGCAUGUAAAUAAAAUUAUGAAAGAAAGGAUGUGCAUUGGGUCAGAGCUUUUGUGGUACUCCGAUAUUUGGAUAAUGAUGAUAUGCAUGGAUUAAGCUGUGUAUCAUAAACACUAAUUAAAAUGGGAAAUUCGGUAUAGGCUGAGAGGGUUGACUUGUUUUGUUUGUUAAUUCUAACAUGUUUUCCAAGUCAAGCACGAGCCCCAUUUUCUUUGGACCGAUGAUAUAUAAAAACAAUCAUGCAUUUACAUUAUAGAUUUCAUUAACAUCAUAUUCUUACAUCUUAUUUUGAAUGGUCAAUGUUAAAAGAUACCAAGUCAUAUGAAUUUUUUAAAUAUAAUAUGACCUUAGAUCUUAUUUUAAAUGGUCAAUGUUAAAAGAUACCAAUUCAUGUGAAUUUUUUAAAUAUAAUAUGACUUUUUAAAUAAAUAAUUAUAUGACAUUAAAUUUUGUUUAUUCAUGUCUAUAUGGUCUAGAUGUGUUUCUCUUACUCUAAUAAAACUAUCUCUCUGACUAAUCAAAUAUGCCCUGUAUAUAUUUCAUCUUUAAGACAUUUAAAUGUUUUUGUUAUCCGAAAUUUUGUCUAAUAAUUGCCAAUUUAUUAGAUCAUUCAAAAUUAAAGAUAUUUGAAAGAACAAGACGUAAUAGAAAUAAAUAAAGAUUACAUAAUACACAUAUUUGUAUUCGUGUAUGUAAAAUACAAAUUAUUGAUGAGGUCAUUAACGAUAAAAAAAUUAAUAAAAUAAUUUUUAUUUCAGAACUUAAAUUAAAUAACAAUCAUUCAACCUUUCUUUAUAGUCUUAUUGUUAUGGUUAAUAUGCUCCCAACGCUUGAAAAUUAAAUUUUAGCUUUUAUUUCAUGUUAAACUUUCUUGAGAUAUUGAUAGAACACAAUUAAUUUGAUAUGUUCUCAUUGAAGAAUAAACUAAUUUGACGGGAAAAUGAUAUUUUGUUUUAAUUUAUUACGGUGAUGAAUUAGAAAGACAGACAAGGAGAGAGAGGAGACUGUUUAGUUUUUGCUUAUAUUGUUUAAAUUUGUCGUGAAGAGAAAUUGAUUUGACAACUUUGCUAUGUGAUGGAAGUGAAGUCUUUUAAAUAAAUACUUAAAUUAGCCUCUAAAAACAAGGACACGUUAACUAUAAAAAAUAUUUAAUCUCUUAAAAUUAUAAAUAUGAAAUAUUAAUUUUAGUCCUUGCAUUUGAAGGAUGGAAUGACUAAAAAUUCAAAAUGACCAUUUUAUAAUUUUAAGAAAUUAUAUAUAACAAUUCUUAUAAUUAAAUUAUAUAUAACUUUUAUUCCUAAAAUUUUUGUAAUGGAUCAAAAAUAAAAAUGACAUUAUUUUUAAGGACCACAUGCAUAUGUUAGUCAAACACUUAUGCAAAAUGACAAAUAUAGGAGACUUUGAUCGAUGAUGAUGUUUUCGGGAGACUUUAAUAUGCAAUUUGGCCAAUGAUUUUUUCUUCCUUGUUAGGCUAAACUAUUCGGAGAAUCUUACCUACUCUAAUAUCUCAUCCAUACAUGUAAUAUCAACUACAACUAUACAAGUCAACAAUUCAUGUAGCUCUCUGGAAUCAAUAUCGGUACUUAGAAUAUAGCAGUUGGAAGCCAUAGUUGGCUGACUUGACACACUCUGAACGAAUAGCAUCCUCAACAUAUAGCCCUUUGAUCUUAUUAUUGAGCAACCUGUUUAUUCUAUAAAUUUUCCGUUAUUUUAUAAACAAAAUUUAAAUAAGAAGAUAUUUAAUACCUUGAAAAUAGAAAAUAUAUUUAACACUUAUAAUAUAAAUUAAAGAAGCUAGCUAGAAGAUUAUUUGAAUAGUGGUGAAGGAAGAGUGUUAGAUUUAUUGAUAAUAAUCUUUUUAUUUAUUUUUAAUUUUUUAUUCUAUCCUCAACACAAUCCGUAACAAAUGAAAUUAGCAAAUUCAUAGUUUAUCAAUGACUUAUAGUAUUAUUAAUUAGUUAAUAAAUGAUUUGAAUAACAUUAUAUAAAAAAAACUAAUUUACGAAUACGGCCUCAAAAUGUAAAUAGUUUUUAAUUUGUGUUGGUUUAAAUCAAGGAAGGAUAUUUUUUCUUAAUAAAGAAGGUGCUAGGUGCUAACAUACUUCUAAUUUUUUAGUGAGUGUAUAUAUUGUCAAAAUUUUUGGAGGGGGUUAAGCUCUGCCCCUAAGUACAAAGAUGUUGUAGUGUAGCGGAUGAUAUACAUUCUAAUCAUUCUAAGGUUCAACAUAUUAUAUGAAUCAACAGAAGGUGCAACUUAAAUGAGAUGACAUGGCCAUGGUUGUUAAACUCACAUUUUAUAUCGUAAAAUAGUACGAUUUUACGAUUUCACUAAGGUUCAGCGAGUUAAAUCGGAAGCAUAAUCGAAAAUGGAGUAGACUCGUUCGAUUUAGCACAGACUCAGGCGAGUUUGGGUAGAGUCGCAAGUCUGCUACUUACGAAAACUCUGAACGACAUCGUGCUGGUGUUGAGCUACUCACUUACAAAAACCCGAAAUUGACUCUGUGUUGAGCUACUCGUGACUCUGUCUGUGUCUGCCACUCUGCCUUGUUCGAGUUCUGCUUUGAAAGUCCUCACUUGCUUCAUGGUGGUCCUCGUCAUCGUUGGCCCUCACUCGCGACUCUGUCUGACUCGCGUCAUGCUGAUCCUCAUCAUCGCAGAACAUUGAAACUUAAAAGUCCUCACUCGUCGAAAGUCCUCAUUUCAUGACCUAGCUCCAAGCUUUGCUCCAUGACACUAAGGUAAUUUCUCCUCUCCUUUAUAGUCAUAAAAAAUCAGGGGCUAAGGUGUUUUCUUUCUCAAAGAAGCUUCAAAUUUGUUGAAAGUUUAUAUUGGGCAUAUAGAUAAUCAAAGACCUACUUAUGGAACUUGUAAAUAUUUGUUCAUUCAACAAUGUCAAUUUCUAAGUAAUCUUGGAACACUUCAUUCAUGGCCUUGUUGCAUUCAUUAGACCAUUCAAAUUGUUUGCAUGUUAUAGAUUGUCAUAGAAGCCAAUACAUAAUUAGUAAGGCAUAGGUGACUAGCCUUAUUCAAAAGGUUCCCCUUCCAUGAUGCCAAUUUAGAUUUCACCACACCAUUAAAAUCCGCAGAUGACACUCUUUCAGAAAAUAACUUUGAACCCUAAGUACUUGAUAUUGCAAUGAGUACAUCUAAUGUUCAAAAUAUUAGUAACUUCAUCUCUAAUUGGGUUCGGGACACCUUUUGAACAAAUAAAAUUUGACUUGGCCAGAUUAAUCUUUAGGCUAGAAGCCACAAAAAACUAAUCAAGAACUCCAAUCACUACCUUAGCUUGCUCAUUAGAUGCUCUUCAAAAUAACAUCACAUCAUCUGCGAAGAGGAGAUGAGAUAAUGGUAGGCCCCCUCUUAAGAUAUGGACAAGGUAAUCAUCAGUCUCUAGGUUCCUUACCUGAAGAUGUGAACAUAUCCAUUUAGAAGGCAAUGAAAUCAUCUGGGAUGCAUGUUCUCCUAUAAUUUUUAGUUUUGCACAAAAUGUGUUGUUCUCUAAUCAUAAGUGAAGUUUCAAUAUACUUUAUCAAGAGGAUUUGAUGAAACUUCAAUAUACUCAAUUUCUUAAUAAUCCUAACCUAACUUUGCCUGUCAGGUGUACUUUUGGAGUCUACCUAGCUGUGCUGAUAAUCAGGUGAAGUUCUAUUGAUAAAGAUACAUUGUGUUGUCUUAACAUCUUUAUGCUGAUGAAUUUGUCACUACCCGUAAAGGAUAGUACUAAUAAUAGAAAUAUAGCAACACAGCAAAACUGACUGUUGAGCUAGUUAUAUUUCUAUUGUUUGUGCUAUCAUCUAUCAUUUACACUAUCCUUACCCUCUAUAGUAUCUUGAUGUAAACUAAUUAUGAUUUUAUAAAUCCAUGCACAGCUUAGGAUUGUGUCCUGCAAACUUGAUUCUGAUCUAGAAAGCAGUAAGAAGCAGCACACCCAACUUGUAGACCAAUGUGAGGAGCUAAAGCAGGGGCGAGAGGAAUUUGUAAGUUAUAACAUCUCUCUUGCUAGAUUCCAAUAAGACAUUUGAAUUAUUUCUUUUUUUAAGUGUUUUUAUUUUAAGAACUUACGUUUUAUGUCGUAUGAAUUUAUGUUAGAUUGAGUGUGGAUUGUGGAAUAUGUUAGUUUAUUGAAUUAUUGUUAAAGUUUAUUAUUUUAGGGUUGAAAUAUUUACUUAUGAUUUUAUAUAAAGAAAUAUUAAUAUAUUUUUUUUAUUUGAGUAAACUCUUACGAGUUUACAAUUCGAUUCUACGAGUCGAGUUUACGGAACCUUCACGAUUGUACGUAGAAUCAGAGUCUUAUAACCUUAGACAUGACCAUUACUGAAGAAGUACAAAAAUUGUUAGGAACGCUGUGUGAGAGAGAAAGAGAUAGGAAAUUCCUUGGAUUCGAGGCCAAGACCUCCUAACAGAAUAUAAUAUUCAAGGUUUAGUUCUUUUCACGUGUUUUAUUCAAGUUGAGAUAUCCUUUUUAUACAUGAGUAUGUUACGACCAUGAACAGCUUUUCUAACUAAUUCAUGUGCCCAUAUAACAGACUAACUAUUUCCUGUUAAUACAACACGUGGUCUUAUUAUCACAUGUGAACUAGUAUAACACGUAAUCUUCUAGAUGUUUCGGGCGUGUGGAGUUCCUUCGUCUUUGUUCAUCGUGACUGCUAUCUUUCUUAUCUAUGUUGGUGCUGCUAACAUUAUCCGACCCUGCGAAACUCACCUUGUCCUCAAGGUGAUGGGCAUGGCGGACAUCGUCCCAUCUCUCCCACGUGGAGUCUUCAGGGGUGAGACCAACCCAUUGAACAAGGACCAUACGAGUUGGAGGGUUGAUGGAGGAGUCCAUCCGAGAAUCGAGAAUGGCUAGUGGCUCAAGUAUAGGAUGGGGAGAGGAAGUAUCCGCCGGAAGGGGAGAGGUUGGAAGGUCGAGAGGGCCGUGAUGAGGUCGUAACAAAAAACAGUGGAAGACGGGGCGUAUACGGGAUCCUUCAGGGAGUUGCAAACGGUAAGCAACGUUGCCAAUGCGUUCUAUGAUCGGAAAUGGGCCAAGUAGCGCUUCAUAAGUUUAUGGGGCCGCUGGGAACGGAGGGAGAGUUGGCGAUGAGGGCGAAGCUUAACAUAGACUAACUGGCCUAUCUCGUAUUGAACAUCGCGGUGCCGCUUGUUUGCGAAAUGCUUCAUCUCAUCCUGUGCUUUAUGGAGUUUGCGAUGAAGAGAGGCGUGGAGCUCAGUCCGUGAGUGUAAAAGGGUGUCAACUGCGUCAUUCCGGGAAGAACCCAUGAUGUAUCCCAGAACAGAAGGUGGUGGUUUCCCGUAGAAUAUCUCGUAGGGGGUGACUCCAGUUCCAGAGUGCUGCGAAGUAUUAUACGCCCAUUCUGCGAGAGCGAGAAACUUAUGCCAUUCUGCCGGACGCUUGUGGUCGAAGGACUGCAGGUAUUGCUCGACGGUGUGAUUCAUUACCUCUGUUUGACCGUCUGAUUGAGGAUGGUAUGCGGUGGUCAUACGGAGGGUGGUGCCGCUAAGUCUGAACAGCUCACGCCAAAACGAACUGAUAAACACGGGGUCGCGAUCCGAUAUAAUGCUGGAAGGGAAACCGUGAAGCUUACACAUGAUCUCUAGGAAAAGAGUGGCUACUUUAAAAGCUGUGAAUUGAGUUGGCAAAGCACAAAGAUAGAGGCCCUUCGAGAAUCUAUCGACGACCACCAAAAUGACUGUGAAACCGUGAGAGCUUGGGAGAUGGGUGAUAAAAUCCAUCGAGAGGUCUUCCCAGACACCAGUGGGGGGUGAUAUUGGUUGAAGUAUCCCAGCUAUCUUACGGGUCACGUGUUUGACUUGUUGGCAGACUCGACAUUCGUGGAUGAAGGAUUUGACAUCAACGACCAUGGUGGCCCACUGGAAAUUAGAACGCAGUCGGUGAUGAAGGGAUUGUGUGGUAUUCAUGCAAUAGAGCAGGGAUUGCGAGAGUCAAUCCAGAUGGCGUUCUUGAAGAAGAUGAGCUCAUUGGCGAUGGUGAAAUGUGGGUGAUCCUCUGGGUGAGCCUGAAUAGCUUCCUUCAGCGUCUGAAAGUCAGGACUAUCUAAGAGGGCUUGCUUUAGCUGAGUGAGGAAUUCGUGGUGAGGCACGGAGAGGAGGAGGCAUUGGGCUUGACUGGUGUGAUCAAUACGUGAGAGAGAAUCUGCCACGAUAUUGGAUGAUCCAGCUUUGUAUUGGAUGUCGUAAUCGAACCCGAGAAGCUUUGCCAAAUAAAACUGCUGUUCCGGGGUUUGAAUGACCUGAGACAUAAGGUCAUGGAGGCUGCGGUGGUCGGUGAAGAUAGUAAACUUAUGGCCGAGCAAGUAUUGGUGCCACUUGUGGAGGCUUGUUGCAUUCGUGGGCAAAAGGGUUUGCUAAAGAAUGCGAUAGGGUGGCGCUGUUGCUGAAGGACAGCGCCCAUGGCCGUGCCGGACACAUCUAUUUCUAAGGCGAAGGGCAAGGAAAAAUCUGGAAGAGCGAGAACUAGGGCUGCCAUCAUUGCGCGUUUCAACAUGAGAAAAGCCUCUUGUGAUUCUGGUAGCCAUUGGAAGGCGUCCUUGCAAAGUAAACGAGUUAGCGGUGUAGCAAUAGCGGCGUAAUCUUUAACAAACUUCCGGUAGAACCCAGUGAGGCCAAGGAAGGAGCGGAGUUCUUUGGCCGAUCGUGGUGCAGGCAUGUCAAGGAUAGCCUGUAUUUUAGAAGGGUCGGGUUGGACGCCCUUCUCAGAGACGACAUGGCCCAGAUAGUCGAGCUUGCGCAGGCCGAAGAGACACUUAGAACGCUUAAGGUAGUAUUGAGCUUGAGUCAGUGAAGCGAAAACACGUUCGAGGUGAAGAAGAUGAUCUGGGAGAGUCUCGCUGUAAAUGAGAAUGUCGUCAAAGAACACUGUUGCAAACUUCCGCAAGUGAGGACCAAGCACAGCGUUCAUGGCGGCCAGGAAUGUCGACGGCGCGUUGCAAAGACCGAAGGGCAUGACCCUAUAUUCAUAAUGCCCGUGGUGAGUUCUAAAAGCGGUUUUAGAAAUGUCCUCUGGGGCCAUUAAUAUUUGGUGGAACCCCUGACGUAAGUCGAUCUUGGAGAACCAAGAAGCGCGGCCGAGCUCAUCGAGGAGUUCGUCUAUAGUCGGAAGUGGAAAACGGUCCCUCACAGUGAUUGAAUUAAGUGCCCUGUAGUCCAUGCACAUUCUCCAUGUUUCGUCCUUCUUCUUAACCAGUAGGACGGGGGAGGAAAACGGACUGCGGCUUGGUUGGAUGAAGCUUGAUUCGAGAAGGGCUGUGACUUGUUUUUCAAUUUUUGUUUUCUGAAAAUGCGGAUAUCUAUACGGACGGACAUUAAUAGGGUUAGCUGAUGGAAGGAGGUUAAUAUGGUGGUCAUGUUGGCGGGGAGGGGGAAGGGAAGAGGGUUGGUGAAAUAGAGAACUGAAAUGGAGUAGGAGUUCAUUAAUGGUGGAAAUGGGGUGAGGUGGGUCUGGUGGUGGUUCGAUAGGGUUGGCUGGUAAUAAGGAUAAGUGAAAGAGGGCAGACGUUGACUGAGUAUGUAGCAUACGUCGUACCUGAUUAGCGGAGACUGGAUCAGUGUCGGACUGGACGCCGGCGCUAAGGGUGAUGGAGUGCCCUUGGUGGCUGAAGUGCAUGGUGAAGGCGUAAUAAUCCGUGAUGAUCGGUCCCAGGGUACGCAACCAUUCAACACCUAACACGAUGUCCGCUCCACUUAGUAGUAGGACUCGUAAUGUGACGGUAAAGGUGUGGUCUUGAAUAAGCAGCUUGGUGGCGGGGGAAAGUUGUUGGCAAUCCAGAAUGGAGCCGUUACCCACCAUCACUCGAAGGGGGGUUGUGUCUUCCAAUGGUAAGUUUAGAAACUUUGCAACCCUAGGUUGGACAAAGUUGUGGGUACCCCUACUGUCCACCAGGAUGAUGACAUGCGCAUGGUUGACCAGACCGUAAAGUCAGAAAGUUUCAGUGGCGGGUACGCCGGCCAUGGCGUGUAAGCUGAUGUGUGGAUGAAGAGAUGUGGGAUCAAAGGUAGGGGAAGGGUCGUUAGGGAAGGGUGCUGUGAGGUCUGGUGUGGUGGAAUCGGGGGAGGGAGGGUUGUCGGAGGCCGCAAUGAAGAAGAGAACGCGACCCUUAUAACGGUGUGAUGAGUUCCACUUCUCAUCCCAGUUGUAACAACGUCCCUUUUCUCGUCGAUAUGUCAUCUCUUCUUGAGUUCUCUGGAUAAAAGGUGUUUUAGGGCGAGGUGUGGAGGAAGCUAUCUGAGAGGAGGGUGUUGGGUUGGGUGUUGGUGAGGGGGAGAACGAAGGACGAGAGGAUCUCCGACGAUCAUUGAUCUUAUCCUCCUGGAGUCGUGCCAGAGCAGUAGCGUGAGGGAGUGACGCCAGUUGCAAAGCUUGAACUUCGCGGCGGAUUUCGGGGUUAAGACCCGAAAUGAAACAGCUCAGUAAGACGGAGGGUGAGAGGCCGACGAUGCGGUUGGCUAAUCUUUCAAAUUCUGUGAGAUAUUCCGUGACUGAACCGCGCUGCAUAAGCUUGAAUAAGGUUCCCCUAGGAUCAUCAUAGAAUGAUGGGGCGAAACGAGUCUCAAUAGCUUGAAGAAGGGCGGACCAGGAGGUGAUGAAACCAUUCCGGUACAUCCACUGGAACCAACUGAGGGAUGCUCCGUCGAGGUAAAAUGAAGCCACCGUGAUGCGAUCCUCUUCCGGCGUUCCCUGGUAUUCGAAGAAUUGGGAGAUUUUAAAAAUCCAUCCCAAUGGAUCAUGGCCAUCAAAGCGUGGGACUUCAAGCUUUACUGGAGGUCGGGGAUGACCGGAGCGCUGGGUCGAGGGGUGAGGCGCAGAGUGCAUCUGAGAUAAUUGCUCGUACAUGGCGUCGACCUUACUGGUGAGGUCGGAGUGCUUCUCGGAGAGGAUGGAAAUGGCGUCCUCUAGUCUGUCGGUAGUGGUACGACGAGUCCCGUGUUCGGCCAUGGCGGUGGCACGGUGUAGCAGGUCGGACCAAAGUUGUUAGGAACGCUGUGUGAGAGAGAAAGAGAUAGGAAAUUCCUUGGAUUCGAGGCCAAGACCUCCUAACAAAAUAUAAUAUUCAAGGUUUAGUUCUUUUCACGUGUUUUAUUCAAGCUGAGAUAUCCUUUUUAUACAUGAGUACGUUACGACCAUGAACAGCUUUUCUAACUAAUUCACAUGCCCAUAUAACAGACUAACUAUUUCCUGUUAAUACAACACGUGGUCUUAUUAUCACAUGUGAACUAGUAUAACACGUAAUCUUCUAGAUGUUUCGGGCGUGUGGAGUUCCUUUGUCUUUGUUCAUUGUGACUGCUAUCUUUCUUAUCUGUGUUGGUGCUGCUAACAAAAAUGCUAUAUCAUUUAUUCACACUUGAGAAUACCAUCGACUGAGGAGUCCUAAGGCCUAAGAGGGACCGAAAGAAAACCCAAUGAGCUAUUAUUCAACGUAAACCUUGGUGUAGCAAGGAGGGCACUACAACUAUUUAUGUUUAAGGGUGGAAAAAUUGAUGUAUGGGAUAAUUUUUAAUCUGGAUCAUAAUGGAUCCCAUCAAAAUAAAUUAUUAAUUUAUUUUGAUUCAUUAAAAAUUAUUUAAGAAAUUCAAUCCAAUGCUAUCCCUUUUAAAAAUUCAUUGAAUUCAUCCAUUAACAAAUUUUUUAUGGAUGGAUAUCCAAUUUGGCCAUAUAAAUUUUAAAAAUAAUUAUUUUUAAUUUAAAAAUAAUAUUUUGAUUUUUUAAAAUAAUAACAACUCUGACAAGUGUCGAUUGGAAAUAGCUUUGGCCGAUAACGGAGAAAAAUUGCCUUGAUAGAUGUUGCUAAAAAACUUCCCACAUGUAUGUCAGCCAAAAAUUCUCCUUGCCAAUGUCAAUCAAGAAAUAACCUCAACCGACAUUAACUAAAAAUAGUCUUGUGCAAAGAUGACUGGAAACUUAAAAAAAAAAAAUAGUAAACGACAUCAGUCGAAGAAAAUGCUAAUCAAUGUUAGUCGAAAAAAUCAAUAUGUUACAUUUGCUGAAAACUACUCUGAAUGACAUCAUCCACAAAAAAACACUAGCUGAGUUUCAGCAAAAUUUGCCUUGGCUUAUGUUAGUCAGAAAAAAAAAAGCCAUGGUCAAAGUGAAUUGAAAAUUAGCCUACCUGAUGACAAUCCAAAAAUUUCCCAAUUGAUGUCGACAGAAAAGUAGAAUUGGUUGACAUUUGCAGAAAAUAUCCCCAACACUUGCUCUGGCCAAUGGCAAUUGAAAAAUAGUUGCAGCCAAUGUAGGUCAAAAAACAGUCCCAACUAAGAUUGAUCGAAAGUAGCCUGGACCGAUGUCAACCAAAACAUAACCAUGAUAGAAUGAAAUAUAUUUUUAAAACUUAUAAAAUAUACUUUUUGAAGAAAUUUUUAAAAAUAAAUUUAAGAACAAUUUAAAUAUGAAAUAAGUAAGUUAAAUGAAUUUUAACCCAUUAAGUAUUGAUUGGUGAAUCUAUUGGAUUUUGAAAAAUAGUGGAUGAAUCAUUAACCAUUAACCAUCCAUAAAUUAAAUGGAUGAAUUGGAUACAAACCUUUUACUUUUUCUUUUUUGCAAUGGAUGGAUUGGAUGAAUGACAAUUAAAUGGAUUGAUUUGUCACCCCUAUUUAUGUUGUGGUUCUCUCUAACAAUUAUCAUAUUAGAUGAUAGUGGCGAUAAUCCACUGCCUAACAUGUUACAUGGAGUGCCCCAUGGCACUACUCGUAUGUGCAUUUGUGGUGGUGCUUACAAUGUUUACUUGUUAGAAAAUGGUGUUCCCUCUGUAGUUUCCACACGCUUGUAAAUGCAUUGAUCCCUUGUUUGGACUAUGUAACAUUCAACUAAUUGAUAACCACAUUGUAUAGAUGUCGAGAGGAUCUAUGUACUUAAGGGAAGGGUCUUUGGUCCAUAAAAGGUAACAAAGAGAGUGAAGGCUUCUUGAAUCGAGGUAAAUAUGAGUUGACCUAAACAGGUCGGACAAGUCCAUUAUAAGUGUAUAAAUAUAAAAAGUAUUUAUACAGUUUGCGACCGAAAUAAAUUGUGGUGGCUAAUUUGCAUCAGCGACUAAAUUAGAGACUGAAAUGCAGGGUUUCUUAGAUCUUAGGUUGCUAUUUUAGUCCCUAUAUAUGUAUAAAUACAAAAAAGUAUUAUAGCGACUAAAAUAUACUUGAAAAUAGCAACAAAGUAUGAUUUGGUCGUUAUGUUAUGAUGAUAGCGACAGAAAUGUUUCGGUCGCUACAAGACUAAAUAUUAUAUGACAUUAGCGAUCAAUUUUACUUUUAAAAACAAAUAAGACACUAAAUUUUUAAUUUUUUUUUGUAAAUGAUAAUAAAUGUAUAAUAUACUUAAAUAUAUUUUAUACUUGAAAAUUAUUAAAAUAAUAUAUUAGUAAUAUUUUUAAACUAACAAACCAAUAUUUUACAAUAUUUUAUAAAUCAUAAUAAAUAUAUAAUAUUUUUAACUAUACUAUGAUACUUUUUAUUAAAAUUAAAUAACCAAUAUUUACAUUAUUUGCAUACCAUAAAUAAAUCAUGCUUAUCAAUAGUCUUUUAAUUUUUGUUUUUUGAAUUUAUUUUAUAUAAUUAUUUAAAAAUUAUCAUAAACAAAUAUCCUUUAUAUUAUGAAAAUAUGUCAUAAUCAAAAUUUGUAAAAUUAAGUAUUUUAAAAUACAACAUAUAAGUCUAACACUAAUGAUUCAGUAAGGUUCAAUAUGGUGUGAGUGGAAUUUAUGUAUUGGUAAGUGAAGAUAUAAUUUGACUUUAUUAUAAUAUGUGCACUAAAUAGGCUUAAUAAGAUGCAAUGCAUAGCUUAUGCAUUCACUAAUAUUUCCAAAUUGACUUUAAUUUAAGGCUUAUUUGGAAAAUGCAUUUCCCUAUUUUUUUUAAAAUUCGCUGAUUUGAACCAUUAACUAAUUGUUUCAUUAAAUUUUAACGUUAACUAAACUAGAGAGUUGACCAACAUUUUCUUAAUAAAACUUUAAGAAUGCAUGAAAAUAGCCUGUGAUAAGCACACUCCUUUACCACUACACCCAAGUACUCAUUUGAAUAUUUUGUACAAAAUAUAUUAUUAAUAUAAGUUUUAUGCGAAAAUAGUUCAAAAUUAAAAUUUUAUUCGUUUUAAUUUGUUAUAUUUUUUUAAUCAUAUAUAUUAUCUUUUAAAAUAUAAUAUACAAGAUUAAAUUCUAUUUUCAUGUAAAUUAUAAUAUGUAUAUUUAUAUAUGUUUUAUUUUUAUUUUUAAUAUUAUAUUUAUCUUUUAAAUUAACGAUUGGGAUACGGUGAUAACAUUUUUUUUAUCUAUUUUAAGAUAUUCAUGUUAUCUAUUGUAGUAUAGAUAAAAAAAAUACUGUUAAUAAAUCACAUACAUAAAUAUUUUAAUAAAUAUAAAAUUCUAUCAUUUUAUUUAAUUACAUGUCUUUACUAUAUAGUUUAAUUCUUUAAAAAAAUUACACACAUGAUUAAAUAGAGUUAAAUAUAAAUAAAAUUACUGUCAAAAAAAUAAACAUAAUAUCUUAAUAUAAGUAAAAAAAGUAUUGUCAUUAAAUCACAUGUAUAAAGAUUUUAAAAGAUAAUAAAUUAAAAAAUAAUAAAGUUUACUUAUUCUAAUUUAUGCGAAAAUAGAAUUUAAUCUUUCAUAUUAUAUUUUAAAAGAUAGUAUAUAAGACUAUAAAAAUAUAAUAAAUUAAAAAAGAAUAAAGUGUAAAUUUUGAACUAUUUUCACAUAAAAGUUAUAGUUAUACUAAUACUAUAUUUUAUUCCAAAUAUUCAGAUGGACAUGUAGGUAUAAUGGUAAUGGAGUGUGCUAUUUAUUUCUAGGACCAUGAUUCUAGUCAUUACUCAAAUAAUUUUUUUAAGUUCUUAUUUUAUAAGAAAAUAUUGAUUAACUUUCUAGUAUAAUCAAAAUAGAGGGACAAUUUAUCUCUCACUUAUUUUUAAAAUACCACUUUUUUUUAUACUGAUAAAACAGAUACCACUUUUUUUUUUUUUUGAGAUAUCACUCUCACUUGAUUAUGUAAAAGAAUCAAGCUCAAGUUUUCUUUUUAAUUUUAUAUAUUACAUGUUAAGUUUCUUUUUUAAAUUAUCUUGUAUAAAAAUAAUUAUUAAAUAUUAUAUUGAUAGUUAUAAAAUAAUUUAAGGAAACUUAAUAAAGAUAAUUGAGUUAUAAUUAACUUAGAAAAAAUUAAUAAAAAUAAUUAAAUUUUGCUCACUAGCUGCUACUAUUUGUGUCAAUUAAUAUUUUGAUUAGAUUUUUAAUACAGAUCUAACAUAUUUAGCUUGAUCAAUGAUAUUCCAUGUGUUGUUGAAAUUGUGACUGAUAGGAAACUAGUUAAGGACAAACCAACUAGGAAUAGUGGAAGCAAGUAUGGGGAAAUGCUAAGGUUUGUGUGUUUCUUUUCUAGUGUUAUUGUUUGUUUGUUUCUUCAGUAUCAACACUCUUCCAAAUACACUUAUUAGCUUAAAUUGUUAGAAAACCAUAAUUUUGUAGGUCAUAUUUCUUAUUUAAUUAUAAAAAAAUAUCCUUUGAAUAUACUUUUUUCAUUAUAUAAAAUGUGUUUGAUUCUGUUAUAUAUCAAACAUAAAAAGAAUUGAAGAAACUGAUUCCCCACCACCAAAGGCACCAACUUCUCCGCAAUAUAUAUUCACCGGUCAUGAUGAUGAUGAGGCAAACUCACUGGCAGCCCUUUAUUAUCAUAUAUAUAUAUAUAUAUAUAUAUAUAUAUAUAUGAGAGAGAGAGAGGGAGAGAGACAAACCUAGGCUAAGGUUUGUAUCUUGCAUACUAAUUGAAACGAUCGACAAUUAAAUUACAUUUUAAAAUAAUUCUUAUUUUUAUAUAUUUUAAAAUUAAUUAUUAUGUAAAUUUUGACAUGUAUAAAAAAUAUCAAAUAAGUUUAUAUUAAUAUAAGAUUUUAUAAAUAAAAUCAGUACAUAAUAAACUAUAGAAUUGUGUAAUUAGUUUUGUCUUAGCUAAAAUUUAUAUUAAUCAUAUAUUAUUUUACAAAUUAAAAUCAAAAUUUUAAAAUAACAUAUUAAUUAAUUCCAUUGAAAAGUUGAGAAUGUCAAGAAUAAUAGUGAAACUUAGUUCCUUCUUAAUUAAAAUUUAUAUUAAUCAUGUAUAAUUUUAUUAAUGAAAAUUAAAAUCUUAAAAUAACAUUAUUAUUUUUUCGAAAAAUAGCAUUAAUUUUAAAAAUUAUGUAAAAUAAAUGAAUGAUCAAAGUUUUUUUUCCCUCUUCCCAACCAUUUGGACUUUAAUUUCUUGUUUGGUCUACUAGCUCCCACUAAUGUGCCUUAGGGAAUGGCCCCUCCAAUCUAGGUCUAAGCUCAACCCUAGUUUUAGGCACAUCAAAUUAAGUACUAUAAAAUUAAAGAUAAAAAUUAGCUACUAAGAAAUGAUCUAAAAACUUGAAAUCAAAUAAGAAAUUUCUCUAAGUCUAAGUGUCUUUAUGUUGGAAUUUUGAACAAAUUUCUAUUUGAGACUCAGCGUAAUUGUAACAUUCAUAAAUGUAUUUCUAUUACUUGUAUUUAUCAAGAUUAGAAAACAUCCCAUAAUUUAGGUGUCCCUUUCCUUUUGCUUGUUAUCUAUGUUUUAGAACCUAUCAAAAAAUCUGUUUAGGAAGACUUACGUAUCUUCUCACAUGUAACUCUAUUUUCCGACUAAACCUUUUCUUUUAAUGGAAGCAAUAACCUAGGCAAUUCUUUUACUACUAACGAAAUCUGUUGAAUUCAAUUUCACACCACAUACAAUCUUCCAUUUCAAUCACAAGUCAUGAUAUUGACAACAAGUAUAAUAUGAUUCCAAAUCAAACACAUUUAUGUAAGGAGUUUUAUUUUUAAUUUUUUCAUGUGCAAGUUGUAACAAAACCACAUUUAUGUAAGGAGUUUUUCCCCUGUAGUCAAUCAUGUGGUGGCUAAGGUAGUGACAUCAAAAUUUAAAACAAUUAGAUAAAUAUUAAGCAAUCAAAAUUCACAAUUUAUUAAAAAAAUAACAUAAAAAAUACUAGGCUAAACUCAUCAUUACUUAUAUGUGAACUUUAUUAAACUUUGACAUUGCAUUUUAUUUACACCUUAUCAAUCUAUAAAUUAAAACUUUGUUAUUAGAUAUAUUUACUCAUUAUUAAUGUCCACUUUUAUUUAUAAGUUUGGUUAUGCAAUUUAAUUAAAAAUUAUAUUUACAAUCAAUAAUUAGUAAGUAGGUCAAAAUGUAACAUGGAAAAAUAAAAAAUACAACAUAUUUUUGUUUAAUGACCGAAUUUGAGAUUACUAUCAUAUUUUAAAUUCAUUUAAUAUUUAAAAAUAAGCACAUAUACCAACAUUUUUAAUGUCCACUAUCAUAUAUUUUUUUUAAUUACCAACCUGUAAUUAAUUCAGAUCACAACUUAUCCUUGAAAGUUGUAAAAGAACACAUAAAAUUAGUCAUGCACCAUAAGUUAUAAACAAGGUAUAUAUCAAUAUAUCAUGCACCAAGAGUAGUUAUAAACAUUUUUAAACAAAAUAACUUAUAAACAAAAAAUUACAAAUUGAUAAAAUAUUAGAGUAGUAAUGUACUUUAAUUACAAACAAAGCCAUAAUAAAACAAUGUUAAAAGUUCCAUCUGGGAACCAAGAAGCAAAUUUUGUGAUUGUGCAAAACUCUUCCAUCCAUUUCCAAUUCUUGCAGUCUUCCUAAGAUGAUUAUAAACUAUCCUACACUCUGUAAUCUCUUGCAAGUUCAGAUGGAUGAAUCUUAUAGCUUUCAUAAAUGAGUACAUGGUACUCGGCACAUCUUAAAAUUAAUAUGAAAUUCAUAUUAGAUAAGAAUAUGACUUCAAAAUUUGACAUACUGAUGAGUGCUUAAUUACUCACCAAACUACUGCAGGUCAUUUUGUACUCAGUUAGGAGGACUUUAAAAGUGACUGAGUUAGGAAAUUGGUGGUACAAAAAGUGUCAUUUAGGGUAAACUUUUGGUUCAGAGCUAUUUUUAAAGAUGGUGAGGAGGAAAACACUCUGUCCAUAGUGGGUCAAGGUCAUCUGAUGAUUUCCAGUGAGCCCAUAGAACUCUCUAAGUUUUAGGCUCGCAAGAUAUGGGUUAUAUGUGACAGAGUGGAUGUUGCAAAUAGAGUGUAGCAGAUGCCAAGUAGACUCUAGUUCAUCCUUCCAUCUUACAGUAAAUUACCUACUCAUUUCACCGUAAGGCUACAUUUAACAAGCAAAAUAAUAUAACAAAAAGUGUUAUAUCAAGUCAUGUUUAUUUUAGAAUAGUAUUGAAAUAAUUUAUAACCUGAUCAAUCACAUGAACAAUGUUAAACAUUUCAUUUGAUUCUUUGUUAAUCUUCAUUGUUGUGAUAACCAUUUCCUUCUAGUUCUAUUGAUGUUCAUUAUCCAUCAUUUCUAAAAUUCAUUUACAAUAUGAACACGACAUUAAUAUUGAUAGUUGCUAAUUGUGAGUAUAUUUUGGGGUUAAAUUAUAUAAGAAUUUGUAAUUUUUCUCUCCUAAUUCUUCCUUUUUGGGUAAAUAAUUGUUAAAUUAACAUCAUUUAAGUUUUUGUGUAGAGAAUAUUAAAAGUGAUGAAUUUAUGAUGCUUAGUGAGUAAAAUAAAGUCCCAAAAAGAAGGAUAAUUAAGGAAAACAAUGCUAAUUAAGAAAAAUAUGGCUAAUUAAGGAAAACAGGCUAAUUUAUGAAAGUAAAGACGAGAUUAGCAUGAGUAGCCCACUUAGCACUAAGCUAAAUUUGCACCUGUAAAAGAAGAAGAGAGAAAAAACACAUAGAAAUUCCCAAGAGAAUUCAAUUCCUUAUAUAAGGCAAAGGCUAGAAGAAGGAGUAGCAAGCAUUAGGAAUCAUUCAUUCCCUCCAUUCCCUUUCUUAUCUUCUUCCUUUUUACUAAAUAUUCCCCUCUUGUAAUUGUAAAGCUUCCAUAAUAAUGAAAGGCUAAACCUUUUUUUUUAGAACUUGGCAGCCAACUACUUUUGAUGUAUUUUCUCUUCCUAUCUAUUUAUGAAUAUUACAUUUGCAUUAUCUUUUCUUGUACUUAAUAUUAUUGCUUGUGGCUUGAUCAUCCAUUUUUAUGAUAACUUUUAGGGAUAGUGUUGGGAAACGUUAUUUUCUAAUAGAACUGAGAAGGGUAUCUAAAUAAAGUCAUCGUUAGGGAUAGGUUGAUAUUUGUUUAGUAUGUUAGACAUAUCUAUUCUUAAUGCAAUUUACUAUUUUAACUCUGCAAAGGGAUUUGGGAGAGAAAAUAAAUAAAUUAGGCUCUUUCAUGUGGAGGACUAAGUUAGAGUAUAUUAGUAGAUGUAGGUCUAAAUUGGAAUAAUUAUAAUAGAGAAAAAUCAUUAGCAUUACAUCAAGGAGUAGCUCUGGUAGGCUAUGUUCCCAUCAUUCUCAUCUUCUGAAUUUAACUUCUAUAAUAAUUGGCUUUUCUUUUCCUUUCUGUUUUUAAUUAAUUAAUUUAUAUUCUUGUUUAAAUUCUCCUUUUGUUUGAUUUAAUUUCUGCCAAUUUAAAUUAUUGUUUUCUCAUAACCUUUUCAAAUUAAUUUUCUUUAAUCUCUUCUAUUAAUAAAAUAUUCAUCUACCUAAGUACAAACAAAGUUCCUAUGGAUUCGACACCCAAACUUCUAUUUUAACUUUACUACUUGGGACAUUGGUGUACUUGUCAAUCCAUAAAGAAAUAUGCAUGAUACAUUUGACAUAACUAUAUGAUACCAAUAAGGGUUUAAGGCUACGGCAUAAUUCUCACACCGACACAAAGUCCCAUCAACAAGCAUAUACAAACAGAAACCAGCAUUACCAACAUCAUCAAAACCAAGAACCAGCCUUAGCUUCUCGCUUACCAUCACCAUCAAAACCAAACACAAAAGCAAGAAUUACCAACACCAUCAAAACCAAGAACGAGCAUAAGAAUAAACAACAUUUUACAAGCUUUACCAAUACCAUCAAAACCAAACAAGAAUUACCAAUUGCCAUAAAGCCCUAGCUUCUCGUGAGUGAGUGGCCUUUUGUGAGUGAGUGAGAAUGCUAGAACCAAGCAUUACCAACACCAUCAAAACCAAUAACGAGCCUCAACUUCUCUUGUGUGAGUGAGAAUGCGAGAAACAAGCAUUGCCAACACCAUCAAAACCAAACACAGAAACACGAAUUAUAGAAGACUAGCAUUCUGUAAGCGCGAGAGAGUGAGAAUGGCAAUGUAAGAACGGUGACAUGGAGAACACGAUGCUGCUGCCACAGAGAGUGCGUGAGAAUGAGAGUGAGAAGGAUAGUGCGAGAGUGAGAAUGAGAGCAAGCAAAAACUAGAGGAAGAGACAACUGGUUCAAAAUUAGCGCGAAAAGAUGAAGAAACUUAUGAUUUAAUUUAACUAACACAACAUCAAUUUUAUGGAAAAACCGAUGUUAACAUAAGUUGGUUAACAUCAGUUUUCCCAAAACCGAUGUUAAUGAACUCAUGUUAACAUUGAUUUUUCAAAAAACCAAAAUCAAAAUUUUUAUUAGUAAGGUAUAAUGUGGAUCUAUAUUCAUCAUUGAUAAAAAUAAAUAAAUUUGAAUAAAUUUUUAUUUUUAGUGUUUUUUAUAUUUAUAUUUUGAUUUUGGGUCUAAUUGUUUCUUUAAAUAAUUUUUGUGAAAUUGAAUAAAUAUUUGAAUCAAUAUCAUGAUUUUAUUAAAAAUUUCUUACAUGAAUCAUCUUUCUCUCUGUCUUUCAUUAUUUUUUCUUUUAGGCUUAAUUGCAAAAAUAGUCUCCCUAUUUAUCCCAAGUCACUAAAUCGGUCUUAGGGGAACUAUUUUUGCAAUUAAGUUUUUCUUUUUUCUUUGCAAGAAUCACUUUUAUUUUUUCUUCUUCUUCACUUUAGUGUUAUGUUAUUAUAAGUUUUAAUUAUUAUUAUUGUUUAGGUUUUUUAUAUAUGUUUCAUGUUUUUUUUUCCUAUAACUAUUGUAUUAGAAAUAUUUUAUAUUAUAUUUGUUCAACAAGCCAUGAAAAGAUUCUAUUACUAUGACAAUUUUUUUAAUCAAUCAUACUUUCAAUAAUUUCAUUACAACUUUUUAUUUUACCCACUCAAAUAAAUUGUUGAAUGAUAAUUUUUAACUGUCAAUGUUAAUUUAUUUUCCUUAUAAUACACGUUAUCAAUGUAAAUAAUUUAAUAAUUAUCAUUAAUGUAAAAAAUUUAAUAAUAAUAUUUUUACUUUUGAAAUAUACGCUAAAAAUUUCAAUAAAUAAUUUAAAUAAUAAAAUUGAUAAUAAAUAUUACACAAUAAUAAUAAUAAUAAUACAAAAAUUAUUUAUAUAUAUCAAUCAUAAGAAGGUAUAACUUAAUAUCCUUAUGCAUUUAGAACAUAAAAAUAAUAAACAUCAAUUAAAUAUUAUCAACUUGAAAUAAGCACGUAUAUAACAAAGUAAUUAUUAUUACAAUGAAACAAUAGAAUGUAAUAGUUAAUAACAUUUAAAGAUUAGUAAUAAAUGCAAAUAAUCAAUGAUUUAAUAAAUAUGUAAACAAUAAUAUUUAAAGUUUGAAUCAUAUAUUUAUUUCUAUAAAUAAAUUUUGAAAAAUAAUAAGCAAUGAAAAUAAAAGUGAAACUAAGGGAAAAUAAAUAAAUAAAUAAUAAUAAUAAUAAUAAUAAUAAUAAUAAUAAUAAUAAUAAUAAUUAUUAUUAUUAUUACUAUUAUUAUUAUUAUUAUUAUUAUUAUUAUUAUGAAAUUAAGAUUAUUCAAUUUAUAUUACAUCAUAGUGAAGUUAAUUAAUUAAUUUAAAUUUCAAAACUUUAAAAUAGUCACACAAAAUUAAUAUAUUCAAAAUAAGUAAAAUUAUAGUUUUAAAAAAUAGUUAAUGACCAUAUGUAUUUAAUAGAAUUCAUACUAUUUCAUAAAAUUUAAAAAAUAUUUAAUUUUUUUUUAUCAUAAAUGUAUCCUCAAAUUUAAAUCAAUAUUGUACAUUAUAUAUAAAGAGAUAUGUAUUAUAUUUAUUAUUUUUUAAAUUCUAUGUUUCAUAUUGAUAUUGCAUUAAUACUAUUACUUGGAGAAAAAAUAAAUAAUAAUGAAAUUCAACAAUUUUAAUAAGUUUAAAGAGUACAUAUGUUCAUUAAAAAUAUAAUAUUUAACAUUAUUUUCAAUUUUAAUAUUUAUAUAUUUGUUUCACUACUAAAAGUAUUUAAAAUAGAUAAUUUAUUUAUAUACAUUUAUUUUUCAGAAGAUAUUGUCUCAUCAUCAUUACUUCAACAAACAAAAAAUUAUAAUAAAUUUUAAUAUACUUAAGUUUUAAGAUACAUUAAUUUAAUUAAAAAUAUAAUAAAUCAACUUUCUGAUUAAUAAUAUAAUUAUAUUUAACAUAAUACUAAACAUUUUAAAAAUAUUAUAUAUAUAUAUAUACAUAUAUAUAUAUAUAUAUAUAUAUAUAUAUAUAAUUCAAAAAAAUCCGUGCAACUCACGAAAUUCAAAAUCUAGUUCUAACUUAGCAUCAAAGUCAAGCUCGUGCCCCAAUUUUUGAGGACUUUAUUUCAAACAUUAUGAAUAAAAGAAGGAAAUUUGAUUAAAUCAUGAUGCAUGGUAACAAUAAGAGAAUAUGUGGACAUGGUCAAGCCCGCCAUUAGAGUAAAUGUAAUCUGACAUAAUAACUAAAUCAAUAUGGACACCAAUAGACUUAUUUUGGUUUAUUUUGGUCUUGGUUGCCUUUAUUCUUGGUGGUUUUGCUUCUUUAUAGAGGCUUAGUGGUGACCCUAGUCCCUAGGAAUUGAGGUUUGCAGAGGCUGUGCUGGUUCACUAAUGCGAUCUGUUUUUCUCAAAUCUUAGAUUUUUUAUGUUGGAAGAAGGCAAGUAAUUUUGAGGACUAAGGUUUCGAAAUAUAUAUAUUUUUUCUCUCAGAUAUUACCAUAAGGCUACAUAUAACAAGUAAAGAAAUAUAAUCAAAUGUGUUAUAUCAUGUCAUGUUAUUUGAGAAUAUUAAUCCUGAAAUUUCUAACGUGAACAAUGUUGAACAUUUUCUUUGCUUUUUUGUUAAUCUUUAUCAUUGUGUUAGCCAUUUCCUUUUUGUUCCAUUGAUCUUCAUCCAUCAUUUUUAAACUCCAUUUACAAUAUAAACAUGACAUUAAGUAGAUUUUGUCAAAACUAUGCAAACAAACAAUAAUGAGACCUACACUAUCAAAAACAACAAAAAUCAGAACCAUGAAAACAACCAAAACACCAAUAAAUAUGCAAAACAAACAAUAGAUAAUUAUUUCACUCAAAAUUCCCAAGUGCUCUUGUUUUGGAGCAACCAGAACCAUUCAACAUUUCCUCUGAUCUUUUACCAAAACUAGAACCAAAAACAAGAUUUCAUCGUCGAAAAAAGCUUUCCUUGGACCAUUUGACACUAAAACCUCAAGAACGCUUGCAAUGAUUAUGCAUUACUUCUUUCACACACUCAGUAAAAUUUCAUAAAUUUACAGUGCAGAAUGAGGAAGAUAUACACAAUCCACAAAGCUUCAAGAGAAAAACAUACCAUGAGAUCGAGAGUGAGACCGAGAGUGAUAGUGCCAAGAGCAAAAGUGAGACCAACAUUGAGAGUGAGACUGACAUUGAGACCUAGAUGACUAUGAGCAAGACGACACCAUGAGCAACAGUGACAAUAGUGGUUUCAGCCCCGCAACAGUGACAAAGGGUUCAUGAGGGAGACGAGUGAACUGGCAAAAGCGUGAAAAAUAUUAUAAAUAGGACAAUACAACGUCGAUUUUUUUUCAAAAAAUGAUGUUAACAAACUCAUGUUAACAUCGGUUUUCAAGAAGUCACGUUAUUUAUGAUUAUGCGACAAUGUUUUCGUUUACAUCGAUUUUCUAUAAAAUUGAUGUUAUUCUAACAAUGUUAAAAAUAAAUUUUCUAGUAGUGUUUGUUCCCUAAUAAAUUUUUGCUUUGCAAUAGGUCACUCACAUUUGCAAGUUUUUGUAAUAGGCCCUACCAUUAGAAGGCUUAUGUUAGAUAAUGGCCUAGUCGUUAAAUUGAUAAGUCAACCAACCACCUAUGGUGCCAUGUGUUCCCCAACUCUAAGUUGGAGUUUCAGUUAAGAUAUGAACUUGUUAUUUUAAAAAAAAAAGAAAAUAAAAUGUUUAUCUUGACUAUGAUGCAGAAAAUGCACUCAUUAUAGUUACGGAUCUUGCAACUAUCGACAUCAGUGGCAUCCUAGAUGGUAGGGGGCAACCGUCAGAUGCGGAUUAGACCUAAUGUGAAUCGGGGAGGCCUUCAAAGUGGUGGAGGAGGAUGGGAGUGGCUCGACGGAUUUCGUCGUGGAAGAACUUGACACUCAACACAACACUUUCAUGGUUGGUUAGGGUUUUCAAGUGGUGGUAUGACUUGGAGGUUUGGUUGCUGCUACUGCCUGUGCUUAUGCUUGUCGUGACCACCAUGUUCGCUGAUGGACCCCAACACCUGUACAAACUUUGAUGGCUCUAUUUUUGCAUCUAGGUUUUUGGGAUACACUUUUUCCCCAUUUAAUUGGAUUUGUGUUUUAGUUUUUUUGGAUUUGAGUUUUUUGAAUACCAUGUUUGAUUUUUGGAUCUAGAUAUUUUAGUUUCAAUACAAGAGUGUUUUAGGGGGGAGAACUCUUAGUCAAUUUCAAUACAUGAGUGUUUUAGGGGUAGCUAAUACGCAGAUGAUGUAUGUUGUUGGUGUGGUCGAGGUGGUGCACACGUAGAUCUGGAGAGGAUGGUGGCAUGACAAUGUCAGAGCCAUGAGAUUGGCACCACGGUGGCCACUCAUGAAGAGGGAAGGUUAGCAUAUGGAAGAUUAGGGAUUAUUUGUGAACAGGUUAAAAGCUCAACUCCCUCGGAUAGGAAAUUAUUCUCGUCUCCUCCCGUGCCAUUGAUAUCAACAGCCAAAGACCCUGAUACCGCAAAUUGAUCAACAACGGCUUCACAACCUUCAAAAUGGCGGUGAGUCAGUGACAAUAGUGUGGUUUGUGUUGUUGUUGGUGGCCCUGGUGGGUGUUGAGGAAGAAGACCAACCUUCAGUCUCAAACGACAACGUUUUUAUUUUAAAUGAUCCCUCCAUUUUUAUUUUUAUUUAUAAAAAAAUGAAUAAAAAUAUGGAGCCAAGUCACAUGACACACCAUCAGCUUAGCAAAAACAUCAACAUUUGAUUGAACCCUUUAAAUGACAAGGAUCUACUACAAAAGUUUUCAAAUCCCAUGGACCUGUUGCAAAGGAAAAACUUAUUAGGGAGUAAAUACAAAAUUAGGAUAUAUAUUAAAGAUAAAAAAACAUAUUUAAACCAUGAAUGAAAUAUUGAAGUGAUGUAAGUAAUAGUCACAUUAAAAGGUAGAUGGAAUAUGUGUUUUUCUUUUUAGUAUCACUCAUUAUAGAUUUGAGAAAAACAUGAAAAAAUUGUAGAGUAAACAAUAAAAAAUGGAGGGGAAAUUUAUCAAAAUCAAAACUAAACAUGUGAGGAUAGGUCUUCAAUCCACAAUGGCAAGCAUACAUGCCUAGCUCCAUCUAGCUUGGGUAAGUAAAGAACACAACAAUGCACGUCUGCAAUCUUCGUGCCAACAAAACGAAUUAGGAAUUAUCAAUUUUUCUCAAAAAGGAAACUCAUUUUACUAUAAUCAUGGCUAAUGCAACCACACAACAUGCAUAUUUAGAUAAAGUUUGAUAAAAUUCUCAGGAAUUGACAAUUAAGUUCAAAGAAAGAGGCAUUGAACUUAAACCAUUGAUUUGAUAAAAAACAAAAAAGUCUAGUCUCAUUCCUCUUUAAUUUCCUCCACGCAUGCAUAUAGUAGUACUGUAGUUGAUGAGUUGGUGGCUGGAGACUUGUCUAUUUUCCAUAUCAUUCUAUUAUUUUAAUUUACUUUUUAUCUUGCCACCAACACUGAGUUAGACAUUUCACUAAAGGAAAAUGCUUCAAGAUUUCUUGGAGAAGAUUCUCUCAUGGGUGGAUGAUUAUUUCCUGUGUAGAACCCGGGUUGACUUGGUUGGGGCAACAAUUUUUCACCAUUCAACAUUAAAACUACUGAUGACAUAUUUGGCCUAUCCUCUGGUCUUUGUUGUACGCAUAACAAACCAAUAUGAAUAUGCCUUAAUAUUUCAGAUAGACCAGCUGAAUUGUCCGCUAAGUCAUCCAUAAGUUGCAUUGGCCUUUGCUGAAUCCAAAGUCUCCAUGCCUGAAAAUAACAUUAAAGUCACAAAGCAACUAGUUCAUUUUCCACAUGAAAAGCUAUGAAACACUGUUCAUCAUUUCAUGACCCAAAGUGUUAUUAUUCACAUACAAAUUGAUUUUUUUAUAGACCUACAUGCCCAAGAAGAUUUAGGUCAUGAUGUGGGUCAAUAAAUUCCUUGAUCUUUCUCCCGCUGAUUAUCUCCAAUAUAAUCACACCAAAGCUAUAAACAUCAGAUUUGACUGAAAAAGAUCCAUGUACAGCAUAUUCAGGAGACAUAUAACCGCUGCAUAUAAAAACAGGAGUCCAUAAUGAGAAGCUAAAAGAAAAUGUAGAAUGGGAAAGGAAAGAAGAAUAUAGGAAAACUUACUAUGUUCCCAUAAUUCUAGUCGUAUUUUCUUCAUCUUGAUCUAGCUCAAAUGUCCUAGCCAUACCAAAAUCUGAUAUUUUUGGGUUCAUAUUACUAUCAAGUAGAACAUUACUGGUUUUGAGAUCCCUGUGAAUGAUCUUUAGUUUAGAGUCUUGAUGAAGAUAAAGAAGUCCUCGAGCAAUUCCACCAAUAAUUUCAAGUCGUUUAGCCCAUCCUAAUAAUGCACGCCUUGCUGAAUCUGACAAAGUUUACUUCUAUGUUAGCAUGAAGACUAUUUUAGCGAAAUAAAAAUAGAAGGCUAAAAUUGAUGUGAAGCUCCGACCAAAAAUAAAGUAGUCCAAGCUUCUAUUUGGCAUGAAUUCAUAAAUCAACAACUUCUCAUCUUGCUGAAUAGAACAACCAACGAGUGUUACUAGAUUACGGUGUUGAAGUUUUGCAAUUAACAUGACUUCGUUUUUGAACUCGUCCAAUCCUUGUCCACAAAUAUUUGAAAGCCUCUUAACUGCAAUCUCUUGCCCAUUUGGUAACAUGCCCUAACAAUGAUUUUGGAAACAUUGAAAUUAUUUUGAUCUAGAUAAGUGCAUAGGUUAUUUAAUUUUCUUACCUUGUACACUGGUCCAAAACCACCUUGUCCUAAUUUGUUACUUUCUGAAAAUUGAUUUGUGGCAUUAGAGAUGGAUGGAAAAUCAAAUGCUUGUAAAUCAAUGUUGUCAUCCUUCUCACUCUUGUCCUUCCAACAAUUGGUUGCUAUAAUUCACAAAAUUAUUAGUGAUCUUAUGCAAUCAAAAAAUAUAUAAGAGAUGCUUGUUAUACAUUUAUUACAAGAAAAAGAAUUUAGAAAAUUAAAAAAUUAUAAAUACUAAUUUUGUUAUCUGUUUAUUUUAUUAAAAAAUGAAACAUAAAACAAAAUAUAAACAUAAAUAGAAGUAAAAGGAAACAAAGAAACCUCUUCAAUGCUUUCUUCUAUCCUCAAAGAUUGAUUUUCUAUGUUUAUAGCUUGCAAAACAUUAAUGAGUUGUGCAUCCAAAGAGUAUUUUCAAUGAACUUUUCCAUCCUCAAAGAUCAAUUUUCUAUAUUCAAUAGCUUGCAAAGCAUUAAUGAGUUGUGCAUGGGUUGUUGUGGGGGGAAAAACUAUUUUCUUCUAUAGAUCAUGGAGAUUUUAGAUUCAAACUCUUUGGAAGACACUAGAACUUUUUCCACAACUUUCUGAUAUUCGUUAAGCUCCUCGUUAAGCAAUAUUAUUUAUGUUAUCAAAUUUUUGAAAACUCUUUUAACAGUUUUACUUUCUUACAUAUUUUAAUGCUUUCAACUCGCCUCAAGUCCAGAAACUGUAUUAUUUUUGUUCUUUCACAACCUCGGAACUCCUCCUCCAACUUAUCUCGAGCUUCUUUUGUAGCCUCAAGAUUCAAUCUCGUGAUAAAUACAUCAUCAUAUAGUGUUGCAUGCAUAUUGCAAAUGCUCUACCUUCUUUUUCACUUCAUCAUUAAGAUUCCUUAGCUGAUCAACUAAAGUUGGGUUGUUUGAUAAAGGAGGUGGAUUGCUACCAUUUCCGACCACAUCUCACAUGGUUUGAGCUUUAAGAUAAGACCUCAUUUUUGCAUCCCAUAUAUUAUAGUUUUCUCCUAUAAAUAUUAGAGUUGGAGAAAAAAAAAUUAAAAACGAUUCCUAGAAGCCAUUUUUGUAUUUGAAGGUUAGUUGUGUGGGCUUUCUCUCAAACUAUGGUGAUCUCACAAACCCUAAAAGAUCAAUGAAGCUCUUGACACCAUGUUAGAAAACAAAACAUGGAAUAUGGAAUGGGAUUAAACACAAAUAGCAUACAAAUAAACCACUCAGAUGAGAAAGGAAUAAAACCUAAUUCGAUGUAUUUUAGUUAUGCAUACAAAUAGGUUUUAAAGCAAGUUGCUUAGUUUUUUAUAUAUUCAUACUUGUUUGGUUACAAAAAGCUACGAAAGACCUUGAUUGGGUAAAGCUAAAUGUUAUCAUAACUAAAAUGCAUUAAUAUGCAUAAUUCGCCAACACUUUCUACUUUUAAACUCAAACAAUCUUUAACCAAACUUUCAAAUCAUUAGAAAUUGCAGAGACAUAAUAUUUCAAUAUAAAAGAUUAAAAAUCGCAUUUUCUAACAUAUUCUGGUGUUGGUACAUCAAAUUCAAGAUGCUGCUGCAUAAAAAAUUUAAUAAUAUGAUACGUGCAAAUAAAAAAAGAAAUGACAAAAUCAAUCCUAAUAAAGAAAAAAAAUGUCUAACGUUCCAUUUGGUAGAGUGGAGACAAAUAGGAUAGAUGAAAAAACAAAUGAAAGAAAAGAUACGAGAAAUAAAAUAAAAACAAAGGUGUUUGGUUAAAGAAAAAUUAAAAAAUAAAAAUAAUGAAAGAUAUAUAAAAAUAGGUGAUAAAGUCGUUCCCACAAUUUUUAAAAAUAAUUCCAGCCGUCUUUAUUUUACACCAAAUUAACAACCCAUAUUAAUUUCAUCUUCACUCUUCUUCCUAUUUCUCUCCAACCAAACAAAGGGUAAAUAAAUCUACUUACCUAAGAGACUAUAGGUUGACAUCAUAAUUUUUAUAUUUAGAGUAAAUAUUAAAUUAUUUACAAUAUAUAUAUAUAUAUAUAUAUAUAUAUAUAUAUAUAUAUAUAUAUAUAAAUAAGAAUGAAUCAAAUUACAUCAAUAUUAUAUCAUUCAAUAAUUUUAUAUAGAAUGUAAUUUUAUUUAUUCAACUAUCAAAUUAUAUUUACAUAUUAUAAAUACUUAUUAUAACAAUUUUUUUAAAAUUAAACAAUAAUAAAAAAAAUAAUCAAAUAAUUUAUAUUUUAAUAUAUUUUAAAAAAAUUAUAUUACAUUGAUUUCAAUCUAUAUAAUGACAGUAAAUAAUUUUAAAUCAAUAUAAAUUUUAUGUAUAUGAUUUAUGUAAAAGAAAACUUCAUUCCAAAUUAUGGGUUUACUAAAAGUGUGUGGAUUAACAUUUACCAGCAUUGUUCCUCCUCCGGCUUCUGCAGAAAAAAUAAGAACUUAGUAAUAGAACCCCACAAAUUGCAGCACUGGUGAAAGCAGCUACUACUGGCAUGUUCUUCUUGUGCCUAUCUAAAAUUAUAGUUAUCUUAGACGAUUUUUUAUAGUUACAAUUGAAAAGAGAAGAUCAAAGUUGACGGUGCAUACCUAACUCUGAUGCAUGCAUCCUGAUAUAUAGAUCUUGGCCAUCAGUUUGAAGUUGUUUCAUGUCAAUGAGAUCUCCAAACCACAUGACACAGCCACUACCUUCACCUCUUAUAUCUGAAUUAGCAAAGGCCAUACAUGAACAAUUACUCAAGCACUUCACUCGACAUUCCUCUAGACCAAUACUCUCAUUCAACCAAGUAUGUGUAGUAUCUGGAACUUUCAGGCCUUUAAAUUUGACAAACCCAUCUGAUAGUUUUUCUUCGCAGAUCAAUGGUUUAUUGCGUACACAUCCGCCACUCCAAUACGAAGAUUUCCAUGCUUGUGGAGAAUUUGGACUGAAACCUUUCAAACAAUUGCAGGCUUGAGGUUGAGUACUACUUACGCAAUUCCCGUAGGCUCCGCAGACGCUAUAAGUGUCACAAAACUCUGUAGGGAAGGAUCUGGAUAGCCUCCAAUUUUGUUCACCCACAACCCAUUUAUAACGAUAAACUGUACUUGUAGUUUGGUCUGUUACAGAUCUGACGAUGACAGAAUCAUUUGCAAGGCUAUACGCGUAGUAUAUCUCGUCUUUAUUGCUGACAUAAUAGAAGCUAUGCACGGUGUUGUUCUGUAGAUCAGACAUUCCGCUAAAAUAUAAGCCAUUCCAAGGUCCAAAUCGGUAUAACUUUUUUGUUUUUUUCAUUACAUAAAGCUCAGGAUAGUUAUAGAGUUUGAAAACCCGAUAAACGUCUCCUGGGGAUGGAUCAUCUGGACUCUUCCAAGCUGUUAGUUUCCAUUCAUGACCCGUUCGGAGAUUCCAUCCCAACUUCAUUCCUGGCAGGAAUGUAUCAGAUGGAUAGUCAAAGCUUUGCCACAAAUACGCUUCUGGGUUUGUUUCUCCCUCAUUUCUUAUGACAAGAUUGCCACUGUCCAAGAGCACUGCCACCGGAUUCGGUGCUUGUUUGUGAGAAUUGUUUGUGUACCAAACAAGAGACUUGUUUUGGGUGAGAACAAGAUUCCCUGUGGUGUUGAGUGUUAAGAUGCCUGAGGAAUCAUUGAUGGGGUCUUCCCUAUUAGCAACCCAAACAACUGUCUGGUUUGGGACAUUCUUGUACCAAAUUCCCAAGUAACGUUUCUGAGAAUUACCAGGGCUGAAAAACCCUAGUUCAAACUUUCCACCUUUUGACACCAAGCUCUCCCCAUCAGUCAUGGACUUGGACACGUUAAUAGAAUCAUUUGCUACGGAAAUUCUGAGAGAGGGAAGCAUGCAAGCAACCAUCGUCAUGACAGAGAAAAUGUCCAUUGAGUCACAGCUAUUUUGGUACUCGGUUAUUGGAUAAUGAUGAUGAGGAUUAAGCUAAAGAUGGGCAAAGUUUGAUUUUUGUAUAAAAUUUGGUUUUGGUUCCUGUAAAAGAAUUUUUUGGUUUGGUUUCCUUCUUUCUUUAAAUUUGGAAGCAUUGUUUUUAUCCAUAUUUAAAAUGGGCAAAGUUUGAUUUUUGUCUUAGUAAAAUAUGUUAAUUUAAUAUUUAUCCUUUAAAAUCUAAGUCGUCUAACAUUCAUUGUAAGAUAUAUAAAUAGCAUUUAUUCUAAGGAUUUGGAAAAGAAUUAUGCAUAACGUGAUUUCACAGUGGUAAAUGUCACUUGCAAAUGUCAGUUGACUUUCUAUUAAACACACAGAAUUAAUAGUUUCAUAUAAUAACAGAAACUAAAAAUAAAUUAUUAAAUAUAAUUAUUUAUUUAUUUAAUCAACAUGGUGCACAUAAUUUGAUAUAUAAUAUUUUUUAAACAUGUAGUCAAUGGUGCAUAUGAAAAUACAUCUAUCGAGAAAAUUCUACACAUUAAAUGAGUCUCAAUAGCUUUAACGAUUAGUUUUUGACUCUCAUCCGAGAGAUAUCCUUGGUUUGCAAAAAAAAAAAAAAAAAUUACAAAUUAUUUAAAUCUUUCAAGAAAACCAUAGAAUUUUAUUUCAAAAAAAAAAAAACUGAAAUCCCAAAUCAUUCAUUUUAUGUAAACUAUAAAUAUAUUUAAUCCUUCACUAUCUAUAAGCUGAGAGUGCUUGAUGUAUCUUUGAUUCUUUAAUGUAAUUUGACUUACAACUCAAGCACGUACCUCGUUUUCUUUGGGUGUUAAUUUGUCAUUUACGUUCCCAAUUAAUUCUCAUCGUUGGUUCCAUUUAUUAUAAUUCUAAUUUUGAGUUAUUUUAAAUUUGUUAUAUUCUUCAAAUAUUAGAAAAAAAUAUGAUAUUAUAAUCUAUACCAUGUAAUCACAAUGUAGCUAUUCCUAUUAUAAUACAUAUUGAAUAGUAAUUUAAAGGUUUAAUAUUCAAUUUCGUCUUCUAAUUAUAUUAAAGUGUUUAAUUAGAAUCCAAUAUUUUAAAAAACUCUAAUAAAGUCCUACUAUUUUUGAAGAUGCAUCAAUCUAAUUUUUUUCAUCCAAUUUGGACCUAAUCCCAUUAACUUGCAAGUAUUGACAGUUUAAAACUUUCAAUAAAUAAAAAUAAAAUAUACAAUUUAAAAAUGAAGUUUUAAAACCGCCACUUUUUGUUUUACUCCUCCUUCUCCUUCUCUCACCAUUGUAAACCUCCACGCAAUGGCUCCCAAAUGACAGCCACCGAGAAAACCAUCACCUCGACCAAUAAAAGCACAAACAUAUGGUUCGCUGGGGUUUAGUGUGCCACGGAUCUGAGUUUGGUGUGUCGUGGUGUUUGGCUAUGUGUUUGGUUCUCCUCUCUCACAACCGUAGAUCUGGGUUUGGUGCACCAUUGUGUUUGGCUAUGGGUUUGGUGCUUCUUCUCUUUUUCCCACCACCAAGAAUUUGGUUUUCAGUGCUGUGAUGUUUGGUGGUGUAGGGCACUGGAGAGGUGGUGGGUUUUGGUGAUGGCUUUUCAGGUUGAGGCAUCAGCUUAAUAGGACGAAAGGUACGUGAUUGAGACAUUUUUUUAAAAUUAAAGGACCUGAUUUGAGUUUUUUAAAGUAUCAAGACCUAAUUGAACACUUUAAUAUAAUUAGAGGACUUACUUUUUUUUUGGACGACAAAAGCAUAUAUUACUAAAGAGAAAUACAAAAGAAGAAGCAAGGGCAAAACCUCCUUCCCAGUUCUGAAAACAUAAAGCUCCUGAACAAAUUAAGUACCAAAAAUGAAGCUUCAAACAGAAUCCAUGAUACAUUCCAUAGGAUAUGAGCACCAGUUAUGGAAUGAUAAACUAGAUGAGCACAGUCCCUUGUACUUAAAGUAAAAUAUGUUUGUGAUUUCUAAAAAAUACUCAAAUUUUGAUGUUUGCUUCUUAAUAUUUUUUUUUUUGUUAUUGUUCUUUGAUAAAACAAAAUUUUUAUCUUUAGUCCUUGACACUAUUUUUUAGCAUCCGAUAAAUUAGUGAAUUUACACUUUGUUAUCUGAUAUUUUUUUUUUCAUUUUUUAUUAGUCCCUUUAAAAACGAUCGAUAACAAAUAAUUUUUUUAUCACGAAACAAAUACAAAAUUCGUUAAUUUAUCUCGAAUUAAAAAAAGUGUUAAAGAUAAAAAAUAAAAUUAAUAUUUUAUUAUCUUCUCGAUGCAAAAAAAAAUUAUCAGAAAACAAACACAAAAUUAAGAUAUUUAUUAAAAAUGAAAGACAUAUUUUAGCCUAAAUUAAAUCCACCAUAAUCUUUCAACAUGAAAAAAAACAGCACUAUUAAGAUCAGCAACAACACUGUUUUUGAAUAUUGCACCAUUCUUCUGCAGCCAAAUAACCCAGCAAGUAACAUGCCAUAUCAAAUAUUUCCAUCUGGGCAUCUUCUUCCCCAGUAAAAAGCCAUGCUGAGUGAAAUGUUGUUGUAUCAGAUUGUGUUGCACUAAACUAACUCCCCACCAUUGAUACACUGCAUUCCAUACACGAAUUGAGAACUAACAUUGCACAAACAAGAGAUUUACGCCUUCCAAACCACAAUUACAUUACAGGACCAAAUUGAGUAUUAAGUCUGCUACUUCAAAUCUAUUUGAAAAGAAAAUCUACUAACUAAUAAUGUGGCACUUCAAGGAAAAAUGCUUAGGCCUUUUUGCUAACAUACAUAUUUAUAUUACCUUUAUAAUAGUGAUGUGUAAUUUUUAUGUAUCUAUUUUACAUAUUUUAAAACCAUUUCGCAAACAAUUAACGUUAUAGUAAUGUGUACAAAAUCAUUGGUUCCACAACAUUAAUAAAAAAAAUUCUGAUCAUGGCUGAUAAGGUUAUAUUAGGGGUAAUCCAAAAUUGAAAUCAAAAGGCACUAGGAGUGAUAAGACAAAUGAAAUGCAUAAACACAUAUAUGUAUUUAUGUAUAUAUAUAAAAUAAAUAAUUACUAAAAUUGAUGAGUUUAUUAGUAUUCAAAUAAGUAUCACACUAAUGGUGUAACUUCUUAAUGUACACAAAUACUUAUUAUUUUAAUAUGAGCAUGUUAACAACUUAUAAUUAGAUAUUAUCAUAAAAUAUACUAAAAACAUUACAACUUGCUAACGUAUCCAUAGUAACGUAUAUGUUGGUGAAUCCCUUCAAAAAAUAUUACUUGUGCCCUCUUAAGAUUAUAAAUAUGGAAUAUUUUAGUUUUUAGAUUUGAAAGAUGAAAGAAAUAAAAAUUUUCCGUUUAUUAUAUUCAUAAAUAUCUCUAGUAGCCUUGAUCGAUUAUAUUUCUUUUUUUUGGAUCAAGAUUUUAGUACAUGACUUGGUCAAAAAUAUAUUUCUUAAUAGACUUUAUUAUGUAACCCACGUACAUUUAAUAUCCACGACAACUAUACUCCCUCUAAACCUAAAUAUAAGUAAAAUUAAUUAACUUUUAUGUUAAUUAAUAUCAUUUAAUUUUAGUAUUUACCUUUAAGAAAUAAACUUUUUUUAAGUGUCUAUUUGAUAUAAGAAUAAAAAUAAUCAUUCAAAAUAGAAUCUCAAUUAAUUGAAUGGUAUUUUUGAAAUAAUAUUAUUAAGUACGAUGAAAGUAGUUUAAAUUUGUAUAUAUUUGAGUAAAAAAAAAAUUGUUGCUUAAAUUUAGGUCAGAAAGAAGUACUGGUCAAUAAUUCAUUUUGGUUACAUGUCAACUACCAUAGCAGCCACGGCAAGCGCCCCUUUUGACUUAUUGCACGAUUGGUCCAUUCUUUGGCAUUAAUUAUUGUUGUGAAAAUUGUCAAAAGAUUGUAAAAAGAAUGACCCAAUAGGAAAAAUUAAUGGAGUUACCAUACUUUUAUUAUUACUGUGAAUUAAUUGAAUGGCACUGUAUGGUUUUCUACAAGAAAAAUAUAUUUACCAUUUUCCAAAGUAAUUCUAAUUAACCAGUUGCAAAUAAAUAAACUUGGAAAAUGAAAAUCUUUCUUCAAAACAAUUUUACAAACAUAAUUGUGUUUCAGAAUUUUGAGAUCGAUUUCCAAAUAAUUCAUCCAUAAGUUCCAUUGACCUUUUAUGAAUCAGAGUCUCCAUGCCUGAAAAUGAAAUCAAAUUCACAAAGCAACCAGUUCAUUUUCCAUAUUAAAAACUAUGAAACAAUGUUCAUCAUUUCAUGGGCCAAAGUGUUAUUAUCCACAUGUAAUAAUUGAUUGUUUUAGAUCAUGGUGUAGGUCACAAAACCCCUUCAUCUUCCUCCCACUAAUUAUCUCCAACACAAUCAUACCAAAGCUAUAAACAACAGGUUUGACUGAAAAAGAUCCAUGUACAAAAUAUUCAGGAGGCAUAUAACCACUGCAUAGCAAAACAAGAGAGUGAAAAGCUAAGGUGACCCUUGCUUCGAGUGUUUAUUAUCUGUUUUUAUUUUUUAUUUUCUUUUUCUGAGAAUAUUUGUUGUUUUUAAAUUUUUAUAAUUUAGAAAAUAUGUAUCAAGAAAAAAUACUCUAUGGUUUCAUCAUGUUUUCAUUUCUUCAGAAAAAAUGAAAACACUGAUUUAUUGUUUUUAGUUUUGGACAUGUUUUUGAAAAUAUUUUAAGAGAAAAUAUUUUCUAAAUUUUAAGUAACAUAUUUGCAUUCUUAUUUUCUGUUUUUUUUUUUAAUGAAAACAGAAAACACUCAAACUACCUAUGCAAAACUGGAAAAGGAAAGGGAAAAAAACAAGUACAGGAAAACUAACUAUGGUCACACUAUUCUAAUUGUAUUUGUUUCUGUUGGUAGUUGGUUAGAUGAUAGUUGAUAGUUGGUAGUUUUAGAGAAUUGUUUUAGAAAGAAGGUCAUGUCAUUGAUUUUUUGGAUUGUCAAUUACAACAAACCAAUUGCCUAUUUAUAGGCUCAAGUCACCAACCUCUCAAUGGUGGUGAAUAUUUCUACAUUACUUUAGGUCUUUCUAGAGUUUUCAUGAUAGAUUAGUAUCAUGAUAGUUCUAGAUUCUUCUAUCUUAUACAUACAUUUAUAGUUCUAGAUUGUUCUACCAUAUCCAUACACAUUAUAGUUCUAGAUUGUUCUACCAUAUUCAUUCACACUAUAGUUCUAGGAUAUUCUACUAUUUUCAUACAUAUUAUAUUUAAGAAUAUUCUAGAAAUUUGUAGCAAUUUCAACACUCCUUCUUGAUGCAAAUUUCUGUGACUCCGAGCAUAGCUCGUAAUUCUUCAAAUCUUGGUCUCAGCAGAGCCUUCGUGAAUAUGUCUGCAAUUUGAUCUUCUGUUGUGUAGUAGUCGAGUUUGAUCUCUUUAGUUGCUUCAACUUCUCUGAUAAAGUGAUACUUGAUUGCUAUGUGUUUUGUUCUGCUGUGAUGAACUAGAUUCUUCACCAUUGCAAUUGCUGAUUUGUUGUCGCAGUUGAUUUUAGUAGGCUCAUCUUAUUUUUCUCCCGUGUCUUCAAGUAUCCUACGAAGCCAUAUAGCUUGACUCGUUGCUUCAACAGCUGCCACGUACUCUGCUUCUGCUGUUGAUUGUGCUACUGUAGCUUGCUUCUUCAACGCCCAAGAGAACAUUCCCGAUCCUAGUGAGAAAGCAUAGCCAGAGGUACUCUUCAUGUCAUCUCUCGAACCUGCCCAAUCACUGUCGGUGUAGCCAAGUAGUUCUGGGUUGGUUUCGGUAGUAUACCAUAUACCGAACUCUUUUGUUCCUUGUAGAUACCUCAAAAUUCUUUUUCCUGCUCCAAAGUGUAUUGGACUUGGGCUUUGCAUGAAUCUUGAUAGAAGACUUGUAGCAUACAUUAUGUCAGGCCGUGUAGCUGUCAAAUAUAGGAGGCUUCCAAUUAGACUUCGGUAUUUGGAUGCAUCAGCUUCUGGUGCUCCAUCAUUCUUCUGUAGUUUCUCAUUUGUUAUGAGUGGAGUAGCAACAGGUUUGCAAUCAUACAUCUUGAAUUUCUUAAGUAAGCCUUUUGUGUAUUUAUUUUGCGAGAUGAAUAUCCCUUCAUUUCUCUGACUUACCUCUAUGCCGAGGAAGUAACUCAUCAAACCAACGUCGGUCAUCUCAAAGGUCUUCAUCAUGUCUUCUUUAAACUCCAUCAUCAUCUUAGUAUUGUUUCUCGUGUAGAUAAGAUCAUCUACAUAUAGAGAGAGUAAGAGAGUGUACUGCCCUUGAGACUUGAUGUAAAGUGUAGGCUCACUCUUGCUCCUCUUGAAUCCUCGAUCCAUGAAAUACUGAUCGAUUCUGCUAUACCAUGCUCGAGGUGCUUGCUUCAAACCGUAGAGUACUUUUCUUAGUCUUAACACUUUGUUUUCUUUGUCUUCAGACACGAAUCCUUGUGGCUACUCCACAUAGAUCUCUUCUUCAAGUACGCCGUUAAGGAAGGUGGAUUUGACAUCUAGUUGAUGGAUACUCCAUCCUUUUUAUGACGCAAGAGCUAUUAGAGCUCUUAUGGUAUCAAGACGAGCUACUGAUAAAAUGUCUCAUUGUAGUCAAUUCUGGGUUGCUGUGAGUAACCCUUAGCUACUAGCCUCACCUUGUGUUUUUGUAUGGUGUCAUCAGAGUUGAGCUUUGUCUUAUAGACCCACUUAACCCCAAUGAUAUCUUUUCCGAGGGGACGAUUUACUAACUCCCAUGUGUUUUUUUUCUCGAUCAUCUGUAUCUCUUCUUCCAUUGCCUUGACCCAUACUUCCUGCUUUGACGCUUCUUCAAAGCUUCCAGGUUCAAGUAUGGCCAAGUUACAGGUUUCAUAUGUCCACCAAAGAUCUUACUCGUCUUGGAGUAGACUCUGGUGAUGAUAGUUCUUGAUCUUGUUGUUGUGGUGGAGGUGAAGGUGGUUCACCUGGGUCUUCUUCCUCAGCUUCUUCUUGAGAUAGUUGAGCGGGUAUAAGAACGUUCUUCUCCACCUUUUCUUCAUCCCAAUUCCAAGAAGCGUACUCAUCAACUUCAACAUCUCGACUGAUGACGAGUUUCUUAGUUUGCAAGUUGUAGACACGGUAGCCGUUAGAGAUAUUGCUAUACCCAAGGAAGAUACCUCGUAUAGUCUUGUCUUCAAGCUUGUGCCUCUUCACGUCUGAAUAUGAAUGUAGCAUAUAGAUCCAAAAACCCUUAGGUGCUUUGCUGAUGGCUUCUUCCCGUUCCAAGCUUCAAUUGGAGUCUUGUCUUUUACAAACUUAGUUGGACAUCUGUUGAGUAUGUAAACAGCAGUGUAGACUGCUUCAGCCCAGAAUGUGUUAGGUAGUCCCUUCUCCUUGAGCAUCGAUUUAGCCAUCUCCAUAACUGUGCGAUUCUUUCUCUCGGACACUCCAUUUUGUUGAGGAGAAUAUGCGACUGUAAGUUGUCACUCAAUGCCUUCAUCCUCACAAAAUCUUUCAAACUCGCGAGAGGUGUACUCUUUGCCGCGAUCACUUCUUAGUACUUUUAUCCGUUUUCCACUUUGAUUUUCAACAAGGUCCUUGAACUUUUUGAAUACUCCAAAGACUUAUGAUUUUUCUUUUAGAAAAUAUACCCAUGUCAUUCUAGAGAAGUCAUCAAUGAAGAGUAUGAAGUACUUGUUGUUCUCAUGUGAUGGCGUCCUCAUUGGUCCACAAACGUCCGUAUGUAUCAGCUCCAAUAGAUCUUUCGCUCUCCAUGCUCCGCUUGUUGAGAAAGGAAAUCGGUGUUGCUUACCAAGGAGACAUCCUUCACACACUUCAUUGUUCUCCUUUAUGCUUAGAAGAUCUCUCAUCAUGUUCUUCUCAUGUAACAACUUCAAGGCAUGUGUGUUGAAGUGGCCAAAUCUUCGAUGCCAUAGCCAUGAAUCAUCAACUUGUACCUUCAUGACAAUGUUUGUUGCAUAUUUUAAAUUUAGAGGGAAGCUUUUAUUGCUCUUAUUCAUCUUUACUUGGGCUAUCUCAGACCUUUUAUUUUUGUUGUCUAAGAUUUUGCAUACACCUCCUUCAAAGUGAAGUGUGUAGCCUUUCUCCAUCAUUUGGCCAAUGCUUAGAAGAUUUUCUUUUAGGCUGGGAACUAGUAAGACAUCAUGGAUGAGUCGCGUACCUUUAUAUGUCUCCACCAUGACAGUGCCUUUGCCUUUUGAUUCAACCACACUUCCAUUUCCCAGUCGAACUUUGACUUUGACAGACUCAUCAAUACUUUUGAAAAUAGUCUCAUCCUUGGCCAUGUGAUUGCUACAUCCACUAUCCAAGUACCAUUUUCCUCCAUUUUCUUUUAUUGAGUCUUGAGUGGCGUAGAACGUACAUUGUUCUUGAUCAUGCUCCUCUGCGAUAUUGGCUUGAUGCCUAUUUUUGUUGCGACAAUUUUUCUCUACGUGCCCGAACUUCUUGCAAUGGUUGCAUUGUGGCAUAUUACGGAACCAACAUUUUUUCUCUGCGUGGCCUUGUCUUUUGCAUAUAUUGCAUGGAGGAUUUUUAUCUAUUUUGUUCUUAAGGAAAUUCCUAGAACCUUCUCUUCUUUUGGAAGUUUCUCCAUAAUUUUUCUUUCCUCCAUUUUCUUUGUUUUGGGGAUGAAAUUUAAACUUUGACUGGAAGGCAUUUUCAAUUGUAUCUUCUUUAUGCCUAUACAGUCUUUGCUCAUAUGCUUCAAGAGAGCCCACAAGUUCUAUCUCUGAUAGAGUGAACAUAUCUUUGGUUUCCUCAAUCGUUAUCACGAUUGGGUCAAACUUUUGGGGCAUAGUAAUUAGAAUUUUCUCAACAAUUUUCUUGUCAAGAAUAUAUUCCCCAAAAGCUCUCAUUUGAUUAACUAUUUCUUUAACUUUAGCUAGAAUAGUAAUCUUUAACUGUCUCAGACUCCUUCAUCUUCAAUAGUUCAAAAUCUCUUCUUAGAGAUUGAAGUUUAACGGCACGUACCUUAACACUUCCUUGAAACUCCUCCUGCAAUGUGUUCCACGCUUCUUUGACAGUCUUAGCUCCCAUAAUUCUUGGGAAAAUUGGAUCAGUCACCGCUUGUUGCAAGGUGAACAACGCCUUUGAAUUUUUCUGUUUAUUUUUCUUCAACUCUUUUUCUUGAGAUGCAUUAAGAACUGAAGUAUCCGCGGGAAUGGUGAAGCCUUCUUCUAUUAUGUCCCAUAAAUCUUGAGAUGAAAAAUAUGUUUCCAUUUUAACACGUCAAAAAUCAUAAUUUUCACCAUUGAAGAUAAGGACAGAAAUAGUUGACGAUUGAGUAGUGUUAUCCAUAGCUUAGAAAAAAAUAUUAUUAGAGUGGGUUAAUAGUACAAAGAAAAUUUUUGAAGUAGUUGGGAGGAUUUUGGAAUGGUAGGUAGGUAAGAUAACUACGCCCGGCGGCACCCACCGGGCAGAAUAUGGCUCUGAUACCACGGUUGGUAGUUGAUUAGAUGAUAGUUUUAGAGAAUUGUUUUAGAAAGAAGACUAUAUCAUUGAUUUCUUGGAUUGUCAAUUACAACAUACCAAUUGUCUAUUUAUAGGCUCAAGUCACCAACCUCUCAAUGGUGGUGAAUGUUUCUACAUUACUUUAGGUCUUUCUAGAGUUUUCAUGAUAGAUUAGUAUCAUGAUAGUUCUAGAUUCUUAUAUCUUAUACAUACACUUAUAGUUCUAGAUUGUUCUACCAUAUUCAUACACAUUAUAGUUCUAGAUUAUUCUACCAUAUUCAUUCACACUAUAGUUCUAGGAUAUUCUACUAUUUUCAUACAUAUUAUAUUUAAGAAUAUUCUAGAAAUUUGUAGCAAUUUCAACAGCUUCAUCUUAAUCUAGCUCAAAUGUUUUUGCAAUACUGAAAUCUGAUAUUUUUGGGUUCAUUUUACCAUCAAGAAAAACAUUAUUGGUCUUGAGAUCCUUGUGGGUGAUCUUUAGUUUAGAGUCUUGAUGAAGAUAGAGAAUUUCUCAUGCCAUUCCACCAAUAAUUUCAAGUCCCUUAGUCCAUCCUAAUAUUGUACGUCUUGUUGAAUCUGACAAAAAUUUACUUCUAUUUUAGCAUGAUAACUAUUUUAUACAAAUAAAAAGAUGGAACCUAGUCCAGAAAUAUUAAAAAGCUUUUUGACAGCAAUCUCUUUCCCAUUUGGUAAUAUGCCCUAACAAUGAUUUUUGAAACAGUGCAAUUAUUUUGAUUAAAGAUGAUCAGUGCUAAGGUUUGAAUUUAAUUUUCUUACCAUGUACACUGGUCAAAAACCACCUUGUCCUAAUUUUUUACUUUCUAAAAAAUGACUUGUGGCAUUAGAGAUGGUUGAAAAACAAAAUGGUUGUAAAUCAAUGUCGCCAUCCUUCUCACGCCCUUGUCCUUCCAGUCUUAUAUGUUUUUGUAUUGUCCAAAAUUAUUAACAGAUCUCAUGCAAUAAAAAAAUAUAUUUUUUUUAUUUAUUUUUAACAAGAAUAACAAUUUAUAAAUGAAGAUUAGUCACUUUCACAUUCCACUAAUUAAUGACCUGUUAAAUAAAUAAAAAUAUAGCCUGCAAAGGAUGAUUCAGAGUAGACCUUUAGGUGCAUGGUGACACUGUUUAUAUUAUCACAUGAACAACACUUAGGCGCUUCAUGUGUUAGUGCGGGUCGUUAAUGGUCUCCUCAAACUGAGGGCUCCUUUUUAUUUCAUCAGAUUAAAUAUUUUUUAUUCAUAUAUGUAUAUACUUUAUUUUAAUUAGUAUUAAAUAUAGUGAAAUAUUUAUAAAAAAUAUCAAAAUAAUAUUUUGAUCAACAAUUUUUUUUUUACUUUUUCUAAAUAUUUUUUUAAAAUAAUAUUAUUUUUAUCCUUAUGUUUCCUAUGGAAUUUAAUUUGCCAGAAAAUUUGCAGUCUUUUCCUAAGAUUUAUUACAAUAUUACCUGCGAAAUUAUAUUCACAACAAAAUUCGUAUGAAAACAAAAAAUACUCCUAUAUUUGAUACAGUUGCAGCAAAAUCUGCAAGAGAUUACUGUAAAUAAAUUUUGCAGGAUAAUUCACAGGAAUUUCCUGCAGAUUUAUUUUCGUAGAAAAACUCACAAUUUUCCUACGGUAUUUACUGCAGGAAAAUAAAACAUUUCUAGCUAAUAGAGGUGAAAAUCUUCAAGGUAAGAUGGCAAGGGACGCCUAGUGGACAGUUUGGAUGGGGGUAAAAUGAUCAAUCAGAUGGAAGCAUAGGAACGAUAUAUAUUGUUUAAGGAGAAAAUUUGUGACCUGGAGACAGUAGUGGUCUAGUGGAUCUGUUCAAAAACUGAGCAUGGAGUUGGCUGAAAGGGAAAGUAAAAGGGUUUCUAGGAUCUUUAUAUGAAUGGACAAUGAAACCACUGGAAUGCACGAAACAGCUGAGGUGAAUAAAUUAUGCUAGAAGAAUGGGCUAAUGAGAAUACAACAGAAAGCAUAUGGAUUUGAGGGGAACGAAAAACUGCCUUAUUUGGUGGCACAAAUUCUGAUCUUUAUCAAGUUGACACGUUGGGUUGCAAACUUAUAAGGUAAUAAUUCCAGGGAUAAUUAUAAAGAUAUAUACUGUUGGGUGGAUACGUAGUUAUGUCAAAUCUGGUAGUGAUAUAAGCAUUGCCAUAUCCUAACAAACAUUAAAGAAUAAAAAAUAUCCUACUUUCUUUUUAUUGUUAACAGGGUGUGAUGAUGUAUUACAGGAAGAUAGGUUUUAAUCAAAGCAGUGGCACAAUCAAUUCCUUCCUAUGCCAUGAGCUGUUUCAUGUUGCCUAAGUCUUUAUUAUUUGGCCAUGUAUAAAAAUUCUGACAUGCAAGCAUAGACCAGUUUGAGGUCAACAGUGAGGUCAAAAGACCUUUUCCAUAUUCCUGUGGUCCCAAAGAACAUGAAUUUUGUUUGGAGAGCUAGCAGAAACAUUAUUCCUAUUAGACAAAAUCUGAAAAGAAAUGGAAUCACUGAUGAAGAUGUGUGUCCUUGUUGUGGAGAUAAUUCGGAGACCAUUCAUCAUGCUCUUCUUAGAUGUGAUCACAGGCAAGGUGAAUUUGGUUUGCAUCUUGGCUAUCUAUUAGAAUUGAUCCCUCUGUCUCAAAUUUCUCUGACUGGAUUAACUCUUGCAUAAUGUCCAAAGAAGAGUAGAGGCAACAAACUACAUUUUCUGUCUCCUAUGGGCCAUUUGGCAAAGAAGAACAUAUGGGUUUUUGAGAACAAAAAGCAAAUUUUGCGGCAAACUCUGGCAGUAGCAGACUCUAUGUAUUACCAGGCCAACACAAGCACUGGUCACAAUCACACUCUCAAGAGGUAAACUGGAUUCCGCUUCCAAAUCAUUGCAUAAAAGGAAACUUUGAUGCGUCUUUGAAAGAUAAAAGUGGUACAGGUUUUGGGUGAUUUUAUAGAGAUAAUUUGGGGAAUGUUUUGGCUGCUGCUACUGAUUUUUGUCCCCCACAUUUUUCUCCAAUUCUUUUUUUAAACAGACAACCUUUUUCAAUCAAUGCUAGAAGUUUUUUUUACUAUGCAUCAGAGACAUUCUUUUUUUACUUAGAAACAGAACAAACACAUUUUAUGAGGAUUAAAACGAACAAAAAUUACAAGAUCAAAAAUGAAAAAAAUUAAAUUACAGGGACAACCUUCGGAUCUAUAAGGCUUUGAAUCAAAUUGAUAAUGCCCCUCCUCAAAAUUAUUUUCAAUCAAUGUGACAAGAUUGCAUAUCCAACCAAUCAAGUUUCUCUGUUUGUGAGCUGAGUUUCAGUAAGAGAAUGGGUAUCAUGCAUGAGAGCUGAUAGAUUAGCAAAUUUAGCUAUAUAUCUCCUUUAAUGAAAUGUUUUGGAUGGAGGACUAUCCCCACCAAAUUGCUUCUUAUAUAUUAGCUGAUUUAAAUAACAUUCAUUCAUCUGGAAUAUAACAAAGGUUUUACAUUAAAAAAAAUUUGCUAUCUCACUCAAUUUAAAUUAUCUAAUUUCUUGAAAAUACUCAUUUUAUUAUCAACCACAUUACUUGAUGACAUGUUUGGUCUAUCUUCUGGUCUUUGUUCUAUGCCUAACAAACCAAUAUGAAUAUUUCUUAUUCUUUCAGAUGGACAAGCUCAAUUAUCGACUAAUUAAGUCAUCCAUAAGUUCUCAUGGCCUUUUUUCCAUCAAGAGUCUCCAUGCCUGAAAAUGAUGUGGAAGCCACAAAUCAGAGUUCAUUUCCAUAUUAAAAUGCUAAACCAUUAAUAUUAAUCGUUUUAUGGACUUGUUACUAUCCCGAUAUAGAUUGCUAACUUUUUUAGACAUACAUGCCCAAGAAGAUUUAGGAGAUGGUGUGGGUCAUAAAAUGCCCUAAUCUUCUUCCCACUUAUUAUCUCUAGUACAAUCACACCAAAGCCGAAAACAUCAAAUUUGACUGAGAAAGAUCCAUGUACAGCAUAUUCAGGAGGCAUAUAACUGUUAGAUAUUAAUUAGAAAAAUAAUAAUAAGUUUUAUGAGCUUUAAAUUGUGGAAGAUGAAAGUUGUAGUUGUAAGUUACAAAGUCUUGAAUAAGCAAUUAUGUGAGCAUUCAGUAUUCUUGAAUAAGCAAAUUAUGUGAGUGGUCACUCUAUUCUAGUAUAAAUAGGGGAUCAUACUCUUGUAUUUUGUGUGGCAAAUGAAAUAAAAUCUUCUUCUUCUUCCAACAAAGUGGUAUCAGAGCUUGAGUUCUAGAAUGUUGAGAGAGAAACACUUUGUGAGUUGAGAGAUGGCAAGCAAUGGCUUCAGUAUGUUUCAAUUCCCUCGUCUUACCAAAGAGAAUUAUGAUAAUUGGUGUCGUCACAUGAAAGCCUUGUUAGGUUCUCAAGAUGCAUGGGAGAUUGUAGAUAAAGGUUAUACUCAACCUCAAAAUGAGGCUAUUUUGUCACCAAAUGAGAAGGAGACUUUGUUGAAGUCGAAGAAGAAGGAUCAACAAGCACUUACUUUCAUUCAUCAAGGUUUGGAUGAAGCUAUGUUCGAGUUGGUAUCAAAUGCAACCACAUCCAAAGAAGCAUGGGAGAUUUUGAAAACCUCCUUUGAAGGUGUUGAUAAGGUAAAAAAAGGUGCGCCUACAAACUCUACGUAGAGAGUUUGAAUCAUUGCAUAUGAAGGAAUCCGAAUCUAUCUCAGAUUUUGGCAACAAGGUAUUGACUAUUGUGAACCCAAAUGAAGCGUUAUGGAGAAAAUAUGGAAGAUGUUCGUGUGGUGGAAAAGAUUCUUCGCUCCUUAAUCGCUAAAUUUGAUUAUGUGGUUUGUGCUAUUGAAGAGUCUAAGGAUUUAGACUCAAUGACCAUAGAACAAUUGAUGGGUUCUCUUCAAGCCUAUGAAGAAAGUUUCAAUAGAAGACAUGAUGAGCCAUUGGAGCAAGUCCUCAAAGCCAAAGCUUCUUUGAAAGAAAAUGGAGGAGAAAGUAGUCAAAAAGCACGUGGACGUGGAAGAGGACGUGGUCGUGGACGUGGUCAUGGCCCAAGGAAGAGGAGGAAGAGGAGAUCAUGAUAAUUNNNNNNNNNNNNNNNNNNNNNNNNNNNNNNNNNNNNNNNNNNNNNNNNNNNNNNNNNNNNNNNNNNNNNNNNNNNNNNNNNNNNNNNNNNNNNNNNNNNNNNNNNNNNNNNNNNNNNNNNNNNNNNNNNNNNNNNNNNNNNNNNNNNNNNNNNNNNNNNNNNNNNNNNNNNNNNNNNNNNNNNNNNNNNNNNNNNNNNNNNNNNNNNNNNNNNNNNNNNNNNNNNNNNNNNNNNNNNNNNNNNNNNNNNNNNNNNNNNNNNNNNNNNNNNNNNNNNNNNNNNNNNNNNNNNNNNNNNNNNNNNNNNNNNNNNNNNNNNNNNNNNNNNNNNNNNNNNNNNNNNNNNNNNNNNNNNNNNNNNNNNNNNNNNNNNNNNNNNNNNNNNNNNNNNNNNNNNNNNNNNNNNNNNNNNNNNNNNNNNNNNNNNNNNNNNNNNNNNNNNNNNNNNNNNNNNNNNNNNNNNNNNNNNNNNNNNNNNNNNNNNNNNNNNNNNNNNNNNNNNNNNNNNNNNNNNNNNNNNNNNNNNNNNNNNNNNNNNNNNNNNNNNNNNNNNNNNNNNNNNNNNNNNNNNNNNNNNNNNNNNNNNNNNNNNNNNNNNNNNNNNNNNNNNNNNNNNNNNCCAAUGAAGCAAAAUGUUUGAAGGCUAGCAUAAAAGAUGAAUCAUGGUGUUGGCAUAUGAGAUUUGGGCACUUGAAUUUUGGAGUACUAAAAUCCUUAGGAGAGGAGAAGAUGGUGAAAGGGAUGCCUCACAUCAACCAUCCUAAUCAAUUGUGUGAAGCAUGUCUCCUUGGAAAGCAUGCAAGAAGGAGUUUUCCAAAAGAAGCUAAUUCAAGAGCAAAGGAGCCUCUCCAACUUGUUUACACUGAUGUGUGUGGCCCAAUCAAUCCUCCUUCAUGUGGUAACAAUAAAUAUUUCUUGCUUUUUAUUGAUGAUUAUAGUAGAAAGACUUGGGUUUAUUUUCUAAAGCAAAAAUCUGAGGCAUUUGUAGUUUUUAAAAAUUUUAAAGCUCUUGUGGAAAAGGAGAGUGGUUAUGUAAUCAAAGCUCUAAGAUCCGACAGAGGUGGCGAAUUCACAAAGAAUUUAAUGAAUUUUGUGAAAAAUAUGGGAUUCGUCGCCCUCUAACGGUUCCUAGAUCUCAACAACAAAAUGGGGUAGCGGAGAGAAAAAAUAGAACUAUUCUUAAUAUGACUAGAUGUAUGUUGAAGGCUAAAAAUAUGCCAAAGGAAUUUUGGGCCGAAGCUGUUGCAUGUGCUGUUUAUUUGUCCAAUCGCUCCCCAACAAAGAAUGUUAAUGAUCAAACACCACAAGAAGCAUGGAUUGGAGUGAAGCCAAUAGUUGAUCACUUUAGAGUAUUUGGGAGCAUUGCAUAUGCUCAUGUACCCGACCAAGGAAGAUUCAAGCUUGAUUAUCGGAGUGAGAAACAUGUGUUCAUUGGCUAUGAUGCAAGCUCAAAAGGCUACAAAUUGUACAAUCCAAACAAUGGAAAGACAAUUGUGAGCCGAGAUGUCGAGUUCUAUGAAGAAGGCACAUGGAAUUGGGAGGAGAAAGAAGACACUUAUAAUUUUUUCCCGUACUUUGAAGAAAUAGAUGAAGAAGCCUUGACUCCAAAUGAUUCAACUCCAGCACUUUCACCAACUCCUUCAACCAAUGAAGCCUCAUCAUCUUCCGAAGGGAGUUCAAGUGAAAGGCCAAGAAGAAUGAGAAAUAUUCAAGAAUUAUAUGAUGAAACUGAAGUUAUAAAUGAUUUGUUUUGUCUUUUUGUUGAUAGUGAACCCUUAAACUUUGAUGAAACAAUGAAAGACAAAAGGUGGAGACAAGCCAUGGAAGAAGAAAUCAAAGCCAUUGAGAAGAACAACACUUGGGAGUUAUCAAGUCUUCCCAAAGGUCAUGAAGCAAUUGGAGUCAAAUGGGUGUUCAAAAUCAAGAAGAAUGCAAAAGGAGAGGUUGAGAGACACAAAGCAAGACUUGUAGCUCAAGGCUACAAGCAACAAUAUGGAGUUGAUUAUGAUGAAGUGUUUGCACCGGUUGCCCGCAUGGAGACCAUUCGUCUUCUUAUUUCCUUGGCAGCUCAAAUGAAGUGGAGAAUUUUUCAGCUUGAUGUAAAAUUGGCAUUUCUAAAUGGCUAUCUUGAAGAAGAUGUCUAUGUUGAACAACCAAUGGGUUUUGUCAUCGAAGGUCAAGAAGGAAAAGUCUUGAAAUUGAACAAGGCGUUGUAUGGUCUAAAGCAAGCACCGAGGGCAUGGAAUACUCGCAUUGACAAGUACUUCCAAGACAAUGGGUUUGUUCGUUGUCAAAAUGAGUAUGCUCUUUAUGUUAAAACUUUUAAUAAUGGUGAUGUCUUAUUUAUUUGUCUUUAUGUGGAUGACCUUAUCUUUACCGGCAAUAACCCAAAUUUGUUUGAAGACUUCAAGGAAUCCAUGUCUCGUGAAUUUGAUAUGACAGAUAUGGGACUCAUGUCAUAUUACUUGGGAAUGGAAGUGAAGCAAACGGAGAAUGGUAUCUUUGUCUCACAAGGAAGCUACACAAAAGAAGUGUUGAAGAAAUUUAAUAUGCUUGAUUGCAAUCCCGUGAACACACCUAUGGAAGGUGGCUUGAAGUUAUCAAAGUUUGAUGAAGGAGAGAAGGUAGACUCCACGGUCUUCAAGAGUCUUGUGGGGAGUUUAAGGUAUCUAACCAAUACAAGGCCCGAUAUUCUAUAUGCGGUGGGAGUUGUGUGUCACUUUACGGAGGCUCCUACCUCUCCUCAUCUAAAAACCACAAAAAGAAUUCUUCGUUACUUGAAAGGUACAAUUGAUUUUGGAUUGUUUUAUUCUCCCUCCAAUAACUAUAAGCUUGUGGGAUUUUGUGAUAGUGAUUUUGCCGGAGAUGUUGAUGAUAGAAAAAGUACUACCGGAUUUGUAUUUUUUAUGGGUGAUUGUAUUUUUACAUGGAGUUCUAAGAAGCAAGGCAUUGUGACACUUUCUACUUGUGAAGCCGAGUAUGUAGCUGCAACUUCUUGCACAUGUCAUGCCAUUUGGCUAAGAAGAUUGUUGGAGGAACUUUAGUUAUUGCAAAAGGAAAAUACAAAGAUCUAUGUUGAUAAUAGAUCUGCACAAGAACUUGUCAAGAAUCCGGUGUUCCAUGAACGAAGUAAGCAUAUAGAUACAAGGUAUCAUUUCAUUAGAGAGUGCAUUACCAAGAAAGAAGUAGAAUUGACUCAUGUGAAAAGUCAAGAUCAAGUUGCGGAUAUUUUCACCAAGCCUCUCAAAUUUAAAGAUUUUCGAAGAUUGCAAGCAAGACUUGGUGUGCAGAAGAAUUUUUCCAAUUAAGGGAGGAUGUUAGAUAUUAAUUAGAAAAAUAAUAAUAAGUUUUAUGAGCCUUAAAUUAUGGAAGAUGAAAGUUGUAAAGUUGUAAGUUACAAAGUCUUGAAUAAACAAUUAUGUGAGCAUUCAGUAUUUUUGAAUAAGCAAAUUAUGUGAGUGGUCACUCUAUUCUAGUAUAAAUAGGGGAUCAUACUCUUGUACGUAUUUUGUAUGGCAAAUGAAAUAAAAUCUUCUUCUUCUUCCAACAAUAACCACUGCAAAACAAAACAAGAGUCUACAAUCAAACUAUAAAAGUAGCUACGAAAAGGGAAGAAGAAAAACAAGUGUAGAAAAACUUACUAUGUUCCUAUUACUCUAUUUGUAUUGGUUUCAUCUUGAUCUAAUCCAAAUGUCCUAGCCAUACCAAAAUAUGAUAUUUUUGGGUUCAUAUUACUAUCAAGAAGAACAUUGCUCGUUUUGAGAUCCCUAUGAAUGAUCUUCAGUCUAGAGUCUUGACAAAGAUGGAGAAGUCCUCGAGCAAUUCCACCAAUAAUUUUAAAUUGCUUAGCCCAACCUAAUAAUGUACGUAGCUACUUCUAAAUUCACUUCUAAAUUAACUUGACAGCUAUUUCAUAGAAAUUUUUGUUUUCUAAAAAAAGGAUUAGAAUGUGACAAAGCUCCAACCAAAUAUAAAGUAAUCCAAGCUUCCUUUCUGCAUGAAUUCAUAUAUCAACAACUUCUCAUCUUGAUGGACAGAACAACCAAUAAGCUUUACGAGAUUGUGAUUUCAAAACUUUUGCAACCAACAUGACUUCAUUUUUUAACUAAUCCAAACCUUGUCCAGAUGUUUCAGAAAGCUUUUUGACUGCAAUCUGUUGCCCAUUUGGUAAUAUGCCGUGAUAAUGAUUUUUGAAAGAUUGAGAUUAUUUUGAUGAAGAAUGAGGGCAUAGAUUAAAUUUAAUUUCUGUACCUUGUACACGGAUCCAAAGCCUCCUUGUCCUAAUUUUUCACUUUGCGAAAAAGUCAUUUGUGGUUUUAGAAAUGAAUGAAAAACCAAAUAUUUGUAAAUCUAUGUCAUCCUUCUCACUCCUGUCCUUCGAGUAUUUUGUUACUGAGUGCUCAAAAUUAUUAGAAGAAGUUAUGCAAUAAAAGAAUAUAAAUAGAAGAGAUUAUCUUGGUCAUCUGUAACAGUAAUUAGAAUUUAAAUAGAAAUGAAGAUUAGUUACUUUCAUGUUCCACUAAUAAUCUAUUUAAAUUAAUAUAGAUAAAAUUGUUAGUAUUUAAUUAAUUAUUGUAACUUUACCAGCAUUGUUCCUCCUAUUUCUGUAGAUAAAAUAAGAACUCAGCAACAGAGCCCCACAAAUUGCAGCAAUGGUAGAAGCAACAAUCGUUGGUGUAUUCUCCUCGUGCCUAUCUACAGGUUCUUGACGGUUGGAACUUGGAACGAUUAAAAAAAAUCUAAAAUUAGAGUGAUCGUAGACUAUAGUUGAUGGGAAGACCUUGUCCACCAGUUUCAAAUUGUCUCAUGUCAAUGAGAUCUCCAAACCACAUGACACAACCACUAACUGUGCCUCUUAUGUCAGAAUUAGUAUAGGUCAUACAAGAACAAUUAGUCAAACACUUUACUCUGCAUUCCUCUAGACCAAUGCUCUCAUCCACCCAAGUAUAUGUUGUAUCUGGAACUUUCAGGCCUUCAAAUUUUACAAACCCAUCUUUGUCUACGUCGUUGCAACUUAACUGUGUAUUGCGGACACAUCCUUGACUCCAGUCAGAUGAAGCCAAUGCUUGUGGUGACUUUGGACUAAACCCUAUCAAACAUUGGCACACUUGUGUUUCUGUAAUCAUGCAAUUCCCAUAGGCUCCACAGAGACCAUAAGAGUCACAAAACUCUUUCAGUAGAAUCUAUGUGUUGUCCAACUUUGAUCACCCUCCCACCAUACAUAGCGAUAAACUAUACCAUUUUGGUUUACUACAGUUUUUUUAUGACAAAAUUAUUUAGAAGGCUAAACGUCAAGUAAAUCUCAUCUUUACUGCUUACAAAAUUGUAGCCAAAAAUGUUGUUAUUCUGUAGAUAAUGUAAUCCACUGAAAUAUAGGCCAUUCCAAGGUCCAAACGGCUAUACCUUUUUUGUUCCUUUUGUUACAUGAAGCUCAGGAUAGUUAUAGAGUUCUCAAACCCAAUAAACGUCUCCAGGAUAUGGAUCAUCUGGACUCUUCCAAGAAGUUAGUUUCCAUGAACGCUUCUGGGUUUGUUUCUCCCUCAUUUCUUAUGACAAGAUUGCCACUGUCCAAGAGCUCCACCACCGGAUUCUGUGCUUGUUUGCGAGAGUUGUUGGUGUAUCAAACCACAGAACCAUUUUGUGUGAUAACAAGAUUACCUGUGGUGUUGAUUGUUAAGAUGCCUGAGGAAUCAUUGAUGGGGUUGGCCCUAUUAGCAGCCCAAACCACUGACUGAAAUGGGAUGUUCUUGUACCAAAUUCCCAAGCAACGUUUCUGGGAACUACCUGGGCUGAAAAACCCAAGUUCAAAUUUUCCACCUUUCGACACCAAACUAUGUCCCAUUUAAUCCAGCAUACCUUUUUUCUCAACAAGGCCAUUCCAUAGAAAUCUCUGCUGAAUUCCUAUUAACUAUAUUCAGCACCUCCUUCAAGGCUUUGAAGAAGGAGAAGAAGAAGAGGGGCAGGAUGCCGGGAACAGAAUUUAUAAGUGUAAUGUGACCCCCCAUUGAAAGGUUCCUACCUUUCCAGGAAGCUAAUCUCGAGUCAAACACUUUAAUUAUCGGCUUCCAUGUUUCAUAUCUACAAGGAUUUGCCCCAAUUGGAAUUAUCUUUAAACCAGAGACCAUUUUGAAGCUGCGUAGAAUCACCUUUAGGGCCCAAGAGUUAUCAUGCGAUGCUUCUCCUAUGGCCAGGCAGUUAUCAGCAUACUGUAAUAUAGAGAAAAGAAUGUCUUGGCUGCAUGAAAGGCCUCUGAAUAUUAGGAAAAGAAAAGGGGACUGAGGGUCCCCUUGUAUGCCACAAAAGAUGCUGUUGUUGCCCGGGGUAGCUUUGCAUUAGAGAAAAACUCUUGAACAGCAUCAAACAAAUCCACUUCAAUAGUUUCCUAGCAGGACUUGAAAAUUUCCAAAGAAAAGCCAUCGGGGGCAGGACUUUUGGCCCCAUCACAGCUCCACACCGCUGCAACAACUGCAAGACCAAGCCUCCUGACAUCUUCCUGUGCUACCUCAAAAGAUAAGCCAUAAAAAUUGUUUGAUCCAUGUUGUACCUUGUUGAUCUUCGCCACCGGUGCGUUCUUCUUCUUCUAUGAAGUAGCAUUUACAUAAGUUACGUUGGGUCGAACUCUGUUUCUGAUGUCUUUCUGGUGAAGCGAUGAGUGGCCUACUUUUUGCAAACCCACUGAGACUAUCUUCUUCUUUUAUUACGGCUAAUUCAUCCUUGUCUCAUACUUCUGACCUCUGGCAAGCCUAGGGAGAUUUACCAUCAACCUUUUCUCCACAAAGAACUGCUUUUCAAGAGUAAGGCAUAGGAUGCAAAUGUUAGGGAAAAAGCUAAGGCUGGGCUUCGAGGGCCAGCUACCUCCAGAAUAACGAGGGAGAAAAGGAAACAAAGGUAAUUGUGGGCAAAAUUAUUCAUAUUCAUUGCUUGUUAUUUACAAUCCUAUAUAUAGCAUUCCUGAUAACAGAAUUGAUGCCAUUCGUACAAGGAAUAUUACGAAAGAUUGCGAAAUAUCAAAUUGGAUCAAAUUGGUUAUGUUGUGUCUGAAGGAACGAGACAGGCAUUCCCCAAGCAAGAUUUUCCUAACUCUACAUUUGCCCAAACUGCCCUCUGACUCAAGCGUAAUCUCGAAGGUACGAAGGCCUCAUAAUCUUUCUCUUAGAUUUUUCCUCUUUUUGCACCCCUGUAUUACUGCUUGUAGCUGAUGUCUCCUUCUUACUUGUUUCUGCUGGUCUAUCAUCCCUUGGCCCUUGCAGAACCACCUUGUCCUCAAGGUGGUAGUCUUCACGCAAUUGGUUCCAAUCUUCCCAGGUUGUCUCAUCAGGGGAUAACCCCGUCCACUGAACCAGGACCUGCCAUGUAUUAACGUCUACCGGAGAGCGUCUAUAAUCCAGGAUAGCUAAAGGAGUAACCAUGGGUUGAUCUCCCACGAAUUGCUGUGGUAAAGGCGAUGUGUCAACCUGCUCCGGUGACCUGUGAAAUGGUUUAAGACAAGAACAGUGGAACACUGAAUGAAUUUUUUCCUCUGCCGGUAGCUGGAGACGGUAAGCAACUUCUCCGACCCGUUCUAUAACCUGGAAUGGCCCAUAAUAUCGUUUGGCUAAUUUCCCAGAACUCGUCAGAGAACCCUUCGCCGAUGUUUGACGUCGUGGUCUCAAUCUAAGCAACACCCAAUCACCUGGGUUGUAGUGAAUUUCUCUGCACUUAUUAUCCGCAUACUUCUUCAUCUGCUCUUGAGCUUUGACAAGCUUCUUUCGAAUUUCUUGGAAAGUGUGGUCCCUGUCUAUGAGAAUUUCGUCCACCGCAUCGAUUUUUGAAGUUCCGGCAAUGUACUCCGAAAAAUUGAAUGGUUUGCGGCCAUAAGUUAUCUCAUAUGGUGAAGUACCAGUGCUAGCAGUCCACGAUGGAUUGUGGGACCACUCCACCCAUGGCAGCAAUUUCCCCCAAGUUCCCGGCCGCCGGUGUACGAACGCACGAAGAUAUUGCUCAAUUACCCUAUUCAACACCUCUGUUUGGCCAUCACUUUGAGGGUGAUAAGCCGAACUCAUCCUUAAUAAUGUCCCACUUAGCUAAAAGAGUUCUUGCCAAAAAUUGCUUAUAAACAACGGGUCUUGAUCAGAAACCAAACUUUGUGGUAAUCCAUGGAGCUUGACCACAAUGUUGAUGAACAACAGAGCCACCGUGUGCGCUGUGUGUGCUGAAGGAAGCGUGCCUAAGUGAAUUCCUUUAGAAAACCUGUCCACCACUACGAGAAUGACCGUAUGACCAUGAUACGCUGGGAGUCCGAUAAUGAAAUCUAAUGAGAGGUCUUCCCAUGGCUUGCUCGGAGCUGGUAAUGGACAUAGUAGUCCUGCUGCCCUCUAUGUCUCAUAUUUAGUAACUUGACAUUCUACACAAUUAGUCACAAAUUUCGUGACAUCAUCUCGGAUCCCUGGCCAAUAGAAGUUCUCAGUUAAUCGGGCUAAUGUCUUGACAAUUCCCGCAUGACCCCCAGUCGGUAUUGCAUGGAACUCAGUGAGGAGGACAGGGAUAAUCGGAAGGUCUCAGGUCAACCAUAUACGACCUUUAUGAAUGAUGAGGUCUCGUGUUACUGAGAAUUUAGGAUUAGUGGAGGGUGAUUCGCGAAUGUCCUGAAGCUUCUGCUGGUACCCACUGUGAUUAGUCAAUUGACAGCGCAAGUCUUCUAUGAAAGUCAAAGAAGGGACUGAAAGUAUCAUGAGUUUGGUGGCGAAUUGUUCCGGCAACCGUGAGAGAGCGUCAGCCACCUGAUUGUUCAAACCAGACCGAUAGUGGAUGACAUAGUCAUAUCCCAGCAAACGUGCGAGAUAGACAUGUUGUUCCAGCGUUUGGAUGGCCUGCGUCAAUAACUCCUUAAGGCUUUGAUGAUCGGUGAGGAUUGUGAAGCGUUGACCAAGCAAGUAUUGUCGCCAUUUCUUCACUGCAGUGGUUAUGGCGCAGAGUUCCCAUACAUAUGUCGAAGCAUGUAGCAGCUUAGGGGAAAAGGGUUUACUAAAGAAGGCUAUCGGUCUUCCCCGUUGCGACAAAAUGGCGCCCAUACCGACACCAGACGCGUCAGUCUCCACCGUGAAAGGCUGAGUAAAGUCUGGAAGGAUAAGAACAGGGGCGGUGGAUAAAGCUUCCUUCAGAUGAGUAAAAGCGGUCUAGAUUUGGUCCGUCCACACCAAAGGAUCCUUAGUGGUUGCCUUUACCAGAGGGUCAGCGAUAGUGGCAUAGCUUCUGAUAAACCGGUGAUAAAAUCCGGCGAGGCCAAGGAAGCUUCGUAAAGCUCUGGUUGAUUGAGGAAUAGGCCACUGACGAAUUGUCUCCACUUUAGAAGCAACAGGUUCCACCCCUCUUAUCGAGACCACAUGGCCAAGAUACUCAACUUCAGGCUGCGCAAAGAAGCAUUUAGAAAACUUCAAAACAAAUUGGUGUUCAAGCAAUACCUGAAAUGUCGUUUGUAGGUGAGAGAGAUGCUCAUCCAGGGAUCCACUAUAUAUCAGGAUGUCAUCAAAGAAGACGAUGACAAACUGCCGCAAAUAUGGCCGGAAUAUGGUGUUCAUAGUCGCCUGAAAUGACGACGGCGCAUUGUAGAGCCCAAAGGGCAUUACCUUAAAUUCGUAAUGCCCAUGGUGCGUGCGAAAUGCGGUCUUUGGAAUAUUGGCUGAAUGCAUGCGGAUUUGAUGGUAACCACUAAGCAAAUCAAGUUUUGAGAAGCAUCGCGCACCUCCAAGCUCAUCGAGAAGCUCAUCAAUGGUGGGGAUAGGAAAUCUAUCCUUCACCGUAACUGAAUUCAGAGCCCUGUAGUCUACGCAGAAGCGUCAUGAUCCAUCUUGUUUCCUGACCAACAAGACUGGGGACGAGAAAGGACUCGUACUGGGUUGAAUUAACCCUUUCUGAAGCAUCAACUCCACCUGAAGCUCAAUUUCACGUUUUUGAAAAUGGGGAUACCUGUACGGACGCACAUUCACAGGGGAAGAGUGGGGAAGGAGAUGAAUGUGAUGGUCCGUCUCUCUGGGUGGUGGCAACGAAUGUGGUUCCUGGAACAGAGAAGCAAAGUGGGUCAAGAGAUCUUUAAUUGCAGAAGGGACCUGGGUAGGUGUUUGUUGAGGAGUUUCUGACGAUGUCAUAGAAACAUGCAAGUAGAGAGCAUCUUCAUGCCGGCGACAAAACCGACGAAAUUGAGGAAGGGUAAGCAUGUGCAAGCUUGCGUCCCUGUCGCCAUUCAAUUGUACCAAACGUCCCUCAUGAAAGAAUUGCAUACAUAAGGUCGUAUAAUCCGUUAGGAUGGGCCCCAAGGAUUUGAGCCAUUGAACUCCUAGGACAACGUUGGCUCCGGCAAUAGGAAGCACAUACAAAUCAACUGUGAAUUGGGCUCCCUGAAUUGUGAUGGAGACACGUGGGCACAUGUGACUGCAGACCAAGUGUUGACCGUUGCCGAUCAUGACCCGUAAUGGAGGUAUGUCUUGACAUGGUAACCGCAAUUGCGUGACCAGCUGCUCUUGUAUAAAACUAUGAGUGUUGCCGCCGUCAACAAGGAGGAUGAUGUGGUGGUCUGAAAUGAUGCCCACCAAAUGCAGCAUUUCAGGGGCUACAUUACCCGCAAGAGUGUUAAGGCUAAUUUGGGCCGGGUUGAUAUCGGGUGGAUCAGGUGGGUCAGGGUCCGGGUCAGCUGGGUUUAAAUUGGGUAGAGGAGGGUCGUCUUCAGCAGCUAUGAUCAGAAAAACCCUAGAGGCACAUUUGUGUCCUCUGUGGUAUUUUUCGUCACACGAAAAACACAGACCACGUUCCCAGCGAGAAGCGACCUCUUCCGGGGAUAGACGUUUCACGGGAGGUGGGGUACGCGGCGGGGCAGUGAGUAAGGGUGCAGGCGCGGUUGAAAUUGGGGUGGGGAAGAAAGAUUUGGGUGAGGGAGUGGGAGGGGAAGGGCGGAUGAAAGGGCGUUGGGUCGUAGGUGCAGGGUUCCUGGGUUUAGGCGGAAGGCGGUGGUCCAGAAACUUCUCCUUCUGAAGUUUCGCAAGGCCCGCCGCCUGGGCUAAGGUGAGUGGUUGCAUUGCCUGGACGUCACGGCGGAUGUCAGGGGACAAUCCAGAAACAAAGCAGCUGAGAAGGAAGGGCGGUGGAAGCCCGACGACACGAGUUGCGAGGUCCUCAAAUUCUGCAAGGUAAUCCCCUACGGUCCCCUUCUGUGUGAGCUUGAAGAGGGCCCCUGUGGGGUCCUCAUAUUGUGACUGAGCAAAUCUAGCGUGUAGUGCUUGCAGGAAAACCGGCCAAGACGUAAGUUGCCCAUUGCUGGUCAUCCAUUGGAACCAAGCAAGGGCACGUCCAUCCAUGGCAAAGGAUGCAAUGGUCAAGCGGUCUUGAAAGGGGGUGCUGUGAUAUUAAAAAAACUGGUUUAUUUUAAAAAUCCAGCCGUUUGGAUCUGUGCCAUCAAACCGGGGCACAUCUAAUUUCAUUUUAUGUGUGGUUGCAGGGGAUGGGCUACGGAGGGGAGGGUUGGUGGAAUCGAAGGGAGAAUAAGAGGGUGAAGGUUGGGACGGAGGUAGACGAUGAAGCAACUCAUCGAUUUUGGUGGUGAGUGAGAGAUGUUGUUGAGCAAGAAGAAGCAAAACAUCUUCAAGCUUGGUGAUUGACCCAGGAGGGUCCGAGGCGGACAUGGCAACGAGAGCACCAAUUUGUUAGGGAAAAAGCUAAGGCUGGGCUUCGAGGGCCAGCUACCUCCAGAAUAACGAGGGAGAAAAGGAAACAAAAGUAAUUGUGGGCAAAAUUAUUCAUAUUCAUUGCUUGUUAUUUACAAUCCUAUAUAUAGCAUUCCUGAUAACAUAAUUGAUGGCAUUCGUACAAGGAAUAUUACGAAAGAUUGCGAAAUAUCAAAUUGGAUCAAAUUGGUUAUGUUGUGUCUGAAGGAACGAGACAAGCAUUCCCCAAGCAACAUUUUCCUAACUCUGCAUUUGCCCAAACUGCCCACUGACUCAAGCGUAAUCUCGAAGGUACGAAGGCCUCAUAAUCUUUCUCUUAGAUUUUUCCUCUUUUUGCACCCCUGUAUUGCUGCUUGCAGCUGAUGUCUCCUUGUUACUUGUUUCUGCUGGUCUAUCAACAAACGUCCUGUACAUCUACGAAUCGUGCGAAGCCAAAACGAUUUCCAUGUUUAUCCCUCUUCGCCGGAAUAAACACCUCUUGAAUUUCCCAGUAGCUUUGAAAAAUUUCCCACGUAUCUUUGGCAUUGAAAGAAUCUGGAAAAUUAGAUAAAAACAGAGUGCUUGUGUUCGAGUUGUCAUUUGUAGCCUGCUUGUGACUGCUACUAACUACAUCCAGGAUGUUCUUGUGGAAUCUUGAUUUUUUUUCCUAGUUUUUUCCUUGUGACAUUUGUCCGAUGUUUUUCCAUCACUCUCUUAUCAACUACAACUCUGAUUAGGACUAAAGAUAAAGAAGCUAUGCUAGAUGUGUCGGUUCUGAUGCAUUUCGGUUAUUCACACAAAUAAGUUUUACAGCAAGUUUCUUAAGUACAAAAAUUAUGGAAGCCCCUCAUUGAGAGAGUAAAAGGUUAUCAUGAAUUUAAAAAGACAAUUAGCAUCAUUAGCCUACACUAGUUGUAUAAACACAAACAUCCUUUAAUCAAACUUACAAGUAGUCGGAAAAUAAAAAUUGCAUAUACAUUAUAUUUUAUUAUAAAAGUUGUUAAAAACCCCAUUUUCUAAGACUCCUCCUUGAGAUUUUUGUUCAAUACUCCAAGCUUUGAUUUCUAAACUUAAAACUUUGCUUUGGUAAAGGGUUUUGUUGUAAUGUUUGCAAUAUCAAUAUUUUUUUAAUUGCAGAGCUCUAAGAUGGUUUCCUUUGAUUUCUUUGGUUCUCCUAUAGAACUAUACUUCACUUUGAUGUGUUUAGUCCUUCCAUUUUGAAUAGGAUUAUUUGUUAUGACAAAAGCUGACUUGUUUCCCAUUUAAAUAGCAGUCAAUGCAUUUUGAAUUUGGCAAACAUCUAAUCAAAUCUUCCUUAGAUAAAUGUUCUUGUAGCACUCUUUCACGGGUUAAAUCAGAUCAUAGCCUAACUUUUGUGCAGUUUCAGAAAACUGAAAAGGUUUUUGCUUCACCUUUUAUGUUUCUAAAAAUUUGGACUUCCCAUACUGACUGUUAGAGACUGCAGGUUUCAGAGGUCUGGAAUAAGGAGGUUGUUGGCUGCCCCAUGUAUGUGUUGAGCCACAAAUUAAAAUGUUAGAAAGCUGAACAAAAAAGGCUAGAACAUAUUAGUGUUAUUAUUAUUUAUUUUACCUUAGUUUUAGUUUUAUUUUCAUUCCUUACUAUUUUUCAAAAGUUACUUAUAAAAAUAAUUGUAUGUUUCUAACAUUAAAUAUUAUUUUUAUGUAUUUAUUAACUUAUUAAAGAUGUCACCAAUUAUUUGUAUUUAUUAUUAAUCUUUAAUAUAAUAUUAACUAUUACAUUCUAUUUUUUCUUUGUAAUAAUAAUUAUAUUAUUACAUCUAUUUCAAAUUAAUAAUAUUUAAUUGAUGUUUAUUAUUCUUUAUGGUCUAAAUGUAUAAGGAUAUUAAGUUAUAACUUCUUAUGAUUGACCUUUAUAAAAAAUUGUUGUAUUAUUAUUGUUAUUAUUAUCAUUAUUCUUAUUAUUGUGUAAUAUUUAUUAUCAAUUUAAUUAUUUAAAUUAUUUAUUGUAAGUUUUAUCAUAUAUUUCAAAAAUAAAAAUAUUUUUUUAAAAUUAAUUGUGUUAAUGAUAAUUGUUAAAUUAUUUACAUUGAUAACUUAUAUUUUAAAGAAAAUAAAUUAUUCAAUUGAUAGUUAAAAAUUAUCAUUCAUAUAAUUCGACAAUUGAUUUGAGUAGGAAAAAUAAAAAUUUGUAAUGAAAUUAUUCAAAAUAUGAUUGAUAAAAAAAUUAAAAUUGUCACAAUAAUAGAAUCUCUUCAUGUUUUGUUGAGCAAAUAUAAUGUAAAAGUAAGAUUUACAAUACAGUAGUUAUAGAAGAAAAAACAUGAAACAUAUAUAAAAAUCUGAACAAUAAUAAUAAUAAUUAAAACAUAUAAUAACAUAACACUAAAAUGAAGAAGAAAGAACAAUCGAAGCAAUUCUUGCAAAGCAGAAAGAAAAAAAAAUAAUGAAAGACAAAGAAAAAAAUGGUUCAUGUAACAACUUUUUAAUAAAAGCAUAACAUUGAUCAACAAAAAAUAUUUUAAGAAAUAAUUAGUCCUAAAAUCAAAAUAUAAAUAAAAAACAAUAUAAAUAAAAAUUUAAACAAUUUUUUUUUUAUCAAUGAUGAAUAUAGAUCCACAUUAUACUUUAUUAAUCUAAAAGAUAAAUUUUGAUUUUUGAUGAUGAUCGAUAACAUGUUCAAAGUAUCAUUUCAUACAUAUAAAUGAACAAUAAAAGAAAUUAUGAUAUCAUAUCAAAACAUAAAUUAACAUAACAAUAAAAUUAAGAUAAAAAAACAACAAGGGUGAUAUUUGAGAAGAAAAAAUAAUGAUAAAAGACAAAGAGUAACAUAUACCUUAUCAAAUAUGGUACCCAAUUUUCACUUGUCAUUCCUUAUAAAAUGUAUUUGAUAAAUUAUUCAUAAAAUAAAUUUUUAAUAAAAAUAUGAUAUUGAUUCAAAUGUACAUUCAAUAUCGCAAAAAUCAUUAAAAAAAGUUAGACUCAAAAUCAAAAUAUAAAUAUAAAUAACACUAAAAUAAAAAUUUAAACAAAUGAUUUUUUUAUCAAUUAUGAAUAUAGAUCCACAUUUUACCUUACCGAUUUAAAAGAGUUAAAUUCUCAAUUUUAAUGAUGAUCAAUAACACAUUUAAAUAUAAUUUUUAUACAUAAAAAUAAAAAUAAAGAAUGAAAGAAAUCAUAUUAUAAUAAUGAAUAAAAAAGGAAAUAGAAAGCAUACUAAAAAGAAAUUGUGUGGAUAUUUACAAUCCUUUAAAGUAGAAUUUAUAUAAAAAUGAAAUCAUCAAUUUGAUAAUGAACAUGAAGAUGAUAAUGCAAUUUUAAUUAUAAUCAAUUACUAUAAACAUUAUUAACUUUAAAAAUAAUUUCAUUAUUAAAAGCUUUAAAUAAUAGUAAAUUUUUAUAAAGAAUCAACUGAAAAAAGCAAGAAACAAAUAAUAUAUUAUAUUAUUUUAACAUAUAAUAAUAAUGUCUAUUACUUUAUUAUAUAUAAAAAUAAUAACGUCUUAGACAAUUUUAAUAUAUAUAUAUAUAUAUAUAUAUAUAUAUAUAUAUAUUAUUUUACCGUAUAUAAUAUUAUAAAUGUUUUUAGUUGUUUUGUGAAAUAUAUACUUUAAUGUAUCUUAAAUUUUUUAAAAAUAAAAUUAAGCUUAGUGAAAUAUUUUUUAAUUUACUAUUAAUGUGAUAAUUAUUAUUUAAAAUAGUAUCAAAAUUAUAUAAAUAGUGCUAAUACAUUUAAAUGACCAUGGAUAAACUUAAUUAAAAUUAUAUUUGACAAAUAUGUUAACUUAGAGCUUGAAUUUAUUUAUUUAUUUUACAUAAAAUUCAAUCUUAAAACUCAUUCAUGUAUAUAUAAUGGUUUCAUAUUAAUCUUAUUUAAUAUGAUUCAAUAAUAUUUUAAUACAUAUAACUAUUAAGUCGUUAGCAAGUAUAUCAAUUUGUUACAAAUAGUAAAGUUAAAAUGAAAGUCUAGUAUCAAAUCCAGGUGAACUUUGUUUGUAAUGUAUAUUCAAUUUGCAAGCAAGCAAGAGAUAAUUAAUAGAUAAGAAGCAAGAAAGAAUUUGAAUGUAAAAAGACAAGAGUAAUAACAUAUUGGUAUUCAUUGAAUAACUUCAAUGUGGUAUUAAAAUAAUCUAAUCUAUCAUUUAUUUACAUGUAUCUAAUUAGUUCUAAUCUAAAUAAUUAACAUUGAAUAUAACUAUUAAUAACUUUAUAUGUAAAUAUAUAUGUAUAUAUCUAAUUUUUAGAUUUUUUAUUUUCAUAUUAUAUUAUAUUAUUUUAUAACUUUAAAGUCAUGAAUUUAAUUUAUUAUUUUUUUAGAAAUAUAUUUUAAAGUGACUGAUUAUAAAAAUAAAUAAAUUUAUGCAUAGAUAGUAAUAUUAAAUUAGUGUAAACUUUUAGAUUUAUUUUAUUUAAUAAUUUUUCCUUCAUAUUAAUUAAAUAUGUAAAAUUAAAUAUUGCAAAUAAUUUAAUUUUUUUAUUAAUAUGAGAAAUUAUUGAUUUUAUUAAAAUAUACUAAGGGUUACUAAUGAGUGUUACUUUUAAUUAAUACUGUGACACUGGAAUGUUUAGAUCUAAUAUGUUGGAGUCAUUUGUCAAAAUAAGAACAUCUAACACUUUUCUAUGUACAAUUAGAAAAGAGUUAUUAAUUUUUUUUUCAAAUUAUCAAAAUAUAAUAUACAAAUCUCUUUAAUUUUAUUUUAUAUCACUUUAUAUGUUUUUAUUUUGAAUAGUUUACAAUUUUUAUUUAUAUUUUACCAAUUUAUAAUUAAAUUUCAUAAACUAAUAUCUAAAUCUUUUACGUAAUUAUUUUAAUUUUAUUUUAAUGUACUGAUUAUUUUUACUCUAAUUAUUUGCGUAAAACUAAAAAUAUUUAUAUAUUAAUUAUUUUUUAUUUUUAGUUAAAUUUUUUUGAUAAUUUGAAAAAUAAUAAAUCUUGACUAAUGAUCCAUAGAAAAUAAUGUUAAUAUAGUUAAUUAAACCAAACAAGUGUUUUACUACCUUUACUAUAAAUAAUUUUACGUAAAUAAUUAGAGUAAAAAUAAUUUAUAUAUUAAAAUCAAUUUACAAAAAAAUUAUGUACAAAUUUUCAUAUUAAUUUAUGAUAUUUAAUUAUAUAUUGGUACCAUAAAAAUAAAAAUAUUUAAACUAUUCAAAAUAAAAAUUAAAAAUAUUUAUAUAUUAAAAAAUGAAUUUAAAAAUGUUGAUAAUUUGAAUAAAAAUACUCUUGUCUAAUAAUAGAUGAAAAAUAAUAUUAAUGUAUUUAACUAAACAAAACAAAUGUAUUAGCGAUUUAUUGUUUUGUUUAUGAAUAAAAAGUUAAUAGCUAGUUCAAAAUAAGAUCCUGGUCAAUAUCAAGAUGUCACAUUAAAGUUAACAUUUCACUCUGGAUAAUCAAGAUACAAAACGAGUAAAAUUACAAUUUAACCUGUUAUAAAAGGUACUCCUUCUAUUUUUAUUUUAAUUGCUAGAUUUUUUUAAAUAAAAUAUUUUUAUUUAUUCAUCAUCUACAAAGUUAAUGAUCACAUUAAUUAUAUUUUACUUAUUUUUUAUUUUAUAAUUAAUUUACCUAUGCAUUUAUUUGUGAAGUCGAAAAAAAAAGAGAUAAAAUAAGAAACUUUACAACCAUUUUAUCAUAUUCAAAAAACUUUAUUGUAUUUUUUUAUUAAAACAUAAAAACUUUAAAAAUAACAUGAAAAGGAAUGGAGAGAAUAUAAAUAUAAGUAUCAUCAAUAAUAACUCUAAAUUAGUGGUAAUUGAUAUUAAAAAUUUAAAUAAAUUAUAAAUAAUUUUUAUUUGUAUUACUAUUAAAGCCACAAGUAACAAAUAAUAGAAAUUAAGAUAAUAUUAUAAAAUUUAUUUAAAAUAUCAUUAUGAAUAAGUUGAUUAAUAAAUACAAUAUAAAAAAUCAUAUAUAUAAACAAAUAUUAUAUAUAAUCUUCAAUCAAAUGUGAAUUGAAUAAAAAUAACAGUAAUAGGGAAUACAAACCUGAUUUUACGCCACCAAGUUUAUUCAAAAUUUGGAUCAGUUCCCUUUAUGCUACUUGUGAAUUGUUGGGAUGAGUGAAGGACAACUCAAAUGAAUAAAAUGACAAAAGAAAUGAUGAUUCUAUAGGCUAAGAUUUUGAAAUUCAUUUAGCAACAACUUUUGUCUUUUUCUGGGAGGUGGUUGCAUCAUUUUUUCUCCCUUCUGCUGACAUUAUUCCUUUCUUUCUUUUUCCUUCAUUUUCUUCAAUUUCCCCAGUGCUUCCUAGCCGACCAUUCUAUAUCCCCUUUAUAUACCCAGCGAUAUCCAUAUUUCUUCACCUCAGCAUAUGAUUCUUUGAACCUUAUCCCUUCAUUAUCACAUUUCAAAAGCAAUCUGCCAAGAUAUUUGUGCUUCAGAUGGAAAUAUUCAAUGAACCUUCCUCGACCAACAAAGAAUAGCCACAUGUGAUCUGAUUUGUCUAAAACAAGUUCUAGAUCUACAUCUUCAUAAAAAUCCACUGGAAUAUCAUUAUAAUCAGGGUAGUUCCCUUCUGUCUCUGAAAAACUCAUUGCUGAGAGUGUUUCAUGAGGUACGACGAAUAUUGCACAAAACGCAACGCCAAUCCAAUUAUGGUCAUGCAUAACAGGAGAUGCGUCUAAGCUUACACAAUUUCCCUCAUGCUCAUUAUUGAACCACCUUGGUAUUUCACUUCCUGGACUAACAACUCUACUAACAUGGUAGAACGGACAUAAGUAUAACACCUGGUACAGCAGAGACAUCUCUAUGUUAUUUCCUGAUUCCUAUUCACAAAAAAGGAGAGAGAAAGAGAUGGCAGGAGCAAAGGAGGAACAUGCAAACCUGACACGAUUGCAUCGUCCACGAAAAAGCCAUGUCAGUGCAGCGUUCCCUAUCAACUAAUUCUGGGCAGUUAAAAAUGUAUAAUCCUGCUUGUCUUAGUCUAUCAAAAUUGUAAAUCCGUGAAGGGAGCUCAGGCAAAGAUUUCAACUGCUUGCAAUGUUGUAACUUCAAACAGACCAGUUUGGAAAGCUUCUUGAGGUUGGGCAGUGUAGCAAAAUUGUUACCACUUAAAUCUAGCCUUUGUAAGCAACACAUAAUUCCAAUAGCAUCAGGGAUUUCAACUAAAUUACAGAAACUUAGAUCAAGUUUAAGCAUACAUGGAAAUAUUGGGGAGGAAGGCAUUAAGCAACUAACUGAUUUUUUAUGUUCUCUGGAGUAGGAAGAUGUUGAUUGGAAAUGAAUAGGAGCUCCAUCUAUAUCAAUCUUCUUCAAUUGCUCUGCAUCCCUUAGUUCAUAUAAUAACUCGGUGUUGUACAGUUUUGAACAGCCAGAGAGAUUCAGAUCUUCAAGAGAAUUGAGGCCUAGUAUGCUAUUGGGUAAGCUUACUAGAUUUUUGCAGUUUUUCAAAUUCAAUCUUCUGAGCUUUUUUAGAAGACCGAUGGAUGGAUCAAUGUGUCUGAGUUUUUGACAUCCUCCGAGAAGUAGCUUUUCAAGAAUUAGGUCCUCUCCAAACUGUGGCAGCUUGAUAAGACUUUUGCAAUUUCUCAAAUUCAGAGAAGUAAGCUUUGGUGAAAGAACAAUGGACAGACCGAUCUCUUCGAGUUGUAUACAUCCUUCGAGAUCAAGACUCUCAAGAUAUAGGGCAUCUCCAAUAUAUGGCAUUUUAAUUAGAUUUUUGGAGCCAGAGAGAUCCAAACGCCUCAAAUUAGGUAGAGGCUACAAUGCAAGGCCAAUAGUAGGAAACAAAAUUAAUAAUGACAUUCAGCCUUUCUUUUGUUUCUUUAAUUAAAUAGAGAAAAAGAAAUUAUCAUAAGAAAGUUUGCCUUUUUAUUUGUUUAUUUAAAUAAAUACAAUAUAGAAAAAUAAUAAUAAUAAUUGAUAUUACCUUUGUGCCUUCCCAAAGUUGUUUGAUGUUGCUUUUAGGUAGAAUCAACUCAACAAGUUUGUCGGGCUCAAAACUUGGUGGCAAACACUCAAAAGGAUACUUUUCCCAACCAAGAUAUCCUAAUUCAUUGGAAAGCUUAACAAGUGUUCCUGAAAAAAAAUUGAUUUUGACGUUAAAGUCCAAAUGGUCAAGUUUGAGAAGCUUAAGGCAACUCAUUGUUGAUAGAACAUCGACCCUCAUUGUUGAAAUUGUUCGAAGAAUGUCAGAUUUUUCUAUAAGAAAUAUGGCCUCCACAUUGUCUGCUGCCUUGAACAUUGCAAAGAGGAAAGAAAAAGUUAGAUCUUUGGAAGCAUUUACAAAUUCUAGAAUAAUAGGAGGACUUUAUAUUUAUAAAUUAUUCUACCUUAUUAUCUGACAUAACUUUAAGGAUAUCUUUAACAUCCCACAACCUGCUCCACUUCCAUGGUUUCCUAGGUGAUUUUUCUCUAACAAUAUACUUGCCCAAAUCGCACAACAAGUCAUGCAUUUGAAUCUGCCUCGAAUCCAUGGUUAUGAGUGAUUUAUCAACGAGAACUUGUAGGCCAUAUUCGGGAUUAAAUCCACGAAAAUCUAGAACUUCCUUCACAUAUUUCACAGGAUAAUGGUUGAAGAAACAUGCAAUAUCUAGAAAUAUUUCCUUGUGUGUAUCCUCUAAUUGAUCAAAACUUAUUCGCAACACAUUCAUAAUACUUUUACUUUUAUUUUCUCUUAACAAAGCCAAUGCACUCCUCCAAUGUAAGACAUCUUUAUCAAAUAAAGAUGAGCCUAGCACUUCAAUUGCUAAGGGAUGACCUUGACAAUGUGAUAAUACAUCAGAAGUCAACUUUUCAAAAUCACUCAUCAUAUAAUUAUUUUUAAAUGCUUUUUUGCAAAACAAUCCAAGAGCAUCAUUGUCAUUCAAUGGCUCCACUCGGUAAAUAACAUCUACUCCAUGUGCCUUCAAUAUUUGUUGAUCCCUAGAAAUUAUAAUGACUAUGCUCCCUUUACCUAAGCAUUUACGUAACAGAUCAUUUCUACCCCCUGUAAACAUAUCAAGCUGUUUAUCUUGAUCAACAUUGUCAAGAAUUAUAAGUGCCUUUGCAUUGGAUAGCCUCUCCCAUACCAGAAGUGUUCCAUUAGAUACAUUGCAAAUCUUUAGAUUUUUUUCAUUUAGAGACUGAGAAAGUAACUCUUUUUGUACACCUAAUGUACCAUAACCUUGAUAAAGUUUACUUACAUCAUCAAUAUAACAACGAGAAUUAAAUUGAUGAGAGAUUCUUUCAUAUAAAGCUUGACCAAGAGUGGACUUUCCUAUUCCACCCAUCCCAGUAAUUCCAACAACUCGAACAUCAUCAUUAACCAGCCCCAGACAUAUUAGCUUUGAUAAUGUAGCAAAAUGAGAUUCCAUCCCAACUAGAUUAUCAUAUGGAAGAGUAGAAAAUUUGCAACCCAAGAUAUUUUUUAUCUGCUGAACAAUUUCUUCAAUCACUGCAUGUUGUUGCCUAAAAGUUUAAAGAAAACAAAGAAUGACAAAUCAUCACUUAAGGGAAUCAAAACAGAGCGUACAUGCAUAGAAGAAGACAAUAACAUAUAUAGUACUUUUUUUCAUUUUUAAAAUAUUAUUUGUAUUAAACAUGUAUAAUAAAUGUUGAGCCAAUCUCCAGUUUAAAGGUUGUAAUAAGUAAUACAUUCAAGAUAACAGCAUUAGUAAGAAAUGAUAAAAAUAUAUUGUAUAUGCUCGUAACAAACCAACAGAAGAUUACUUACUUAUUUUUUAUAUCCCAACCAGAGAGAUUGCCUACAUCGUUCAGAACUUCUCUCCAUGUUUUAAUUUCCUUGUCUUCGAACCUGGAACUUUGUUGGUGUUGGGCAAAGGCUUUCUCAUAGUCUCCACUCUGUUUUCGCACUUGUGAUGGAUCAACAUCAUAGAAAAUAGGCAGAAGAUGUCUGGGUGAUUUUUGAAUGCAAUCCCAGAUAUGUGCUAGUUCACGCAGGCACCAAGUUGAGGAAGCAUAGUCCUUGGAAAAGACAACAAGGAAAACAUGAGACCCUUCAAUGGCUCGUAUUAGCUCUGGUGCUAUGGAUUCGCCUUUCCUGAUAUCUUUAUCAUCUUUGAAGGCCUCGAUGCCUUGUUUUUUCAGAGCUUCAAAAAGAAAACCGGUGAAGCUGUUGCGUGUGUCUUCACCGCGGAAGCUCACAAACACGUCAUACUCAAACGAAGAAGAAGAAGAAGAAGAGGUGCAUUGGAUGAUGGCAUUAGAAGUAGAAGCCAUUUCAAUUGCAAAACUGUGAAGGAAGAAGAGCAAGUGUUUGUGGAUACAAAUAAUGAAUCAGCUACUGAACCCACUUGCUAAUGAAUGGAGGGUUCAGAUGAUGUGAGUGGGCUCAUGCCACAUAUCUAACGGUGACGAAGGGAGGUUCGUGGAAAACGAGUUAUGAAUUUCCCCCUAAUAAUUGAACGAAGACUUCGUUGAUGUUGCUGCUUCAUCAUUUCGUCGGUGCUUCCUAUCAAACAUUUUUUUUAAAAUAUUUUUAUGUCUUUUUCUUUUACUCGUAUUUUUAUUGUUGACUCUCGUUAAGUACAAAAACAUGAAAUAUUAUUUUUCUAAUUGUUACCUUCUCAAAAUAUCUGGUUAUUGAGUUUGUUACUUAAAUUUAGGUUUUUUGUUCCUAAGGCAUGAAAUAUUGAAAUGUGUUAUUAAAGGAAUUAUGUUAAAAGGAUUAUCUAAGAUUUUUUUGAAGAGAAGGAUUAUUAAUAUUUUAAUAUUUAGGUAUAUUUAGUUAUUCAUAUAUGUAAGGAACAUAUUUCCAUCUAGUUUUGUAUGAAGUUCCUUAUUUUAAUUUGGGUGUUAUUUCGUAGUAAUUUCUCUUAAUUAAGAACCUUGGGACAAAAUUAAUUGUUAGAGUAUUCACUUUUUCAUAAAGUUCAUUUUACUUCAUGCGGAAUCAAGUUGGACUUCUUUUUUCACUUUUUUCAUAAUUCUGUUUUGCACCCCAAAAUUAAAAUAAGUAACUCUCAGCCUGAUUGAUAAUUUGCGUUCAGUUGGUAACAUUUUGUUAUAACUUAAGGUAUUUGAGACUUAUUACUUGCUAUCAAAUUAAUUAUGUGCUACGGGGUCAGUUUACUUUUGGGGGCAAAACCAUACCUUCAGUUAUGACUUUAUGUCAAGUCAAGGAUCAAAUCUCAAACUUUGAUUAAGAGAUAUAAGUAUCGAACUACUUCUGUCAAUAAUUUGUUAUACUUUGUAUUAUUAUUCAUAUGUUUAAUUAUUAAUUUUAUCACUUUAUUUAUUUAGAAUGUUCAAGAAGGUCUUUUUAUUCUUAAAAAUUUGAAUCAAAUUCUAUUUUUAAAAUUUUCUUAAUGUGUGUGGUUCUUUAAUGUUUGAGUGUAGUUCUUUGUUUUUUAAGAAUGCCUCAAUAUGAUAUUUUUUUCCCGAAAUUUAUAAUUAAUAUCGUCAACCUCACUUAAACAAAAAGGACAACCAUGCCCAUUGAGGAAUUUUAAAAAAAUAAAGAAUUACAUUCAGAUAUUUUAUAAAAUGCUAACCCUUAUUGAAAAUUUUUGAAAUAAAAUAACUUAUUGAACAUUUUAAAUAAAUAAAAUUAAGCAUCAAAUUGAUAAUUACAUAUUAUUAUUAUUAUUAUUAUUAUUAUUAUUAUUAUUAUUAUUCUCUUUUACCACUGAUUAACUAUUUUAAUCCUAAUGCACCUUCUUGUUUUUUUAAUCAAAAAGUGUGGUUUAUUCUUUGGAUACCCAGGACAUGACCUAGGAAAUUUAAAUGUGUGUCUAGUUUGAGUUGUAUUUUUCAUAAUCAUAUUUAAUUACUAGUUAACAUUUUACUUUACAUAUUAAAUAAUUAAAAUAAUUUAGUGCCUCAAAUUAAGUUUUUGUGUUCCAUAUUUUAGUUUGAGCAUUGUUUUGUAGAAGCUUCUCUCUUAAUUAAGAAUUUUAAGACUAAAUUGCGUUGUUAUCAGGGUAUUCACUCUUUCAUAACGUCUAUGUUGCUCGCCAUAGUUUAGUUUUCUUUUUUCACUUUAUUACAAAGCUAAUGUGCAUNNNNNNNNNNNNNNNNNNNNNNNNNNNNNNNNNNNNNNNNNNNNNNNNNNNNNNNNNNNNNNNNNNNNNNNNNNNNNNNNNNNNNNNNNNNNNNNNNNNNNNNNNNNNNNNNNNNNNNNNNNNNNNNNNNNNNNNNNNNNNNNNNNNNNNNNNNNNNNNNNNNNNNNNNNNNNNNNNNNNNNNNNNNNNNNNNNNNNNNNNNNNNNNNNNNNNNNNNNNNNNNNNNNNNNNNNNNNNNNNNNNNNNNNNNNNNNNNNNNNNNNNNNNNNNNNNNNNNNNNNNNNNNNNNNNNNNNNNNNNNNNNNNNNNNNNNNNNNNNNNNNNNNNNNNNNNNNNNNNNNNNNNNNNNNNNNNNNNNNNNNNNNNNNNNNNNNNNNNNNNNNNNNNNNNNNNNNNNNNNNNNNNNNNNNNNNNNNNNNNNNNNNNNNNNNNNNNNNNNNNNNNNNNNNNNNNNNNNNNNNNNNNNNNNNNNNNNNNNNNNNNNNNNNNNNNNNNNNNNNNNNNNNNNNNNNNNNNNNNNNNNNNNNNNNNNNNNNNNNNNNNNNNNNNNNNNNNNNNNNNNNNNNNNNNNNNNNNNNNNNNNNNNNNNNNNNNNNNNNNNNNNNNNNNNNNNNNNNNNNNNNNNNNNNNNNNNNNNNNNNNNNNNNNNNNNNNNNNNNNNNNNNNNNNNNNNNNNNNNNNNNNNNNNNNNNNNNNNNNNNNNNNNNNNNNNNNNNNNNNNNNNNNNNNNNNNNNNNNNNNNNNNNNNNNNNNNNNNNNNNNNNNNNNNNNNNNNNNNNNNNNNNNNNNNNNNNNNNNNNNNNNNNNNNNNNNNNNNNNNNNNNNNNNNNNNNNNNNNNNNNNNNNNNNNNNNNNNNNNNNNNNNNNNNNNNNNNNNNNNNNNNNNNNNNNAUGUGCAUCCAUUACAAUUGCCAAAAGUGGAAGCAACCUUGGGGAGAAAAAUGUGUGUGAUUCUAAAAAGUCAUUGAUUGCGGUUGGUAUGGACUAUGGGUGUAAGUGGAUCCGAUCCGACCCACAAACCUGUCCAAUUCAACUAGUUUUUAUAGAUUGGAUUGAGUUAUUGAAUAAAAUUAGUUUUAAUUUAAUAAAAUCGAUUAUAAUUCGAUUGGGUUGUGGGUUUGAAGUUUUGAAUCCAAUCAAAACUUAAUCUAAUCCAAUCUAACAUGAUAUUAUGUUUUAUGAUUAUAAUUAUGUUGAGUUACUAAACAAUGUUAUGUUUUAAUAUUAUUGAAUUCUAUUAGUGAUUAUUGUUCAUCCUAUGAAUAUUAUUUUUCUCAUUUUAUGUCAAACAAAAUAUCUUAUUAUUGGUUGAACGUAUGAUUUUUUAAAAUUUUUUCCGAGACUUGUUUGACAAUUUUUUUAUGACUCUACCGGGUAACUAAUCUAAUUAAAGUUGGAUUGGAUUAAAGUUGAAUUAGAUUGUAUUGGGUUCACAAGAAAAAAUUAAAUUUAAUCUAAUCUAACUUAAUUAAAUUUAAUUGGAUUGAAUUAAAAAAUAGACAAAACUAAAUUCAAUCCAAACCACUUACACCCCUAAUUUGGAUCAUGUUUCUUGGCAGCUUCUCUCUUGAAUUGCAUCAAUUUUCACUUUGCCAUAAUGUCUAAGUUGCUUCCUCUAUACGUGGUGGUCAACAUGGUUUCUUUUUUCCGCUUUACCAGAAGAAGAAAAACUACUAAUAUAUGAACAAAUGUACUUUUCCAUCGCUCUAUUUUUUCUACUGAAAAUAAUAAGUUGAUCCAAUAGUGUUUCAUGGUUUGCGCGUUCAGGAUGUAAAUUUUAUAACUUAUUUAAUUUGCAAAAGUGCAGAACAUUUCUAAAAGUAUUUUAUAGUAUAAGGAGACAAAGCUUUAGUUAUUACCAAUCAAUACUGCACCACAAUUACUAUAAAAUUAAGGUAUAAAAUAGCUAUUAUCAAUAAUAUCAUUACAUUAAUGAAAAUUGAUAUUAAAAUACUAAUAAAAUAAAUUUGGCUAUCCAAUUUUUGUCUAUGAUUUUUAUAAAUAUGUAAUUUUAGUUCCUCUAUUUUUUAAUUAAUUAAGACAUUUUAUCUCUCACUUUUAAAAAUUUCAUAAUUUUACUCCUCCUAUUUUUAAAUUGAGGUUUUCUGUUCCUCACCUUUAAAAUACUCUUAGUCCCCAUGGUCUAUUUCAAACAUUACUCUUAGUCCCCAUGGUCUAUUUCAAACAUUGAUUAUGUAUUUUUUGAUUCAUUUUUUUAUAUAAAUUAAGUUUAUCAUUGAUAAAAUAGAUAAAUAAUCACAAAAGGAGUCUAAUUCACUUAGUUAAACACAAUAUGUGAGUCUUGUUAACCUCAACCGUAUUUAAUUCCUACAUAUAGAAAAUAGAUAAAUAAACAUAUAACACAUCUGAGUCAAUGUUAACCUAAUACACAUCAAUGUUUGAUAAUGAUUACACAAACAGACAUGGGUGCGAGCCUCCCCCUUCCUGGGAACUUUUCAUGCAUAUACAUAUAUAUAUUUUUAAAUUAAUUAUAUAAAAUUAUUUUUGUAUGGUGUUAUUAUAAUAAUGAUUAAGAUUAGUUUGUGCAAAAUUGUGUAAAAUUAGUUAUAUUUUUUGUUUGCAAUGUAUAAAGUGAUAACUAGUGUAAAACAAGUUGUGUGUUUAUUAUUAUCAUCGUUUAAUAUAAAAUUAGUUUCAAUUUUAUGUAUAAAAAUAAUAAUUUUUUAAGAAGAUAUUAUUUAUUAAAAGUUAGACAUUUAAACAACUAUAAAGAAAGAAAAAGAAAAUUGAGCCUUAUUUAUAAGAUUUCUGGAUCCGUCACAAGUUAUGGGGACUAAAAUUGCAUUUUUUUAAAAUGGGAGACAAAAUGUUUCAAUAAAAAUAGAGGGAUAGAAAUUAUAAAUUUUUAAAAGUGAAAAACAAAAUGUUUCAAUUAAAAAAUAUAAGAACUAAAAUCUUAUAUUUAAAAAAAAUAGAGAAAUAAAAAUUAAAUUUUAACCAAUAAAUUAUAUUAAUAAUUAUUGUUCAGGUAAUAGUAUUAUAAGUUAAAAAUAAUAGUAAAAUAAUAUUAUAAAUUUUUUUAAAACGUCAUAAUUUGAUUAUGUUUAAUUUAAUCCUCAAAUUUGGGCUAAAUCCUGCCCUGUUCUUUCAAUUAUUUUUUUAAAAAAAAAAAACUUAUUUCCUCAAAUUUUAAAAUAUAUUUUUAGUUACAAAAUAGUAUAUUUGAGGAACAAAACUAUUUUUUUCAAAAUCACUUUUAGUUCCUUGGAACUAUUUGAGGACUAAAGCUGAUUUUGUUUUUCAAAUUUGUGGGACUAAAAUGAUUUUUUAAAUUAUGGGAACCAAAAUAUUUAAUUUAAUAAAAGUUUUAGAAAAUAAAAUAAACAAUUUUAUAUUAUAAGUUUUAAAAAAGAUCUUACUAUUUGUUGAAAUUAUAAAUUAUUUUAAAGUUUAAUUGUUGAUCGAAUCUUUUCAAAAGGCAUAAUGAUCGAAGAGGUAUGCAUGCAUGAAAAUACUCUAAGGAUGGAACAAACAAUUUGGUUGAUGAAAGGUUAAGAGUCUUCCUUGGAUGUGUCGUUUGCAAUUACAUGCAUCAUUAUGGGAGAGUUACAAAUGGAGGAUUGAUGCCUGGAAGAAAUUGAGAAGUCAUAAAUGUAUAAUAAGCUUGAAAUACCGUAUCCCAUUAAUUCUACCUUUUAUUUUAAAUCAAUUUGAAAAAACUUAAGCUAUCCUCUUAACACUCAGUACGCUUCAUACUUUCUCGUUUUGAGACCACACACCCGUUCGUUGCUCAUUCAUUCUCCUUCUUUUUAAACUUUCUAAUAAUCAACCUUUGGGCUUUUUUACUAAGUGGGAUAUUUUUUUUUUUGUUUUUUUCUCAAAUGGGAGUAGUUUUUAAAGUAUUUCUGAAAAAGGAGAUAAGUCAUAAUCAAUGUUAUACGUUAGAAAUUGUGACAUAUAUUACAAACUUUAGUUUUUUAAUUGAAGUCGUACAUAAUUUUUUAUGAUUUUAAUGUAACUUCUUUUUUAUAACUUUAAAGUUAUAACUUCUUUUUUUUACUUUUAAGAUAUUGAAGUCUUCAAAGUUUUUUUUUAGGAUUACGACUUUAAAGUUUUAAUUUUGUUUUUUUUUCACCCAUUCUUUAUUUUAUUUUGUUUUCAAUUUUUUAAAAAUUGAAAACAAUUUUGUUUAUUUAAUUAUUAACUAAAUAAUUUUAAUUUUACUUGUUAUUAUUUUUAUUUAAUAUAUUGUAUAUUUUUUAAGAUUUUAUUUAAUAUGUUAUAUAUCUUUUUAUUGAUUUUUAUUUAAAAUAUAUUAUAUUUUAAAUAUCAUUAUAUUUAAUAUAUUUUGUAUAUUUAAAAUUUAUAUAAUCUUUAAAAAUAAAAUUUUUAAAAGAUUAUUGUUUUUCAAUAUUAUACUCCCUCCAAUCCGAUACAAUGGGGACUUUCAACCUAAAUUAUCAUCUCACAUUCGGUCUCUUCCACACCAUUAUUAAUCUUCAUUCAUUACUCUUUUAUCUCCAUAGGAUAUGUACUAAUAGCAACCUUCAAUCUUAAUAUUACUAAUAGGUUAAUUACUGGUUUUGUUUUUUGUGAACACACACUCUCUCUUGUUUUUUCUUCCCAAUGUACACCACUUUGUAAUUUAAUUUUAAGGGUACGUUACUUUGGACUUUGUGUUUUGAUUAACACCACUUUGCAAAUGAAUGUGACCCUUUUUGUCUUUUUUUAAAUUAAAAAUAUUAUAAAAUAUAGGUAUUAUAUUAUAUAAUUUUUUUAAUUAGUUUUAAAAUUACUUAUUUAUUAAAUUAAAUUUUAUAAUUUUUAUUUUAUUUUUUUAAAAGAAAAUGAUAUUAUUAAAUAUAAUUAUUUUUGUUUUAUUAUUUAAUUUACUUAACAUAUUUUUAGGUGAAUAUUUUUAUUUAAAAUCUGAAUUUUCUAAUAUAAUUAUUUUUAAUAUAAUUAAUUUGUUUAUGUCAUUAAAUUUAAUUAAAAAUGAUAAUACUUUCUAUUUAACAAAUUAUUUAUAGAAGAACAUCAUUGAAUAUGAGAUAAAAGAAUUGAAAAAAUGACGAAGACGUGCUAAAGGUGUUAGCACAAUCCAACUAUUGAAAACGAUCCUGCACAAUAGAAAUUUUGGCUAUUUUUAACAAACUAGUAGUUAAGAUAGAAGAACAAGAAGGCAUGUAUCCUGCACAAAAUAUUCCCGAUGAUCAUUAGUUUUGUCAUAUUUACAUCGUAAUUGUAUUUUUUAAUAUGUUUCAUUAUUUUCGACUAUCAUCUCAGUUACUACACUUUGAAAUUUUAUGUUUAUUGUAUAAGAUAAAUGUAUCAAUUAUUUUUUCAUUGUGUUAUUUAAUUUGUUUUAAUACUAUUAACUAAUUUUCUUAUUUUUUAAUUAACGGACAUAACAAAAAAAUAUCAAUGACACAUAAAUUUAACUACAAAAUUACGUACAACGUAACUAAAAAAUUGUACUCUAAUUUUAUCCAAUUUUUUUUUAUUUUUCUUUAUCUGUAUAUUUUUCUUCAAAAAAAUAAAAAAAAUUAUAAAAUUUAAUUUAAUAAAUAAGUAAUUUUAAAACUAAUUAAAAAAAUAUAUAAUAUAAUAUUUAUAUUUUAUAAUAUUUAAAAUUAAAAAAAAAAAACAAAAAGAGCCACAUUCAUUUGCAAAUUGGUAUGAAUCAAAGUACAAAGUCUAAAGUAGUAUACAUUGGAAAUUAAAUUGCAGAGUAGUGUACAUUAAAAAAAAAAAACAAACAGGGAGAGAAAGUGUAUUCACGAAAAAAACCUUAGUUGUUGACUUAUCAAUAGGAUUAAGUAUUCAUUCUAGAAUAUGACCAAUAUAUAGGACCGAUGGAGUAUUUAUUUAAUUUUUUUUUCUAUUUAAAAGAUUAUCUAAAUUUUAAAUAUACGAAGUAUAUUAAAUAAAACAAUAUUAAAAAAAUAUAGUGUAUUUUAAAUAAAAAAUAUUAGAGAAAUAUAUAACAUAUUAAAUAAAAUUAAUAACAAGUAAAAUUAAAAUUAUUUAUUUUAGUAGUUAAAUAAAUAAAAUUGAUUACAGUUUUUAAAGAAAUGAUAAUAAAUUACGAAAAAAGCAAAGCGAGAAAAAAAAUUACAAUUUUAAAGUCGUAAUCUUAAAAUAAAAAUUACGACUUCAAAGUCGUAAAAGAAAAAAAAGUUAAGUUACUACUUCAAAGUCUUAAAAAAAGUUAUAAAGUCAUAAAAUUAUUUACGACUUCAUUUAAAAAAUUAAAAUCGUAACAGGUGUUAUAACUUCAAAUUUAUAAGUCAUACGCAACACCUGUUAAGACUUAUCUCUUUUGGGAAAUAAUUUAAAAAAUACCCUCAUUAAAAAAGCAUAAAAAAAAAUACUCCCACUCGGUAAAAAAGCCCAAGUUUUCUAUUUUUUUAAUUGUAAAAGAAUUAAAACUGAGUUUUGGAAAGCAAAAAGAUACAUGCUCAAGUCUUUUUUGUUUCUUUUUAUUAAUGAGAAUGCAGAAAGUGGAGCAACCGAGAUGGUGAAAUGCCAAUCAUAAGAAAUGGGAAUACUCACCGUUGCAGCCCGAAUUACUCAACAAUAUCUACUGGGGAACCAAACGGUCGGUGCCAGAGAAACGAAUAAAUGUGGAAAAGAAGUUAAAUGUUGAAAAACAACAAGCAUACGUAGAGUGGGAUACGGUGCAAUUUCUAGAAAGACAACCUACAUGUUUCCCUUAGGAACAGAUGGAUCCAACGAUCAAAAAAACUUUCGCAACAUGCAGGACCAACUCAGCUUUGCAUGCUAGAAGGCGUCUUCAAACAUACAUCUAAACAUCUUGAUUAAUAUAAAAAUCACUUAAAGAAGCUAACAUGAGAGUUUCAACAAAUUACCUUUUGCCUGAUACGCUUUUCAUUUCUCUGAUAAACACUUGGCUCUUCAUUUUGAUGCCCUUUUACCCACUGAUAUGUGUAGUUGCCACUCUUCUUUUGCCAAAUUUUCAAGCUUUUCUUCAUUCAAUGGAGAUCCAUUAGUGAGGAUAAAUAUGAUAUUUUUUAGACUCGAUUUCGUGACCAUACAUGAUGUUACAUGUUGUGUUUGUUGCUGAACUUCGAGGAUCAGCACCUCCAGAAGAAGAAGAAGAAGAAGAAAGCUAAGGGAAGGAACUCUGCUAUUUCUCAUUCAUUCAUGUCUCAUGCUGUUAUUACAUAUUCCUAUUUAUACUGAAUUCUAUACAACUAAUUUUGGCAUUUUGUACUUUUCUAGAAUAUUCAUAAUUCAAGAAUUGGUUAUUCUUGUCCCCUAAAGGCCAGCAUCGAAGCGCUCCUGCAUUACCCCCUACUUCAAACGAAAUCCCUGAGGUAGCAGGCCUCACAAUUCUCCUCAUGUUUGUUGUUGUUUGCACCCGUGUGUUUGCUGCCCCUGUGCCUCCUUCUACCUAUCACAUGAGGAUCUCGUAACCGACAUUGUUCCUUGGCACUUUGAAUGCUCCAACGAAGAAGGAUGUAUUGUUGGCUUCUUCUAUGUCAUCAUGCAAUGUCCCCAAGCAUGAUGACAGAAAGUGGGUUCCUUCUUAUGGCCUCUGCUAUUAGAUUGAGUGUUGCUUUUCAUAGAGAUGAGGGGCAUUAGAGUCCCUUCCAUCUCCAUCAAAGAGGUAUGCAUGCACGAAAAUACUCUAACGAUGGAACAAACAAUUUGGUUGAUGAAAGGUUAUAUGAGUCUAUUCGGUGCUAUGACUUUUAAGUUAGAAAUUGUAAUACCUAUUACAACUUUAAUUUUUUUAACUAAAGUCAUACAUAAUUUUACUAUUUCACUCUAAUUUUUUUUAUAACUUUAAGGUUGUAACUUAAUUCUUUUUAUAUCUUUAAAGUCGUAACUUUUAAAGUAUUUCUCAUAUGGAGAUAACUCUGUUUCUGAUGUCUUUCUGGUGAAGCAAUGAAUGGCCUACUUUUCGCGAACCCACUGAGAUUAGCUUCUUCUUCUAUUAUGGCUCAUUCAUCCUUGUCUCAUGCUUUUUGAGCUCUGGCAAACCAAGGGAGAUUUACCAUCAACCUUUUCUCCAUGAAGCAUAGAAUGCAAACGUCAUGUACAUCAACGAAUCGUGCGAAGCCAAAAUGAUUUCCACAUUUAUCCCUCUUCAUUGGAAUAAACACCUCUUGAAUUUCCCAGUAGCUUUGAAAAAUUUCCCACAUAUCUUUGGCAUUGAAAGAAUCUGGAAAAUUAGAUAAAAUAGAGUGCUUGUGUUCGAGUUGUCAUUUGUAGCCUGCUUGUGACUGCUACUGACUACAUCAGGGAUGUUCUUGUUGAAUCUUGAUUUUUUUCCUAGUUUUUUCCUUGUGACAUUUGUCCGAUGUUUUUCCAUCACUCUCUUAUCAACUACAACUCUGAUUAGGACUAAAGAUAAAGAAGCUAUGCUAGAUGUGUUGGUUCUGAUGCAUUUUGGUUAUUCACACAAAUAAGUUUUAUAGCAAGUUUCUUAAGUACAAAAACUAUGGAAGCCCCUCAUUGAGAGAGUAAAAAUUUAUCAUGAAUUUACAAAAAUAAUUAGCAUCAUUAGCCUACACUAGUUGUAUAAACACAAACAACCUUUAACCAAACAUACAAGUAAUCAGAAAAUAAAAAUUGCAUAUACAUUAUAUUUUAGUAUAAAAGUUGUUAAAAAACCCCGUUUUCUAAGACUCCUCCUUGAGAUUUUUGUUCAAUACUAUAAGCUUUGAUUUCUACACUUAAAACUUUGCUUUGGUAAAGGGUUUUGUCGUAAUGUUUGUAAUAUCAAUAUUUUUUUAAUUGCAAAGCUCUAAGAUGGUUUCCUUUGAUUGCUUUGUUUCUCCUAUAGAACUAUACUUCACUUUUAUGUGUUCAGUCCUUCCAUUUUGAAUAGGAUUAUUUGUUAUGACAAAAGCUGACUUGUUUUCCCAUUUAAAUAACAGUCAAUGCAUUUUGAAUUUGGCAAACAUCUAAUAAAAUCUUCCUUAGACAAAUAUUCUUGUAGCACUCUUUCGCGGUUUAAAUCAGAUCAUAGUCUAACUUUUGUGCAGUUUCAGAAAACUGAAAAGGUUUUUGCUUCACCUUUUAAGUUUCUAAAAAUUUGGACUUCCCAUCCUGACUGUCAGAGGCUGCAGGUUUCGAAGGUCUGGAAUAAGGAGGUUGUUGGCUGCCCCAUGUAUGUGUUGAGCCACAAAUUAAAAUGUUAGAAAGCUGAACUUAAAAGUCUAGAACAUAUCAGUGUUUGGUGAUAUGAUGUGCACUCUAAUGUUCAUAUCAGGCCAUAUAUAAAGUUGAGGUUCAAAAGAAAAUUUAGAUUCAAGGUCUGUCUGUUGAUUGAUUUUCUGAAGAUUGAUGUUGAGGUGCAAAUGGAGUUGCAGAAAGGUUUAAUUAAUAUUCCAAGAGUCUUUUUGGUGGCAUAAAGCUCGGAUUAAUUGGCACUUUCAUUUAGGGAUGAGUAUCUCUUCUUGCGGCAGAAUCAGUAUCAUGAUUCAUACAUGGAAAAAUUGUUAGAAUUAAUGUCUCAUGUGAGAGACAUGUGACUUAAUAGGGACGAAUAAAUAAAUAAUUAACGAUUAAAGACUAAAUUGUAAUUGAACUUAAUAGGAGAAGUUUCUAGAGCUAAGUGUUACUUGAUGGGAGUAGAGGUUAUAAAAGGGGUUUAGUACUCACUAACGUGAAAUAAGGUCCCCUUCCUGACCAGAAAGUGUUCUCUCUCACCCAUAGCCAUCAAGAAAGGAGAGAGGCGGAAAAGAAAGGCCUAAGGAAGUGAAAUCUUAUUUCUCUUCUCUUUCAAGGAAAUCAAAGUGCACCGGAGAGAAGUUCCUAUGGAGAAAGGUACACAUCAUUAUCUAUUGUUGUUUAUUGAUUGUUUGUGAAAAUCAUAGGUUUCAAGAUCCUGUUGUUUCUUAUAAUUGAUAGUCUAGAAAACCCCUUAAGAAUUUUACAUGUGGUAUCAAAGCAUGUGUUAUGAAAUUUAUGAUUCUCCAAAAAUGAUUUAAUUUCUCCCAAUUAUGCAUGAACCCUAAUUAUGAAAUUUAGGGAUAAUUUAAUUUCUUCAAAUUAUGCAUCAAACCUAAUUAUGAAAUUUAAGAAUUUUAAUUUCUAUGACAGUGAGUAUGGAGAUUUAUUUGGCUGGCUGGAAACUGAGUCAACUUAGUGAUUGCUGCUUUGAAGGAUGCAUCUUUGGUACCUUGGAGACUGCAGGUCCAAUUGGAGAAUUGUUUAGCAGAUAUACGCAGUACGAGUGUCUUUGUUACACAUAUUUAGGGAGGGCAAUAGUUGUGCUGAUAAUAUAGCUUCUUAUGGAAUUGCUCAGGUUGGGUAUAAAUGGUGGGAUGAGCUGCCAAAUUUUAUUAGGGAAAAUUUUAUCCAUAAUAAAAUAGGUUUGCCUUCUUAUAGAUUUUCUUGACUGUUAUAUCUGGGUUUGCUUUAUCCCUCCAUUUUCUUUGUUAUUUACUUCUUUUAUAAAUAAUAUACGAUAUGCGGCAUGGGGUUAGUAUCUUCAGUGGUGUCAACCUAGUUGAGAUUACUAGAGUUAUUAUGAUGCUUAGCAUAUCUAAUAUCUAUCAAAAAAAAAAAAAAACUGUGGAUAAACACUUACCAGCAUUGGUCUUCCGGCUUCUGCAGAUAAAAUAAAAACUUAGUUACAGAACGCCACAAAUAAAAGCACCGGUAGAAGCAACCACUGUUGGCAUAUUUUUCUUGUGCCUAAAUAUAGGAUCUUACGGGUUGGAUCCAUUAAAAAAAAAUCUAAAAUUAGAGCUAUCUUAGACGAUUUUUCAUAGUCGUGAUUGAAAAGAGAAGAUAAAAAAUGACAGUGCAUACCUAGCUCUGAAGCAGCCAUCCUGAUAUAUAGAUCCUGCUUACCAGUUUGAAGCUGUUUCAUAUCAAUUAGAUCUCCAAACCACAUGACACAGCCACUACCUUCACCUCUUAUAUCUGAAUUAGAAUAGGCCAUACAAGAACAACUAUUCAAACACUUCACUCUGCAUUCCUCUAGACCAAUACUCUCAUCCCACCAAGUAUGUGUAGUAUCCGGAACUUUGAGACCUUCAAAUUUGACAAACCCAUUUUUUAGUUUGUCUUUGCAGCUUAAUGGUUUUUGCGCACACAUCCUCCACUCCAAUCCGAUGAGUUCCAUGCUUCUGGUGACUUUGGACUGAAACCUUUUAAACAUUGGCAGGCUUGACGUUGAGUACUGCUUACGCAAUUCCCGUAAGCUCCACAGAGGCUAUAAGUGUCACAAAACUCUUGUGGGAAGGAUCUAGACAUCUUCCAAUCUUGUUCUCCUACCACCCACAUAUAGCGAUAAAUUGUAAUUGCUGUUUGAUUUGCGACAGAUCUGGCGAUGAAAGAAUCAUUUGCAAUGCUAUAUGUGAAGGAAAUCUCAUGUUUAUUGCUGACAUAACAAAAGCUAUACAUGGUGCCAUUCUCAAAGUCAGACAAUCCACUAAAAUAUAGGCCAUUCCAAGGUCCAAACCGGUAUGCCUUUUUUGUUCCUUUCAUUACAUAAAACUCAGGAUAGUUAUAGAGUUCUAAAACGCGAUAAACAUCUCCUGGUGAUGGAUCAUCUGGACUCUUCCAUGCUGUUUGUUUCCAUUCAUGACCGAUUCGGAGAUUCCAUCCCAACUUCAUUCCUGGCAGGAAUGUAUCAGAUGGAUAGUCAAAACUUUGCCACAAAUACGCUUCUGGGUUUGUUUCUCCAUCAUUUCUUAUGACAAGAUUGCCACUGUCCAAGAGCUCCGCCACUGGAUUCUGUGCUUGGUUGUGAGAGUUGUUGGUGUACCAAACUAGAGACUCAUUUUUGGUGAGAACAAGAUUGCCUGUGGUGUUGAGUGUUAAAUGCCUGAGGAAUCAUUGAUGGGGUUGGCCCUAUUAGCAACCCAAACCACUGUCUGAAUUGGGAUAUUCUUGUACCAAAUUCCCACAUAACGUUUAUGGGAAUUACCUGGACUGAAAAAACCAAAUUCAAACUUUCCACCUUUUGACACCAAGGUCUCCCCAUCACUCAUAGGCUGGAGCACGUUUAUAGAAUCAUUUGCUUCGCAAAUUUGGAGAGAGGGAACAAGUAUGCAUGCAAAUAAAAUCAUGAAAGAAUGUCCAUUGAGUCACACAACUUUUGUGGGUACUCCGUUGUUUCACUUAUUUGCACAAUGAUUAUACGGGUUAAGGUAUGUCUAUCAUAAACACGAAAAUGGGAACUUCAGGGUAGAGUCAAAUAUGGUUUUAUUCCUUAAAGGAUUUUACCGUUCAAACUUUGGUUCUGUAAAAGAAUUUUGUUUCUUGUUUUAUCCUCCAAAAAUUUGAAAGCAUUCGUGAGCAAAGUUUGAUCUUUGUCUCUCUAAAAUUUUUCCUUUUGAUUUUUAUCCUUUAAAAUCUGACAUAUCAAGAUUUAGUGACUAAUAUUUUUUUACCAUAUUUUUUGUAUUUAUGGAUUUUGUGAGUAACUAAUUUCUACCGAAAAAUCUUAUUAACCAUCUUUAAUGAGAUUUUUCUUUCUCAAUCAAGUUUUUUCAUUUACAAGAUUUAAAUUUGAGACAUUAGUUAAGACAACUGAAUUUAGUAUCACUUGAACCAAUGACAUAUUGGCUAGUCACUAAUAUUUAUUUUUAUAUACAUAAAUAACAAUUAUUAAAUUUUGGAGAGAAAAAAUAGACAUAACAUGCUAACAUAGUAUCACAAAUACCGUUGUCGAUCAUCUAAAGUGUCACAUGAUGGUGAGUUAACUAAUCCUAUUAAAUACGUACAAUGAUUAAUGCACAUAUCAUAUAAUAAGAAAAACUACUCUUCGGAUUUUAUGAAAUUUUAAAAACACUUGAUACUUUGUUCUACUCAUACACUAACCUUUUAUAAUAGUUUAAUUUUUGAAAAAUAUAACGGACACCCUUUUAUACAUACGAGACUCUUCCAAAGAGAGGUAAAGAGAGGUAAUGUUAACUAAAGAAACAAAAAAAAUGAUUGUGUGGUUUCACAAAAUCUUAGUGAAAUUUACUCAAACUAAAACCAUUAUUUAAGCCUUUUGAUUAGGGAAAAAAGAAAAAUUACAAUCAAAAUUCACCCAUUUCAUAUCAACUAAAAAUAUAUUUAGUCCCUGAGCAUAUAAUAAGCUGAGAGGGUGGACGUUCCUACGCAUUGAUUCUUCAUUCUAAUUUGACUUUCAACUCAAGCUCGCAGCAUGUUCUCUUUGGGCUUCAAUUUGUCAUUUAGGUUUCUAACUACAACUAUACUAGUUAAUAAUAUAUAAUUCAUUUGGAUUGCAUGUCAACCUACCAUAUCAGUAACGACAAACGCCCCUUUUGACUUGUUACACGAUUUGUCCAUACUUCACAUUAAUUGUUGUUGUAAGAAAUAAGAAUGGACAAAAAGUUGUAAAAAAAAAAGGGCACAUGGAAAGAACCUAAAAAUCUANNNNNNNNNNNNNNNNNNNNNNNNNNNNNNNNNNNNNNNNNNNNNNNNNNNNNNNNNNNNNNNNNNNNNNNNNNNNNNNNNNNNNNNNNNNNNNNNNNNNAAUUAGAAUUUUGAAAAUAUGUUUGGUUUGACUUCCUAUUUUCUGUUUUCAUGAAAUAAAAAUACUGAAAAUUUAUGAUAUAUUGACUUGUCUUUUUAUAUUUUUAGAUUUGCUUAAAAUUACAGUCAUCACAGUUUCAUUUUACCCUAAAUGAGGUUUUUGUUCUCAAGUGAAAAUGAAAACGAAAAUUUAUUAUUUUCAUUUUCUGAUUGUUUCCUAUUUUCAUUUUUACUGAAAAUGUUUUCAGAGAUUCAACUAAACACAUUUUCAUCACCAUUUUCUAUUUUCAGUGAAAAUGAAAAUAGAAAACAAUCAAACCAAACAUCCCUUUAAUAUUUAAUAAUCAUACAUGUUAUAGAAAAAGAGAAGAAAAAGGAAAAGAAAGUAAAAAACAGAAUUGAGUGGAUAGAGGGAAAGAGUAGAGAAACAGAGGUCAAAAAGCUUGUGACAGAUUUCUCUCUUUCUCUCUCAUCUCUCACGUACUGUUAGUUGCACACAGAAAGUUUCUAUUGUCACACAAUCGCCGAAGAUACCAAGUUGAUUUUCUUCUCUGAUCAUUCUACCCUGGCCCCUUUCAUUUUUGUUAUCCUGCCCAGCUGCAUUACUCAUUUUAUCUAAUCAAAUCAUGCAUUUGUAAGCCUUUUUCAAUGAAUUAGAGGACUCGGUACAAUUUUAACUAUGUGACUCUUUUUUUUUUUUGCGCAGCCAAAAACAUAUAUUAUAUUAAAAGGUUAAUAAUAUGUUACAAGUUGUGAACAUAUUACAGAAGCAGAGAAUUAUUACAACGUAGAAAUGAAAGCAUGACACCCACCAAAUAAAUCUAUUACAUCAUAUACUUAGACUACAACCAACAUAGACACCUUCCCCAUGUUGGUGUGGCAACAGAGCCUUAACACGAUUCUAUUCUACUUUUUUUGUCAAACUUAAAUUAAAUUUAGAUUUCAAUCUUCUAGUUUGAAUUUCUAUGGGACAAUGGUCGAAUGUGUUUUGCUAUAUGGGAUGUUAGGAGAUACCAAAUCUUAAAAUGAAUGAAAAAUUAUGUGGUGUUAUAAAUAAAAGAUAUGUCAAUAAUUAGAAUAAUUGUAAAAAUCCUUUUAUUUUAGUGAUAUUAAGUCAUAACUGUCUAACUGUUGCAAUCUACAUCACAGCAAUCACAUUGUCCGCAACCGCAAUAGCCACAACCACGAUUAUGAUCGCAACCGUUGAAAUCAUGUUUUCAACGACUUCCAAACUCUUACUUUUACUGCUUCAAUUGGAGUCCACGUUACACGGAACCAUAAAUAUAUGUGACUUAAAGGCCUAAUGAUUUCUAAUUUGUUUCAAAAUUAAUAAACCAUUUGUUUGAUCAGCCAGGGGAUGCGUACUACUUGGCAAUGCCUUUUCCCCUCUGUCAGAAAACGAAAAGCCAAUUAUGAAAACAAAAAUAAGAAAUGAAAGUUGAAAUUAAAAAUGAUAAGGCUUAAUUGUAUUUUUUUUUUUUUACUUUUUGAUAAAUUUUACUGUAUUUUACUCUCAUUUUUAUUACAAACUUAAAAAUUUUACCUUCUUAAUUUAAGCUAACAUUACAUGCUAAAAUAAUUUUUCCUCAAUUUUUGACAAUUUUUACCCCCAUUUUUUUUCAAUUUUUGGCAAAUGUUAUUCUCUCAGACAAAUUUGGGGUAAAAUGCAAUUAAGGAUGCCAAAAAGUGGUAAAUUGAAGGUAAAAAUACAAUUAAGCCAAAAGAUAAAAGUGAUGGGUGAUUGAAUGAUAGUUGAAAUUGAUGUUGAUAAUAAUUAAUUUUGCAAUAGUAAUACAUUAUUCUUUGUUAUUUGUUGUUUAAGGUUGUUAGAUAGAAACCAAGAAAUGAAAUAAUAUAUUUUAUAUAUUCAAUUAUAUUUAUUUAUAUUAUUAUUUUUAGUUAUAAUAUAUAAAAUAAUUUUUAUAUUUAAAAAUAUUUAUUUAAUAUAAAUUUUCAUUUUAUAAAAUUAAACGUUUAUUAUAUGGCGUACACAAAUUAAAAUACUUAUGCUAAAUUAUUUUUUCUAAACGUGCAUGUGGGCGAGUGGCUAAAUUAAGGGAUUGAAUCUUGAUAAAAACAAAACGAAAAGAAAGUUGUAAUGUUAAAGCUUUGACAAUAUCAGUUCUCAAGCCGCCUAAAACAAUAAAUUAUCAGUGACUAACCAACUCAUUUUUUAUGUAUUUUUUUAGGUGCAUUUUACACUGAUAAUUUUGCUUUCCUUUCGACCAUAUCAAAUUAUAUUCUUUUAUUUUUUUUAUAUUUUAUCUUUAUUUUAAAUUACAUUUAAAUAAUACUUUUAAGGAUAAAAUAUGCAUUUCAACCCUAUGAAAUAUUUGAAGUUCAAUUUUAGCUUCUCUAAAAAAAAUUAACACUUUAAUUUUAAAACACACCACUUUUAAUUCCUCAUAUACUAUUUAAACUCUUUUUCAUCCUCAACAUAGUGUUAGCUAAAUUACUUUAAACACCAGAAGUUGUACAAUAUAUAUUUAAAAAUAGAGAAACGAAAUAUUGACAAAAAAAAUUAGGGAUUAAAACUAAACUUCAAAAAUUUAUGAGAAAAGUAUGUUACUCUAUUUUUAAUAGAAAAUAUUGUAAUAUGAUACGUAUAUGAUUUCCUAAAUUUAUAAGACAUAUUACAUGAGAGUGAGAAGAUUAAAUUUAGACAUAUUGAGAAAAAAAUAAUAUAUUUAUAUUUUUAUUACUCAAAAAUCACACACCCAAGAAAAAAGACAAGAUCAUAAACGAAAUAGAAAACAUAUCACAAAUUUGUUUAGCAUGAUUCACCCCUACAUCCAUAAUCUUCUCUCAACAAGUUUUUAGGACAAACUUGUAAACAUUCUCUCAAGAUGAUCUCUCUCUCAUCUAGGGUGUUGGCCCUUCUUCGGACUUGGUAAUUCUUCUCAUCUUAAAAAUCUUUAUAUAUAGAUCUAGCAUCAUAAUCUUAAAAGAGAAAACAAAUAUCUAAUUUAUAAAAUAUAUCUUUAAUUAUAAAGAGCAUCCUAGAAAUAAGAUAAUAUCUUUUUUUAAAUCUAAAUAAUAUCCUAGAGAUUUAAAAUUAUAAAUUUGAAUUGUUUUCCAACAUUCCUUUCCUUAAUUAAAAUUGAAUUUCAUGUUCAAUAUUUUUGGAUGCAUCACGCUUUCACUUUGCACAAAAUUUAGUAUGUUUCCUAAUCUACUCUAUUGAGUAUUGAAUGGUGACCCUUCUGCUUGUACCACCAACUACUUCCAUUAGAACACACCACUUGACUAUCACAUCACUAAGUAGACUUUUGACACAAGGAUCCCACACAAAUUCAUUAUCAACUUCUUCAAUACUCUUCUAUCUCUGGAUAUCAGGCUGCAAGAUCGUUCAACUCUGAUGCUAAUUGUUGGAGGGAAAAACACACUCAUAUCUUUAUUACUCAAAAAUCACACAACCAAGAACAAGAGACAACAUCAUAAACGAAAUAGAAAGAUAUAACAAAUUUGUUUAACGUGAUUGGUGGAAGUGGUCUAAGCAGCAUGUCUCGUGGGUGGAUUGGUGGUGCAAGUAUCUAGAGCACGUGGACUUUAAUGGCCACCAUGAAAUACUCGUGGAUGAUAAUAGUAUUCGCUCGAAGGAGAGACUAUCAUGUGUAAGAGACUCAUACUUGAGAGGGAGAUUAUAAAAGUACAAGUGUUAGUUGAAGUCUCACAUCGUGUAGGAAUGAGAAGUUUGAGUACCAUAUAAGUGGAUACAAGAUCCAUAACUUGAGCCUUAAAAAUUUGGGUUAAAGUGUGAUGUCAAAUUUACUUAUGUGAUUGCUCGGCUGCGGUGAUGAUGAGUUUAAAAUAUUUUAAAUUGAUUAUUAAAUUUUUUUAGAGAUUUAAUUUUAUUUGACAAAUCUUGUAGAGAUUUGUUAGUAAUUUUAGAAUUUUAUUUGAAUUUAAAAUAUUUUAAUUUAAUUUUUUUGAUUUUAAUCUAAUAGUUAAAAUUAAUUAUUCUAAUUCUCAUAUAAUAAUAUGUCAAUUCUCAUAAUUAAUCAAAUAAUUAUUUUAAAAUAAACCAAAUCAUAACAUGUGAUUAAAUGACUGUUAUAAUAGAGUUUAAAAUAUUUUAAAUGUGAUUAUUAAAAUUUUUUAGAGAUUUAAUUUUAUUUGACAAAUCUUAUAGAGAUUUGUUAGUAAUUUGAGAAUUUUAUUUGAAUUUAAAAUAUUUGAAUUUAAUUUUUUUUCAUUUUAACCUAAUAGUUAAAAUUAAUUUUUCUGAUUCUCAUAUAAUAAUAUGUCAAUACUCAUAAUUAAUUAAAUAAUUAUUUUAAAAUAAAUGAAAUGAUAAUAUGUGAUUAAAUGACGGUUAUAAUAGAGAUUAAACAUUUUCUAAAAUAAAGCCUUUAGCCUUUUGGAUCUAUUCACAGCAAAAUUUAUGUAAGCGUUAGAAAAUUUAGUACAUAUGUUCUCUUUACUCUGUCCGCAGUUAGGCUGCACGGAGAAAAAUCUAGAAAGUAAUAUUUAAAAUUCAACUAAAUGUUGUCAAAUAGAGCGGCCCAUAAAUACAAUUAAAUGAAUGAUAGUUACGACACACAGACGAAAUCAAGAAAAGAUUUAGGGGGGGAAAAAAAAAUCACAUGAUAACCAAAAUUAACCGGAACUAAUUUCUAUUAUUAACAAUAAUUUUACAAUUUAAUCUAAUAAAAAUAUACAAUGAAAGUAAAUAAAUAUAAUUAUCAACACAAACUUUUACUAUUAAAAAAUAAUUACAAUUUAAUUUCUACUAUUAAUAGUUCUGAGUUGUCAUGCUUCAGCAAUUUAACUGCAAGUUUUUUCAAACACAGACAAUGAAUAAUAAUUUAGCAUGUCAAUAUAAAAUAAUUUACCAAGCCAUAAAUUUGAGAGCAGCAAACGGAUUUAGUUCGUCAAAUAAUUAGACGGGGCGAUUUUUUACUUUCAACUGGAAAUUUUAAGAGGCUUGUGAUCUUUGGGGAAUGCGGUGAGGUUGGCUGCCUCUGCAGGUGCAUAUACUAGGAGUUUAUUUGAUGCAUCAAAUUUAUGAUAAUAAUAAAUAUAAUAUUUUAUUUUAUCUUUGAUUUGAAAAAAUAUUAUAGAACAACAUAAACUAAGGAGAUAUGAAUAUGACAAAAUUUUCAUUUUUUUACUCAAAAAUCAUCAAAUAGUUUUUUAUUUCAUACAGGUACAAAAUAUCUAAAAAACAUAAUUAUCUUCACUUUUUUCUUAUAUUUCUCACCCAUGUUUUUUUCUCGAGAAAUUGAUGUGAACAGAUUUUAUUUUUCAAUCUUGAUAUCAUUCUUUUUAAAUUCUGAAAAACACAUUUUAGAAUAUGUUGUGUGAUUUUUAUGAGAUUGAUAUAUAAAAUAAGAUGAUAUUAAACGGCACCUCCACCAAAACCAAAGAUGUUACAGGUCCCUGAUAAACAUAAAAUAAUAUGAUGAUUUUUCAGCCGAAUAAUAUAUUCAGAAAGUAGACGAUUUCUAACAUGAAAAAGUGAAAUAUCUUUCCGUGAGAAAGUGUAUUUCUGACUUGUUAGAUUAUUUAAAGUUUAAUUCGAUGAUGAACAGGGGUAACCUGGUAAAAAGAUGAAGAGAAAAAUGAAAAAAAAGAAAAAAAAAGUCAGUCAUCAGAUUAAACUCCAAAAAGUUCUAACAAUGUAAAAUGCACUUUCGCAGGUGGGAAAGAUGUUUCACUUUUCCACUAGAAUUCAUCCAGAAAGAAACUAAUCUUUGGAGACCCAUUCCCACUAGAUAAUAUCCCCAGUGCCGAAUAUUGGUUGCAGCUCUUGCACCACUGGUUGUGUCUUCCAAUAAAGUUUGAAUAUCUCUCUUGUUCGUAAUGUGAUGUUCUAGAUCGAAUGAGUUUUUGGCAUCCACACAUUUUGAUAUUUGUUGGAUACUUUUUGUUAGAUGACUCAAGCGAGAUGACUUUAUUGCAACUACACGCCAACAAUAGAUGAUUACAUGCAAGUUAGAACUAGAUCAAGUUUUUACCCAAGUGCUGAUAAUCAUAUCUUUCAUUGGCAUGGAAGACACAACAGAGGAAAUCCUCAUAUGUCAUUGUUAUAGCUACAUCAACUAUUUGUAGGAUCAUGGAUGGCAUUGUUGGAAAUCAGGUGCAUACUAAAUACAAAUUGUUUUGUCCAAUAUUAGGUGAAUUUUACAUUUCACUUAAAAGAGAAUGAAUCAAUGUUUUUAUGGGACUCCUAUAAAAUACACCUCUUUAUAAAAAAAACAAAAAAAAAACAAUGUAUUGAGAAUAAGUAACAGUAGUAUCGCUCUCCAAAUACUUGAGCUACUAGGUUUCAUAAGACUAGUUGUGUAAAAGCAGUAUUUUGAGUUACAAACAUAGAUGAUACACAUUAAUUUAUCUUAUGUUAAAAGAGCUAGUCAUUAUAUAUUCCAACAGUUUUAAAGAUUUAGGAGAGGAAGACUUAAUAAUAAUUUUGACAAUAUCAUAUAUUAACAAUUGUUAUUUUAAGUGUUAAGGCUAUUUUUGAUAAAACAUUUAAAUUAGUUUUUAUUUUUUUAUUAGUUGAAACAACUCAUUUGGUUAUUCGAUAAAUCAUCAAAAUGGUGCCAUUGAUGAACUUGAACUUCUUUUUCGAUAAUAAAGCUCAUUUCAUGGCGCGGCUCCAUGUGUGAUAAUUCAGGUUAUUGUUGAGUAGAAGUGUAACAAGAAUCAGACCUGGAUUUUGUCCACGAUACAGAUUGUAGGGCGAUGAAGGAUUUUGUGAGUAGCUAUCGUGUAUUUAGUAGUGGAGUUCUCCUUGCUUCAACAAUGUAGACUGUCACUAUUCCUGAAAGGGAAGAACUAAGUUGCCGGAGCAUGAAAAAUCUGAUAACAUAUUACAAUGAUUUGGCACAAAAAUUAAUUAUUCCAUUUGAUGAUAGAAUGGGUUAGCACUUUAUAUAUAGAUCAGUUAGUUGGCUAACUAAUUCAACUGACUAGUAACAGUUUUAACAAACUAACAAACUAGGAAUUAUGAAGUAACGGUCAUUUUUCUAUCCUAACAAGUAAAAACAUUAUCAUACUAUAUAAGAAGUAAAAGCAAAAUGCUGAAAUUAAUGUAUUAAAUAAGAGACAACUAUAAUAAUGCUAGUCAUAUAUAGCAUUUAGAUCAAGGUUUGGAUUGGGAGAUGUUCUUCAUCCUUAUUGGUCCUUGGUGGAGUUUAUUCAUUAAUCGUGGGUAAAAGAUUGGGAAGUCUGUGUUGUUCAUGUCUAUUCAGAAGGUAAUUUGGUUGCUGAUUAUUUAGCAUCUUUGGUUCACUUUGCAUGAUAUAGGAUUACAUGUACUUCAUACACUACCUCAUGGGUGUGUGCAUUUACUUCUUAAAGAUGUAAUGGGACUUCCUUUGGCCUGUAUAGUUUCUAUGUACUUGUUUGGGCUUUUGUUUUCUACUUCUUAAUAUGAAAAAAAGAUGUAAUUACAUAAUAAACCAUAUUCUUUUUAAAGUAUAUAUUUAAAAAUUUAUACAAUUAUUCUGUGCACACAUUAUGUGAAAAUUUUGUAGUCCAUUCCAUUACAGAAUUUUGUUUAUGGUCAGUAAACGUUUAUAAAGUCAUACCAUUCAGAUCACGCGGAUUGAAGCAUGUCUUUCUUUUUUGUCUUCUUGACAGAGAGGUUCUAUCAAUUCUCUAAAUGGUUGACAAAAAGUAUCUAGGCCACAAAUAAUGUAAUUAACUAGACUUUGAACCCGUGGUGUUGCACAUUGCUGCGGUAGAGGAGGACAAGGAAUGGAACCAUGAGGCCGAUAAUGUAGGCGUUCAUAUCGCUGAUCCAACGAUCGCAGAACAAUUCGGAGGAAAUGUGGUGUUGUUUUGGUGGCUACUACAAUGAGGCGGAGAGUACAAAGAGGAAAGAGGGGACGUGUUUUAUCGAGAGCCUACAAAAGGAGAAUAUAAUAAUGGGAAGAAGAAAGAGGCAUUGGAAAGAGAAGAGUCACAAGAGGAGAGGAAGAGUCAGAAUUAUUCAAAUUAAAUUUAAAAUUGCACAAGUUUAAAGACGAAGACGGUUUUUCUUGACUUUAAAUGUCAUUACCCCCAAACAAAAGCGGUUUUGUGAGGACCGACUUUAAAUGUGUGUCGUGAAAUAUGAUAUUUUUAGUAGUGAGUAUAAGUGUAAAUGUUAGGAGAAGAAAUUGAAAUUUAAUAUUAAUUAAUACCUCUCAUAUAUGAAUUUUUUUAAUUAAAAAGGUGUAAAAACUAGAAUAGUCUAAUAAAAGAAACAUUACAGUAGUGUAAGUAAGAGCUACAUUAUAUAGGUAUAGAUAGGUGAUGUGGUUUUGUUAUAAUGUUUAUCUAUCUACACCAGGGUACUGGGAUAAUUUCCUCCUUUCCGAUGGUGUCUCCCGUCCUCUUCUUUGUGAACUCAUACUCCGAUGCGUCAGGAAUGAAUACUUGUGAAGAUACUCCAACACUUAAGUUAGAAUUUUCUCAAUAUGAUAAAUGAGAAAGUAAUAAAUUAAAUGAGAAUGAACAAUGUGUUACCUUAUCACCCUUUAUAUCCCUAUAUAUUAAUGGGUCUUGGGUCCAUGAGUCUUAUCUUUGAGGUUAAUGAUAGUACGAACCAGUGAUUACCUGUUGUUGAGGUCCUAGUGUUGAUUAUAUUACUUUUGAUUAACUUUCUCCCUUUAAUCCAUAGUGGUCCUAUUGUACUGUCAUGGAGGGUUAGGCCAUGGCCGAUAAGGUACUCAGCCCAGGCCCAUAGGGUGUUUGGCCUAUGCUUGUGGCCAUGCAUAUGUGUCUCAUCCUUCAUCCCUGGGGUGUUUAGGACCUGAUCGAAGGGGUAUUCAGCCUUGGCCAGCUGGUAGCUCUGGCUAGGGGUGUUUGACUAUGCCAUAAGGGGUUUUUUGGCCAUACACUUGGUAGUGGUCCGACCCUGUGGGUAUAGUUUAUGUUGGUGUGGCUUGAAAAUAGCAUAUGCUUAGGCUUAUGUGUUAAUUUUGUGGUUAAGACUUCAACUUUUAUAUAGUAUAAAAUAGAUAGAUUGAAAGUUAUAAUUAAAUAUACAUAAUAUAUUAAUUAAUAGUUUGUUUGAGAGAUAAAAAGUUAUUUUUGAGGAAAAUAAGAAAGCAUGGUUUAAUCAUGUGCUAUAGUAUUAAAGAUAAAAGAGAGGAAACUAGUAAGUUGUUUCCAGAAGGGAUUCCAUUUAUGUACUAAAUUCUAAAAAGAAACAACUUUAUACACAUUAGUAUUUUUUUCCCAUACAUAAAGUUCUAAAAUUGAAAAGUUUUUUAAAAAGUAAUUGUAUGACAUGGUAUUAAAUUCUAGUCUUACAAUCAAAUUGAACAAUCAAUUUUCUCAAAAAGAAAACUCAUUUUAUUAUAUACAAAUUAAAAAUAAAAAAAUGAUUUUUCUUAUACUCAUGGAUAACGCAUGCACACACAACAUGCAUGUUUAGAUCUAGUUGGAUAAAAAUUUAAGGAUUUCAGUUCAAAGAAAGAGACAUUCGACUUAAGUCAUUGAUUCAAUAAAAACUAAAAUUCUAGAGUCAUUUCUAUUUCUUUCACACAUAUAGAAGUAAUUGUUGAGGUUGACGGUGGAGACUUUUUAUUCCACAUGUCAUUUCUAUUAUUUUAAGGUUAAAAUAUAUUUUUUGUUCUUAUAAGAUUAAAAAUAUUUGGACUUCAUCCCUGUAAAAAAAAUUAUUAUGUUUUGUGUCUUUGUUAAAUUUAUCAAGGUUUUGGUCUGGAAUUAGGUUUAGGUAAAUUCAAACUUACGAUUAUGAUUUUUAUAUCAGCUAUGCAUAUAACUGAUGUAAAAAAAAGUUAUUCAAGUAGGCUCACAUACCAAAUCUUGAUCUGGGCCAAAAAAUGAAACAUUUAAGGUUUAUGAUGACAAAAAAAUGUUUUGCUGGAACGACAUCUGAAUAUUUUCUAUUUUUUGACAAAAAACAUAUUUUAGUUUUUUUUUAUCUUGCCUCCAACACUGAGUUAGACAUUUCACUAAGGGAAAAUGCUUCAAGAUUUCUUGCAGAAGAUUCUCUCAUGGGUGCAUGAUCAAUUCUCGUGUAGAACCCGGGUUGACUUGGCUCAGGCAACAACUUUUCACCAUUCAACAUUAAAACUAUUGAUGACAUGUUUGGUCUAUCCUCUUGUCUUUGUUGUACGCAUAACAAACCAAUAUGAAUAUGCCUUAAUAUUUCAGAUGGACUAGCUGAAUUGUCCACUAAGUCAUCCAUAAGUUCCAUCGGCCUUUGCUGAAUCCAUAGUCUCCAUGCCUGAAAAUAGCAUUAAAGUCACAAAGCAGCUAGUUCAUUUUCCUUAUUAGAAAUUGUGAAACAAUAAUGUUCAUCAUUUCACGGUCCAAAGUCUUAUUAUUCACAUACAAAUUGAUUUAUUUUAUAGACCUACAUGCCCAAGAAGAUUCAGGUCAUGAUGUGGGUCACAAAAUUCUUUGAUCUUUCUCCUAUUUAUUAUCUCCAACACAAUCACUCCAAAGCUAUAAACAUCAGAUUUGACUGAAAAAGAUCCAUGUACAGCAUAUUCAGGAGACAUAUAACCACUGCAUAGCAAAACAAGAAUCCAUAAUGAGAAGCUAACAAAAAAUAUAGAAUGCGAAAGGAAAAACAAGUACUAGAAAACUUACUAUGUUCCCAUUAUUCUAGUUGUAUUUGCUUCAUGUUGAUCUAGCUCAAAUGUCCUAGCCAUACCAAAAUCUGAAAUUUUAGGGUUCAUAUUACUAUCAAGUAGAACAUUACUGCUUUUGAGAUCCCUGUGAAUGAUCUUUAGUUUAGAGUCUUGAUGAAGAUAGAGAAGUCCUCGAGCAAUUCCACCAAUAAUUUCAAGUCGUUUAGCCCAUCCUAAUAAUGUACGCCUUGUUGUAUCUGACGAAUUUUACUUCUUUGUUAGCAUAUGAAGACUAUUUUAUCAAAAUUUAAAAAGAAAGAAGGAUAAAAUUCUGGCAAAGCUCAAACCAAAAAUAAAGUAGUCCAAGCUUCUGUUAGGCAUGAAUUCAUAUAUCAACAACUUCUCUUCUGCUGAAUAGAACAACCAAGGAGCGUUACAAGAUUACGAUGUUGAAGUUUUGCAAUUAACAUGACUUCAUUUUUGAACUCGUCCAAACCUUGUCCAGAAAUAUUAGAAAGCCUCUUAACUGCAAUCUCUUGCCCAUUUGGUAACAAGCCCUAAAAAUGAUUUUGUAAACAUUGAAGUUAUUUUGAUCAAGAUGAGUGCUAAGGUUAAAUUUAUUUUUCUUACCUUAUAUACUGGUCCAAAACCACCCUGUCCUAACUUGUUGCUUUCUGAAAAGUGAUUUGUGGCAUAAGAGAUGGAUGAAAAAUCCAAUGCUUGUAAAUCAAUGUACUCAUCCUUCUCACUCUUGUCCUUCCAGCAAUUUGUUGCUAUAAUGCACAAAAUUAUUUGCAGAUCUCAUGCAAUCAAUAUAUACAUAUAUAUAUAUAUACAUACAUAUAUAUAUAUAUAUAUAUAUAUAAAAGAGAUGUUUUUUUGUAAAAUUUUAACAUUUGUUGAUUAUAUUCGAAAACAAAAAUAAAACAAGAUAUAGGACUAAACACUAAUAGCAGUACAAUGAAACAAAGAAAUCUCUCAAAUGAAAAGAGAAAGGAGCAAAAACUUAUCUGAUGCAUUUCGGUUUUUUUUUUUUUUUAGAGUUAAAUAGUAUUAUAUAUCAUAGUAAAUAAAGAUAUGCAAUUUGCACCAGAAAGUGCAGUUGGAACCACAAAAAAGAGGCCAUCUCUCUAAACAAAAAACAAGUUGGGAUCAACUAUGUCAACUAUAAACAAUCCAAAGGACAUAGACACCACGAGGAGAAAAAGAAACCAGGUUUAUCACCUGAUUUAUACAGCACUCAUUGCCAUGACACUGAUUUAAUGAACAAUAUAGUAUUGUUCACGUCAACCUCUGCAUUCCUAAAAAUCACAUAUAUUGUUCCUGAGACACCAAAUGGACCAACAUGUGAUCUUCCAAAAUAGGUGUUUAAACCUCCUUUUAUUUUUCCCUCUUAUAUCCAUCCAGUUGUAAGUAUAGUUCGUGAAUAUUGUUAGGUAACAGAAAAGAAUAUCCCAACCAAUUCAAAAUACCUUGCCAAACUUGGUUGGCAAAUGGGAAAAGCACAAACAAGUGAUUACUUUCCUCAACAUGUUGUAAGCAGAGCACACAAGUCGUUGACUCUAUUGGUACACUUCUUAAUUGUAGUAGGCUUCUUGUUGCCAGCCUAUCAUGAAGAAGUCUCCAAGAAAACAUAAGGACUUUCAAUGGUACUUGGCAUUUCCAAAAGGUAUCAUUGAGUAGGCUUGCUGUUGGGGAUAGAUGUUGUUGUUGUUUUAUAGAGUAAAGGUGCCUGUAAGCCGCUGCUACUGAAUAAAUAGGCGCUCUCAGUCCAGUCCAUCUCCAAGAGUCUCUCUCUUCCCUUCGCUGGGUAAAAUCCAUUAAGAAAAAUUCCAGCUCCUCGAGCUAUUGCUGUUCCCACUGGAACAGUUUCAUGCGCCAUAACCACCUCCAUGUGUGGUUUUCAGGUUCAGAAGAGAACAUUUGUAAUACAGUUGCAUUUUUAUUUAUGGCUACUUGGAAUAGUCUAGGAUAUGAAUCCUUGAUGCUGCUAUUCCCCUUCUAGAUUCAGACCAGAAAAGAGUCCUAGUUUCCUCUCCAACUCGCUUCACUAUCACUUCUUUUAACCAGCCCUCUUGCUGCAUCUUGGUUGCACCCAAUCCAACUAAAUCAUGCCACCAAAUUGAACUGGUAGAUCUAUUUUGUAGCUUUAAUGGAAGCAUGUGAACAUUUCCAUAUCUGAAGGAUAAAAAUCUGCUCCACAUUGACUCUUCAUCUUGAAGCAAUCUCCACCUCCAAUUUGAUAAAAGACUAUCAUUGAACAUCUCCAGUUCUUUAACACCUAAGCCACCAUCCUUCUUGGAUUUGCAAACCAUGUCCCAUUUAAUCCAGCAUACCUUUUUUCUCAACAAGGCCAUUCCAUAGAAAUCUCUGCUGAAUUCCUUUAAGUAUAUUCAGCACCUCCUUCGAGGCUUUGAAGAAGGAGAAGAACAAGAGGGGCAGGAUGCCAAGAACAGAAUUUAUAAGUGUAAUGUGACCCCCCAUUGAAAGGUUCCUACCUUUCCAGGAAGCUAAUCUCGACUCAAACACUUUAAUUAUCGGCUUCCAUGUUUCAUAUCUACGAGGAUUUGCCCCAAUUGGAAUUUUCUUUAAACCAGAGAGCAUUUUGAAGCUGCGUAGAAUCACCUUUAGGGCCAAGAGUUAUCAUGCGAUGCUUCUCCUAUGGCCAGGGAGUCAUCAGCAUACUGUAAUAUAGAGAAAAGAAUGUCUUGGCUGCAUGAAAGGCCUCUGAAUAUCAGGAAAAGAAAAGGGGACUGAGGGUCCCCUUGUAUGCCACAAAAGAUGCUAUUGUUUCCCUGGGUAGCUUUGCAUUAGAGAAAAACUCUUGAACAGCAUCAAACAAAUCCACUUCAAUAGUUUCCUAGCAGGACUUGAAAAUUUCCAAAGAAAAGCCAUCGGGGGCAGGACUUUUGGCCGCAUCACAGCUCCACACCGCUGCUACAACUGCCUGACUAAGCCUCCUGACAUCUUCCUCUCCUACCUCAAAAGAUAAGCCAUAAAAAUUGUUUGAUCCAUGUUGUACCUUGUUGAUCUUCGCCACCAGUGCGUUCUUCUUCUAUGAAGUAGCAUUUACAUAAGUUACGUUGGGUCGAACUCUGUUUCUGAUGUCUUUCUGGUGAAGCGAUGAGUGGCCUACUUUUCGCAAACCCACUGAGACUAUCUUCUUCUUUUAUUACGGCUCAUUUAUCCUUGUCUCAUACUUUUGACCUCUGGCAAGCCCAGGGAGAUUUACCAUCAACCUUUUCUACACAAAAAACUGCUUGUCAAGAGUAAGGCAUAGGAUGCAAACGUCCAGUACAUCAACGAAUCGUGCGAAGCCAAAACGAUUUCCAUGUUUAUCCCUCUCUGCUGGAAUAAACACCUCUUGAAUUUCCCAGUAGCUUUGAAAAAUUUCCCACGUAUUUUUGGCAUUGAAAGAAUCUGGAAAAUUAGAUAAAAACAGAGUGCUUGUGUUCGAGUUGUCAUUUGUAGCCUGCUUGUGACUGCUACUGACUACAUCCGGGAUGUUCUUGUUGAAUCUUGAUUUUUUUCCUAGUUUUUUCCUUGUGACAUUUUACCGAUGUUUUUUCAUCACUCUCUUAUCAACUACAACUCUGAUUAGGACUAAAGAUAAAGAAGCUAUGCUAGAUGUGUCGGUUCUGAUGCAUUUCGGUUAUUCACACAAAUAAGUUUUACAGCAAGUUUCUUAAGUACAAAAAUUAUGGAAGCCCCUCAUCGAGAGAGUAAAAGGUUAUCAUGAAUUUAAAAAGAUAAUUAGCAUCAUUAGCCUACACUAGUUGUAUAAACACAAACAUCCUUUAACCAAACUUACAAGUAAUCAGAAAAUAAAAAUUGCAUAUACAUUAUAUUUUAUUAUAAAAGUUGUUAAAAACCCCAUUUUCUAAGACUCCUCCUUGAGAUUUUUGUUCAAUACUCCAAGCUUUGAUUUCUAAACUUAAAACUUUGCUUUGGUAAAGGGUUUUGUGGUAAUGUUUGCAAUAUCAAUAUUUUUUUAAUUGCAAAGCUUUAAGAUGGUUUCCUUUGAUUUCUUUGCUUCUCCUAUAGAACUAUACUUCACUUUGAUGUGUUUAGUCCUUCCAUUUUGAAUAGGAUUAUUUGUUAUGACAAAAGCUGACUUGUUUCCCAUUUAAAUAGCAGUCAAUGCAUUUUGAAUUUGGCAAACAUCUAAUCAAAUCUUCCUUAGAUAAAUGUUCUUGUAGCACUCUUUCACGGGUUAAAUCAGAUCAUAGUCUAACUUUUGUGCAGUUUCAGAAAACUGAAAAGGUUUUUGCUUCACCUUUUAUGUUUCUAAAAAUUUGGACUUCUCAUCCUGACUGUCAGAGAUGGCAGGUUUCAGAGGUCUGAAAAGGUUAGUUGUCCCAUGUAUGUGUUGAGCCACAAAUUAAAAUGUUAGAAAGCUGAACCAAAAAGGCUAGAACAUAUUGGUGUUAUUUUUAUUUAUUUGGUAAAAUUGCAAUUUUGGUCCUCCAGUUUAUCUUCAAUUUCGAAUUUGGUCUCCCUAUAAUUUAAUUCACAAAUUUGGUUCCCCAGUUUUAUAAAUCCCUGCAAAAUUGAUUCUGGAAACCGAUUUGGAUGUUAACCAUUAAUCUCAGACGUUGACUGCCACGUGUCAACAUCUGAGUGGUUUCCUGUAAAGACUUCAUUUUUUGUUGGUAAAAUUGCACUUUUGGUCUCCCAGUUUUACUCCAAUUUCGAUUUUGGUCACCCUAUAAUUUAAUUCACACAUUUGGUCCCCCAAAUUUAUAAAUCCCUUUAUAAAUUCAUCCAAAUUUCAUUACUGGAGAAGUUGUAUUUCAAAUUUCAAACAAAAAUAUCAUUGUCAUACAUAGGCCACUUAACCAGUCGUAUACACAUAAUAUCGCAUGAGGGAGCAAAAAAAGAAGAGAAAAAAAGAAAAAAGAGGGAGUUAUUAUAGAACCUGUUAAUGUAAGAGAUUUGAAAAUUUCAGACCCAGGUUGGGAUUCAUGCGCCACUUUCCCAAGUUGAACAACUCCGGAAGAGGGUGAGAGACAAAGAGUGAUUUUUCUCUGGGUUCCAAGUGAGUCAAAAACUUGCGAUGAAAAAGAAGUGCGAGAUUUAUCAAGACCUACCAUGUCUCUAGUACCAGUGGCUAAACCAUUCAAAAGACCAAUUUUGCAGGAACAAUUUAUAAAACUGGGGGACCAAAUGUGUGAAUUAAACUAUAGGGGGACCAAAAUCGAAAUUGGAGUAAAACUGAGGGACCAAAAGUAUAAUUUUACCUACAAAACUGAAUCAUUUCAAGGGGAUCCACUCAGACGUUGACACGUNNNNNNNNNNNNNNNNNNNNNNNNNNNNNNNNNNNNNNNNNNNNNNNNNNNNNNNNNNNNNNNNNNNNNNNNNNNNNNNNNNNNNNNNNNNNNNNNNNNNNNNNNNNNNNNNNNNNNNNNNNNNNNNNNNNNNNNNNNNNNNNNNNNNNNNNNNNNNNNNNNNNNNNNNNNNNNNNNNNNNNNNNNNNNNNNNNNNNNNNNNNNNNNNNNNNNNNNNNNNNNNNNNNNNNNNNNNNNNNNNNNNNNNNNNNNNNNNNNNNNNNNNNNNNNNNNNNNNNNNNNNNNNNNNNNNNNNNNNNNNNNNNNNNNNNNNNNNNNNNNNNNNNNNNNNNNNNNNNNNNNNNNNNNNNNNNNNNNNNNNNNNNNNNNNNNNNNNNNNNNNNNNNNNNNNNNNNNNNNNNNNNNNNNNNNNNNNNNNNNNNNNNNNNNNNNNNNNNNNNNNNNNNNNNNNNNNNNNNNNNNNNNNNNNNNNNNNNNNNNNNNNNNNNNNNNNNNNNNNNNNNNNNNNNNNNNNNNNNNNNNNNNNNNNNNNNNNNNNNNNNNNNNNNNNNNNNNNNNNNNNNNNNNNNNNNNNNNNNNNNNNNNNNNNNNNNNNNNNNNNNNNNNNNNNNNNNNNNNNNNNNNNNNNNNNNNNNNNNNNNNNNNNNNNNNNNNNNNNNNNNNNNNNNNNNNNNNNNNNNNNNNNNNNNNNNNNNNNNNNNNNNNNNNNNNNNNNNNNNNNNNNNNNNNNNNNNNNNNNNNNNNNNNNNNNNNNNNNNNNNNNNNNNNNNNNNNNNNNNNNNNNNNNNNNNNNNNNNNNNNNNNNNNNNNNNNNNNNNNNNNNNNNNNNNNNNNNNNNNNNNNNNNNNNNNNNNNNNNNNNNNNNNNNNNNNNNNNNNNNNNNNNNNNNNNNNNNNNNNNNNNNNNNNNNNNNNNNNNNNNNNNNNNNNNNNNNNNNNNNNNNNNNNNNNNNNNNNNNNNNNNNNNNNNNNNNNNNNNNNNNNNNNNNNNNNNNNNNNNNNNNNNNNNNNNNNNNNNNNNNNNNNNNNNNNNNNNNNNNNNNNNNNNNNNNNNNNNNNNNNNNNNNNNNNNNNNNNNNNNNNNNNNNNNNNNNNNNNNNNNNNNNNNNNNNNNNNNNNNNNNNNNNNNNNNNNNNNNNNNNNNNNNNNNNNNNNNNNNNNNNNNNNNNNNNNNNNNNNNNNNNNNNNNNNNNNNNNNNNNNNNNNNNNNNNNNNNNNNNNNNNNNNNNNNNNNNNNNNNNNNNNNNNNNNNNNNNNNNNNNNNNNNNNNNNNNNNNNNNNNNNNNNNNNNNNNNNNNNNNNNNNNNNNNNNNNNNNNNNNNNNNNNNNNNNNNNNNNNNNNNNNNNNNNNNNNNNNNNNNNNNNNNNNNNNNNNNNNNNNNNNNNNNNNNNNNNNNNNNNNNNNNNNNNNNNNNNNNNNNNNNNNNNNNNNNNNNNNNNNNNNNNNNNNNNNNNNNNNNNNNNNNNNNNNNNNNNNNNNNNNNNNNNNNNNNNNNNNNNNNNNNNNNNNNNNNNNNNNNNNNNNNNNNNNNNNNNNNNNNNNNNNNNNNNNNNNNNNNNNNNNNNNNNNNNNNNNNNNNNNNNNNNNNNNNNNNNNNNNNNNNNNNNNNNNNNNNNNNNNNNNNNNNNNNNNNNNNNNNNNNNNNNNNNNNNNNNNNNNNNNNNNNNNNNNNNNNNNNNNNNNNNNNNNNNNNNNNNNNNNNNNNNNNNNNNNNNNNNNNNNNNNNNNNNNNNNNNNNNNNNNNNNNNNNNNNNNNNNNNNNNNNNNNNNNNNNNNNNNNNNNNNNNNNNNNNNNNNNNNNNNNNNNNNNNNNNNNNNNNNNNNNNNNNNNNNNNNNNNNNNNNNNNNNNNNNNNNNNNNNNNNNNNNNNNNNNNNNNNNNNNNNNNNNNNNNNNNNNNNNNNNNNNNNNNNNNNNNNNNNNNNNNNNNNNNNNNNNNNNNNNNNNNNNNNNNNNNNNNNNNNNNNNNNNNNNNNNNNNNNNNNNNNNNNNNNNNNNNNNNNNNNNNNNNNNNNNNNNNNNNNNNNNNNNNNNNNNNNNNNNNNNNNNNNNNNNNNNNNNNNCAUGACACGUGCAGUUAACGUCUGAGUACGUCAACGUCAAAUCGGGCUUUCAGACAUUUUGCAGAAUUUAUAAACUGAGACUAAAUUUGUGAAUUAAAUUAUAGGGGAACCAAAUCCAUAAUUGGAGAUAAAGUGGGGGACCAAUUUUGCAAUUUUGCAUAUUAUUUUACCUUAGUUUUAGUUUUAUUUUCAUUCCUUACUAAUUUUCAAAAGUUACUUAUAAAAAUAAUUGUAUGUUUCAAACAUUAAAUAUUAUUUUUUACAUAUUUAUUAACUUAUUAAAGAUGUCACCAAUUAUUUAUAUUUAUUACUAAUCUUUAAUAUAUUAUUAACUAUUACAUUCUAUUUUUUAUUUGUAAUAAUAAUUAUAUUAUUACAUAUGUUAGCUAUUUCAAAUUAUUAAUAUUUAAUUGAUGUUUAUUAUUUUUUAUGGUCUAAAUGUAUAAGGAUAUUAAGUUAUAAUUUCUUAUGAUUGACCUUUAUAAAAAAUUGUUGUAUUAUUAUUGUUAUUAUUCUUAUUAUUGUGUAAUAUUUAUUAUCAAUUUAAUUAUUUAAAUUAUUUAUUGUAAGUUAUAUCAUAUAUUUCAAAAAUAAAAAUAUUUUUUAAAAAUUAAUUGUGUUAAUGAUAAUUGUUAAAUUAUUUACGUUGAUAACAUAUAUUUUUAAGAAAAUAAAUUAUCCAAUUGAUAGUUAGAAAUUAUCAUUCAUAUAAUUCGACAAUUGAUUUGAGUAGGAAAAAUAAAAAUUUGUAAUGAAAUUAUUCAAAAUAUGAUUGAUAAAAAAGUUAAAAUUGUCACAAUAAUAGAAUCUCUUCAUGUUUUGUUGAACAAAUAUAAUGUAAAAGUAAGAUUUAAAAUACAAUAGUUAUAGAAGAAAAAACAUGAAAUAUAUAUAAAAAGCUGAACAAUAAUAAUAAUUAAAACAUAUAAUAACAUAACACUAAAAUGAAGAAGAAAAAAUAGGCGAAGCAAUUCUUUCAAAGCAAAAAGAAAAAAAAUAAUGAAAGACAAAGAAAAAAAUGGUUCAUGUAACAACUUUUUAAUAAAAGCAUAACAUUGAUCAACAAAAAAUAUUUUAAGAAAUAAUUAGACCUAAAAUAAAAAUAUAAAUAAAAAUAAUAUAAAUAAAAAUUUACACAAUUUUUUUAUCAAUAAUGAAUAUAGAUCCACAUUAUACCUUAUUAAUCUAAAAGAUAAAUUUUAAUUUUUGAUGAUGAUCGAUCACAUGUUCAAAGUAUAAUUUCAUACGUAUAAAUGAAGAAUAAAAGAAAUUAUGAUAUUAUAUCAAAACUUAAAUUAACAUAACAAUAAAAUUAAGAUAAAAAAAAAAAAACAACGAAGGUGAUACUUGAGAAGAAAAAAUAAUGAUAAAAGACAAAGAGUAACAUAUACCUUAUCAAAUAUGGUAUCCAAUUUUCACUUGGCAUUCCUUAUAAAAUGUAUUUGAUAAAUUAUUCAUAUAAGAACUUUCUAAUAAAAACAUGAUAUUGAUUCAAAUGUGUAUUCAAUAUCACAAAAAUCAUUAAAAAAGUUAGACCCAAAAUCAAAAUAUAAAUAUAAAUAACACUGAAAUAAAAAUUUAAACAAAUAAUUUUUUUUAUCAAUUAUGAAUAUAGAUCCACAUUUUACCUUACCGAUAUAAAAGAGUUAAAUUCUCAAUUUUGAUGAUGAUCAAUAACACAUUCAAAUAUACUUUUUUAUACAUAAAAAUAAAAAUAAAGAAUGAAAGAAAUCAUAUUAUAAUAAUGUAUAAAAAAGGAAAUAGAAAGCACACUAAAAAGAAAUUGUGUGGAUAUUUACAAUCCUUUAAAGCAGAAUUUAUAUAGAAAAUGAAAUUAUCAAUUUGAUAAUAACAUGAAGAUGAUAAUGCAAUUUUAAUUAUAAUCAAUGAUUAUAAAUAUUAUUAACUUGAAAAAUAAUUUCAUUAUUAAAAACUUUAAAUAAUAAUAAAUUUUUAUAAAGAAUCAAGUAAAAAAAGCAAGAAACAGAUAAUAUAUUAUAUUAUUUUAACAUAUAAUAAUAAUGUCUAUUACUUUAUUAUAUAUAAAAAUAAUAACGUCUUAGAUAAUUUCAAUAUAUAUAUAUAUAUAUAUAUAUAUAUAUAUAUAUAUAUAUAUUAUUUUACAGUAUAUAAUAUUAUAAAUGUUUUUAGUCGUUUUGUGAAAUAUAUACUCUAAUGUAUCUCAAUUUUUUAAAAGGUAAAAUUAAGCAUAGUGAAAUAUUUUUUAAUUUAAUAUGAAGGGGAUAAUUAUUAUUUAAAAUAGCAUCAAAAUUAUAUAAGUAGCNNNNNNNNNNNNNNNNNNNNNNNNNNNNNNNNNNNNNNNNNNNNNNNNNNNNNNNNNNNNNNNNNNNNNNNNNNNNNNNNNNNNNNNNNNNNNNNNNNNNNNNNNNNNNNNNNNNNNNNNNNNNNNNNNNNNNNNNNNNNNNNNNNNNNNNNNNNNNNNNNNNNNNNNNNNNNNNNNNNNNNNNNNNNNNNNNNNNNNNNNNNNNNNNNNNNNNNNNNNNNNNNNNNNNNNNNNNNNNNNNNNNNNNNNNNNNNNNNNNNNNNNNNNNNNNNNNNNNNNNNNNNNNNNNNNNNNNNNNNNNNNNNNNNNNNNNNNNNNNNNNNNNNNNNNNNNNNNNNNNNNNNNNNNNNNNNNNNNNNNNNNNNNNNNNNNNNNNNNNNNNNNNNNNNNNNNNNNNNNNNNNNNNNNNNNNNNNNNNNNNNNNNNNNNNNNNNNNNNNNNNNNNNNNNNNNNNNNNNNNNNNNNNNNNNNNNNNNNNNNNNNNNNNNNNNNNNNNNNNNNNNNNNNNNNNNNNNNNNNNNNNNNNNNNNNNNNNNNNNNNNNNNNNNNNNNNNNNNNNNNNNNNNNNNNNNNNNNNNNNNNNNNNNNNNNNNNNNNNNNNNNNNNNNNNNNNNNNNNNNNNNNNNNNNNNNNNNNNNNNNNNNNNNNNNNNNNNNNNNNNNNNNNNNNNNNNNNNNNNNNNNNNNNNNNNNNNNNNNNNNNNNNNNNNNNNNNNNNNNNNNNNNNNNNNNNNNNNNNNNNNNNNNNNNNNNNNNNNNNNNNNNNNNNNNNNNNNNNNNNNNNNNNNNNNNNNNNNNNNNNNNNNNNNNNNNNNNNNNNNNNNNNNNNNNNNNNNNNNNNNNNNNNNNNNNNNNNNNNNNNNNNNNNNNNNNNNNNNNNNNNNNNNNNNNNNNNNNNNNNNNNNNNNNNNNNNNNNNNNNNNNNNNNNNNNNNNNNNNNNNNNNNNNNNNNNNNNNNNNNNNNNNNNNNNNNNNNNNNNNNNNNNNNNNNNNNNNNNNNNNNNNNNNNNNNNNNNNNNNNNNNNNNNNNNNNNNNNNNNNNNNNNNNNNNNNNNNNNNNNNNNNNNNNNNNNNNNNNNNNNNNNNNNNNNNNNNNNNNNNNNNNNNNNNNNNNNNNNNNNNNNNNNNNNNNNNNNNNNNNNNNNNNNNNNNNNNNNNNNNNNNNNNNNNNNNNNNNNNNNNNNNNNNNNNNNNNNNNNNNNNNNNNNNNNNNNNNNNNNNNNNNNNNNNNNNNNNNNNNNNNNNNNNNNNNNNNNNNNNNNNNNNNNNNNNNNNNGAGAAGUCAACUUAUACUCUCUUACCUUCAAAUGAUAAUUCAAGUAACAUGAUGACAGCUGAUAUAAAUAAGAUUAAUUUUAUAUGUUAUAAAUAGAUCUAAUGUGUACCAGUUAUUUGUCAAAGUAAGAACAUCUAACACUUAUCUAUAUACAAUUAGAAAAGAGUUAUAAUUUUUUUUUCAAAUUAUCAAAAUAUAAUAUAUAAAUCUUUUUAAUUUUAUUUUACAUCACUUUAUAUGUUUUUAUUUUGAAUAGUUUACAAAUUUUAUUUAUAUUUUAUCAAUUUAUAAUUAAAUGUCAUAAACUAAUAUCUAAAUCUUUUACGUAAUUUUUUUAAUUUUAUUUUAAUGUACUGAUUAUUUUUACUCUAAUUAUUUGUGUAAAACUAAAAAGAUUUAUAUAUUAAAUAUUUUUUAUUUUUAGAUAAUUUUUUUUUGAUAAUUUGAAAAAUAAUAACUCUUGACUAAUGAUACAUAGAAAAUAAUGUUAAUAUAAUUAAUUAAACCAAACAAGUGUUUUAUUACCUUUAUUAUAAAUAAUUUUAUGUAAAUAAUUAGAGUAAAAAUAAUUUAUAUAUUAAAAUCAAUUUACAAAAAAGUUAUGUACAAAUUUUCAUAUUAAUUUAUGAUAUUUAAUUAUAUAUUGGUACCAUAAAAAUAAAAAUAUUUAAACUAUUCAAAAUUAAAAGAUAUAAAAUGAUAUAAAAUAAAAAUUUAAAAUAUUUAUAUAUUAAAAAAAUUAAUUUAAAAAUUUUGAUAAUUUGAAUAAAAAAACUCUUGUCUAAUGAUAGAUGAAAAAUAAUAUUAAUGUAUUUAACUAAACAAAACAAAUGUCUUAGCGAUUUAUUGUUUUGUUUAUGAAUAAAAAGUUAUUAGUUUAAUUUCUAUUUAGACAUUUUUUUUAUUUUUCACUUCAUUUAAUUUAUUUCAAUAUAAGCUCCACGUUAACAUCAAGACGUCACAUUAAAGUUCACUCUGGAUAAUCAAAAUACAAAGGAGUAAAAUUACAACUUAGCCUAUUAUAAAAGGUACCUUCUGUUUUUUAUUUUAAUUGCUGGAUUUUUUUAAAUAAAAUUUUUGUUAUUUAAAAAUUUUGAUAAUUUGAAAAAAAAGCUCUUGUCUAAUGAUAGAUGAAAAAUAAUAUUAAUAUAUUUAACUAAACAAAGCAAAUGUCUUACUGAUUUAUUGUUUUGUUUAUGAAUAAAAAGUUACUAGCUAGUUCAAUUUAUAUUUAGACAUUUUUUUUAAUUUUUGACUUCAUUUAAUUUAUUUCAAAAUAAGAUCCUGGUCAAUAUCAAGAUGUCACAUUAAAGUUAACAUUUCACUCUCGAUAAUCAAGAUACAAAAGGAGUAAAAUUACAAUUUAACCUAUUAUAAAAGGUAUUUCUUCUGUUUUUAUUUUAAUUGCUGGAUUUUUCAAAAUAAAAAUAUUUUUAUUUAUUCAUCAUCUACAAAGUUAAUGAUCACAUCAAUUACUCUUUAUUAAUUAUAUUUAAUUAUUUUUAUAAUUAAUCACCCAUGAUUAUGAUUUAUUUGUGAAGUGUAAAAAAAAGAAAUAAAAUAAGAAACUUCACAACAAUUUUAUCAUAUUGAAGGAACUUUAUUGUAUUUUUUUUUUAUUAAAACAUAAAAACCUUAAAAAUAACAUGAAAAGGAAUGGAGGGAAUAUAAAUAUAACUAUCAUCAAUAAUAACACUAAAUUAGUGGUAAUUGAUAUUAAAAAUUUAAAUAAAUUAUAAAUAAUUUUUAUGUGUAUCACUAUUCAAGCCACAAGUAAUAACUCAAAAUAUUUAUAUAUUACAUAUUUUUUUAAUUUUUAGUUAAAAAAUUGAUAAUUUAAAAAAUAAUAAUUCUUGACUAGUGAUAAAUAGAAAAUAAUGUUAAUAUAAUUAAUUAAAUAACAAAAGUGUUUUAUUACCUUUUUAUGAAUAAUUUUACGUAAAUAAUUAGAGUAAAAAUAAUUUAUAUAUUAAAAUCAAUUUUAAAAAAAUUGUGUACAAAUUUUCAUAUUAAUUUAUGAAAUUUUAUUAUAUUGGUAACAUAAAAAUAAAAAUAUGUAAAUUAUUCAAAAUAAAAAGAUAUAAAAUUAAAAAUUAAAAUGAUUUAUAUAUUAAAAAAUUUAAUUUAAAAUUUUUAAUAAUUUGAAAUAUAAAAAAUCUUGUCUAAUGAUAGAUGAAAAAUAAUAUUAAUAUAUUUCAAUAAACAAAGCAAAUGGCUUAGUAAUUUAUUGUUUUGUUUAUGAAUAAAAAGUUACUAUUUCAAUUUCUAUUUAAACAUUUUUUUUUAUUUUUCACUUCAUUUAAUUUAUUUCAAUAUAAGUUCUAUGAUAACAUCAAGACGUCACAUUAAAGUCAACAUUUAACUUUGGAUAAUCAACAUACAAAAAGGAGUAGAAUUACAAUUUAACCUAUUAUAAAAGGUAUUCCUUCUGUUUUUUAUUUUAAUUGUUAGAUUUUUUAAAAUAAAAAUGUUUUUAUUUAUUCAUCAUCUACAAAGUUAAAGAUCACAUUAAUUACUCUUUUGUUAAUUAUAUUUUACUUAUUUUUUAAAUUUUAAUUAAUUUACCCAUGCAUUUAUUUGUGAAUUGAAAAAAAAAAAAAAAUAAGAAACUUCACAACUAAUUUAUCAUAUUCAAGAAACUUUAUUGUAUUUUUUGAUUAAAACAAGAUAUAGUGACUCUGCUUCAAAAUAUAUUUACUCAUUUUUCUUCUUAGGCAUGCAGAAAUGUUAUUUGUACUAUUUUUAAAAAAAUUUAUUUGUACUAUUUUUUUAGCUGUCAUGCACUAACAAUUAAAAAGGACUGAAAACGAGAAAUUGCAUCUGUUAACAUUACUCAAACCAAAAAAGGAAAAAAAAACAAUAUUCUUAACCAACAAAGACAGCUACACAAGCAUCCCAUAACAACCAAAAACCUGAUUUUACGCCACCAAGCUUAUUCAAAAUUUGAAGGACGACUGAAAUGAAUAAAAUGAGAGAAGAAAUGAUGAUUCUACACCCUAACAUUCAACUUUAUUGUCUUUUCCUGGGAGCAGCUUGCAUCAUCUUUUCUCCCUUCUGCUCACUUUUUCUUCAUUUCCCCCAAAUUUGCUCUUCCUAGCCAACGGAUUUGAUGGCCCUUCUAUAUCCUCUUCAUAUAGCCAGCGAUAUCCGUAUUUCUUCACCUCCGCAUAUGACUCUUUCCACUCAUCAUCACAUUCCAAAACCAAUCUGCCAAGAUAUUUGUGCUUGAGAUGAAAAUGAUAAAUGAAAUCCAUUCGUUUAACAAGGAAUAGGCACAUGUGAUCUGAUUUGUCUAAAACAAGUUCUAGAUCUACAUCUCCAUAAAAAUCCACUAGAAUAUCACCAAAAUCAGGGUAGAUCCUUUCUGUCUCUGAAAAACACAUUGCUGAGAGUGUUUCAUGAGGUACGACGAAUAUUGCACAAAACGCAACGCCAAUCCAAUUAUGGUCAUGCAUAACAGGACAUGCGUCUAAGCUUACACAAUUUCCCUCAUGCUCAUUAUUGAACCACCUUGGUAUUUCACUUCCUGGACUAACACCUCCACUAACAUGGCAGAACGGAUAUAUGUAUAACACCUGGUACAGCAGAGACAUCUCUAUGUUAUUUCCUGAUUCCUAUUCACAAAAAAGGAGAGAGAAAGAGAUGGCAGGAGCAAAGGAGGAACAUGCAAACCUGACACGAUUGCAUCGUCCACGAAAAAGCCAUGUCAGUGCAGCGUUCCCUAUCAACUAAUUCUGGGCAGUUAAAAAUGUAUAAUCCUGCUUGUCUUAGUCUAUCAAAAUUGUAAAUCCGUGAAGGGAGCUCAGGCAAAGAUUUCAACUGCUUGCAAUGUUGUAACUUUAAACAGACCAGUUUGGAAAGCUUCUUGAGGUUGGGCAGUGUAGCAAAAUUGUUACCACUUAAAUCUAGCCUUUGUAAGCAACACAUAAUUCCAAUAGCAUCAGGGAUUUCAACUAAAUUACAGAAACUUAGAUCAAGUUCACGCAUACAUGGAAAU
This 363016-nucleotide long non-coding RNA is filed under the name Glycine max (soybean). RNAcentral describes it as "long non-coding RNA (GMAX_LNC001323)". Lineage: Eukaryota; Viridiplantae; Streptophyta; Magnoliopsida; Fabales; Fabaceae. The record is from RNAcentral.